CGGUUUCUUCGGUUGAUGAUCAUCAGUAGUAGUAGUAGUAGUACCACCAUUCUGUUUCACAGUUCUGCCAAAUCCCAACUUCCUCAGCAGCACAUUCCAGCUCCCUUUGCUCUUCGUUAUCAUAAGCUUCUCAAUCUCCUGUUUCAUGCUCAUGCACUCUUUCUCAAGCUCCAUCACUCGCUUCUUCAUCUCAGCCUCCACGUUGCUCUGUUCUUGUAGUACUAUCCCAUCAUCAUCAUCAUCUACACCUUCGUCGCCGUUGAUGUUCCUCACCAGCGCAAGGUGGUUAUUACCGUCGAGGUUUUCCGAUAUGUAGAACCACCCGGCAACUGAGGUGCGGAGUCGAAGUUGUUCGAAGUAGAGAACUUGCACUAUCACGCGAAGGGGUAGCCUUUCGUUCUGUGCUGCGUGAGUGCUUGCCUCUAGUGACAGCUUCUGGCAGUUCAUUAGUCUGCAUAGUAGCUCCCUUUCUGAAUCUGUCAGCCAUGGAUGUGCCUGCCAAAACAAAACAGACAUCGUUGAACUAUAGUGCCGCUUUGCCUUGCCGGAUCCAGGAUGGUUGGAGAUCCUGGUCGGAAAUCAAAAUUCGAAAAAUGAAAAUCAAUAAUGAAUAUGGUUUUUGGUCGGUUUCAAUUUUUUAUAAACACAAUGUUGUACAAAUUUGACAAUACCCGGGGUAUGCUCCCUUGGUCCUAGGGCUGCUGAGGAACCGAGCUACUUUAGAAAAAACAAAAAUAUGAUGAAUGAUUUUGUCUAAUGACUAACUACUUAAUUAGGCAAUACGAGUCUAUGUACAUUUUAGAACAUUGUAAUUUUUUUUAAGUUCAUCUGAGAUGUACUUGGGAUUUAACUCGAUUUGUUAACAAUCGCAAACGAGCCGCAUCGAGCUCGAGCUCGUUAAGCCCUCUAAACGAGCCGAGCCAACCUCGAGCUAAUAAUUAUCUUUUGGAGCCGAGCUCGAACUUGGCUCAAGCCAGGAUCAACCCCUCCCAGACUUGAACAUGAAUGUAGUGCAGAACAAGUUUUUACCUUAAGAUAUAUGUCAAUUGCGCGAUAGAUUCCGUCGUCAAUCGGCCGUGCAUAAUCAGGGAUAAGCCCAGCCAGCGACUGAAACUUAGCAAGCUUAAAGUUGACAUCAGGAGCCACCUCCGCCAGAUAAUUAUCAAUCAAAUUAGCCACCAAUGUCACUGGCGUCAACGAACGGGCACCCUGCUGAUCGUUCAACACAUAAUCAUCCGAUGUCGGAACAUCAUCAUCCCGGUCCACAAACAUGAAAUGAUCAAGCAUCCGUUGAACGCAGUCGAUAUCAUAAAGCGUCUCAGCAGAGUAGCCCACAUUCGGUAUCAGAAGAUCUUCCAAAGCCGCUUGGUCCAACUGUGAUCCGAUCCGCUUCUCCAAAUUGUCCUGACACGACGUGCUAGCGUGCAACAGUAUCGCGGUCCGUAAAAGCCGGAGCAAAAACUUGGUUGGUUCAAUACCGUUCUGAUCAGGCAAAAGCUCAACUAUCUCUUCAAGGAGAUUCCUUUGAUCGGACUGUGGAGUUGUUCUGAUGGUGGAGCCCAAUGCAUCUUGCUUCACAUUCUGGAAGCUUGAUUGUCUCCCAAGUAACGGUAAGUACCUCCUGGCGUAGCUCAUAAGCGCUCCAGAUACCCUCUCGGGCUUCAUACCGUUCGAGAUCACUUCCUGAAUCAACCUCUUGUACAGCGGUAACGUUAAGAAAGACAAAUCUUCAUACCACCAAUCAUCACCAGAUGCCAGAUGAUUCGGCUUGGCUGCUGAUGAUGUCCAUAUUCCAUUCCAGCAAAUGUUAUUGUCAGCACUGCGUGCUGACAUCGGCCAGCUGAACAAACUCGGUUCAGCGCAAGCUUUCAUUGCCAGGGAACGGAUGCAUCUCGAAACAAUGUGCAGCUCUUCCGCAAGAGGGAGAACCUCUUCGCACAUCUCGAGAGCUUGGAGAGAGUCUGUCCAGUGGCUAAACACUUCGUUGAGGAAAUUUUCGGUCUGGUAUAUGAGAUUCCCUUCUCCCUUUUCUUCAGUCAUGCCGAGAUAUUCAGCAGCACAUCGCAGACGGACUAUGUUCAAUGCAUCAAGCUCGAUUUGAACACCGUAGCAGAACUUGGCCACCAGCAAAAAGCUGUUGGUUCCACCAGGUAGAUCGUCAAGUUGGACAAUACAAUUCUCAGUACUAGAUUGUUCUGCAAUAAGAUUUCCUAGUACUUUACUUCUGGUGAGCAGUGGAAACUGGGGAAAAGGUUUAGGAACAAGUAAAAUGAACACAAUUGCUCUGGAUAUGAAUCAAGGUGAAAGAAGAAAUACAACAAAAGAGUAAGCUUGCCAAAAUACACAAAUUCAAGUAAGCUUAAGCCAUGUAGUGGAAAUUACCUUGUGGAGAUGGAAGGAUGAUUCCCCAAUUUCAACCACGCAAUCACUUGGAAGCCCCUCAUAUGAACAGAACCUGCACAUAAUAUGAAAUAAACAGCGUAAGAUCAGCAAGGGAGAAGUCCAAGACUAUAAUUUUGAAUCCCAGAAUGCAAAGCAGCUAAUGAAAGUAUAUGCAAUUGAUCAAAAUCACUAUCCGAGUGGCCACAGAGCUCAUAUAGAGUAUCAAAACAAGAGAAGACCAUGGAUUAUCAAACUCUAAUCGAUCAAAAUCGUCAUUUUCCAUCGAUCAAAUUCAAUGAACCACCCGUGACAGUCAAAUUGUGCAAAAUCAAAACAACGCCACAAUCCUUUUGUAUCUAACACUGAGACCCACAUCCUCUUUGCCAAAAAAAAAGAGACCCACAUCCUGAAUUGUUUGAGUAACAAUCGAUGACUCAGCUGUCGUCAUAACCCAAAAGGAAAAAAAGGAAAGAAAAUAGAGAUAAGUACUACCAGGUAUGACCAUCACGGUGGAAGCACUCAGAAUUCGAUCCCAGCUUCAUGCCCGCCAUCUGUAACGUGGGUAAUGUUCAGAAGGUACGUUUGUUCCAAAAGCACCUGGUGCCGUCGGUUAAAACAAACUAAAGCACCGACGACGGCGACUGAGGAAUCAGAUAGCGAGCGAUAAAACGGUAGGAAAUCCGUCCAGGUAUUGUAUGUUAUUAUACAUCCCGGGAAAUUUGGAAAUAUGACUAUGAGCAUAACAAAUUAAAAAUUAAUUAAUAAUUGACAGUAAUGAAAAUUUUGAAGAGUCCCGAGUCAAGUGGGGGAAAUCCAGGGAGAGAAAAAUAUAAUGGAAAAACGGUGGCUGGACUGUUACGAAAAUGGAGACUCUCUGCUAAUUAAGGCAGUGUUUGCUACCGCAUCCAUUUUUCUUUCCUCUUCUGUUACUAUUUAAUUUCUUUCGAUUUCUAUUUAUCUUUAACAAAUUAAGAAACUUCCUGUUGUUAGUCUGGCCAUUUUGUUGUUCAAUGCACUAAGUCGAAUUAUAGGAAAAAUUAUAUAGUAACUAAUUUCAAAAUCCGAUAAUAGGUUGGGUCGGGGCCUAAUGAGGCCUCCAUAUAUCCAAGGUAGUGAAAUCGAUGAUAAUCGAAAUCAGGAGUUAAAUUUGCCGAUUUCACUUGUUUGAGAGAACCAAAACUUAUUUGAGUAGGUCAUAGUACAUAGUUAAGCGAAUCGAACAUAAAUUUGACUGAAUCAAACACAUAUUUGAGUGAACCGAAAUCGAUUUCUCACAUAUAUUUUUGAAUAUGACAUAGAAUAAUUUGAUGAAUUCGAGCUUGGGAUUCCACUUGACAUAUACUUGGAGAUGAAGAUGAUCUUAUAAAUGAUGAAGAUGUACAUAAAGUGACUCACCAUAUCGAAGAAAAGCACGUAAAAUGUGAAAGUUCGAUGUCAAUGAAACUUUUAAAGGGCAAAGAUGAUGUGGACGAAGUUUUUGAUAAAUUUGUUAAAAUUUUUAGAUGGAUUAUCAUGUUAAUUUGAGUUUGGAUAAUAAACUUAAUCAAUAUUUAUAUAAAAAGGGAUAUUUAAGUAUUUACUAUUUUAAAAAUUUGUAAAAUUUUAUAAUUUUAUGAUUCAAUUUUACAAUUAUAAUUUCAUGUCACUUUUGAAUCCCACAUUAAAUAACAAUUUCACUGCGUGUAUCCGCCACUGCUCACUAUUUAACCCGGAGGCUAGGCGAUAUCAACUCAAGAUAAACAUAACCUGAUAGGUAUACGUUGAUCUAAAUUAGCAUGAGAUUAGAAGAAACGCGCAAUUGAUCCGUGCAGACCUAGAUGGGCCAAUAACCCGGCCUACAAGCUCUGGAAGAAAUGACCCGAUAGGUUUCAGAACUUGUAGGCCGGGCUAUUGGCCAUAUAGGCCUGCAAGGACCAAUAAUGCGAGAUAUUGGGCCGUUGAGCUCAAACCAAAUGACACUCUCUCACUCUCUCCCAUUACUGAGAGAGAGACAGUCAGCUGAUAUGCUCACUGCUUCUUCUCCUUUGCAAUUGUAUCGGGCAUUUUAGGCUCCGAAGACUUCAAAGUCUCUCCACUGAAACUCCGUCCUCUGGCCAGACGCCCUUGGUCAACAGAGAUCACCAGGCAGCCAUGGAGGCUUCACUGAGAUCGCCGCCACGAACUGCCGCCUUCUUGAUCUGCGCAUUUCUCUCGCUUCUCAUCGUUUCAUCCUCCGCCGUGCAGGAGAUCCAAAUUCUCAACGCCGAACGUCGAGUAAGCUCGCUGAUUCCCGCUUUCUCUCCUCCGAAAUGUAAUCUUACUUCGAGUCGUUCCUCCGAUUAGUGAUUGGUUCUUCCCGAUCAUUGCUCUUUUUUCAUUAGCUCUCGAUUUAUGAAUUUCUUGUAUAUGUUUGGGUACUGGACUUCGUCGUUCGAUUUCAUCACAUGAAUUUGAAUUAGCCUGCUUCUCAUUUUCUCGCUUGUAAUGAUUGGUGCAGAUUGACUUGAGUUCACAGAUUGCUGUGGUAUUCUUGACUCUAAAGGUAUCGAUUUAUUAUCGAAAUGUCUCCUUGUUUUUGUUCUGAUAAUUGUACAAUCAGCUGGGUGGAAAUGCACUUAAGGUUGGUGGCGAACUCUUUUCAGGUCGAAAAUACAGGAAGUGCAGCUGCUUCUGAAAUCCUUCUUGCAUUUUCUCCCACUGAAUCCGAUCACCUGGCAGUGGUCAAGGCAAAAGUGGCUAGCGGAAAGAAAAGGAAGAAAACAUACGUACAGCUUGAUGUUAGUCCAACAGAGGUACCUGAUGCACCAAGUGGAACUAAGUAUCACAAAGUGUCGUUGGUUAAUCCUCUAAGCCCUGGUGAUACAACCACCCUUGAAAUUCUAUAUAUGUUGACACAUUCCAUGGAACCUUUCCCUGCGGAGAUUAGUCAAUCAGAACCGCAGCUGGUGUACUAUCGUGACAGUGCACUUAUACCGUCACCGUACCAUAUUAAGAAGCAGGCAACUUUUGUCAAAACACCAAGCACAAAUGUUGUAUCAUAUACUAGAGUGGAGCCGACUAACAAAGCUGGUAUAGAACUAAAGUAUGGACCAUAUGAAGAUCGUCCUGCAUACUCGUUCACUCCAGUGUUGGUUCAUUUUGAGAACAACAACCCAUUUGCUGUUGUUGAGGAGCUUGUACGUGAAGUUGAAAUCUCACAUUGGGGAAACGUUCAGAUUACGGAGCACUAUACAUUAGCUCAUGGUGGUGCUAGACUUAAGGGAAUUUUUUCUAGGUAAAGGUUAUUCCUAAAUUUCAGUUUCUGUGUUUUGCAACUUAAUAUCUGUUUCUGAGUAAGUUCCCUAUGUUUUUCAGGGUUGACUAUCAAUCUAGGCAAUCUACUGGCGGUGUAUCUUCAUUCAAAAACUUUCUAGCAAGACUGCCUCCUAGGGUGCACUCUGUAUACUAUCGAGAUCAAAUCGGGAACAUUUCCUCUUCUCGUCUGCGUACAGAUUCUCGCAAGGUAUCUGAUCUCUAGGACUGAAAACCAAAGCCACCAGCCUGUUAGCAUCACCUUUACUUUUAUCUCCAUGUGUACUGACUAAACACUUUGAACAGUCGGAGCUUGAAAUUGAACCACGGUAUCCCCUGUUUGGAGGGUGGAAAUCCACCUUCAUAAUUGGAUAUGGCCUUCCGUUGGAAGAUUUCCUCUUUGAAGCUGCUAAUGGCACGAGAUAUCUCAACUUUACCUUUGGCUGCCCUCUGUCUGGGACCGUUGUAGACAAGUUGAUCGUGAAGGUAGUUUUGUGUGUUUCAUAUUUCUUAAGAAUCACGAUAUUUCGGCGACUUUGUAUUUAUAUUUUUCUCUGGUUUUUUUUUUUGCUGAUGAGUAAAGAUUCUGUUCAGGUUGUGUUGCCAGAAGGAUCCAAAGAUCCUUCCGCUGAAGUUCCCUUUUCAGUGGAGCAACAUCUAGAGGUAAAUGUGAACGAAAUCAGUCCUCAGCCCUGUUCAAGAUAACUUUGAACUGAUGCAUCAAUUGGCACUUCAUAAUAUUCAUCAUAAAUUGGAAUUUUCGGAAUUCCAUUUGUUUAGAUAUUGUUGUAAGGCCUCAUGCAAAGUAAGACCAUAACGACCUUGAAGCAUGUAUCAUAACCAACUAAGAUGGUUUCUGAAUGCGACUAUGUGCAGACUAAGUACUCAUAUCUUGAUGUUGUCGGAAGGCCUGUUAUGGUUAUAGAGAAGAAGAAUGUAGUCCCUGAGCACAAUACCCCCUUUCAGGUAUUUUCUAAUUUGCUUGUAUUCCUUUACAGUAGUACCUUCAUACCUCAGGGCUCAGUCCAUUGGCGCAUGUUUUUUCGAUAUUGAGAUAUGGGGAUGAAAUUAUAACUGUCUUAGCAUUGAAACUGUGUUCAUACAGUGAACAACCCUACGGCCUACAUAUACAUAGUGCACUCUGGAUAAUCAUCUUAGUUUUUGAUUUUUUUGUAAAUGAUCAUUAACCAUGUUUUUUAACUCAUCUCGUGACAGGUGUAUUAUACGUUUAACCCAGUGUUCAUGCUAGCAGAGCCAUUGAUGCUGGUGUCAGUCGUUUUCUUCCUUUUCGUGUCAUCUGUAGCUUACCUACAUAUGGAUCUUUCAAUACGCAAAGGAUAGAAACCCAACCGGCCCUCUCUCCCAAGGUAUUCUGCAUUUCCAACUCGCUACUGACGUAAUCAGUCAUCUUUGUUCUAGUUUCAACUUUGAUAUUGAACUGAAAUUUUGUAGUUGUAUGGAUGUUUAUGUAUCUGGAUGUACUUACGGAUCCUGUACUCUGUAGAAGCCCUCCAACACAUAAUUUGGUUGCUUCUAGUGCCAACGAUCAGGACCACUUGGACUCUCAGGUUACGAUAGAAUACAGCACACUGUUGCCCUAUUCUUGUGUCAGUAAUAGAAUUUUUUUUAUAGUAAUGCAUACGUUGUUGACCAGCCAAGCCGCUCGUGAAUAGCUCGUAAAUCCUACUAAACAACUCAUUCGAAAACUUGGCUUGUUAGCUGGCUCCAUAGUAAUCAAGCUGAGUUCGAGCCAACAUCGACUCUGCUCGUGAGCUCGUUGAGUCAGUCUUGUGGGCCAGCUAGCUUUUGAGCCGGCUCGUUUAGUAAGCAGGCUCAAUUGAGAUUGCUUGUGAACCUGAUCGCUUUGUGAGUCUGUUUGAUUAUCAUCUCGAUAGUUUAGCUUGCCAGCUAGCUUGAUUUUUGUCUUUUGAUGAGCUUCGUUUUAAACCUUUCAAGAUCUACUUACGAGCUGAGCUCAGUUACAAUGGUUAUCGAGAUGAGUGCGUUAUGGCUAUUGAGCUCAGGCCGUUAAUCGUGAUUUUCGAACUGAGUGAGUCCACCAAAAAGCAAACGAGGUUAGCUAGGUCGGCUUGUGCAUAGUACUACGGUGUGGUAAUUUUUCCGUCCUUCAAGUACCAGUCAUACUGUAAAAACUUAAAAAAUUAACAAUAAUUUAGUACUCGAAACCGGAAUGGAAGUAAAGGGCAAGACUCCCCCUAGUUCCGUCCAUGAGUACACAUACGAAACACGCAAUGGCGCAUCGUACGUCUUUAUUACCAAGGGGAAAACAAACAAACACAGAUAUACUAGGAAAGAAAGUACAGAAGACACUUAAAGCUAGUUAAGCUAGCUUUCUCUCGACGCUUCCACUUCUUCAGAACGAAGUGGAGCGGAUGCUGAUCCUGCAACUGGCGGGGCUACUCACGCACUUCCCGGGCAGAGUCUCCGCGAGCCGCUGAGCCGCCUGCACAUCUAAAGCACCCCAGGUCUGCAACCCUCCUUGCUUCAGCUGGCAACUGGCGGGGCUACUCACGCACUUCCCGGGCAGAGUCUCCGCGAGCCGCUGAGCCGACUGCACAUCUAAAGUACCCCAGGUCUGCAACCCUCGUUGCUUCAGCUGCAGCAUGGCCUCCACGGCCCUCUCGAGGCCCAUGCAAGUGCACUCGGAGUCCAUCCGCCUCAGCUGGUUGCAGCACAUGUUGAAAUGCCCCUGCGGGUCUUGUUGGCCCCACGUGGACCAUCCCCGGGUCUCGCGGCCAGCCUCCUGGACCAGGUACUGCUGGCAGUGGUUCAGGUACCCUUGGUCCUGCAGCUGCUGCGUGCAGCUCCCUCUGCCGAUUACGUUUUCGGCCUCUUCGAUGAUCACGGUGGUUCGGACUGAUGAUGCCUCGGACGCCAGUGCCGCCAGGAGGAGGAAUGCGAGUGCUGCUGCAUGCUUCGCCAUUUUCGGAAAAUGUCUGGUGAGUUGGAUUGGGAUUGUGAUGUAUGGAGUAAGAAGGGGAAGAGAGGGUGUUUAUAUAGGGGAGAAGAGGGAUUUGCAUGGCGAGUACGUGGUGGGGAGUUUUCGUUUACACGUUGUUGGUGAGACCAUAUAUACCUACCAAGGAGUUCCCCAUUCUGACGACGUCUCAGAUGGCUGCAUCCAGGGACGGUAUUAUUGCGAAGGCUUCUGAUGACUCAUCAGUUACCUUCGUUAUUAACGGCUCUUUUGUGGGGAUUCUUGUCUGUUAGUUUGUGUAUCUCGAGAGGUGGCAUUAAUACAAGGUAGAACAUUUGUGGAGAUUUACCCUUAACACCACACCAUAGAGGUGCGUUCGUAGCUUAGUUGGUAGCACAGUGUAUUAGUAAUUCAUACCGUUUUUAUUAAAAUUACCAAUCGAACCAAAAAUUAUAUUCGAAUUGUGAAUUUAUUCCAAUAUAAAACCACAUUCUAACCCAACCAAAAUCAUAAUAUUGGUAACAAAUACUCUGCAUUGGUUUAAUAAUGUUUUCGGGUCUAUCUAGAUUAUUCUUUAUAGUUGCAAAUAAUGUAUGUCGAUCAAAAGACUGUGUUAUAACAUUCUCCGUAAAUACCUGGAUAUCGACAUACUUUGUGGUCAUAUAAAUUAUAAGGUAUAAUUGAUUCCAUUUUUUACUCUUUUUUACCUUUUUUGUCUUCCAAAGUCAGACAAGACAGAGAUGUGUCACCAUAAAAGAUUGAAAACAAAAAAACACAAUAAUUGUGUCCAUGUGAUUGUAUGUUUGAUUCAAACUCGACUUCGAAAUUAACAACAUACAACAUAACCAACAACGUUACUCACCUCACACCCUACUUCCUCUACAUUUUUGCUAAGCCUGAUAUUUGUGCCAUGUGUAUAGAUGGACACUUAAAAAUUGGGCAUGCGAGUGGGCUGCAAACUCAGCCCAUUCGUUGGAAAGCCCAUACUCCAUUAUUAGAAUUCAAUUCCCAGUUACAGCAUCAAAAAUUAUUAAGGGGUCGUUUGGUUGGUAUGAUAUUAAAUAUUAAGAUAUUGAAAUAUUUUGAUAUUAAAUGUGUUUCACAUUGAGUAGAAAUUGUUGUUUGAUUUUGAAUUUUAAUAUUGAAAGUACGUUUAUACCCUUACCCAUUACAAAGUGCUAAGCCUACCACUACUUUCUUAAUUUCUGUCCUCCUUAAUUACUUAUGCUCUCAAUUCCUUCCCUCUACAAUCUACAUCCAAUCCCUCAUACCAAUCUGAAUUACCCAUUAAAAAGUGAUAUUGAAGGCUGUUUGAAACUUCACCAUAUUUGAUGAAUAUUGGAUUUAUAUAUUUUAAAAUAUUUACGGUAUAGAAUAACUAGUUAUUUACAAUCAUAAAUAUAAAAUAAUUUUGAAUAAUUAAUUAUUAAAUACUAUAUAACACUCAUACCAAACUAUCCCUAACCAAUUUGGGGAAACAGAAAUAUCUUCAGCUUCUUCACCGUGUUCAACCUCCUGAUUCCGUUGCGACCAUCUCUCAAUCGCCCAGGUUUUUGCUCCGAUCCGUCUUCUUUCUUCAUUUACCUUUAGCCAUACGCUACAUCCAUCGACUGAGUCAGUUCAUAGUCUGUGUAAGGCUUUUGUGCAUGACAACGAUAGAGACAGCAGCCGGCCGCCCGCGGAAGACGGUGGACGGCGGCGUUGUUCCUACUCCCGCCGCUGCUGCUGCAACCAGCAAGGUUGAACAGAGCAAAAUCGGGUCGUUCAAAAGAUGGGGAAGGAGGUAUCCGUUUGUGAGAUAUGGACUCCCCAUGAUUUCCCUCACUGUGAUCGGUGCUCUUGGCCUUGGUCAUCUCUUGCAAGGCAGGUUAGUAAUGAUUUUUUUUUUGUGUGUUUUUAUUGAUAAAGAACUUAACUUUGAGCUUGUGAUCAGUCUUCAGUGCACAUGUGUUCUAAAUUCACCUAUUGGAUACCUUUUUCCCCUAAUCUAGAUCUGUAUUUAUCAAAAUUUCAUGCUAGGGUCUGAAACUGAAUUAGGAUUUGAACUUUUACAAUUAUUGAGUUCAUUGCCGAAUCAUUAUGAUGUUCUGUUAUUCUAAAAUGUGGCAGUUUCUGUAGUUCAGCAAAGAUAUUGCUAAAGUAAAAGACGAUCAAGAAUGGGAGAUCAUUGAGACUAGGAAGGCACUGUCAAGAACGGGGCCUGUCAAUGCUUAUAAACCCAAAAAGAUUUCAAUGGAAGAGGAGCUGCAGGUAUUGUUUUGGCGUGGUUUUAACUGCAUGAUAAGAGUGUAAAAACUGCACAAUGACUUACCCUUUCUUCUGUUUCUCUUUCGUUUCCUGCAGGCUCUGCAGCAGAAAGUGAACAUAGACAACUACGAGUACAAGAAAAUUCCAAAGCCAAAUGAAAGCUGAUGAAGAUGAAAGCUUUUCGAUUCACUGCCGAUGUUACAGUGCAAUGGGACCGGAGAUCCAGACGUUAUCUUUCCUUAGAGUUGUUCAAGCAGAAGGUUAUCAGAGAGCCCUUUGCCCCUACAGUUUUGGUUAACAAUAACGGGAUCGAUGUACUGAUUUCUUUUAUCAGUCUCUAGUUAUCAGUAGUUUGUAUCAGUCGUCAUGUAGAAUUUUCCAUCCCUGUGUUCGUUCCUCAAUUAAAUCAGCCUCAGUUCCUUUUAAGCUAGUUGAACUAAGUUAGAAUGAGGCAGUUGUUUCAGUUUAUAGCGAGAAUUGUAUGUUAGUGGCAACAUAUAAUCAAUUUUGGUCUCUUACUGUAUUUACUUCAAUGUGGAAAGUGAAUAGCCUAAAAUUUAGAUGGUAAUGGAAAAGUUUGCUUUCAAAAUUAUUUUGUCGUGAUUUAAUUUUCUCGUUUGGUCAGAAAAUACUCAAGAUUUCAUUCAAUUUGUCCUAUGUCAAACCAAGUCCUCCAUGUUCUCAGCCUCAACUUGAUUAGGAAAAUCUUUUGCAAUAACAAACACUAAACAGACUGUUCCAAUCCUGGUUUUCAGAACCUUAUUUGAAUAUCCAAUUGGUGAGGCUAACAGUAUAUGGUUUAACCUCCCAAACAGAAAUUGCAGUUGAACUGUGAUUCAAGCAUAAUUAUAUCAAAAUUGCAUUAGCUGUUUGAAUGACUGGUUCAAGCUCAAAUCGUUAAUAUGGUUGUAAAACAAUGGUUCUAAUGCAAAAUAACUAAAUAAAACAGGAACAAAGGGAAUUGAGAGGAUGUAAACUUCAUAUAUCCAGGUGAAAAGCUUCACCUCAACCGUUCUCCACAAUUACAGGCUUUUAUAACCCCCAACAGUUCUUCCUUCCCACCAUAAAAAUGCCCCCCAUUUGCUCCCCCGCCUUCCUAUUUACACCCCCCAACAACAAACAUCAAAAAGAAGUAAUUCAAAACCCUAAACCCCUACUCUCUCUUCCCAUUUUCCUUCUUACCCUCCCAUAUACUUUCUUCACCACUUCCCCUACAGUUUCAGUUAACAACAACGGGAUCGAUGUACUGAUUUCUGUUAUCAGUCUCUAGUUACUUAUCAGUAGUUUGUAUCAGUCGUCAUGUAGAAUUUUCCAUCUGUGUUCGUUCCUCAAUCAAAUCAACCUCAGGAACAUUUAAGCUAGUUGAACUAAGUUUGAAUGAGGCAAUUGUUUCAGUUUAUAGCAAGAAUUGUAUGUUAGUGGCAACAUACAACAUAUAAUUAUUUUUGGCCUCUUACUGCAUUUACUUCAUUGUGGAAAGUGAAUCGCCUGAAAUUUAAACAGCACCGGAAAAGUUCGCUUUCAAAUGACUUUGUCGUGAUCUAAUUUUCUCGCAUGGUCAGAAAAAUACUCAAGAUUUUAUCCAUCAAACCAAGACCUCAAUGCUCUGAGCCUCAACCUGAUUAUAGUUUCCGAGGAAAAUCGUUUGCAAUAACAAACACUGAACAGAUUGUUCCAAUCCUGGUUUAACCGUCUAAACCGAAAUUGCAGUUGAACCGUGAUUCAAACCCAAUUAUAUCAAAAUCGCAUUAGCUGUUUUAAUGACUGGUUCAAGCUCAAAUCGUUAAUAUGGUUGUCAAACACUGGUUCUAAUGCAAAAUAACUAAACAAAACAGGAACAAAAGGAAUUGAGAGGAUGUAAACUUCAUAUAUCCAGGUGAAAAGCUUCACCUCAACCCUUCUCCACAAUUACAGGCUUUUAUAACCCCAAAAGUUCUUCCCUUGCCACCAUAAAAAUGCCCCCCAUUUGCUCCCCCACCUUCCUAUUUACACCCCCCAACAACAAACAUCAAAAAGAAGUAAUUCAAAACCCUAAAGCCUACUCUCUUCCCAUUUUCCUUCUUACCCUCCCAUAUACUUUCUAACCCCCAACAGUUCUUCCUUCCCACCAUAAAAAUGCCCCCCAUUUGCUCCCCCGCCUUCCUAUUUACACCCCCCAACAACAAACAUCAAAAAGAAGUAAUUCAAAACCCUAAACCCCUACUCUCUCUUCCCAUUUUCCUUCUUACCCUCCCAUAUACUUUCUUCACCACUUCCCUCAGUUGUUAUUCAUUUACACAAUUGAGGCAACCAAAAUCCAAAAGUCAAAAAGAGUAAAGGAAUCCCACCGCCUUCUUUUCCCCCCUCUAUCUCCUCCCACUACCAAAGACAUCUUGAAACAAAAUGUGAAACCAUAUUCAGACCAUCACCUUGGCUUUGGUUGGGAACCAAACGAUAGCAACGGCUGGAGAAGUCGCUGGCCGGCAGAUGGACUCCCCACGAACGUUGUCUGAGACCGAGUGAGCAUCUCAGUCAUCGAAGGGGUCUGAUAAGAGUGAACAAGGCUCGAACCGCCCUCGAACCGCCUGUGGUCGAGUCCCCUCUUGCCGUAGCUCUUUGCCACGAAUGCGAGCUCAAACCCGACAGUAUAUAUGCUCUCCCAGAAGACUCGUACACGUUCCUACUUGUCAUCCGAUCCUGCAUUUCCUUUAGCUCCGCGUCCAGUGCAACACAUAACCGGUCCUUCGAUUUAGCUGGCAUGGUUUUCGACAGCUCUUUACGACAAUUCUCAAGGAUGGAAGCUGCCCUGGUUAGGUCUCCUUGCUCCGCUGCAGUUCUCGCUUGUGACAUCGCCUCGGCAGCCUUCAACCUGUUCCGCUGCCUGUCAACUUCGAUCGAUACCGCUUCCUUCCCAGCAGCUGCUUCAGCUCUCUGAAGCAUAACUUCUUCACCUUCCAAAGUGGCCAUCUCUUUGGUCAACGGAUCCUUGUAAAAGCAUUUAACUUUAAGCAAUGAGGUUUGACCAUUUGAAGGCUGCUCUUCUGGAACAUUGAGAGACACAAGAAAAUUCCUUUCUUCAUCUGCAUACAAAUCUCCUACAUCAAUAUAACCGGUGCAUCGAUCAGCAGACACACGACUUUGAUAGCUUCCAGCUUUCAGAGAUCCGAGCUUGAUGUUAGGAUUCACAGAUUCAACUUCCACCUGCAACUCCUGUACCACAACACUCAAAAGCCCUCCAAUACACUGUGCAAAUGCAUCCUGGAUGAUGGCUUCUGUCUCGAUGAAUGAAAAGGUUCCCCCCGAGAUCUCUGAAAUCGAAUGCAUUGAUGAAGCAUCAUGAUCUGCUCCGAAGCCAAAUGAAUGCACCGGAAUCUGGAAAGCAGCACUCUCGCCACCAUCGAUGGAGAGAGGAAGGAGCAACCGGUAAUCCGGUUGAGACUGAUUACCACCACCACCACUAACAGUGUAAGUAUCCUGACCGUCGGAUAGCAAUAUUAUGCUUGCAACAGGAUUCUUUUCCUUCCUCUCUUCCAUUACCUUAGCACCCUUUCUCAAACCUUCAGCUAUAUUGGUCCCACCAUUGGCAAGCAAAGAGUUCACAGCUUGAAGUGCUUGCUGCCUUCCAGCAUCAGACAUUCGUCGCAGUGGAAAGAGGCGCCGAGCUGUUGAUGAGAAGGCAAUAACCGAGAGCCGGUCAUUAGAACCGAGAUUCUGUAUCACAAACCCCAUAGCUCUCUUAAGCAAUGCCAGUUUCGUUCCUGCCAUGCUACCGCUGGUGUCAAGAACAGUGACUAGGUCAACCGGAGCACGAGGACUCCGAGAAAGUUGAGGCUGGUUUUGUCUCAUAAUUGUGGCAGCAGCUUUAAGAUUGACAAGGACAGUGAAGUUCUCAUAAGAGCUGGAAUGUGAUGCUGCUGUAACCUCGGGGUAUACCUUGAUGUCGAUUGAUGUACCAGAAAUGCAACUAGUGCUUCUGCCAGGAAUUCUCGGCUGGAUGUCUAGAGUCUCGUCGUCAUCGAACACACUAGGUUCAACAGCCUGAAGUAAAGGUACAAUGUGCCUCCUACUUGGGUCGCGACGAGGGGGAGGUAAUCGGCGUACCACAUUCAUCAAAGCAUCAUUGUGAGGCCACCCUACAGCGUUGAUGGAGGCUCUCCCGGGUGGAGGGUCUAGGUUUGGAGCCUGCAAAGGGAUCUCUUUCCAUUUUGCUCUGCAAACUGGACAGAUUUGGUUUCCAUGCUUCACAUUGGAAGCAAUGCAAUGGAAAUGGAACGAAUGUGAGCACUCUGCCGUGAAUAGAGCUUGGCCGCCUCCUUCUUUCAUUUUGGUCAGGCAUAUUGAGCAGGUAUGCUGAAAAUCAUUGAUAAAAAGAAAAAGUUCCAAUUAGUACACGAUCGAUCUCCAUCGUAUCAAUUGUGUAGCUUUUGCUUCAUAUUGAUCCUAAAAGUUUCAAUAUUCAACUCAGAAAGAUGGCCAAAACCAACCAGACUCAAAGCCACAAGUGAGGCAAGACAAAGACUGGUGAUCUAAGUAUGAAUAUUAACUCCUGAAAGAGAUAAGUAAUCAAGCUGAGGACUUUUGAAAGGUAACCAAGCAACUAUUUAAAGAUACAGAUGAACCCAUCCACUAUAAGAAAGGGAAAUGAUAACUUGGCUUUUAUCAUGCUUCCCUUUUCCCCAUCUUUGCUUUUCCUUGUUUGAUGAAUUUUCACACCUACAGGGACCUCCAACCAAACCACUCAAACAGUUCAAGACACCAUUUCAAUUCUGCUUUAUUUCCCUCUUACUUACAAGAUAAGGAGUCAAUAUUGAUGCACUACAGCUUUCCUUUAACUGUUCCGGCAAAUGCAAAUGGCCAGAGAAAGGGACCUAGGUCACUAACUCAAAUUGAACUUGACAUCACCCCCAUCCAUAUAAUCACUCAAUAAUUUCAAAUUUGAGAACUGUUCUUCCUUCAAUUUCACCGACUUCAAACAUCAAGAAGAGCAACACAUAUCUAGUUGAUGCUAAGCUUGUUAUAUACACAGAUUAUAUCAACUCCAUACCUCAUUCUUGCUCAAAGAUUAUUAAAUUAACAGUCUUUGCACUUUGAAACCAAAAAUGUGCAAUUUCUAUUGUCAACACCAAGAGAGGAAAACACAAUAGAAGUAAAUUUUGAGCAUCGAAAGUGAUGUUUGAUAAGAAAAUUGGACAAAUAUAUACACACAACUAGACUCCUCAUCCUGGAAUAAUCACUAAAAGAAGAGACUUUCUUCAAUCAACAGCAGAUAUGCAUAGGUACCAUCAUGAGACCUAAAACAUAAAAGGUUUUGAAGAACGCCAGGAGAAGGAACAAUCUCUAUGUCUUCAAAAAAAACUUGGGAUUUUACCAGAAUUAUAACAAUUCAUGUUUCUUUUCUCUCAGCAUCCAAACACAUCUCACAUCAACCAACUAAAGAAAGUAACAUGCAGCUGAAACACUUCAAAACACUUGCAAGUUCAACAAAAGAGGCACGGAAAAUUAUGAAAACAAACCAGCAAAGAAAUAAACCUUAGAGGCUUUGCUUCCACUUCUGAGCAGCUUCAAACCAUGAGAAGAAGGUGUGGGAGUCAUUGGCCUAACAUCCUCCCAGCCGGCAGGGGAAAGGAGGGCAACAUCUGAAACUCUCUCAGCUGGUGCUGGAGGGGAAUCACCACCAUCAAGUGUUCUUGGCACAUACACACAAAGAUUCAUACCCAAAGCCAGUUUUACUUUCCUCCACUUACUCCCCAUUUUUCUCCCACUUGAACAAAAGAUUCAAGAACCCAGAAAACCAAAUUUAAGAAACAGGGGAGGCCAAAGACCAAGAGAAAAAGAACAGAUCUCAAAGCACUUUUCUUUUGGUUUGGAGUCAAGCUGCUUUCUCUCCAAUCCUUGUAAACAACAGUGGUGGUGUUGUUUUCUUUCUUGGAAUGUGAGAGAGAGAGAUGGAGAGAGAAAAGAGGAAGAUAAUGGUGGGUAGCAAAACAAAAGUUGUAGGUUUUAGAGGGUUUUAUAUAACAUAUAAAAUGACCAUGAAAAUGUGAGCUUUGUGAUUAAAGACAGAGGCCAGCCAAAUGACGAAGAAGCAAAAGGGAAAGUGAAAAACUAAAGGGAGGUUGUCAAAGGAGAGAAGAAGCUGUUGAGAUUGAGAAGAGCAACAAGCCAAGGAGAAGAAGGAAGAAGGAAGAAGGAUUUUGAAGCUAUAGCGGUGUUGUUUUUGUUGUUGUCGUUUGGCUUGUGGAGUUGCUGCUGAUGGCGGCCAUUGAGUAGAGAAAAGAUGUGAUUUUUAAGAGAGGGGAUAUCUGAUUUUGACCUUUUGGGGUUUGGAAUUUAUUUGGAUGUUUGCUUUUGGUCAGAGGGUGCUUAAUGGCCAUUACGAUUUUCAUUCAUUCAACUGAGUCGUAAAAAGCAGGAGACGGCAAUAGAGACAGAGCUUCAUGUUUUUCUUUUUUGAAUUGUAGAAGAAGAAAAGUAAAAACUCUUGAUGAAAUUAAUAAUUUUUUUGAUUUUUUUUUAAUAUUGCACGAAGAGAAUUUGUGAGUGAUUUCGAGUCAUAUCAAUUAUCGGUUAAAUGGAUUAAUCGAUUUUUUUGUCGGUGUUCUUUUUGAUUAGUCUGCUGUGAUCAUACUAAAAGACAAACAUGGAUUAACAAUAUGGUUGAUUUGUGUUUGAGCAACUCUAUAAGUACAUUAAGUCUUGAACCACCUAAAUUUAGUACUCACUAGUCCACUCUAAUAAGUCAUUAGUUCUCUUAUAUAUGCUUGAUCAUUUCUCUUAAGGUGAUUAAGCUAUUAUAUUUUCAUUAAUAAACUUUAUGAUAUCUUUUGUUAUGGAGUAUUGACGACUCUGAUCAUAAAAUUACGUAAACCCGUCAUUUCAAUUUUGUUUAUUUUAUUCAUAAAUCUUAGAAGGAGAUUCCUAGUAAAGACUAAAAUUGUGAGUCAUUUUUAAUAAAUAUUUAUAGGAGUAAACAAUAUUAGUGUUGAAUGUAUGAUGAUCAAAACUUAAAAUAAGGAGACAUGGCCUCCAUUACCUUUGCAGCCUUUUUCCAAUAAAAAAGAAGUACAUGUUUAUUGAUUUAGGGUCCAUAGUCCAUCACUAUGUCCAUUAGUUGAUUAUUAACGUUCAUGUCUAGUUUCAGUUUUGGUCACCAGAUUUUUGUUUUCAUCCCAUUGACCCCCCCAAUUAAUUGCUUGUGAUUUGGAGUCCACUCUACGGGCAACCCAGUUAAUUCAACUGUUGAGGGAUGAAAGACCUGUUGAUAAAAACACAUGUUGUUGUUCCGAUCGCUAGCUAUAAAACAUACAACUUCCUUGAAACAGGAUUAGAGUUGUAUUUACGUGUGGACAUUCAGUUAUGGUUAACAAUCGAGUAAGUGACUGAUUUUAAUCAAUUAAUCGUUUAAUGUAAAAUAAGUUGGUUAAUCAAUCGGUUAAGAAUUUGAAAUUAUUUGAAACCAAAAUAACAUUUUAACCACCUUUCAAUUUUAUUUAUAUUUUAUGCUUAUUUUGAUCAGUACUUAAUUAAUCGAUCAUCGCAUGAAUAAUUCAUAACUAUAUUUAUAAUUAACCGAUUAAUUAUGAUCGAUUAUUAACCACAAAAAAACUCCACCUCUAGUUGUAUUUUUAUCUAACUAAUCUAGGACCGUUCUAAAUGUGUUGGGCUAAGGUGGAAUAUUAAAGUUGGAUUAUGUUCACAUGGUUGUGUUGAUUGGUCAGCUUAAAGUGGUUAACGUCGGGCCAUGACGUGAAAUUGGUCAAACUCCGGCUAAAAUUAUUAAUUAAAUGCCAAUUUGACAAUUCCAAUUACGUUAAUGAAAUACGAUUCCAAUUAGUAUAUUUGUAUUUGUAAAUUUAUUUGGAUCGAGGUUUGUGUAGAUAAUUUGAAUUUUUUUUACUUUUGUUUUCUUAUUUUCGUUGGAACACUGAUUCCUUUCGAUAAAAAUUUCAUUUCUAAAAAAUAAAAGAGGUACAUUAAUGGUUAACUCAUUUUGCUUAUUUGUCUAUUUUGUUAACUCACUCNNNNNNNNNNNNNNNNNNNNNNNNNNNNNNNNNNNNNNNNNNNNNNNNNNNNNNNNNNNNNNNNNNNNNNNNAAAAUAAAAUUAAGAGCCGAGUUGAUGUGGAAUCAUCAUGGUCACCAAGAAAAUAUUAAAACCUUAGGUUUUAAAAUCACAUUUUGAGAUUUUCACUACCCAUUUCGAUAUAGUUGUGAAUACCACUAUACAUAUAUUAAUCAUUUAUCCGACCCAACUCAUAAGAGCUAAAAAAUAUCAUACUCCGUUAUAUUGUCGUGCAAUUUCCCUGAUCAAAAUCUUCUUCAUUUCUUUCAGUUUGAGCUAAAAUUUUCCUACGAACCUUAAUCUUUCUUUCUUUUAUUAGCUAAAUUAAAAAAAAAUGUAGAUAAAUUGUGAAUGUGAAUGUCUAACUGAAUCCCCAAUUCAUAUGUAUAAUACGACACUCUACACUUAUAAAAAUUUAAACAGUUUGAUACACAAUAAAUAGUUAAAUAUCCAUGAAACACCUAUCAAACAUCCACACCCUACCCGUUCCCCGCCCCUAGCUACUACUCAUCUUCGAACAUGUACUCGAGUAUGUCAAAAACCAAAGGGUUUUUUUUGACAAAAUUGGAGUGUGAUGAUGAAUGGAACUUGGGGGUGGACUGCACACCUCCACGACUGUGAUGAUGAAGAAUGAUUUUGCAUCACUACCAUCCAAUAUCUCUAGCUAUAUAUAAUAAGUUAAAAAUCUAAUGUUGUUUCUUUCAAGCUUAGCUAUAGAGGGAGGGAAUCAUGGUCCUCUUCCUUGUAAGUAAUUAUCAUAUCCAUGUCUUUUAUUUUUCACCCACCCUGAGAUCAAGGGCGCAAAGCCCGCACGUGCACAUCAUCACACACACACACACACUUUGCUCAUCUCAUGAUCAUCCCCCCCCCCCCCAACACAAAGUCAAUUAUACACUCAUAUGGGUUUGACAUAUUUCUCUAUAAUAAUAUGCCCUUUUGGAAAAAUUUCCAUGUCUUUAGGGUUUCUUAUGUGGGGUUGAUGACUUCAUUCAUAACGGUAGGGAUCAUAAUACUAAGGUCCGAAGGUCGAAGGUUAAGUUUUAGGUUCACGAUAUGUGAGGUUCAUGAGGAAUAUACGGUUUUAUGAGAAAUCUGCAUGUGUUAAUGAUGGAGAUUUACUCAUAUGGAUGUCAUUAAGGCGUGAUAUAUAUGGUAAGAUAAUGAUAUAUCAGAGGCUAGUUUGAUUAAAUGGUUGUGAGUUUGAUUUUUCACGACCUAUAAUCUUAACAUUUGAUUAAAUAUAAGAUAUGAUGGGUAUGUGUAAACUUUAAGUACGUAAGUUGGCUUUCAUAUAAGGAGAAUAUAAAAAAUUGAUACAAAAUUUAUAAUUAACUUUCUUUUAACAAUUUAAAUUACUGAAAUGUAACGAUUCUCUGAAAAAACAAAUCAUCUUAAACAAGUCAAUGAACGAGGUGGACUAUGAAACUGGACAAAUCCAUGGAUCUGAUUCUUGAAACCAAACAAUUAAUUACAGAGGUUCAAAAUGGAAUAUUUCUCACGUAGCGAGUUCCCAUGUGUUUAAGAAUUGCUGCUUUGAGGACAUAAAUUAAUUAAAAAUACGUGGAAACGUGCGGCAGGAACAUAACAUUAGUUGUUGGUAUACGCAAACCAAACCGGACCUGAUCGAUGAAUGCUGCCUCAAUAUUUGGCAUUCAACGGUCAACCAAACUGGCGCAUCUAGAAUCCUUCAAUGUCUUCCACUUUCAAGAGCCACCACACAACACACAACUAUUCCUAUUGCAAAUUUCACCUUCUUGAUUCUAGUUUAUUUGGUGGUAUAAUAUAGGAGGUGGAUAUGGAUCGGAACUCUUACCCUUUAAAUAUUUUGUUAGUUUGAAGAUUGGUUGAUUCGAAAUAUAUAAUUUGGUGGUUAUCCAAUACGAGAGUAAUUACUAGAUGGAGUUGUGUCUUUUCAGAUUCAAGUUAUAUCAACCCUAUAUAUUAAGUAUUUUCAGAUUUAGAAUUCUGCUACACAACAUAUUUAAAAAAUGGAACAUUUUUAGUGAUUUUUUCCUUUAAACCAAUCACCUUUAAAAUAUUUAUUUUCUUUAUUUUUUUUAUUUUAAUUUUUAAAUUCUCUCUCACACUCACAUCUUUCUUUUCCCUUUUAAUUAAUUUUUUCUUUAUAAAAUUUUUAUAGUUUACUCAAAANNNNNNNNNNNNNNNNNNNNNNNNNNNNNNNNNNNNNNNNNNNNNNNNNNNNNNNNNNNNNNNNNNNNNNNNNNNNNNNNNNNNNNNNNNNNNNNNNNNNNNNNNNNNNNNNNNNNNNNNNNNNNNNNNNNNNNNNNNNNNNNNNNNNNNNNNNNNNNNNNNNNNNNNNNNNNNNNNNNNNNNNNNNNNNNNNNNNNNNNNNNNNNNNNNNNNNNNNNNNNNNNNNNNNNNNNNNNNNNNNNNNNNNNNNNNNNNNNNNNNNNNNNNNNNNNNNNNNNNNNNNNNNNNNNNNNNNNNNNNNNNNNNNNNNNNNNNNNNNNNNNNNNNNNNNNNNNNNNNNNNNNNNNNNNNNNNNNNNNNNNNNNNNNNNNNNNNNNNNNNNNNNNNNNNNNNNNNNNNNNNNNNNNNNNNNNNNNNNNNNNNNNNNNNNNNNNNNNNNNNNNNNNNNNNNNNNNNNNNNNNNNNNNNNNNNNNNNNNNNNNNNNNNNNNNNNNNNNNNNNNNNNNNNNNNNNNNNNNNNNNNNNNNNNNNNNNNNNNNNNNNNNNNNNNNNNNNNNNNNNNNNNNNNNNNNNNNNNNNNNNNNNNNNNNNNNNNNNNNNNNNNNNNNNNNNNNNNNNNNNNNNNNNNNNNNNNNNNNNNNNNNNNNNNNNNNNNNNNNNNNNNNNNNNNNNNNNNNNNNNNNNNNNNNNNNNNNNNNNNNNNNNNNNNNNNNNNNNNNNNNNNNNNNNNNNNNNNNNNNNNNNNNNNNNNNNNNNNNNNNNNNNNNNNNNNNNNNNNNNNNNNNNNNNNNNNNNNNNNNNNNNNNNNNNNNNNNNNNNNNNNNNNNNNNNNNNNNNNNNNNNNNNNNNNNNNNNNNNNNNNNNNNNNNNNNNNNNNNNNNNNNNNNNNNNNNNNNNNNNNNNNNNNNNNNNNNNNNNNNNNNNNNNNNNNNNNNNNNNNNNNNNNNNNNNNNNNNNNNNNNNNNNNNNNNNNNNNNNNNNNNNNNNNNNNNNNNNNNNNNNNNNNNNNNNNNNNNNNNNNNNNNNNNNNNNNNNNNNNNNNNNNNNNNNNNNNNNNNNNNNNNNNNNNNNNNNNNNNNNNNNNNNNNNNNNNNNNNNNNNNNNNNNNNNNNNNNNNNNNNNNNNNNNNNNNNNNNNNNNNNNNNNNNNNNNNNNNNNNNNNNNNNNNNNNNNNNNNNNNNNNNNNNNNNNNNNNNNNNNNNNNNNNNNNNNNNNNNNNNNNNNNNNNNNNNNNNNNNNNNNNNNNNNNNNNNNNNNNNNNNNNNNNNNNNNNNNNNNNNNNNNNNNNNNNNNNNNNNNNNNNNNNNNNNNNNNNNNNNNNNNNNNNNNNNNNNNNNNNNNNNNNNNNNNNNNNNNNNNNNNNNNNNNNNNNNNNNNNNNNNNNNNNNNNNNNNNNNNNNNNNNNNNNNNNNNNNNNNNNNNNNNNNNNNNNNNNNNNNNNNNNNNNNNNNNNNNNNNNNNNNNNNNNNNNNNNNNNNNNNNNNNNNNNNNNNNNNNNNNNNNNNNNNNNNNNNNNNNNNNNNNNNNNNNNNNNNNNNNNNNNNNNNNNNNNNNNNNNNNNNNNNNNNNNNNNNNNNNNNNNNNNNNNNNNNNNNNNNNNNNNNNNNNNNNNNNNNNNNNNNNNNNNNNNNNNNNNNNNNNNNNNNNNNNNNNNNNNNNNNNNNNNNNNNNNNNNNNNNNNNNNNNNNNNNNNNNNNNNNNNNNNNNNNNNNNNNNNNNNNNNNNNNNNNNNNNNNNNNNNNNNNNNNNNNNNNNNNNNNNNNNNNNNNNNNNNNNNNNNNNNNNNNNNNNNNNNNNNNNNNNNUUAUACAGAGGAAAAAGACUACCUUUUACCAAAAGGAAAUUAAAAUGCUCCAUCUUUUCUCACAAUGGCUUAAAGUAUUAUUCCCUCUCCCCCACAAAACAACAUCAACUAGGAACAAAUUACACCAUCUCCCCCCAACUAGCUUUCUUUUUCUUCUCUAUCUAUCUUUUGAGAGCACACAUGUCAUACACAGCUUGGCCUCCAUUGUAUAUGUUCAGAUGGAACUAGUGACAAAAAUGGAUGUCAAAAUGAGAGAUCGGAGAUGUAUAUAUAUUGUUCAAUUGCUUUGAAUUUCAUUUGGUCAAAUACAUAAGAUAGAAGAUAAAAGAUAAAUGCUACUCAGAUGUUCAUUUUAUAAGGUAUGUUGGCUUCAAAUUCAGGACAUCUAAAUUAUCAGACAGACAGCUCUAACACAAAAGCAAAUAUUAAUUUUUAUCUCUUCGAGACCUAUAGAAAAUGUCUCAUACAUCUAUGGACUAUCCAACACGAUGUAUCUUAAAUAUGAUCUAAUUUUAGGGCUAGGUUUACUGCUUGACUAUGCUUUUAAAUAGACACUUUUUUUGUUACAUUAUAGAAUUAGAGUUUUUUUAUUCAAUAGUACAUCAACUAAUUCCUAUUAGUUUUAACAUUCUGAAAUUGUUAUGUAAUCUUAAUCUUCUUCAAUAUCUAAAGAAAACAUCUCAUUCGUAUGUGGAUUGAUUAGCCGACAUAACAUCAAUGAACCACUAAUUUGUCAUAACAUCUAAAUAGCCGUUACGAGCUUCAGCUACGACAACAUAUAUGUAUGAAGCUAUGAGUAGUGGUGGUCAUGAUCAUCAUCAUCCAUUACAAAAGAAUCGAUCCCUCUUCACAUAUAAUCAGCACAAUAUCAAAAGGAAUGAAAACCAAACACAUGCAAGAAGGUAGCUAGCUUUUCCUUGUGGGGAGGGGAUUGGAUUCCCUUUUCUCACUACUACCCUCUAAAAAUUUGGCAGACUUUUUUGUCAUGGGGGAACAAGUCAACGAGAAAAGCUCUCAUCACAACUUUUGUUUUGCUUGCUUGUUUGUUUAUUGGGAGAGGGUUUGUUGCAAAGCCAAAGAGCUUAAUUAGCUCAACGAGGAAAGAAUAUUAUUACCACUCUCUCACUCUAUCUCUAGUAAUGGUGCUUCCCACUGAGGUGGUGCAUGGUGGCAUCGAAUUAAUGGCAUUUGUGACAGAACAUUAAUCCAUGCUUUGGUGAGUGUGUGUGUGUCUCUGUGGAAUAUGUCUUGUGCACUUGGGGGGAUAAACCGGUUGUUUCCCACUAUACUCACGGGACUAUUUACUAAUACAUUUAUACUUAAAGUUAAUGAGAUGUAACAGUUCCCGGUAUGGUAUCAGAUUCUGAAAAGAUUAAGAGGUUUUUGUUUGGAAUUUUGGUAGCCUCUACUAUCUGUAUAACGUAACUCAAUUCCUCAGAGAGCUUCUGUUUUACCAUAAUAACUUUUUUAGUCCAAUUUAGCUAUUCUUGAUAGAUUCUCACAAUAAAAGUGGAAUCGGAGAGGAGUUCGAAUGAGGUUCGACUUACUUCACUUUCGAUCAAGAGCAUUGAAUUUAGGUUAGAAGUAAUUGAUCAUGGUGUCUUUUUCAUGAGAGUAUGAUGGUAAACGUGCAUCCACAUAAUAAUGAGAUGUCCUAAAGACUUGAAAAGAGAGUGUCGAGGGAGUAUAAUGUUCCCUUCUUGGGCUUGGAUAGCUAAGCUAUAGCUAAUAAGGUUUGCUGUCGAUCCAUUGAUAGGUGCAUGCAUGGCUUCCUUUGAGAAGUGUGUGCAAUACAAUUGCUAUAAACAUCAAGUGUGUGCAAUACAAUUGCUAUAAACAUCAAGUUCCCCUGUUUCUGGUGGUUAAGUCUGACCACCGACCAUGUGUGACAAGCCUAUAUGUGCUUGGUGUGGCUGCAGUUUGAUUCGUUCUUCACGGUCGAUAUAUCCAAGGGUGGAGAUCUAUCUUCUCGGAUGUUGAGAUAACAAUCCAAGUACUACAUGAUGUAAAUUUGUGACAAACUUUUUUCUAGCUCAACAGAAAGCAUACUAGUAUGAGUUAUUUUUGGAGGGAAUUUAGAAAAUAAAUUAAAUAUAUUAGCAUUUUACCCGGCUUGGCCGGACACAUUGAUUUGUAUCUUUUUAAAAUAUAAUUAUAAGAUUCAAUCUUAAUAAACUAAGGGAACACAAGUGUUUAUAAUCAAUCACCUAAUUUAAUGUUACAAUAUAUACAACAAUGUAUUUUAAUUUACUUAGUUUUAGUGGGGCAAUACCAUAUUAUAGUAAAAGUUGACGUGUCACUAUUGAUUUUUCAAAUAUUUAUAAUAUAUGAUAAAAUAUUAUAUAUAAAUUUUGAUAAACUUUAUUUCAUGCGCUUGCUAUUGCUAACAUGAUGUACUUUUAUUGUUUGUAAAUGGAUCUCGAUGAACUAUAAUUUUUGAUAGGACAUCUCUAUCAUUAAAAAUAGAAAUAGUAAAUUUAUGAAAAUACUAAACCUUUAGUUUAAAUAUAUAACAUUCAAUUAUUUAGCACUUAAAUUCGAUAAUUAAACAUAUAUUUAUAAAAUAAAUUCUGAUGACUUUGUUAUUUUCAUAUUAAUCUGUAUUUUUUNNNNNNNNNNNNNNNNNNNNNNNNNNNNNNNNNNNNNNNNNNNNNNNNNNNNNNNNNNNNNNNNNNNNNNNNNNNNNNNNNNNNNNNNNNNNNNNNNNNNNNNNNNNNNNNNNNNNNNNNNNNNNNNNNNNNNNNNNNNNNNNNNNNNNNNNNNNNNNNNNNNNNNNNNNNNNNNNNNNNNNNNNNNNNNNNNNNNNNNNNNNNNNNNNNNNNNNNNNNUUUUUAAUCUGAAAAUACUUAUUAUAUUAUAUACGGUUGAUACGAGUUUGACCCCAAACACACAACAUCAUAUAAAUGUAGACUUUUAGUCAUAGUGUAAUCCAAACAACUUAUAUCAAAGCCUAAUUGAUAGAAAAUAAGAUCAAUCGUAAAGUACGACUUGUCAUUUAUAAUCUCAAAUCAACCCAACUCAAAUCUCAAAAUCAAACAAUCACCAUAAUCUAUCAAUUGUCUCAAUAGUUCAUACGUUCAUCAUUUAAAUGGUUAAUUUGCAUCCCUUCUCAAUGAUGUCAAAUGAUACCACAUGUAGUUUUUUUUUACAAGUGGCCAGCAGGUUUGACGUGGAGAAAGUCAAAUUUACUCAAUCCAUGCAGCAUCCUUGUUUUGUUUGUUUGUGCGAUAUCAUUCACUUUCUUUUGGAAAAGUAAACAAAACCCCCCCGUAACUUUAGUCGUAAAUGUUCCAACUUUUACCAAACUCUUUUCGCCAGCUUUCACGUUUGCUCAUAAUAAUUACAGUGUGCGUCAUCAUGCAUGCUACCUGGUUACAACGUGUAGUAAUCCUAAUCAGUCGCCUUUUCGAAUUGAGCUUCGCGACAUUUGUUUCGAUCGGGCAUGCGAGUUGUGGAGUCUGAUACGAGGCUUAGGUGGCCAUGGCCCCCUCGAGAUGUUAAGAGACCAGCGAUUUAGUCUUGCAAGCUAACGAAAUUUGAUCGCCGUUGACCGAUCACUAUGGUCUGUUUUUAACUGCCCUGAUCGACUCCUGCCACAGGAAUCUAUUUCAAGUUCAACACAUGAAAUUUUAAAUUUUAAAUUUUUGUAUGUUGAGGCCAAUUUAUUUAAUUUACACUCUGUCCCACCGCAUCUCAACAUGAAUCACUCCACUCUUUGAAUUGAUGAGAUGGUACUUCUCAUUAAUCCUUCCAUUAUACACAACAUCAUCCAGAUUCACUUCCACAUACCCCAGUGAUUCCUGCAACAAUUUCAACCCAUCACAUUCCAACAGCAUUCUCUGAACGAAUGUUCAUAUAUAUGACCCAAAAGAGCGAGGACACAUUACCCUUGAUCUGAAGCUGAAACCUGUUCUUUUGCUCAAGACCUCGAUUCGGAUCUUCUCCCGCAGAGGAGGAUGGUCCAUCAUGAACUGAAACUCCUCGUUCCAACGUGGGUUGCGAGCUUUCCGAAUCAUCUGAAAACACACACACAAAUGUCACAUUACAUGUUGGCUCACAGUAGGUUGAUGUUUUGAAAGCUUGUUGAACAAGUUAACCUUAGUUUUCUUCCUUUCUCCUCUGAAGAGGACCGUAGCAUAGGGAUUGUUGUGGUUGUGUCCUUCUACAUCCUCUGCAGAUUGUACUCGUAUCGAGAGUAAACUCGGUCCAUUUAGUGAAUCGUCAUAAGGCUGGUUUUCCUUCCCACUCGAUCCUUUACUGCUGUGUCCAUCUAGGAUACUGAGUGAACUGUCUUCUUUGAAAGGCACAAGGGUCAACUCAAUCACAAGCUGCCCUCUUUGUUUUCUGUCGCGAGGAUCACAAGCCUCGGUGCUCUUGAGCAAGUCGAGAGUGAGAUGUUUUGGCUCCUGGGGUGUCAUUGUCUUCAAGGGCACGGCUUGCAUUCCCAAUGGGUCAUGGGCACCAACCUAGGUGAAAACCGUCGAAAACCAGAUCGUAUCAAUGCUCGCUCGGAAUGUUAUAAAAACUAAGUAUGAACUUCUCCCAACAACUCGAGUUAUUGGGAUGCAAGAGCUUUCUCACUGUCCAAUUUGACUAAGAGGUCAUCGGAUCGAAUACUGUCAUCCCACAAUAUAACAGUUUCAUAUGCACAAGGGCUUGGUGGACCUCUGCAAAUUUCACUCCCCUUUCAUGGGCUUCUCUCCCAACAACUCAACUUAUUGGGAUGCAACAGUUUUGUAAAACUGAUGCGACAUUUGCUGCUUUUACCUUGUCCCAAUCAAGCACAUGAAGAUGAAGAGCUUGAGAACCAGGAUCCUUAACAACAAGCCUGAAGCUUUCAUUCCAAACAGGAUUCAGAUUCUGCUUCUUGAUUGUGGUCUUCUUAGCAGAUAAUUUGUCUCCACUCAGACUUAGCUUCACGUACGGAUCAGAAGUUCCGACGAUAUCAGCCUUCAUGAGUUUCGUAGCCCGAACUACCUUCACAUUCAGUAUUCCCACCGGUUUCUUUACACCAACUCUGUAAUGUACUCACAAUAGUUUUUGCAUUAAGGAUCUAGCAAAAGGUUCAAACUUCUUCUGGUAAUAAAGCAAAAGGGUUUGAACUGUUUGAUUUUUCACUCACGUUGAAGGAUCAAGGACAGGUAUUUCAAGGAUCCGAGGCCAAAUGUACAUACUUGUUAUCUGCUUUUCGAUCGUUUUCUGCAGGGGUACCGAAAAAGUCCGUUACUCCAAGUGAAACUAGACCUUGUUCUUCACACUUCGAUGGUAAAGUAACAACCAUUUAAGCAUUACCAGCUUAGCACCUGAACAAAUCCAUGAAGACCAGGUAUGGACAUGAUAUCUCCUCCAGAAAUUUCAAGCCCGAAGUCCACCCGAGGCUGCAAAUAUAAGUUCAUCAAUCGAAGAAACAGCUAACCAGUUCGAGUUUGGAACCGGUUUACAACUUACUCUAUCCAGUAAAGACACCACAAUGUUGGCAAAACAUGGGAAAGCUGGCGCAAGAGGCUUCAAGGAUAUCCUUGGUGCUGCAAAUACUUGCAGAUCAACCAACUGCAUGGAAGCAUUGUCCAUUCGUGGUUGAGUAAUGUUAUCUUAUCUUCCAUCAGAACUGGAAAAGUAUCGAUCUUUCGUACCUGAACAGUAAUUGGUAUAGACAUUAAUUUCAACACCAAAGUUAUGUUGGGAUUGCCUGCCCACCUAACUGCUGGUUCCAGAACUAUAUCAUUCUCAUUGGUGUCCAACACUUUAAGACCAUGGACAGUGGGAGGAAGAGUUCCAAGACUGAGAUGCUCAAACUCGAUAGCUUCGAUGCCAUACUUCCCAAUGCACUCUGCGAAGAUCGGCUCACUCGUGGUUUUAAUUGAAGCACAUAUGGCCUGUGUGCAAUGUGCAUGAUCCCAAACUCCAAACUUAGCAGGUUUAUCAGCAAAAAUUCAAUAAGCUAUAUGGCUAGUCAAGUUAUACCAUAUUUCUACUUACCUUAUCAAGAUAUGGCCACAUCGCCAAGACAAACUUGUUGAACCAAUCCACCUGCAAAAAAAUCACAAUAUACCAUAUAUGAUCACCAAAGCAGCAAGCUAAUGGCUUGGAUGGUGAGUUUAGCUUGUAGUAAAAUUCCAAGAAGAUUCUCACUCGUUCAUAGUCAGGAGAUUUCACCCACAAAGGAAUCUCAUGCAGAAUGUUGAGCAAGGUGUCAGAUUCCAGCUCCCCAAGUGGCCUAACCCCUGGUUCCUGUCUCAAAAAACAAGAAAGGAAAGAUGAAUUCUUUGUUUCUUCAAGUCGGCAGAAAACUGUGAGAAGGACCCUAAAUUGUAAGGUAAUGAAUUGAGAACCACACAAAGAGGGGGGAAGAAUAGUAAUCAAACGUAACCUUCAUCUUAAAUGCCAUAGGUUUAAAUAUCAAGCCAGCUAGCUAGUAAUCUUACAUAUCAAACAAUUCAUUCACUAUCACAUUCCUAAGCUGACUUUUCCAAAACUGACAAGUGGAUAACACCAAACCAAGCAAAGAAACGAACUUUCUGCAGAAGAAAAUUCUCCCCAAACCGGAAACCAAUCGCAGAUGACAAAGAACAAGGAGACAGAUGGCGUAUGAUGAUCAAAGCACUGAUAAUCACGGAGAGAUUGAACCUUACCUUGACAUGUUUAGGCUUGGAGUAAACAAAGAGAUAGAAUCCAACAGCCAACCCAACGGCCAAUCCAAAGCCAAACCCAACGAUUCCCAAUACAGUGCUGAAAAAACCCAUCAAUGCUGGAAAACCCAGAAGAAGAAUCAAAGGGGUUGAACAAGAAAGGGAGAUUUUUUUUUGGGCGGGCGGAGUAAUCUAGAGAAGAAUGCUUAGUGGAAGACGAAAUAGUGACGAGUUCAUUUUGAAGAAACCCAGAAAUGAACUGGCUGCAAGCUGUAGCUUCUCUGUAAUAUCACCAGUAGGAGGAAUGAACAUCAGAAAACGGUUUUCUUUUUCUCUUCAUGGAGACAUUUGUUGAUUUCUGGCUGGAGAUUUUGUAGGUCCGAAUUUUCUGAGCAUCUGAUUCUGAUUAUUUGGUUUCAAUAUAAGGAAAAAACAGAGGAAACUGGGCGGCAUUCUCUUUGUUGCUUUCAAUUUUUGCAUAGUGGUUUCUUAAUUACCUUUAUACCCUCAUUUUCCUGUCUGCAACGGCGCCGUAUAAGCAACCAUUUGUCUAGUCUUAAGUCUCCUCUUACCGAACUUCCAUCCGUUGGCCGCGACAGCACCCACUAGGCCACUAAUAUAUAGAGCUAUCAAACGCGUGGGUUGGAUGACUCUGGGUCGGCUAAAUUGGGUUACAUUUUAAUCGAAUUGUGGGCUCAUCGAAUUGCGAGUUUAUUGGGUUUCUGGUUGGACGAUUUUUGGGUCGGCUAAGUCAGGUUACAUUUUAAUCGGAUUGCAGGCUCAUCGAGUUGCGAGCUUAUUGGGUUUCAGGUUCGUCGGGUUCAUGGUUCGCCAGGUUACGGAUUUGACGAUCGCAGGUUUGUCGGGUCAUGGAUUCAUUGAGCCUCGGGUCCAUCGGACCUCGGGGUGGUAGGGUGCAAUCAGUUCAUUUUUAUUUAAUGAUCAUCUCUCUAAGUAACAGAUUAGUCAGGUUGCGAGUCAUGGGUUUGUCAUGUCACGAAUUUAUCAGAUUACAGACCGGGUGUGUUAUCGGUUGUUAACUUUUGAGUGAAAUAGGGACAGACUGAGCUGACCUGGGCAGACUCGAGGAUAACAAACCAUCAUAAUCACAUCUCACAAGAGCUGGUUUCAUACAUGCAAUUGCAAUCUCAUACUUGCAAGCAAAGCCAACAAAGUGUUCAAAGCAUCACAAACUUACACAACCAAUGUGAUAAAAAACCAUGAAGAAACUUUGUUUCAGAAAUCCACACUCCUAUUUUCCUAUCAAUUUACAGAAUACACAUUAUGUACAAAAUGCAUAGUUUUCAAAUACAAGCAUUCCGCCUUGAACCAUACCUAUAUAGAAACUCAAAUAGCAGGUCCCAGAAGGGCAAUCAGGAACUUCCUGUAACUCCCCGAUGUUUCCGAAUGAACCGCAUCGUUCAACUUCUUCUUGUACUUCUUCACGUACUCAGCUUUUAUGUAUUGCAUGUCGAUCUCAGUCCUCGUCACGAUUACCCGUAUAAGUGCUGCAUCGUUCGUGCCUAGACCUUUCAUCGCCUUGUGCAGCACCUUUGCGAAGUACUUUGCAGGAUUCUCAGAACAUAGCAAGACUGUCAAAAGUGCUUGCUUGAAAUAUCCUGAUGUCUCCUUCUUCACAGCCUAAUCCGACCAUAAGAUAGAACAUCUUUAAGCAAUGAUAACAAAACUUCCAGCAAAAGUACUUGUUAAGAUAUGUUUCACCUUCUUCAAGGAGUGUCCGUACAAAUUGUCGUAAGCAGCAUCGACAGCAGCCAAAUGAGCCGAGCUUCGCGAGCUAAAAACGUUGAUGAACGUCUUCUCAUCAGUUCCCAGCCUCUUCUCCCCUGCUUUGUAUAGAGUUCUUGCAUCGUUCUCGGCCGCCGCUUUGUCAACUUCCCAUCCUUCGUAACGUGGAGUGCUCGCAUAUGCAAGCAACAUCUGAAAACAGUAAUCAAUUAGCAUACUCCUCAAAGACCGGGAUGGUAGGAAACAGAAGGACGUUAAUACCCUUUUAUGAUCUCCGGAAGUACGAGACUCGACAUCAUGCUCGAGAUAAACGCCUCGCGUAGUAAUGCUGUUUGAAGACCUGUAUCUGGGACGGAGUUCGGGAACAGAUUACUUCGGUUACAGCAUCCAAAUUAGUCGAUUCGGACAUCAACCCUUGCCUGACAAUCGCAGCAUCACAUCCUGGAGGAUCUUGCAUCCACAUCAUAACUGCAUUCUGAGUCCAAAACGAAUGAAUUGAGCUUUUCAUUCAUAUCACAACAAGCACGAAACAAGUUUCGAUCUUGCGAUUACCUCGAGCUUGCCACUCAGCUCGGAAGACAAUCGCUUGAAGAUGUCCUCGGAGAACAUUGUCCUAUACUCAUAUUGGAUAUAAGCACGGUGUGCUGCAUCUCGAUGAGCCAGAAUAUCUACAACUGCUGAGUUGUCGCAUCCGAAUCCUGUUGCAAGGUAGAAACCAUUCGAAUUGGCCAAAGGAUUCCCAAGAGAUAAUCAAUUAGACUAUUUGCUUGCAUUUGGGUUCAAUUAUCCAUUCACAUUGUUCAGCUCAACAAUCAAUACGACAACAGAUAGAUUCCGUGCUAAUGAUCCAUGCAAUAAACCCCAGGAAUAAUAUAUACAGCUCGAUCGAAUAGUCCAAAAUGGCAAGGUGUUAAACAAAGCAAACGGCAAAUCAAAGGUGGCAAAGAAGGAAACAGAGCAUGAAAUUCAAAAAGGGAUGACAAAAUUAAAAAACAAAUGAUACCCUUGAAAGCCUUGUGGAGAAGAAUGGCGUCGUCUCUGGGAGAAGGAAGCACCGGCGGGAAAUUCAGAGUUGACAUCAGGCUACCCACAAUCAACAAAUCUUUCCCUUGAAAGGUUCUUCACCCCCAAUCCAAUCAAUGGGUUCUUCUUGUUCGUUUUCCGUUGAUUUCUUUCGUUCUUCCCUGAUCUAAGAUUUUUUCGCCUGGUUACCCAAUUUAUUUAUACUGAUCAAUUUUAGCCUGAGGGAGAGCUGUGCGUAUCCAGUGAUCAACGCGUGGCUCUUGCACUGUUCUCUCCUUUAAAAACUAAUUUUUUUGAGAAUGGAGAUGGAGGGGCUAAUAUCCACCAUGGUCGUCAUUUAUUUAGUCUUAACAAAAUGGUCAUCAACAUUUCAAAUGUAACAUACACUACUAAUCCACAUUCCAAGUGUAAUAACAUGAACAUUCCGUCAAUUAUCGGUCAAAAUUUUCCAUUAAAUUGGCAAAUUAUCAUGCCAACUUAUCGUUUAUGUCCUUCAUUUUAUGUCGUGUAUUAUAUCAUAGAUCCACCGAUUCAAUCAAUCUAACUUGACAAUGUUCGAUUGACAACAACCAACUCAAAUAGAUUGAAAUAAGUUGGAUAUGGAAUAAAAUAUUUUAUAUGGUAGGGGGUAUAGAUGUAAAUUAUGGUUGAGUGGUUAAUAGUGAUCUACCAAUUGAACAGAAUGUAAGGAUGGAGAGUCAGGUAAUCAAAAGUGACCAUGUUGUUAUAAUUGAAUAGGUUAGUGGUAUGUAAGUUUCAUUUUAAAGAUUGAUGACCGUAUUGUUCGAACACAAUAGAUUGAUGACUAUAGUGGGUAUUACACCGAGAUGGAGGAUUCGAAGUUUAUUCUUUUGAUAAUUUUAUUAAUGCGUUGAUCUAAGGCAGGAUCUUACUCAACUGAUUCGGAUGCCUUUGGUCCACUUACCAUUGAGAUUGUUGGGCUGGGCUCAAACGUUUGGGCUUAUCUUUUUCAAUCAAUGUGGGCUUUGUAACUCUUACUCCAGUUGGGCUUUUCUUAUGUUUCAUCUUUUUUUCUAAGAGUUGUUUUAAAAAAAACUAUUUGGGAUUUAAUUAAUUUUAAGUGACAUUGUUAACCAUUUUGACUUUGUCUAUCAACCAUAAGUUUAGUUUACUCUAUUAUUUAUUUAUUUAGUGGCUUACCACUUCAUGCAAUCAUCUCCUAGUAGAUGAAGAAAUUUAUUAAUGUUAUCCAUGGUAGUUAUUUAAUUAAACCAAAAAAAUAUCACAUAAGAGUUUAUCUUAACCUUUCGCAAAAGAAAUUUUUCUUUUACCGUUUGUAUUACGCUUUUGAAUUAUACUUCUAGGUAGCUCGAUAAGUGAUCCCAGUAUUAAGUCAUCUUUUCAAAAUAAAGACCUUUUAAAACUACACGUCGAACUUGAACCACAGGUCUAGCAAAUUAUUUGCUAGUUACCUAUCAAAUAUGGCUAUUGUUGUUAAUACUGAAUACUUAAAAUUAUAUUUUUGUAAAACAAAAUAUGAAGGUAUAGUGCAUUAUUUAUUUAUUUGCUCGUUAGCAUGAUAACAACCUCUUAUUUACCACAUAUUUAAUUUAUUAUUGAGUUGAAUAUUUAUAUUGUUAAUUUAAGACUUUUUAACUAUCAAUUUGAGUCAGACCUCUUAUAAAAUAAUAUAAACUUCACCAAAAUAUUGUGAUGAAGUCUUGGAUAAUGGAUCCUUAUCCCCUAAUUUUCCAAUUGUGGUGUGGUUGUUCACUCACAUUUUUUGUUGACCAAGUACUUUGAUUUUUAUUAGGUGGUUCACUUUAUUGAUCCACUUUAAAAUAUUCUUCACUUAAUUUAUUAGCUCACUGUAUACGUAAACGAAAACUUAAAUACAAAUAAAGUAUUACAAGAAAAUUAAAUAAAACACUCCAAAAUUUUUGAUUUCGAGAAUUUUACAUUUACCGUUAUAUCCUAUUUGUGCUACGAAUCCAUUAUUAGUUUAAACAAAAAUCAGUGAAUCGGAUCUCAAAAUCUGUGGACAGAUUGGUUGUUGGUGGGUUAGCAAAUCCUUGGAUGGCCAAGAAAAAAGAGUAGAACUUAGAAAAAUCAAACAACCUUUGGUGGGGCUUGAUUUCAACAAUAUUAGGCUCACCUACCUCCUCUAAUCCAAACCCAAAAACGAAAAAUAAAACUGUGGUUGGUGGUGAAAGCAAGACCUACCCAAGUAGUGAUUAUCCCCUCUUCAACAACUCCAAACUAAUCAAUAAUUGCUUAUCAAUAAUAAUCAAUCAACUAACCUAGUAGCUAAAAGGCUCUGUCCCGUGGUUAAACACAUGAUCAGAAGUUAGCACAAGUAUACCUAUGUAUUUUCGACUAUCAUUCCUUUGUUAAAAUAUUACAGUGGUUGAUCAGAAUCAUUUAUUGACAUGUGGAUUUUCACUUCGGGCCUCUUAUAAAAUCGAGAUGUUUUAUUUGGAAACAGACCAACAUGAUUUAUUAAUGAGCGACCAUGACUAUAAACGCAAGUAACAAAUGAUUAUCGGUCAUGAAUUACGAUGAUAAAUAAAACGUUCUCAUGUGGGUACUAAAAUGGGAGGUCCCAGUGAAGAAAAAAACCAAUCAAUCAAGCAAGAGCCAUAGAAUACUCGGUAACAUGGGAAAUCAGGCAUAUGUCGGAUCUAAGAACCAGAACUUGAUGAUCAUACGUUGGAUUUAGGUGCCAACCUUCUUAAUGAGAUUCCUACCUACGACAAAGCGCAUUUUUUUGCAGUGAUGGAUCCCCACCGGAGUCUACGUAGAUACUUCGAUGGUUGAUAAAAUAAUGACAGCGAUUCAUUUCGUUAUGGGAGAGCGAAAAGAGAAGCGAGGAUGGUGUCGGCGGUGGAUUUAGCGAGUUUCUUUUUCAGGUUACGAUUUAAUUUUUGUUCGAGUUUAGAUUUCCGAUAUUAUAUACUAUUUUUAUUUUUUCAAAUGAAUUACGCAUAUAUUUAUGGCUUAGUAUAUUUUGAAUUUUCGAGAAAUGCUUAUUGCUCAUAUUAUUAAUAUUGCUCCAUCUCAAAACAGAUAUUGUUUAGUACAAACUUUAAAUCAUUAGGAGACGACUCCCCUAAAACGGUGGACGCUUAACCCCUAAGAACGGUGAGCAAGCUCGCCAUAUGAGCCUCCUCUUUGCAAUUUCUCCUAACUCAACACACCACCACGGAAAACGGUAAACUAUUAAGAAUAUGCCGACACUCACAAAUGGUGGCACCAAACUUGGAACAAUCCGGCUUCGAACAUGUUGCUGCUUUUGCCACGAUUUGGUUGUCCGACGCGAAAUAUUACGUGGUCGUACCCCAUGCCCUGCAACCACUCCAUCGUUGUAAGCAUAGCUACUCCUUCACUUCCAUUUUAAAUUAUAUGCAUAUUAAUUCAGUAUAUUAAACCAUUUUAGAUUUGUUGUUAGAUUAAGGAAAAAAGAACCCCACUUGAGUAUCUUUCCCCCUACCAACCCCAGGGCAAUUCAGAGGAACUAAUAAUGGGGGUUGGUCGGUAUGUUUAAUUUCAUAGGAAAAACAACAAAUUAAAUUGAACAUGCGAAUGCACCACCAUAAGUACACUAGUACAGUAGCACAUAAGUAUUUAAUGAAGCGAUGUUAUACACACCGAAUGACAUUGCUUGUCCAAACCUAACUUAUUAAUCAACUGAUAAUUACCUCUUUAAAUAUAAGAAAAAAACUCGAUAUCUCGCAUUCUCUUUAUCAACUUCAUAGAACAUACGUAAGUGAUAUAUGAUGCUACGUGAUUUGCGUCCCUCGCUCUACCUAAUUAGCCAACCAUAUACAUCAGAAUUCGUGGUAAACCUGUAAUUAAACCUGUAAUACUCUCAGCUAUGUCUUUACCUUUGCUAACAAGUAAAGUGUAAACAUAAAAAAAAAUGUACAUAGAAGACAAAUAGACGUAUGAAGGGAACAUGAUGAUUAUAUGGAUGAAUUGUUCAACACAUUCGGUGUUAGGUAAUGGAUAAGAACACUAGUACAUAAAGAAAGACUCAAUUCAUGGAUAAAGAAGCAGUCCACUUCUAUAUUGUUUGCUAUUUACAUCAAAUUUGAAGGAUUUGCUCAGAUUUCAUGUUAGUAUAACUGGUGAAUCGUGUUAAGUUGAAACACAUUUGAUUUUACCGAUAUGGUACUUAUAUCGUUAUCCCAACAAUAUCUUCAAUGUCCUUUUGAAAAACUACCUUCGAAAAACAUAGUUAGAAUCUCCUACUUGUCUAGCUUAUGCAACGGAUCUAAGAGAGUCUUUCCCAAGACUCGACCUAGCCCAUUUCCGAGUCUAGAGUUAUUUCAGAUUUUAUAUAAUUCGAGCUAAUACACUCAAUUGUUUUGGAUCCGUCGCAAUCCGAUGUCUGCUACUGUUAUUUAGAAUCACUCCCCACUCGCAGGCACUUUGAUUGGACCAUUAUUAUUGGAACUUACUUACCACCUUCUCGUGGUUGUGCCGGCGACUAAUAACAAAGCUCUCACCAAACACUUGAUUAGUACAUGUAUAAAACCAAACCCUAAAAUAUCAACGCAACACGACACCAAACCCAAAAGCAAAAUUCUCACCAACCCCCAUCCAUCAUCUCCAGCCAUCCACUUCCUCCCUCUCAUUGGUUCUUAUUUCAACCCCAAUCCAUAUAUAAUUUUAUAAUGGCAAGGCCGUCGUGGGUUGGUGGAGUCACGAAUAUACACAGAUUUUAAGUUCGAAUUCUAACUUUCGACCACAUAAAAAGGCAAAUAAUUAAUUUAGGAUAUGAUAUAAUGGUAAUAAAACUUUCAAAAAGAAAUUAGCUAUAAAAGAUGGCAGGAAUGUGUGUGUUUUUUUCUUUUACUUCCACGUGUCGUCAAACCCAGCCGUCCAAUAUCACCAUGAUCCAACGACUGUGAUCACUUCUCAACUAACCCAUAGCCCCACCAACACCCAACCUUCACCCCCCCCUUUAUUUAAAUCUCCAAAAUUUGGUUCAACAAACCUCAGGAAUCAUUUCUGGGUUACCUACAGAAAAGUUUCCUUUGCAAAGCCUUAAAAUUACUCAAUUGCCCCAUUUCGAAACCAUAAACAAAAAAACAAAAACAAAAGACAAUGGAGCUCUGCAGCAACGAGAACAACAACAAUGGUGGUGGGUUUUCCCUCGCUGACCCGUUGAACUGGGGAAUGGCGGCAGAGUCGAUGAAAGGGAGCCACUUGGAGGAGGUGAAGCGUAUGGUUGAAGAGUCGAGAUCCCCUGUCGUCAAGCUUGCCGGGCAGACUCUGUCCAUUGCCCAAGUCGUCGCAAUUUCCCGCUCCGACGCCUCGGCUGAGCUCGACGAGGAGGCCCGGCCAAGGGUGAAGGCCAGCAGCGACUGGGUGAUGGAGAGCAUGAACAAAGGCACGGACAGUUACGGUGUCACGACCGGGUUCGGAGCUACGUCUCAUCGUAGGACUAAGCAGGGUGGAGCCCUUCAGAGGGAGCUCAUCAGGUACCAAUUUCAAAAAAUUUCACAUAAGAUUUUGUUUCUCCUUACGAGGAUCUUAAACGGCAGUCUAAGUUGGUCCAUCCAUAAUUCCGCUAAUUGUUUACGAUAUAGUUCAACUUAAUGGUGUGUUCAUGAUUUAGUGUCUAGAUUAAUUAGGUGAAGAGUUGGUUUGAAAUUUAGUUGCUCGUUAACCAGAAUCAAUAUUUUUGUUUGUUUCUAUGAAACUUAGGUUUCUAAAUUUAAUUCGAGCAUAUUCUUUUGCAGUAUGGAAAUAAAAUUAUUAUUUAUUCGAAUUAAUGGGUUUUAUUUUAUUUCAUUUAAAAUUUGUUAUUCACGUAAAAUUAUUUUUUAAAACUUCCUGAGAAAAUGUUAUGUAAUAGUUAGCCUUCAAUGGGGAAACAUCAAUUUGAUUAAUUUGAUGAAAAACAUAGCUAGUGAUUUGAAGUAUAUGAUCGAGUUUGUGACACAUCCGGUCCAGUUCACUCUGCAUCAAGUGAUUAGACCCAUCUCCUAGAUCUUGUGCAUAUAUGACACUCUCUUGUGUUACAUUAUUUUGACAAAUUUAUCUUGUUAAAAAAAUUAAUAGAUUAUAUUGAAUUAUUAAGCACUAUAUAUAAUUUUUUUAAUUGAAUAUGAAAAUGUCAGUAUAAAUUUGACCGAUUACUGACAACGAUUUUUGUUGUUAAUAUCUGCUACAACUUUAAGCGAAAGUAUAUAAAAAGUGAAGUGAAGUNNNNNNNNNNNNNNNNNNNNNNNNNNNNNNNNNNNNNNNNNNNNNNNNNNNNNNNNNNNNNNNNNNNNNNNNNNNNNNNNNNNNNNNNNNNNNNNNNNNNNNNNNNNNNNNNNNNNNNNNNNNNNNNNNNNNNNNNNNNNNNNNNNNNNNNNNNNNNNNNNNNNNNNNNNNNNNNNNNNNNNNNNNNNNNNNNNNNNNNNNNNNNNNNNNNNNNNNNNNNNNNNNNNNNNNNNNNNNNNNNNNNNNNNNNNNNNNNNNNNNNNNNNNNNNNNNNNNNNNNNNNNNNNNNNNNNNNNNNNNNNNNNNNNNNNNNNNNNNNNNNNNNNNNNNNNNNNNNNNNNNNNNNNNNNNNNNNNNNNNNNNNNNNNNNNNNNNNNNNNNNNNNNNNNNNNNNNNNNNNNNNNNNNNNNNNNNNNNNNNNNNNNNNNNNNNNNNNNNNNNNNNNNNNNNNNNNNNNNNNNNNNNNNNNNNNNNNNNNNNNNNNNNNNNNNNNNNNNNNNNNNNNNNNNNNNNNNNNNNNNNNNNNNNNNNNNNNNNNNNNNNNNNNNNNNNNNNNNNNNNNNNNNNNNNNNNNNNNNNNNNNNNNNNNNNNNNNNNNNNNNNNNNNNNNNNNNNNNNNNNNNNNNNNNNNNNNNNNNNNNNNNNNNNNNNNNNNNNNNNNNNNNNNNNNNNNNNNNNNNNNNNNNNNNNNNNNNNNNNNNNNNNNNNNNNNNNNNNNNNNNNNNNNNNNNNNNNNNNNNNNNNNNNNNNNNNNNNNNNNNNNNNNNNNNNNNNNNNNNNNNNNNNNNNNNNNNNNNNNNNNNNNNNNNNNNNNNNNNNNNNNNNNNNNNNNNNNNNNNNNNNNNNNNNNNNNNNNNNNNNNNNNNNNNNNNNNNNNNNNNNNNNNNNNNNNNNNNNNNNNNNNNNNNNNNNNNNNNNNNNNNNNNNNNNNNNNNNNNNNNNNNNNNNNNNNNNNNNNNNNNNNNNNNNNNNNNNNNNNNNNNNNNNNNNNNNNNNNNNNNNNNNNNNNNNNNNNNNNNNNNNNNNNNNNNNNNNNNNNNNNNNNNNNNNNNNNNNNNNNNNNNNNNNNNNNNNNNNNNNNNNNNNNNNNNNNNNNNNNNNNNNNNNNNNNNNNNNNNNNNNNNNNNNNNNNNNNNNNNNNNNNNNNNNNNNNNNNNNNNNNNNNNNNNNNNNNNNNNNNNNNNNNNNNNNNNNNNNNNNNNNNNNNNNNNNNNNNNNNNNNNNNNNNNNNNNNNNNNNNNNNNNNNNNNNNNNNNNNNNNNNNNNNNNNNNNNNNNNNNNNNNNNNNNNNNNNNNNNNNNNNNNNNNNNNNNNNNNNNNNNNNNNNNNNNNNNNNNNNNNNNNNNNNNNNNNNNNNNNNNNNNNNNNNNNNNNNNNNNNNNNNNNNNNNNNNNNNNNNNNNNNNNNNNNNNNNNNNNNNNNNNNNNNNNNNUUAAGGCUGAGGUGACUUUGAAGAUUAUGAAUAAGUUGGUGAACACUUAUUCCUCAUGAUGAAUACGACAAGUUUCCAACUAACUAGUUAAACAGUUGUUGAAACAAAGUAGAUACAUCGUUAGACAAUGGUUGAAACGUGCUUAGAUUCCUCGUCGAAUUGUGUACUAAUCGUAGUAGAUCUUUUGAUACGCACCAGGUUCUUGAACGCUGGAAUAUUCGGCAACGGUACAGAGUCAAACCACACGCUGCCAUACUCCGCGACCAGGGCAGCCAUGCUGGUCAGGAUCAACACCUUGCUCCAGGGCUAUUCAGGAAUCCGUUUCGAAAUUCUCGAGGCCAUCACCAAGCUCCUCAACAACAAUGUCACCCCUUGUCUACCUCUCAGGGGCACCAUCACCGCCUCUGGUGACUUGGUCCCUCUAUCCUACAUUGCAGGCCUGUUAACCGGCCGGCCCAACUCUAAAGCUGUCGGCCCCAAGGGCGAGUCCCUCGACGCAACACAAGCCUUCCAGGCCGCUGGGAUCACCGGUGGAUUCUUCGAGUUGCAGCCAAAGGAAGGUCUGGCGAUGGUGAACGGUACUGCAGUCGGUUCAGGAAUGGCCUCGAUGGUCCUUUUCGACGCCAACAUUUUGGCGGUCAUGUCCGAGGUUCUCUCAGCGAUUUUCGCUGAAGUUAUGCAAGGUAAACCCGAGUUCACAGACCACUUGACGCAUAAGCUGAAGCAUCACCCUGGCCAGAUCGAAGCUGCAGCGAUCAUGGAACAUAUCCUGAAGGGCAGCUCUUACGUCAAGGAAGCUGAGAAAUUGCACGAAAUCGAUCCGUUACAGAAGCCGAAACAGGACAGAUAUGCUCUCAGGACGUCUCCUCAAUGGCUCGGCCCGUUGAUCGAAGUGAUCAGGUCGUCGACGAAAAUGAUCGAAAGGGAGAUUAAUUCGGUCAAUGACAAUCCAUUGAUCGACGUCUCGAGAGGGAAGGCGAUCCACGGAGGGAACUUCCAGGGAACCCCGAUCGGUGUCUCGAUGGACAACACUCGUUUGGCCGUUGCUUCGAUUGGGAAGCUCAUGUUUGCACAGUUCUCCGAGCUUGUCAACGACUUCUACAACAACGGUCUGCCAUCCAACUUAACCGGUGGACGAAACCCCAGCUUGGACUAUGGGUUCAAGGGGGCUGAAAUCGCGAUGGCAUCCUACUGCUCCGAGCUUCAGUUCCUGGCAAAUCCAGUUACAAACCAUGUACAGAGCGCUGAACAACACAACCAGGAUGUCAACUCAUUGGGCCUGAUUUCGGCUAGGAAGACUGCCGAAGCUGUGGAGAUACUAAAGCUGAUGUCGACAACUUACUUGGUCGCUCUAUGCCAAGCAGUCGAUUUAAGGUAUAUCGAGGAGAAUCUGAAGCAGACAGUUAAGAACACGAUCAGCCAAGUUGCGAAGAAAGUACUCCUGACCAACGGGGAGCUGCUCCACCCGUCGAGAUUCUGCGAGAAGGAGCUCUUGAAUGUUGCAGAGAGGGAGUACUUGUUUGCAUACGCAGACGAUCCUUGCAGCGCAACCUACCCUCUGAUGCAGAAGCUGAGAGGGGUGCUGGUGGAGCACGCGUUGCUGAACGGUGAGAGCGAGAAAGACUCGAGCACUUCCAUCUUCCAUAAGAUUGCGGUGUUCGAGGAGGAGCUGAAGGCUAUCCUGCCGAAAGAAGUUGAGAAUGCAAGGAGCGAGCUGGAGAAAGGGAAUCCGGCUAUCCCGAACAGGAUCAAGGAAUGCAGGUCGUAUCCGUUGUACAAGUUUGUGAGGGAGGAAGUUGGUACCAGUUUGCUUACGGGUGAGAAGGUUAAGUCACCAGGUGAGGAAUUUGACAAGGUGUUCACUGCUAUGUGUGAAGGGAAGCUCAUUGACCCUUUGUUGGAGUGCCUCAAAGAAUGGAAUGGUGCUCCUCUUCCCAUCUGCUAGAAGAACAAAUAUAAGCAUGAAUUACCCCGAUGUAAUCUUUUUGUAUUUUCCUGCAAACAAACUAUUAUUAUCUGAUGUAAAAGUGAACUGCUUUUUGGUUGUUAUUUCCUUUCUUUACCCAUUAAUGUGUAAACUAUCAGUGUAUCUUCUCUAAUUUUUGUUGGGAAUCCUUUUCUGUGUACUGGUUUCAAGACAAACGGAUGAAAUCUGUAUACGAAAGGAAAUAAUUAAGUCUUCUUGUUGCUUGAAAUUGGGGAUAAGUCAGAUUGAGGUUUCUGAGCGUACCGUAGAUUGAUGAACUGGAGCUCAGAAUUGUAGCUGGAAAAAAUGAAGUAACCAGCUCUGAUUCUGAGCGGAGGCCUUGAAUCUUCUGAAUACUUUUUAGAGCGGUUAAUUGAAAUCUGAGCGCAAUCGGAGAACAGAGAAGGGAUGAACCCUAAUUCCCAAUUUUAAUUAUUAAUCAAACGUGGGUAUUACCGUAUCAGUGCAACGAAGAGAAAACGACACCGGAUACGUUGUCGGUAUCAGGAAAGUUGCCGCCGACAAUAUUUUGUGAGGUCAAAAGCAUAACCAGCCAUCCAAAUUUGGAGUAGGUAAUAUUUCGGUCAUUCAAAUUGUUUGUAACCGAACCCAUAACUCAAGCUAACAGAUUUAACAAACUAACCGUUUUUGACCGCCAACUCAAAUAGUUUCCAGAUCUUUAAUUAACCGACUCAACCAUCCAUCCAAAUGAAUGGACCGAAACAACCCAAACCACCUCCCACCUCUUUCCCAACCCAAAAUCCACUGUGCCGCCAUCAAAACUACAAGCUCUCUGUUUAUGAUCUCCCUAUGCGUUUGAAAUGUCGAGAUACACUUCGAGCAUAUCUAGAAAUCAAUCUAUCACACCGAGAUUCUCUAUAAUUUUUAUAUAUUAUUUCAUCCGAAUCAAUGAAAAAUGAUUAACCGUUUAUUUGGAUAAGUUGGUUCAUGGUGGGAAGGUCUUUGGUUGUUGAGCUUUGACUGCUGCGCCAACCAUAUUUUCGGUUUGAUCCGAGGGUAAGCCAAGCGGGGGUUGGUGAGUAAAGCGACAAAUAAUGACCCGAAACUAACCACACCAAACUCCAAACUUUUAUUUCCCACACUAACCCCAUCACCACAAGGUCGGUAGCUCUGGAGGUACCUUCUGUUUUCCCUAUGUACAAAUUCAGCACUCUUCCUUCAAAAAGUAAUCCCCGGAUACCAUUUUUUUUUCAAAAUGAAAAUUUCACUUAUCGUUGUUGUUAAUUCGACCGCAUACAUGAUUCUUUUCAUGUCACUUAAACUUGAAUUUAUAUUUUUAAUAUCUGAGUUUUAAAUAAUUUUCUCAAAAAUUUAAAUAUAAUAAAAAGGAAUCAAAUAAUCAUCAUUUUUCCUUUUACAAUUUUCCUAAAUCACUUUUUAAUUUCGUAAUCCUUCAUACUACUUCAAUUUCAACAAAUCUUUAUUGUUUGAAGACUUCAAAAGAAAAUUAUUGUACACCUAACUCUCACAUUUUUUACAUUAGACAUUCUAUAAUCUAACAACUCUUUUUUUCUCUUCUCGCUCUUUAACAAUUUAAUUACAAGACAAUAUUCAAAAUGUCCACCAAAACUCUAAUAAUAUAGAAAGGGCCACGUAGGUGAACUAACCGUACUCGAUGACAUGUGGUGACGAGAUAAGAGAAAAAAUAGAUGUAUUUUAAUGUUGAAAAAUAGAUGUAUAUCAGAUACCAAAAUUGCUUUUCUAAAAAAGAGUGUACUGAUUUGGCCAUGGGAUAAAUGUUAGGUACCCAACACCACCGCCAGUCCGCCACCCACCAACCAAAGGAUAAAAAUGGAAAAGAAAAUAGGCGCAAAUUAGUAAUUUAGCCUUUUAAUUAAGGAAAUAUGAGGACUUCCACGUAAAUUAAUAAAAUACCUAAUUACCUACUGCUACCACUGAGUCGCUAAGCCUAUAUAAUUCUUAACCAACCCUCCCCUGUUUUCCGCUUCCUCACUUGCUUCCACACUCUGCUGCAGCUCCCUGUUCUUCAUCAGCUCCAUCGCAUUUGGAUCUCAUCAACACUCUAGAUCUAGAAAAUGGCGUCCGAAGGUAUCUUGCUGGGCAUGGGAAACCCACUCCUCGACAUCUCUGCUGUUGUCGACGACGCCUUCUUGUCCAAGUAUGUCAUCCUAAUCGAUAUCUGAUCUUAUCUCUCUUUCACACUUACCGUUGAUCAUUAUGUUGAGAAAUCAGAUCUGGGAAAUGGGUCCUAAUCAUAAUUGAUAUAUUGUAGUAUUGUUCGUUUUCUGGUGCUGGAUCUACGUUCCUUUCUUAUUUAGAGGGAUUCGAUCUCAUCUUUGUGUCCCUUAAGUUGAUUUAUAACUGGUGGGUGUGAAUUGACGGAUCUACGUUCUCUUCUGAUUGGGGAUUUGGACUUUCCUAUUUCGAAUCUGGGGAAUGAUCAGCUUUCACUGUCCGUCUAGUUGCGGAAAUUUUAUUUUGAUGUUGAGUUUUAUUUUUAUUUUUGAGUAAACUAAAAUGGGGCAACUUAGUUAGAUUGAACUGAUGCUUUCACUGUUUGAUCUUGAGCUAACGCUGAGCUGAUUCAUUUCAUAGGUAUGGCGUCACGUUGAACAAUGCUAUUCUUGCCGAGGACAAGCAUUUGCCCAUGUAAGUUUCGUAUUUCUGUGUUGAAGACUAUCCUUUUUUUAACCUUUGUUCAAUGCUGAACUGAUUCAGCUUGUAAAGUUAUAUGACUUGAUUUACGCUUGGAUUUUGAAGGUAUGAUGAAAUGUCCAGCAAAUACUCUGUCGAGUACAUCGCUGGAGGUAACAUUGAGAUCCCGCAAGUUCUUUCAUGAUUAAGCCACUUGUUCUUUGGAAAAAUUUCUGCAUAUUAAUCCUUUUAUUCGCUCAUUGUAAUUAUAGGUGCCACUCAGAACUCCAUCAGAGUUGCUCAGGUAUGAUGAAUGUCACAUGGCAGUUUUUUAUGUCUUCCAGGAGUCCACCUAUGUUUGUACUGUUGCUGAUUUUCUUUCCACGAUUUUCUGUAUAUUUUGCAGUGGAUGCUCCAAAAACCUGGUGCAACUAGCUACAUGGGUUGCAUUGGGAAAGACAAGUAUGGUGAGGAGAUGAAGAAAAAUGCCACGGACGCUGGCUUGAAUGUAUGUAACGCUUAAUCUCCAGUUUACUCUCUGGUUGGUUUCUCUUCAUCUCACCGUUGAAAUCAUUUUUCAUUUGCCAUGAUAAGGUCCAUUAUUAUGAAGAUGAAGCUGCCCCUACCGGGACAUGUGCUGUCUGUGUUGUUGGUGGUGAGAGGUUAGUGGGUUUCAAUCUUAAGACUGUCUAAUAUGUAACUUGCUUUUCAAAUGCAUUGGUGAAUGUUUGUACUCCUUUGCCUAUAAUGUUGCAAAAUUUAUUACUCUUAGUUUAUUGGCAUUAAAGAGGAUACCGCCUUUUGUUUCAUCUGAUUCCGACUGUUUCAAAACAAGAAUCAACUUUGAUAUCAUUGACUGAUGGUCUUCUGAUUAAUUUAAUCGAUACAUCCAAGUGAUCUGGAGAGUGAUAACUCAUGGUGCAUAUUAUUUUCCUUGCAGACAUCAUCGGGUUUUUUUUUGUUUUUUCUUAGAUUUCUUUCAGGCAAUUGCUUUUGUCUAUGUGUUGUCGUCAGUUAUUCGAUUUGGCUGUAAGUAUGUCUAUUAUAUAUAAAGUAGAACAAUGAACUCCUUGUUAAUACUCCCACAGGUCACUUAUUGCAAAUUUGUCCGCUGCAAACUGUUACAAAAUUGACCAUUUGAAGCAAGCUGAGAACUGGGCUCUAGGUAUGACUUGCACUUCAGACCUUUAAAGUUCUACUUCGUUCUUGAAUGCAUUGUCGUAUCCCUUAUCAUGUUUGAUUUUUUAUUUUGGUUGUAGUUGAGAAGGCCAAAUACUACUACAUCGCUGGAUUUUUCUUGACCGUAUCUCCUGAAUCUAUCCUUCUCGUCGCUGAGCAUGCAGCUGCCAAGAACAAGGUAUGCAUUAUCAGGCUGUACGUUGUAGGUAUUGCUUUUGAUGUUCAUAAUCUAACUAAGUCUAUUGCUGUUCAAAGAUCUUCUCGACCAACCUUUCUGCUCCAUUUAUCUGCGAGUUCUUCAAGGAUGCCCAAAUGAAAGUUCUACCGUAAGUAAUGCGUGUUCAUAGCAUCAAGUUCUUUUCAUGCUCUAGCUUAGGCUCUGACAUGCACUUGUUCUGUAGCUAUGCUGACUACGUGUUUGGCAAUGAGACUGAAGCUAGAACCUUCUCUAAGGUCCAUGGAUGGGAGGUAAUUGCUUCUCGACAUCUUUGUCUGUUUUAACUGGGCAACAAAUUCGAAACCUUUGUGAACACUAAUUUGUUCUUUUUUCUUCUCAGACUGAGAAUGUAGAGGAGAUUGCUGUUAAGAUCUCCGAGUUGCCCAAGGCUUCAGAUGCACGCAAGAGGAUUACUGUUAUCACCCAGGGAGCUGACCCAGUUGUCGUUGCAGAAAACGGGAAGGUGAAGAAUUUCCCAGUCACCUUGUUGCCCAAGGAAAAGAUCGUGGACACCAAUGGAGCUGGUAAGAACCCUUUCAAAUACAACUUUCUGGUUCAUUGAGUAUCUGUGUAGACCUUAUAACACUAUUGCCUUAUCGGUAUCCAGGGGACGCCUUUGUCGGAGGGUUCUUGUCACAGCUGGUGCAGGAGAAGCCAAUUGAAGACUGUGUUAGAGCCGGAAUCUAUGCGGCCAAUGUGAUCAUCCAGAGGUCAGGAUGCACAUACCCAGCGAAGCCAGAGUUUAACUAGAUCCAGAUAAUCAAUGGAAGGCCUCCCCACAAGCACAGCAAUUAUAGUAGUAAUGAAUUUUAUGUCGAGUUCUCUACUCUGCUGAAGCAUUGAUCUGAUUGUUGCGGCUUUUUUUAUUAUAUUAUUGAAAAACUCCUGGAACCUUAGAGGUUUAUGUUUCGUACGCUGUGCCAUUGAUAAAUUGGAGUUAGCUUGGUAUUACAGUUUGUGCUUAGCUGGGGAGGUCUGAGAUGGUUUAAGAUAUGCGAUGGGCAAAAUAAGAUGGAAGUGUUUUGGGUUAGUCAACAAAAUAGAGUUGUUUCGGCCGGAUUGAGUUUUACCCAGUUUGAGCUCGGCUCAUUUGCAAGUUUCAAUGCACUCGAGCUUGAGCCGUUCACAAGGCUAACCAGCUCGAACUUGAGCUUUACUCAUUCCGAAGAAUAGUCGAAUAAAGGCAUCACAUAUUCAUACUAUUCUUAAACUGACAGGACUAUUAAAUUCAUACUAUUCUUAAACUGACAGGACCACUAAAAUCUUAUCAAGUAAUUAGUUGUUGAGAAAUAUUCAAUCAUCAUCAAAUUCUUGGUUUUCUUAGAUGGAUCCCGAGCCUAUUCGUGAGUUCAUGUGGAGCUAGUAAUCGAAUCAUUCGUGAGUUUUCAACUCCCCCAGCUUGCCAGCUACAUGAAUCGAGUUAUAAGCGAGCUGGUUACAAAUUUAUUUCGAAAGAUAGACAAGGCAAGCGGGAUUUGCUCAUAUAAUCAUGUUUAGCUUGUUUAUUAUUGAGCAAGCUUGUUUCAAUCGAACCAAACUUGCACACCGAAGUGCUCUGGCUUCGCCAACAGCCCUAGUCAAGAAUAUAAGGUGUUUUCGAAUUUCGAUAUCCUAGUCGCAUCAGUACCAUAUUGCCAUAUUACCCCUCCAAGCAGUGUGAUAUUCAUAUUACCCAUCCAGCUGCCAUGUGUCAAUCCAUAGUCCGACCACCCCUGCAAAAAGCUCCCACCGACUUCCUCGACAUUGUUGCAAAAUAUCAGACCCCCCUCCACUACUUAUCCCACCAUCCAAGAUUUGCUGAUAACAACAUCCAUCCUCCCCCAUUUUCUCCAAAAGCCAACAACUUUCGAAUCCAUUUCUUCUUCGAGAAACCCCUGCAAUCUUUCACUUCACUGUAUCACCAAUGGCCGCCGCAGCACCGCCGCCGCCACCGUCCCCGACUCCCAACCCACCAACGGGCUUACCGAACUCCGAAAGCAACACCCCAGUCGGCUACCCACUCUUCUCCCGCAUCCGCCUCGCCACCCCAACCGACGUCCCCCACAUCCACAAGAUGAUCCACCAAAUGGCCGUCUUCGAGAAGCUCACCCAUCUCUUCUCCGCCACCGAAUCAAACCUCUCCUCCUCCCUCUUCACCUCCCCUCCUUUCCAAUCCUUCACUGUCUUCCUCUUAGAAAUAUCCCGCUCCCCUUUCCCCAACGCCCCGACUCCUUCCUCUGCUUCCACCACCCACCGCAUCGUCAACCUCGACCUCCCCGUCAUCGACCUGGAGGCGGAGACGUUCAAGACCGGCGAUGAUGUUGUGAUUGCUGGAUUCGUGUUGUUCUUCCCCAAUUACUCCAGCUUCUUGGCGAAGCCCGGGUUUUAUAUUGAAGAUCUGUUCGUGAGGGAGUGUUACAGGAGGAAAGGGUUUGGAAAGAUGCUGCUUUCGGCUGUGGCGAAUCAGGCUGUGAAGAUGGGGUAUGGGAGGGUUGAGUGGGUUGUGCUUGAUUGGAAUGUGAAUGCCAUCAAUUUUUAUGAAGGGAUGGGUGCGAAAGUGUUGCCUGAGUGGCGCAUUUGUAGGCUGACUGGCUCUGAACUUGAAGCCUAUGGCGAUUCUGCUGCUCUGUAGAAGGCUUCUGUUUAGUUAGUGCUGAGUGGUUCUUUCCUUCUAGUGAUCUUCGAUCGCCUUGUAAGAGUUUUUAUGCAAACUAUGUGCUGCUAAUUAUUGAAAUGAAACUUUCUGAUGCUUUCGAGUUCUUAUUCUCUGUAUUUUGGAUGCUUUAUGAAGUUCAGUUCUGCUCCAUUUUAACAUAUUUUCAAAUGGAGUGAAUGAUUGAGCUGUCAUUAGUUGGUUUUUCAAAUUCCUCUUUCACUUGUUAUUUAUUUGACAAUGUACCAGGGGAAACACGUUACAAAACCUGUUAUUUAGUUAUGAAGUUAACAGUUCUGCUGCAUAUUUAGCUAAUUUUUGCAAAUGGAGUGAAUGAUUGAGCUUUCAUUCGUUUGGUACUUCAAUUUAUUCUUUCACCUGUUAUUUAUGUGACAAUGUACCAGGGAAAACAAGUAACAAGUUAUAAAAACCUGUUAUUUAGUUGGAUACAUACUAAUAAUGAUAAGCUGGUAUUCUGAUGUCUGUAUAUCAGAGUUCUUUUGUUAGGUCCCACUAGUAUGGAGCUGUGGUCAAUGGCCUUAUUGGGUUUCUAGUGAACCCGAAGAGAAGGUACAUAAAACAGUAGACGUCAGCUCUCUUUUACUGUGGUAAAGGAGGCUGCAAGUGGUUGCCUGUACAAAGAUCAUGAUGUUUGUCUGUGACUGAGGUUCUAGCAAAUGAUAUGAUCAGACAUGGUUCUUAAUGGCCUUACUGUAUCCACUCUGUUCAUCAUAGUACUUUGACCACAACAUAACACCGCCAUACUUGUUAGAUUCCUUGAUUUUAGGCAAUACCUUGUUGAUCAGAUCAUGAGCAGGGAUAAAACCACUGCCUGCUGCACCUUCUGCGGCAGGGAGCCCCAAGAACACCUUUUUAGUGGGAAUGGACUCAGUCCAUUGAUGCCAAGCAUCUACGAGUCCCUCGAUGCUCCCAUCAGAGUAUUGGCAAGGAGGGUUGUUGUAGAAUUGCACCCAAAGGUAGUCAAAAAGGCCCGUGGUGAGUGCGCUUCCAACCCAUGCAUCCGGGAAUAUACAUUGUGGUGCUGCAGUUACAUAUACUUUCUUUUGACCAUUUUCGUGAUGUUUCAGGAACCUCGCGAGAUCGCUCCAGUGGUCGGUACUCCCUCCUUCAAUGUCAAAAUCAAUCCCGUCGAGAACUGCCUCGCCGAGUGGCCUUGAUGAGGAAUGCCCGCCUAAAAAAUUGUCCCACAGGUAAGUUGCAACUUUUCUUGCAUCGUCUGUACUUGUAAGAUAGUAACUGCCAACUCCACCUCCAAUGGAGAGCAAGACCUUGACACCUUUCUCUUGACACGACUUUAUCUCGGAGCUUAGUCCUUCACAGCCUCCAGAUGUCGGAUUGCAAUGCCCGGCGAGGUUGAUCGUUGGUGUUUGGCUGUUGCCAAAUGUUGGCAGGAAAGCUAUUAUCACAUAUCUGUAGUCUCCAGUUGCACAGGUCUCUCCCAGGCUCGCUUCGUUUCCGUUUUGUCCCCAGUAGAUCGCUAUGCUUCCAGCUUCUGAACUCUUGAGCAUUGACAGCAAGAGCCACAGUACUGAGAUUGCUGCUCUGGAAAAAGCUAACAUCUUGCUCGGAAGAAACGCUCGCUUUCUAUUGUAUGAUUUCUAUCUCUCUCGUUUAUAUGUAUUGCUGCUGAGACAUAUUCCUUUUAUAGUGUAGUAUUUUUACUGCAACUUAUGAGUGGGACAAUUCAAUGAUCAAAGUUGCUUUUCUUUCCUUAUAUAAAACUAUCUUCUCGAGGAUGAAAGGAUGUGGGAACUUGUUUCUUACAUUUUGUCGCAGGUCUAGUUAUUCUGUUGCAUAUGAUGUCCAUAAGGAAUGGUAUAAUCAGAAGAAACACGUGUGUGAAUCAGAGUUGAUCUAACUUCCUUGGUAAAGUCGACCAAUUUGUUCCUUCUGGUUUUAUUUGUGUCCACUUAGAUGAAAAAUCUAAUCUUUGGAGUCUUCCCUUGGAAAGGAGUCUUAAGAGUGUGUUAUUGCCAACUUCUUACGCUUCCUUGGUGAUUAAUUUAUGUCACUGUGUUGAAACCAUACGACUCAAAAGCUGAGAUUUUUUGUCGUUAUAGAUAGUUCUGUUCAUCAGCAAGUCUCUUUUGCAGGUUUUGAUAUGCGGUUUGAUACUUCAUUUGUAAUCUGAUUGGAUAUGGGUAUGAAAAUUAGGCAGACCAAGGGAUCAUAUAACAGUAAAAGAACUUUUUUGUACAUAAGUUGCAUUCAGGCAAGUGCAUUCUCACAAACUAUUCACAUACAAAUAUAGAAAAGGGAGUGCAUAUUUGUGGCCUGAUGCCACAUAAUUUUAGACAGAGUUCUUGAUGGAUUUGCUGUAACCAGUUUCGUCAUCGUAGAACUUCGACCACAGCAUAACACCACCGUACUUGUCACUAUCCUUGAUUGCAGGAAGGAUCUGAGAUUCGAGAUCAGCCGCAGGGAUGAAACCGCUCCCAGCUGCAUCCGGUGCAGCAGGCAACCCGAGGAAGAUCUUCCUAGCCGGAAUUCCAUUCCAUUGCUUCCACGCAUCUUCGAGGUUGCUGGUGCUUCCGGGAGAGUACUGGCAAGGAGGAUUGUUGUAGAACUGAACCCAAACAUAGUCAAAGAGUCCGGUCUGAAGUGCAUUCCCUAUCCAUGCAUCGGGAAACGGGCACUGAGGAGCCGCACUCAGUAAAAUUUUCUCGUUGUGAGAUUUUAGAGACCUGGCUAGAUCGUCCCAGUACAUGUUCGUUCCUCCUUCGAUGUCGAAGUCAAUCCCGUCAAGCACAGCAGGACCGAGUGGCCUCGACGAAGAGUGUCCGCCCAAGAAGUUGUCCCAAAGGUAAGUUGCAACGUUUUCCGCGUCUUGGGUGGAUGCAAGAUCGUAGCCUCCAGCUCCUCCACCGAUCGAAAGCAGCACCUUGAUCCCCUUAGCUUGACACGCCUUGAUGUCGGAGCUCAGACCGGCACAACCGCUGUUAGUUGGAUCACAGUGGCCUGCUAGGUUGAUUUGUGGUGGCUGUCCAUUGCCAAAUGAUGACAGGAAAGCUAUGUUCACGUAGUGAUAGUUCCUUGUGGCGCAAGUUUCAGCUAGGGUGCCUUCUUGCCCGUUCUGUCCCCAGUAGAUUGAUAUUCCGCCAGCUUCGGAACCGGCCAUCAGCCCUGCCAGAAGGAUUGAUGACAAGAGGAUUGACAUUGCCAUGGCUGCCCUGAAUGCCAUUCUAGUCACUUAGUUUUCCUGAGGUUUUUUGCCUUUUGUUUGGGGAUGCUUCUGGGUUGCAAGCUACGUUUCUGUGUUUGUUUAUAGGCAGCAGAGCUUGAAAGAUCCCUUGUGAGUUCAUCUGUUGGAUGAUUCUCAUUACUGCGUGGAGUAGCAGUACCUUUGUUUAGAGAUGAAUGAAUGAAUGGAAUUGAAUCAACGUUGCUGCUGUUGCUGCUAACUAAUAAGAUAAGGGUCAUGCAUGAGCUCAAAGAAUUUCAACGAAAGGGGACAGAUAAAAAUUGAGAUGACAACUUUACUGGUUUUGCAUUAUGAUCUCAAAUACUUUUUAUGUAACAAUUUGGUGAGUGUGAAAUAUAUCUUUCCACAGCUUGGUUUAUCUUUUUUUUUUUCGGACGAAUGGGCAAUAAUCGUCAAUCUUGCAGAAAAGUGUCACAUGGUUUAACAUUAACAAGUUAAAAUGGGAAGUAUAGUCCCACAUGUGGGGCUACAAGGGCCAACAGGAGGAUGAAUCGACUCAUUUUCAAACUUUCCUAACAUGAAAAACCAAAUUACACUAGCGACGACACAAAAACACAAACAACACGACAUUAAGUAACGUAAAUGCAAACACAAGACAGCAGAGUUCAAGCUUCACAUGGAAAAAAGAGUGGGGAGCUGGGUCGCUGCUUUAGUCUGCCGAAUGACCGAUCCUUCGCAGUGGUCAUCACUGCUUAUUCCAGCGGGCAGGCCAUCGAUGGUUGACUUGUAUGUAGGCCAAUUAUUCCUCCAUCAGUGAGCUUCUUCGGUGACUUUGAUGGUUUGGGGUGGACAGCCUCAUUCAUAUCCCAUCAUAUCUGGAUGUUUGCCUUGGCACCGCCUUUCUUAUCGUCCUGGAUUUGCAUCUCCUCCGUUUCUGACCGUGUAACAUCGUCCCCAUAUAUUAGCGGUUUGUGUUGGUCUUCGAUGUUCGCUCCUAUACACACACUGAGAUCCUGGAUGUUCCACAGGAUUGUAGACUUCCAAGCUCCAGGUCCGCUCGAGCUCAAAGCACAACUUGGUUUGGUUUUUGGUUAAUUUGGAUUUGGGUAUGAAUUUAAAUUUUACCGAAAAAGAUAAAGAAAAUCGCUAAUGGCAAAAGGUAAAAAAUCAAGCACCUAAGACUUUUUCAUAUCCGUUCAUUUCAAAAUAUUUGAACGGCCUGCAACAGAUUUAAUUUUAACACUAGGUAGUACGUCCGCGUUGCACUGCGGAAGUAAUAAAACCAUAUCAGCCUGUGCGUGUAAUCACAUUGUAAAACUAAUAGAAUUAAUUAAUGGAGAAAUCAGAAUACCAGAUCAAAUCCUAUAAUAAACAAAAUUUGGAUUCUUUGUAUCACAUCAUUCUCAACUCAAAUUUUUCCAUCCCAGAAAUCUUAGAUGUAUUUUCGAUCCGAAAACUACAAAGGGCGAUAAAAGAAAAGAGAUAUUACUUCUAGGACAAUCUAGACAUAAGGCAUGCUCGCAAGGGAUCUGCAGAAGAGGAACACAGUAGCAGAACCAACCCUGACCAAGGCAUGCCAGAGAAAUUCAAAUGCAUGCAACAAAGUCAUAGAAGACCAACAGUGGAAAAAUUGAAUCCGAUAGCACAUUUUGAAACUUUAAUUAAAGAAUUGGUGAAUAGCUGCAAAACCUAGCACGCUAUAAGAAGAAUUUCAUCACCCAAAGUCGGCUUGUUGUAAGAUAAGAUGUAAAGAAGCACGAAAUCAGGCCAUGAAACCAAGACCCAACAUAUCAAUGAAUAUGGACACAUCUCCAUGCAUGAGUAUAAAAGUAACUCAAAACAUGCUUAAGGUUGCAUCGAUAAAGAACUAAAAGAACUUCCACAAGUAAACAUCCCAACCCUAAGAAAUUUAAAUUCUAAUUUCUACCGUUAAGUAACUCUUUUAGGAUUUGUGUAAUGGUCCUUUUUUUGCUGCUCACCUCUCAAAUGUUGAUAAUGUCUAUAAUUGCAGGAUGAAAUUGUAUCAGAAGCUGCUGCUACUGAUGAACCUGAAGUAAUUGAGGAUGAUCAAUCUCACCAGUCUACCGACGAAUCAUUGUCCCAGCCCCUUCAACCAGAGCUGCAGGUGAGUGACAAUCAACUCUCUUAGCUAAUUAGCAUUCUCCUGCCCACGUUUGACCAUUUCGUUUGUUGUCUGCGAGCUCUUUAGCUUGUUCAGGUCGAUAACCCUGUUAAGGCAAAUGGAAACUCCAGCAGUUCCUUCUCACCAUCAACUGUGCAGUCAACCACUCGCAAGUUGAUUGCGGAACUUUCAACCAUGUAGCAGUCACAACUUACCAUCUGACUCGAAUCCAGGCCAUGGUUCGGACUUGCUUCAACUGAAAAUGAGCAACUUUAUGGCAUGUUCGAUAUGUCACUUGAGUCCCUCUGCCAGACCAAAUCUCUUGAAGAAGUAGACAACAUUGCUCACGAGAUUCUUGUGAUGGCAGCUGAUCGUCCUCGCCAGAAGUCUGUUCUCGAAGACCUUAUCUCGCCCCUGGCAGAGUUUAAGGAGACAACAACUCUCAAAACUUGCCUCGUUAUUGAAACGUCUAAAGGUCAGAUGACCGAGGAUUUGGAGGAGAGGUUGGCUUACAGGAAAGGGCAACUGACAUCUUUGUAGGCAGAGGUAUCUAAACUUGGGGAAGAAGGCUCGAAGCUGGAUGUCGAAAUUCAGCAAUUAACUGCUCGGAGGGCCAAAAUUCUCGAACGCGAGAAUUCUACUAUGGUCGAACUGGAGAAGGCUAACCAAGAGGCUUCCAUGGAACUGGAUGAACUGAAGAAGGAAAAUGACGAGAUGAAUCAAGCAGGCAAAAAGCGGAUGAGUGCCAUGGAGGAACUAGUUCAGGCUAAUGCAAGUUGGAAACUUUUCAAGAAUUUAGGAUGGAAAUAGUAUUAGUAGUAGGUUUAUGUCUUUGAUGGAUCCAUCGUUGAAGUCGUAACUAACUUCUGAACUCUCUUUGAUCAGUGUUUCUGGUAUGAUCUUUUGGAUACAGCAAUAGCAGAAUGGACCAUCUGGGUUAUUUCAUUUGGUCAAUACAUAGGCUAAAAUUCUUCCCGACACUAUAUAUCGCAAACAUCACGAUCUAUGUUUAUUUCUGCUGACAAGCUUCGCACUGAGGCUGAACCCAAAGUUGUAAGCUUUUCCUCUUCGAUCGAGCUCGGACUUAUACAAUACAUCAGGCUUACACUGCAGUUCAAACGUCUCACUAGUUUCCUACCCACAGUUACUGAAACCGAACAGCCGAAGCUGCAAAAUAUGAACAUACUUUUGUUACAUGCUAAGAUGUUCCAAUCCCAACUGAUAGCUCGCUCAUGCAGAAGAGACUACUAAUUAACUUAAACUAAUUGCCUUCACGGAGAUUCCUUUUCAGAUCCUUAUUCUCCUCGUUGAGAUGAUCGAUCCUCGACUGGAGAAUGUUGGCCAUGGCGUUAGCCCUCAUCAGUUCCAGCUUCAGAGUCUCUCUAUCGACCGAGACUUUGUGGACCUCGCUCUGCAGGUCGUUGAUGAGCUUCAUACACCCAGAAGGGACCAGAGACUCGAGGCUAGCCGGACUACUGGAUGUGGGUUUCUUCGGGGAAGGUGUACGUUCCUUAGGCUCCAUCAGAGAGAACUCCAGCAGUGCAGAGAUGGCUGUGGUUGUUGCAGCAGUUGCGGUCAGCAUCGUAUCUGUUGUGGUUGUGGUGGAUGAGCAGAGGUCCUGGGGUGUCCGGGUUGUUGACUUCUCGGAGCCGUUGGAAUCGUAAUCAUGGCCAUGCUUUCUUCUUUUGUAUUGGAUCAGCGGGAAUUGAGCUUCUGUGUUGAGAACACACAUCGGAGCAUCCAGCUCCUCCAUCUCUUCCACGGUUUCAUUCUUGCACAGGGAUAAGAGAUCUCGGGUCACCUUCGGAACUUCGUUCACAUCGAAUGGUUCUUUGCUAAUUGAGUACUUGUCCUGCACGGCAAAACCCAAUCAUUCUCAGAUAGCCAACUUAGAAAAAGAUCAGUUCUUUUUCCAAUUGCCACACAUUCUUAACAAAAUCUCCAUUGCACUCGAAACAAAAUAAGAAGAUUCAUUCAUCAAUCAUCAUGCCAACCAAUUUAUCAUAAAGCAAGAAGUUUGACGAACCUGCUCAACACGGUUCAUCUCAGUAUAAGCUUCAUUGCAAGCUACACGUUCAUCUGCCACAUCUUCUCCGGGGACAAGGACUGGCUUACUAUCAUCAUCCCACUCUUCCUCCAUAAAAGGAGCAUAUCGGUUUCCGUUUGGGGGUCCAAUAUUGUUCUUGUGAAACACUCUACAUAGCACAAAUGAAUCUCCCUACACCCACAACAAAAGAUUCGAUCUCGUCAAAAAAUGGCCAAAAUGAAACCUACAUUUUCAAUUGCUAAGCACUUCUCAAAAUCUCACCUGAAGAUUGCCGAGUCUCUCCAACUCCUCGUCAACUAAGCCGUACUUCCUAUCCAAUGCACCAUAGAAGUACCACUCUUGGUCUCUGGUUUUCAACCUCGACUUGUCUGAAACUCCACACAAGAUUUAAACCCAGAGUAAUCAGUGAGCAAAAGCAUACACAGAAUCAAGCAAUUCAGACUCAUUUUAACCAAAACAAUGAACACAAUUUGGGAAAACAUAGAAAUCUACACCAAGAUUGGACCUUGAGAGCACGUAAUUGCGCACCCAAAUCAAAUUAUCCAAACACUAAAAAUCCAAUACAACUAACUAACAAGAGAAACUAAAAAAACGCACCGGCGAGUUCCCAGGGCUCGUUUCGAUAGAUAUCGACUUCACCGAUGGCAUUGAAGCGGACGGGCUUGCUCCCAACCUUACGCCUCAAGUAAUAGCUAACCAGCUCCUCAUCAGUUGGAUGGAAUCGAAAACCGGGGGCCAAAGCGGUGGUACUGGAAGCUGCUGGCUGCGUCUUACGGGGCGGCUCCGCCGGAGCUGACACCAAAGUGGCAGUGCUAGUCGGCGCCGCCGCGGCCGGAGGUAAGGGAAUAGCGGUGGGGGUUUCUGAUUCUGGAGCCAUGGAGGAGAUAAGUGGCGGCGAAGGAAAGGGAUUCAUUUAGGGUUUGGAAGUGGCGUGGGGGAGGGGGUAAAAUGGAGGGAGGAUUGGAUUGGAGAGGAAGAUUAGGUACCUUCGAUUGCAAGCAAUUUGGUUUUGCUUCGCUGGGUUUGGAAUAGUCGAAGGGGGGAGGAGAAAAGGAAAGGGAAAGUUGUGACUGUGAGAGUGUUGUUCUUUGUUGUUUACGAUAAUCUACACUAUUCCCUUUUUUAUUUUCUUUCAUUUCAGUUUUGGGCCUUCUGGGCUUUCGGCCUCCAUGACCUCAUCCUCCUUGGCACAACUUGAGUUGUAACAAGUGAUUCUAGCGGUAGACAUGUCACAUUUUCUCUCGAUUUAGUCAUCAUAAUCGAGCAAAUCCCUAAGUUAAUAUUGCGUAUUACAAGUUGGCAGCCAUCAAUGUUUCAGAACAAGCUACAUGCAACGGUAAGUCUUAUCUCGAGAUAGCUGUCAUAAAUUUGAGUUACCUAGUCAGACGAUGGUGACAACUGUAAAAUAUCACUAUUAUCUUAGUGGAUAAAUAAGAAUAAAUUGAUUGGUUAUAUGUCCGAAAGUCCUUAACUAAUGUACCUGUUUUACUUAUGAUAACAUUAUAAUAGGAACAUGCAAUGUGAGUGCCGUGGUGCAAGUAUUAGUGAAAUUAACUCGUGCUUGAAAGCUUGCUUUCAAAUGAUGUGCGAUGUAACGUAAAAAGUGGAGGAUUUCCACUUGAACAAUUCUUAUAGUCACGUCCAAGUGCUAACCGCGAAAAGAUAUUCUUACAACAAAUAUGUUUGAUUUGUUGUGAGUAAUUAGUAUUAGUGUUUUGAGUUUAGAUGAUCACAUUUUUAAUUUUUUUAGUAAUUGUAAUUGCUAAGUGAUGUGGUGGGUGAUGUGACAUUUCACUUAGUAAUUAUUAAGGAUGUAAUAGUACUUGCUAAUUAGUAAAAUUACUAAAUUAGCAAUUUCAUGAGCGUAACUUCAAAAGCUAAACUAGGAGUUUCAAAAACGUAUGCCAACCAUAAAAUUUGCUUUUUCCGGUCAUCGAAAAAUUUGUUGGCGCUUUUUCCGGUCAUCCCCCAGCACUUCCACUGUCAUCCACGGACACUUUUGCCGCAAUUCGUCAGAACUUCCACCGCCAUCCGCCGACACUUCCGCCGUCAUCCGCCGGCAUCUUCCAGCACUUCCGCCGGCAACCACCGGCGUUUGGGGGAAGCCUCCCCCGCCACCCCAAACCACCCCACGCACUAACCAUCCACUGGCAUUUCCGCCGCCAUCCGUCGACAACCUGCGCCUCUAGGCGUCGGCAUGCUAUGAGAGCUUUUUGUUUUGCUAUUUUAUAUAAAUAUUGUAUAUUAUGAGAGGAAGGAAUGUGUAUAUUGUAUUUGAAAUACACACAAAAUAAUUUUGCAUCCAAACACAUGAUUUCAAUUUGAAAUUCCAAAUGCAAAUACACCUAUCCAAAUCCACCCUAUAAAAAUAAUUAUAUUAGUCAUACCACAUCAGUUUAUUGAAAUAUUUUUUAAAUGAUCACUUGUUAAAAAAAUUGCUAAAACAUUUUAAGGAUGUAGGUGAUAAGAAAUUAUUACAUGAAUUAAUUACUAAAUUUGAUGAUAUGGCGGUACAAAACUUGCUAAACAAUUUUCUGGAUGGAGAUGAAAAGGCCUCGUUUGGUAUGCAGUAAUGGAGAGUGAGGGAAAAGUAAAAAAAGAGAAUUGAGGAAUCAGAGAUUGUAUAAUUCCAAUUAUAUUGUUUGGUGACAAAGUUUGUAAUUGAAAUACAAUUUUCAAUUUGUUAGGGAUUUAUUGUGCAAUGAUCAUGAUGCCCUUAUUUGAAAUCCAAUUUCAAGACCCAUCAUCUUCUAGUUAGCAAAAAUUCGUUUAAUACUCGUAUAAUACACAUAUACGUACNNNNNNNNNNNNNNNNNNNNNNNNNNNNNNNNNNNNNNNNNNNNNNNNNNNNNNNNNNNNNNNNNNNNNNNNNNNNNNNNNNNNNNNNNNNNNNNNNNNNNNNNNNNNNNNNNNNNNNNNNNNNNNNNNNNNNNNNNNNNNNNNNNNNNNNNNNNUUCCUCAUUAUAAUGAAAACCAAGGACAAUAAUAACAAUGUUGGACAGUUGUUUAUAAAAUCCAGAAUUUUGAAAAAUAUAUGGUGGCCACCAUGUAUUUCAAUAUGACCUAUUUAGGAGGAAAAAUGAGUUCGGGGAAAAUUUAUUUUUGUGAAAUACUAACUUAUUAAAGCUCACCAAAUAAAAAUUUUGCCACUUCCCAUAAUUUUACAAAACUUCAAUCAAAUUUCCUCCUUAACAAACAAGGCAUUAGUUAUUUCUUAAUUGGAGCUUUUCUAAUGAGUUGGAUUUUGGUUGGUUUGAAAACUCAUUGUUGUUAAUUGAUUAUUAGCUAUUUCUUGCCAGCUAUGAAUCGCUGACGUGGGUCGGUAAGCAGAUUUACAGGUUUCAACAUAUUUUCAAACCUUUCAUUAAAAAUCAUAUAAAAUCUAAUAGACUGUUUAAUUAUGUUUUGUUACGCGAAUAAAGACAAAUUACGGGACAAAAAGGGUGAUGUGUCUAUGUUGUCUACGUGUCCAACUGUGACAAGACCUUAACCAAUAUAUAGCAUCUCUUUGCCUUGAUGUCCCGCCUUCGCAUUUUUUCGCGCGUUUUGGAACAAAUGCGCUGUGGUCCAACGCAAUUCAUGCAAACAAAACUUACAUCUAAAUGGAUAGCUCCAUUUCGUAAAAUUAUAUUCCAGAAAAAUCAUUAUUUUAAAUUCAAUUUUACAUAUUUCAUGACAGAUAAAUAUAUAAUGUUUAUUUUUUUUUUAAGUGAAUCUAUUAAUUAUGUAUUAUUUUAGACUUUCUAUAUGUGUUUUAUCCCGAUCAAUAUAAUUCAUGUUGAUUUUUUUAAAAACUGUUUGAUGUUUUUAAUGAGGGUUUAAAGGUAAAUAAAAAAGAUAUGAAAUUAAUUUAUUAUAUUAAAACAUUUGAUAAAUGAUGUAAUUAUAAUAAAAAUCUUAACAUUUUUUGGCGGGUCAUUCACAUUUAUUUUUACAGGUAACAUCAUUGUUAUCCAUUAAGUAAAGAAACAUGCUUUUUCAUAUUUAUAAAUCAUAUUAAAAUUAAUUUUGAAAUUUAAGUAAAUUUUUAAUUUACUAUUUUAAUUCUUUUUUUCAUAAGAAAUUACCUAUAAAAAAGAGCUUACACCUGACAAAACAGAAAAACAUCUGCUGAUCGAUUAGAAAAUCCCACGCCCGCCUAAUGGCGCGUGGAGGCGGGGAGCCAAGUGCAAAACGCCGUUGAAACGGAAACAGAAGAAAACGAACAAACAAGUCUGGAAAUUUGUCGCACCCAUUAUUGAAUCAUCCUCUUCCUCCACCGCCAUCUUCUUCGUUUUCUCAGAAUUGGUUUCCGAAAUCGAAACCAACAGUCAGCUGAGCAACGGAAUAACGAAGAUCACUACCAGCCAGCGUCACCCACCUCGGCACCUCUGGCUCUUUCUUUCCAAUCUAUUUAUCCCUUAGUUUUUUUUUUCAAAUUCCAUUAGAAAUUCUCCAAAAACAUCAAUUAUUACACCUGAAGAAGAAGAAGAAGUAAUUGUUCAAUUCAACGAGCAUGGCGACAACCGCUUAUUUCAAUUUCUCUUCUUUAUCUCCUCCUUCAACUCCUUCUUCCAGAGGCCACACCUCCCACGAUUACUCCUUCAAGAUUCUCAUGGUCGGAGAUUCCGCCGUCGGCAAGAGCAGUAUUCUCCUCAGAUUCAUUUCCGAUUCCGAUCACCACCCUUCCCCCACUAUCGGUAUCGUAUCAUUACCCUUCUUUCCCUUUCAGUAUCCGCUUUCUGAUUUGGAAACAUUUUGAAUCUCGUAGAUCGCAUUUGUGCAUGCCAAUUGUUUGAUGAAUUUCCUCACUGAACAAUGACAGAAAGUAGAUUGGCAAAGUUAAAUAGCCUUUGCUUGCAUGUAGUUGGUUUCAAACUUGCUGACUCUUUUUUUUUCCGAUUAAUGAAGGUGUGGACUUUAAGAUGAAGACAGUCAUGGUCAAUGACAAAAGAUUGAAGCUUACGAUUUGGGAUACAGGUAAUUAAUUUGUUCUGUGCUACUUGUUCAUCUUUAAAUCACAAACUACUUCAAGUAAAGUUUAAUUAGAAAUUCUCUGUAUAUAUACUCUUGACCCCCUUUUGUUAACAAACUUCUUUGUGAUUGCAGCUGGACAGGAGAGGUUUGGAGCGUUAACAACAUCUUAUUACAGAGGAGCACAUGGCAUCAUACUAGGUAAGCCAUUACUAUCGUCAAGCACUUGCUUUAGUUGUCUGUUACUUUCAGCUAUCUACCAAUGCGACGUUUUGCCUAACUAAUGUAGUUUGCUUAAGGAUUUUGUCAUGUUUUUGCAUUACACUUGGGGAAAUAGUAGGAAACUCAUUAAUGGUAGGGAUGUUUAGUAGCUUCAUCGGUGGAUUACCUGCUUUUAUUGUUUUUCCUUCCCAGAAUAUCAGUCUAGCUAACAUAUAUGCAGUCAUUGUCUGUGCUUUACGGUAGCACAGAUAACGUAACUAGAGAUUCUGCAUAUCGUGUUUUGUUUUCAGUUAUAUGAGAAGUUGGAUAUGAACUAAAUGACUGAUCAGAUUGUUCUUUCGAUUCGCGUCUCAGUCUACGACAUUACAAAGAGAGAGACAUUCACCAGUUUGUCAGAAAUGUGGGCAAGAGAUGUGGAGCUUUAUUCUACCAAUCAUGACUGUGUCAAGCUUCUAGUUGGAAACAAAGUUGACCAGGUCAGUUUACUCCUGCAAUUAUCUACACCGUCAGGCCUUAACAUGUAUCAUCAUCGACCUACGAGGAGAUAAUUGCAGUGCAAACAUUUUUGGAUAAUCUUGAAUUAAUUAUGUGAAACUUUCAGGUAAGUGAACGGGCUGUAAGCAGAGAAGAAGGUAUGGCUCUAGCACAAGAGCUUAACUGUUCGUUUCUGGAAUGUACUGCAAGAUCUAGACAGAACGUGGAGCAAAUCUUUAGAGUGCUCUUAUCAAAGGUAAGCAUACUCGCUCACACUAUGCCACUGUUUGUCUCCUACUAUAUUCAGUAGCCGAAGAUCACGCCUAAACUAUCUAAACUAUGAUUUCGGAAGAACUUGGGAAAAUUCGGUACUAGCGAACCUUGCUUCAGUUUCUUGUUCCAUUUGAUGCUAGUGCAGCAACAAUGAAAUCAUUAGUCUGCUAGUUUCGCAAAAUGACAUACUUCGUUGAAGACUAAUAAUUCAUGGUAAUUCAACAGAUAUAUGAAGUACCUACUCUACUGGAAAAGGGUUCCGGAGUCGUCAAGGCACCCACCAUCCGGGCAGACAGACAAGCGUCCCAGCAAGGUGGCAGAAAUCGUUGUUGCUCUUGAAGACUGUCUUUCAUGACAACUCGAAACAUACUUGCACACUCGAUCAUCCAGCAAUAGUUUCACCCUGACAUGUGCCAAAUGAAAAGAGGAAGAAAAAGAAAAAAACAACUCCAUUGUACAUUCUUGAUGCACCAACAGUCUUCGCCGUUUUACAGAUCCAACAACAGUACAAAACACAGAAAAUAGCAGCCUCAAAUGUCUCGAAAAGUCCGACCCCAUUGUUCUAAGGCCACUAAUGAUCAGCCACAAGAUCGAAACAUGGGGGGAUCAGGUGGAAUCGCUGAUGUUAGUAGUGGCCAUAUUUUACAAAGGAAGACACUGUUGCACGUCAUAGCUUCAUGUGAAUCUCUACAAUUACAGUGAUGAUAUUGUUUGCAAACUGUGUCAAGAGGUUUGGUUGACCUGGAUUUUGUCUGUUCAUAAUGUUUAUACGAAAAGAAGUAUAUUUCUAUGAGAUUCAUCCUGAAUGAAAUCUUCUCAAAAUGUUGGAUCAAAUUCUACUGGAAGAGUACUAUCAGGAAUCCUCUGUUGCAGAAGUGAUUAUAAGUCCUGACAGCCUGAUAACCUGCAAUCCGUACGGUUUCUGAAAAUCCCAGGAAACUAAUACUAAUAUCAUUACUGAAGAAUGAUCAAAGGGAUACACAAGCAUGAAAAAUUACAAACUUCAAAUCCCUAGUUAAUCCCUCUAAUUUCUCAAGUCCUUCUGAUACGUCGUCGUCGCCGCCCCGCCGAAAGGGCCACCAUUUCUUCGAUACCUCUUCACCCGGCGGCGGAUGCCGUUGCUGCAACCAGCGGAGCCACACCGCGAAGUAUCGAAUUCGGCAAAGUGAUGGGGGAAGAAAUCGAGUUGCGGGAACAGAUUGGGGAAGUCGCAUUCGGUGGUGUCCGACGAAGGCUGCAGGGGAGGAGGAAGGGAGAUGUUACCGCGGAAGUUCUGGUAGAAGCCGACUAAGUAGAAGCCGGUGCAGAGGGCGGCGGUGAGGAUGAGUCGGAAAAGACUGCGAGUGGGGAUCGCCAUCGUUGUAGCUGUAGAAUUUGUCUGGGCCGGGGGAGAGUAAUUAAGACGGAGAGGAGAAGAAAGUUAGGGAAAGGAUGGAGUGAAAUAGGUUAAGGUGGGGAGGAAAACGCCAUGGCCGAUCCGUGAAGUUCGCUGAAGGAGGUAGGGAAUAACAGUUGGCCGGAGAAGGUGACAGGAAUUCAAAGUGGAGGGUCUCUCGAUUUCUCCGAUGGGGGAAUUUGGAAAGGAAAUUGAAAUUGUCGUCCAAGACGAAGUUGGGGGUAUAAAUUCAAUUGUAACCUGCAGGCUAAUCUUAAUAUCCACGGGGUAAUUAAUGGUGAUGGAAUAUGGAUUGUAAUUAAUCCGCCUAAUUAAAGUGAUUUAAUGGUGAUUAAUUAUUUCGGAUAGGAUUUUAUAGAGGAAGGGCGUUCUAGUAAUUUGAAUGGUUUUACGGCGAUAAAAAUUUGAAUAUUAGAGUGACAAGGAAUUUAAAUUUUAUUAACUCGUUAUAUCAUAAAAUUUUAUGAAGAGUUUUAUACCAAUCCACAUGACAACGAAGAAUAUCGUAAAUGCAACCGAAAACAUUAGAUAAAUAAUUUGCAUUUCCUUCCUAAAACUUCUCAUAACGAUGCAAUUGAUAAACUUUGUAAAACUAAACAAAUGAUUUAUCCGAAUUUACAGUCAAAUUUAUACUCUACUUGAGUUGACUGUUUGGCCAGAAGGGUAGUCCGUUGAGUCAUCGCGCUAUACUGUUAUUGAUCAUCGCCAUUUUUCUCAUUUAACCUUGUUCCUUCUGUCAACAGACAAUCAUCCAACGUUGUUGAUUCCUAGUUAAAAUAUUUAGAAACUAACAACAGCAUAAUGAUGAUUAACAAGAAACACCAAGACAAAAAAAACUCAACAAAAGCUUGCCAUGAACGAUCAUCUGUCAGCAUAUCCCUUCUUUCUGAGUCACCAAUGCAAGUAAUGGAACUCUGAAACAACUGCUGAAAACACCUGCCAAAUUUCUCUUCUGGUCUUUCCCCUGAUCCCACCCUGUAAAUUAACCUUGUGAAAAUCACAUCUUUACUAUAUAUAGGUUUCUCAGUAUUUUGCAGUCCUUGUCUUCCACGAAAACAUCUCGCUCGAUUGGCAGUGGGCAAUGGUGUUCUCUGGAGCUGCUCUUCUUCUUCUCCUGAUCAGUCCGGUACUGAUAAUUGUCAAUGGCGAAGAGAUCUUCCUCGAAUGGCACUUGGCACUCGACUCGAGCAUCAGACCUGCCUCCGUCGACCAACCCGUGAGUAAAACUCGAUACGAGUCAAACCCACUAAACAGUUUCUUGCACUACAAGAAACCACCAGUCUAACAACGGUUCAGCCACUGGACAAAUUCCUCUGUUUUUUUAUCCUGUCUCUAAAUUAAAGCUUGUUGCUUUUUAACAGGUAAUUAAAAUCAACGGUAAAUUCCCAGGACCGCUGAUCAAUGCCACCACCAACGACAACAUCCACAACAUUGACGAGCCGGUACUCUUCACCUGGUAUAUACGAAUUUCGAAAUUUUUUCGAAAUUCAAGUUCUUAGGAAAUUGACGCUGUAUUUUUCUCAGGAAUGGGAUUCAGCAGAGGCUAAACUCGUGGCAGGAUGGGGUGUCAGGAACCAACUGUGGGAUCCAGUCAGGGAAGAACUGGACAUUUGUGUUCCAGGUGAAGGACCAGAUCGGGUCCUUCUUCUACUUCCCAUCGUUAAACUUCCAGAAGGCCGCCGGAGGGUUCGGUCCGAUUCGUGUCAACAAUCGAGUAGUUAUCGCCGUUCCUUUCCCUCAACCUGACGACGAUUUCGACCUUCUGGUCGGUGACUGGUAUACUUCUAGCUACAAGGUAACGUAAUUUGUUAAGAAAUGUUUUUAUUAUGUAAACUAAUUCUGAGCUUGUCUAACGUUAGUAUAUCACGUGUGGGUCGAUUUUUGUUUCGAAACAUAGGAUGUCAGGAGGAUGCUUAAGAACGGCACAACGGAAUCGCAUCAAAAUAUGACAAUGCUUAUGAAUGGGAAAGGUUCAUAUCUUAAUUCGUCUACGCAAGUACAUGAAUCUUUCACCGUCGCCAAAGGUAAACAAAACUUAGGCUUAUUAGCGGUGGAAUUCGAGCAAGUCGUCUACGCAAGUAUAUGAAUCUUUCACCGUCGCCAAAGGUAAACAAAACUUAGGCUUAUUAGCGGUGGAAUUCGAGCCCGACUUGCUCAAAUUCCACCACUAGGAAUUCUUAGAGUGACGAAGAUAAAUUUGUUGUUCUCGUUACAUAUACAGGGAAGACUUACAGGUUCAGGGUGUCAAACGUGGGGAUGUCGAGUAGUUUCAACUUCAGAAUCCAAAACCACAAAAUGUUAGUGGUCGAAACGGAAGGGUCUUACACGGAUCAGACCUCGGUGGAUUAUUUAGAUGUGCAUGUAGGACAAUCUUACUCGGUUCUCGUCACAUCGGACCAAGCAGUGGCCGAUUAUUACAUCGUGGCUUCCCCUAAGUUGGCCGACGAAAGCGGACUUUUGGGUGUCGGAGUCCUGCAUUACGAAGGUUCAUCAACUAAUGCUACAGGGCCAAUCCCCGGUGGCCCUGACCCGUUUGAUCUUCAGUUCUCUGUUGAUCAGGCCAAGUCUGUCAAGUACAUUACGACCAUUCUUCGCAAUGUAGUCAAAAUCCCUAUUUAAAUUUUAAAAUCUUACGGUUUUUUUCUGAAGAUGGAAUUUAACGGCAGGGGCAGCGAGGCCGAACCCACAAGGGAGCUUCAACGUCUCAAACGUGACAAUAUCACAGACAUUUAUGCUAAGGGGAUCAAAGUCGUCGUCACAACAAACCAAAAACGGUGUCGUUUACUACACAGUCAACGAUGUAUCCUACACAACUCCGGACACACCGUUGAAACUCGCCGAUCUCUACAGCAAUGGCUCCGGCGUAUACACCCUCGACCAGUUCUCGACCAACUCUUCUUCCGACGGUGACAGUGAUUUCCAACGGGGAGUUUUUGUUGCUGCCGGGGAACACAGAGGGUGGCUAGAGCUGGUGCUCAUCAAUACCCUUGUUGGUAUAGAUUCCUGGCACUUGGAUGGCUAUGGCCUCUUUGUUGUUGGGUAAGCAUUUCAUCAUGUUAGGUAAUAGGUAACAAAACUAUUAAUUCGAGUUGUGAGAAGAGGGUUCAAUACUGAUUUUAUAUUGCUCAUCAGUAUGCGAUUUUUUAAACGACAAAAAAUCCAUGAAAGAGUCUAGCUAGUCUCUUAUGCAACAUAUUGAAGUUACAAGAAAUCUGACAUUUUAGUGAACCAAAGACUAUAAUGUUAUCAUGAAUGAUUCUGCCACAGUAAUUCGAGUCGUUCGAAAAGAGUUCAACUGAUUUUUGAAUAAAUUUCUGCUAAUUAUAGGUACGGAUUUGGGGAUUGGACUCCAUUGUCUCGUGCAUCUUACAACAUUUAUGAUCCGGUCGUUCGAUCAACCGUUCAGGUACGUGUAUUUUAGAUUCUUAAUCAUGCUAAAGUUUACUAAUUUGGUUGUUGAUUAAACCACAAAGAUCUGGGCUUUUUACUUUUUUUAUGAUGAUCAGGUGUACCCAAAAGGAUGGACAGCAGUAUAUGCAUACUUAGACAACCCAGGAAUGUGGAACCUAAGAUCUCAAAAACUGAGGAACUGGUACUUGGGACAAGAGCUCUAUCUAAGAGUCUAUGAUCCGGAUCCAACCCUGCCAAAGAGUUUCCUCCUCCAUCCAACCUUCUACUUUGUGGUAUGCAUAAUCGAGCAUUUUCGGCGGUCUUUCUCACCGUGAAACAGGGUUCGACUACGUCAAACAAUUUGAGAUGCAGUUGGAACUUGUUUGACAUAGUUAGAACUUAUUCUCGCAGUGAUUCGAACAAAUAAGAUGUCAUCGCCGUAACACUACUUUGAUUCAAUAUUUGAUUACUUGAUAUUCAACUGCAGGAAUUUACAGCAAUUCAACUCCGCCACCUACUCCUAGCUCCCCUAACUCAGCUCCUUCUCAUGCAUCUUUUCUUCACUUCUCAUGGUAAUUUACUGUUUACUACUUUUACUUUCACUAACUUCCAAUUUAGUCAAUUAGUUUAACAGACAAAACGCUUCUGUUUGUUUGGUUUUAUUUUAAGGUUCCAAAGCUUUAUGGUGACCAUGAUGGCAAAUCUACCAAUGGCAAUACUAAUGUGGAGGUCGUUUUCACUUGGUCAUCAUAUGCAUACAAGUCCAAGUUACUUUUAAUUUCUUCCAUUGAUUUUUUUAUAUAUAUGACUGGGACUAGAUAAUUAAAAUUGUUGAAAGAGGAUUCAGUAUUGGAUAUUAAUAAUUCAUUAACAUAUGCAUGUCGACACUUAUAUAUGUAUAUACAGUUUUAUUGCACUGUAACAUCUUAAAUCCUUAUAUCGGAGAAACACCAUAGAGAAUGAUGAUAUAAUUAAGGUGACAUCAUCCAAAAUUUACUAACAUUAUGAGUUUUGAGAUGUAAUGGAUCGGAAGAGUUUUUGCAGGAACAUAAAAAUUCACUUACAAAGAUUGAUGACCUUUUAGGAAGUCACUAUCAUUUAGUUUUAAAAAAAAUUUACAAGGUUUACGGCUCAAAAGNNNNNNNNNNNNNNNNNNNNNNNNNNNNNNNNNNNNNNNNNNNNNNNNNNNNNNNNNNNNNNNNNNNNNNNNNNNNNNNNNNNNNNNNNNNNNNNNNNNNNNNNNNNNNNNNNNNNNNNNNNNNNNNNNNNNNNNNNNNNNNNNNNNNNNNNNNNNNNNNNNNNNNNNNNNNNNNNNNNNNNNNNNNNNNNNNNNNNNNNNNNNNNNNNNNNNNNNNNNNNNNNNNNNNNNNNNNNNNNNNNNNNNNNNNNNNNNNNNNNNNNNNNNNNNNNNNNNNNNNNNNNNNNNNNNNNNNNNNNNNNNNNNNNNNNNNNNNNNNNNNNNNNNNNNNNNNNNNNNNNNNNNNNNNNNNNNNNNNNNNNNNNNNNNNNNNNNNNNNNNNNNNNNNNNNNNNNNNNNNNNNNNNNNNNNNNNNNNNNNNNNNNNNNNNNNNNNNNNNNNNNNNNNNNNNNNNNNNNNNNNNNNNNNNNNNNNNNNNNNNNNNNNNNNNNNNNNNNNNNNNNNNNNNNNNNNNNNNNNNNNNNNNNNNNNNNNNNNNNNNNNNNNNNNNNNNNNNNNNNNNNNNNNNNNNNNNNNNNNNNNNNNNNNNNNNNNNNNNNNNNNNNNNNNNNNNNNNNNNNNNNNNNNNNNNNNNNNNNNNNNNNNNNNNNNNNNNNNNNNNNNNNNNNNNNNNNNNNNNNNNNNNNNNNNNNNNNNNNNNNNNNNNNNNNNNNNNNNNNNNNNNNNNNNNNNNNNNNNNNNNNNNNNNNNNNNNNNNNNNNNNNNNNNNNNNNNNNNNNNNNNNNNNNNNNNNNNNNNNNNNNNNNNNNNNNNNNNNNNNNNNNNNNNNNNNNNNNNNNNNNNNNNNNNNNNNNNNNNNNNNNNNNNNNNNNNNNNNNNNNNNNNNNNNNNNNNNNNNNNNNNNNNNNNNNNNNNNNNNNNNNNNNNNNNNNAUGGUUGAAUGUGCUUGUAAAAUGUUAAUAUACUAUAUAUUUUAAAUUUACCAAAGUAUAUAUGUUAAUAUUUUAUAAGGAUUUGAGAUUUUGAUUAAACCACAUAUUCAGCCUAUUUAUAUUGUCUAUGAACAAUAUAAUUGAAUAGGUUUAAAAAAAAUUAGUGUGUUGUAUAUGCACAAGUAUUUUUUAUCGAUUUAAUUAAAAAGGACGGUAAUCUAUAUAAAAAUGAAACAAAGAAGACAAAUACACUUGUAUAUUUCUCCGAACACAGAAACAAUGGUUACACUAAAAAAUUUCAGUGACAAAAACCAAAGACAACAAAAGAUCAAACAAAAAGUUCAAUAAAACCAGUAUACCAAAUUUAAUAUAUGUGUGUUUGAUGAGCGAUCAAAAAUUAAAGAAACAAUUGUAUGUGCAUGAAACUUAACAAUGAAUCCACAUUAAAACUGCAAAAAAAACCCUUCAAAAGAAUUCCAACCCCACAAUAUCAGUAAUGGCAACCCACCAAAGCUGGACUGGGAAACACCAUUGUUGGUUUGUUGUUCGCCGGCGGUAAAUUCGUGAUCGGCUGCUUUUCCUCCGGUGCCGGAAGCUGGUUGAGAUCCAAGUCCUACGACGUUGUCCUCAGGUCGUUGUUACUUGCUAACAACGACAGGUUUGUCGUGAUGGUUGGCGGAGGAGCUCUGUGCCUCCUCAUGUGGCCUCCCAGUGCUUGCCCUGAGUUGAAUUCCGCCCCGCAUUGUCCGCACUCGUGCACCCGGUUGUAGCUGUUGUUGUUCCCCUUGUGAUUAUUAGCGACGAGGCCUCUGCCGCUGCUCAGUUGGAGGAAGUUGGUUACAUCAUUGUACGGCGGGGCAGUUGCUAAAAAUAAAUUAUUAGUGACCAGUAGGUUCUUCGGCUUCUUGUGGCUCGCACGGUGUCCACCUAAUGCUUGAAACGACGGGAAUGUCCUGUUGCAUGUCCUGCACUCGUACACAUAGUACCCUACUUUCCCGCCGCCUUCAACCCCGCCGCUUGUCUCCAUGAAUUUCCUGCUCGUGAAUUUUCCGUUCGCGAUAUUGUUGUUGUUAACGGUCGAGGAAAUUGUGGCAUUAAUGUGAUUAUUUGUGAAGAAGGAAGAAUUUCCCUGCGCAAGUAGGAUCAAACAAUUUGCCAUGUCCUCUUCUUCCUCGGUGCUCCCACCGAGGACAACAGUAGGCACCACUGAUGGUGGCAACACAGACAACGGCCCUGCCAUGAUCACCUCGUCUUCUUCCUCAUCGUCGUCAUCAUCAUCUUCGCCGUUGUAAUUGUAAUCAGCAUCAUCAUGAUCAUCUCUUCCGCCAUCUUCAUCGCCAUUAGAGAAAUUGCUACUAGCGGCAGGGGCCACAAAACUAUUAAGAACAGGGGGAUGAACCCUUUGCCUUUUCGUUCUCUUCCCUUUAGGGAUCUCAACAAUUGGAACGGCCAUAGUUGUGUCAUUGUUGACAUCGUCGUCUUUAUUGCGAGCCGCCUCCUCAUUCUCCUCCUCCUCUUUUGCCAAUGUGUUAUUCGUCUUCGUCCCCAUCUCCACCGCCUCUAUCUUCAUUGAGAGCUCCUCCGUUACAGCGGUUGUGAGAAGUACUUCCUCAACGCCUGUCGCCUCCAUUUCUUUGUCCAUCGAACAAAUAUUUCGAAAAUGUAAAGAAAUUAUCAAAAGAAAUAAUUACUUUUCUUUUCGUUUCUCUCUGUUUUCCUCGUGAAAAAGUAUAUUUCUUUUUUUUAUCCUGUGUUUUUUGUUUCUCUUGUUUUACUUGUGGUUAAUUAGAAUAAACUUGAAACAAGUAUAUAAGGUAGUAAUGUGUUGCACUAAAUUGUAAAAAAAAAUGUGUCUCAAAUUGGUAAACUUGCUACAGCCUCUCUCUCUCUCCCUCUAUAUAUCUUCUCAGCGUGUGAUAAAUACGAUAUACAAAAUCCAACAUUAUACGAUACUAAAAUUAGAAGAAAAAAUACUUAAAGUCUCACCGUUGUUUAAUUAGCUUCUUUCUCCCUUUUUCCGCUUAUUAGUGUUAGCGGCUUGCAAUUCGUUUCUCCUCUAGAUUUCGGGUUUUGCUCCACAGACAGAGUUUGUUAAUAAUGGCUUCUUCUUUGGAUUUGACACAAUUCAAUCUGCUUCCUCAAUUGCAAAUUGUAUUCCUAGUAUAUAGGAAUCCCAAACUGAAUUAUAUUCCUAGUAUAUAGCAAAUGUACUUCUAUUUCGAAAACCUAGAUGAUUAUCAGCCAGACACUAGCUCACCCUUCUUUUGGUGACCGUUAAAUGCAUGUAUAUGUUUCAAUUUCGGCUUAGUGCUAUACCAUUUUGGCUCAGUAGUCAGCACAUUUCUGCCGAGUCUUCACAAAUACCCCAUAAAUCAAAGGAAUUAGAUAGAACAUGAACUAUAAUUGUCUCUACCAUGAAGAAAGAUUGACACUACAAUGGAAGACACAUUUCCUACCGAACACAAGGAUCUAAGCAGGCAGCGAUGGAUCCAGGAUGUGUCCGCUGCACAGAACCGUUCCCGUGAUGUCUUCUUUAAUGAAGAAGAGGAACGGAUGAUCCGCUACAAAGUUUUUAUAGUUUUUUCCACAUCCACCAAGACUCGACAUCUCCAACAUAGCAACAGAAGCCGUUCCGGCUUCCGUACCUUCUUCGUUCACUUCCACAAAAGCCCCGAAUCCAAAUGAAACUUUAAACAUGGGAAUCUGUAACUUUCAGCUCACUCUAAUGCGACAUCAAGCGAGACUUUGGGCAGAUCGGAGGACGCAAAGUGUGGGUUUCUUACGGGAGUGACAUGCGUAUCCGGGUGGGAGAGAGAGCUCCACCGUCAGCAGCAUAGAUUGGUGCUUCAGGUGAAAAAAGAGACAGAUGGAGAUGGCGGAAAAACUUUUGAAGAUGGAACUUCAACCAUUCUUGAAGAUGGAGAUGGGGCUUGGAUGGCGAUUUCUAAGGCUGCAUCCAGAUGGUGCUUGCUGAUUCCAUCCGACGGCUGGCGGGAUCUCGCGGCAGAGCGAGGAGCGGAGGUGGAGUGUCGGACCAAGUGAGCAGUUCGUUGACCAACUUGUUGCCGAAGUUUGUGGCCAGAGGCUUGUUCUUCCGAAAGCCAAGUUGAUAUGGAGAAGAAGGGAGCAGAUAUUGAGCUUGUCGUCGAGAGAAAAGGAAAUCUAUUAAUCAACGUUGACACAGACCUGACCUUGGGCUAGAAAAAAGACCUUACCUUGGGCUGUUUGUCCAUCAUUUAUGAUAUUGGGCCUACUUUCGUUGAUGGUUAGGCCCAAAUGAUGGUCCAUGCAAGUUUUUGAAAGAAAAAAAGGAAAUAGAUGUGUAUGAACGUGGUAGUAGUAGAACUGUAGUAGCAUACAAAAAUUGAAAAAUAUUACUUUCUGCAACCCUUUACGCAAAGAAUCUCCAAACCAUUGGACAACAAAGGCAAACCUUUUUGUGACAAAAAAAUCUAACUAAUUAAUAUUUUCUGAUUGUACCAGAAUAAUCGAGUCUUGGCUGAGUUCUUCAUCUUUGCCUCUUCCCAUGGAGGAGAUGUGGAUUAUCCCUUUAUUCUUCCUUUCUUCUCCUUCAAAUAAACCCCUUUUAAAACUCGUCAUUAAUUCAAACAUAAUUGUCCUAUCCUUCUAUUUUGUAUAAUUCAUUAUCCUAAUCUUUCUUUAUCUUUUUUUAUUGUUUCAUAGAUUUAUAAAAAGUAUUAAAACCAACCAACCAUCAUAUUCAUAUUCUCCCCCAAAUUCAGGAGAGCAGAGAGCUCUGUUUUUCCCUCCCUUCAUUUCCGUGGCUGCUUCUUCAAGAAUGCUUCCUAUUAGCUUCUGCAUUCUCUUCCUCUCUUCGAUCCUCCACUCAGUUUCCGAUUCCAAGUUCAUCAAUCUCACUCUCCCUCACCAGCACCCUUACCCAGACGAUGUUGCUGACGAUGUUCACAGGUAACCCCUCUGUUUCUUCUUUUCAUGGCGCGUUGCUCAGUUCUCCUGUUGUUUCCAGCUGAGGCUGCCGAAACUCCGGAUUCAAACCGGAACCAAGAAGUUCCGGUACGAAAGAUACUCCAAAUUUCAUCCAACUUUUUCCAACCGCCAAACCAAGCUGCAUUCAAUCCCCAUUUUCAAUUUCUAGUGAUUCAGACAUCAAAGACUGAAAAUUUUCCCUCCUAUUCCCAAAUUCCCUUCUGGGUACUGCUCAGCUACUCCUAAACUCACAUGGGUCCAUCUCCUUUUUUCAUAUGACUUUUAGUUUCAGAUUUUUCUCAGCAGCCAAACAGUCGAAUUUCUCACCAUAUGUUUCCCACCUUCAAAAAAAACUGCAACUUGCACACUUUUAGUUUCGUGCUGAUUGGGCCGUGAAUUGAUUGAAUUAUCAGUCGAUAAAUGAUUUAUAUAAUGUAGUUUGUAAGUUUUAUAGACUUUUAGGUUGUACAAAUUAUUGAGUCCGAUUAAAACCGAGCCGAAAUGGAUCAGUUUGCUCUAAUUGAGUAAAUUGCAACUUGCAAACUUACCCUUUCAGAUUCUUACUUUCCCUGUUUGCAUCCCUACAAAAAAUCCUUUAUACGUCUCCCUCAUGCAAUUUUCCUAUUUAUUUAAUCAAUUAUUUUCGGUUGGUUAACUUUGCAGACGGGUCAACGAGUCCCUAUCGCGAAGGCUACUUCAGGCGGGGCCCACUUGCCAAACGGGCAACCCGAUCGACGACUGCUGGCGGUGCGACCCGAACUGGCCCAACAACCCCCAACACCUCGCCGAUUGCUCAAUCGGAUUCGGCCGCGGCGCGUUGGGCGGACGCGGCGGACAAAUCUACGUCGUCACCGACUCGUCCGACCACGACCCGUCAUCCCCUACACCCGGAACCCUCCGCUACGGCGUGAUCCAAGACGUCCCGCUAUGGAUCAUCUUUGCCGCCGACAUGACCAUCUCCUUAAAACACGAGCUCAUCUUCAACAGCUACAAGACCGUCGACGGCCGAGGAGCCAAUGUCCACAUCACGGGGAACGGAUGCCUGACUUUAUGGAUGCCUCACCUUACAGUACGUCAACCACGUGAUCAUCCACAACCUGAGAAUCUACGACUGCAAGCCGUCCGGGAAUACCAACGUCGCCUCGUCGCCGACCCACGUUGGAUUCAGGGGAAGAUCCGACGGCGACGGGAUCUCCCUGUUCGGAGCCCACAAUGUGUGGAUUGACCAUUGUACCCUUUCGUCCUGUACGGACGGAUUGAUCGAUGUGAUAAUGGGGUCGACCGGGAUUACAAUUUCAAACAAUUUUUUCUCCCGGCAUAACGAGGUUAUGCUGAUGGGACACGACGAUCGGUUCGUAUUGGAUCGAGGAAUGCAGGUCAGUGGCCGGUUUAGGGAAGCCUCCCUUAAGCCUGUGAUAUUACAUAUUUUUCUUUAUAUUUGAAAUAAAUUAAUUCGAGUACAAUUUAAAAUUUAUAUUUUUCUUCGUUGAUACAGGUGACGAUUGCGUUCAAUAGAUUUGGGGAAGAGCUAGUGCAGAGGAUGCCGAGGUGUAGGCAUGGGUAUAUACAUGUGGUGAAUAAUGAUUUCACUUACUGGAAAAUGUAUGCCAUCGGCGGUAGCGCUAGUCCGACAAUUAAUAGCCAGGGGAAUCGGUAUGUCGCCCCGGUCGAUCCCGAUGCCAAAGAGGUAUGUAUUUUUACGAAACUUGUUUGGGAUUCGGCCCAAUAAUAAACAAGUCGAGUUCAACCUUGUUGAGUCGACUACUAGUUUAUAGUUCGUCAAUCGACUCGAUGAGCGUUUGAUUAGUGACUCGUGAGCUUGCUCAAUUCGAUUAUAAGCUUUAAUACUACAUUAGUGGAUUUACUAUUUAUAAGCUUGUUUUUAUCGGAGUUCAAAUUCAAACCAGAGUUUCCCAAAUUAGUUUUUUUCAUUUGGAGCUCGAGCUAGCCAAGUUUGAUUACAAUGGUUAUCGAGUUGAGCUCGUUAAGCUAGUGGAAAAACAGUAAUUUUGAGUAAUGUAUAUUGAUACAUAUGUUCUAUGAAAUUCAGUUUAAAUUUGAUUAAUGCAUCUUUCCAUUUUAAUUAGGUGACAAAGAGGGUGGAGACGGACGAGAAAGAGUGGGAGAGGUGGAACUGGAGAACGGACGGAGACAUAAUGGUAAAUGGAGCGUUUUUUGUACCGUCGGGAGCCGGGGUGAGUGCCACGUAUGAAAGGGCAACCAGCUUGAAUGCCAUGUCAGCCACUCUUGUCGAACAGCUCACCUUGAACGCGGGCAUCCUAGAUGGCACUAGGUACACUUUUACGGUUUUACCCCUGCCCUCCUUAUUAGCUUAAUAUAUUACAACUUUGCAGCUAAAGCCUAAACCUAGUUUUUUCAAUAAGACUGAGGUGAGCUCAGCUAAGCCAAAGCAGUGGUUAGCAAGUAGUUAUCCUUCAUAUGGGACCUAGCUUUAGUGGGGCAGUAUCGUCAUCAUCCCUUUUUUGUCCCAAAUUUGCAUGAGGAUUAUGUGGGCACCUUGUCAUAGUUGAGUACUUUGUGACUUAAAUCUUGGAAAGUUUAAGAUAGGGUUCCAAAAAUCACGAUGGAGAACAAAAGAAAUGGAACUACAUAUGCAAAAAAGCCUCAUACUUUGAUUAAACAUUUGGUUAGGAGUAAACAUCAGUGUCUAUAACUCGAAUUCAAACCUUUAUUAUUUCAAAAUAGCGAAUUUGUUCCAUUUUUUUAGCAUGUCAACUUUCAUCUUAGAUCAACUAGGAAUAUUAGUAGCAAACGAAUGUUGGUGAUGAAGACAUUUUCAUGAAAUGACGUCGUUGGAGUUGCUAUUUAGAUCAAUCAUAAAUUAUAAUAACAAACCAAAUAUUAAUCACAAGUCACAAUAAUAAUAAAAAGAAGUAUCCUCGCACGAAAGCCUACCCGAAUAAUACUUGAAUUUGGGGUCAUUAUAAAAGCCUUUAGCUUUCCUUUAGUGGGUGUUUGUUUCUGAAAUGUGUAUCUAGACUACUAGUUGAAGUAGGAGCCAAAAGAGAGUAGGGAAAAGGCCCCACAUACACCAUGAUCCACAUAGGUUUUCUUUGUGGCAUGUUGGGAAGCUGACUCAUCUCAUAUUCCUUCACCAAUUAAAGUUCAUGUUUUUUCAUCAUCUUCAUCAUCAUUUCUUAAACUUGUAGCAAGAUGUUUUAAAAAGAUGAAACCUUUUUAUGUCAUCAGUUCUGUUUUGGUUGUGAUUCCAUAUCCUUUCCAAUGCAAGUAUGCCAUUUUGCUUUAGAAAUGUUGAUCAGUUUGAUCAAUCUGCUUGUCUCAAUAAUUUUAUCCCAUUUCGUUAGAAGAUUAAGAUCAACCUAAUAGCUUAUUUAUUUAUUUAUAGUUGAUUCUUCAUUAUAAUUUAAACCAUCGCAUUAAUCUACAUAUACAGUAGUCGAUAUCCCUGUCUUGGUACAACCCAUAUUACAAGGAGGAAUUGAGUUGAUUCUCGACAUUAAUUUUGGAUCUUUGCAAUGAAAAAGUUUUGAUCUUUACUCAAUUCUCAAAUCUGAACUCGAGUUGUCUUGAGACCAUUUAGUUACAGUGUGAAACUAGCUUAAUUGGAGAUUUGAUUUUGGGAGAGUAUCUCUUUGUUUUUUUUUUUUGUCUAUAGCAUUCAUCAUUUUCACAGUCAUCAUGGCAUGAAAAAAUGGCUCAUAAAUCAACUGUGAUUCGUCCCUUUCUUAGAUAUUAUAAUUAGUUGUUAACGAAGUCGAUGGUGAUGUGGGAAUAAUUACAGGAGCACAGGGGGGAUGCCAUCCAACCCUGGAUUCAACGGAGGUGGGGCCGGUGGCACAACCUACACCGGCAGCUAUGGGUCCCCCGGUGGUGAGGGUAGCAAUGGCGGCGACGGUAAUGUGUUUGGGAUGAUAUUUGGGAGCGGGGCGGCGGAUGCGGCGGCGCCGCCCACAUCGUCGGUGGUUUUGUCCUUUUCAAUUGUUAUUAUUAUGAUUUUGUAUUGUGAUACCACCAUUAACGAUGGGACUUCAUUGUUCUUGUUCCCAUUGUGUUCAGUAUUGUUAUAGUGGGAAUUAAUUAAUCGGCAAACAAUUAAUAUACAAAUGUAAGUAAAAAAAGAAAAAAUACAAAAAAAAGAUGAAUAUAAAAGGAGAAAGAAGACAGACUAUUCAUCAUAGUGAAAGUUCAUGUGUCUUUUAAAAAUUGUCGUAUGAUCUUUUUGUCGUCACGAAGUGGGGGGAAUGUAAGCCAGAGAUGUAGAGCAGUCAAACGACGGGUUCUGAAUUUAAUAGAUUGUUGUGUGUGUUCAUUAGAGAUGGUUGCGGGGUGGGUUUCGGACGGGUUUGUCGAUCCAUAUUCUCAUCCUAUUAAAUUUGGAAUGUCCUUGAAUGUUAUUACCCUCGUAAUUUUUAAUAUUUUCUAUUAAUAAAUUGCCAAAUAUGAUUUUCUUUCUAUAUCAUAAAUAGUCGUUUGAAAAAAGAAGAAAAAGGGACAAUAUCGCUAUAUCAAUGCAUGUACGAGUACAAAAGAGCGAGUAUGGAUAUGGCUUAUGAGGAUGCAGUUGAUAGAGCGAGUAUGGCUUAUGUUGAUGCACUUAAACGAAUCCCUAACACAUAUUUAUAAGUUUUUUUGUGAACAUUUGUCGUACUGGUCUCAUAAACUCGAUAAAUAUGAAUAUUCCACACAUAGACCCAACCUUGAAAUAUAAUUGGUAUGAGUGGGGCUCUGAAAGGCCUAUUAUGCUAAGGGGAGCAAACCCAUGUUAGUUUUGGCCGGAUUCAGAAAAAUGAAUUGAAAAAAUUAUGCAAGGAUAGAUUGAAUUUGGGUGGAUUAGGUUUUGGAUUGUGCUUUUUUCAACCUUUGUUUUUCACUCAAGUUAUUUCAGGAUAUUUGUAUACUGGAAUACUAAGUUUGCCACAACAGGACCAGUAAAAAAAGUUUCAUUAGUAGAUAUCUCCGGCAAUAAGCACCUCUUAAUUCGGAUAGUCCAGCAAGCAGCUUACACGGAGCUUGUUCCGAGAUAGCGAGGAACGAAGUCCAUCUCCUUGUUGUAUUAAUCGGGUAUGUAUUAGAUUACCAGGGCAGAGCUAAACGUUGCUUGACAAACCUACUCACCUGCAACAAACGUUGCUUCAUAUACAUGACGAGCAUCAAUGGUUUCAGAGGAACAAACAAGAAUGAACAGAAAAAAAAUCACAUUCAAGGGAAACAAAAUCUCUGAUCAGUCAUACCUUACAUCCUGAAUGAAGCAAAUUAACUAACAUAAGUUAUAAAAAUUCAUCAGAAGGAAAGAAAUUGACAACAAUUUAUCUGCAACAGAUGUUCCAAAUUAAGCAACAGAUGAUCCACUGACUCCUUGGAGUCCUCUCUCUCACUAGUCAUUUCUCCACCCUGCAUCCUCACUACCUAAUAGUAACAAACUUAUUGGUACCAUGCUUAGCCCAGUGAGUCCUCAAAUCAAUCGGGUUACUGAAGUUGUACCCUUCAGCUGCAAGUUUCUCCAGCACCUUCUUGAACGCACCCUGGCUCAUCUUCCUUCCCGCAAUCCUCGCACCACGUCUCUUGGUGCUCAUCGGCAAAGGAUACAUCGAUACAUUAGUAGUACAACAAGCAGACUGCCAUCCACCACACCCCCAUCGAUAACACUGCUGCGGAGUUCCAGUGCAAGAGCAGACCGGGAUAGGGAUUCCCGAUAUGUCCAUAUCGAUCCCGUUUAUUACCAUCUCCAUACUCUUCUUUGGCGGCUUAGGUGCACGCUGGACCGGAUUGCUGUUCGGGUCCUUUGGCUUCCUCGGUUUCUUCGCCUUGGGGGCUUUCAUCACCCCACCCCCCUGCCUUUUCUUCGUUGGUUGAUGUUCCUGUUCUUUAUCAAACACUUGCUCUUCGACUUUACACAUUUUGCCAUCAUCUCUCGAUCCUCCACCCAUGGAAGGAUCAAGAGCAGGCAAUACUUGCAGAGAGUGAGCUCCUGAUGUUUCCGGGAAAACAUGAGUGUAGUUAGGGUUCGGAGCCAACAGAUUCGGAUACUUAUUGCUAUCCCUCUGGUUGAUCCAACUGUCCCUCAUGUAGUUAAUGGGGACAUGGGAUUCAGAGAGCAUGAAAUCACGAGGAUGGAAUCCUCCACCACCCGCAUUGACAUCAAGCAUAAUGUUAUUCUGAUUUCGGCCCGGCAGGAAAUGCUUCGUGUCCCGAUCCGUCAUGUUCGAAGUCAGCUGCAGACUUAGAUGCCCCCUGAAUGACGGCUCAUAGUACCCUCCCCAAUUCCGCAUGUUCAACGCAUCAUCGUCCAUCGUUCAGAGAUUUCUGCCACACACAAAUCAGAAAGACCCAACUGUAAAAAUCUGCAAAAUUUCAAAGAUACAGAACAUCCAAUAUUCCAAUCCAAUCCACAUUACGCACAAGUCAACCACAGAUCUCGUCGAUUCAAGCAUAUCAGAAGCAUCAUCACUACUACAAUGCGAAAUCACAAACUACCCAGAUGUCAGAUCCAUUUCAAAACAUCCAGCAUUCCGCCCCAAAACCCUAAUCAAACUAGAUCUACAUCACAUGGGCACAAAAUCUAGGCAUUCAAGAGAUCUAGAUCUAGAUCUAGGAGGGAGAGAAAACGGAAAUUCGAGGGUUAGCAUUGGAAUCAGAUGACGAGCAAGAAACGAACGAGAACAGAAGGGGCGGAGUGUAAAAGGAAGGUGGUUUCAAUAGUUGUACACACAGCACAGGACCCUCCAUAAUAUUCAAAUUUAAGAAAACAGAAAGAGAAAGACGGAAAGAGAAAGAGGGUGAGAGGGAGGGAGAGAGAAAACUUACUUGGAUGGGUGCAAAUUGAAAAACGGCUCUUUAGGGUUUUUUUUUCGCUUUCUGGAGAGAGGAGAGAGGAGAGAGGAGAGAGAGGAUGAAGCUCUCUGCGGAGAAAGGAAAAAAAAUAAGAGAGAGAGAGAGAUAGAGAUAGCGGAGAGAGAAAGGAUAGAGACGGCCGGCCCUGUGUGUAUCCCAUUACAGGGGCGGAUUAAAAGUGUUUUUAUUUAUUUAUUUAUUUAUUUUGGUCUACAUAAUAAUCGGGUUUGAAACUUUUCGAAAAGAGUAAAUAAUGGAAACCGAAUCUAAGAAGAAGCUCAAAAAGGGCAAACAUGGAAUAUGUUCCCUAUUUUUGGACUCUGUUAUAGUGGUUUGAAAUGUCACCUACUUAUUUAUAACUUAGUUGCAUUCCACCGUGAACAUUUAUUUAAUAUUCAAUUAUGAGUGAAUGUUUAGUUUUGUGUCGCUUUGAGUUAUCCCUUAUCAGGUUUUCUGUCGAUUUUUGGGUUCUUUUGUAUGGAUUUGUCGCGAUCAAUACGACUCAUUAAAGGUGUGUUGGCUACUUGAUCCAUUAUGGGUGUGUCGGCUUUCUCAAUAUAUUUACUUGGUGCUUUCAGUUGUGAUUUGACAUGUGGAUAUUAAGGAGAUGUGAAGCUUAUGUUUGAUAGGCUACUAUAUGUGGUGCACGUCAUUGUAGAAGUUUUGGAUUUCAUUAUGGCUUAUCCUAAUUUGCAUAUGCUGGUAAUAGAGUUGCUCAUUAAAUGGUAAAAAAAAUUCCUCAUAUCGCAUGGGUCGUAUUGAGAUCGAUUUCUCGACUUGGAUCGAUUUUUAACUUUGUAUUCUUUUCCGAUUCCUCCAUCAAGAGCUAUCUACAUUAACAAAAUGAUGAAAAUUAAUGAUGAAAAUAUAAUCAAAAUUAUAAUAUAAUUAAAAUAUUUAUUAUCAAUAAUAAUAAUCGAUUCAUUUAUAAACAAUUUGCUACUUCAUUCCAUAAUUAAAACGUAGGUACAGACCUUACCGUGGGCUAUUUGUCCAUCAUUUAUGAUAUUGGGCUGUGUUACCCUUCGGCCUACUUAAGUUGCUGGCUAGGCCCAUAUAUAGUCCAUUGAACCCAAGUAGCCCAUUUGUCACAAACUCUUUGAAGCUUAGGUCCACUUUCCCAAUAGCCCAAGGAUUCGCAAAUCUUGAGUAAGGAAUUGACUAUUAACACUUACACUCGAGAGCAUCUCGUUAGUUGUUUACUUAGAGGCAUAUCGCAUGGGGGGUUCAAGGCUAAUAAUAGAAAGCACAAGUACAAUCAACAACUAGAUUUCGAUGUAUGAAAUCACUAGUAAGAAAGUACCUAUAUUUCAAGAAUUGUUUAAGUAGGGUAGCUCGGUUGGUGUGUAGAUGGGGAUGGUAUAGGUAUUUCCUCAUCAUUAUCAUUCUUGCUAGGCAUGACUUUUAUCAUCCAAUUUUUUUAUGGACAUAAAUAAAGGUAUAUUCUUCAAUAUACCUAGUAUACCGAAACUUUCGGUGUGCUCAAUUUUUUGUUGGUAACGUAAAUCUAUCACCAUCGUUCAUUUUCAGUUUGCGAUCUCGACGGUCCACAAUUAUUCAAAUAUUAAAUUUCUAUUUCACAUUUUAUUUUUGAUCUCAUAUGUUUUCUCAAUAUGACAAAAGAUCUUACUUUCUCAAUUUGACAAAUGAGCUUUAGCAAGCUAAGACAGCAGCUCAGAGAGUAAGAGAGGGAGACGAAGGAAACACAACUCCGAAAAAAUGCAACAAGAUAACAAAACCACGGUGCUUCAAAACAAGACUUGGGACAUUCUGCAACUGAAAAACCAAACAAAACAUCAUGUAUGACACCCCAACGUGACAGCAAAAAACAGCGGUAACAAUUUUAAUUAAACCACAUGAAAUUUUUUAUUUGAAAUCACAUGAAAUUUUGGAUCAAUUACAAUCCAAUUUCAGAUCGCAAACUGAAAUCAAAAAUAAAAUGUGAAAUAGAAAUUUAAUAUGCGAAUAAUUAUGAACCGUCGAGAUCGCAAACUGAAAAUGGACGUUAGUGAUGAAUUUACGUUACCAAAAAAAACUAGACACACCAAAAAUUUCGAUAUACCAAAUAUACCGAAGAAUUUACCAUAAAUAAAUAAAUAACUCAUACAUGUCUCAAACCAAUAACAUUUACAUUAUUAGCAUGACGCUUUAAUCAAUUAUGUUAAUAGGCCAUCAAUGAAUCAUUUGACCUAACUGAUAACACAUAAUAUAACAACGAAAUAUUUUAAUUAGUGGUAAUUGAUUUGGAUAAUGUAUUAAAUUUCUAAACAGAAAACACCAAAUAUAUUAUUUUGGUUGAAUAAAUAAAUUAAAAGAUAUUUCAUCAUUUCACCUCUCUUUUUNNNNNNNNNNNNNNNNNNNNNNNNNNNNNNNNNNNNNNNNNNNNNNNNNNNNNNNNNNNNNNNNNNNNNNNNNNNNNNNNNNNNNNNNNNNNNNNNNNNNNNNNNNNNNNNNNNNNNNNNNNNNNNNNNNNNNNNNNNNNNNNNNNNNNNNNNNNNNNNNNNNNNNNNNNNNNNNNNNNNNNNNNNNNNNNNNNNNNNNNNNNNNNNNNNNNNNNNNNNNNNNNNNNNNNNNNNNNNNNNNNNNNNNNNNNNNNNNNNNNNNNNNNNNNNNNNNNNNNNNNNNNNNNNNNNNNNNNNNNNNNNNNNNNNNNNNNNNNNNNNNNNNNNNNNNNNNNNNNNNNNNNNNNNNNNNNNNNNNNNNNNNNNNNNNNNNNNNNNNNNNNNNNNNNNNNNNNNNNNNNNNNNNNNNNNNNNNNNNNNNNNNNNNNNNNNNNNNNNNNNNNNNNNNNNNNNNNNNNNNNNNNNNNNNNNNNNNNNNNNNNNNNNNNNNNNNNGCUGAUAAAGUUAUUGACGAAUCUAUGUCGCACGUAUAAAAAAUUAUGAGUUUGAAUGUUAGUUGCUAUUUAUUUUGGUUAUUCCACUUGGGACUCUAAAAUUGUUUAUGAGAUGAACUUGUGGAUUCUUUGUAGUGGGUUGUUGUGUGAUGCACUAUACUAAUGUACAUCUUAUGAGUAAAUAAUAUAGAUGGACAACCCCAAGGUUUUUUAAGUGGAGGAUGGUAAAUCUAGUUAUUAACUCGUCCAUGUCAUGUUUAUUUAGAGGAUAUGAAUUUGAAUGCUACAUUUUUUAUCGCUUGCUUUGGUUGCUUGUUGGGACUUCAAAUAUGUGGUCGGGAUUGCAAAGUUGUUCUAUGGGUUCUUAGUCAGACUUCUAAAUUGUGCAGGUAUUGAUAACAAGUCGUUUUGGGAUAAACAAACAUCCCACUACGGGCACUUAGAUAUGAAAGCUUGACUAAAGUGUAACCUGAUAAAUGAGCUCUAUAACCUUUAAUCUCGAAUCACAUUAAUUAUUCGAGUGAACGAUUCGAACCGAACUAAAAAAUCAAGGGAGAAAACGAAAGAAGAAACUUNNNNNNNNNNNNNNNNNNNNNNNNNNNNNNNNNNNNNNNNNNNNNNNNNNNNNNNNNNNNNNNNNNNNNNNNNNNNNNNNNNNNNNNNNNNNNNNNNNNNNNNNNNNNNNNNNNNNNNNNNNNNNNNNNNNNNNNNNNNNNNNNNNNNNNNNNNNNNNNNNNNNNNNNNNNNNNNNNNNNNNNNNNNNNNNNNNNNNNNNNNNNNNNNNNNNNNNNNNNNNNNNNNNNNNNNNNNNNNNNNNNNNNNNNNNNNNNNNNNNNNNNNNNNNNNNNNNNNNNNNNNNNNNNNGUCUUUCAAACGAUGCUUCGUAGUUAAUUGUUUUUUAUUUUUAGUUAUUAACGUGGUAUAAUAAAACAAAUAACGACACGAACUAGGACAAGUGUGCGGUUGUGAGAGAUUUCGAAACAUUUAAAAAACAAAAUAAUAAUUAAAAUAUUUUGUCUUUUAGUGUUACUAAAAAUUAUAGAAGGAUGAAGGGGAGGACAGUCUCCACUCUCCAUGUGAAGAAAAUAAUGUGGAAGCCGGUGUGUUUGAUUUUUUUUUGUUAAAUGGGUACCCAAAUUCAAAAUAAUAUCCAUCUUGGGUCCGUUACAACCCAAUUUGUUUUAAAUUGUAUGGAUGUUAAGUUGGCUGGUUGGAAAAAUAAAAUUAUAUCAUUUGCGGGUCCUGUCAUCGCUAUUCCAUGUUAAGUGAUGCAGACAACAAUUCUUCUUGUAGAAAUUUGUAAAAAAAUUGAUCAACGAACCCAUAAUUUUGUGUGGGAUAAUUUUUCGAAAGGAAAGGAACCCCACCUUGUGUAAUGGGAUAAUAUAUACAGGUCUAAGGAACAAGGUGGUCUCGGCUUGAGAAAGGUUAAGGAGUCUAAUGAAGCUUAUCUCAUGAAGUUUGCAUGGAAUCCUUUGGCGCAACUUGAUGCUUUGUGGGUGAGAAUUCUCUUGGCAAAGCAAGACGAUCAAGGUUUUACCUUAAUUCGGAGACAAACGUCCUCCCCUCUUUGAUGCGGUAUUAGGAGGAUGUCUGGUGUGGUUCAAAAAGGUGUGCAGCAUUGCAUCCGCGGAGGACGGGAUGUGAGUUUUUGAUUUGAUAGUUGGAUUGAUGUUGGGGUUAUUUUGGCGGAGUUAGUUGAUCAGGUAGGUUGGGAUUGACGACUAAUUGGAUUGUACAGGAUGCGGUGGAUUCUAUAGGAAAUUGGGAUUGAGAGUGUUUGGAGGGUCUUCUUCUACGAGUAGCUCGAGAGAUGAUGGUGGUAUGCUGCCUCCAACUAGUGAUGAGGAGGAUGGUUUAUUUGGGGUCUUGAUUUCAAAGGGCCAUUCUCUGUUAAAAUUGCUUAUAAUCUCAUUGCAGGAAUCCAACAGGACAUGCUCAACCGGUUUGGAGAAUAAAUUUGGAGAUGGAAGGGGUCUAACAAAAUUAUUCACUUUCUCUGACUUGCUUUUCAGUGCAAGUUGUUUGCUAAUGUGGAGCGUUAUCAUAUGCAGAUUACAAACAACAAUACUUGUAGUGUUUGCAAGGGAACACCUGAGACAAACAUUCACCUUCUGUGUGACUGUCCACUCGCAAAUGCACUUUGGUGGUCGAUUAUGGGCUCUGAUAUUUGGCCUAAUUUUUUUAUGAUGACUUUGAGACUUGGCUUAUCCGUGGGAUUUCUCAUCCGACAAGAGCCCUUGAUUUUGGGGUCAUUUGUUGGCUUUUUUGGAAGAAUCGUAAUGAGGUUCUCUUUCAGAAUGUCUUUGUUUCCUGCGAUCAGAUCCAUCUAUGAGUCCUUUUUGGAUCACCAGGUUUCGAGAGAUAAUGAAAGUGGAGGAUAGAGCCUUUCCAGAGGUAAUCCCGAUGAGGGAAGAAGUGCUUAUUGGAUGGAAUGCAACGUCAAGUGGUUAUAUUAUAGUCAACACAGAUGGAUCCAUAAUUCAGCCUAAUGGCACUGCGGCGGCCGGGGGAGUUAUUCACAAUUUUAUUGGUAUGGUAUUGCAUUCCAUUGCAGCUAAUCUGGAUAUAUGUACAAUUACAAGAGCUGAACUUCGUGACACUAUCUAUGGUCUGCAACUUGUUUGGGAUCAAGGUUUUCGUAAAGUCAAUCUUCAAUUUGAUUCCAAAUGUGCGAUUUCCAGAAUGAUCAAGGAAUCCUCAGAUGAUUUCAGACAUUUGUCAUGUAUUCUUGAAGCUAAACAGCUCCUUGACAGAGAUUGGGAUGUGCGUAUCACGCCUACCUUUUGUGAAAGCAAUCGUGUUGUGGAUGCCUUUGCCCACUAUAAGCACUCCCUUCCAUUUUGUUAUAGUUAUGAUUUUAUUCAUACCUCUACAAUUGUUGAUUGUAUUCGUACAGAUAUGAUUGGGGUUUCACUUCCCCGUAUUAUUCCGAUAAAUGGAUAGGACUAAUACCCCACUUUUUCUUAAAAAAAAAAGAAAUUUGGGUGAUUUCUUUCAUGAAUGCAUUUCUUAACUAAUAAAUAUUAAAAAUUGGGUGGAAAUUAAAAGAAAAUUUUGGUACCAUGAUCAUUAAACGUUAAGGUAAUUAUUAUGAUAACCAAGGUCAUUGGUCAACCAAUUUAGUGAUGAUGCAUGUGCAUAUGGAAAUAUUCUCAUAAUGGAACAUAUAUGUAAUUAUUAAUAAGAGAUACAAAUAUUUAAUUUGGUAUACUAAUGAUUGAUUCACUUCUAUUUUUCAAUUUUAUUUUCUUACCAAUUCUUUUAACGAUAAAUAAUUAUGUCCUUCAUUUAUAUAAAUUUGGUGUUUAUAUUUUCAUCCUCCAAAUUAUUCUCUUACUUAAAUUUACGGUCACAUGAAUUAUUGUCUUACCAUGACCCGUCACUUAUCGAGAGGUUUGAAUAUCAUGUUUGCAUAGACGUCGAUUUGUGUUCUUGAACGUGAAAUGAAUUUGAAACCGCAAUUCCAAUAUGGAACAUAGACUAUUUUGUCAUUAAGCAAUGAAUGCAGUCAUAUGAACACAAUGAAGUGGUCACUUUCUAAACAUCAUGAUCACAAACCAAACAAGUUAAUUAAGAAAUUAAUAAAGGGUGAAUAUUAUUAAGCAAAACAACACCAAAUGAAAGCAACUUUAACCAAACUUACACACACAACAAGGAAUUAAUUAACAUAAAGCCAGCCCAUCCCACGCUGCCAUAUAUAUUACUAAAAAGUACUCCAAAAGCAACAAAACAACAAAAUAGCCCCAAAGUUACCCUCAACGUUCCAUUUCCUGCCCAACUUUUACAUUAAACCCCAAAAUUCCCCUCUUAUUAAAAUUUCCCACUAAUAUAAUAAUUAUGGCAAAUUAAUUCACCAGGAACACAUCCGCCGCCGCCGCAGAUUCCAUACUCAUGGCCUGAUUCAUCACCGCCGAGUUCACCGGACUCCAAAAGCAGCCGCCGUGAUGCUCCGCCAUCAUUCCAGCCAUGUCAUACUCAUACCCAAACCCUCCUCCACCGCCGCAGCCGCCGACUGCAUCAGCGGCCGGAGUGAGGAACUGGAGGAUCUCGUUGAGGGAAUCGAGGCGGUUGCCGAGCUCGCCUACCUGAGCCCUCAGUACCGAAUUGUCUGCGUCGAGGGACAGGAAAUGCUGGGUGGUGACGCUGAUGCUGGCGACAAUCUGGCCGUUCUCUUUCCUGAGCUGAUCAACCUGGGCCGUCAGAUCGUCGAGGUGUUUCUGCUUUCGCAUCCUCUUCUGCUUCCUCAUCCUCGACCUCCUCGCCGACUCCCUGUUCGACACCAUCCUCUUCCUCUUCCUCUCAUCCAUCAAAGCCUGGAGGUCCGAGUCCGACCCGGCCGAGUUGUUGCUCACCGGCGACGACGUCGCCGACGAUGUGCCGCUCGAAGACGCCAUUACAGAUUUUUUUUUUCGAAACCGAACAAUUUAAAAAAAGAGAAGCUAAUUAAUUAAAUAAAAAGUUGAUUACUUUACUUUAUAAGGGGAUGGCAAAAGGGAAAUUAAAGGUUGUUAUGAAACAUAGUAGAGGAAGUAAAGGAAGACGACUGAGAAAGAUUGAACGAGAUGAGUCCUUCGCCGGAAAGUGGAAUUUAUCAUACAACGGAGAAGGAACAGUUCACUAAGAAUUGAAGACAUGAAUCUCUAGACUAUGCAUCAAGCUAAGCCGUCCUUUUCAACUCCUUUUUUUCUCACAAUCAAACCACAGUCAAGAUUCCGUCGAAACAGAGGAUGGGAAAAACAGAGCAAGGGGAAAGUGAACCCAGAUCGGGGAAAUUGGAACAGGAAUGAAGAGGGUUGGUGGAUUGGUUGAAAAAUGAAGAGGGUUGGUGGGGAAAGUUGGAACUCAGAUGAGAUUCCGGCGAUCGGAGAAAUCGAAACAGAGGGGGGUGAAAACAGAGGGAAGGGAAGGGGGGGGGGAAGAAGGGGGGGAGAAAUGAAGAGGGGUUGAGGGGUGAAUUUAUAGAAGGGGGAGAUUGCUGGACUGGUUUAAAGAAUUAUUAUGAAGGGAGGAGGAAAAAAUCUGGAAAAGGAAUUGAGAAAGUAAAGUGGUGGGGAGAGAGAAAGGUGAUGGAGACAUGUGGGGUGGUGAAGAAGGAGAGAGAAGAAGAGUCCAGAGAAUACAGGAGGGAACACAGCUGGGAAGCAACAGUGAUACACAUGAGAAGGGAGGGAGGAGGAAGAAGAAGGAGGAAAAGAAAUAAGAGGGAAUAGUAGUAGAUUUGAGAUGGUGUAAUAUAUUAUAUCGAAUUAUAUAAAAUUUUAAAUAUUUUAUGUUAUAUAUAAAAGAAUAUUAAUAAAUCGAAAAUAUAAAAAAAAAUUAUAUAUUUUAAAUUUUGAAAAUACACUAGAUAGAGAUUCGAAAGGAUCCUAUACCAGAGAGAUUUUUUUUUUGCAUUGCAUCAAUUGUUUUUAACAAAGUCAUUGCAUCAUUUCUUUUGAUUGUUUUUGUUGUUGGUGGUGGGGGUGGGGGGGGGGGGAGGGGCCUUUGAUGUUGGUGUUGUUGUGUUGUGUGAUGAUGAUUUGCUAACUCAAAAUCUGGUGUUGGCUGUAUUUGGAUGCAAUCAUGUUGGUACUAUGUGGUUUUUGUUGUUCAUGAGAUCAUGGGUGAAGGUACCAAGCUGGGAUUUUGUUUGUGGGGUUUAUAGGUUUUUUCGAGAAGGAUGAUUGAGUAGUGUGACUCAUAUCUAUUGUUUUUUUAGAUGCCUCGGUAGCUGAAUUGGUUGAGCCUAUCGGAAUAGUUGAUGGGUUUUUCAACAAAGAUGAUCGAGUAGUGCGACUCACAUAUGUUGUUUUUCAUGCAAUUCAUGAUGUAUUUGGUGUGUGUUGCAACAUUGUCAAUGCUUCGACAGAGUGCAAUUCAUCCACUUUCAUCCAAUUAUGGGAAGAUAAUAUAGCAACUUUCUCGUUUUAAAAUACAUUUUUCAAAUUAGGAGAUGUUUGAAAUCUAUAUGUGAACUUCAAAUUUUAUGUGUGAUCAUGAGAUAAAAAUACGAUAAAUAGUGUUUACAAGUAAAAAUAUCACCACUUUUAUAUAGAAAUUACUUAGCUUUUUAAGUUAUAAAAAGCACAUUAAAACCUUACAUUGUUUUUAAUUUCACAAAUUUAAUCAAAUCACCGGCUAAUUCUAACAAUAAAGAUUUACAUUAGGAGAUAAAUUUUAUUUUAUUGAGCAACUAUUCAUGAACAUGUUAACAAAAGAAUUAUCCUUAAACACAUACAUAUGUGUAUUGACAGAUCGGAAGAGCGUCGCAAAGGGUACAUAAUCCUGUUUGUUAAUGGAAAAAAUAAAAUUACAGACUAAAAAAUAAAAUCACAAAUCGCACUCCUGAAUAUUUUAUAAAUCUUGCACAUCCCCAGAUGUUGCCUAAAAGUUACCAAUGGAAUCAGAAAUUAAUGAAACAAAACAAAUAAAAAUAAUAAUUAAAACAGCCAGAAAUUGAGACCCAAUUUGAGCCUUUUGGGCUUAAUAUGCAUUGUGGUCAUCAACCUACUGGUUCAUAACUAUCUAGUCAUCGAUAUUUAAAAAGUAAUAUACAUAUGACUAACCUGUUUCAAUUGUAAUACAUGGUUAAUCUCGUCAAUGCUCCACCCAAAAAUUUUGUUAAUCCGACUAACCACAAUGCAAAAAAUGUCCACUUCACCCCCUUGGUAUGCAAACUAUUGUAUCUUUUAGAUCCAACCUAUUCAAUUGAUUUGAGUUGGAAGGUUUCAAGUGGAUUGAUUAAAUUAGAUUGUAGGUCUAUACAUAUGUGUUAAGUUAGAUUUCUUGGAAUGAAUUAUAUCUCUGAUGAAAUACGUGAUAUGGAAGGAGGACGGCGUUUUUUGAAAUUAGAAAUUAAUAUGGUGAUUUGUCAACGAAAAAGAUAAUCGAUUAGUUAUAAUAGGUUUCAAUUGUUUGAUGACCACAAUGGAUAUUAAGUAUAUAUACUUAAUAUUCUUGGGGUAAAAAUGGUCCACCGACGAUGUACUGACAACACUGAGUUGCUUAGAAUCUUGCAAAUCUAGGGAUGUAGGUCUGUCAUUAUUUUAUUUUUAUUAAAAUUUUAUUUAAUUUUAUUUUGGGUAUCUGAGCUCAUCAUACAAAGGAAUUUCAAUUUUUUUAAUUAUUACAAAAGGGUCCUCUUUAUUCUUCAUUUGUCUAUGAGAAGUCCCAUUACUCCAUAUGGCCCAUGUUUUGGUACCUUUGGGCGGUUUGGGGGUCACCUCCCCCACUAUUUGAUGUCUAAUUUGUUAGUCGUACAACCUAACCAUUGAAGUGGUCCACAUUCGAAAAUGAAAAUCGAUAUCGAUGUGGAUAAUUGAAUAUAUUGUUAUAUUGGUAUGUGUUAUGGCAUCGAAUCACUAUCUACUCUUAACACAAUAUUGUUGAGCGGUUAACUAACGACUGCAACUUCGCAACACGGUAAUAUAGUGCAGUUGGUUUAAUCACCUAACCAAAUCACUGCCUACUCUUAACACAAUAUUGUUGAGUUGUUCACUAAUGAUUGCAAAUCCGCAACACGAUUAUGUAAUGUUGUUGGUUUAAUCGCAUAACCAAAUUACUCAAAAAAUAUAACAAUUUAUCGACCGGGAAUCUUCAACAUUGACCAAAAAAAUUAUAUUUUACAAAGCUAACACAUAAUAUCAACUAGAACUCCAUUGUAACUAAUUUAUGUAGAAUAAAUGAGUUCGACUCCUCUUUCUAUUUAGCCCUUUAAAUUUUUGGGUUUGCGGUGUUAUGGCUAAUUAUAGUCAACUACAUCCAUUUUCGUUCUAACCGCUAACCACAAUUUCUAUAAAACGAGUGUUGUAAUGGAACCCAACUCAAUCUAAUUUAGUCCUUCAAAUUAUAAGCUCAUGGAUUCUCUUAUGUGUGUAUCUAAGUCUCCCCAAUGACAUAUUCUACAGAUUUCUCCUACCUUCAAAAUUCAGACUUAAUAAUCUUGACAAAUUAAACAAAACUAAUCAUUAACNNNNNNNNNNNNNNNAUCAUAAGCCAAACAUUUUAGACCGUUUGAUUUAAUUCCAUCACAUAAUUCUUUCGAAAACAAUAAUGUUACAACACUCAUACCAUAAUCAUCUUAUACCGAUCCGGAAUCCAUCCGGUAAUUCCAAUUUAUCAUUAAAGUUUUUUCAUGUACAUAGGAUUUGCAUUCAAUGCAUCUAAGCUAUUCAAUUGCCAACAUUUUUUCCAAAAAAUUGUGCGGGAUCCUAUUUCUAAUCCACGAUCCCUUUCCCCUUGCCUUUAAGAUUUGAUUCCAAGGAGUUAACAGUUGGGUUGAUAAAGAAACAAAAUUAAAGGUGGAUACUUUCUUUUGNNNNNNNNNNNNNNNNNNNNNNNNNNNNNNNNNNNNNNNNNNNNNNNNNNNNNNNNNNNNNNNNNNNNNNNNNNNNNNNNNNNNNNNNNNNNNNNNNNNNNNNNNNNNNNNNNNNNNNNNNNNNNNNNNNNNNNNNNNNNNNNNNNNNNNNNNNNNNNNNNNNNNNNNNNNNNNNNNNNNNNNNNNNNNNNNNNNNNNNNNNNNNNNNNNNNNNNNNNNNNNNNNNNNNNNNNNNNNNNNNNNNNNNNNNNNNNNNNNNNNNNNNNNNNNNNNNNNNNNNNNNNNNNNNNNNNNNNNNNNNNNNNNNNNNNNNNNNNNNNNNNNNNNNNNNNNNNNNNNNNNNNNNNNNNNNNNNNNNNNNNNNNNNNNNNNNNNNNNNNNNNNNNNNNNNNNNNNNNNNNNNNNNNNNNNNNNNNNNNNNNNNNNNNNNNNNNNNNNNNNNNNNNNNNNNNNNNNNNNNNNNNNNNNNNNNNNNNNNNNNNNNNNNNNNNNNNNNNNNNNNNNNNNNNNNNNNNNNNNNNNNNNNNNNNNNNNNNNNNNNNNNNNNNNNNNNNNNNNNNNNNNNNNNNNNNNNNNNNNNNNNNNNNNNNNNNNNNNNNNNNNNNNNNNNNNNNNNNNNNNNNNNNNNNNNNNNNNNNNNNNNNNNNNNNNNNNNNNNNNNNNNNNNNNNNNNNNNNNNNNNNNNNNNNNNNNNNNNNNNNNNNNNNNNNNNNNNNNNNNNNNNNNNNNNNNNNNNNNNNNNNNNNNNNNNNNNNNNNNNNNNNNNNNNNNNNNNNNNNNNNNNNNNNNNNNNNNNNNNNNNNNNNNNNNNNNNNNNNNNNNNNNNNNNNNNNNNNNNNNNNNNNNNNNNNNNNNNNNNNNNNNNNNNNNNNNNNNNNNNNNNNNNNNNNNNNNNNNNNNNNNNNNNNNNNNNNNNNNNNNNNNNNNNNNNNNNNNNNNNNNNNNNNNNNNNNNNNNNNNNNNNNNNNNNNNNNNNNNNNNNNNNNNNNNNNNNNNNNNNNNNNNNNNNNNNNNNNNNNNNNNNNNNNNNNNNNNNNNNNNNNNNNNNNNNNNNNNNNNNNNNNNNNNNNNNNNNNNNNNNNNNNNNNNNNNNNNNNNNNNNNNNNNNNNNNNNNNNNNNNNNNNNNNNNNNNNNNNNNNNNNNNNNNNNNNNNNNNNNNNNNNNNNNNNNNUUUUACUUUUAGGUGUAUUUUGUUAUUUCGAAUAUGUUUUUAUGAUGAAUAUGGAGAUUUUUUUUUUAAUUUAGUGAUAGUCUUAAAAAUAUGUAUUCCAUAUUUGAAGAAUAUAAGGAAUUUAGAAAAACUAAAACUAUUAUUUUCUACAAAAUAUUAUCUUUAGUGUUCAUAAGUGACAUUCAAAAAAACCAAGACAGAAAAUUAUGAAACUAAAAAUAUAUAGCAUGUCUUGGGUCGGAGUAGUUGCGGUUUUCAAGACGGCUAAAAUGCUAAAAUUACAUUUAGCAUCCUUCUAUUAUACACAGAGGGUUGCGAUUAGCCCAUUACAUUGAUAAUGAAUGAGUAAACCCCAAAAUUUGAUGAUAUCCUAUCUUAGAGAUCUUUACAAUAAAUUUACCAUAGUGAUUUCUUUAUUUUGGUUAUAAUCAAUAAUUUAACCAUUAUCUAUACUUAAUUACCCAUACGUUGAUAUGUGAAAACAGUCGAACGAUAUAUUGGAUGUUAUAGGCACCUCCAAUUUUGCGGCUUAAUUAUUAUAAAAAAAAAGUAUUGUUUUACAUCCUAUAUGUAAUUUUGAGAUUCUAUGACAAAGGAGAUCGUACUAGACUAGCUAAUCAUCCGGACGAACAAAAUUAGCAAAUCUUGAAUAUUUUAAUAUCGAUUUAAUCGUACAAACCAUCGUAACGAAUUCAAAGGAAACCUUUGAGUCCAUUUUGGCUACUUGUAGUGCAUCCAACUUUUAUUCAUGGCAAAUAGGGUACGAUGAAUUCCAACAAAAUGUGCUUAAAUCCAAUUUGUUUGAACCGAUUUUGCCUUCAUGGCGAAGUAAUUAAAGUGUAUGAUAACAUGGUGGGCACACUACACAUAAAUUUGAGGGGAAAGGGAAACAUUAAAGGACUUGUUUGGUGCGUACAAACAAGUUGCUGUUCUUAACUCUUUCUUUCAAUUGGUCAAAAUCUAUUAACCGGCCAUUUCCGUUACCUAUCGAUCAGAUUGAUAUCGUGAUUUUUCGUAUGUAAUCGGUAAGAAAUUAACAAUCGUUCGAAACAUGAUGAUCCCACCUAAUCGACUCCCCAAUAUUUUGUUAGACUUUGUCAAAAUUAAAUCAGUCAAUUGCUCAAUAUAUACUCUUAUCGAUCAAAAAUAUUCAACCGUCUAGUAAGAUAAUCGAAGGUUAAGAAAAUGAUCCCAAUUUAGUUAUUAUCUACCUACCGACUUCAUGAAUCUUUUGUACCCACUUAUUUUUUUAUUUUAUUCUUUUUUCUAAAUUUGUAGGGACACAAAAGAUUUGAAUCGACAUUUUUACCACUCAUUUUAUUUCUUAGUAACUUUUGAUUGUGCAAUUGUUGCCAAUGUGAUGAAAAAAUGUACUUUUAACAAAGGAUUUUGCUUUUGUGGUGGGUGUGGGAAAUGUGAGGUUGGGAUUUCUCAUCUUUUUAUCUCAAGUAGGGUUUGCUUACAUCUUUGGAUCUUGGGGGAUGAAGAAGGAUUACCUUAUCGUGACAACACCUUAUUUGUUCUAUUGUGGGGAUAAGUUUCAAAUACAUUCAACAAGUUUUUCAUUGUGUUUCAAUUGGUUUCAACAAUGUUUUCAAUUGUAGUUUUACUAUAAGAGUGAUUCUAACUAAUUAAUUAAUGGGUCAUUUCGGUACGUAGGUGAUUUUGACAGGUGUUUUCGAGGUGAUUCGGUCCUCCGAUGAGAUUUCGGUUUAAAUCACCCGUUUGAGACAUCAAAAGAGAAGAGAUUUGGGGAGAUUUGAAACCACCUUGCGGGUUUGGAGAGAAUUUCGUGGGUGAUUUCAAAUUACUCAGGAGAGGUAGAGAUUUCGGAGAAGAGAGAAGAGAUUUGAGAAUUUUAACCAAAAUUACCUCUUAUUUCUUUUAGUAAUUGAUAUGAUCAUAAAUAAACUGAAGACAUUUUCGUUUUUUUUUAAUUGUUUUUUUCCUCUUUUCACACUAAUUGCAUUCAAAAUCACUCACAAAUUACCCAUCCAAAUAAUCUAUUUCGAAAACAACAAAAUUUAUUUAAAUAUCUUUUAUUUCAAAUUACCUACCUACAUAAACUACCUUUAAAACUUAAUCAAAGUAAUUGGAAUAUGCUAUUAAGGCGAUAAUGGAUAAAUUAUCUUACUUUACGAUAUCCAUACUUUAACAACAUCAGUUUGUUUUGCAUUUGAACGAAGUUGUGUUGGUUUAAUCAUCUUAUAUAUUAAUUGAUUUAUUGGGAUAUCAUUAUUUGUCACAUCAACAAAAUGUACAUUGUGUUGUUGACGGGAUUGUUGUAACUGAGAUCCUUACUUUUUUGAUAACGUGCCUAUAUUUGCGGGUAAAAAGAAUCUGAUAUGUCGUUAAUCAAACUAUAUAUAAUGUAACGAGACAGGUCAGGUAGAGGCCAACCUUACGGUCUGAAUUGCGGUUAGUCUUUGGUUGCUUUGGAGCUAUGACAAAAAAAAUUACAAAAUUUUCCUAGCAGAUUAAACAAUCCCCAAAAUUAAUGGGGUUACACUGACCCGAUACAUAUUUCUUAUGGGUGUUACUCAGCCCAAGCCCAGUUCUUGACAGCCACGAGGCCCAUUCUUAAGAGGCCUAAUCCGUUCCGAAUUUAAAUUUUAAACAACUUUGUUUUACUGCUUCCUCUAAUGAUCGAACCAGGGACCAUCACAAAAUAAUCCAAUUUCCCUUUUCCCUUUAAUUUAUGGGAAAAACCCUUGCUCCUCCUGGUAGUGUUCCCCAUCUCCCGCGCUUCGUGCUCAGACGACCAAGCUCAUCGGAGGUAAACCGAUUCGUGCUCAUCGGUGCUAGCGUCCUCGUUCGUAAUCAAGUCGUCGUAUGUACCCUCCAUUUCUUGCAUUCUAAACACGAGUGCCCUCGAUUUAGGUUUUCGCUGUAGAACCAGCCGGAAUCGUCAAUGGAUUCUGAGUUGGAUCCUUUCAUAGACGAGUUCGACGAGCCGGCUGCUCCCCGCGGUAAGCCCUACCUCGUUUUGGUUUGAUGAUUUUCGCGUAUCGGAACGCUUCUCUUUUGUUUUUUGGCUUAUGGAUUGAUGUCUGAAAUGCGUGUGUAGCUAAGCCGGCGGUGAAGUUCCAACCGAAGGCUCGGCCUAGGAAGGGCAAGGCUACUUCCUCCGCCGCCGCCGCGCCUCCAGUUUUUGCACCACCACCACCACCACUUCCUCCUGCCGAUAUUACUGUCAGUGCUGACGUAUUUCUGGAAACGGAUGCUGUCCACGAUCUGGUAACUCAGCCCACAGGUAAACCGUCAAGAUUGCGGAGAAUUUGUGAAUUGACUUAAUUUAUGGCUCAGCUUUAAGAUUAUGAGUUGUAAUGUGGAAGGGUUUGUCUUCAACUACAGGUGAUUCGAUUCGCUCUGCAAAUGAAGAGGUUUUGGUACCCGCUUCUAUACAAGAGUCUGUUGUUUUCUCAGCAUUCGGAGGCGAGACGGAGGCCAAAGAUCCAGUAGCGAGUGAGACGGUGGAUGGACAUGUUGAUAGUGAUAGGCUGCAAUCAGAGGUGAAGAUCUUUGUAGUUCGUGAGUCUGCAUUUUCUUUCCUUAACACUUUGAUUUCUGCAUUGAUUGAUUCGAUGUGUAUCGCCCUCUUUUCAGGACUUGAGAGAAAGGACAGAUGUCGUGUCUGAGCCUGUUGUUGAAUCAGGUAAGCUAAUCGUAAUGUUUGUGCAGUUCUUGUCUUCUUCAUGUCUUAUUGGUUUUAUUCUCUAAAGAACACCUGAACUGAUUCUUGUGAUAUAAAAAAGUAGGCACAGAGGAGAAUCCUCAGAAUGAUAACGUCUUCCUUGAUGAUGUUGAGUCUCUUGUUCCACCAGAGAGUAGUUUUGUCGCUCCUUCAGAAGCCAGACAUGAAAGUGAGGGCACAAUGCCUGCAGCAGAAGAGGAAUAUGUUUAUGAUCUAUCGUCCUUGGGCUUCGACGAUUUUGUUCCUUCAGCUACUGCUGCCUCUGAGCUCCCAAUGAACUCAGAACAGACGGGUGAUGAGCAAACAUGUGUUUUGAACGAGGCAGGCAAAAAUUCAAGGGAGGAUGCUCCUGAAGUGGUGAAAAAGGUAAUGUCGUUUGAAAUGUAAGUAAGAUGCUAUACGACGCAUUUGUUACUAUGGUUGUAACCUGUUUCUCUCUCUCUCUCUCUUAUCAGAAUCGAGACAACAAUGAAAAGACUCUGGAGAAGUCCAAGACUUCUUCAUUAGGUAGCGACGGGAGUGUCGGCAAGCUCUCGAUGCAGUUGAGGAAGCAAUCAGGUGGUUUAGCUCUCAACGAGUCUGAUUCUGUGAGUGUUCACGAUGAUAGCAGCUUCCUUUUUGAAGCACCUGAAUGCCUUGGUACGAAUGGAGACGAUGAUUAUGAAUAUCGGAUCGAGGAUUCUGAGGAUGAUGGAAAUGUUGAUGCUGGCGGGGCAAGCACUUCCAAGAAAAAGAAAGCUGCUAAAAGGUCAAAGAAAUCAGCUUCCAGUGAAGAGAAGCCUGGUCGAAAGCGCAAGAAAGCCAGUGACACAUCAGAACAGUCGGAGCAGAAGCAGCUGAAGAAGAAAUUUUCCCAUUCAACUCGCCGAAAGAAAAGAUAUCGUAAGUUCGAUACUCUAUUAAAUAUGUGUCACUGUUUCGUUUCUUGAGAAUGAUUUGAUCUUUUUAUACAGGAAAUGAUGAGUUGCUUAAGGUGCCCGAAGAUGAAAUAGAAUUCCGGAGCUUGACCAUGCGGGAUAUCAUUUUUCUUGCUGAACACAAAGAACGGUUAGCUGUGAGUUUAUCGGUUGCACUAAAUCACCAUAGAUGCUUAAGUUACUGCUACUAGGAUUAAUCUCAUUAAUGCUAAUUGUUUGCAAAACCCUUCUUGCAGGCUAAAGAUGCCAAAGCUUCUUUGCAAACUCCUUCGACUGAUAAAAAGUAAGAAGUCGUUUGUGAUCAGUGGAAGGCUUUCUCUGAGCUGUUCAACUUGUUAAAUUAAUCGUGCUCACCUCGGAACCAUUUGUCUCAUCUUGUUUAAAUGUUUUACCCUGUGCAGCACCGAGGAAGCCAACGAUGAAGAGGAUAACUCCGAGUCCGAGGAACCUGUAGACGUAUAUGAAACCCCUUUAUUCAACAGCCAUUCUUUCAUGAAUAGGACGCCCACCAUGCGAUGGUCAAAACAGGAUACUGAUUUAUUUUAUGAGGUAUAAACAUCUCUCUACAAUAAAUCCAUCGCAGAAAUUAUCUUCUGCUUUCUUUAUGCUUUCGAAGCUUCAAUAUUGUUGAUUGGUGGAAUUAAACCCUUGUAUGUGUGAUACAUAGAACUUAAUUGUGAUGCAUUAUGCUUGUUCUGGGUUUUCAGGGAAUUCGACAGUUCGGAUCCGAUCUGUCAAUGGUACAACAACUGUUUCCGGAGAGGACUCGCCGACAAAUCAAGAAUAAAUUCAAGACUGAAGAGCGCCGACAUCCAUUCUUACUUUCUGAUGCUCUGCAAAAUCCCAACAGUGGUAAUGUUCUUUACCAUCACUGUGAAAGCCUUUUUCACGCCAAAUUGCUAGUUGAAUAAUAUAGCAGCAUCCCUAUCUUUUGCAGAUACUACGUAUUUUGAAAAGGUGUAUAAUAAGCUGGCGCAAGCUGCAGCUGAUGAAGGAAGAGAGCCUCUCGAUCUUACCGGAGAAAAAGAAGCAGAUUUGAAUCUGGAAACUAAUGUAUGCUUGCAGCCCGCUUCGAUUCCAAUCAGAAACUAAUUUGCUUAUUUUCUUCUAAUCCAUGUGUAAGCGCCUGUAUUGUUGCAGGAGGAACCAGGAAAAAACUCGGAGCAGGACGAGCAGGUAACGGGUCAAGAUCCUGGAGAUAACCCUGAUGAAGCCCAUAGUAAUGAGAAGAUCGAGGAGGAAGAAGAGGUCGAGGACGAGGAUGAUCUAUUUAGCUCAUAUAAAUGUGAAUUCUGAAGCAACAAGCUAAACAUAUUGUAGCUGUAUUAUUAUCGAGUCGAACGAUGAAACUAGAUAGCUUGAAACAGUGGCUAGUGAAUGAAACAGGUAUUAGGUUCCUUCUCUUAUUACUUGCAUCAUAGUUCUGACCCUCUAUUUGUGCUCUAACACCCUACUUUUGUUUCAGGGUUACAAAUGGUCCUUCGGGAAAGAUCAGCGAUGAUUAUCGAAGAACGAGAGAAUGAGUUUGCAUGGAGCGAUCAUCGAAGUAGAUUUGAGUCUUCAACAUUGGAGUAGCUCAUGUACCAUCGGAUUAGAAGGGCUAUUAGUGUUCUAUUUGCAUCUUGAAAUUUAGAAGAAAAACGUACAUUUCAAGAAUCUACAAACACAUUUUGAAUGGUAGUCCUUGCGUUGCUACAGCGAUAGACCGUAAAGAUGCAAGGAUUUGAGCACGAAAACGACGAUCAAAUGGGUGCAGAUUCAAUAUCAACUAUUAAUUGAUGGGUUUACUUGCUUGUGAAGUAACAAACUAGCAACCUUACACAAUCUUGUACAAUGCAGUCUUUCCAUUGCAAAACAUUUAAUACUCUUGUCCAGUUAUCCGGAACAACUUUGGGUCACGUGAUUUUCUGGAGAACAAUGCACCAAUUCGAUUUGUCGAAGAACUGAUCGACUAUGACUGCAUUCUUGAUACCAGAUGUCAACCUGAAACAACAAAAGGUGAGAACAACACCCUAUAGCCGAAACGAAUGCAGAAGGCAAAAGUGGUUGAUGAAACCUGACCAAGUACCUUUCGAGUUCUCCUUCGCUAAAGACGUGAUAGUAACGGUUGUAGACAACCGCACCCUUCUUGUCAUCUUUCCUCGCCAAGCCGGAGGCCACAGCAGAUGCAGAAGCCCUGCCAACUUCAGCUCGAUGAUACGGCAGAUGCCAAGGCACAAAAUACUCGUGCUGACUUUCAUCCUCUCUCGAAACCACAUCAUCAUCUACACUACUUCCACCUGACUCCGGGAUGCUUUUCAAAGUCCUCUCAUCGUGCAUUUCCUUCCCUUCCGCUGAUUCGGGGAUGCUUUUCAAAGUCGCGGAUGAAGGGCUCCGAACUCGAGGACUCCCCGGUCCGAUCCAUUCCUCGACAUACUUAUCAUUAAGAGGCGUCCACUUCGUAAGCAGUGACCGAUCCUCUUGCUCGGCAGCCCAGACAGUUAUCAACACAAGUCCACCCUUCUUCACAACCCUAACCAACUCCUCCACCGCCUUCUUCCUCCUGACCUCGGUGCUCAAAUGAUGCAGCACCGCAAUCGAAAUCGCAGCAUCGCCAAACCCGUCUCGGUAAGGAAGAUUCACAGCAUCCGCAACCAGAACCUCGCUCCCUCGAUCCACACAAAUCUUGAUCAGCGGGACGCUGAUAUCGCACCCGAUGAAACAGCAAUCCUGAUUCAACCCUAGAUACUUCCCAUUCCCGCACCCUGCAUCGAGCACGAGCGAUCCGACAGGCAAAUUGUUAAGGAAAGACGCCACCUUCUGCCAUUUCGCAAACCUCGUGGAGCUGAAAUGAGGGGCAAUAGCGUCGUAAACUCGGUGCACAUACUUCUUUUCGAUCUCCGGGGUCGAGCCGAUACAUGAAGCUGCCUGGUGAUCUUCAGCAUUGGAGCAGAAGCUGGCGGCAGAGCUAGUCACCUUGAUUUCCUUCAUCGGUUUUGAGAUCUGAGCAGCUAGUAAACCGUAUGAUGAACUACUUGCCCUAGUCCUAAUCGCAUCCGCUACCCCCCGCCUGAAAUUGUACUCUCCGAUGAAAUGACAACGAAUUGAACAGCUUUUUUCAGCUUUCUAAACUUGGAAUCGUUGGGUUGGAAUCUGAUUACUGCUGAAAUCAAUAACAUGAACAAAGGAAACUGAAAAGCUUACCGGCUCUGGCCGUUUGGAUCUGCAGCGAUGACGACUGAAUCCCUUAAUCACUUUCUUAUCUAAUCUGCGGCGAUCUGAGAGGGAGUGGAGUGGGGUGGAAUUGAAAUUAGGGUUUUUGGAAAAUUAAAAAAUUGAUGAUGAUUGGGAUAUCUUGGGAACUGGGUGUAUUAUUGUACAGCUACUGAGCUUAGCAAAAGAUUUAAUUAUUAUUUUAUUCGCGGGGGCUAUACAAGUUCUGUAUCCAUACCGUAUUGAUAUGAGUAUACCGAGUGGACACGAUUCUUUUGUUCUUUUGCUUCAAGGAGCACUACAAGAAUCAGUGCGGCUAACUACGGAAACUUACCGCGGAUAGAAAAUCGCUGUUAAUCGUCAGAAAUAACGACGGUUAUAGUGAAUCCUAACACUUUAAGAUUGGAUGGUCAAUGUUUAUUGAUUUGAGUGUAGUAACAAGUUUAAUAAGUAUAUACCGUUGGUCAUUUACUUUGUGUAACUCGAUGUUUCUCCUCCACACAAUCUCCUUCACAUCGUCUAUUUUUACUAAUAUAGUUUGUUUUACUACACAAUGCAUUGAGUUGUCAAUUAUUUCUUAUGAUAUCCAAAUCAAGAUGAAGCUUCACUGCCAAGUCAUUGUCUCCGCAAUUGCCGCAAUAUUGGCCUAAGACGUCUUAGUCGAUUACUAAAGUGGCAAUUCAAUGUAGAGACAUCAAUAAGCAGAGGGUAAGUUAACGACGAAAUGAUAUGAUGAUUUGACAAUCUAACAAGGAAAUGAAGACUGAAAAAAUAAACUAGACGACUAAUUUGAUUCCGAUUCCUAAUCAGUAUGGGGAUGAAUUUAGAAAAAAAAAUUUAAAUCAUUACUUAAUAUAUACCAACCGAAUAAAUAAANNNNNNNNNNNNNNNNNNNNNNNNNNNNNNNNNNNNNNNNNNNNNNNNNNNNNNNNNNNNNNNAUUGUAAUAAAUAGAAAAAGCAAAAAAAAUGAUUAAUUUGAAAAAUAACCCCUAGCCAGUAAAUUAAAGUAGUAGUCGGUGGAGUGGAAAUCAAAUGUUAAUUAAAUUAGAAACUUUUUUUAAGCAAGUGUCAACAAAUGCCAAAGAUGGAUUCCUUAGGACACAAAGUUUUUUUUCUUNNNNNNNNNNNNNNNNNNNNNNNNNNNNNNNNNNNNNNNNNNNNNNNNNNNNNNNNNNNNNNNNNNNNNNNNNNNNNNNNNNNNNNNNNNNNNNNNNNNNNNNNNNNNNNNNNNNNNNNNNNNNNNNNNNNNNNNNNNNNNNNNNNNNNNNNNNNNNNNNNNNNNNNNNNNNNNNNNNNNNNNNNNNNNNNNNNNNNNNNNNNNNNNNNNNNNNNNNNNNNNNNNNNNNNNNNNNNNNNNNNNNNNNNNNNNNNNNNNNNNNNNNNNNNNNNNNNNNNNNNNNNNNNNNNNNNNNNNNNNNNNNNNNNNNNNNNNNNNNNNNNNNNNNNNNNNNNNNNNNNNNNNNNNNNNNNNNNNNNNNNNNNNNNNNNNNNNNNNNNNNNNNNNNNNNNNNNNNNNNNNNNNNNNNNNNNNNNNNNNNNNNNNNNNNNNNNNNNNNNNNNNNNNNNNNNNNNNNNNNNNNNNNNNNNNNNNNNNNNNNNNNNNNNNNNNNNNNNNNNNNNNNNNNNNNNNNNNNNNNNNNNNNNNNNNNNNNNNNNNNNNNNNNNNNNNNNNNNNNNNNNNNNNNNNNNNNNNNNNNNNNNNNNNNNNNNNNNNNNNNNNNNNNNNNNNNNNNNNNNNNNNNNNNNNNNNNNNNNNNNNNNNNNNNNNNNNNNNNNNNNNNNNNNNNNNNNNNNNNNNNNNNNNNNNNNNNNNNNNNNNNNNNNNNNNNNNNNNNNNNNNNNNNNNNNNNNNNNNNNNNNNNNNNNNNNNNNNNNNNNNNNNNNNNNNNNNNNNNNNNNNNNNNNNNNNNNNNNNNNNNNNNNNNNNNNNNNNNNNNNNNNNNNNNNNNNNNNNNNNNNNNNNNNNNNNNNNNNNNNNNNNNNNNNNNNNNNNNNNNNNNNGUCAAAGUUAGAAUUUUUGCAUUCAAUAGAUUCUCAUGAUGAGUAAAUAUCGAUAAAUAAUUAAUCACAAUACAUAUAUGAAAAAUUACGUUGAUGAAGUCAGUUAAAUUGUUUGAACUUAUUUUUUUUGCUGAUAAGAGUCAUAGUUGUGCAAAAUGUUUAUGUAAUUCAAAAUCUAGAGGAACUUAAGUUCAAAAUUUAACAUAUAAAAAGACACUAUAAUAUGACAAACUUUCAAAUGGGGUAAUGUAUAUAGGCAAUUUUAUAAGAAGUAACAAAAUACAAUCAACAAAUGACUCAUCUUUAUGGACCAAACUACUUACGAUAGCUCGCAAUCCAUUAAACACGUAACUGUACAUAUACGAUAUAACCCAUUUGACCCAAACAAAAUAUUUUUAUAAGAUUUGUCUAAAUAAAACUAGACUCAUAAACUGAAUUAAUAAAAAUAAACUAUACUUUACAUUAUCAACCUAUAACCCGACUAAUCCGCUGUUCGAAAACCCAGCCAGCCAAACAAUAGUCAACAUCAGCCAGCAGACAUAUCUGUUAUUAUUAUUAUUAUUAUUGUAACCACCACCAAUUUUCACCUCGCCACGUGGCACUCAGGUGAAUAAAAAAACGUAUGUCGGUGGACCCUACCCGCCACCAAAUUAGGUCUCCUACUAUUAAACCAAAUUUACCCAACGCUCUUCUCCUCUCUCAUAUUUCCUUCUUCUGCCGUAAUUUAUUCAAUCGGCCACAAGAGAAAUUCGAGGUUACAGUUCCUCAAAUCUUUACAAUUUAUUCCUCUCGAAGAUCAUAUAAUCUCUAUUUAGUUUCUGUAAAUUUUGGAUUCCAAUUUCCUUUCCUCUUCACCUAAAUUUACGCUGCAAUUUUCGUCUCACCAGAUGCGUUGUUCUUGAUCGUUCGAUCUUCCUCGUGAUCGGCGCUCCCACCCACACUGACUUUCUCCUUUUGCAAUCAAUCAUAACCCCAAAUUUCAGGUUCUGAUAAAGUGGCCAAAUUUGAUUCCUCUCUGUUCUGCUGGCUAAGCAAUUUUUUAUUUUAGCUCUGAAAGUGGUGGAAUUGGCGAAGGAUACUGUUUCCCACCUGAAUUGUAAAGUUUUCUACUGCUAGGGUUCGUAAGCUUACUGCAUUUCAUCGUUUGGUCUGCUCUCUCGAUCGGGAAUUUUGGCGGUGCGGAGGAAAAACCCUAUUUCAGACUGUGGGGUGUCUUUGAACUGUUGAUUUUCGGCGAAAGAAAGGAGAUUUGAAAUGUCUGGUCCGCUCGAUCGGUUCGCUAGGCCUUGUGAGUGCAUUUUGUUGUUGUGAUUUCUGAGUUUAUUAACUUUUUUCUUGGUUGAGCUAGGGUUUUGAGCUGUUUGUUACAGUGAGUUCAGUUAUUUAGAUCGGAUUUUAGUGCUUUAUAGCUUAAUUCUGAGAUGUAGGUUCUCUGAAGUGAUUUCUGCUGGAAGAGAAGUGGUAAUUUGUUGCUGAAUGUGAUUACUGAUGAUGAGUUGUUGUUAUGGCGCGUAGGUUUUGAGGGUUCAUCAGGGGGAGAUGAAAGGAGGGAGGAGAGGAGGGAGGAGAGGAGGGAGAGGAGAUCCGAUUUUGAGAACUCCGAGGACGAGAGAAGGACAAGGAUUGGGUCGCUGAAGAAGAAGGCGAUUAAUGCUUCUACCAAGUUCAAGCAUUCUCUGAAGAAGAAGAGCAGCAGCAGGCGAAAGAGUGAUGGCCGGGUUAGCUCAGUUUCCAUCGAAGACAUACGGGACCUCGAGGAACUGCAGGCUGUCGAUGCAUUUCGCCAGUCAUUGAUCAUGGACGAGUUGCUUCCUGAAAGACACGACGACUACUACAUGAUGUUGAGGUGAACCCCCCUUGAUUAUGUGUUCCAGUUAAGAAUAAAUAGGGUUUGGUAGUUUCAUCAGUUUAGGAGGUCGAACUUUAACACUGGUUGAGUCCAGGAUCGAAUGUGAGCUGUUCUUGAACUUGCUAUGAAUCAUUAAGCAUGGUUAUAGUAUACAUAUCGUCCUGUUUUGGGAAUAAUGGUCAAGUCCACUUUCAUUAGUGUAAUCUUCGGGUGCUUGUUUGUAUUACUCUUGCUAACCCUAUUAUGUGUUUCAGGUUCUUGAAAGCUAGGAAAUUCGACCUUGAGAAAGCAAAGCAUAUGUGGGCUGAUAUGCUUCAAUGGAGGAAGGAAUUUGGUACUGAUACUAUCAUGGAGGUAAUUCCGACUGUCAAUGAGUCUGGAGUUGAUAUUAUCAGCUUCCCCUUGUUUAGAACUUCACGUAGUUUCUUUUCUUGUAUCAGGAGUUUGAGUUUCAAGAAUUAGACGAAGUUUUGAAGUAUUACCCACAUUUCUAUCAUGGCGUGGACAAAGAAGGGAGACCUAUUUACAUUGAAAGAUUGGGGAAAGUUGAUCCUCACAAACUUAUGCAAGUAACAGAUCUCGACCGCUAUGUGAAAUACCAUGUCCGUGAGUUUGAGAAAAGCUUUUUGGUCAAGUUUCCAGCUUGUAGCAUUGCUGCAAGGAAGCAUAUUGACUCUAGCACAACAAUUCUAGAUGUUCAAGGAGUGGUAUGUUGGUUACUUAUUACAAUUUGUUACGCUUAUUUCCAUGAUGUAUUAAAGAACAAUCUCUUCGUUUUGUAUCCCUAGAAAAAAAGAACUCACCUUUUUCAAUUUUACUCGCUUACAUUUAGGGAUUAAAAAACUUCACGAAAUCUGCUCGUGAACUUGUCAUGCGGCUGCAGAAGAUUGACGGUGACAACUACCCCGAGGUAAGAUAAUUUCGCGUAUAUAGCUCUAAACGGUUAUGACUUAUAUUUUUAUCCUUUUGUAGAGAAUGCUGACUUGUUUGUACAAUAUGACAUUUGUGUCAAUACUGCAGACUCUACACGAAAUGUACAUUAUCAAUGCUGGGCCUGGAUUUAGGCUUUUGUGGGGUACCAUCAAGUCAUUUUUGGAUCCAAGAACCAGCUCCAAGAUUCAUGUAUGCUUGUAAUUAUAAUUGUGUUAUAUUUACUGUAACCAUCCUGCUGAACCAUCCAAUGAACAAAAUUUGUUGUGUGAAUAUGUAGGUGCUUGGAAACAAGUAUCAGAGUAAAUUGCUCGAGGUAAUUGAUGCUAGGUAAGCAUGUUGCACUGGUUUAUAGAAGUGCCGAAUGAUAUUUUACCGGGAUGUUAUGCUAAUUUCUAACUAGUUGCUAACAAUGUGCAGUGAAUUACCCGAAUUCAUGGGUGGUGUCUGUAAGUGUGCUGAUCAGGGAGGUUGUCUUCGCUCUGACAAAGGACCAUGGAGAAAUCCAGAUCUAUUGAAGGUAUGCGGUUUCGAUAAUUUUUUUCCAUGAAAUUUUGUUCUUUUUGAGAAGUGACAAAUCUUACGUUUCCUCAGAUUGUUCUAAGUGGUGGAGCUCGUCGCUCAAGGCAGGUUGUAAAGAUCUUAAACAAUGAGGGUAAGGUCAUUACCUAUGCAAAGCCUCCUUGUUACCCAAUGGUAAGACAUCGAUAAUGCUCCAUUGUUUUUAAAGGAUUAUGUGAAGGAGCAGCUUUGCUAAAUUGCCUUGGAAUUCUUGAGACAGGUCAGAAGUGAUUCCUCUGCUGCUGAAUCUGGUUCAGAAGCUGAAGAGAUUUCUUCCCCCAAGGCACUAAGGUCUUACUCGCAUCUGCGCUUGACUCCUGUUCGUGAAGAAGUAAGUCGUGGCUGUUCAUGCAAAAUGGUUUUGGUUUUUGGACACUCAAAUUUUUGGUCUUCUGACAUCCAGUUUGUUCAUUUUGAAUCUUGAAUGUGAAGUCUAAGAUUGUUGGGAAGGUGAAUCACCCUAGCACCUUUUCUGGGUAUGAUGAAUACGUUCCGAUGGUCGAUAAAGCAGUUGACUCUACCUGGAAUAAGCAAGCAGCCAUUCAGAAGCUUGCAAUGUCUAAAGGUUAGAACUUCACUCGUUCAUUCAUGUUUCCUGUUCUAUUGAUUAUGUUAAAUGAAUGAAAUUGAUAUCAGCUUCUACCGCAGCAUCGGCAACUGUUCCGGAGACUCCAAAGACUUCAGCUGCUAUCCACGUUAGGCUUUGUUUGGCAGUUCUGGCUUUCUUCAUGAUGAUUCUUACUUUCAUCCGUUCGUUGCCAUCGCGGUUGAGCAAAGAGGGUACUUCAGCUGGAUUAACCUUAAACACUCCAGAGAAAGAGCUGACACACCCACCUUUGCCAACUCCAGCUUACUCGGAGACCGACCUGCUCACUUCUGUACUGAAAAGGCUGGGUGAACUCGAGGAGAAAGUCGACACGCUUCAAUCAAAGCCAUCGGAGAUGCCGUACGAGAAAGAGGAGUUGCUAAAUGCUGCUGUUUGCCGUGUUGAUGCCUUGGAAGCUGAACUCAUUGCAACUAAAAAGGUAACACUGGUUUUGGCAAGCAUAGCUUGAUUCCGCUUAGUACUAGGUUUGUAACACAAUCUUAUGUUGUUGCAGGCCCUACACGAAGCACUUAUGAGACAGGAAGAACUGCUUGCUUACAUCGAUAGUCAAGAGGAAGCAAAAAACAGGGUAUAAUUUGAUGAAAAUAUGAAUCUUUUCGGCUUAAGGACAUGCUAUGUUACUACAAGUUGCUGAAAAUCCAACUACUGGAAUUUUUUUUUGCAGAAGAAGGGUUUUUUCUGCUAUUAAAGACUUCUGCAGUUUGAGAGAGGGAUGAUGCAACCUGCGCGAGUUCUUGGAUGAGAGUGACGCAUAUGAAAUAUAUUUCGGCUUCUAUUGUAUGUGGAUAAUGAGAUGUAGCUACUCUUAUUUGAAACAACAUUGUGAGCAGACUUGCUCUUUUGAGACCUUGUCAAGAAAUGUUCUUAACUGCACACCUGCUAGACUUAUAAUCAUGAAUGCUGCUGCAGUUUGGUCUCUGUGAUGAUCUCUGCUAUUUUUUACUUCAUUGUGGAUAUUAUAUAUUACUUGUGGUAUUUGUGUGUUCUGAAUUUGUCUUCUGCUUGAAUCGUCUAUAGUUUGAAUCGCACGGCUGCCACUUAGUUAACACACUUAGGUUGAACUGACUCGAGUUAUGUACUAGUACUGGUUUGCCUAAUUAUCGAUUGAUUGUGGUUAGUAGGGUUAACUGCUGAUCUCGAAACCAGUCGAUUUCUCAGGGAAAGAAGCAUUAAUUUUUAUAUUGGUUUUUGCAUUAACCCCAACAUUACAUUCAGAUUACAAGAAAGUUUGUAACAGUCCAAAUUUUGCUCUGCUUUAUGCAAGGCUGUAAGCCUGAAGAGAGUAGUACUAUACAGAUAACCAAAGCAAGAAAUGCCAAGUUAUACAUCGGAUCAAUUGGCCUUUGUCAAGUUGUCAUAAGAUGAACCAUUUCCUCUAGAAUCUGAAGAACUGCAUUCCGAAACAGAGAAACCAGAAAAGUUAGCAGCUUUGAUAUAAACGGUUCCUGAGUUCAUGAUCAGGGAUGGAAAAGAAAACAUUUUUACCCUCUUCUUCUUCUUGUUCUUCUUGUCAAUGUAAGCCAGGAGUUCUUGCUGUUUCCCUACAGCUUCCACAAGUAACUGGAGCAAAAAGAACGUCGAAAAAGAGGUUAAAGGUUCUUCCUUUAGACAAUGCAUUCUGAGUUUGGUUUGUUAUUAGUACUUACGAUCUUUGCAGAAGAGAGCUCCUUCUCGAGGGCUUCAGCACGACCGAGUGCGUUCAUGAGCAUUGCCUCCUUCUCAGCAGGCAUCACUUCGGGUUUCGAGCAUAGGGCGUUCAGCUUCUCUUCGACCUCGGCCAUCCUCAGCAUCAUGUUCUUGUAAUCCGAGGUGGAGAUGGAGGAUCCCUCCAUCCUGCCAGCAGAAGAAGGAUGGUCGUUGAGAGAUUCGGAGUAGUAAGUCUUGCUCCCAUAGAUUGCGGCCUCAGUCAGCUUUCGAGGCAUUGUCUUGGUCAUCUUGAUCAAGGUCACUACCCCCAUCACAACUGCCAUGAUCCCGCCCAUCACCUGCUUCCCAUUUGCGGGCACAAGAGCAUCCUCUUCUACAGCUAUAACGAAAGCAAUAUUUCGACAGGUUUAGGGUUUUGCUUACCAUGUUCUUGAACCAUUGCAUCCCAAUAACUUGAGUUUUUGGGAGAGGGUUCAGAUUGUUUUUUAUAGUAUUCAUUAACAGGUUUGUACGCUAUGCCUUACCCUUUCCUAGAGAAGCUCUCCAGUCGGUGUGGAUGGUCUUCUCCACGACUUGGAUGGACUUCUCGUAGUUGUCAGUGGUGAGCUUGUUUACGGUUAUGAUCGGAAGAUGGUGAAUUACUUCUUCUUCAGGAACGGGAGAAGGUUUCAGGUCCUGAAGUACUUCCUCGUUCGAAAACUUGAUGGUUUCCUUGUCUUCAGGAAUUUGCUUCUCCUCAAUUCCUGAUAGGGCUCUCCUGUGGCAUUUACCCUCUCCAUUUUCAACCAUCUGAUUGAAACAAUAUUCCCUCAUCAAAUCGCUACGAAAUCAUUUCCAACGCUCUCUUGUAACCAGUCCUUGUUGCAUUAGGAUUACUCACCUUCAGGAUGUCAGGAUCAUUCCAAGGGCCUUUGCUGGAGCGCAUGCAGCCACCCUUGUCAGCACAGUUGCAAGUCCCUCCGAAGAACGACGGAAGCUCGCUGCAAAACCAAUCCGAAAUCCAGAUUUCAGAAGCGUAAACUCGUUUGGUAAGGGCUAAUCAGGCACAAAUUUUGUUACCUGGCAUCAAUUACUUCAAGCAACUUGCUCUGGUAUUUACUGCCAAGAACCUGCAAAAAGGUUGAGUCUUGAUUAUGACAACUUAUCAGAAACAAAAUCAACAGUAAGUAAGUAAGUAAAAGCCAUGAAACUGACAUGGAUCUUGGAAGCAGUCUUGGGGUCCAGGAACUGCUUAACAGUGUUCCACAGUAGCCUGAAUCCAGCACCACCAUUGAUGAUGAACAUCCUGUUCAAUGUCUGCCAAAUUCAUUGACACCAUUCAAAUCAACGAACGAAAAGAUCGAAUUUUUAACACAAUCACUACAUGAAUUCCAUGAAUUAUUCACAUACCUCAGGGUAGUUAUCGCCAUCGAUCUUCUGGAUCCGGCUGAUGAGUUCCCUGGCAGUUUUGGUGAACUGCUUCAGACCCUGAAAACAUAUUUAAUGAUGAUGAGAAAUCGUGGAAAGAACUGAAUUUUUAGAACUCUAAACCCUAAACAUAUAUACAUACCACUCCUUGGACAUCAAUGAUGGUAGUGCUCUGGUCAAUGUGCUUCUUAGCAGCAAUGGAGCAAGAUGGGAACUUGUAAGUGAAAGCCUUCUCAAACUCCUGAACAUGGUACUUCACAUAUCGAUCCAACGACGUGACCUGAACCAGCUUGUUGGCAUCAACUUCGCCGAGCUUCUCGAUGUAGACUGGCCUCCCAUCUUUGUCUACUCCAUGGUACCCUUGUGGAUAGUACUGCAGGACUUCAUCUACUUCCUUGAACUCAAAGUCCUGUUUCAGGAAAAGGAAAAGAACCCACAAUGUUCUUCAGAACUGAAUGAAGGCAAAGUUGACAACUUUUUCCUGAAACCAUAUCAGGAUUGGACUCAUGAAGAGUAACCAUUCAGGAUUUCGCCCUAAAAAUCGGUCUCAAAUACCUACUAACCAACCAAAAACAAAACCUAUACGAAACCGGUUUCACAAACACUAACAAAUCAAAAAAGAAAGAGAAUUCUUAGUUACCUCCAUGAUUGCAUCAGUACCAAACUCCUUUCUCCACUGGAUCAUAUCCCCCCACAUCUGUUUGGCCUUGUCAAUGUCAAACUUCCUGGCCUUGAGGAACCUGAGCAUCAUGUGAUGGUCAUCAUGAUUGGAAGGAAGAAGCUCAUCAAGGAUGAGAGCCUGCCUGAAUGCAUCCACAGCCCUGAGCUCCUCCAAGUCGAUUUCGUCGACAAUCGAGACCGACAUUACCCUGCUGUUCCUGCGGCCUUUCUUGGUCAGGGAGCUCCUGAACUUGUUGGAGGCAUUGAUUGCCUUCUUCUUGAAUGACUUCUUCUUCUUCUCAUCCUCCGAGAACUCUUGAUUCUCAGGUCCUCCUAAUAAAAAAGGGUCACAUAUCUGAUUCAUCCCCGUAACUUUGGACUGUGUUAUGUUGGGUUCAGUAUGUAAUCCGUCCAAAAUUAUGGUAACUAUUAGUAUUCGAUCCGUAUAGAAAUGCAGAAACAGCAAAAAAAAAAGUUGUAUACCUAGUUUAGGAUUUUUGUCCGGAAGGACUAUAGACAUUGCAUCAGCCAUGAUGUUUGGUUCCUGACAAAGAGUUUCUUAUCAGAGAUUGGUUGGGAAUGAACAGGGUAUUGAAAAGUUUGAAACUUUGAUCAAAACCCAUCUGGGGAAUUGAGCAAUUGACGUAGAUCAAUAUCAUCAUAUGAUCCCUCCUUCAUUUUCAGGAUAUAAACAAGUGAAAAUGAAGGAGGAAGGAAUCAUCAAUUUUUUAUCGGAUUGAGAAAAAAUGAUAAGUAUGUUUGAAACUUUAAUAAAAAUUCAUUCGAAAUUUGAGCUACCAAGAUCGACUCAUAUGAUAAGAUCUUCAAAACGGAUCAUGCAAAAAUGCUAUGCUGCAAUGCAUUGUUUCGUUCCUCAAUGAAUACAUGAUGUGAUAUCCUUCCUCUUGAAAUCACGAUAAAUGAGUAGAAACGAAAUGGAAAUGAAGAGAAAUUAUCGAUUCACAUGUGAUAUUGAUAGUUGAUGGAAAGAAAAAUGAUUUUUUUUGACAUUUCAACUAAACCCAAGUGGAACUUUCAACAACAAACAUUAAUUCAUAAAAUAUGAUCGUCGAGACAAAUCAUACAACAAUAUUAACAUAAACCAUCAUUCUCAACAAAGACAAGAUGUGAACCAGAUUAUACAACAAAACGGCAUGUUAUUCAUAAUUUCGAAAUCUGAGAAGAGUACAAACAAAUGAGGAAGGUGGGGUCAAGAGUUACCUAUUGGAACUAAUGUAGGUGGGGGGAAGAAGAUGGACAAUGUUUUUUGUUUUUGUUUUACGUAUUUACAAGAAGAAAGGGAGGACCUUUCUAAAUGCCUCCUAAAUCAAAAGGAAGAACCCAAUUUAAAACUACAUACACAAUCAUGUGUUUGAUUGGUUAGAGAGAGAUGUGAAUCAAACAAUAAUAAGAAUAUAUCAUACACACAAAUAACAAACUAAUUAAAAUGGCUAACAUAGCUAAAUACAAGUUAAUCCAUUCAAUGGUUUACCUUCCUUAACCAAUCAUUUCCAAAUCUUUCUUGGUGUAUAUCUUUUGGCUAAUUUUGUGGUAUUCAAUUAUAUGAAUUAUAUAUACUCAUAUUGAUAACAACAAUUUAUUUUCUACAAUCUCAUAUUUGAAUAUGCUGAAAACAGCGAUAGAUCAUUUGUAAUUCGUGAUGAGUAUUUUAUAUAUAUAUUUUUUGUAAAUGUUCAUACUUCUUUGAAUUAAAUAUCAACUAGCUGGUGGCAAUGUUACAUGUUGAAUGCUAGUAUCCCAAAAUUUUUUUUGAACUUGUCAAAAAAUUAUGGUGAUUUUUAUAUAUAUAAUUUUCAUUAGUUUAUAAGCUUAUUGGUUUAUGAAAAGAGCUGAUGUUGGCUAACUCCAACUAACCUAAUUAAAUAUUCAAGACUUCAACAUAAAAUGAAGCUUGAUACGAGUUUUCUAGCUUCAAAAAACGAGUAAUGUGCAUGUGUAAAAUUAAAAGGGAGACACGAUCAUAAAUACAUAUUUAUUUCGAAGUUUCCUUACCAAUACGUUAAAUUAUAAAGGUUCAAUGACCAAUCCUAUAAUAAACCUUAACUUCAGUGAUCAUCGAGUAAUUAGUCCAUCAUUUCUGUUCCUCUGACCUCUUCCAUAACAGUCUCCAAUCAAGCACAAACUUCAACCUUCAACCCUAACGCUUAUGCUCUAAAAUGGCGUCUUCUACCCACUUCUCCCAGCCGUUAGCUUCAUCAAGAACCCUAACUCAAUCCCGCGCUCGAAACCUAUAUUCAAAAGCCUUUUCCUUAUCCACUCCAAAUUACUCUUCCAGACAAUCCUUAGCUCUUCGUGCAGUUCUCUCGCAAAACCCUACCAAAACCUCUCCUCCACCGAAACACGACAACCAAUUCGAGCAUUGUUUCUCCAAAUCAUCCGAUGGAUUUCUCUACUGCGAGAGCGUCAAGGUGCAGGAUGUCAUGGACACUGUUGAGAGGCGGCCGUUCUACCUGUACAGCAAGCCUCAGAUCACUAGGAAUGUUGAGGCCUACAAGGAUGCUUUGGAAGGAUUGAAUUCAGUAAUUGGAUAUGCUAUCAAGGCUAAUAAUAACUUGAAGAUUUUGGAGCAUCUGAGAAAGUUGGGAUGUGGGGCUGUUCUGGUCAGUGGGAAUGAGCUCAGAUUGGCUCUCAAGGCUGGGUUUGAUCCCACAAAGUAGGUUCCUUUAUUAUGUUGCUGGACUGAGUUUUUGUUCCCCCGUUCUGAUUAUGGCUAUUCUUUCUGGUGAUGGGAACAGGUGUAUAUUUAAUGGAAAUGGGAAGCUGUUGGAGGAUUUGGUUCUGGCUGCUGAAGCAGGAGUCUUUGUUAAUGUGGAUAGUGAAUUUGAUUUGGAAAAUAUUGUGGCAGCUUCUAGGGUUGCUGGCAAGAAGGUUAAUGUUUUGCUUCGGAUCAAUCCUGAUGUGGAUCCUCAGGUAUACAAUACGAAAUCAGAUAUAACAUGUUAUUUCUUCGUUCAAGUGUUUGAUAGGAUAGGUUAGAAAAGCUGUGAGGUUCUUUGGAGCCCAAAGCCAGUAGCUUUAGCUGAAAUUUCAUCUUUUCUUUCAGUUUUUAAGCUCUGUAUAAUGUAUAUGCUUUGAACAUAUUCUAUUGCACAUCCUUUCCGCGGUUGAAACCUGGUCGGCAUUCGUAUUGGUUUUGAUGUUCUUCCGAGCUGAAUGCCAGUAGCGCCAGCUGAAAAUUUUGUACUUUUUCAUAUGCGUUUGAUGAAUGCCUUUCAGUUUUUAAGCUAUUUUGUAUAAUGGGAUUUUAUUUGUAGCCCUCCUUAGAUCGUGUCCAAAAAAGUUGGACUGUUUAUGCUUUGAACCUAUUCUAGAAUACAUAAUCCUUUCUGUGGAUUUCUUUUGACAUCUGUCUGCUGUUCUACAUUUGAAGUUCUUGAGGGUCUUGGGCUUACUAUUGCUAUAUUUAUUUCGUGUUUUGAUUGCUUAGGUCCACCCUUAUGUAGCAACCGGGAACAAGAACUCGAAGUUUGGUAUUAGGAAUGAGAAGCUGCAGUGGUUUCUGGAUGCUGUAAAGGCACAUCCGAAUGAGCUGAAGCUUGUUGGUGCUCACUGCCAUCUCGGAUCAACGAUUACCAAGGUGUGAAGAACUGCAAGAUGUUUUUUCUUUUCCAGUUAGUGAGAUUUUUCGUACUUUGUUGCCAUCUAAUUUCGAAAUGUGCUCAUACUUAUAGUACUUGAAUAUGAGACUUCACAAAAUCAGGUAAUCAAAAUUACACUUUCAACAACAUCAUUUGAACAUAUUUAGGAUAAUUCAGGUUCCACCAUCCUUAGACAGAUUAACGCACAUGAAACCCUUGUAAUCUAGGAUGGCUACUGCAAUUGACGCUACAAAUGGUGCCUCUUUGCAUUUACUAUGAUAAAUCCUGCUCUGUAGAAACUGCCAUUGACUUGUCAUAGCCCUUCAGUGAUUUAGUUCUUCCCACUUUUUUCGGUUAGGUGGACAUAUUUAGGGAUGCUGCCGGUCUUAUGGUAAACUACAUUGACGAAAUCCGUGCUCAAGGCUUUGAAGUCGAUUACUUAAACAUUGGAGGUGGUUUGGGGAUAGAUUACCAUCACUCUGGUGCUGUCCUGCCCAAGCCAAGGGAUCUCAUCGACACUGUAAGUAUCUUACACUUAAGAAAUCAAGCUUCUAUUUGACAUCAAACGAUUCCCGUUAAGACUGGUUAUGCUCGGUGGUCAUGCUUUGUCACUGUAGGUUCGUGAAGUGGUGCUCUCUCGGAAUCUCAAUCUCAUUAUUGAACCAGGGAGAUCCCUCAUCGCCAACACCUGCUGCUUCGUAAAUAGGGUUACUGGCGUAAAGACGAAUGGCACUAAAAAUUUUGUCGUGAUUGAUGGUAGCAUGGCUGAGCUCAUCCGUCCUAGUCUAUAUGAUGCUUAUCAAGUAAGAAACCAAGUAGAGGGACUAGUUUGUGGAGCGUUUAGUGUCUAUGUAUCUGUACGCAUAUUUGAGUUCUUCCUGCAAUCGAGACCUAGAACUUUGUUUUCCCUGUUCUUGCAGCACAUAGAGCUAGUUUCUCCUACCCCACCGGAUGCCGAGGUGUCAAUCUUUGACAUUGUUGGUCCCGUGUGCGAGUCGGCUGAUUUUCUGGGAAAGGAGAGGGAACUUCCUACUCCACCCAAGGUGACUUACAUUUUGCUUUCACGGGGUUCUCAGUAGCUGUAAAUAUUCUCGAUCCGUGCUUCUUACAGAACCAUGCAUUGGCAGGGAACCGGUUUGGUGGUUCAUGAUGCUGGAGCUUACUGCAUGAGCAUGGCAUCAACUUACAACCUCAAGAUGCGCCCUCCCGAGUAUUGGGUACGAAUCCCACACCAUCUCUUAUUUCGAGUGCUCGUGUUCUCCUCUUGCAUGAAACUGAUGAGAAUCUGUUAUGCAACUGUUCAGGUUGAGGAUGAUGGGUCGAUAGCCAAGAUUCGACAUGCAGAGACGUUCGAAGACCAUAUCCGGUUCUUCGAUGGCCUGUAAUUUUCAAGCUUUAGGUUCAAUCUACCAGCGCAAUAAUGUAGCCUCUGAGCUUGUGUAAUUUUGUACUGAAAUCGGGUGAUUUUGUAAGGCAGAAGUGUUGUUCCUUGUUCUACAAGUUAUCGAGUUACCAUUUUGUUGAAAUAUGAGUUAACUUGCUGAAUUAAUAUCUGUCCUAAAAGUAUAAGUGAUCCUGAACCUUUAUUCUUACAGUAUUGACCCGUGUUGUUGAAUCGGACUGGACGGUGUACUAGACUCGUAACUUGUAAGUCGUAAGAUCACAAAUCGGUUCUCAAUCGGUUCUAACCGAUAAAAAAACCAGAUAUCCUUCUAACAUAAACAUAAUGGUCAUUAGACAUUAUAUUCUGAUCCUAUCAAUCUUUACUUAGUACAAAUUGGUCACUUAACUGUAAUGCAAUCCAGCUGAUUUCUGGCUGGCUUUUUAACAAGUCAACCUCGAUUUAACUUCUUUGGUCAAAGUUACAAUCAGAACCCCCUCCCUUGCAACUUACAACUUACGAGUCGAUGCUCCGAUCCGGAUCUAGGAAUCUGAAUAUCAUUUAUAACUAUUUCCCACAGUUUCCAUGAUAAUUACCAUUUUUAGGUACCAAUUUAAGUAAUUUACCAUCUUUUCAGGUACCGUAUUUUGUAUUUUACAAUCUUUUACAGUAUUUCAGUAUUAUUAUACUUUUACAAUCUGCAGCCGCCGUAUAGUCGUUUUGGCGCACUUCCUUCUUCGACCAUUUUCCGCGGCAUUACCACUUCCUCAUCACUGCUUAAGAAACUCGAAACCCUAAACUUGAAGUUGUGGCGCGAAGAUUCCAUUUCCCCCUCUCGCGAUUCCGCAUCGAAUCUGUCAGUAUCAUUGCCCUCUGGUUCUCUGUUUCUGGAUUGCAUUCAUAUUCUUUUCCCGUUCAUCUGAGCAAUUUCGAAUCGGUUUUCUUGCAUGCAAAAUUCGAAAGUUCUGAGUUGUAAAAUGUGCUUGGCAAUGGUCAAAGAUUAGAAAUUGCAUUGUAGAUUUUUUCUGCUGUUUUAGUUUUUCCUUCUUGAAAUUGGCUGUUGAGAUAUCGUCUUUUUUUGCUGCUGAUUUCAGUUACCGCAACUCUUCUGCAAGGCUCAGCCUUUAAGGUCCCUCAGUUUCUGGAGAACUCUCUCUUCGAAGAUGAGUGGUAGUUCGGUGGCAAGUUCUAUAGCAAGCCUUUCCAAUGGCGGGGGGGGGGGGGGGCCAGAUCCACAGAGGACUUACCAGGUUGUCGUGGCUGCAACCAAAGAUUGGGGUAUUGGGAAAGAUGGGAAGUUGCCUUGGAAGUUGCCUUCUGAUCUCAAGUUCUUUAAAGAUGUUACCUUGACGACUUCGGAUUCUGGGAAGAAGAAUGCAGUGAUCAUGGGUAGGAAGACAUGGGAGAGCAUCCCGCUUCAGCACCGUCCUCUCCCUGGACGUCUGAACGUUGUUCUCACUCGAUCGGGGAGCUUCAAUAUCGCUACUGCGGAGAAUGUUGUGAUAUGCGGCAGCAUGCGUUCUGCUUUAGAGUUGUUGGCUGCGUCUCCUUAUUGUUUAUCUAUUGAGAAGGUCUUUGUGAUUGGAGGUGGCCAGAUAUUGAGGUUUUUUAUUCUUUUUUUUUCAGUUUUCAUAACUUUACAUUUGGUUCUAAUUGCUGGCAGUGUUUGUUUUUUUGUUCGUUCGAUUGAAGUUUGUGUUCUUUGCAGGGAAUCUCUUAAUGCAGCUAAGUGUGAUGCUAUCCACUUGACGGAGAUUGAGACGAGCUUUGAAUGCGAUACCUUCAUUCCUGCGAUUGAUUGCUCGGUAUUUCAGCCUUGGUUUUUGUCUCCUCGAGUUGUGGAGAAUGGCGUCCGGUUUUGUUUUACUACGUAUGUACGAGUGAGGAGUUCAGUUGUUGAGUCCGAGAGCGGGUGUGAUGAUAAGAUAUCAAGUAACAGCUGCGAAAACAGUAAGUUUGAGAUUAAGAACUUCUCUUUCCUUCCCAAGACGCUUUUUGAGAAACACGAGGAGUUCUUGUACUUGAGAAUGGUUCAGGACAUCUUGUCAAGUGGCAACUCUAAGGAUGACAGGACCCAAACUGGUACUUUAUCUAAAUUUGGCUGCCAGGUAAUGCAUUCAGCAGUUUAAUACUUGUGGGAUAUGGUGCUCUCUAAUAACUAGUUAUGUCUAGAUAACACUUAUAUUUCCUUUUUACUUACAGAUGCGGUUCAAUCUUCGGAAAUCCUUUCCUCUUCUGACCACUAAGGCAUGUUACUUGUAUUUUCUUUUUCGUUCAUGUAAACUUCUGGAUUGCAGCCAUUAUAUGAAGGACAGAAUGCAUCAACGAUGUAUUUGAAAAACAUGCUGUCAUAAAUUGUUCUUAAUCUUUAUGCAGAGAGUGUUUUGGAGAGGUGUUCUUGAAGAACUUCUUUGGUUCAUCAGUGGAUCAACUAAUGCCAAGGUAAAUAUACCUCAUUGGAUGAUUCAAUUCUAUCCUUGUAGUUUGGUUACACAUGAGUUAUAGGCUUAAAUUUUGGUUGUGUGUGUUCAUUAUAAACGAAGUAUUGGCUAUUCAUUUUUUGCGUGCCNNNNNNNNNNNNNNNNNNNNNNNNNNNNNNNNNNNNNNNNNNNNNNNNNNNNNNNNNNNNNNNNNNNNNNNNNCGAGAUCUACACUCUUUCCCUACACGACGCUCUUCCGAUCUAUUCAUUUUUUGCGUGCCUACGAUAUUGUAUCAUGUCCCAGUUCUCAGUAAUUAGUUUGCUUGACAGGUGCUUCAGGAGAAGGGAAUCCAUAUAUGGGAUGACAAUGCAUCAAGAGAUUACCUUGAUAGGCAAGAUUUCGUUUUCACCUUGUCUGAUUUUGGAACCUUAAUUUUGAGGACUUUAUGCCACUUGUCAGUCCCAAGUGUUUGAUAUACUGUGCAUGUGAUUCUCAGAAUUGGAUUGAAGGAUAGAGAGGAAGGGGAUUUGGGGCCUGUAUAUGGGUUCCAAUGGAGGCACUUCGGUGCCAGGUUUGUCUGUUCUUAUUUCCUCUCUAUUUUUGGGACCUGAUGCCUAUACCGAUGAUCACGAUCUUUAAAUCGUCUCUUCCAGGUAUACUAACAUGCAUGCUGACUACACUGGGCAAGGAUUCGAUCAGUUGGCCGAUGUUAUCACCAAGAUCAAGAAUAACCCGGAUGACCGUCGUAUUAUACUCUCAGCUUGGAAUCCUGCUGAUCUGAAACUUAUGGCGCUUCCUCCUUGCCAUAUGUUUGCUCAGGUUGGUUAAACAUUUUGUUACCGUCAUCGCUCUCUCUUUUUUGCUAAUUAAUUAAUGAUCAUUUGCAGUUUUACGUGGCGAAUGGGGAGCUGUCGUGUCAAAUGUAUCAGCGGUCCGCUGAUAUGGGCCUCGGUGUGCCUUUCAACAUUGCUUCUUAUGCACUCCUGACUUACAUGAUUGCUCAUGUUUGUGGUAUACAUUUCAUUUUUCUCUUCAUAGUUCCAUUUAUCGGAGUAAUAGUUGUUUUUUAUCAUCAAUGUGAAUGCUGGGAAGUUAACUCUAUUCAUGUUCAUAUUGUUGCAGAUCUUGUCCCUGGAGAUUUCACUCAUGUAAUCGGCGAUGCUCACAUAUAUCUAACUCAUGUUAGGCCUCUGGAGGAGCAGCUUAAGAAAUCACCGAAGCCUUUCCCGGUAAUCGAAUAGUGGAAGCAGAACUAACUAGCUCAUCUUGUUACUCUGUCACUUUGCUUCUAUUGUUGGUACUGGAGGCUUCACAUUUAAUCUCCUCUCAAAAAUUGGUUCUCAGAUUUUAAAGAUCAAUCCAGAGAAGAAAGACAUAGAUUCCUUUUCAGCAGCCGAUUUCAAGCUAAUAGGCUAUGACCCAGAACAGAAGAUCGAAAUGAAGAUGGCAGUUUAAAAGGCCUUUGCCAUAGUUCCAGUCAAUUUUCAAUCUUAUCUAUGUUUCUUAUUACUUUGAGGUACAUCUUGACUCAUCUUCCGGUUCUUUUUCGUUCACCUGCAACUUACUUCUUAGUGUUUGACAACUGUUCUUUCAUGUUUACAGGCAUCGGUAUGGGAAGAACGAUGGGAGUUUGUAUAAGUGUCUAAUAUGAACAUGGUAAUCUGAAUGUGUCUUAAAGACUGUUCCUUUUUGCUGAUUUAGUAGUCUGGAAUCCCUCAGUUCCCUCACCUGGUGAUAUGUGGUUCUAAGGUGAUUUAGAUCAUGGUGGAACUUGGUAUGAACUCUGUAAGAACAAACGAAUUCUGGCUCGGUUAUAAUGAGGAUGAGAGUACUGAAUCAAUUUGUCUACGAUAUGAUCACUCGAAAUAAACCAUUUACCAAAAUGGAAUUGGGUAGAAGGUGUUACACAACUGGCUUACCUUUUCCUGCAGAAUUUAGGUUAAGAAUAUGCUGCAAGAGGGGCACACUGAAAAAAAAAGAGAUGAAAUAAGUACCUUCCGUUUCAUGCUAAUUUUGCACGGGCAAGCUCCAUUGCUUAUCCAAAGUUUGCAUGUGACUGAUGAUCCAACUUGACUGAUGAGUGAACCACAGCUCAUCUCCAAGUACAUCCAUAGCUUUAUACCAAAGAACCUGCUCCCCCAACAUUUCCCUUUUCCUCUUCUUGUCUGGUUUGUGAUGUCUUAGCUUUGGUUUGGAUUGUUGAGGAAAAGAAAGGAGCUUUCAUAUAGCUCGACCAAACCGAAAAAAUCACGAUAUACCAGUGAUUACGGUUUCACUAUAUGAGUGUCCUGCUUUGUUAAAUGAAACUAUUGAUCACAGCAUCAUCAUACUAGCCUGGCAUCAUUUCGCCUGGCAAAAUCUAACCCGAGUCUGGAAAAGUUCGAGCUAUCAUGAUGGGUCAAUUUGAGCCAACAUAGUGAGUCAGGAAGGAAUCAGCUCUAUCAUGUUGCUGCAUGGGUUGAUUCCAAAUUAUCACUCUUUCUAGACUUUCUGUCUUUUCUUUUUUAUUCCUCUUUUCUCCUGUUUGUCUGUCAAGUUUACCCAAUGGAGAACAGUUCUCAUAAUCUCAGAAUCAUCUGGGUUUUUUUUUCUUACUGUUCUCUUCUUUCACUUUAUGGAAACAGAACGUGAGUCCAAAUUCUUACCACCACAUCUGUUUUUGAUCCCAUCAAGGAGCAUAUGGUGUCAAGUUCUGUCCCUUUACCCUUUGGAAUCACCUGUUUAUAUCAGCAUAUUAAUUCCAUUCUCCAGUAAAGCUGUGGAACUUUUACAGUUUAUCUAAACAAGUUCUCAGCUGGAGUCUGGGUUUAUCUGGAGAAAGUUCUUAGCUGUAAUUAGGGAUUAUCUACAAACCCAGACAGUAAAAAUGGAAGCUCACGAUGGUAAAAAAACACAACUUUAUAGCUGGUUCGCCUUUUUUACACGGAGGUAUCUGGUUUUUUUCCAUUACAAUGUACAAAACCAUUCAAACAGGCUCAUCUCUAUAGAAACUGGAAAAGAAAAAGAUCCAAACUACCAAAAACAGGUAACUUCAUCUCAAACUUAUGCUUAAGCUAAACUGUCACACAAUUACAGAGUUCUCUUCGUCUCGUCGGAACCUCUUCUGCCUCUCGAUGAACGCCUCGAUCGUACUCUUGAACUCCUCACUGCUCAAAUUAUCCUCGGGAAACUUAUCACUCCCACUGUUUUUCUUCUUCUUCUUGGUCAAAUUCUCCGUUGCGGACCGCCUCAAUUCCUUCUCGGGCCUUCGAUAACUCGUCAGAUUCUCUGACCGACUCCUCUCGUAGCUCUUCACAAUCAUCGAUGUAGCAGAAACAGAGCUUUCUUCCUUGACAAUGGAUUCCAGUUUAUCACUCGGUUUUACUCUAUUUUCUGAAACUCUAGCAACGGCUUCCAAUUUCUCACGCUGUUUUCCUCUGUUUUCCUGAGUGGUUUUCCCACUCAUUUUGACAAACUGUUCAUAAAGAUCCGAUUUUUUCCCUGUGCUCCCCGGGAGGUGGCCGGACUUGGCGAAGAGGACGAUGACGAUCACGUUCCCGACGACGAACACGAACCGGGGGCUGACGAGGACGAGCAGAAAGUCCUUGAUGUAGUCUCCGGAGCCCUUGAGGGAGACCGGGAGCUGGACCGAAAUCCGAGAGAGAACCGCCAGGACUACUAGGAUUUCCACCAGUCUCAGCAUGUUGGUGACAUUCUGGAUCUUCCUCUGCUUCUUUAUCGCCUUCGCCUUCACUGCCCUGACGGUGAACGAAUCCAUUUCGAUCCGAAAAGAGUAUCGAACUAGUGAAUUCUCACGAAUCCUGUAUUCCUUCUUGGCCAAGUUUCUCAAAGAGUUCUUUCAGUUCAAAUUGGCCAUGGAAGUAGUUAUAUAUCCGAGAUGAGACGCGAUGGGAGGGCGCCUUGAUUCGAUUAUCGGUGUCGAAGAGCUUCGGAUUGGAGGCAGAGGAUUUGAAAACAGGGGAUGUUCUCUUUUUUGUGGAGAGCUUGUGUUGCUCCUUGUAAGGUUUAAGUUGUGGGGAGUGGGGAUAUAUAUAGCUGAGUGGGGAUUAAUAUCUUUUCUUUUUUCUUCUCAUUUUCCUUUUUCUUAACUAAUAUAUGAUUUAAUUUAUCCAUUAUAUUCCAUCCUGAUUCUAAGCAUAUAUACUCUAAGACAUUGAUUUGAAUUGAUAUGAAAAUAUUAGGUUUCGAUGAAUUAAAUAUAAUGAGAUUUACUUAACGGAAUGUUAAAUUUUAAAAAUGACUGAAUAGUGUAUUAUAGAAGUUGUAUUUCUAAUCAAUUAACGAUGGAUUCAAAAUAUAUAAAUGAUUGUGAAAUUUAAAAAUAAAAUAAGGAUUAGCCUCCGAGGUAUUACAAAAGAAAAGAGUUAUUAUCAUGUAGAGCAAGCUCUUUACCAACAAUAAAUGCAGAGCAAGUGUAUUUACGGAUCCUAAUACUGAUUUGUUUCCCACAUUUUAUUUUAUACAUGGUUUUUCUCUCGACGUUUUUCAUCCUCGUUCAUCAAAUAACUUNNNNNNNNNNNNNNNNNNNNNNNNNNNNNNNNNNNNNNNNNNNNNNNNNNNNNNNNNNNNNNNNNNNNAAUUGGGUGAAACACACUAAAAUUGAAACAAUUUUUUUAUAUAUUUUGGGUUAUAAGAUCUAUUUAAUUAUUUUUUUCUUAAGGUAAAGGAAUUGUAUUCCCCACCAUGCCAUUAUGUUUCUAGCUUUGUUGAAAUUGCUGUGGGAGUUCAUUUCUUUUUUUUUUUAUUGGCCUCUUUUAAGGCAACUUUUUUCCAUUGAAUUAUUGCUUUUUAUUUUGUGAAAUUGAAAUGGGUUUGCCUUAAUAUAUUCCCACCACAUUUGAAGCUGAAUCAGCAAAGCAUCUGAUUUUAUUUUUGCUUGAAGCAUAGUGGCAUGCAAGCAGGGUGAAUUCACAAAUCUAUACAUAUUCUUUUUUUGUGAGAAUAUCCUUAGUACUAAGAACCCUAGAAUUGUGUCAUCUAUUAUUCUUUCUGGAUAACAUUAUUGUUACUAGUUGAUACUCACUCAGUGUUGUUUGCGCGGAUGGAUAUGGAUAAAGAAUGUUGAACCGGUUCGUCAAAGAGAACAUGAAUUUUGAGUUGAGUAGUGUGAUAUUUGUUCCGAAAUUUUUUGUUUUCUAUGUUGAUUUAUAAUUAUUUGGAUUAUUUAUAUUGGUCGGAAUUGGCUCUCGAGAAAAACACAUGGCAUCUUGAUCGAUACUAUUCAGUAAUAUUAUGUUAUUUAUGAUUUGGAUAGAAGAUGGAUAAUGAAUGGCGGAUCGUUUUACGCAAGGAAAACUAACGAGUCUGCUUGAGUCCUAACUCCUUCCAAAUAGUUUUAUUGGCAUAUGACUCUAGUUCUUCCAAAAUUGACUGUAAUCCAUUUAUUUAUAUGAAGUUGUUUUAAUAGCAGAGUUGUGUGCGGGCAAAUUAGAGGCUCAAAUCUAGUACAUCCUACGAAUGAAUAUUGUACAAAAUGUUUAUUUCACUUUCUACCUUAUAUUGUCUGAGAGAUCUACUCUUAGAAAUUAGACCANNNNNNNNNNNNNNNNNNNNNNNNNNNNNNNNNNNNNNNNNNNNNNNNNNNNNNNNNNNNNNNNNNNNNNNNNNNNNNNNNNNNNNNNNNNNNNNNNNNNNNNNNNNNNNNNNNNNNNNNNNNNNNNNNNNNNNNNNNNNNNNNNNNNNNNNNNNNNNNNNNNNNNNNNNNNNNNNNNNNNNNNNNNNNNNNNNNNNNNNNNNNNNNNNNNNNNNNNNNNNNNNNNNNNNNNNNNNNNNNNNNNNNNNNNNNNNNNNNNNNNNNNNNNNNNNNNNNNNNNNNNNNNNNNNNNNNNNNNNNNNNNNNNNNNNNNNNNNNNNNNNNNNNNNNNNNNNNNNNNNNNNNNNNNNNNNNNNNNNNNNNNNNNNNNNNNNNNNNNNNNNNNNNNNNNNNNNNNNNNNNNNNNNNNNNNNNNNNNNNNNNNNNNNNNNNNNNNNNNNNNNNNNNNNNNNNNNNNNNNNNNNNNNNNNNNNNNNNNNNNNNNNNNNNNNNNNNNNNNNNNNNNNNNNNNNNNNNNNNNNNNNNNNNNNNNNNNNNNNNNNNNNNNNNNNNNNNNNNNNNNNNNNNNNNNNNNNNNNNNNNNNNNNNNNNNNNNNNNNNNNNNNNNNNNNNNNNNNNNNNNNNNNNNNNNNNNNNNNNNNNNNNNNNNNNNNNNNNNNNNNNNNNNNNNNNNNNNNNNNNNNNNNNNNNNNNNNNNNNNNNNNNNNNNNNNNNNNNNNNNNNNNNNNNNNNNNNNNNNNNNNNNNNNNNNNNNNNNNNNNNNNNNNNNNNNNNNNNNNNNNNNNNNNNNNNNNNNNNNNNNNNNNNNNNNNNNNNNNNNNNNNNNNNNNNNNNNNNNNNNNNNNNNNNNNNNNNNNNNNNNNNNNNNNNNNNNNNNNNNNNNNNNNNNNNNNNNNNNNNNNNNNNNNNNNNNNNNNNNNNNNNNNNNNNNNNNNNNNNNNNNNNNNNNNNNNNNNNNNNNNNNNNNNNNNNNNNNNNNNNNNNNNNNNNNNNNNNNNNNNNNNNNNNNNNNNNNNNNNNNNNNNNNNNNNNNNNNNNNNNNNNNNNNNNNNNNNNNNNNNNNNNNNNNNNNNNNNNNNNNNNNNNNNNNNNNNNNNNNNNNNNNNNNNNNNNNNNNNNNNNNNNNNNNNNNNNNNNNNNNNNNNNNNNNNNNNNNNNNNNNNNNNNNNNNNNNNNNNNNNNNNNNNNNNNNNNNNNNNNNNNNNNNNNNNNNNNNNNNNNNNNNNNNNNNNNNNNNNNNNNNNNNNNNNNNNNNNNNNNNNNNNNNNNNNNNNNNNNNNNNNNNNNNNNNNNNNNNNNNNNNNNNNNNNNNNNNNNNNNNNNNNNNNNNNNNNNNNNNNNNNNNNNNNNNNNNNNNNNNNNNNNNNNNNNNNNNNNNNNNNNNNNNNNNNNNNNNNNNNNNNNNNNNNNNNNNNNNNNNNNNNNNNNNNNNNNNNNNNNNNNNNNNNNNNNNNNNNNNNNNNNNNNNNNNNNNNNNNNNNNNNNNNNNNCCUGCGUGUUGCGCCUGUUUUGAGAUUUUGAGUGGGUGUGAGGGAUAGUGGGUGGGGAGGGGGGGGGGAAGAAGAGGGCUCCAUUUCCUCAAUCAUUUCGUGGUUUAUGUUUAUUUUAAUUAAUAAUCACAUGUGGGUCUAACUUCAACUAAUCGACUACAUGACUAGUUGUUGUAACUGGUUCGACACUACUCGAGACUUCGUCCUUUCGAGGGGGACAACAUUGAACGGUACACAUGCACCGGAUUCAAGAUGCCUUGGAUUGAUGGUAAAUAUUUGAAAUUUAAAUUUGAAUGUUUCUAAUUCGAAUAUAAUUCAGUUGUCUAUGUUAGGAGAAUAUAUGUAUAUGUUGUCCUACUGACUGGGUUAUAUGUUUGAUACGGACUAUUAACAUAUAGUCAUGUUGAAUGUGGACGAGGAUGAGUGGUUACAUACGUACAGGCUGAGGAUAAACCUGUUUUUUUAUUGGUGAGAAGAUACGAAGUUCAUACAUACGUGAAGAAGAUAUGAAGAUGAGUAUGCCAUUAGCAAACAAAGAGGAGGUAACGUGUUAACUCCACAUGGCAGCUAGAUGAAAAAAAAACCAGAACAAUAGGUAAUGAUCAAAGGAUAAUUUGAAAAAUUUAUGGUAAUUAAAUCUUAAUUAUGAAAAAGAACAAUAUCCUUAAUUAGUUUGGACUUUAGGCAACUUGAGCUUCACAAGAUUGUUCGUUUAUAGUUGGAGAGCUUGCAUGGAAAGGUUACGUACUUACGUCGAGGAUUCUACCUGUCGUUCCUUCGGAUAACGAUUUAACAAUUUCUUUUCUAAUUCAGUUCUUUUCUGCAGCUUUUUGCACUAAUAAUAGAAGUUGAUAAUCCAUACAUAGUCACUUAUCGAUUAUUAAUAUCGAUUUAACUGAUUUUUUUAUUAUUAUUUGAAUACAUUAUCAAAUCAAUUUUCAAAGUUGAUGGAACACCCACUUGUGUCUUCUGUCUACUCCCCCACAUUAGUUUAUGAAAUCAUCGGAUCCUCUUAGUGGAGGCUGAUAUGGCUACACGAGGGACUAAGAUUCACCGUACUAGUACAGAGUUCGCAAGCUGAAUCGAGUCGAAUAUUUGUUCAACUUUGAUUCGGUUCGUAAAUAAUUAUUAAACAAACUAGCUAGCUCGAUAACCGUAAUAAUGUUUGAUUCUCUUGAUAAACAUAUUAAUUUUGGAUCGAUAAUCAUUAUAGCCGAUUGAGCUUGGAUUAAUUGAUAGCUAUUAUAAUCGAGUUCGGAUUAAAAAUCAAAUUUAUGAGCUAUCUCAAUCGAUAACCAUGACAAACUAAGUUUAACAAUUGCUCGAUAAUCAUGACUCAGAUAGAUAACCGUUGUAACCGAGCUCGGCUCAAUGACCAUUCUAACCGAGCUCAGAAUGAUCUGGAGAUAAAAACCAAUAACUUUAUGAGCCGGGCGUUUGCUUGACUCUGGUCCGAACAAUAAAUCACCACUAACGAGCUCAAAUGGUCGAUAAUCAUAGUGAUCUCGUCUCGGUUGCCAUUAUAACUAAACUCAAAUGGUCGAUAAACAUGCUUACAAGCUGCUAAUCGAACCGUUGAUAAUUAGGCUCACAAACCACCAAUCAAACCUUUAACAAGAUGACUCACAAACAAUCUAAAUCAAACCAAGAGGGGCUCAACGAGUGGCUUAUUAUCAAACCAAAUAUCCAAAAUGAUUGGCCCACAUAGAAGAACCCACCAAAUUACAGGCCUCUGCUGGGGCUCAGGCCCACAGUAAAGCCGCGGAAUCCCUAAUCAGCCUGUAACCAUCGUCGUUCAUAUAUACUCCCGUAAAACCCUGCCAAUCCUCAAAACCCUUUUCCGCUUUGAGCUCUCCCAGUCGCCGAACGAACAACCUUCUGCUUCCCACCGGCGAUCUCUCUUCAUCAUCGCAAUGGUGUGAUUCAGCUUCGUAGAUUUGGGUUUUUGUUUCUAUUGUCAUCUACAUUUUAUACUUAUUCUGCGUUCUGAUCGUCGAUUUUGAUGGUUUUUCCCAUUGCAGGCUCCCAAGAAGGAUAAGGUUCCGCCGCCGUCGUCGAAGCCGGCCAAGUCCGGAGGAGGCAAGCAGAAGAAGAAGAAGUGGAGCAAGGGAAAGCAGAAGGAGAAGGUCAACAACAUGGUCCUCUUCGACCAAGCUACAUACGACAAGCUUCUCUCUGAAGCUCCCAAGUACAGGCACAUCACUCCGUCAAUCCUCUCCGAUCGUCUGAGGGUAAUUUUAUUUUGCCUUGAUUCUCUCUUUGACUUUUGAGUUGCCUUGAAUGGUCUGCAGGCUGAGCUGGUUUAGUUGUUAUAUUGUUAUGUUAGACUGACUAUGGAUUAGUUGGAUCUAGGCUAUCUUUGUAUAGCUGUGAAUCUGUUCUUGCUCUGGAAUUUCCGGCUAUGGUCAUCGAUUUGUGGAAAUAAACUGAGUAUUGUGGCUGUAAUUUGUUAAGUUUUGUGUUGCAUUCAUGGUGUUGCCUGCCGAAGAAUUUAAGCCAGCUGCUUGGUAGUCUAAUGUCUUUCUGCAUUUCUAAUCUAAGUAUGAUUAGAAAGCCAUUGCCUUUAGCAUGUCGUAACCCAUGGUUCUAUCAACGAUAAACUCUCUAUCUUGCAUGCAAAAGAUGAUGAUUUCACUACACUGUAAACCCACGGUAGCUCAAAUGUUCCUGUUUCACUUCAUGUUAAAUGUACACAAUGUUUCUUGAAUUCCGACUGAACAACAACUGGUUGCGUGCUUUAUGGCAUUUGGUUAAGUUAACCCUCUCAUAGCAGUUUCAUGCAUGCUAGAACCUCUGUAGUUUUAUCGAUCAUGCUUUGUAUGAAUUUGUUGCAUCUUCUUAACUCGAUUUGUGAAUUGGGGAUGUACCUGUGGUUCUUGUAUGAAUUGGCUGUUUCGGUUAACUUGAUUGUGCAAAUUGGUUUACAGAUCAAUGGAUCGCUUGCAAGGAGGGCAAUCAGGGAACUCAUGGCUAAAGGAUUGAUCAGGAUGGUGACUGCACAUUCAAGCCAGCAGAUUUACACCAGGGCUACAAACGCCUAGGUUUUCAAUGUCUUUUUUGCACCUUGAAUGUCCCCCCAGAGAUGGAAUUAGUAUGCGAGGAAUGUUGGUCUUAAUGUACACCUUGAAUGUUCGUGGGGAUGUUGAGUUUUGGAUUUUACAAUUUUGCUGAUGAGAUUAGUGCAUUUUUUGGUUGGGUAGGGUCAUGCUAAUGAGCUUCGGUAUGAAGUUGGAAAUUGAAAGACAAGAUCCCAGUAGUCUCGAAAGAUGUAUGCUGUUGAAGCUCCUGAAGUCAGCAUGUCGGUUUUAAACAUGUAAACUCCCAUCAAAGCGACAUGGUGGUUGCUUCGUUUUCUGUGUAGUCAAACCUAUUCGUAUCCACUUGCUGGCAAACAUAACAUAGAAUAAACCCUGCCAGUAUCCUGAGUUACAAACGGAAUCACUCUACCUUUGCUGUCUAGCUUGAUCAAUCUGUAAUCUGAUGCUCGGCUGCAGAACCGAUUCACCAAUUAGACCGGAACGGAAAGAAUGUGCGAAAUCGAAGAUAAAGGACUUACCUUUCGCCCACCGCAGUCAGCAGCACAUGAAAUCGUGUUCAGCUGUCUGCUGUCUAUCAACACGGUGCUGUUUUUUUCAUGCAACAACAAAUAGUAUUGGCAUCAACAUGAAAAACGUACAAAUCCUAUGAGUUCGGAAUGGCAAUGGGUUGAGUUUUGAUUAUGGGAGUAUUCAAGUCUUUCCCAUUCCGAAAUUGGUUAAUGACCUGACCGACCUUCUAGGGGUUCAAUCGUGAAUCAAGUUAUCUUGUACGAACGGUUUUCCUUAUCGAACAUGCCAACUCGUAUUUUGCUCAAAUGAUUGUGAAAUUUUGAGUCAUGACCAGCUGAUGUGGCUCAGGAUCCGAUUCCAUGUUACUUGGAUUCAAAUGAUUUUUAUUUUAUUUUGAGAUAUCUAGAUAACAAAACCCUAAAAUUAAUAACAAACCAUCAUAAUCUAUCUGAGGUUGGGUGAAGAUGUCGCUAAGUCUUGUCGAUUGAAGCCAAGGCUGUAUCCAACUCUUCUCACCACACCCACUGAAAUAGCCUCCGUGGAUCCUCCAUCACCGCACGUGCCUAAACCUCCGCCGAAUCAUGAAUCUUCUGAGAAAAUAGAGGAUGUGAUCUGCAGAAUGAUGGCGAACCGUGCCUGGACGACCCGAUUGCAGAACUCGAUCAGGUCGUUAGUGCCCAAGUUUGAUCACCCUCUGGUUUAUAACGUGUUGCAUGGAGCUCGAAACUCCGACCACGCGCUCCAGUUCUUCAGGUGGGUUGAGCGUUCAGGUUUACUCAAGCACGACCGUGAGGCUCAUCGGAAGAUGAUUCAGAUCCUUUGGGAGGGCAUCUAAGCUCAACCAUGCUCGUUGCAUUCUCUUGGAUAUGCCUAAGAAGGGCGUUGAGUGGGAUGAGGAUAUGUUCGUGCUUAUGAUCGAUAGUUAUGGUAAAGGUGGGAUUGUUCAGGAGGCAGUUAAGAUGUUUGAUACAAUGUCUGAGUUUGUAAUCUAAUGAUGAUUAGAAAGCCAUUAUUGCCUUUAGCUUGUUGUAUUGUACCCCAUGGUUCUAUCAACCAUACACUCUGUCUUGCACGCAAAAGAUGAAGAAGUUUCACUCCCACUGUAACCUCUGUAGUGCCUCGUUGUUCAUUACUUUUAUUAAUGGCUUGUAGAAUGAAUUGGCUGUUACGUUUAACUUGAUUGUGCAAAUUGGUUUACAUAAAGAUCAAUGGAUCGCUUCGCUUGUAAGGAGGGGAAUCAGGGAACUGGAACUGCUUAGAUCUGAUUUUCCAUUCCGAAAUGAUGAAUGACCUACGUACUAAGUGUUUUGUCGAUGAUCGAUCGAAGUUCUGCAAAGAAUCGUGAUUCUGCCCAAAUGCAUGUGGAAUGUUUUUUAGAGUAAUGACCAGGUGAUGCGGUAUCCUAACCGAAGACUAAAUAGUAAUAUUAAGUUAGUAGAGUGACUAAAAUAAUAAUGUUGUAAUUGAGGAAUGGUAUUUAAGUCAUUCUUUUUAAUUUCAAAAUCAAUCAAUAUAUUAAACAAACUCUAUUUUCCCUUUAUUGAGGUGCUCCAGCCUUUCUUCUUCUCUUCUUUCUCAUUCGCUUAUCCAUCAUUAUAAUCAUUUACCGGAUACCAUACCGAUCCCAUCGGGACAUUACAAUGCGGCUAGGAAUCCGAGGGUCGUUCUUGAAUCUGAAUCAAACCCAUUUCAUAUUUCGAAAACAUCAAACAUCACAUCUUGGUUGUUUCCCUUAUUGGAACUCAAACUAUUAUUGUUGGCAUUAUGCUUUUUGGCGUUGAAAUCCCAAUGACAACAAACCCAUGUGAAGAACAAUGGCGCCUUGGUUACAUUUCCAAAACUUGGACGGAUUAGUCAUCUUUUUCUUCUUCUUCUUGUACUCCUCUUAUGUCGCCUUCUUCUUCCCCUAUUUCAUUUGAUUCUUCUCCUCAAUAAUUAUCGACAAGACCCAUUUGCCUCCAUUCUUUCAUUCAGUCUCCCUUGUAUUCUUCCUGUCAUCGGGAAGCAAAUGUUGUUUACUAGCGGACGAUGGCAAGACUCGGAACUUAAAAUUUCGUCAAAUUCCUAUCCAUAAAGAGUUUUAACACGAAAAAUUCACGACACGGUUCAAAUUUAUAUAUAUAGACCACAAUAACGCUUACCUACAGAUAGAAUAAUUUGGUUUAUUGGUUGUAAACUGAAUUCGCUUUUCAUAUUCACACAACUGCAACUCGAUCCACCACACCAAAAUAAAGAGAAUCCAUUGAAGUCCGUAAAUUCGUACGAGUGAGAUAUUGUAAGUGGUGCCCACUACUAAUGCCAACACAAAUAUCUACAACAUACAUCAUAAAUUACGAUUGUACAAUCUUUAUCAAAUUAUAUAGUUGAGGCCUGAGGGACACGUGUGCGGCGGAGAAAGAUCUCUCCAGACAUGAGUGAAUGACCAAUCACCAAAUAAGCAACUUUAGGGUUUGGAAGGGUGCCCAAAAAAGAGACUAGUGUCACCUUCCUGCAUCAUCGGAAACAAGCUCGUGUGUCCUUGUCAAAGUGUCAAUCAUUCAUCACACCACCCACCAUUCCAAUUAGCUUCAUUCAUACCUUUUGCGUAUCGCGGGAGUCGGACAGAUCUGAUUAUAUUCAAAUAUAUCAUGAGCGUGGUUGAUCUUGUGGAUUCCAAGCAUCAGGCUGAUGGAGUUUAUCAUUGGUUUUGCUAAUAUGGAUAAUCCGUAUACAUUAUUGUGUAAAUAGAGUCAAAGUAAAGAUGAUAUUAUUAGUAGAAUUUACACCAUUUAUUUUUUAUACCGUUAGUAUGAAUCAAGUUUCAUUUCAGAAACAAUUAAAUAAAUUUGAAGUGAACAUAUAAUAUGAACCGUAUACAAUAUACUACCAGUAAUUUAUGUAAUAGUAUGAGUAUAACAAGAAUUUGAACAUAGACUAAGUAUGAUUUGAAUCUAAAUUUUAUACCUGGAAAAACAAAAUAUGCAACAUGAUUCUUAUCAAAGUAGAAUGAUUAGGGUUUUGGUGAGAUUUGGUAGAGGCAGAGAGCUCAGGUGGGCCUAGUGAAAAAAGGCGCAUGAUGGUGGGCUUCCUCUCUGACAGUUGUGAAUGAGAGCCGUCCGUUUGAGUUCAGGCUACUUAAAUUCAUUACCAAAUAUAGUUUGUUUUUCGAACGAGAAAUCAGAAGAUAACAAACACACAUGAUACUAAUUAUUUAUAUAGGACAUACGAAUUAUCAAUAACAACACUCAUGGUAUAUAUCUAAGAGUUAUACAUAUCACUAAAUGGGCGACUCUGUUACAUGAUCGAUGAUCAGUCUAAAUGUAGAUGUCUGACAUGAUUGUUAGGUGGUCUCGGAUCUCUUUGAUGAAAUCAGACGUGUCACAAAAUAGACGGCUUUUUUACCUGACAGACGAACAGUCUGAAGAUGAAUAUUAGGCACGGGGGCGAGCAGUUGGAUCUCUCAUUAGGUUGUUGAUGAAUCCGUAAAAACAUAAGUGGUACGUAGCACCACCGAUGCUAAUAUGAGUAUUCAAAGCCUCAUCAACCUCAUCACGAUAUCUCUUGCAUAAUAGAGCCUCCAACAGAUGAGCGAGCAGUCUAAAAUUGAAGCAUCAUUAUGUAGGUAGCCGCUUCUUGAAAUUGUAGGAUCCUCAACAUAAUAUAGUUGGUUUUUCGUCUUAUUACUUCAUAUACCUUGUAAAAUCACUUAUAACGAAGGUUUUUGUAGUCCAGUGAUGGAUGUAUAGUAACCUUAUUUUGUAUCAAUGAAUAUUAAUGAUGAGUUGAAUUCGUUUAUAUAACUCAUAAGCAAAUUAUGAACAAUGGAAUGCAUAUUAGAUAAUGAUAUUUUUCAAUUACAGAGAACAUCAGAAACGAUUCAACUCAUCUUAACUCCAACCUUACUCUAAAUAAAAGUUUAAUUGUAGUACCUAACGGUCCAACUCGUAUUCUGAAAUUGUUAACGGUGGACAUGAGCUACGGUGUCCUUUUCAAUUGCCCCUUUCUCUCUGCAAAAUCCAUGCAACAGUCUCUCAGCAACAGUCAAUUUCCUUUACUACUUCUCCAAUGCUUGUCAAUUUAAAGAAAGAAAAACCAAUAACUCCAAAUUACAGGAUUUCUCGUGAUUUGCAGCAGCUCACAUGGCUUUCCUCCUAUAAAGGAAAAGGAAAAGGAAAAGGAAAAGAAAGUAAGAAGGCAGAGCCAUUAAACCCUUCACAAAACCUCUCAGAGAGUUCACGCAUUUCCAUCUCUUCUUCACAUUCAAUAAAAAGGUUCGAUUCUUCUUCCAUUCCGUUUCAGUAAAAAAUUUGAGGUAAGGAUUCUUAUGAACUUCUGUAUUCUGGGUAUGGAUCAAAUUAAACGUACCUAGAAAAGGUUGUUUCACCAUUUCUUGUUUUUAUCGAUCCAUUCUGCCUAGUGUUCAGUUUCUCCAGUUUCAAAAUUUUGAGCUAGUGGACUCUCUGUGUAAGUUAAAGGUUUAACCUUUAUGAACUUCUGCAAUCUGGGUACGGAUGGAGGAUCAAUGAACCAAGAACAGUUUCACCAUUUUUGUGUUUACAUUUAUUUCGUUUAAUUGUUUUGUCCCUCACUUUAUGUGAUCUGCACUUUAAAUCAAGUUUUCUUCUUUCUAGUGCUCAUUUUUUAUAUCUUGGGAUUCGUUCCCUUUGUCUUAAAUCUUCGGACCCGUGAUCCAAUUUUCCACUUCUGGGUUUUUAGCUUAUAGCUCUUCUUCCACCUGCAAAUGGGUUCCUGCUGCGUGGCGUUGGAAGCCAGUAACCUUCUGGUGAACAGAGAGCUGAGGGUUACACACUCGCAGAAUGAUCCUUUCACUCGGUUGAAGUUUGAGAAGAAUCAGAAGAAGAGCAUCAAUAAGUCGAAAUCUCGUUUAGUCUCUUCAGUCUUGACCUCCAGCAAUGGCAGAGGAACUGUGGUAAGUUAUGAUCCAAGCUGUUUCUCUUAGUGAUCCUUUCAGUGUCUUUUUUGUAAAGGAUGGUGAUUAUUAUUGAGUUAUGGAGCUUGUAAUGGAUGGUGAUUUAUUGUUGAGUGAUGGAGUCUGAUGGAUUGGACAUUGAUCGGCAACUAAACUAAGUCCAAACCUUAUACGGGGUCAAGGGGCCGUUAGUUUGGCCGAACUAAUCAGUUUUGUCCGUUUCGAUAGAGGUUUUGGGUUAAUCUGGUCUUGUUUCUGAUCAUCGUAAUUGGUAUCAUCACAACAUGGUAGUCGUUAUCUCUCCUAGCUUUGCAUUGCCUCAUACAUACUCUUCUCGCAAAGGGGAACUGGGUUAACAAAUCCAUGUGUUCUGCGUUCGUAUUUCUGUUCGUGAUUGUGUUUUAUUCUAUACAAUGUAGAUCCUACAACCAGAAGCAAGGCCAGAUAGGAAGAGAGUGGAUCCAAAAGAUGUGGCUUCCAUAAUACUGGGAGGAGGUUCUGGUGCUCAGCUGUUUCCUCUUACCAAAAGGACUGCAACUCCCGCUGUAUGUUAUAUUUUCUCCAUAAAAAACAGAGAUUUGGUUGUGGUGUUUGACUUGGGCUUUUGUUUCUGUGUGGUUUUGAUCUUACUAGGUACCAAUAGGAGGAUGCUACAGGCUGAUUGAUGUGCCUAUGAGCAACUGCAUCAACAGUGGGAUCAACAAGAUCUUCGUCCUUACCCAGUUCAACUCGACAUCCCUCAAUCGACACAUAGCUCGCGCCUACUUUGGCAAUGGCAUCAACUUCGGAGACGGAUUUGUUGAGGUUCUGGCCGCCACUCAAACCGCCGGUGAAGCAGGCAUGGAGUGGGUCUGAAGUGGUUCCAAGGAACUGCAGAUGCUGUCAGGCAAUUUACAUGGGUGUUUGAGGUGAAAUAAUUUCGUCAAAAAAUAAACCGCAAAGAUCCUCUCUUUCUAUACUGAAGACUGAUUAUUUUUCCUUACACUUGUUCGUAGGAUGCCAAGACCAGGAACGUAGAGAACAUCGUAAUCUUGUGUGGCGAUCACCUUUACCGUAUGGAUUACAUGGACUUCGUUCAGGUAAAUAUCGUUCUUAACAUUCUUCGUGCUCUAAUGUUUUACGACACCGGGUUUUUCACAAUUUGCAUGAAAACAGCACCAUGUUGAUAGCAAUGCGGAUAUCACCAUUUCGUGUGCUGCUGUGGGUGAAAGGUACGGACUUUAUCUUCGUUCUUCUUCACUUCGAUAUGUUCUUUACGUUCCGAUCUAAAUGUUCUUUUGGUGGAUUGGUUCUGCAGCCGUGCAUCAGAUUACGGAUUGGUCAAGUUAGACAGCAAAGGUAGAAUUAUCCAGUUUGCUGAGAAACCAAAGGGUGCUGACCUAAAAUCAAUGGUGAGUUCUUAUUUCUAAAUCAGGAUACUAACUUUGUUGCGGGAAAGUGAUUUGUGUUAUGUGUGGCAGCAAGUGGAUACGACUCGGAUAGGUUUGACUCCGCAGAAAGCGAAGCAGUCGCCGUAUAUUGCUUCGAUGGGAGUUUACGUGUUUAAAACUGACAUGCUGUUGAAGCUCCUGAAGUGGAGGUUUCCUACAGCAAAUGACUUUGGCUCUGAGAUCAUCCCUGCAGCAGUUAUGGAGCAUGAUGUCAAUGCAUACAUCUUUCGAGACUACUGGGACGACAUUGGAACGAUCGAUUCGUUCUACCAAGCUAACUUAGCUCUCACUGAAGAGGUAAGGAUUUCCAACAAAUCGAUUGAUUCGUUCGUGUGUUUGAAGAAAUUAUAACCUGUUAUCUGUGUGUGCAGCCUCCAAUGUUCGAGUUUUACGACCCACACAAACCGAUUUACACAUCUCCAACGUUCUUGCCGCCAACUAAGAUCGAUCAAUCUCGGGUUUGCAACUUGGAUCGGAGCUUGAUAUCAUGUUGUUGGUUUCUCGUUGAUGUAUUCAUCUGUCUGUUCUUUGUUGCAGAUUGUAGAUGCAAUAAUCUCCCACGGUUGUUUCUUGAGAGAUUGUACUGUCCAGCAUUCGGUUAUUGGUGAGCGAUCUCGUCUGGAUUCCGGUGUUGAGCUAGCGGUGAGUUUGCCUGUAAUAUGUUCUUAAGAGCAGUUUUUUUUAUUUCACGACGAGAUGCAUGAGAAUGGCUCUCAAAAUCUUUGAUCUCCAUUUUUUUACAGGAUACUGUGAUGUUAGGAGCAGAUUACUACCAAACCGAAGCUGAAAUAGCAUCUCUUCUGGCAGAUGGAGGAGUCCCAAUUGGCAUUGGGAAGAACACCAAAAUCAGGUUGAAGAAUCAACUUUUAACUUUCGUAACUGAGAUAAAUGAUCUUCCCGAAUUCUGAAAUGAAUCCGACUCUUGUAGGAAGUGCAUUAUCGAUAAGAACGCGAAGAUAGGGAAAGACGUGAUGAUCGUCAACAAAGAUGUAAGUUCCCAGCCAAAAAAUGUCUUUCUGUUUCAUGCCGCCGGUUAUCUGAACGAAAGCUGUGGGCCUUGCAGGGUGUAGAAGAAGCUGACAGGCCAGAACUAGGGUUCUACAUUCGAAAAGGGAUCACCGUUGUAGCAGAGAAGGCGACAAUCGAAGAUGGAACUGUCAUAUAAAACAUAAAUCCACACUUUCGACAGUUCGAAAAAUGGCUUCAUGCGGGAGGACCAUUCAGAUAUAUCGCUGCAGAUGGUUGAAACCCAGAAACAGAAGACACAAACUGCAACAUCAUCUACAUGUAACGUAUAUAAAGAAGCGAAGCUACUUCCUUCUCGCAUAAAAGUUGGGAUCUUUUCGGUCCUACAAGCCGAAGUUAGAAGAGCAGAACUAUAGUAAAGGCAGCUUUUCAUAGUUUAUGUCGAUAAUAAGUUGUUUAAGAUUAGCCUUUAUGGAAAAGUUGGGAUCUUUUUGUAUGGGAUAUGAACAAUAAGUUACAUAACAAGUCUGCAGAAUCUUGUACUGUCACCUCUUUUUUCAGAUGGAUAAUGUAAUAUUAUUAUUAACCAAACCGGUUAAACUUGAAUCAGCCAACGGGCUGAUAAUCACACUUACAAACAGAUCCUACGAAACAAGAGAUUCAGUGGGCAUGGAAUGGCAAUUUAUUGCACAAAGAUUGUCCAUUUCCAUUGUUAACUCCACAAUAGAACUAGCAUUUUGGUUGAACUGCAAGCCGACUUGAAAUCUCCAAAGCAUUGCUCUCGUAGAUGAACAAUUCACAAAGGCAAGUGUGAGAUUAUGGUUCAGGUACAUACUUGUUGGAGCUGUACACUUAAUGUGAUCCUUUCUCGAACAGAGCAACUCCGGGUCUUGAUGAUGACAAAUCAUAUAGCGAAGUUUCGAACACAUAAGCUGCAUUUUCGAGUUCUUAAUGCACUUAGCUUGCUUUGUUAAUUCCACAGACUUAAGUUUUUGGGAUAGAUCUCUUCUCAAUAGCCCUUGGUACUCCAAACUAUAAGACAUCCCCUUUUCCUGAACUCACAAGGUUGAAAACCAGUCAUGGCCUUUCCCAUGAGUGCCAUAGCAGCUAUACUCGGAAACUGCUUCUCCGGUACUUCACUUGAUGUUCCCUUUCCGACUCGAGAUUCGCUAGCCAUCACACAAUCAGCUUUCCUUCUCAGGGAAGAAGCAACUGGGUUACGAGACCAUCGUCGAAUCCAAGGAUGCGAGUGGGCUUCGACGAGGUCAUGAGCUUUCUCCUCAGAAUUGGUGGAAGUAGAUUCAGCAUUCCUUUCUGACAAUAUUGUAGUAGGGCAAUCAAAUCCCGGAAGAUCAUUUCCAAUGGGAUCACUUAUCAUUUUGGUGAAGAGUCCAUUCACUUUUCCAUGAGAGGCUUCCCCUAAGUCUGAACCUUUAGAACCGUAGGUGUAGGGCAAGAGUGCUGGAGCACUUGGCUUGAGACGUCUUACCCAUCUACUACAUGGAUCGAGCCUGACAGGGUCGGGACAAGCCCUUGACUUCAGAUUUCUGGAGUUUCCAGGAUGAGUGAGCAAGCAUUCCACAUCCAGACUUUGCGUUAUUGACGUGCUCGUCUCCUUAUCAUCUGCUGUCCCAGAUACAUCAGGAUGUAGACAAAACUCUUCGUUUAUAUCGGGUAACAGCUUUUUCACCAUUCUACCCGUAACUUCUUGACCGACUGAAGCAAUUAGAUCUUGCCAUAUAGGUGAUGGUAAAUUUACCUUACUUGAUGGAUGUGAAGCCAAACCUGAAAACAAAACAUCCACAAACUUCCUUAGUCUUUGAACAUAGAACAUCCUUGUAGUCUUAAGUGAUAGAUAUCAUACUUCAUAUCCAUACUAAUGGGAGUCGAUAAUAUAAGAUUCGCAAUAAUGGACGUACCAAGGAGUUGGUUAUGUCUGGCAGCAUCGAUGUCCACAGUGUUGGUCUCAGAGCACGAUCCAUUCUUUGAAUCAUGUAGAAAACUCUUGAUAGUUUCAGUGUCUUCUUUGCCCUCGCAUUCUGCGGAACUGUCAAGUUGUUGCAACUUCACUCCUUGGUUAUUACGAGAGCGAUCAUCAGGUUUUAAACCAAACAAUUCACAUAAUGAUUUUCCUUUGAACUUUGUGGAUACUGACGACUGUUGGAACAUCUGACCUUCAUCCAUAUCAGUCUUCUUUGUGAUGAAAAAGUGGUGAGUUGAAUGUGAAACCUUUGCACAACCGGCAGGAAAUUCUGUGAUGGAAUCGACAGUUGUACGUAUUCUCAUAGCCUGCACACCAUGUGCAGAAGAAGAGGGCAUUCCUGAUAGACCGUGAGAGCUACGAAAUGCCUCCUCGAUAGGGCCACUCUGGAAGGGAAAAUGAUCCGAAAGAGGCAUCAUCUCAGCCGCAAAGCCUCUUGCUUCACUCUUGCUGGUUGAAGGGUCAUGCACCGAAAGAGCUCCACCGAAACUGAUCUUGUUCGAGCGAUCCCAAGACGAAUUUCCUGCUUGAUCCGAAUUGUCUUCUACACGGGAAGCACAUUGCACUCUAUUCCUCCUGCUUUCAAAUUCAUAUGGAACAACCUGAGGACUGGCACCCGAAAGGUAGCCUCGUGACGGAAAAACACCAACCCCAUUCCUCUGAGGUAGAAGCGGAGUUCCCAUUUCGCUGCUACCAACCAAUGCAGCAGAACCAGGCAAGUGGCUCUCAACUCUACUCGAAGAAGCAUCCAACCGCGAAACAUCAACCCUCUUUUUUGCUGGAGGCAAAGCAAUCCCCUCGUCCAGCAAAACACCUAGCAUGAGAUAAGGCUGACCUUCAGACGGCUCGUUCCUCAACCUCUCCAACCCAUCCCUCGUACUCGUACUACUCCCACCCACAAAAUCCGCCAUCUUCCGCUUCCCCACAUCUCGAAACCGCUCUCCACCCUCGGAUCCUUUCCCAGACAGAUCAAAUAGACGGUGAUACUUUACUCCAUGAUGAAUCUCUUCACUCACCUCAUUAGUCACUGAAGCUGCUGCUGCUUCAUUUCCCACCCUACAAUUCCUACCCAACCAAUGACCAAUCCAUGAAGACUGAGACCCACCACUUCCAGAAAUCUCCUCCUUGCCAUUCGACAUUACAACACUGAAAAUUCAAGUCAACACAGUAACAAAAAGAAAAAACUCAUCAUCUGUCACCUGAAAGAUGCAAACUUUACCCAACCCAAAAUUCUGAAAGCUCAAAAAAAUGAGAAAAACAAAACAAACCCAUGCAGAGAAAAUGAAAACCCAGAUUCUAAAUUCUCUCUAUCAACAAUACUGAUAGAGCUAACGAAGUCAGAUCCCAGUCCCACAAACAUUUAAAUGAAGCUACGGCUUACCCGAAUGGAUCGAAGAGAAGAUGGAAUUAUUCCCUGAAAAUUUCGGGAGGAUCUGGAUUCCUAAUUCAGCUUCUGAAUCGAAGGAGAAAGAAGAGGAAAUGAAUCCAUGGCCUGAACCAGGCGUGAGAGCUUCAGCUGCUCCCUGGUGUUUUUUGUUGUUGCUUUUGGUGUAUUUUUGCUUCUCUUUCGUUUUUCUUUGACCUCUCUUUAUUGUUAAUUUUAUUAUUACAAGUAAUAAUUGAUGGGCUCUCAGACAGCCACAGAUGCGAGGGGCCCACCAAUUAAACGAAUGGGCCCCCAUUUCCCCACUUGCGAUUUAUAAGUCAUUUCGGAUUUUUUUUCCCGUGAAGAGAUAUUUUCUCGUACUAAAAAAUAUGCUUUUAUUGGAUUUCAAAAGAAAAAAUGCUUUUAUUUUUCUACAUACGUCGUAUCGAUGGAGAACGCGUGUGGUGCUGAAUUCAUUAAAAAUUAUUAAAUUAUUAAUUUUUUCUCCUUUUAAGUCUAAAAGGUCCACAUCUUUUAAGGGUGGUUUUGGUAUUUUAAAAAUUAUUUUUUCUUAUUUUUUUUAAACUAACAUAAUUUAUUUAGUUCAAGUAUGAUUUUUAUGUUUACUAACUAUAUUAAUCACAUUGUUCAAUAAUUGCCUCUAAGUUGUUAAUAAUUAUGUUUGAAUUCACUCAAUAACUACGUAUAACUGGAUAAUAACUAUGUUUCUCUCCUUUACAUCUUCCUGACCUAGGUCAAAAUUGCAAUACUUACGUCCAAGUUGCUAAUAACUAUGUUUCACCCCUUGGCUAUAUUACGUUUAAGUUGUUAAUAACUACAUUUAACCAAAUAAUAACUACCUCUAAGUUCCUAACAACUACGUCUAUAUCUAAACUGCUAAAUCCUACUUCUAAGUUAGGGAAACUAUAUCCUGAAUUCCCUUAACAAUUACGUCUAACUCGCCAAUAACUACGUUUCUCCACUUAUAUAUAUCUUUAGUUUUCGUCAACCAUACCAUACAUCUAAGUUGUUCAUACCUGCUUCAAAGUUGUCAAUACUUGCGCCAAAGUUGCUAAGAACUACGUUUCCCACCUUAUAUCUACCUUACGUUUAAGUUGUUAAUACUUAUAUCUAAGUUGCUAAAAACUACGUUUACUUUUAAGUUUCUAAUAACUAUCCCAAAAUUGCUGAUAACUAUCUCUAAUUUGGUGAUAUCUGCUAGGUAUAGUUUUCAGGCAGUCAACUCACAUUUGGUGAUUACUACGAAAUAUAGUUUUGAGGCAAUCGACUUACAUGUUUGACUUUGGAAAAAAAAGUUCGUCGAAACCCUAUCAUGAAUGUGCUAGUUCUAAUCUUCGUUGGAAAACUAAAAUUUUGACGUAAAAAUCAUUCAAAUCCGAAUUCAUAUGUGCAAGAUAUUAAUUAAAUAAGAAAGUUAGUGGAAAAUAUAUUAAUUAAUAUAUAAAAUACAGUCAUGAAAUAAAAUAGUGAUGGUGAAGUUAUGAAAAUAUCCUUUCUGUCCAAAAUUCAGCACAUAAAUCUUUCAACAUGACACGUAAACUCAUAGGAUGAUUUUACCAUCCACGGUGUGGGCACGAGGGACACCGGAUUGCUUUUCUUUUUGGGAUAUUUGUGGAUAUUUAUCAAUGGAUUUGUGGAUUUAUAAUCGAAAGUGAUGUUAGAUUCGAGAUAAUGAUCUAUUCAUAUAUAAGAUAGCACAUAGUUAAAACUUGGAAAGAUUUAUUUAUAGUGAUUUUAUACAUAAUUUUAUUGAUAUAAUCGUGAAUAUUAAACUAUAUAGGGAUCGUAUGACAGAAAAAUUUGUUGGAGCCAACCAUCCAUUAGACACAAGUUAGUGGGAUAUAUUACCUUCACACAAUUGCCAGAAAUCAACCAUUAGAAAGAUAGUUGAAAUAGAUCGAAAAAAGAUACAACAUAAUGAUUUUACGUAAAGAAUCAUAAUCGACAAAACAAAAUACAGAUAUACGGUGAUGAUAAAAGACGUGCUAGAAUCAAAGAGUACAACUCCACAUUGAUCUAUAAUAUUGUUUUUUAAUAUCCCAAACGAGUAAACAAGAAAAUAGUUAUAAUAAGUGAAAUAGGUAGUACCAAUGAUAAUAUGUACAAAAUACGAUUGAUCCAACCGCUUUAUCGUAUAAUGAAUUUAUAUCACCAAACUUCAAUGUUGACGAUUUCGACACUAAGCUACUUUCGAGCUAGCAUAUUUAUAAUCUCGAGUUAUAACAAACUCGUUAGUUCAGUGAAUCAGACGAUUAUUUAAAAAAGAAAAAUCUGCAUAAAAAAAAAAAAAAAAAACAGACGAUUAUUUAAUAAAGAAAAAUCUGCAUCACUAAACUUCAACAAAAAUGAAUAGUUGAUAUAAUCUUUGAAUGGUAUCACUUGAAUUACACUUGAAUUUAAAUGGAUAUUUACUAUUUUAAAACUCAAUAACAAGUUCACUAACGUUUCAACCAAAAAGUCUUGAGGUCCAAUAUUGGAUUUUCCUUUGAAUCGACACAUGUUUGGUAUAGGUGAUAUCGGGUGAUAUUGAUAUGUCAUAUCAUUCAAUAGUUAGUUAUUUGAUAUAUUUCCGUGUUNNNNNNNNNNNNNNNNNNNNNNNNNNNNNNNNNNNNNNNNNNNNNNNNNNNNNNNNNNNNNNNNNNNNNNNNNNNNNNNNNNNNNNNNNNNNNNNNNNNNNNNNNNNNNNNNNNNNNNUGACAUAAUUGCCUCCAAAGUAAUUUAAUAGUUACAAGUAAGUAAGGGCUAUAAUGAUAAUUUUCGUUGUCUUCAUUAUUAUAAACCAGGACCCACACCACAUCUAAUCACUCUUAGCCCUUACCGCUCAAUAUCCUACACCAAAUAAGAAUAUUCAUACUUGUUGAAUUCAAUAUCAAUCUCAUCCAAUAUCAUAAUAUCUCAAAUAACUAAUUAUUCGAAAUAUCACAUACCAAAUAAGUACAUAAAUAAAUAAUGAUAGAUCUAAAUAAAUAUACUUGAUUAAGAUAGAAAAUGAGUUGCGACUAUUAUCUAAAUACAAUGAAAAAUCAUCCUUCCUGAAGGAUUAUACUAGGAAUGAAGUUCAAUCAAAUUGGCCAAUCUUAAGAGUGGUAUGCCUAGUCGGGUGUCUAAUGCUAUAAAAAAUAGUUUCUUUUCUCGAUUUUUUUUGUUGAAAUUUUACCAAUGUUAAAUAUACAUACCAUUUUGUCAAUAUGAAAACUUAAGAGUGACCUAAAUUGUAAUUCUAGAUCGAUGACUGAAAACCUAUCAUUUUUGUAAUUUUUCCUCGCUCGAUAUAAAAUACAUCAACCCGAAAUAUAAUCUUCAGAAAAACCCUAAACCCUUUCCUCCCAUCUCCGCCACCGGCAAAUCUCCAGCCAUGGGUAAGGUGAAAGGUAAGCAUCGUUUGGACAAGUACUAUCACCUCGCCAAGGAGCACGGAUACCGUUCCCGUGCCUCGUGGAAACUCGUCCAGCUCGAUUCCAAGUUCAAGUUCCUCCACUCUGCCCGCGCUGUCCUCGAUCUCUGCGCCGCCCCCGGAGGAUGGAUGCAGGUCGCCGUCGAGAAGGUCCCCGUCGGGAGUCUGGUGCUCGGUAUCGAUUUGGUGAGGAUCGCUCCUCUCCGUGGCGCGUUGUCGAUCGAGCAGGAUAUUACCAAGUCCGAGUGCAAGUCGAAGAUUAAGAAGAUUAUGGGGGAUAAUGGGGUGAAGGCGUUUGAUUUGGUUCUUCACGAUGGUUCUCCUAAUGUCGGAGGUGCUUGGACGCAGGAGGCCAUGUCGCAGAAUGCUUUGGUUAUCGAUGCACUGAAGUUGGCUACACAAGUGUUGGCUCCCAAGGGGAAUUUCAUCACUAAAGUGAGCUUGCGUUUUUUUGUUUCUGUUUGAAAAUUUUGGAAUGCGAGAUCAAAGAUUAGGAUGGUUUUAAUCCGCUUAGUUGAUAAUUUGAUAUUGAUGCUAUUAUAUGAGUCAUUGGUUAAUUGGAACUUACAAGUUAGCGAUGAUUCGUUGGAAGUGUUAACCUUAAUGCUGAUAUGGUUUCCGUUGUUGUAGGUGUUCAGGUCACAAGAUUACAGUGCAGUUAUCUACUGUUUAAAUCAGGUGAAUGUCAAAAUUGAAGAUGGGUAGAGCGGAGAUCGUUUUCUUAUAAUGUGGUUCUAAUUAUCUUAUUUAUUCUUUCAGUUCUUUGAGAAGGUUGAGGUUGAUAAACCAUUAGCCAGUCGUUCAGCGUCUGCAGAAAUAUUCGUGCUGGGGCUUAAGUACAAAGCACCUGCAAAGAUUGACAAUGACCUGCUCGAUAUAAAGAAGCUUUUUGCGCAUGUUGAUCCACAAAGAAAGGUAACUGUGAAUUAGAGAUGUUCAGUAUUUUCAUUUUAAUCGUCCUUGAGGCUGUCUGUCUUUUUUAGUUUUAAGUUUAUUCACAUUCCUGCCUGAAUAAAAUUCUCAAUUGCAGCCUCUAGAUCCCCUCAGAGGAACAAAGCAAAAGCGUCAUCGUGACGGGUAAGGAAAUAUCUGGCUGUUUAAUUUUUCAAGUAACACUCGGAAUGUAGUUCAAAUGUGUAGUUGCUGGGUGCCCAUAUAAAAUCUCACCGACUUCAAUUUUUGUUUGGAAAAAUGUCAGUUAUGAAGACGGACAGUCUAUGAUCCGGAAAGUCUCAUCAGCUGCUGAUUUUAUCUGGUCCAACACCCCUCUUGAUGUCCUUGGCUCAGUUACUUCAAUCACCUUUGAGGACCCUGUAUCCUUGCCGAUAAAGGAUCACGAGUUGACAACGGAAGAGGUGACAUAGCUAUGCUUCCUCUGAUAGUCCGCUUUGUGGGUGCUUUUCCUGAGUAUAUCUUCAAUUGAAUAAUUUCUUCUAUGGCCAGGUCAAAGCCCUUUGUGAGGAUCUUCCUGUGUUAGGGAAGCAAGACUUCAAGCAUCUUCUCAAGUAAUAUUCAUGUUUAUAAAAAAACAAUUCUCAUAUCAGAAGGAACAUCUUUGUACAAUGAAGCAAAAUAGAGGAAUUUUUUAAUUAAAUCCAAGUUUCUUCCGAACUACCAUGCUGUGCUUCAAACUUAUCCUUUUCCAUUUAUGUAUCAUGCAGAUGGCGGAUGAAUUUAAGGAAGGCGCUGGCCCCUACCGAAAAAGCUAGCUCUGCUGCUGCUGCUAACAGCGAGGAAAAGAAAGAAGUAGAUGAAGACGAUAAGAUGCUUAAUGAAAUGGAGGAGUUAACAAAGGCUAUGGAGCGGAAGAAGAAAAGAGAGAAGAAAAUAAUUGCUAAAAGACGGGAAAAGGUUAGUAGAACCCUGUUCAUGAAGGCUUGCAAACUCUCGAAUCUACUAGGCCAUGAGAUUAUGUGAAUAGGCCUGCUUUAUGCAGUAUUUCUUUAGUUAAUAAGGUCUCCAGUAUGAUUUUUGUCUGACAUUGGUGUUAAUUCCUGUUGUAUUCUCAGGACAAGGCCCGAAAAGCAUCUGGAGGAAUGUCAAUGGAUGUACAUGAAGAUGAUGGCUGCACUGAUAUCGAGUUAUUUUCUCUUGCAUCAAUUAAGGUCAGCUAAAUACUUUUAUAACACAUUUCUCGUACGCUUUCCCUGCGCGUAAAGUUUUGUCAAAUGAGGGAUCGAUGCAUGCCUCUUGUCAGCCAAAUGCUGAAGGCACGACUAACCCUGAUUUUGAUUUGUAACCACUCAGGGAAAGAACGAUUUGGUUGCUAUAGAUAAUGAUGAGAAUGGUGACGCAAGGGAUAGUGACGAGGAGGAAAACCCUGAUGAUGAUGCUAGGGAAUCAUCCGGCAAUUCAGACUCCGAGGCAGAGCGUCAAAAGUAACUUCCAAUCCUUGUGUAUCUCCAAUCAAUCGAUAAGCAACUGUUUAUUAUAAUACUCAUGUGGCUUUUUGUGUGUAGAUAUGAUGCUAAAAUGGAAGACUUCCUCGACAAUCUCUAUGAACGGUUUGUAACAAAAAAGGAAGGAAGUACAAAGCAGAGGAAACGUGCAAGGCAAGCCUACUCCGAGCAGCUCUUGGAUGAGGAGAAUGACGAUAUGGAGCACUCAGAUUACGAUUCAGACAGGGAGCCGGCCGAUCGCGAAGCAAAUCCUCUCAUGAUUCCGCUCAACGACGGCGAAGAACCGACAAAAGAAGAGAUUGCAAACAAAUGGUUCGCUCAGGAAAUAUUCACCAAAGCAGCGGAGGAAGAGGAUCUGGUCAUGUCCGACAGCGAGCAAGAGGAUGCCCCCGCAAUGGAGGUCGAUAAGAAGCAGCAAGACAAACGUGUUGCUCCGAAAAAGGCUGCGGUAAGGACUAGUGAACCUGAUUUCGAGAUUGUUCCUGCCCCCGAAACUGAUUCUUCGGAUUCGUCCUCGGACGAAUCAGAAGACGACAGCAUCGAGAAGAAGGCCGAGAUACUGGCCUGUGCGAAGAAGAUGCUGAGAAAGAAACAAAGAGAGCAAAUGCUCGACGACGGCUAUAACAAGUACAUGUUCGAUGACGAGGGCUUGCCCGGUUGGUUCCUCGAGGAAGAGAGGAGGCAUCGCCAGCCUGUCAAACCGGUCACCAAGGAGGAGAUGAACGCAAUGCGGGCCCAGUUCAAAGAGAUCAAUGCACGGCCGGCUAAGAAGGUGGCCCAAGCCAAGGCUCGAAAGAAGCGUGCCACCAUGAGGAAGCUUGAGAAGAUUAAGAAGAAGGCCAACGCGAUCUCGGACCAGACCGAGAUAUCCGAACCCUCAAAGAGCAAGAUGAUCGAUAAGCUGUACAAGAGCGCUGCUCCAAAGAAGCCGAAGAAGGAGUACGUAGUUGCGAAGAAGGGUGUCGCUGUGAAGGGUGGCAAGGGGAAGGUCGUAGUUGAUCGGCGGAUGAAAAAGGACGUCCGUGGAGUUAGCAAGAAAGGCAAAGGUGGCUCGAAGAAGAACGGUAAGGGCCAGCAAGGCGGUAAAGGAUCUGCAAGGAAAGGCGGUAAACCGAGACCGGCUGAUAAGGAAACAAAGAGAGGAUCUGCUCGACCGAGGUCGUUUUGACAAAGCUUUUCAUUAAACCUUCAUUAGAAAGGUAAUCCAGUUUUGUGCUGUUUUAUUUUUUCAUUUCCAUUCUGAAAAACUUUGCAGUAACGUUGUCUUUGAACACUCUUUCUGUAAUGAAGUUCAAUUGGUCUAUCUUAUACCUUGCUUUCUUAGGAUUUCCAAACCGGAUGGUUAAGUAUUGAACUGUGUAGGCAGUUGGUUUGAGCAGUGCAUCGAUCUUCCUUACACCGUGUCCCGGUGCUCCAUACUAAAGUACUCAGCCGAACGAACCGAUUUCGAUAUGGAGCUAUCUGCCCGGACCUUGAUCCAUUUGCCCUUGUUCCUCCUACCUGGCUACCUAACCAACAACUACCAGUAGUACAUCUACCUGACAACUACCGGUAUACUUAGACAAUCAAUGAUGGUUAAUUACAAGUACAUUGGUACAAAAUUAAAUGCCCAAUAAAUCUAUGCAUUAGAUUAAUUAAAUAAUAUUAGUUGUGGAUAUUAGUGUUCACAUGUGAAUAUAAAAGGAGAUAUUCUCAUAACAUAUUUUAUAUAAAUAUUAAAAUUGAAUUUAAGUUAUUGAAUUAUAGAAUUGUUAAUUAUUUUUUAACUUCAUAUACUACUGGUAGAAUAUGGUUUUAUUACUAAUUUAUCAAGCACAAUAUUUUACUAUUAAUUUAUAUACAAUAUUUUUAUUUAAUAUUACUUUUUGUUAAACAAUCAAAUCUAUUACCACUAGACUUUACGGUGUUCGGUAUGGUUUGAAAGUUUUAUUAUGCUAACUCCCAAUAAAUAACGAUCAAACGUAGUUCAAAAUCAAUUCUAUUUGAUAUUUUAGCAUAUUCAAAAAUGUUUUNNNNNNNNNNNNNNNNNNNNNNNNNNNNNNNNNNNNNNNNNNNNNNNNNNNNNNNNNNNNNNNNNNNNNNNNNNNNNNNNNNNNNNNNNNNNNNNNNNNNNNNNNNNNNNNNNNNNNNNNNNNNNNNNNNNNNNNNNNNNNNNNNNNNNNNNNNNNNNNNNNNNNNNNNNNNNNNNNNNNNNNNNNNNNNNNNNNNNNNNNNNNNNNNNNNNNNNNNNNNNNNNNNNNNNNNNNNNNNNNNNNNNNNNNNNNNNNNNNNNNNNNNNNNNNNNNNNNNNNNNNNNNNNNNNNNNNNNNNNNNNNNNNNNNNNNNNNNNNNNNNNNNNNNNNNNNNNNNNNNNNNNNNNNNNNNNNNNNNNNNNNNNNNNNNNNNNNNNNNNNNNNNNNNNNNNNNNNNNNNNNNNNNNNNNNNNNNNNNNNNNNNNNNNNNNNNNNNNNNNNNNNNNNNNNNNNNNNNNNNNNNNNNNNNNNNNNNNNNNNNNNNNNNNNNNNNNNNNNNNNNNNNNNNNNNNNNNNNNNNNNNNNNNNNNNNNNNNNNNNNNNNNNNNNNNNNNNNNNNNNNNNNNNNNNNNNNNNNNNNNNNNNNNNNNNNNNNNNNNNNNNNNNNNNNNNNNNNNNNNNNNNNNNNNNNNNNNNNNNNNNNNNNNNNNNNNNNNNNNNNNNNNNNNNNNNNNNNNNNNNNNNNNNNNNNNNNNNNNNNNNNNNNNNNNNNNNNNNNNNNNNNNNNNNNNNNNNNNNNNNNNNNNNNNNNNNNNNNNNNNNNNNNNNNNNNNNNNNNNNNNNNNNNNNNNNNNNNNNNNNNNNNNNNNNNNNNNNNNNNNNNNNNNNNNNNNNNNNNNNNNNNNNNNNNNNNNNNNNNNNNNNNNNNNNNNNNNNNNNNNNNNNNNNNNNNNNNNNNNNNNNNNNNNNNNNNNNNNNNNNNNNNNNNNNNNNNNNNNNNNNNNNNNNNNNNNNNNNNNNNNNNNNNNNNNNNNNNNNNNNNNNNNNNNNNNNNNNNNNNNNNNNNNNNNNNNNNNNNNNNNNNNNNNNNNNNNNNNNNNNNNNNNNNNNNNNNNNNNNNNNNNNNNNNNNNNNNNNNNNNNNNNNNNNNNNNNNNNNNNNNNNNNNNNNNNNNNNNNNNNNNNNNNNNNNNNNNNNNNNNNNNNNNNNNNNNNNNNNNNNNNNNNNNNNNNNNNNNNNNNNNNNNNNNNNNNNNNNNNNNNNNNNNNNNNNNNNNNNNNNNNNNNNNNNNNNNNNNNNNNNNNNNNNNNNNNNNNNNNNNNNNNNNNNNNNNNNNNNNNNNNNNNNNNNNNNNNNNNNNNNNNNNNNNNNNNNNNNNNNNNNNNNNNNNNNNNNNNNNNNNNNNNNNNNNNNNNNNNNNNNNNNNNNNNNNNNNNNNNNNNNNNNNNNNNNNNNNNNNNNNNNNNNNNNNNNNNNNNNNNNNNNNNNNNNNNNNNNNNNNNNNNNNNNNNNNNNNNNNNNNNNNNNNNNNNNNNNNNNNNNNNNNNNNNNNNNNNNNNNNNNNNNNNNNNNNNNNNNNNNNNNNNNNNNNNNNNNNNNNNNNNNNNNNNNNNNNNNNNNNNNNNNNNNNNNNNNNNNNNNNNNNNNNNNNNNNNNNNNNNNNNNNNNNNNNNNNNNNNNNNNNNNNNNNNNNNNNNNNNNNNNNNNNNNNNNNNNNNNNNNNNNNNNNNNNNNNNNNNNNNNNNNNNNNNNNNNNNNNNNNNNNNNNNNNNNNNNNNNNNNNNNNNNNNNNNNNNNNNNNNNNNNNNNNNNNNNNNNNNNNNNNNNNNNNNNNNNNNNNNNNNNNNNNNNNNNNNNNNNNNNNNNNNNNNNNNNNNNNNNNNNNNNNNNNNNNNNNNNNNNNNNNNNNNNNNNNNNNNNNNNNNNNNNNNNNNNNNNNNNNNNNNNNNNNNNNNNNNNNNNNNNNNNNNNNNNNNNNNNNNNNNNNNNNNNNNNNNNNNNNNNNNNNNNNNNNNNNNNNNNNNNNNNNNNNNNNNNNNNNNNNNNNNNNNNNNNNNNNNNNNNNNNNNNNNNNNNNNNNNNNNNNNNNNNNNNNNNNNNNNNNNNNNNNNNNNNNNNNNNNNNNNNNNNNNNNNNNNNNNNNNNNNNNNNNNNNNNNNNNNNNNNNNNNNNNNNNNNNNNNNNNNNNNNNNNNNNNNNNNNNNNNNNNNNNNNNNNNNNNNNNNNNNNNNNNNNNNNNNNNNNNNNNNNNNNNNNNNNNNNNNNNNNNNNNNNNNNNNNNNNNNNNNNNNNNNNNNNNNNNNNNNNNNNNNNNNNNNNNNNNNNNNNNNNNNNNNNNNNNNNNNNNNNNNNNNNNNNNNNNNNNNNNNNNNNNNNNNNNNNNNNNNNNNNNNNNNNNNNNNNNNNNNNNNNNNNNNNNNNNNNNNNNNNNNNNNNNNNNNNNNNNNNNNNNNNNNNNNNNNNNNNNNNNNUAGUUAAAACCAAUUUUACUUAGUGUUAUUUUAGGAUGUUGAAAUAUUUUUUCAACUUCAUUUGACUAUUAGUUGAAGGGCUUAACAUGGUGAAAUCUCAGGUGUCAACCAUUCCCAACAUGCUUCUCAAAUAUUAGCCAAUUUCAAAAAUUUCAAUUUUUGUGUAAAAAAUGUCUAUUUCCAAAGGGGUUAACCUAUGAAAAUAUACCAUUUUCAGAAGAAUAUUUCAAAUCGACUAAUAUUUGACAUGCAUGUUGGAAAUGGCUAAAUAAUGAUCAAACGUAGUUAAAAACUAAUUUUACUUAGUGUUAUUUUAGCAUGUUGAAUUUUUUUUUAACUUCAUUUGGCUAUUAUUUGAAGGGGUUAAAAUGGUGAAACCUUAAUUUUUAAUCAUUCCCAACAUGAAUGUUAAAUAUUAGCUAAUUUAAAAAAAAAUAAUUUUCAUGUCAAAAUUUUUAAUUUACAAAGGGACUAACCAAUGGAAAUUGACCAUUUUUUAAAAAAAAUUUAACCUAUAAAAAUUGAACAUUUUAACAUAUAAAAAUACACCAAACCCUUAUUUGUUGUUUCAGAGCUUUCCAAGUAGAUCUUUCGCCCAUACUCCAAUGAAUCUUCACAAAUGGAUCCUGCCACUCACUAUCUCCUCCAUUCUCGCUAUCUCCCUCUUCCUCUUCUCCUCCCUUGAACUCACGACUGGACUCGUCCGGUAAACUUAACAAUUGUUAUAUCCCGCCACGAUUUGUUGACUGUAAUUGGCCUGGGACGCUGGAGCGGGCCCCGCAUAACAGGAUUCCUGACUGGGCGAGUCACCUUCCAAUACUGGGAGGGAGGACAUGGGGGUCUUUUACUCGGCAGCCCACCCGAAUAUCGACCGGUUGUGGGAGGUUUGGAGGGCGACCCACCCGGAGAUGGACGACACGGAGUUCCUCGACUCGUCGAUAUACUUCUACGACGAGAAGCUCUGGUUGAACCGGAUCCGGUUUAGUGACGUUAUGGAUAUGGAUAAGUUGAGGUACCGGUAUGAGGAUGUGGUCAACAUAUGGAUGAAUGCCAGACUGAAACCCUCGAUCACGCCUAGGAUAGUGAAACGCGAGCUCAAAAAGAGGGAUCGGAACAAGAUAGUAAUGUGUUGGAAAUGCCGUCCGGGCAUGUCCUCAACUCUCGAGUAACAAUUCGUGUGGUUCGGCCGAGGGCGGUCAGGACCAGAAAGGAGAAAGACCAAUUCGAGGAUGGUGGAAGGGAUUGUCAUGAAGGCAGAGAAGUUUGUGAAGUUCGACGUCUACAUCAACGUAGUCAACGAGACGAUAAUGAGCCCCAAGUACCGGGAGUUUGCAGGGACGUUCACCAAUAUCCCGGUGGGGGUAUCGUUUGGUAAGAAGAAGAUGUUGGAGCUAGGGAUUUCAGAGGUGUUGGAGGAUUUGGAGGCGGAUCGAGACCUAUCUAUAUGGGUGACAUUGAUGCCGAGGACACAGAGUUGUAACAAGGUUACAUUGAUCGGCUAAGCAUCGAGCACACGAAGAAAUGAAUCGAAAAUAAAACCAGAUCGGUUAAACUGUUUGAUGUCUUUUACAAGGAAUAAUAAUUGAAAAUUGUUAGAAUGAAAUAUCAAUGCACCAUACUUUAGGAGUUGAUGAAAUCAUCUAUCGUUCUCAAAUUGAUUAUAUGCUUUCAGUGGGUUGGAUUAUGAUAGGUGUCCCGGUAUGGGAUAGGUUAGACGACCCAAUGCUUAUGACCACGUUGGAUCUACUUUGAGUUGAACCAUAUCUCAUUACAUAAAAAGGCUGCUCCCUAAGCUGCGGCACAUUCACGAAAGUAACAUGUACCAUCUGUCAAUUACUUGGCUCUUGAGUUAGUUUUCAAGAAUGCAUCAUUCAGAACUGCAUCUGACAUGCAAAACCAGGCUAAAGAAAUACAGUCAUCAUUCUAUGGAACAUAGUUUGCUACAUUUUCCCUUUCCUUUCGAAAAGAAAAAGGGUAGGUACAGACCAGUUACUAUCAACGGAGCAAAAAAGCAAACGCAGUAGGAACAAGGAGAUGACAAAGUUACAGAUUGAGAAGAAGAAAAUGGAACUAAUCAGCAGAACAGAGCAAAGUCCUUAAGCUAGUAGUAUCUACCCACCCUCAUUUUCGGUCCAUGGUCUCGCAGUUUACUCCACCAUCACAUCAACUGAAGCUGUAGAUGUUGUUGGCUUAGACUUGCUUUUCUUUUUACCUGUUGAUUAGCAAGUAAAUGUCAGUCUUGAGUUCGUUCUGCAUUAGAGAUGGCUUCAGCCUGCAUUCAUGCACUUUUCAAUUAUAUUCCUAAAAGGAGCAGAUAGUGUUGGAAUAUGACCUUUUUUACGGUCUAACUGCUUCAACUUCAGUCCUCUUUUUACGUUAAACAACUUGUUGGAAAUUUUACUGCUAUCUUUAGAUGUGCCUUCACCUGCAAAAGAGCAUGUACCAAGCAUAUUAAAUCAAGCAACAUAAAAGACUCUUAGGAAAGUUUAUAAUCAAUCCAUUUGAGCUUAUUCGGAAACACGUACAAUUCCAUUUCAAAUCCUUACAUAUUCCUGUAUCCAAGUUUCCUUCCACAAUGCUAAACCCUAUUCCAAAUCAACUUUUACACGUAGUCUCAACUUACUUUCCUAAGAAUCGUGAUUCUUGCUGCCAAACCUAACCAUAGUAAAAUUUCAACCUAAGCAGCUUUCUUAAUGUCAUCAACAAAGAGGAUUAACAAUCAAAACUAACAAAUACAAAACCAGCACUCUCACUCUCCUAGUCAUGGACAAAUCAAGUCCCAUCACAAACCAACAACUCUGGCAGUACGUACAAUUGGACAGAAGUUGAUCCAAGUUGGUAUGACUUGUUCUAAACAUGUCCUGCCUGAGAAUCCGAAAUCCUGUCCAAAGCGGAUGCUUAGUCCCAUUGGCUGGAUUUCUGAAUGGGGGCGGUCACAGGCAGUAAACGAAUACUUAAGUAAAAGCACUUGAAAAGAAGAAGACAACAAUACCAUCUGCAACCGCCAUCUCUACAUCUUCCAUGGUGACAAGUCCUUUUUCUACAGCUUCUUUCUGGUCCUGUAUUGUAUGUAGUAAUUAACCGCAGCCAAAAUGAAUAUUCACCUAUAAAAACCCUUUGCUUCUGCAUUAGGGAAGGACAAAAGGAACAACAUACUUACUCUGCGCCAUUUGUUCAACAGCUUGCGCUUGCGUUUCCCAGAGACAGAUUGAUUCUGCUGUUUAGCCUUCAAUUUAGCGGUGAGGGGAUCUCCGUGAACGAUUCUCUUUUUUUCUGCUAUCGCUGCCCUCUUCCUCUUGAGCACUUCAUUAAACUUCGCCAUUGUUUUCUGAUCUUUCUCCGUUUCUCUCAAAGAGUCAUAAAACCCUAACUGGCAUUUUUCGUUCGGGUUUAUGUAUGUGCCCAAACACAAUUUGGGCCUGGUUUUCAAAUUUUGUUGGGCUUAAUUAGCUUUUGCCCGCCCAAUAUUUACCUGGUUUUCAAAUUUUGUUGGGCCUGGUUUUCAAAAGUUUUACCAUGUUAUAAAACUAGCUUUUGCCCGCACAAUAUUUACCUGUUGGUUGUUUUGUUGGUGUCGUAUGUUUCGAUUAUUAGUGGUGAGCAUUGUUCCUCGGGUUAACCAUCAAAUUCAUUUAAAUUUAUCUCUUUUAACUCAAUUCGAAAGUGAGUGUUUGUUGUGGGUGGAUUUGAGUUGUCUAUCUAACCACCCACUAAGUAGUGAGUGGAUUUGGGUUGGUAAUGGGUUAUUCACCUAAUUCACCAAUUCACUAUAUUAGUGGGCGAAACUUACAAUUUCUCUAUUAUCUCUAACCAUCCGGUGCAAAUAUAUCAAAAAAAUCAUCUUCCCACUAAGAUUUUUUGGACAAUAGGACUUUUGCUUUAAUGAUUUGUAUUGUUUAAUUUUGAGAUUGCUUCUAAAGGUCCAUAAGUAAUGGAAGAUGAGACACAUCUGCCUUAUUUUUAUUUUUUUUGUCAAAGUUUAAUAUGAUUUCAUGAUUUAUUAGGUGUGUGGGUGUGGGUCUUGCAAAUAGUAACCCACCAAGUAACAUGUAGGUUGGUUUUGGCAUCAAACCUAACCCAACCCACUCGAUGCCCUAUCGAUUAUGGAGUUUGUGGAAAUGUGUUGGAAAUGCCGACCGGUCAUGUCCACGACUCUUGAGUAACGAUUCGUGUGGUUCAUUCUGCCAGAGGGUGGUGAGGACCCAAAAAGAGAUAUUGGUGGUGGAAGGGAUUAUCGUGAAUGCUGAGGAGUUUGUGAAGUUCGACCUGGUCUAUAUGGGUGAUAUUGAUGCCGAGGACAGAAAGUUGUAACAAGGUUACAUUUGAUGGGCUAAGCAUCAAGCACGCUAAGAAGCGAAUUGAGAACCAUAGGUUAAAUUGUUUGAUGUCUUUUAAUUUGUUGUAACGAAUAGUUGAAAAUGUAUCAUGCUCUAGGAGCUCAUGAUUUGUCUAACGUUCUCAAAUUGAUCCCAUGCUUUGUGCUCAUAUGGUUUUGAAAACAGUCGAAAGAAACCGAAACAGAGUUGAUCGACGAUUAUCAUACUUCUGGCCAGUGUAACAGAAGGCAUUAGUGUCUCUACAAAACACUAGUAAGGCAGUAACAGAAGAACUACACAAACUGGUUCAGAUACUCAUCAACAGUAGUAUACUUAACAUCAGGGUAAAUCUCUGAUGCCUCUACACCGAACGAAUCCUCGAUUUCGAAGCUCGUCUGGCAUCCCUUCACCAGAAUCGAAUGGUUAAGCGCCAGCAUCACAUCUCCUGCAAACCCACAAACACACAUUUAGCACCCUCCAACAACAAAAAUUGAUCUAGCUUGUCUUUAUAUAUAAAAACUACCUCUAGUGUGCUUGAGAAUCUCUUCUUCUGGAACAUAGACCCUUUUCAGUUUCUUCCCGAUCUUCCUCUCCCACAGAGACGCCAGAUCGUUGAACGAGAAGAUGUUGUUCGGAGGCCUGAUGUAGACAAGCUUGUUCAACGUUCGUGGAUCGUCCACUGCUCGAAUCGUAUACGUCCCGAUAUCAUCCUCCCUGUUAAAAACCGCUGUGUUUUUCGUUUCGAAAAGAAAUAACAUCAUCACCACAAUUGUUCUUCAGCUUAAUGAUAAACUGAAUGAAAAAGUUUCAAACUUUCAAUCUAACCUUUAGCAUUGCCGUCUCCCAAGAUGAUAACUUUAUCCCUGGGAGGGACAUCACCAGAAGGCUGAGCCAAGUUGCUGAGGAAGUAACCAGCAAAGCAGUUGCAGGAGACAUAUGUGAAUGGGAUCCCUUCAGCUUCGACAGCUCGACGAAUCUGAAUCUUGACAUUGUACGCCGAUUGCGCUGGCUCGACUGCCACCACUCGAUCCACGUCGUUCCCAAACUCCGAUGGGAAAAACCUCUGAUCAAUCAAUAAGCAACAUGGAUUGAAUCAGACAAACCAUUCCAAUUCACUUGAGCCAAACCCUAGCAACGGUAGAUUUAGGGGGUUUGUUUUACCUUGACGUUUCCAGCUUCUUUAAUGGCGGCUAUGAUCUUCACUUGCUCAGUCAGCAUCCCAUGCCCAACUGUUGAAAUCACCACAUCAACUUUCUUCAUUGCGUCCACCAAGCUUCCAUGGUCGUUCAAAUCCCCCUGUAGAAAAUUCCGUUCAGAUGAGAAAUGGAGAGGGAAUUUUAAAUCUGAGAAAGAAAACACACACAAAAAAAUUCCCUACGAUGAGGAAAUUGACGCCCAAGUUCUUGAAGGUGCUGAGGAGAUUGGAUCUUCUGGGAGAUGAGAGAGUCGAUUUCCUGACGAGGGCGUAAGUAGGGUGGCCGGAUUUGGCGCUGGCUUCGACGAUGAAUUUGCCGAUGUACCCUGUUCCUCCGAUGAACAGGAUCUUGCUCUUGGUGGAGGAAGCCAUUGGUGAAAGGAAUCGAUGAAUCUUCUUCUUUCUGGAGAAUUGGGGUUGUGAGGUGAUGGAUUUAUUCGUAAAGUUGACUGAUGAGCUUAUAUAGUUGAAAUGUGGGAACGAAUAUAGUAAAGGUGGUGAUUUUGGACGACGACGACGAACGAGAAAAGAAGAUUCCGGCGGCUUUUGGCAAUGGAGGGAAAUGAGAUUGGUUGCCAUUGUUGACCAUCGUAAGCAAACCACUAAACUGGUUCGGAACCCGCGGUUUGUUGCUAGAAGCCGGUUUGGUUUGGUUUGAUUUGAUUUGACUUGACACUUUUGGUUGUAAGCGGUUACCAGAUUCGAACUCGAAAUUUUUGGCUCUUGGAAACUCAUCUCCAUGCACAUUCAUUUCUCUAAUCGGUUAAUGCAUCCCUAACCGAAAUGAACUGCUAUAGUCAGGUAAUGCAGAGUCGAGAGCAGGUAAUAUGAAAGAGAAUGUCCAACCAAAACCAUAAAUCGAAAUCGGUUUCGUUUGUUAACCACAAAAGUCCAACUUCACUAACCACAAACACUUCAAGCACAACUCAGUUCACAAUUAUAACCAUAUAUGGAACCCAACACAUCCCUGUACAUCUUUCGAACUUGGAAAGUUUCGUUUCGAAAUAUUACAACUAGGUCAAACCCCUGGAAUUCUGCGUCAUGAAAACCGGUCAAACCAAGGUGGACAAGUACUCAACAAUGGUAGUAUACCCAACAUCUGGAUACACCUUUGAGCCUUCUACUCCAGUGGCAGGAUCAAUCUCAUAGAAGGUAUGAUCUCCUCUCACAAACACAGAGUAUAUGAACACAAGCUCCAUCUUCCCCGGAUACGGAGUCGCUGCCGAAAAAAACGAACCAAAUUCAACAAAAGAAGCAGAUCAAGCAGCAAGAGAAUCAGUAUCACCUACCCAGUAAAUGACCACCAUUUAUUAUGUUCAACAUCUCUUCUUCCGAAACAUAGCAUCUCUCCACAGUCUUCGCAAUCAGCCCAUCCCAGAUCGUCACAAGCUCGUUCAUCGAACACACGUUCCCCGGAGGCCUCAAGUACAGCGUCUUGUUCAGCGUGGAAGGAUCGUCCACUGCUCUCAUCGUCAAAGUAGCUACAUCCUGUUCCUUCACAAACACACCUGAAACCAAGACCGACUCGUUUCUUUGAUAUCUUCAUCUAGUCGUUUGAAAUCACGUAAAUGUACCUUUCACAUUGCCGUUUCCGAAGAUUGUGACCUUGUCUCUAGGUGAGAGGCGAGUCCUGGCUGGACAAGGGAAGGAAGGUAGUAGCUCAUCAAGAGAUUGCAGCAGACGUAGGUGUAUGGGAUUGAUUCGACUUCUACCAACCGUCUGAUCUCGGCUUUUCUAGAGUAGAAUCCAUGAUCCAUUCCUGAUAUCUGUGAUCUGUCUGCAUCUGCUCCGAAUUCGGACGGGAUGAACCUCUGGAAAAUGAUGAUCAUCAUGAAUGAAACCCAUGUUAACAUUAAAUGUGCUAAUGUACAAAAUCCCAUCAAAGAAAUCGCUUCAAUUUCACUAAAAUCAGUUGCCUUGAUCCGGCUUUUGAUAAUCAAAGAAGACAGCAAUUUGACAAUCACAAUCUAACAGUUACCUUUAUCCGGCUUCCGGCUUGUUUGAUGACAUUGAUAAGCAGCUUCUGAUCAUGAGCUUGUUUAGACGGAAUCGAACAGAUCACAACAUCAACUCGAUUCACUGCCUCCACAAGGCUACUCUCGUCCUGCAAUGAAACCUAAAAAUACAGCAGCAGAAGAAGAAGAAUCAAGAACAACAAAAAUUCCCCUAGUUGGAAAAAGCAUUAUCCCAAUUGAAUAACACCUUAAUGACGGAGGCGCCGGCAUUGGUGAGGGAUUGGAGCUUGUGAGCUUUGAUUGGGUCUUGGAAAGCCGAUUCUCUGACGAGGAGGAGAGUUGGGUGAGAGCAGUUGAGGAUGGUGUGAAGUUUGAUGAAUGGAAGAGAAGAGAAGAACAGAGAAAGCGAAGAAGAAGGAGAAGCUGUAAUGGAAAGUCGUUUUCUGUUAUUACUGUACUGAAUGAAUUAAAUGUACAAACAGAAAGGAGAAUUCUAUUUAUACCACUACUACUAUUAUCUAUUACAACUCACUCACAUACUUAUAAUUUAACACCAUUUAACACCCCCCCACAAACUGGGGAGUAGAUGUUCAAUAUACCCAGUUUGGACAGUAAGAACUGCAUCCUGGGAGCAGCUAAUCCCUUGGUAAAGAUGUCCGCCAGCUGCGUUUCUGUUGACACAUACUUGAGUUGCACUAAUCCUGACUCAAUUCGUUCACGAAUCACGUGACAAUCGAUCUCUAUGUGCUUAGUACGUUCGUGAAAUACAGGAUUGUGUGCAAUGUGGAUUGCUGACUGAUUGUCGCAAUACAGUUGCAUUGGACUAUUGUGAGGAACUCCCAAGUCUGCCAACAGCACCUUCAUCCACUGAACCUCACAACACAACGAUGCAAUUGCCCUGUACUCAGCUUCUGAUGAAGAUCUAGAGACAGUGCUCUGCUUCUUAGUUUUCCAUGAAACCAACGAACUACCUAGAAACAGGCAGUACCCCGUAGUUGAUCUUCUCGUAUCUGGGCAACUUGCCCAAUCUGAAUCACAGUAUCCAUGAACUUCCAGGUUACUAUCUUUCCUGAAGUAUAAACCUUGACCUGGAGACCCUUUCAAAUAUCUAAUGACCUUAUAUGCAGCCUUGAGAUGUGUAUCUGUUGGUUUAGCCUGAAACUGAGCCAGCUGCUGCACUGCAUAACAAAUGUCAGGUCGUGUAAUUGUGAUAUAGUGCAAUCUUCCAAUUAUCUGCCUGUAUUGAGUGAUGUCUUCCAGUGGAUUUCCCUCAUCUGCUUUCAGUUUUUCCUUAUAGUCAAGUGGGGUCUUUGUGGGUUUCCCAUCCAGUAGACCAGCUUCUGAGAUCAUCUCCAGGCAGUAUUUACGUUGACACAUGGAGAUUCCAUUCUUUGUUCUGGCAAUCUCAAGUCCUAGGAAGUAUUUCAAGGGCCCCAUGUCUUUCACCUUAAAGUGUUUCUGCAACUUUCCUUUGAUCUCUUCCAUCAGGGUGAGGUCAUUUCCAGCUAGGAUAAUAUCAUCUACAUAAACCAAUAAUACCAGCAUGGAAUUUCCUGAUGAGUAAUUGAAAAGUGAGUGAUCUGAGUCAGAUUGUUUAAAUCCUUCCUGCUUAAGCGCUUUGGUGAACUUGAUGAACCACAUUCUGCUUGCUUGCUUCAAACCAUACAAGGACUUUUGCAGCUUGCACACCUGUCUUCCAACUCCUUUGGUCUCAUAGCCCUUUGGUAUGUCCAUGUACACUUCCUCAUCCAAGUCUCCAUGAAGGAAUGCAUUGCUCACAUCCAUUUGGUGCAGAUGCCAAUCCUUCACGGCAGCUACAGCAAGCAGUGUUUUCACAGAAGUAAUCUUUGCCACUGGUGAGAACGUGUCUGUGAAAUCCACCCCAUACACUUGUGUGUACCCUUUUGCAACUAAGCGUGCCUUGUAUUUGUCUAUGCUUCCAUCUGGAUUAUACUUGAUCCGGUAUACCCACUUGCAUCCUACGGGCCUUACCCCUGACGGCUUAUCAGUAACUGUCCAUGUCCCAUUUGCCUCGAGAGCUUGCAUUUCCUCCAUCAUGGCUCUCCUCCAGUGGGGAGAUUUGACGGCUUCUUCAAAGGUUUGUGGCUCAGAUUCAAGAGAGAUGGACAAAGAAAAAACUCUGUGAGUUGGUGAAAGGAAAUCAUAACACAGAUACUUAUGCAUGGGAAAAGAUGAGUAUUCUUCAAUAAUAGGUUUUGUUGAACUGAGGAGAGAACAAUGGUAAUCUUCUAGAUAUUUUGGAGGUCUAGUGACUCGUGUUGGUCUUUUGCAGGGGAGAGUAGGAUUAAUGUAGGUAUGAGAUUGAGUAUGUUGAGGGGUAGGUGUGGAAUCUGUGUUGAUGGUCUUUGUUUGGGGAGUUUUUCUUGUGUUUGAAGGUGAUCUGGAAUCUGUAGUGAUGGUGAUGUCUGGUUGAGGAUGGUCACUUGAAUUUGCGGGAGGAAUAUUCAUAUCAACAUCAUCAGGAGGGGAGAGUGAGUCAAGGGUAAUGGGAAUUAUGGACUGGUCUGUAUUGGUGGUAGUUGUUGGGGAUAGAUCAGGCUCUCUAUAGGGAAGGAUCAUUUCAUGAAACACAACAUUCCUGGAAACAAUGACCUUUUGGUUAGCUAAGUCUAAUAGCUUGUAACCUUUUAUCCCAUUCUGGAAACCUAUGAACACACAGGGAGUGGAUCUGGGAGCAAAUUUGGUGCGGUUGUGGGACAAGGUGCUAGCAUAUGAUAGACAGCCAAAGAUACGUAAGUGAUCAUAAGACGGUUUGACAUUAUAUAGAGUUUCAUAUGGGGAAAGGUUAUUAAGAACAGGAGUUGGAAGUCUGUUGAUUAAGUAACAGGCAUGUAAGACACAGUCCCCCCAGAAUCUGAGAGACAAACCACUUUGGAAUCGUAGGGAACGAGCAACAGCUAAGAGAUGCUGAUGUUUGCGUUCAACUCGUCCAUUUUGGGGAGCGAUGGAAACACAACUUUGCUGAUGAAUAAUGCCAUGUGUAGCAAAGAAAGAGUCCAUUUUAAACUCUGCACCCUGAUCAGAUCGAAUGAUCUUAACAGAAACUGAGAAUUGAGUAGAUACCAUAGAACAAAAGGAUUUAACAAUCUCUCGAGUUUCACUUUUAUGUUUCAUGAGAAAUAUCCACACACAACGACUGAAAUCAUCAAGGAUAGUAAGAAAAUAACUAUGACCAUCAUGAGUAGGAGUAUGUAAUGGUCCCCAAAUAUCCAUAUGGACUAAUGAAAAAGGAGAAUCAGCUCUGGAAUGGCUCUUGUUAAAGGGAAGGGUUUUUUGUUUAGCAAGGUGGCAAGUAAUGCAGUGAGAAGAUGAAGGAAGGGUGAUGGAAGGUUGAGCCUGGUGGAUGAGUUGAAGUCUCCCUAGGGAUGGAUGCCCUAGUCUGCAAUGCCAAACAUCCAAAGAAUGAGGGUGAAGGUUAAAGACAGCUGCAGCAGCAAUGUUAGAAGAAAUGAGGGAAACAAAGGCAGUAGUGUGGAUGGCGGGUAAAAGGUAUAAACCUCUACUUUCUUGGGCUAAACCAAUCGUCUUCUGUGAGGGAAGGGCCUGAAUAUGACACUGAUGUGAUGAAAAAGCAACAGAAACAGGUGAUUGUUGCGUGAGGCAGCUAACAGAAAGAAGGUUGAAAGAAAAACAGGGAAUGUAUAACACAUUAUGCAAAGACAGGCCACAUGGCAAUAUUACCAACCCAGAAUGAGUAGCAAGAACACUUUUGCCAGUAGGUAAGGUGACAGGAAUGGGAGAAAUGACAUUCAGAUGAGAGAAUAGGUGAGAUGAACAGGCAAUAUGACUACUAGCUCCUGUAUCCACUAUCCAGUAACUAGAAAGGGGUUGAGAUGUAAGAGUGGAAAGGGAGUAGGUACCUGAUGAUGUAGAUGAUGCAGGAAUGGUGGUGGUGAUUAGGUUGGCAUAAGUGGCUUGGGAUUGAGGCUGUGGCAUGGCUGUUUGCUGGAGGAGUAUUCGAAGUCGUGCAAGCUCUGAGGAGGACAAGGACAUGGACGUAUCUGAUGAACUUUCAGAAGCAGAACGAUAGUCUGGAGUUGAGUAACCAUGGGAAGACUGACAGUCAUUAUCAAGGCUAUGGUGAACAUCACCAGAAGCAGCACCAGCAAAUCGAUUGAAACCAUUUCCACCACCAUUACUCGCUUCACGAGCCUUUUUGUUCUUUAAUUUCAUACAUGUUUCAAUGUUAUGAUUGUCCUUCUUACAAUAUCUACAAAAUAGAGGCUGUUUUUCACCAGAAUCUCUAUUUCUUCCAUUUCCAGCAUAGUUAGUUGCAGCAAGAGCAAUAGAAUCUACAGAUCUAACCACAUUUCCUUUCAUCUGACGUUCCAUCUGAACAGCGAAUUUGAAUGCAGUAUUAAUGUCAGGCAAAGGAUCCAUUAACAGCAACUGAGAUCGUACUACAUCAUAGCUUUCAUUCAAUCCUCGAAUGAAACGGAUCACAUGAUCUUGCUCUUGAUACAGCAGCAUUUUAGAGAUGACUUUGCAAGUCGAAACUCGAUUAGGAUUGCAUUCACACAGAGGAAUUGGUCUAUAUUGAACGUAUUCCUCCCAUAGAACCUUAAGAUUGGUGAAAUACUGAGUAAUCGUUGUCUGACCUUGAUCACAGGAUGCAAUCCGUGAUUGCAAAUCAGCGAUUCGGAUUGCGUCGCACUGGCGGAAUCGUUGAUUGAGAUCGUUCCAAGCAGCUGCUGCAUUAUCAUAAGAAAUAAGACUCUGCGCGAUGUCUUCUGACACAGAGUUCAGAAUCCAGUUCAGAACUGCGAAGUUGCAUCGGAUCCAAGCUUGAUAUGAGGCAUCCUGAACUUCUGGAGCUGGAUAUGAUCCAUCAAUGAAGCUUAGCUUGUUUUUGAUACUCAGGGCUACAUUCAUGGAUCUGCUCCACACAUGAAAGUUAUCAUUUGUCAACUUUACUCCGACGAUCGGAGAUGAGAGAUUAUCGCUGGGAGACAAGAACAACGGAUUCGCGAAGUGAUCGGUGUAGUUUGAAGGAUGAGCAGAACUGAGUGUAGAAAGGAUUGAUGAUGAUUGUGUUGAUGAAGUCAUGACGAAAUCAGCUCAACAAUGGAGGCUCUGAUACCAUGUGAAGUUUGAUGAAUGGAAGAGAAGAGAAGAACAGAGAAAGCGAAGAAGAAGGAGAAGCUGUAAUGGAAAGUCGUUUUCUGUUAUUACUGUACUGAAUGAAUUAAAUGUACAAACAGAAAGGAGAAUUCUAUUUAUACCACUACUACUAUUAUCUAUUACAACUCACUCACAUACUUAUAAUUUAACACCAUUUAACAGAUGGAUUCUGCUAAGUGGUAACCCGAAUUGCCUGUCGAGCCGAUUAUCAACACUCUGCUCAUCUCCUCCAUUGCUGUCAGCUCGUUUGAUCUAUUGGGUUACAGUCUAAAUUGCUGACAUUACCAUGCACAAUCCAGUUGAAGGUUUUGCCUUUCCAGUGUACUGCGAUGGUAGCAGGAAACUUUAUUGAAAAUCUGACUAUUUCCCAUUCCAAUUAGAAAUUUGAGAUUCGGGUGUUCAAUUGGGAAUCCACAUAUUUCCCAUGGUAAGGGUGGCUGUUCGAAUUUGGGUGGUUUAACUGAAUUCAUUCAAUCGAAAAUGGAAUUUAAGUAUCAAUUCGGUUUUGAAUUCGAUAUCGGUAGAUAAAUUUUUUUUUAAUUCGAAUUCGGUUAAUUAGGUCGAAAUCGAUUUUAAACCGAAUUCGGACAUGAAAUUGGGCAUUUCGACUAUUUGUGAUAUGUUGAUAUUGAAUUUAUUACUUAAUAUAUAAUGGGAAGACUUAUUUCAAUUAAAAUUUGAAAGAUGGAAGUCAACAAAAAGCAAAAUGAAGUCUAAAAAAUAUAUUUAAAGUCUUUUUUUAAUGCGGUUUUUCAACAAAAUUCUAAUUCAGUUAUAAAUUCAGCGAAUUCGAUUUCAAAAUUAAAAAAAAAAAAAUUUCGACCGAAUUGACGUCCCUAUAUAUAAGAUAUUGAGUUUCCAUCGGAAGUAGGUGGAUUCUUGAAUGUUUGUACUUGGAAUGACACUAGCUACCCCUGUCUUUGAUUUGUUUAGACGAGGUAAACUAGACUGCUUGGUUGUUAGUAUCUUUUUAAUAGUUUGGUGCAGAGGUAGCGAGAUAGCAAAAUGAUAAAACAAGAAACAUUCUGAAUUUGUAAAUACAGAAAGGAUAACGAUAACAAAGAGAAUCGACUCGGUCGGUAUUCACACCAUCUAUCGCCACCUUGUCUCUGUCUUCUUACUUACCACACUCACGACUCUUCCUGCUCCUUCCUCCUCCUCCUCGGAAGGAAGGAAAAACAAACCAAUAUAGUAAUAUAUAUACACCAAAGCUCUUUGAAGAACAGAGAGCUUAACCCAGAUCCAAAAAUCUCCUGCUCCAAUGGAUCCUGGAAAAUGGAUCCUCCCACUCACCAUCUCCACCAUUCUCGCCGUCACCCUCUUCAUCUUCUCCUCCCCUCAACUCGCCACUGAACUCGUCGGGUAACUCAAAAAACUCUUCAUAUCCCACACACUGUAACUCAAAAAAGUCUGUGUUUAAUUUCUGCUCCAACUUCUCUCUUUCUCUGUCCACAGGAAGCUAAACGGCGUCGUACCAGACAUUUUCUUCGGAUGGUCAACGCCGGAGAACAAUCUGCAGAAGGGCAAACUCCUCCCAGUCCAAGUCAACUUAUCAGCCUGCCUCCCGACGUUCGGCCGACCAGGGAAGCCAGUCUACUGCUGCCCGCCGCGAAACAUCCUCGACGACCCAAUCGUUGACUUCCAGUUCCCCGACCCGGCGACCAACCCAGUCCGGGUUCGCCGCUCGGCGAACCGGCUGGAUAAGGAGUCCAUUGCCAAAUACGAGAAGGCGGUCGAGAUGAUGAGAUCUCUACCUUACUCCGACCCGAGGAGCUACACGCGCCAGGCGAACUUACACUGUCAGUACUGCACCGGAUCUUUCCUCCAGCAGCACUCCACGCUUCCGGUUCGGGUACACAAGACGUGGAUCUUCUUCCCUUGGCAUCGAAUGCUCUUGUACUUCCAUGAGCGGAUCUUGGGGAGCUUGAUCGGAGACGAUACAUUCGCGAUUCCGUUCUGGCCAUGGGAUCUGCCGGAAGGGAUGAUGCUGCCGGAGUUUUACCUCAACGGGUCGUUCAAGAACGAGCAGCGUGACCCGACCCAUUACCCCCCGGCGGCGCGGCGGCUGAUUUUUCCCGUGGCUGGGGACGGGUCCUCACAGGCGGAGCGCGCGGGGCGGGCGAGGAGCAGGUGGAGUUGAAUCUGGCGCUGAUGUAUAACCAGAUGGUCUCCGGUGCUAAGACGGCGGAGCUAUUCAUGGGGUGUGCUUAUAAGACCGGCGAGGGUGGUGACUGUUUCGGACCCGGGACGAUGGAGCGGGCCCCGCAUAACACGAUUCAUAAGUGGGUCGGGUCGGCUUUCCAUACCGGGAGGGAGGACAUGGGGGUCUUUUACUCGGCGGCUCGCGACCCGAGUUUUUACGCUCAUCACUCGAAUAUCGACCGGUUGUGGGAGGUUUGGAUGGCGACCCACCCGGAGAUGAACGACCCGGAGUUCCUCGACUCAUCGAUGUACUUCUAUGACGAGAAGCUCCGAUUGAACCGAAUCCGGUUCAGGGAUGUGAUGGACAUGGACAAGUUGAGGUACCGGUAUGAUGACGUGGUCAACACGUGGAUGAAUGCGAGGCCGAAGCCCUCAGUCGAACCUAGGUUAGCCAAGCGCGAGCUAAGGAGGAGGGAGAAAGAACAAGAGAAUGUGUUGGAAAUGUCGUUCGAACAUUUCCAACCAACCGGUCGGUUACUCGACUCUCAAGUCACGAUCCAGAUGGUUCGACCUAGGGUGGUCAGGACUCGAAAGGAGAAAGCUGAAUUCGAGGAGAUAUUGGUGGUGGAAGGGAUUGAUGUGAAGGCGGUGGAGUUUGUUAAGUUUGACGUCUACAUCAACGUUGUUAAUGGGACGGUCAUGAGCCCCAAGUAUCGAGAGUUUGCUGGGACGUUUACGGAUAUCCCAAUGGGGGUAUCGUUCGGGAAGAAGACGACGUUGGAGCUUGGGAUUUCGGAGGUAUUGGAGGAUUUGGAGGCGGAUCGAGACCGAUUUAUAUGGGUGACAUUGAUGCCGAGGACCAAGAGUUGUGACAAAGUUACGGUUGAUGGGUUAAGCAUCAAGCACACGAAGAGAUGAAUGAGAGUACGACUAUAGGUUAAAUAAUUUUGAAGAAGUUUAUUGUAUGAUGUUGCAUUAAUUCUCUGUGUAUGGCGUUGAACAUUGUUAGAAUUAAAUAUUAAUGUACCAUGCUCUACAACCCGGCUACGGUUUCGAAAGUUCGUUUCGAGAGAUCCAUGCGGUAGGAUAUGGUGAUGAUGCCAUACUUUGAUAUAAUGGUCACAAUUUUUAGGGGCAUUUCUGUAAAGUUUCAAAAUAGUGUGAGGGAAAAGUGGACCAAAAAAUAAAGUUUGAGAAAUAAAAUUUUUUAUUUAUUUUAUUUUCAUACAUUUUCUCUUCUUUUUGUUUUCCCUUAGUUCUAAUUUAAUCGAUAUAACUAAUUACAUAAUACUUAAAAUAUAAUUUUCUCUUCACAAAUGUUGUUUAUUUUAAUUUUUCGAAUCUAACCAGACCAAUCUUGAUUUUUUUAAAUUUUUUGAGAAAUAUUAAAAUUAAUACUUUGAUAUUACAAGUCUUUUACAACAUAAUUUUACAACUGUUGUAGAACAAUUAUCCACCCGUUACGUGUCCUCUUUAUAAGACAAUUAUGUCUACGUUAUGUCAACUUUACGAACUUGUUAAGUCAUUUUUUAUCCACUNNNNNNNNNNNNNNNNNNNNNNNNNNNNNNNNNNNNNNNNNNNNNNNNNNNNNNNNNNNNNNNNNNNNNNNNNNNNNNNNNNNNNNNNNNNNNNNNNNNNNNNNNNNNNNNNNNNNNNNNNNNNNNNNNNNNNNNNNNNNNNNNNNNNNNNNNNNNNNNNNNNNNNNNNNNNNNNNNNNNNNNNNNNNNNNNNNNNNNNNNNNNNNNNNNNNNNNNNNNNNNNNNNNNNNNNNNNNNNNNNNNNNNNNNNNNNNNNNNNNNNNNNNNNNNNNNNNNNNNNNNNNNNNNNNNNNNNNNNNNNNNNNNNNNNNNNNNNNNNNNNNNNNNNNNNNNNNNNNNNNNNNNNNNNNNNNNNNNNNNNNNNNNNNNNNNNNNNNNNNNNNNNNNNNNNNNNNNNNNNNNNNNNNNNNNNNNNNNNNNNNNNNNNNNNNNNNNNNNNNNNNNNNNNNNNNNNNNNNNNNNNNNNNNNNNNNNNNNNNNNNNNNNNNNNNNNNNNNNNNNNNNNNNNNNNNNNNNNNNNNNNNNNNNNNNNNNNNNNNNNNNNNNNNNAAAAGUUAAUAAAAUAAAAUAAUUAAUGAAUCAAUUUCCGUCCACAACCUCUAGACGCAUAAGAUCCGUCGAAUUGAAGUUAACGCCGAGAUGGUCUUACAGCGUUAGAUACAUCUAUAGGAACGAUCCUAUUAACUUUGCUGUAAGAGCCAUAGCCAUUUCACAUGCUCNNNNNNNNNNNNNNNNNNNNNNNNNNNNNNNNNNNNNNNNNNNNNNNNNNNNNNNNNNNNNNNNNNNNNNNNNNNNNNNNNNNNNNNNNNNNNNNNNNNNNNNNNNNNNNNNNNNNNNNNNNNNNNNUGAUAGUGCAACCUUAAAUAAAAGAGUACUCUAUAUUAUAAACUAUUCAAUUUACAUCAUCGCAUUAUAACCAUCUUAAUACCCGAAUUUUUCCAUUAGUAUCUUCGUUAACUUUUCACUCCCUUCGAUUGCUUUCUUCCCCUUAACUACGUACCCUAAACUCGAAAACUCCAACUGCUCUUCUCCACCUCGUGCUUAUACGUUUUAUUUGUGAUUCCUUAAGUCUUUCUCUAUUUUGAGAAGAAUAAUUCGACAUAUGAGACUCGUUGCAUAAUUUUUUUCGAAUGAAUUAUCAAACAAUAUAAUCGAAUCUCAUCACCAUGUUUGUACACCGUGAUUUCGACUUUUCAGUGGCUGGCAACUUUGAAAAGUACGAUUUGAUUCCUAUCACAAAAAAAAAAUCAAUUUGACAUGAAAUUGAAAAAGAACAAAUAUAUUGUGAAUAAUUAUUAUUUGUACUUAUUCUGUAGGAGUCCUUCCACAACACGUACCAAACUAUUAGUAGUCUUUUUCGUUUGUUCAUCUCCAAAAAGUUUAUCUUUCAUACUUUUUACAGUGAAUAUUCAACAUUCAAAGGGGGAGAAUUGUGACAAGGAAGUUUAGAUGCACAAAUCAAUGUCGAAUUGCUCUUCUACUUGUCAAAUAUAUCCGGCUGCAAUGACUAAAUUUGAAAUUCUACAUCAAAAAUAGACCCAUCUGGUGGUUACAUAAACACACAAAAGUUUCGAACAUUAUAACGAGUAAGUUAUAAAUUUUAUAUAAUCCAAAUCAUCCCAAACCACGAAUUGAAAUCUCUGCACCAAAACGAAACCAUAAUCUUCAUUUUAAUUGGUUUAAGCUUUNNNNNNNNNNNNNNNNNNNNNNNNNNNNNNNNNNNNNNNNNNNNNNNNNNNNNNNNNNNNNNNNNNNNNNNNNNNNNNNNNNNNNNNNNNNNNNNNNNNNNNNNNNNNNNNNNNNNNNNNNNNNNNNNNNNNNNNNNNNNNNNNNNNNNNNNNNNNNNNNNNNNNNNNNNNNNNNNNNNNNNNNNNNCAUGAAAUAAGAUAAAAAUAGAUGGCAACAUGUUUGAUUUUCACAAGAAAAACCUCACAAUAAAUGUUUGAUAAGUGAAUGAUAUUAUUAAUACGAGAAUAUGUUCCAUCGAGAAUGGAACACAAACCAUCCACAAAGACAAUCAAUUGACAUCAUCUCAGAAAAAAAACUACAAGUACAUACCCAAAAACGAACCUCGUACAAAGACAAUCGANNNNNNNNNNNNNNNNNNNNNNNNNNNNNNNNNNNNNNNNNNNNNNNNNNNNNNNNNNNNNNNNNNNNNNNNNNNNNNNNNNNNNNNNNNNNNNNNNNNNNNNNNNNNNNNNNNNNNNNNNNNNNNNNNNNNNNNNNNNNNNNNNNNNNNNNNNNNNNNNNNNNNNNNNNNNNNNNNNNNNNNNNNNNNNNNNNNNNNNNNNNNNNNNNNNNNNNNNNNNNNNNNNNNNNNNNNNNNNNNNNNNNNNNNNNNNNNNNNNNNNNNNNNNNNNNNNNNNNNNNNNNNNNNNNNNNNNNNNNNNNNNNNNNNNNNNNNNNNNNNNNNNNNNNNNNNNNNNNNNNAAUGUAUGAAAUGAUAAGAGAUGUAUAUUGAUAUAUAUAUAUAUAUAUAUUUGUGUAAUAAUAUAAUGAAUUUAUAAAAUAAAUAUAAUAAUGAUAUAAUAUAUGUGUAUUGACCUUUCAAUUUUGAUCGUGAUGGAUUUUACUUGGAUGAAGGAUUUCUGCGGUUUAUUUUUUGUUAUGAAGCAACGGGGAAGGGAAGUUGCUCGAGAAGAUAAAAAGAGGAGAGAAGGAAGGGAGAGGAGAGAACGUGGUCCGUGGGAAAGAGAGUUUUUAGGGAAAUUUAAUUAAUAAAAAUGAGAUGUUAAUUUAAAAAUAUUUGAUUGGUUGUGAUGAGGCUGAUGUGAAUGGUUUUAUUAAAAACAAUAAUUUCAGGUCAUUGAGGGAAUUCCAUGAGUCCCAGCUUUGAAAAUUGUGGACCCAAUUCUCAAGAACUUAGGCUUAGCCCUAAUCCGACUCCUCCCACCAAUCAUUUCCUUGCUCACAAGGGGCGAAACCUCAUCGAUUGCGAGUUUCUUCGACCAAGCUGCCCUCUUCCAUCUAUCAGCUUCAGGUCCGUAAUUUUUGUACUCCCCGUAGAACACAGUCCCGUAUAAUAUGCACUAACAGCAUGACCAAGAAAAAAUAUUAAUCAAAAUAGAUAGAAAAAUUAAAUAUUAUACCUUUGUUUCAAUUUGUCUCCCCAAUCGCUCCAACCGAUUGGCAAGACAACAUAGGCCAAGUAAGAAUAGGCAUAAACCACCCCUUAAUAAGAACCCCAUGCCCUUCCUAGAAGUGUCGCUCCAACCCCGGUUACCUUGCAUCGAAAGAAAAUAUACCCGGUUCGAUCUGACUCGGAGUCCCUAUCGUGGGCGGUUAUCGAGCCGUUGCCUUUCGAAAGUGAAUGGAUAUGACACUUCGGCAAAUCAAACAAUUAUGUACCACAUUAGUAAUAACUAACAAGUGUGCAAACUUGAUCGGAGUUUCUCAUACUCUUCUGUGAAACAGAAAUGUAACCAACAAAGAUAUAUCUCGCUUGCCUCGAAGAGGGAGGAAGCAUCUCCGCAGAUGAAAUCGGUGGCUCCUUCGAUGUAACAGUUUCGAUAGUAAUGCAAUCCAGUGUAGUCAAGAAGUGUAUCCAGGUACGACAAGAUCGUACAAUCGUGGAAUGCAGCUUUGUCUCCCGAUACCCUCAGCGACACAGCUUUGCCUCCUCUCCCGAACGUGUUUGACACCAUGCAUAUGCACCAACAAACAUUCAAUAAAUUCGAACUUUGGGGGAUCAACAGACGCUCGUAAUUAUGUUACCUGGAUUGUAAGGUAUUGAGAACAAAGUACGGAGCCAGAACAGACAGAGUGGCAGACUCAAAUCUCGCGCCACGUAACGAUGGUGUCGUUCGCACCUGCGUUGGUAACACCUAGGGUAAUGAAAGGCUUGUCCUUUGGCACUACCACUUUCUCAACAUAGACUCCUGGCUUGACCCAGAUGAAGACCAGCUCCGAGCUGUUGGAAGGAACAGAGUCGAUUGCUUCCUGGAUCGUCUUGAAAUCUCCUCUCCCCAGGGCGGAAUUGUCCACCCUUAUCAGAUUGGCCACUGGCCAGUCCUUUGGAGGAGGAGUAGGUGAAGCAUCAGAAGCUAAGGUAGUUUGGAAUUGGAGUAAUUAGUAGUGUUAGGAUAAUGGUUGUUGCUAGAUUGUGGAUCAUCAUCAUGUCCAGCUUUGGAUAAUGGGUGGAAUCAAAUUGCAGCUAGAAUCAGACAUUCUUAUUGUUCAGCAGGCUUGGGACUCACGCCAACGCGUCCAAGAAAUCUGCAGAAAUGAAGGGAUCAGCUGUUUUACUCUUUGUCUGCACAAAUUCAACGUAUGAUCAUACGUACGUCUCAUUUCUGGUAUUAUUGGAAGUAUUGACAAUGACUAACUUGAUCAGUUUAAAAUUGUUCCCUUUAAUUGGAUUUAUGGGGCUAUUGAAAUGGAGCCGAUCAACGGCCAUCCACUUGACGCCCCCUAUCGACGGCCUCCUAUUGAUAUCGAUGACCAUUAUCAUUCUGUCGGGUGUCUCGAUCAUUAUCAUCUUGUGCCAAUCUCGAAAACUACUUACCAUCAUGUCGCUCAUCAAAAUACGCCACAACAUGAGGAUUUCCCGUGUUUGAAGAGAACAAAACCGCCAGCAUCAUGAUAACAACCAUCAGCAAUUCUAUGAAGUAGGAGGUAACACAGAGCCCCUCAUGCUACAAAAUACUCAUUUCACCUCAUUUCAUCCUUUUUACUAUGAUCAACUUAAGAAGUAAUCCUUCUGUUAUUAUUCUUGUUAAUUUGUCGUUAAAUAUUGACAAAUCAUUAUGACACUUCAGCCUAUAUAACAAUGUGUAUGAUGACUCGUUAUUCUAAAUUUUCAUUUAUUUUACCAAACUUAAAUCAUUUAAAAAAUAAGUGAUUAAUCUCUUACCUUUUUAAAUUUUCCUGUGAUUUUUAUCUCCUUGUCUCACUUUUGCCAUUCAAAUUUUUGUCUUCACACUCUUUUCCGUCAACAUUAUUUAUGGCCGUCAUGUUCAUGGUUCAAUUUUAUUGUUGUUUGUUUUUGGGAGGGAUAUGUUGUUGUUGUCAUUUUCCGAGACAAUUAAUUUUCUUCACCUGAAAUUAAUUCGAGGUUAGUGAUAACGCAUAGAGACAAUUGAAAAGAUAAAUGAUAAACCAUUUAAAUAUUUAAUAAUUUAAAAUAGCAUAAUAAUUUAAAAUAGUAAUAAUAAUAAAUAAAAUAAAUAUUUAUAAUAAACAUCAAACACCCUUAUUUAAAAUUUUUUUUAAGAUGUAUAAAUCAUGUAAUUAAUCUAUUUUUUCAAGAAUUCAAAACCUCAUUUAUUAUAUUCAAAUACAAAAGUUUUUCAUUUUUACUAUAAGAAACCGUUUCGAAUUUCGAUAACUUCAAUCCCUACAUAUAAUUUAUCGAAACCCUGCAAAAACAAAGCAGUAUUUAAAGGUGCAAAUGAUAUCUGACCGUCCAGCUGUCUGAAAACAAAGACGAAAUUUGAGUCUGCCACGUUGUCUUCCAUGUUCUUUUCAAGGACAGAAUUAAUAAUAAUAAAAUUAAAGAAAGAGGAGCAGAGGACCCACCGGGCAAUCAAAGAGCGCUAUUAGCGGAGCAUGAAGCUCCUAAUCCAACUUUGUCGUUUAGCGAGACUAACGCUUAUAGCAAAAGGCCACGGACUCUCUGCCUUCUCCGGCGCCCUUCAAAUUAAAAUCCACUCCCCCCAGUCAGUCACCACCACCGUCACUCUUUUUCUUCACAGGCGAUGGAGUGGGAUUCCGCCGUCGUUGGUGCUAAUCACAAACGCCACCACGAAAGCUGCAAUAACAAUAAUAAUGGAGACCCGAAUACCGCCAACAGCAGCAGCAGCCCCAAUGAUCUGCUGUACGUAAAGGUAAUGACAGAUGAACAGCUUGAGACUCUCCGGAAGCAGAUCGCCGUCUACUCCACCAUCUGUGAACAGCUCGUCGAGAUGCACAAAACCCUCUCCUCCUCCUCCCACCAAGAUUUCGCCGCGGCAGGUGUGUACUCUUCCCCUGUUUUUCCACUGCUCUGAAUUCGAAUUAGAGAUCUAGUCGACAUUUCUAGGUAGAAUUGUCAAAUGAGUGGGUUAAACUGGGUUAAUCGAGUUACGGAUUCGGGAUUAUAGACAGUCCACUUAGUUUGAAGGUUUUUAUAGACUUUUCGGUCAUGUAACUUUUAAAUUGUUAGCAUUUGAUCGAUUUAAAUUAUUGAUUAGAUUUGAUCAGGUUGGAUUCAGAUCGAAUCGGGUUAAUUUUUGCUAGCUCUAAACUUAGGGGGAGGUUCUCCUUAUCAUAGUCUAGUCCAUCUUCGAGUCUAACGUCAACAUUUAACUAAAAUAAUCCAUUUUUCCAUUUAGUAAUGAGGUUAUAAGUUUAUUGUACAUUUAACUAAAAUAAUCCAUUUCUCCAUCUAGUAAUGACGUUAUAAGUUUAUUGUAUCGUGAAUUGAUUGGAUUACGUGAUUAAUUUGGUGAUAGUGCACUUAAUUUGAAGGUUUUGUGCCAGUUUUGAAUUGUUAGCAUUUGACAAAUUUAGAUUAUUGAUUGGAAUUGGACCGAAUCGGGUUAAUUUUUGCUAGAUCUAGAUCUACGAGAGCCUUUUUUAGAUCAGGAUCCAAUCCAUUUCUGAGUUUAAUGCCCGCAAUAAUAUACUAUACGGUCCAUUUUUCAUUUAUGUAGUUUGUAGUUUACUAACGCAAUCCAUAUAUAGCAUAGAGCACUUUGUACUGUAUUUCGAAUUCUACACAGAUCCUGAUGAAUGCAUUAAAUCAUUCUGGAUCCAGGGAGGUUGGGAAAUAUGUACUUGGACACGCUGAUGGGCGGAGGAGGAGGCCAAAAGAUGAGCGGUGGGCGACAGCGGUGGACGCCGACGCCGGUACAGCUUCAAAUCCUUGAACAGAUAUUCGAGCAAGGAAACGGGACACCGACGAAGCAAAAGAUCAAGGAGAUCACCACAGAGCUCAGCCAGCACGGCCAGAUCUCGGAGACCAACGUCUACAAUUGGUUCCAGAAUCGCCGCGCCCGGUCUAAGCGCAAACAGCACCUUACAAAUCUCCCGACUUCCGCCACCGCGGGCACGAACAAUAAUGAUAAUGCUGGUGCAACUAGUGGGGAUUUGUCGUCAGAAGUGGAGACUACUACUGCUACUGAAGUUGAUUCGCUUAACGAUCAAGAUAUCAUCAUCCAGUUGUUGGCUCAGUCUCAGUAUCAGGAAAAACAAUGCUGGAAUUAGCUGCGUAUAUGUAUAUGUUGUAUAGGGAUUGUAUUUGUCAUGGUUGAUUUACUAAACUCUUUUUUGUUCAUUUUAAUCUUGGUUUGGUUGUGGUAUGGGAUAUCUCGAGAUAGCUUGGUAUUUUUCGAGGAUGUUUAUAUUGAGCGGGGGAGGCGCCAAGGUGGAAUUUCUUGUUUGGUAUGAGAUAUUGAGUUGAAAAUGAAAUUUGUUUGCUCAUUGAUUAUCACAUAGGUCUCUAAUCAAUGUUUGUGUUUAUUGUGGUGCAAUAAUUGCGAAGUAGUGAUUUAUUUGGCGGCUUGUUAUAGGUUUCAGUUGCAGGUUGUCGGGCAUUGUGCUAAUGAAGUUGUGCAUUCAAUGGCGAAAAAUAUUUUUUUAUAUCUCCUGAAUAGUGUUGGGACUGAUUUCAUAAGCCGUUUAGAUUCUUUAUCUUGCAACGUGUUUACUAUCACGAUGUAUCCUUCGAGCCAUCUAUGAAGAGAAACUAUAUUCAAGCUCCAAUUACGCUAGGGGCCAAGGUUAAUGGGUUUGUUAGAGGCCCAUUGCAGCAUAUAUUUUGGGCCAAGGUUGAUGGGUUUGUUAGAGGCCCAUUUAAAAUCAAGUCGUUUAGCUAUUAGCGGAACAAGCCCACCUCUGCAGCUAUAAAAUCCCAGGAGUCGAUCACUUUCAGAAAGCAAACCCUAAUUGCAAAAUCUCCAUUGUUGUUGCAGCCUCUCUAUUUCCAAUUGCAAAUCUCAGCUGUAAUAGCUUGCUGUUUACAGUUCAUUUCCCGUCUCAAUUCGUUUUCUCUUUUUUUUUGUAACUGUGGCGGAGUAAGGAGGGUUGCGAUGAUGAUGAUAAUUUAUAAUCUCGUUAAUCUGAUCCAAUUCUGUGAGGAUAACAAACUAUCCAUCACUUUACUGAGCACUCUCCUUCUCCUGCAGCUCCACCUCAUUAUUCUGGUUUCGUUCUUAUGUUUUAAUGGUGUUUGUUUUUAAUAAAUCUUGAUCUUAACCACUGGAUGGUACAAAAAGGUUUCAACUUUCUCUAGUAAAAGCUGAAUCUUUCUGUUUGUUUGAAUGGUUUCAUAGAUUGUUGCUACACUUAUAAGUUUACCAGAUCAACUUUGAUGAUUAGUUCACAAAUUGAUGGACUGAGCGUCAUAGAAUCGUGGUUGCAUCGUGGAAAACUGGAAAAUCAAUCCAUAUUUUGAUCAGUGACAUUAUAGGAGAAGCAGAACUGUAUAAUCCUUCAAUGAAAUCUGAUGAACAUGAUCAACAUUAUAUCUGAGACGAGCAUCUACAAAAGUUACAGGCCCCUCUAGUUUUGUACCGGUACCGUAUAAUAAUUGUAUCAGAUGAUAUUUGGUCCGUAUAGAGUGCUGGAUCAAGAAAAACAAGAGAUUGCAACAGUAUGAAAGAUUCCAUGUGUCUGGUCAUAAAAGGGUGUUUUAGUGCAGCAGCAGCAGCCCACGGGGAGCAGAGCUCUCAGCUAAGAACUAAAGUUAGCACUCUUUUUCUGAUCUCUACUGUUUGGUAAACAGUAUUACCCACCACCAUUGACGAAGAGGAAGAACAAAGAAAUUUGAAGCGAACGAAAGUUACAGAAGGAAGCAAUGGAUUACGCAUUGAUUGAGAUUCAGAAUUGUGAACGAUAAUUCAGAGGGACCUUACUUUUAAUUUGUUUCUAUUUGUUUGAAAGGUUUCUUGGCCGGUUGAACAAUUGAUGCACUAGGAUCUAUUUGUUGAGUUUGAAUGUUAAAAUUUUCGUACUAUUUUUUGUAAUCGAAAAAUUUCGGUCAUUACAAGAUAGGAAGAAAUAAAUUGAAUAUUGGUAUUUGUUGGGGGUGGUUGUGUUCGAAUGUUGGAGUCCCAAACACAAUUUUUGUAUUAUACUCACAAGUUUUCAUGUGGCUUUUUCGUCCUGAAAAAAAAAUUAUGAUCAAGUGAUUACUUCAUGAUAAAAAAAUGUUGAUCAUCAUAUAAUUUGUGACGAACUCAUUAAUGUAUUAAAUAUACUUUAUAUGUUUAUGAUCGAGGAAAUUUAAAUCAGACAAGAAAGAUCAUUAAAACGUGAGCCGGUAUAUAAAUUAGUGGGUCAAAUAUUAAAAUUGUCCCGCAAGUUUUGGGCUUCAUUUUAGUCCCGUAAUUCCAAAUGUUACAGAGUCGUCUUGUUUCUUCCAUACCUACUACGACACGGUCUUAUUCAUGCCGGCGGCUGAAUUUAUCGGUGAUUUUGUCACGUAAGCACUGCCAUGUCAAUUAAAAUAGGAUUAAAUAUUGUUUUUUUGGUAAGGAUGGGGAUACGAAGAGUUAAAUACGGGGAUUAGGUUACGUUGAGUCUAAUUGGCCCAAUUAGGGUUAGAGCGAUUUUUUUAUUUGGUCAAUUUGGGUUGUUUAACCUAUUUGAACUAACAAUUGAUUAAAAUAUAUUAUUUAAUUAUAUUUUAAUUGAUGGGCAAAGCCUAUAUGGCAAAAUCAUCGAAAAAUUGAGCCGCCGGCUUAAAUAAGACCGUGUUGUAAUGAGCAUGAAAGGAACAAGAUGGUUCUGUAACAUUUGGAACUUACGAGACUGAAAUAUAAUCGACCCAAAACUUGCUGGGGGAUUUAAAUAUUUGACCCAUAAAUAAGCCAACCAACACUAAAAAUGUCCGAGUAUGUUUUCAAGAUACUCGGUCCUGUGGAACGUAAGACCGAGACCAUCCAACCCAGCUACCAGAAAAGAUGCUAUAAGCCCACCACCACCACUUACAUAGUUUGGGGGGGAGGAUGCCAAUCUAGAUGAUCCAUCCAAGACCAAACAUGUCAAGUAUGAUGUUUGCUUCAUACUUGCAUCUCCAUACUCUGUAUAGUCACUUUUCAAGGAUUCCAUUUGCAAGUGAGUAAAGACACAACACAACUAGCUUGCUUAACCCCCACAACUCCAAAAUUGACAAAAGAAAACUGAAAGAGAGAAUCUUUCAAUACUUUGGGGCUGUUCUGUUGUGCUUUUAUUAUAUUCCCACCCUUGGAAUUGCACUAAAAGGAAAAUUGAACCAAGGAAGAAGAAAGGUGACUGUAAAUGGGGGCCAAAGAGUGGGGCUAUAACAGAAAUGGCUAUAACAUAAGAGAGAAUCAAAGAUGAGAUCUUUUGGGGAGGUUUUGGAUGAGGGUUUUAGGUCCACAAACACUCCACUCUCUAUCUCUCAACUCUUUUUCUAUGUUGUUUGUAAAUGAACAAAAACUCUAACCAAAAUACUCCUAGCCUAGCUGGUAAGAUUAUUGACUAGUGUUAGCUAAAACAUGGAUCAGAGAUCUUUGGUUUGAAUCUUAGUUUCGAACUAUUCUUUUCAGGGCAUUCUUUCUAUUAUCGUUUCCUACACAGUAGACUCGUUACGGUUUGUUGAAAAUGUUAGAACAAAGUUUGGAAGUAAUACAUACUUAUGUUAGAUGUGUUUUCCCCCCCUUUGGUGUUGGUUGUGGCCCAAGAUUCAAUUGAUGCUACUAUUUUCUGGAUGAUGGGUUCAACUUAUUAUUCUCUUGGAGUUUCUUUCUUCCCAUGAUGACUGAGGAUUUCUUCUUUCAAUUGUGAUUGCACUUAUGUAUGGCUCUUUGUAUUGCGCAUUAAUCUAUUAUGAUGAGGAUUACAUCAUUGUAAGAUAUACAACUCAAUUACGAAUUUAUACCAUUCGAAGUAUAGCAAACAAAGUCGUCCAUUUUACGAAAAAAAACCAUUAACAAUCGUUCAAACCCCAGAUAUUUAAUUGAGGAAAAAAACUUGGGGUAAUUUGAAAAGUCAUGGAAAUGAAGAUCCAAAAGCAACAACGCUUUCAUUCCUUGGAACAAUAAUAUAAGAUAUGAAGAUCAGGUUUGAUAAGGAGAGCCUUGUGGGGGUAAAGAGUCUUAAUGAAAAAAAUGGUCCACUUUGGGUCUGGUCUAUGUCUUCUAUGGAUAUGAAUUGGCCCCCUCUUUUUACAAGUAAAAAACAAAUAAAAAGUAGCAACACAAAAGAAUGCACAAGUUGUGUCUCACUUUCGUGGCCCCAGCUCGACGAGCCACACUACUAAUUACUAAUUGACCUAUCAUGGCUCCUUCACUAUAUGCUUUUAAGGAAGUCUGUUUACAUUACUCGAAUUCUCGACCUAAUUACAACUAAUUGACUAUUAUGACUGUCUGUUCAGAUUACACGAAUCCUCGACCUUGAUGUUUUUUCUACAAUAAAAGUGAUAAUGUAUAUUCAUCCAUAAAGGGAAACACUUUACAAAAGAUCAGAAAGAUAGGUAUAAUGAAUCCAGUUAUGAGGGAGCGCGUAUCCGAACGAGCGCCUCGAGCAACAUAGUCCGCUGCUCUAUUGAGUCGACAGGGGAUAAACGAUAAGGAGAUUCGAUCAUGAACUAAGAGAACAUCCUUCAUGAGGAGUAGCCAUGCGAAACAUUAUCAUGGCCAAACAUCCUUAUCUCGUCAAAGAACAUCAACUAGCAAGAGACUAUCAAUGAGGACGAAAGUCCCGAGAUUGGAUGACUCGACUAAUCGAAGGGCUUCAAGAAAAACUUUAGCUUUAACUUGAUGUUAAUGCAAAUCUUUUUAAGGGAUGUACUUAAAUCAUGUUAAACUAAUCACUCGACAAUAUACCCUAGUGGGUAUUGGUGGCUGAUUAUGGUGUUCUCCUUCAUUCUUAAUUCUCUAAAAUUCUUCACUUUUUUCUUUGUUUCUGUCCUUUGGAAUUGCUGAGGAGCUUUCUGUGACUGUCAACAAACCAAACCCCCCAAUUAAUUCACUCCAUCAGGCCCCCCAUUCCCUCUCCUCCAUCUCCAUCAAUCACCACCAUACAUUACGUAUUUCGAGUCGUCACUCAAAAUACGCUCAUAUCGGAUGAUUAACCAGGUUUUGACUCCAAACGACCUGUUUUCAAGGUUUGGUUGAGUCUUUAAAAGUCAUAAUAACUGAAUGUAAAAGCCUCACCGACUAUGAGUUGAUUUUCCCGAUUCAUUCCUCAUUGAGAUAUAACUGGUUACACCUUAUAAGUUCGAAAAGUUAUUAGACAUUUAUAAAAAUCGACAAGGAAGCCUGAUUCAGGAUCGUUCAUAGUUGAAACUUAUUAAUUAAAAUACUAAGGGAGAUGCUACUCCAAAUUGAGGUUAAUUCUUUUCUUCUUAUUGAUAGUAACAUAUAUGAUACAUAGCUACAAAAAUAUACAUAUGGCAUGUACUUGAACAAGCCAAAGAAUCAUCAUAAUAGAGAUCUUCAAUUGGCAGAAAAUUUCUCAGUUAACAACAUGUAAAAAUCUCUUUUUUUCCAAGUAGAGAAAAUUCCCACACUCUUCACAUCUCCAUCUUCAGAUUAGAUCCUCCAACUGAACCUGCAAAAAAAGUGUCUGAUUAGGUUUAAAGCUAAAGGGUCACAAAAAAAUAAUCAGUGACUGUUGUUAUCUGAAACCAGAAGACUGAUAGACACAUCUUAACUAACUCCAUUCACUUCUGUCUCAAAAGUGGGACAAAGCAAGCUCAUAAUUCACAAAGGCUUAAAAGAUAUCCAAAGACUCAUCCUUUUUACUUUACCUGGUGGAAAUGAUUGAGAUGAAAAUGCUACGUUGUAUAGGCUUGGAAGGUCAGCAUCCCAAAUUGAUGCUUGCUGCUACCAAAAACAUAACAUAAAACGAAUGUUAAUACUUAACGGCUCGAGUAGUUGGGAUGCAAACAGUCCCUUGACGUAAACACUUACAGGGAAAUCGAUGAAGGGUUCGGGUUCGGGGCUGGUAAUGGGAAGACUGAUUGUUCUUCUGAUCCCCAAAUCGGUAGCAGAAGCAGUAGUAGUAGGAGCAGUAGUAGCAGAGUUGAUCAUCCCGAUAUCGAAACCAUUGCAGCAUCCCACUAUCUGUUGCUGGAGUGAGUUCAGUUGCAGGUAUGCUGCUGCCAUUUGAUCUGAUGAUCCCAUUCCUGCAAAGUUGCUUCCACCACCUCCCUGAAACGCCUGUUUGGCCAAUCUCAGUCAGUAAUGCCACAAACAAAUUAAGACUAAUGUCGGUUUUGAAAACUCAGGAUGUGGUGGAUGGUUUUUCCGUUCGGUACCUCUUUCGCGAACAAGCUUUCGAAGUUGAAACCUGCCCCCGGGUUUACAGCCGCUAGUUUCAUUGACAAGAACUGUUUACAAAUAUUAUCGUUAUAUAAACUAAUUAUGAACAUUUCUUCGUGUGGUACAGAUCGAGUUAAGUAUUAAGUAGUUUACCUCGACUUGUCGUUGAAGGGAUUGGACAUAGUUAAUGAUCUCAUCAAGCAUCCCAGCUUUGCCAGUUAUCUUGUUGCAACCUGGAACCAAGUCUUGCAGAUACUUCAUCCUUUCACUGAUCUUUUCCCUCCUUACCUAAACAAAAUUCACAAAAAUCCAAUCUUAAUUACACUCUACUGAUUUGAAAGUAACCACACCAAACCGAAUUCCAUAUAUAGCUAAAGACUCACUCUUUCGGCUAAGCUGUGACUAUCAGUAGCCUGACCACGCCGAGCUCGGACAUGAAUGUAAUCCUUCUUCUGAUCAUCAGUCACCUUAGAAUUCUCCUUCGAACUCGACCCUGAAUUGCUAUGGCUUUGAUCUCCUCCGCUUGCUUUGAUUCUCUUCCCUUCCUCCACCUAAUUCAAAACAACAAAUUUCAAUUCAAUUUCACUCCACAAGUAAAAUUCCAAUCAACUUGAACUUGAAUUUUUCUCCUUACCUGGGAUUUCGCCGAUUUCCGCUUCUUGGCCGGCGGAGACGGCGGCGGAGGAGUGCCGGAAGCUCUGAAAUCGGGCCAGCCGUUGUCGUCGAUGACCAGACCCGGGUCGGGUUUGAGCUCCGUCCGCAUCAACCCGUUGUUGUAGACGCAGCUCAUCAAAUCGUCCCCACCGAAGAAGCCCUGAUCCAUCUCGGAGUUAUGUGCUCUGUUCAUCGGCGGAGUAAAGGGUUUGAUCAAAGAAUGAAUCUUUUUUACUGAUUUUGAUUUUUGUGGGUUUCUUGGUGAGGGGGGAGAAUAUGGAUGGAGAUGAAGUUGGGUGGGUUAUAUGUAAAGGUGGAAAUGGUGGUGAGGGUGAAGAGAUUGGGCGUCCAUAACCGGAGCCGGGUCGGGGGUGUGGGGCCCAGAUGACAUGACGGCCACGUGGGAUUGUCCCCGGAGGUUUUCGAGGGGGGAAAUAUAACGGCGUUUGGGUAAUAGAGGGAUGAUGGCGGUGGUGGACCACGGCGGCGGCGGCCACCAUGUUUUAGCUCGCCGUUGUUAACGGGGUUUUUUUAAAGAAGAUGAUGUGGGAUUAGCGACGUUAAUAAGCGCGGGAACGGGGUUUAAUUAGAAUUUGAUUUAUUUAGUGAUUAUAAUGGAGGUGGUUUACUUGGAUUUUCUCGUUCUUUGAUGGAGGUAAUAAGAAAGUUGAGUGCAUUUUUUAGGUUUUAAUCAUCCCAUUUUAAAAUAAUUUAGCAAAUAAAUUUUUUAUCACCACAUUAAUAAAUUUAACAUUCAACUCGUUGAACAAUUUUUACAUACUUUAAUUCAACAAUUCAUUAGGUUAGUUUUCUGUUUUAUUAUCUAGAUGUUAAACAUUUAGUCACUAACUUAUUUAUUUAUACUUCAGUAACAACAAAUUCUCAACACGCAUCAACAUCCUCAACAACCGAAUGUUUCCAUGGUCGUAAAACUGCAAUGUUGUUCUAGGAUUAAUAUUCAACGUAACCUCAUCGAAAAUGUAUCGGAAAUCAAGUUUGUUUUUACUCCAAAAAAUCGAAACAAGAUUGCUGAUUGGCUAACAACCUCAAGGAAAUCUAUAAUUGUUCUCUUGAUUCUGCUACUAUCGAUUUCUAUGAAUGAAGAGUAAACUAUUUAUUAUCAUUCAUGAAAUCUAUGCAUUGGGCUUUCCCGUAAAAUUCCGUUAGUAAAAUUAUGGGUUUGCUGGUUUGUUUAUUAUUAAACUAUUGGCGCGAAUGAUGGGAACUCAGUGGGGCCCAUGUCACGUUUGGCAUCCACAUGCACGCCUCCACGUGUUUCCCACGUCAGCUCGAUCUUGGUGACAUGGCAUGUGUGCUCACGUGGCAACUUCACUAGGUAAUAAUAAGAGCUUUGACUCUCUUAAUUAAAUAGUUAUGCUGGGAGCAAAGUCUUAGUAAUAAACCAGUGCUAGGGAAGUUAAUUAUGAUAAUUAUAAUUAAGAAAGUGAUUGACGCGUUAAUUAAUCAUGGGAUGGAAUCAAAUAUGUGAAAGUCAGCCAUCAUAAUCCUAGGUUGACAAUAACAACGUAGGAAAUUAGGAAUCUUUUUUUGGAAUUUGCUAAUUAAAAAGGGCUAAUCAUGGUUUGCAUCACAAAAUCUAACGAACACAAAUAAUUUUGGCUCGUUGUUCAACGUCCUAUUUCUUUUCGUUAAUCAAUCAUUAUCAUCCACAAGACAAAAAAUGUGAGUGAUUACUGAUUAGCUAAGCUGAAAAUGACAAUAUUAAAUUAUUAAUUUUCCUAUAUAUAGAAAAUAAAUAAUUAAAAAGACUAUAAUUCCCCGACAAAUUUAGAUCAGAAUUUUCUUAUUAAUUCAAACAAAUUAUAAUGGACAAUGUGGUUAUCAGAGAGUACACGCACAACAUGAUUUUUGUUGUGAAUCUAUCAUCAUUCUAUUAUUGUGAAUCAUAUUCAUGAGUUGAUGAGAAUGUCGAGAGAGAUCGAGUUCAUUCAUAUUUAUUAUGAAGGCAAUCACGUAAGUGUUGGACACAAUAAAAAUUAUUAACAACUGAUUAAAGGAAAGGGAAAAAUUAUUAUGAUUAAUGAAUUGAUGUGAUUAGAGGGAGGAGGGAGGGGAACAAUUCCAGAGAGGAUGAAGGCAACUUCCCACAGUUAUUAUGAUGAUGAAAGACUCACCAAAUGGGGUCAACUUUGCCAUCAUACCUACAAAACAUCACUUCCUUCAUUCUUUGCGAUUAUAGACACCAAAUCUUUGAGACCCAUUCUUAAUUUACUAUUCAGAUCAAUCGAUCUAGAAUUAUUUAAUGUACUGAGUUGAACUGUGUAGAUGGGAUCAAAAUCGAGAAAAAAUCUUGUUAUUAUGUCGUCCCAAGGUGCAAGAAGCCUCCAAUACGGGGUGUGUAUAGUACCUUGGUAUAACUGCUCGAACAACCGGUAUCAAUCACUUAUAAUUCGUUAUAACGAAAAAGUUGUAGCCAUUCAAUAGAGAUAUUAUGGUUUUUAAAAUCGUAUUUAGUAACCGAAUUUGCAUUACUGUUUAGAAAAAUAAGAUGAAAGGCACCGAAAGUCGAGAACAAUGAGAUCGAGUCUACAAAGAUCAAGGAAAAAGUAGCGAUGAUCAAAUUGGAUAUUAACCAAAAGUUCUGGUGGUAAAGUGCCAAGCUUUAUAAAUACUGAAGUUGGGUUCCUAUUACUUUCAAGUUUGAACAAUUUAUGAGUUUGGGGCUAGCUAGCUUUCAAUUUGAUUAUAUUUAUAUAAGCUGGCUGUACCCAAAGUACAGUGUGUACUUAUCUAUAAUGCUUUUGCUUUAGGCCACACCUAACAAUCAACUGCAUUAUAUUCACUCAUACACUUAACUUGUUCACUUAGUUCGUCCUGUUCUCGAAAAAUUGUCAAGCCAUAAUUUCGACAACUCGUUUGAGAUAUGACUACAAUAAAUCAAAUAAAUAUUUGAAUAAAGAUAAAAACCAUAGACUUUGGGGAGUUGGGAUAUAUUAGUGUGGGACAGUCUAGGGCACGGGGAGUAAGGGUGUGGGAGAAGGAUCCACAAGAUGGAACAAAAUGACGGCAUAAGAUCCAACCAUGGGUAACUAGUUAUAAUUGAUUAUCAUGUUCAAAUGUAACAUUUACUGUGUUCGGAGUAACGAAAUUAGUUACUGAAUCGAAAUAUUUAGUUGUUUUGUAAUUUUUUUCCUUUCGAUAUACCUUUGGUUUAACCAUAACAACAAAAUUUAGUUACGAAUCUAUUAAAAUUUUAGAUGAUCCGCAACAUCGUGUGUGUAUUUGUCAAUUUUGAUUAUUGGAUGUGGCGCUGAUUAUUGAAUUUGUGUAUAUGAUUGAAUGUCGUCUGUUUUAGCAUCAUUCGGAAACAAACCGCAAUAAGAUGUCAUUGAGACAGCUUGAGUACUGUAAUGAACUAUUGGUGAAACAAUUCAAUUCAGGGAAGCCUCUUAAAGAUGUUACCAUCUAGAUUAAUUUCAAACCAAAACAAAACUACCGAUUAGAGUCGUCGCCUUUGAGAUUCAGACCCAAAUAUACAAUAUCAAUCAGAAUGCAAUCAAUAUCUGUUCUAGUAAGCUUUUGAUUUGAAAACUACAAUCAACGAAAUUGCCUUCUAAUGCCAACAGCUCCUCUAAAGCUCGAACAUGCACAAGAUAACUUGUCGAAACAUUAUAUCCUUGUGAUAUCCAAAAUUAGAGGGCAAUGGAUGGUCACAUGGAAGCUAAUAAAUUGUUUCCCAAUCAUCACAAAAACACACAAUGGGCUUCCUUGGCCUUCCUUCUAAUCUCUUUCUCUUCUUCUUCUUCUUCUUCUUCUUCUUCUUCAUCAAUCAUCCUCCCACUCCACCUCUUCUGUCAGAGUUUGUCAGACCCAAUUCUGAGUUCCUCAUAUAAUCUUUGUUUAUACAAAAAAAUUUGUCAUUUUAUUGGUGGGUUUUCUCUUGGAUAUUGAGCCACGAAAUUAUUGAGAGAGGAUCGAUGCAUGUCAAUGUCAUGCUCCAAAUGCAUGGGCAUGCACUACACAUUCAUAUGUAAGUUGCCAUCCGUGUAACAACAACAUCAUAUUACUUAAUUACUCUGCUUCGAUUUUCUAGUUCACCUCCAUACCUCAAACCUACUGUUUAAACCUCGUCAAUGCGUCUAUUGAAGUUUGUGAACGAAACGGUGCGCGUAAGCUUUGAAGAACGAGAUGACGCAAUUAAUUUAUCAAAUCAAUUAUUCAUAAAUAAUAAUUGGAAUAUUGCGUGACACUUGGUAAUACAAAUACAUACGGAGAAUAUGCAUAAAUCCUAACUCCAGACUUUGUAUGUACGUACAUGUAUAAAUUUCCCCUUCAAAGAUUGCAGCUUUCUACGUACGUAUACACAUACAUGGCGUAUACAUGUACGUACGCAAAACGUAGAGGCGUGGCCGUAUUAUCCUGCUGAAUACACUGUCCUCGGGAUCAAUCCAUAUGUACAAACCGAUGCAUGACAUGAUAUUCUUACUAAAAACCUGCUUUAAGAACUAGUUCGAGAAGGUAAUGUUCUUUUUUCCGCGUUUGUAUGAUAUGAUAUAUUUAGUAUUGUUUUGGAUAUCUUCGGAGAUUCAUGUCUAAAUCGUGUAUCCUCUCGCGACAUAAAACAAUUUAUCAAAUCGUACAUUUCCAUAAUUUCAUAUACCUUAAAGUGUGAAUGCUUCAUAUAUUAACAAGAGUAUUUUCUCAGUGCAAAUGUUUGAACAGCCCAAUGUUUGAACAGUGUUAGUGGGCCUCCACCACCGAGGAAAAGCAUUGGGCCCAAAACUGACCAACUGGACUGCACUUCAUAUUCAGACAACCAUUUUUAAUUAAUAGUGCUGUCAUAUUGUUCCUCUGUUGACAGACAUUUCUUUAUUCAUUAUUUUAUUAAUAUCUUACUAUAUCUUGUCCGGCAUGUUCGUAAAAAACCGAAUAAACUAAAACAUCGUUUAUUUGAAAAAAUUUAUAAGGAAAACAUACUCAUAUUAUAAGUAUUGUACAUUCUAAUUAAUGUGCUUUUAGGCAGAAUUUUAAAAAAUGAGUAGCUCGGACAUUAUCGUAGUUUCAGGCACAUUAGCUGGUAGAUCCUUCGGGAUCUUAAUGUGAUUUUAUAAAUGUAAGAAUCAUAUACAAUUUGAAUGAUAAUGUUAACUAUUAUUAUGGUUACUUGACCAAACAAGAAUGGGUGAAACAAAGUAAAAUUGAUAGAGUACUUUUAGGGUGUGUGUAGAUACAAAACUUGUUACAUACGUGUACGGGUAAGAUGUGAAUAGUAAAGUAUCAUAUGUUAACCUGUAAUAGAACUUUAAACGUUCACUCAAUUUAUUAUUUGAUUAAGUCAUGACCAUAGCCCGCGCAGUGAGUAGAUGCCUACGAUUAACUAUCGAUACGAUUAACUUUCGAUCUUGGUCAACAGUCUAUCUCUUGAAUCUUUUCUAAGUAGUGGCCGAUUCAGGGGAGCUUUUCCGAAGCCACGACUCAGCCCCAUCUCGAGAUUUAGAAUUGUGAUUAUAAGUUAAAAAAUUCAUAUUAGAUGUUGAUUAUGAUGUUAAGUUGGCCCGUCAUUUCAGAUUCUAAAAAUCCGGCGUAGUGAUUAAAAAAAAACAAUUCGAAAACCAAAAUUGUGAGCAUUGCCGUGACACCAAACAGGUUACCGAGUACAUAAGUUAAAGAUGGUCAAGGGGUAAUGCGCGGAGGCUAGCCGUAGCCUGCACGUUGCUGCGACACGAAGCACAUUAGCAUAGUAUUCAUACAUAUUGAAGGCAAAAAUAUAAAAACCAAGAGAUUAUAUUCUAAUUCUAAGUCAGGGGAAAUACUUAGCAAUUCAUUAAAUUAAUUCUUCGUUUACCCAUUUUAGUUGUCAUAAUUUAAUUUACUUCACCCAUUAAUAGACAAUGAAGAAAAAAAAACUUACCAUAUAAUUUAUAAAAUAUGAGAAAAUAUAAUACUCAUAAAUUUAUAUAUUGUGUAAAUCCUUUAAAAUUUUAAUAUUAGUUAUAAAUCUAAACAUGAUAUAAAAUACCAAUGAUAAUUUUAACUAUUGUUAUUGUUAUUUAUCUAGAUUCAAAUUGGCCAAAUAUUGUAAAAUUGAGAUGGUAUUAGGGUGAUUAUGAUCCAUAUAAAAAAUCAAAACUACAAUCAACAACUACUGUUUACGUGAAACUUACUUGGUAACAAAGUUAAUAUAAAGUAAUUUUUAAUGAUGAGCUAAUUAGAAAAAUUAUUGAUCGUAUAAAAAAANNNNNNNNNNNNNNNNNNNNNNNNNNNNNNNNNNNNNNNNNNNNNNNNNNNNNNNNNNNNNNNNNNNNNNNNNNNNNNNNNNNNNNNNNNNNNNNNNNNNNNNNNNNNNNNNNNNNNNNNNNNNNNNNNNNNNNNNNNNNNNNNNNNNNNNNNNNNNNNNNNNNNNNNNNNNNNNNNNNNNNNNNNNNNNNNNNNNNNNNNNNNNNNNNNNNNNNNNNNNNNNNNNNNNNNNNNNNNNNNNNNNNNNNNNNNNNNNNNNNNNNNNNNNNNNNNNNNNNNNNNNNNNNNNNNNNNNNNNNNNNNNNNNNNNNNNNNNNNNNNNNNNNNNNNNNNNNNNNNNNNNNNNNNNNNNNNNNNNNNNNNNNNNNNNNNNNNNNNNNNNNNNNNNNNNNNNNNNNNNNNNNNNNNNNNNNNNNNNNNNNNNNNNNNNNNNNNNNNNNNNNNNNNNNNNNNNNNNNNNNNNNNNNNNNNNNNNNNNNNNNNNNNNNNNNNNNNNNNNNNNNNNNNNNNNUAAUUGGUAGGAUGGAAAAAAAACCGAGUCCAAUCAAAUUUGAUGAAAGUGCCAUAUAUAAAAUGAUUUUAACUAUAUUUAUAUUACUUUAGAUAAGCAAAUAAUUUUUUAUGACUCUUUGAAUUUUUAAAUGUAUCUGAAACUUAAAAUUAACAAAAUAAAAAUAAUAAAAUGAAUUGUACCUUAUUUUCAUUUUACUUCCCGCCUAAAACCAACGUGUAAUGUUUUUAAAAUUUAUUAUAUUUACUGUUUAGUCGGCAAUAUGUUGUGGAGUUUGCUUUGGUAAUUUGUGUGAGAAAAUGGUAUAAAUGUUAUAAUUAAUUAAUUAUUUAUUAACAAUUCGAAUUAGUGAGAUGUAACAGUUCAUGAUAUAAUAUCAGAGUUUAAUUUGAUCAAAUGGUUGUAAGUUCAAAUCUCCAUAACUCUAAUAUAUCAACAGUUGAUUUAAGUACAAGGUAUGGUGGAUAUUGCAAACUUAAAACCCGUAACAAGGCUGUUGACGAGCCGGAUCGAGCCGAGCUUUGCCCACCUUGAUAAAAUAAUUGUUAGCUCAAACUCGGCUCGGCUCGACAUUGAUUAGCACAAAACUUGAUGCUUGAACUGUUUUGCAACUCUAGCCCUAACCAUGGUUUGAACUGUGCUUUACCCUUAUUGCACUAGACCAUGAUAAAAUCAACGUUGAAACAGUCGAGCCUGACCAAUAUAUACACUGGGAAAACUGCAAACUCUAUACAGUCUAGACUUGACAUUUUAAACCACCAGUAUAGAGUAUAGACCCGUCGACCUAUUGGUGCCAAAUGACACAUAUAUAUUGUUCAAUAGAUGACAAAAUACUGAAAAAAAGAUGGAAUCAAUAUCAUUGGUGGGCAUGUGGGACUGAUGAAGUUAUAAGAUACAGAGAGGGGGGUGCAGUGCAUGCAUGGGAAAACUGUAGAAAUAAAUAAUAAUAAUAAUAAUAAUGGUCAAAAGGACAAGAAGACCAAAUACACGGGAGUUGCCUGCAGCAUCAAAGACAUCUCCAUAUAGCAAACAAUAUUAUUAUAAACAAAGGACAAAACUUCUGCCUCAAGAACUUAGUAGAAUUUUGAUUGUCUAGCUAGCUUCAAUUGGGUACAGAAGUGUUCACAUCAGUAGAAACAACUCGUUGAAGCGGCUGAUAUACACAUUCAGAUGCUGAUGGAAACCGGGGAGGUAAAUAUUAGGGUGGCUGAUAAGCCGAUUCGAGUGAGCUCGGCUUGUUGGCUCGUAGUAGCGGCUCAAGCUCGGUUUUGACCAUUCAUCAUCAUACAUUAUUCUUGUUAUUUUAUCAUUAAAAGGAAAACAUGAAUUAUUAUUGAAUGAGUAGUAUUUGGUUUUCUUAUGAGGGCUUUAUUUUAAAUUUAUUGGAGUUUUAUUUUGGGUUUAUUGGGACUUUAUUUUGAGUUUACGGUAGCUUUAUUUUGAGCUCAUACAUUACCCUUUAUGGGUCUUGUGGUAUUUUCCAUUUUUCAAUUGACAUGACUUAAGUUGUCUCGCGCUUUCACUUUGCUAAUACGUUUUCUAUAACAAAAAAAGUUCUUUUAUUUCUACUUAUUUUCUAAAACUUUCUGCAGCAUCACGAUGAUAAUUCUAGUUAUAGAUAAAAAUAUGAGCAUUCAAAUAAUCGCGAGCUACACCGAUCAAGCCAACUAACGAGCCUCAAUCGAGUCAAGCUCAAGCCAACUCUCAAAUACNNNNNNNNNNNNNNNNNNNNNNNNNNNNNNNNNNNNNNNNNNNNNNNNNNNNNNNNNNNNNNNNNNNNNNNNNNNNNNNNNNNNNNNNNNNNNNNNNNNNNNNNNNNNNNNNNNNNNNNNNNNNNNNNNNNNNNNNNNNNNNNNNNNNNNNNNNNNNNNNNNNNNNNNNNNNNNNNNNNNNNNNNNNNNNNNNNNGGUAGUGGGGGUGGGUCGUUGGAAGAGUAAUCAACAAAAAUGUUUUGAGGACAAACUUUGACAUCCGAAUUGAAAGUCUGUUCAUGGAUGAUUUUGUGUGGCAAGCUGGAGAAUUUGGACACCAAAUCCGUGUGGAAUUGUCCCGACGAGGUAUGUAACGGAUAGAACCCAUAGGCAUGGUGUCGAAAGCAUAACGACGUUCCGUGAGUAGUAGCCAGCCCAACUCGAAUGUCAGGAACGGUGGACUGGAGUAGACGGACCACUUCCACAGAAUCCGUGCAUAUGGACACGGCAUCCACCACAAUUGUCACUAAUUAUCAAUCUGAUUCCGACAUGUACGUUUCGUGUAAUUGACAUUUUUUUCGAACCCGUCUAAUAAGUCAUGUCUCCUCGAGCCAGAACCGCACCCACCGAAAUGAGUUCCCAAAUGGAUCAGUUUUCCUCUUUGUAUUUAUUUUUCUCGUAACAACUUAAUACACACAACUUACACAGAAGAACCAUUACUAAGAGACAUCUCGUAGACCAGUCGCCAAAGAAAAAGAACACUCACAAAAAUACCACGAAACCUUUCCCUAUCUACAUCAAUGCCAUUUACUAUGGACACACACAAAACUGAUAAAAACAUAACAUUACUACAUGGAUGAUUUAUAUGUUGAUGGUUGCUUCCCAUAACCUCAGCACCCCGUUUCGGCCACCGCUGCAGAUCCUCUUCCGUUCGAGAUCCGAUGCCACACAUCGCACCUGCAUCGUGUUUGAAAGAGAGAUUAUUAAUCCUUUGUCUGUCUUAGUUUCGGUCUAGAGUACUGGUUUGAAAUUGCUCUAGCUAAUUAAGAUGGAUUGAUAGAGUUCAGUUGGAAACUACGCUACAAGGGUUCGUACCAUGGCGACGUUCUUUUGGGGCGUCCUGUAAAGUUGCCAACCGGGCAGUUUCGAACCCGAACCAGGACCUAUGGCACCGAGCCGAUCUUGAGGCCGGUUGAAGAGGGACAUGGAGUUGUCAGCUGCUCCUACUCCCAGCCAGUUUUCGCCAGCGUUGAUGGACAGUAUGGACGCUGUAUGGAUCGUAACGUUCUUCGUGCAUUUUAUGCCUCCUGCGUAGAUGAAAUUACAAAACGCUCGUUCUCAAAAUCACAAGAACCCGACAUAAAUUUGUGAAGUUUCAAUCCUCGGCUGAAUAUUCUGAUCGUACCUUCCUCAUUUUCCCAGAAUCGUAAUAGCCCGUCGGUUGAACCUGAGAUAUAUCAUGUUCAAGGUUAACCCGAUGAAGUUUAAUUGAUUCGGCAGCGGCUAGAGAACUGGUAAAAAGAUAUAAUGAGUUUAGUAGAUUGGUCUCGGAACCUGUUAUAAUUCCUCGAUCUGCUUCAGAGUACUCCACACACAAGAUUGGCCCGGCAUGACAGGCUAGAACGGCAUCGCACGUUCCUCGCGAGACAGACCACACUCUGGCAGUCCAAUCAUCACUACCUGUUACCAAAGUGUCUCCAACCAUUCUAGCAGACCUGUACAAUCGCAAUGUAUAAUUUCAGAAAUCCUUUAAGCUUUGUCCAUGGCUUCGUAUAAUGUGAGACAGGCAGGGAAAAGGUAAAAGAAGAAGAUGCUUGUUGAAACUCGCCGAAUCCAUUUUGUGUGGCCUGUGAGCUUAUGCAUUUGCUUUCCGGCUCGGAUAUCCCAGACAUUUGCAAUCCUGGUAUGCAAUAGUAAAGGUGUUUCAAUUAGCAUGCAAGAAACAGAUGUGAUUAAAUACAUUACGAAAGGUAGCAGGGGAUGUGAAUUUCCGUACGCGUCUCUGCCAGCAGCAGCAAGGAUACCGGUGGAGUCGUCGUAUUCCAUGCACAUGACUGCACUAGAGCAACGGCCUACUGUUGCAACGCAGGUGUCCGUUCUAACAUCCCACAUCUUCACGGUUCCAUCAUGAGCUGCGGUGAGUACUCGCUCACCUGACAGCAUGCGGACACAGCUGACCUGCAGGAAAUGCAAGGGUAAGCUAUCUCAAGUAUCGAACACCACAAAUUGUUUGGCUUCUUUAAUGUUUUCACUUGAGCGAGUAUUCAAGCAAACCUGAGCUUCGUGGCCCUUCAAUUCUUCAAGAAGCUGUGACGUUUGUUUAUCCCACACAAUAACAUUCUGGUCAUCAGAUCCUGAUACUACCUUCCCUCGAUCGGAACUUAUAGCACGAACAGUUCUGCACAGAUAACCAAGAUGAAACGAUGAAACCGGUUUCAACUAGUACCAUAACGGAAUUUUUUAAAUUGUGAAAAAACCUACUUUUUAUGCCCUUUCAAAGUUGCUCGGAGUUCAGAACCACGGAUGCUAGGAUCCCAGAUUUUGACCUGCAUCAUUGAUUGAAAAACUCAGACAGCUAUUUAAAACAAAAACUGAAAAUUCCAGCAUCAAGCAAAAGAAACUGCAAAACAUCAAGGAAACACGACUCUGGUCCAUCCAGUGAAAUAACACUAACUGAAUCAUGCUUGGUAUGACAGAAACUUUACAGUAACAAACCCACUUAUCACAUCUGGGCAUAAGUAAUAAUGUCAGUGAAUAUACAGUAAUCCUAAUUACCAAGGAGUCUGUGCUUCCACUAAUAAAGAAACCGGCAUCUUCACGGUCUCCCACCAAAUCCCAGACCUCUCUUCUUGUCACACAGUGCAAAGCAGUCACGGCACCGUUGUGGCCUCUAAGUACUCGAACAUUUGUUUGCAGCUUCUUUUGGCUACCAGCAGAAGAAUCUUUUUGCAAGAGUAAAACAGUUUUGUAAUUAGCAGAACAGUAAAAGCAAUAGAUGAAGUGAUAUUGAGACUAACAAGUGCUGUGUGGAAUACAAAAGCGUUACUACUUUUUUUUACAAACCUGAAGGACCAUCAGAAGUCCACUUACGGACACGAGCAAACGAGUUUACUCUUGACGAAUCUCUACUAAACAUGCUCUGAACCCAGCUUCUUCCAACAACAGAUGCCUCGGCAGGUUGUUGGCUUUCAUCUGUGCCAUCUUGAGGGCGAGGAGAAGUAAAUCCAAGAGAUUUAAUGGAUGGGGUCUUUAUCGAUGAGGUUCCCCAGUACCCAAUACGAAGUUGCUGUAUAUGUGUUAAAAAUCCCCGGAGUUGGAUCUGAAACAUUUCAAGCAUCAAAAUCAAUUAGCAAGAAAGAGGGUAUUCUCCGGGUAAUGUUAGACAACGGGUAAUAAAUGACUAUAAACGCUCAUUUAAUUAAUCUUAACCCGAACGUCAAUAAGAUGUAUCAAAUAACUGCAUCCUUGUACCCAAUGCUAAGAUAUUUGGCAAUCAACCGUAAUUUUGACAGUACUUGACUAGUGAAGGUUUACUUACAAGCUGCUUGUAUCCAAUGCUAUUCUUCUCUGAUAUCAUUUCGAUCAUGUACCAAGCAUCGGUAUCAGGAAUUCCUAGACCAGCCUUUCCAACAUAACACAAAGACGAAACAAAUAAAAAUUGUCGACAUUUGAAGGAAGUUAAGCCACAAAAUGAAAUAUGGAGAAUAAUUUAAACCAUGUGUGAAGAGACUAGGAUUAGCUGUGUUGUCACUUGAGCAGCAUAAUUGGCCGACCUGAGGAAGAGAUAAAUACUGUCACUAAUUAGUAUAUCUUCGGAGACUAAAAAUGCCAUAAGCAUGAAUUACACUCGAAAGCAGGGAUACAAUUCUUAAAUGGAUGCAUGAAUAUUGCUUUGUCAGAUGACAAACGAAAGAACAAGGUAAAUACAUGCACAUUAUGCUCAAAAUUGAUACAACAACAUCCAUACAAACAAUAAGCAAGUAACAUCUAAAGAGAAAAAACUCAAAUAGAAACAGCAUCAUGUAUGCAAGAGAGUAACAUUAAAAGAUGAAAGUAGACCGAAUGUGAAGACAAAAACAACUUGAGUAGAGCAGAAAUUCCAAAAUAAUUGCUUACUUGUCAGAAGAACGUUCCAUUAGAUAGUCAAAGUAUCCUUCCCAGAACCUGCAACAUAAUCAAAGACAUGUAUAUAGCGAUAUGUAUGAAGCACUACUUCAUGAGAAGAUAGUGAACUGGGAGGUAGUGUUUGAAAAUAAAGAUGGUAGAGAGCAGAUUCUCAUUAAAUCGAUAUUCAAUCAUUUGCAAAAUUAGAGUCCAUUUGGAAAUUCUAGAAUACAACGUUAGUUGAAAAUCACAUGACAUUAACCAAAGCUUCUGCAUGCUAAUCAGUAAGAGAAAAUGAGGAUAUCGAUACCAAUUCGUAUGGAUCAAUUUGUAAAACGUACCUUAGUUCUUCCCAUAUAGACAAAGAGAUAAGAUGGCGUUGCACAAAGUCUGGUACACUGUUGCUGUCUUUCUUAUACAUCUCAGCAGAGACCUCCAGUGCAUCUCUAAUGGUUGAGAGAUCAUUCCGUGAUGUUGCCCGACCAAUUGCUGUUUUAAGCUAAAGAUUGAAGAAACACUUCUUGUAUCAGUCAAAAGAAGACUGCUAAUCUAUAAACAAAUCUCAAAAACAUAACCCAAUACUCUUCCAGUUGACUCUAUGGCAAAUAUGUCUCCUUCCUCAGAGAUGGAGGGGCAUUUGCAUUGAUUUACACAUAAACAGCCAUAUAAUUCUCCUACUAAUAAGUAAUCUACCAACAUGUAGACGUUAACUAUAUCACAGAAGUGAAGGAGACAAAGGCCACAUAAGAAAUAGAUAACUAUACAUGUGUGUAGUUAUCUUGCAUACAAACACAAGUUGCUUAUGUAGUUAACUUACCAAUUCUUUAACUGCAACGAACUGCUCAUCAGUCAACUGACACUGCCAACCCUGCAAGGAUACACAUGUAAAGGUUCUGCUUUGUCCAAAACAGUGUAAAAAAUCAGCUGCAGCUUUCUCAAGUCUCAUACAGAGUGUAUAUGCUCGCUUAUACAUUCAACAAAGCCGCUACCACCAAUUCCCUCUGCAUCAGACUCGAUCAAUGCUGCAAAGGAAGUGUAAAAAGCCUGUUAAUCAGCAGCACUCUUUGGACAAGGCUGAGAGGUUUUACACUCGCAUAUUCAUACCUAGAAUUGUGCCAUAUUCAAAUGAGGAAAGUGGAUCAUCAGUAGCUCCCAAUUUCAACAGGCGCAGCCAUAAGCCCUGUGCAAAAAUUUACAUUGUUCAUUAAAAAUGAGAAAUGAAAGGAUUCAUUGUAUGUAUUUCCUUUUUUUCUGUACACACCCAAUUUACAUUAUUCUAGUUUUUUUAACCCAAUAUCUAGUACCAUAAGCAACUUUUAUGCUAUUGCCAAAAGUAUAUCCACCAGCAAGUCAUGAUAAAAAAACAGUAGUUGGUUAUAGAGCUAUAAGACAGUUAAUGAUACGUUAUCAUGAGUCAACAAGGAAUCACAACAGAGCAAAGAAGAAAAGUGAUUUUUGUUCACCUGCAGCUUAACUUGAAUGUCGAGGACCAUGCGUUCUCUUUCUGCCUGCAGAUUGUUCAAUUUUUUAUGAGUUCUUGAACCACAACUACCCUCUUUUCUAGAUUAGAUAUAAGUAACAUACCGCCCUCUCCAUUGGACUAAGAGUGUCCUUCCCCACUUGCACAGAUGGUGAGCUGAAAGAAAAGCAAUUACAUCAGAACGGACAGUCCAACUGAACCUCCCACGAUUGCCCUCUCUCCCUUCAUCCAAAAAGACAAGUGUACUCAUCCAAACACACAUACGCGGGAGCAGUUUUAAUGUACUCAAAAGCUCCACUUGCUGCAGCAAGAAUCUGUUUCCUCUUCUCCUCCUGCUCUUCAGAUCUUAUAUUAGUAGGAAACCUGUCAUAAAUAUAUUUUGCACCUGAUCCUGAAGAAACAGAGACAAUCUAGGCUUUAAGUUUGAUGGUCAAAAUAAGAAAUUAACUACGACACAUCAUUAGAUGCAUAAAAAUACAGAAGUGGUGAUUUAGAAUCCAAUUUUACCUGACGAUCCCCCAUUUGGAUCUGAUAUGGUCACAAAUUCAGGUUCUGCCGAAGAUGAGGGAAGAAUUGACAUGGGAUUUUGACCUCUUCCAAUGGCAUCUUGUAACUUGUCUAAAAGAUUAUUGUCACUUUCUUCGAGGCUCCCAGUUCUUCCCAGAAAAUCCAAGAAACCAUGAGUAUCCAAAAAUUGAGAUAUCUGUAAGCAGCAAUGAAACUAGCAUCAUGAAAUGAGUGCCAUACACUUAAGCCAACAACAGUCGAACAUCCAAAAUGUAAUCCCACAAGGAAGUACCAACACCAAACUUAACAUCACCCCUCUUCACUCUAACUUUCCCUAACACAACACCACCAAUUACAAGCAAUGACGUCAGCCCGAGAAAAGGUCAACUACAAACCUCCAUUCAACAAUGACAAAGAAACGUAAUUAUAUUCUAUUACCAUCUCAUUCAAAGAACAUCAACAACUCAACCAAGACUUUUAACGAAGGUCACAUUACGAAUUCGAGAAAUGCAAGUGCAGCAAAGAAAUACAAUCCAACCAUGGCAUCUGGGGGUUGAUGUGUUGACCUAGAGCGCUUCUUCAAAAAUGCCUGAUUAUUGAAGGCCUGAGCUGCACUAUUUUCCUGAUAAAAUGAGUUAUGAGAAAACAAAUAUGAGGACAUAAUAAUGUCAUCGCUCCAAAAUUGAUUCCAGAUAACAAGAAUGAGGAAAAUUUCUCCAUACGAUGAAAUUGCGGUAGCCACCUAAGAUUGACGCAAAAAACCUGAGGAAUAUUAACCUGCAGAUGCACAAAAAUUUCAUUACAGACAAACCAAUAGACGAUUAGCAUUUUUGGCAAUAAUUUAUGCUACUCAAAAAACCAUAGAGCAGUAACUAUAAUGAGACAGAAAAGACCGAUCCAAGAAAGGAGAUAAAAAGAAAGGAGAAAGAAAAUAAGCAUUAAACAGAUGGGACUCGGCAACGAUAAAAAAACUGGUCAGUCUAAUCAUUAUUUUCCUUAAAAACGCCGUAAUUGCAUAUAGAUGUGCAUUUCAUAAUCAAUAAAAUUCUCACUUCACGCAUAACUUCAGCUGAUACAGAUAACAAGACUACAUUCUAGUGUAUGAAGCAAUAAAAAGAAUGAAGGAGAGAAACAGAAACAAAAAAGAACUCGGCAAGCAAAUGAUGUUUCCACAAAAGCUAGAUGGUCAAAACAAUGUGCCGUAACGAACUUAAACAUUGCUACUAAUCUUAAACAUAUUGGUCGUAGGGAAUUAAUGAUUUUUGAGAAUUCAAGUGAAAUUAAGUAUCACCUAAGUUGAAGAUCUAGCUCCUCUCCCCAUGGCUGGUUGCUGGAAACAGGCCAUUGCUCGGAAGCACCAACUGGACUACUUUUAAUCUGAUCUAUCCCCACAACAUUUGGGUGCAACAACUUCAAUAUGUCCAUACGUAGAGAAGUGAAUUCAGGCUCUGGGAUAGGAGGUAUUUCCUCAGUUGUGCUUAUUCGAUUAUACUCAAGGUCGACAACAACCACCUAUCACACGAAAUGAAAGUAGAGAUACCAUGCUCAGAAUGUAUUUGCAUACCACCUAUGUCAUUUCAUAUCUAUUAUUUUAACCACAACAAGCAUAAGAAAUUACUUAAUUUGCAAACUAUAUGCAUAUCCUGAGUAGUUUAAGAAAAGAUUAAUAGCUCCCCAGACUCAACAAGAGUUAGAAACUUAUUGUCAUUUAAAUACCUUUGGUGCCAAAUCACUUAUUAAAGCUAAGUUUUGCAGCAAAUACUGAUAUUUAACAGUUGAUAAAAUAGUAACUAGUUCUUUGUAUACUGCAAUGCUGGCAGCAUAAAGAUAAUUGAGUAAUUGCACAAGUAACGACAAUGAAGCUACAAGUUUAGCAUGAACUUACACCGUCCAUUACAAGGUAGGAUGUAUCGACACUUGAAUGAAGACCCAUCAUAUAUGGUGUAGGAGCAUCAAUAUAGUCUACUCCACUGAAAAAAAGUAAUGGAAUGUACACAUGCUUCACGCCAAGAAAAUAAAGAAUAAUUAGAUUUAGCAUAACUCAAUCAAACCCACAAUAAAUUAGUUUCAAACUUCACAACCAAAUAUAUCACAUCGAUAAUAUCAAGUGCAUUUUACAGAAUAGCUCUAACACUUCAUAUUAUAUGAAUUUCAUAAUAUCAAGAUCUUACCUGCCACCUAAAGGGAUAUAUCAAAUGGCAUAUGGCUUCUGACACUAGAGUUAAAAGCGAAUACCUGUUCCAGGAAACACAACAGUUACACUCUCAAAAAACAGCAGUUACACUCUCAAUAUUGCAGCUAUGUGCAUGUUGUUGUUACUAACAUCUAAAUAAUAACUGACCUAACAUGAGGAAAACAAUUAGUUGUGACAUUUUUUUAAAUUGAUCAGAGAUUGCUGUUAGAAUCAUUAAUCAUUUUGACUCUUUCUAUCCCUUUAGAAGUUGCAUUUUUUUUACAGUCCCUUAAAAAGUUGUAUAAAAGAUGAAAUCAGCUGAAAGGCAAUCUCGAGUAUACGCCGCAUUCAUUUUGACUCUUUUUGUAACUGCAUAGAGAUAUGUGUAUCUUUCAGAAUCAUUUAACAAAGAACAUGCAGGAAAACUUUGAGAAGUAGAUUAUAUUUUUACAGUUCCAACCGCAACGUCAAUUGUCAUGUAAUACCCAUGAGAGUGAGGGAACAUCAUACUGCCAUAAUACAGGAAAUCCAAGCUAUCUAAAGCAAAGGGCAUACAUACUUAUCAGAUCGCAGCAAAAUCCUCCUCUCAAGCAGAACAGCAGUAAAAAGCAGAAUUAAGUUGUCAACAUCCAAACAUUGGACAAGUGGUUGAAAUGAUAUCUGCAGUUGGAGAAACAAAGUUCAUAUGCUAUAAUGUCGUUGAUUUUUCUAAUAUAACUUGAAAAGGCUGAUCAUCAGCAAUAGGGCGAUUCAGCUAAUCAAGUAACUGAAAAAGGCUUACAUCAACAUGAGGAAGUCCGUCUUUUGGUGGAGCAUCCACUGAAAGCAGACAAUUCUCAAUAGCAAACAACACCCGAUCUUUCCCAGGAGUAGGCAACGGUACAUUGGAUACCAUGUGAGCAAUUACAUCCCACAAAGGCUUGCUGAAAUUUCCACAGAUUAGAGAACCCAGUCAAAUGUUUUCACAUUGCAAAAACUUAAACUCGCUACAACAGCCUUGAAAAACCUAGUGUUUAACCAAAUGUUGGAUUAAGUAACUUAUAUAGCCUACUCACAAAAUGAAAUGAAAUUACCAAGUGUACUUACCUACUACCACCUGACGAAAAGCAGAGGGCAAAUAGUUCUUCAAGAGCACUGCGAAGGACACCAAAACUAGGAUACCGUGAAAUGAGACAAAUGCAUUUAUCAGCAAAUGAAUUUGGAGGUAUCCGGUAUGCUUCAGCAAUAUCCUCACUAACUGGAUCCCGAAAUGCAAUGCAACUAACAUAAAUCUUCGACCCAUCACCCUCUGCGUAAAAUUAACAACAAAGAAUAGAAAAGAACCAUGAGUUUUCCUUCCAGAUGGCCAAGCCAAUUAUCGCAAUCGCAUACACUACUGACUAUACAUAAAGGUAUCGUCAGUCUCAGACAAUGGGUACCAAGUUAAUACUCUUGAAGUUGAUCACGAGAACAGGUAAAGGGCUUCUGAAUACUGUUCUAUUUCAGCUAAGACGUUCGGAAGAAGGAUGGUAAACCUAGCAGACUAGCAGCUUCUUGAUACUUAUUACUCCUAACGAAGUAGUGCUUUCUGAUAAUAGACUGAUAUCCAAGAUGUAAAGCAAGUGUAGCAGCUAGCAGGGAAAUAAAUUGUACCAGUUAAUACAAUAGGAUAGCUCCGUAGUGAAGAGGAAGGAUCAUUCACGUCAAAUCCAGCAGAGAAGAUUUCCACACCAGCUGGCAACACACACUGCAAUUCAUAACAAUUCACGGAAAUUGAAGCUGUGCUCCAACGGAAUUUCAAUCAUACUGAAGUAGCAGGAGGACGAAGAAGAAGAUUGUUACAGUGGGGAGCUGCGGAGGAGGAGGAAAGUGAGUAUCCGGAGGGUACUGAUCAAGAAGCGAUGGCAAGUACAGAACUCCAACUCCAUGGUAGCCUUUGUUCCCGUCAAGUGUUCGAAUCUCGGGGCCAAGCCCGCACACCACGAAGUACUCGAAGAUCGGCGCCAUUGUCUUCUUCUAUCUCAAUUGGAUCUCGAGCUGAAUCCAACUGAGAAUCCAAUCAGCCCCCCUAUACAAAUUGAGAGCUGAAUCAGACGAGAAACGUGCGUCGAUUCUUCAUGCGGGGAUUUCGAUGGAAGGAGGUUGAUGGUAAUAAGGUGGUAUGGACGGAGGUUUGUGGCCGGAUUAUGAGCAAGCCGCUGCCGGCGGCGGAGAGUAAUUCUCCGAUCUUUUACGUCGUCGCCGUUUCUCUCUGAUUUCAAAUUCCCCGAUUCUGUUAAUUCUCAAUCUGGAUCUUACCGGUUUCUCUGCUGUCUCUCUGACCAGCAGCAGCAAUUAACCAACCAACGGCAAGCCUGAGCGAAAGAAGCAUAGCUGAGUCAAACGGCAGCGCGUUAAGUAACGGCACCGUUUCCUUUGACAUUUCUUACGUAUAAAGGGAAGUAAUAUACUCCUGAUUAUACUCGAUGCAUGGUGAGUACUGCACCCUAUCCUUGCAUGUGACUGAUCUGACCCACAAACCCGAGCUGCAAAUAACCAACAAACACCUGUCGCGAACAAUAUUCAGAGCCACCACCAUUUUACCACAAUGGCCGCCCUCCAAGUCUCACCAAUUCACACGCCUACACUCCAGCUUCAGUCAUCUUCAUAUAUAAAACACAAUUUCCAUCAGUUUUUCUGUGUGGUUAAAAAUGUCUUCAAACAAUGGAGUCGCGAGUACUUCAUGGACGGCUAGGGAGAACAAGCUGUUCGAGGAGGCUCUGGCGCUGCACGACAAGGACACCCCUGACCGUUGGAUCAACGUGGCCAAUGCCGUUGGCGGCGGGAAGUCCGCGGAGGAAGUGAAGCUGCAGUUUGACAUCCUGGUUGCGGAUGUUGAACGUAUCGAAUCCGGUCGGGUUCCGAUCCCUAAGUACAAGGCCGCUGCUCCGAAGCUUGCAUCUCGCUUCUAGCUGAAAUCGCUAUCGAUCGAGAAUCGAGGAAGAUGGUAGGAGUUCUUGUGCUUAAUGCUUGUAUUACCAUGUUUUAAUCGGAGUUAUUAGCGACAAUGAAAGAAAGGGAAUCGAACGAGUUCCCCUUUUCGUAAUGCAUGCCCGCAAUUCCAAAUGUGCGUACUUUUUAUUGUUACGGUGAACCCCCGACCCCAGCGUGUGUACUUCAUUCUUCAUGAUUCUUCGAUAAGUUCGCACUGUGCCUCGAAAUGUGUGUAGACAUUGUAGUACCAGCGAAGAUAUCUAGAUAUCGAAUUUGAUUAUGAGUAUCCAAUAUUCAAAACUAUAAUAUAGUGAUACACUCAUAUAGCCCUAAUGUCUUAUCACUGUAUAAUCGACACAAAAAUUCUGAGUGCGGUAAAUGGAUACUCAUUACCCAAACUUAUUUGCCCAUCCGUAAGAGUUAGUUGCACUAAAAUAGGUUUGGCAAUGGUUUAGAUCAGUAACAUGUAGUGCAUAUCCACUGCUUAACCAUUUUAAUAAAAUUACGGUGAAAAUUUACCAAAUUUGAUCGUUCGGAUUUAAUUUUAAUAUCAUCAAAGUACUAAUCGGAUCACGAUUUUAACUAUUGAUUAUUAUUCACCAAACAAACCAACCAAAUGAUCAUUCAGUUCGUUGUUGCAAGCACAUAAAAGCCGUCAAAGCGAUUCCAAAACUAUUUUCACCAACUCAGUUUCGAACGGAUUUAUGAUUUUUCGAAUUUCAUGGCCAAACCUACACUAAAGUAAGCUAGGCCCAAACGAAUAGCCAUUUUAGUAUUGGGCCAAUUAUACAGUAUUGCACUCUGUGUAGUCUUCAUCUUCUUCCUCUAAAACCCUAACACUUGAUAAAUCCUCAUUUUAAUUCAACCGCAAAGAUUCUCCGCCAUUUCCAGGCACCCUAACAGUAAACCUCAAAAACCCUCGAGAGAGCUCAGUCCAAGAGCUCUCGUCAACAAUGGCCGAAGUUGAAGUCUCCCGCUCCGAUAAGAAGAAGCACAAGAAGAAGACCGGUUCAGCCGACCCUGACACCGACGCUGACCCCAUGUCUGCUGCCGCCGUAAAUGGCGGCGCAUACUUUAACACACCCCCGAGCUUCUCGCCCUCGAUCGCACGGAUCAAACGGAUCCUCCGAUCGGAGAAAACCGGCCACAGCGGGACACUCGACCCUAAAGUCACAGGUAACCUAAUUGUUUGCAUCGAUAGAGCUACUCGUCUGGUUAAGUCCCAGCAAGGUGCAGGGAAAGAGUACGUCUGUGUUGCCAGGCUGCACGAUAAGGUUCCCGAUGUCGCCAAAGUCGGCAGAGCUCUGGAGACGCUGACCGGAGCCGUCUUCCAAAGGCCGCCAUUGAUCUCUGCAGUCAAAAGGCAGCUUAGGAUCAGAACAGUUUACGAGAGUAAGCUGCUGGAGUAUGACGUGGAUAGGCAUUUGGUUGUUUUCUGGAUUUCCUGUGAAGCUGGUACUUAUGUGAGGACUAUGUGUGUUCAUUUGGGGCUUGUUCUUGGCGUCGGUGCUCAUAUGCAGGAGCUCAGAAGGGUUAGGUCUGGAAUUUUAGGCGAGAAAGAUAACAUGGUGACAAUGCACGAUGUUAUGGAUGCUCAGUGGGCUUAUGAUAACUAUAGAGAUGAAUCUUACUUGAGGAGGGUGAUUAUGCCGUUGGAAGUUCUUUUAACUAGCUAUAAGAGGCUGGUUGUGAAAGAUUCUGCUGUGAAUGCGAUCUGCUAUGGUGCGAAGCUGAUGAUUCCGGGGCUGUUGAGGUUCGAGAACGAUGUUGAAGUCGGGGAGGAGGUUGUUCUGAUGACGACAAAGGGUGAGGCGAUUGCUCUAGGGAUUGCUGAGAUGACUACUGCUGUUAUGGCUACCUGUGAUCAUGGGGGGGUGGCUAAGAACAAGAGGGUGGUUAUGGAUCGGGAUACUUAUCCGAGGAAAUGGGGGUUAGGGCCGAGGGCUUCAAUGAAGAAGAAGCUGAUUUCGGAGGGGAAAUUGGAUAAGCAUGGGAAGCCAAAUGAGAAUACGCCUCAAGAAUGGGCGAGGAACUUGGUUUUACCCACUGGUGGAGACUCUAUGGUUGCUGCUGCUGCAGCUACGGCUACCCCUGUUGCUGAACCAGUGGUAGAGCCGAAAGUUGAGGACGAAAUGGGAACUAAUAAGAAGAAGAAGAACAAGCGCAAGCACGAGGACGAGGAAAUGCCCGAUGCUGAUGCUGAGGCUACGGCCAAGAAGGCUAAGAUUGAGAAUGUGGAGGGUGAGGAAACUCCCAAGGCGAAGAAAUCGAAAGAAGAAGAUGUCGAUACAACAACGGAGAAAAAGAAGAAGAAGGACAAGGAGGGUGAAGAGGCUGCUUCGCCCGAGACGGGAAAGUCGAAGAAGAAGAAGAAGAAGGAGAAGGAGGAGGCUGAGAAGGCAGCUGCAGCCAUCGAAGAGGCUGAUAAAAGUGAAAAGAAGAAGAAGAAGAAGAAAAAGGACAAAGAUGGUGAAGAGUAGAUGAUGAGAUAUGCAUAAUAUUAUUGCUCUGCAUAUGUACUCUCUUUUGUUUCAUUUUUGUAACAUUUUCAGGAUGCGAUUUCAUGGGAACUAGUUUUUUUCAUAGAGCUGUUGCGCUGAUCUGCAUCGGGUUUUUGUCUUGCGAAAUAUUCUGGCCGAUUCGAUCUCCAAUAUGAUUUCGUUUUACCGUCUCUAGUCACUUGAUGAAUCUCUUCAGUUGAGAUUACCUCGUUCAGAUUGCUUCAGCUCUUCUUCAAUGGUGUCUUUGUUACAGAUUAGCUGAAAUGUUGAAUUUGGCGCCACGACAGUAUAGCCGGUGGUGGGCCUCAUUUGAUUAUUGGGCCGGAUUCAUUUUCUUACCAGCUUUGCUAGCAGCCUCACAGGCCCGUAUCUGUAUAGACUACAGUAAUAACCAGCACAGUAGAAGUUCAUGUAUGUGCUCGAGUGAAUGGUUCGUUCGGUUGUGAGUGUGAUCGAGUGGUGUGGCGUGUGCGUAUAGUAGUGAACCGGCUAUGAGCUAGCUGCUGCAUUGAUCAUCAUGGAACAGAACAGACUCGUCAAACAGCCAUGGAAUUCCAAGCCACUGGGCGUAAUGAGAAUGAGCGUCUCGUAGCUAGUUAAACAGGGUUGGAUGGACGAAAGCACCAUGUCCAUUUGGAUGGUUAGAUUAGACUCUAUGGUUAUUGGAGGUACUUUACGAGACCGAAUUGGGUCGCUGGUUUCCAACCAUCUUGGUCGCGAUUCUGCAAUUCUGGUCGAUUUGACUUGAUGGCCGAUUCAACCUGCCUGAUGUAUAUCCAGAUACAAAGAAUAAGCUCGAGGCAGCCAUGUAAGAUGAAAAAGCAUUCAUGAUCUACUAUCACAUCAACAUAGCUUCUCGACCAUAAGACGCUUAUUUUCUUCAUUGAGAAGGCCUCCAAGAAAGUAACGAAUCAUUUUAUCAGGUACGUCGAAAAAUCCAUAAAAAAAAUUCAAAUUCAAGGAUUUCAUUCUUUUAAAAGGGUGAGAUUGGUGUUUACAAGCCUGGAUCAGCAACUAUGGAAUAGAAGAUCUUAAAACAAAAUAAGGCUGAAAUUAGGGCCGUUGCCUCUCGGAAGCUGUUUCACUAGAAGAAGCAGGCAAGAAGAACUGUUCGUGCCCCAUUAACUCGAUUUUUGCAGGACUAAGAGAGAGAAGUUCCGACAUGGAAACUUCAGGUAGUGUAUGACAUGAAGAAUGAAUCUUGAAACUGAAAGAUUGGAGCUUGGGAGCAUCGAUUUCAAGAGUGCCGAAAUCUGAUGACACAAUCUCCAAAUUGAGCAGUUGGGGUGCAGACACUAUUAAAAUACCAGUAUCUGACAGAUAUUUGUCCAGCUUUAGAGUUUCCAAUCUGGGGAAGUUAGUAAAAGCAUCGUGUGCAGCAUCAGCAAAGUCAAAGUAGCAUUCGGUCCGUGUAAGAGAUUCAAACCGUUGCAAACGAGACCACAAUCCAACAUCAGUCUUUUGAAUGCAUUUUCGCUUCAACUCCAGAACUUUUAGAGAUUGAUAGAAAACACAUACCAAUCUAGUGAAGUCAUCACUUGGGUAAUUGAGAGCACAAAUGAAUUGUUCUUGAACGCCAUGAGAAGCAACGUAUUUAAUGAUCCUAUCAAACAGAUUCAUCAUCCGUUCUUCCUGCUGGGAGAAUUUGUAACUCUGCUGACGCUACUGCUUUCACAGCGGAGGGAAAGAACUUGAUCCACCUGCCGCUCGAAAUGCAGAUCACUUCUGGUUGUGCUCUUACGGAAAGUGAGAACAGGAACAUAUUUCCAUAUAGAAAUCCACCUCCUAGAUAAAAUGUUGGUUCGAACCGAAGAUCUAGUGUCGACAAAGAGAGGAUGUGAUGCAAAAUGCUGUCAUGAAGAUCACUUAGCCUAUUGAUACCUGACCGUCGAAUCAAAAACUUUCUCCUAAAUACGUUCUGAACCAUUAACUCAAUGUUUGCACGGUGAAGAGAAGGAAGUUUCGACUUGGAAACUUGAGGUAGUAUAUCAUAUGAAGAAUCAAUCUCGAGACUGAAAGAUUGGAGCUUGGGAGCGUCCAUCUCAAGACUGUCGAGUCUUGGACAAACAAUCUCCAGGUUGAGCAGUCGUGGUGCAGUUACUAUUAGAAUAGUAGUAAAAGCAUUAUGUGUUGCAUCCUCAAAGAAAAAGUUGCAUUCGGUGGUCAGAGUAAGAUAUUCAAGCCGUUGCAAACUAGAAAACAACCUAAUUUCAGUGCUUCCGAUGUCUACCAGCUCCAACUCCAGAACUUUUAGAGAUUGAUAGCAGGCGUAUACUAAUCUACAGAAGUUAUAACUUGGGAGAUAGUCAAUACGAAUAGAUAGCUCUUGAACGGCAUGAGAAGCAGCGUAUUUCAUGAUCCUACCAAACAGAUCCAUCAUUCGUUCUACCUUGAACAAGACGAUUGCAACUCUAAUGUUGUUGCUACUAUCAGAACGGAGGGAAAGAACUCGAUUCACCUGCCGGUCCAAACCCGGAUUACGAUUGAAAUCGAGAACCAUAACAUAUUUCCAUACAAAUAUCCACCUCCUAGACAGAAUGUUGGUUCGAACCGAAGAUCUAGUGUCGACGAAAAAAAGGAUGUGAUAUAACAUACUGUCAGGAACAUCAUUUGAUUGUUGGGCCAGGCUCAUUUGCUUACAAGUUUUACUAGCAGCUUCACAGGCCCGUAUCUCUGUUUAUAAUUAUACAGCCUAAUAUCCCGCCCAAGUAGAAAUUCAUGACUACGUUUUCCAUGCAGUCAAAUAAGAAGGAUUUAGCGAAAUUCGGUGGCAUGUGUAUCAAACGCAAAUAAUUUAACCAAUAAUCAUAGUGUUUAUGUUCAUCAAACAUGAAUAACAAACCAGUAACACACUGAACCAAUAUCGGAACACUGGAGAUUGUUCAAUCACUCGAGCCAAGAUUCGCCCGGCCAUCCAUGUACUCCGGAUUGCGUGGGAUAAUGGGCAUCGAAGAGUCAAUUUGCAAGUCGACUCUUCUGUUGUCGCCUCCCAUGCAAAUAACACUACUGCUAUUGAUACACGCAAUUUUAAUUGCAUAAAGGAGUUGCAGCAGCUCCUUACAAGAGAUUGGUGUGUUGCGGUCUCCCACACUUAUCGAGAGGGCAACCGAAUUGUUGAUCUUCUCGCUCAUCAUGGACAUUCUUUACACUUUAGAAUGCACCGAAAGCAGUAAGUGCGGCAGAAUUUGAGCAAAGUAGAUAGGUGUCCCGAUAUUUGUAAAAUGGCUACAAAUAGAAUCAUCCAGAUCAGUCCAAUUAAUUAAUUAAUUACUAGAUUAGAUUAUUAUUAUUAUUAUUAUUAAAUAAUUAAGGUUAGAUUUAGGAGGGAGGGGCUAAUUUGUCGCUUGAAAUGGAGCACAUGGUGCUUCUGUUGCUUGAUUGGAGUAACGAUCUUCGAUGCCAUCUUCUAACCUUAGUGGUUGGAUUGAAUCUUACUUUUUUUUUUUAAACUAAAUCUAAUAUAGGUUAGAUUAUGAUUCUUUGUUUGCUGUUGAGAGAUAGAUUUAGAAAUGUUUUAAUAUGUUGAAUUGGAUGGUAUAAAAUUAAGAAAUGUGUUAGAUUAUAUAUAAAAUGAAUUGAUUUAUGAAGAAAUUUAUCAUUUGAAUAGAACGAGAUUUGCAUAUUGUUGGUGUUUUAAAUUUUGUUAUGGGUUGAGUCGUGAUUAAAAGAGGUAAUUUGGUAUGUAGAUAUGCCUUUUUUCGUAGUUUUAAUAUUUGUUUGUAUUUUUAAAAGGAUUUCAAAUUGACAAGAGUUUGUGAGCUUGUUGUCCUCUAAUUUCUACUUUUCAGUCAUGGUUAUGAGUCAUAGUCACCCAAAAAACCAAUUAGGUUUACGAAGAUAAGGUUGAUAUAUUUUACUAAUCGAUAUAAAUGAUAGAAUCAAACGUCAUAUUAUUUAAUUUCUCUCGAAACUAAAUAUAAUUUAAAUAUCAUUUCUAUAUAAAUUUGUCUGCCAUUACAAUCGGUAACUAAAAAAACCGUCCCCAUCCCAACCCAUUGUAAAUAAUUAGUUUGCAUGAACAUCCACAUCUUUGUCCAUGUUUGCAAGCAUAGUUUGGCACCCUUUGCCUUGUCUCAAUCCCCCAUCAGAAUCUGACUAAUUGUGGUAGAGACAUGUACACACUUUCAGCAUUCAACUUUUUAGUACCCCCAUCUUGUCUUUUUCACCAUCUUUUAUCAAAUUUUGCAACACAUUUUCAUGAAAAUGGGAAACAUUGCUAUAUUAAUAUAUUGAGCUAUAACCAAACCAUUCAUCAAAUGAUCACAUGGUGAUUACCAAGAUUAGGAACCAAGAGAAUCCCAUACAAGAUUCAAACUUUUUGCCUACCCACAUGAUAACAAAACCCCGUACCAGAUUUGUUAAUUUAAUUCGUCAAAAUAUUCCAUUUUGAGACGAUAUAUAUUAACCUUGAAUAUUACAUUCAUAAGGUUGGACCUGUGAUUCAAUUAUCGUAAAACUGACAUAGUAAUCUAAAUAAGGCAAUGAUUAAUAGCAUUGGAACCAUAAAAUAGACCAUUGAUCAAAGUCAUGGUGAUUAGCAAGGCUAGGAAAAGGCAAGAGAAUCCAAAAAAGAUUCAAACUUUGGCCUACCCACAUUACAUUAAACCUUAAUAACAUAACACAACCCAUCAUCAAACUUAGCUUCCUCUCACUCAUUUUCUCCCCUAAACCUCAAAAAAGAACCAAACAUAGAAACAAAAAGAUUACAACUUGGAUAGAAAUUGUAGCAAAAGGUUUAGAGAUUGGAGAAGGAAGCUACAUGGGUUCUUCAACUUUGAUUACUAAACAAUAUAGGAAAUUAAUUAACCUACUAUUGGAUAUAGCUAUGUAUAAAAUUGGGUUCCCCUUAUUAUUUAUUUAUAAUGCUUCUUGAUGAUGAUGAUGAUUAAUAUCAUCACUUGCCUAUAACCUCAUCAACGCAGCUUCAUGUUCCUCAUCCUGCAAAAAAAUUCGCAAACUCGGUUAGAUAGUCGAAAAAGACAGAAACAAUGUGUUCUAAACUUUCUUAUACCGAGGUUUUCAUUUUUCUGAUAAUUUUUUUUCUUUUUUUACCUUUUUAGUAGCAUAUUGAGGGUUGAGCAAAUUUAGUAAGUGAUUAAGUGCCACACGUCAUAUAAGAGUCAAAAUCGAGAUGUUAGAAGAACGAAGCCCACUCGUGAAAAGUACCUCAUAAUAAACAUGAGAAAGCCUCCUAAACCAUUUGACAUUCGAGUUAUUGCGAAAAACAGUUUUUCUCCAAAUUGAAAAAGAGUAGAAAUUGAGUAAAUUAAGCAGGUUAUUAAUGAAGUUGGAAGAAGGAAUACCUCUUUUCUUCAUCGGAGACGAGGGAGGAAGUGGUGGUGUAGUUAGGGAAAGGGACGUGGCCGGACUCGAUGAACUUGACAUCUUCAACAAGGAGAUCAUAGUGGAGCUUGACAUCCUCAGGGGUCUUGUUCCCACCAACAGCCUUGGCGACAUUAGACCACCUGUCAGGUGUUUCCUUGUCGUACACAGCCAGUGCCUUCUCAAAUGCCUUGUUCUGCUUUGCUGUCCAGCUCCCCCCUGAUCCUCUUGCUGACAUUGAGCUUGUUGCCAUUUAUAUGUAGAUUUAGUAACUAGUUACUUGAAAGAACAAAAACCCCCAACUUUGAUUUGAAAGAGAUGCUGGUGAUGGAGAAGAAGAGAGUGUGGCAAUGGCUGCUCUUUUAUAGGCCAAAUUCAGGGAGAAGCUAGUAUGCCAGUUGGCAAUGGAGUUCCUUUCUUUUCUUGAUUGGUUGGAAUUUAGUUUCUUUUUUCUUCUUCAUAAUGAUUUGGCUUCCUAUGAGCCACAACUUAGUGAAGAUGUGGAGGUGGGGUGAGUCAUAUUCACUUUGAAUAUUUUGGGUUGAUUUUUUUAAAAAUCGUUGUAUUCUAAUAAUUCGAGUGGUUGGAAGAGGGUUGAUGAUGGAUCUUAUAUCAUUUUCUAGUACACCCCUUCAAACGAAAGCCCACUUAUGGGUUUGAAGUUUGCACGGGCACACCAUUUUUUGUGCUUAAAUCAACUGUCAAUAUUGAGACCGUUUGGUCUAAACGCUUUGAUACCAUGUCAAGGAUCGUUGCAUCCCCAUAACUCAAGUUGUUGGGAAUGAUGGAUCUUAUACCAUUCUCUAAUAGAUUUCAUACUCGUUUUGCGGGUUUCAGUAUUCUUUCCUCUUUUUAUAUAUGUUCGUGUCACAACCUAAAAAGUUGCAUGGUAUUAUUGGUAAGCAGAUUUAUAAAAAGUUGCACAGUUUCGUGAUUUUGAGUCCACAACAAUCGGUACACCCUUAACAAGACUAAUAUUUUAGCUAGCGGAGGAUUCAAGAAAGAGAUUUUUAAUAAAGCGGGUCAAUUAUCCUUCUUUGAUCAUGUACACAUCCUCGAAAAUAUGAUAAAUUUUCUAUAUAUUCCAAAUAUUGGACACUGUUUUUAUAAAUAUAUCACGUUACAAAUUUUAUCAUUCCGACACAGUGCAUCGAACCAAUGUGAUGAAUUGCUCCCAUUUGAAUUAGUGAUAAGAACUCUAUCAUGAUGAAAACAGUUUCACGUGUAUUAGCUGGUAAUCCCCCCCUUUUCUCAGUUUUCAGAGAACACCCUAUUUCCCUUUACUUUGCCACAUGGCAUCCCUCUAAGAACCAAACAAGGCCUUAUGAUUAGAGAAAAAAAAAUCUUCAAAUUUCAACAGAUUUACACAAAAUUUCCUCACUUUAAAAUCAAAAAAAUAUUAAAUUAUAUCCUAAAUUCAAAACUAUCUACAACUUUCACGUGUGCACCACACAACACUAUUUGGUGGGCUAUGAUAUCCACAAAACCAAAACCCUAUUGUGCUCUUUGAUGUUCCAUUAUAAUGAAUGUACCAUUCUGUCCUGGACAACAUUCCAAGCUAACCCUAGCUGGCUUGUUCUAUUCUCUUCAUGUGUGUGUGUGUGUGAGAGAGAGAUCUCUAAGGAUGAUAAUAAGUCAAAACAUUUGUGUGUGUCAUCUCACCUUAAAGGCUAUAACCCUUUUCAGCUCUAAGGAACUUAAUUGUGUUCUUUCAUUCAUCAUUGUUGGUUGGUUCUUUGCUUUCGAAAUAAGGGCGGUGGCCCUGUGACCGUCCAACCUCUCGUUUUGGAUUCAAUACCACGAAUGUAUUGUAUAAAGGAAUCUAUUGUUGUAAAUUAGUUGUAAAUUAUAGUCACUUUAGUUUGACAUGUGUUUUAAUAUGUUGUUGUCGACUUAUAUGACUUGGCAUUCUAAAUCAAAUUAACUAUUAAUACUCUCGAAGUUAUCGUUAAAUUUGUUCGGAGGGUGUCCAUGGAUAUCCCUCUUUUUUAUUCAAUGUCAUGAAUGUAUAUACGAAGAAAGUGUUGCAUUUAGGCACCUAUUAUUGAACAUACAUAUGAUGCAACAUAUGUUGGAUGGUUUCUCGUUUUGGAUAAGAGCUAGUAUAUAUAGGGUGGUGACCGUCCAUCCUCUCUUUCAUAUUCAAUACCACGAAUAUAUGUAUAAAGAAACUGUUGUAACAACUUUUAUAUCACCUUAUAAAAUGACUUGACAUUCCAAAGUUAUAACGACCAACUCAUGUAAACUCUAACGAUUAUUCUUUGUUAUCGAAAAAUGUCUCAUGUUGAAUGUGUGACCCACUUACUGUUUUCGCAAGCUAUAUCUUUGAUUAGUGAAAUAUAUUGCUAUGUGUGAACAAACUUUUUAACUAAAGUUUUGGGCAAUUUUGCCUAUCUUUUGUCUUACAAUGGUGGGAACAGAUUUGGGGUUAUUCCCAGAACAGCCUCCUUUCUUGGAACUACAUAGGUUGCUCUAAUUAGUGCUAAAACCAAAACCAAUAAUCCAAGUUAGUUAUGAUUAAUCCACUUCUCUAUUAGGCUAAAUGAAUAAUGGGGGAAGGCUCAUGAAGUUAAAGGCCAAAUCAAACCCAACUUGUUCUAUUCAUGGCUCUUCUGAUAAAUUGUCUUUUGUGNNNNNNNNNNNNNNNNNNNNNNNNNNNNNNNNNNNNNNNNNNNNNNNNNNNNNNNNNNNNNNNNNNNNNNNNNNNNNNNNNNNNNNNNNNNNNNNNNNNNNNNNNNNNNNNNNNNNNNNNNNNNNNNNNNNNNNNNNNNNNNNNNNNNNNNNNNNNNNNNNNNNNNNNNNNNNNNNNNNNNNNNNNNNNNNNNNNNNNNNNNNNNNNNNNNNNNNNNNNNNCUGAUAAAUUGUCUUUUGUGAAAAUCAUAUUCGAUCGUUAGAUGAUUGGCUCUACAUGUCAAAAGAUUUAACCACAGUGUUCGUGACAGAUCAUUUUAUCUGACCAGUUUGAUCAAAUUUAAAAGACAAGUAACUAUACAUCUCAAUAAAAUUGUAUGCUCACCAAAUUGAUAAAAUUUUAGAAGGUACUUACCUAGCUAACCUCACAUUUCAAAAAUAACAUUGGAAUAGUAAAAUAUACGUCAUAUUCUCAAAAAUCUAUCUAGAUUUUGAAAGGACUGAAUGGUCUUGACCCGAAACCCUCAUAUGUCUUUGUCACUACUCAAUCAACAUGGUUAUCUUAUAAAAUACUAAACCACGUGCCACAAUUAUCGUAUCAGAGAUACUUAACUAAUAAGAAUAUUCCAUUAUCAUUUUAUUAUGAUUUUUUUUCAUUUCCGGUACGACAAUUUUACAAACCCCAUAAUGUUAUUUUUCAAAAAGUUUUUACCUUUCCCCCCUAUUUGUUAUCUUACUUGCAUCAUGAUGGAAAGAAAGAGCAUGGACCAAAGCAAAUUGGCAUAUAGCAAAGAGAGUUACCCCAACUUGUACAUUGGUUUUUAACCAAAUUUAGGGUUUGUGAAAUACUACUGCUCUCUCUGCCUUUUUCCCAAUGACAAGUCUUCUUCCUCUUCUUCUUUUGUGGUGAAAAUUUCUUCUUAUCUACACCAAUCUGUACCCCCCAUUUGUUUGUUUUCACCUUGCAUGAAGAUCUCUACAGCAAGAAAUCAUAUCUCAAAACUACUGCAUCAUAUCUGGUCAGUCCAUGGACAAAGCAAACUGUGCAAUCAUGUGAAAGAAUCUUUCUUCCAUGGCCUACCACAAGAUGUCGACCUAUUAGGAUUUGCCUAUGUUUUCUCAUUAGCAAAGUGCUUAUCAAGACAUUCUACUACUUAAAAUGGCUGUUUACUCUGCCUAAUUGAUCAUCAAUUAGUACUAAUCCAAGUACAUUUGCUCUGGCCGACGAAUCGAUAGGGAUAGGCUUUGGGUCGGUUCCUCCGAUGUUGAAGUUGGUGUAUGUGUUACGGCUAUGAUCAGUACGUUUACUCAUACAUCGGUGUUAUGCAAGUGAUAACGACAUGUGUAACCACAACCCUCCUCGAUGGUAAAAACUUACCAAAUGUUGGGCAAAAGGCUUUUGAUAAUCUACUUGCAUAGAUAGUGAAAGAAUCUUACUUUAGAGGCAAGUUGAUCUCCAAGAAGGAUGGAUGCCUCUGCUUUCAUUAGCAAAUAUAGCACUUUCUAAGACAAGAUAUCAAAGACAUCCUAGUUCUUGCUUAGUCAUCCACUUAUCUAUCAGAUAUUCGGUUUCGAAGACUAUUCUGAUGGAUUGUAUGGUAAAAUUCGCGAGAAGCUUGUUCUUACGACUUUUAAAAUCUUAAAUCGACACUGAUUUCAUAUCUCAUGCUUUUGAUUAUCUAUGACAUAUAACUAGUCAUUGAUACUACUAAUAUCCAAGUACACUACCUUGCACUUUAUAACACACACCAAAUACUUGAUAUAAUCAUCAGCAUUGUCUUGUCACACCCACCAUUGGCAUCAGAAUCAAGAGCAUGACCACAAUUCCUUUCUUCACAAAUCUCACCAUCAGCUUGGAAAUAAAAAAGAUAACAUAUUGACAAGGUCGGAAACUAUUAUUGGGUUAUGCAGGCUGAUAAACCAUAUACGAGAGAGCGUGUAAAGAACUGUAGUCACCCCGAUUAUUGAAAUUCUAGAGCAAAGUUACUACAACGAUUUCAUCCCUCUUACUUGAUGAUUUAUCUCUCGUUCGAAAUCACACACUCUCCCGGUGGAAAACAAAAAGAUAACACAUUGACAAGGUGACUAGUACUCUUGGGUUAUGGAGGCUGAUAAACCGUAUACGAGAGCCUGUAAAGAACCGGUUACCCCGAUCAUCGCCCCUACAGCAAAUGCUUGUCAAUCAUCAACGUUAUCUAUCAGCCACCAUUGGCAUCAGAAUGAAGAACCUGCCAUAAAUAUCAGCUUGGAAUCAUAAAGAUAACAGAUUGAGAAGGCAUACAUAUCAGAAAUCUCUGAUAAUAUGCUAGUGGGAAGAAUUCUAUAAGCUCAUAGGCUGCAACUUGGGGUUCCAUAGGGCUACUACAGAGCAACAACAUCAACCGACAAUUGCUGAAAGUUGAUGUUCUUCCAUGAUCUCAUAUAUCUUCUGUUUUUGAGCUGUGUUUGAGCCCUAUUUUCAGAUAGAUAUAUGCUAUGCCGACUGUGGAGACACAAUUUGCAAUAUCGCCAGGUCAUGGUCAGAGGAUUCUGUGAUGAUUAGCUUGAAAGCUAUGCAUCACUCCCACAAUAAUUUCUAAGGAAUCAAUGGAAAGAGACACAACAACUUCUUCUUCUUCCUCAUCAUCAUCGAUGUGUGGAAUCCACAUCAUCAUUUUUCAUUCCAUUUCCAUCUUGGUUAGAAAUCAUUAACUUUAGUCAUCCAUUGAUUCCAUCACUUUCUCAGAAGAUUGAUUCCAUGAUCCCUCCUCACAAGUAGGAGGAAAGUUGGCACAAUCUUGUUGACUCCUAAUAGCCAUGAAGGAUCAAAGACUUCCAAGUUUUAACCAUAGUCCACGUACAAACUCUAAUGGGUUUACUCGAUCUCUCCCAACGGCUCGAGGUAUUGUGACGUUAUGGUUCAUGACAUGGUAUGAGAGUCUAUAACCAAAAAAAUGGUUAAGAAUUUCGAAUCGGGGUAGCCCCUAAUCUUUGUACAAGACUUGAUCAAAAUUGUGCAAACUUUCGUGAGCUUUUAUUUGAGUAAAGGUUUGCGCAAAAUUGGAAACCCAAAAAUGGGAUAAAGGGUCUAUUGAGCUAACUCAUUAGCCCAAAGUCCAUUGAGCAAGAUUUAUCGAAACCGUGCAACUCCAAACUCUUUAAUAAGCUUUCGUUCGGAUUCGCGCAGAAUGAAAGCCAAGGAACCUUCUUUAUAACGGUUUUAUUUGGGUGAUCCACGUAUAUUCCUUUGCUAGGCUGGUCCUAUGCAGAAGGAAUAUAGGAAAAAAGGGAGAUAGGAAGUUGGUAAGCAUGAAUGGUCAUUUGUGGGUUGUGGGAAUAUGCAACAAGAAAAAGGAAGAUCUUAACAUAAGAAUGCCUUUUUUAUAUGUGAACUAGAAUUGUACAAGCCAGUGCUCCAAAAGAUAGCUUUGAAACUUGGGUUUCGAUGACCAGAUAAGGGCUAAAGGGAUCCCCCCUGCAAAUUUGUGCUAUCGCUAGGAGAGGACCAUUCUAGGACAAAAGGAUAUGUCUGUACCAAUAUCAGUACCAUCAUUCUUUAUUGCCAACCCAUAGUGUAAUUCCAGUUUGGAUUCAAGUGGGGGGUGAAGAAAGAUCUGUGCUUUGAUUCUGGUUCGACGAGCUUGCUUGCUUGCUUCUGUGGUUGAUGCAGGCAGAAACGUGUAUAUUGUAUAGACACCCUUUUGCUGGUGUUGGUACUGAGUGAUGUCAGUGGAGAUCUUAGCCUCUCUUAACAAUGGUGUUCAGCUAAAACCAGAAAGGCUCCCUGUUAAGAAUGCUUCGUACCAGCACAAUUUUCACAAAGCUUAGGAAGUAUUUUGACAAAGCUUACAGUUUUUAAUCAUGAAGUAUUUUCUAGUCGGGGUGAGCAUGUAGUCCACUCUAGAAAUCAAACAUAACACUCUUGAUCUCAGCAAUUUAUACCGUUUCAUGUGAAAAUCUAUGGACUCCCAACUCUCAUAUCGGGCGAAAUAGAAUUAUGACCAUCCAUGACAAAAUGAUCAUCCAACAAGCAAGUAAAAUGUGAACAUCAAACUCCCCUAAGCCAUUGCAUGUAAUUCCAACUCCCAUCCCAACACAGAAAAAUCAUACUAAGAUCAUGGGACAAAGUGAGUAACCAACAAAUAAGCAAAACGAAUUCUGACCACAGUAGACAAAGUGCGUAACCAACAAACAAGAAAAAUGAGAACAUCUAACUCCCCAUUAGUGGUUUGACGACCACCGGACAAAGUGAGUAACCAACACGCAAACAAAACAUGAACAUCGAAUCCGCAUAGAGAGUGUGACAACCGAUAAUUUCUCAAUUCUUCAAAGUCGAAGCUCGGACUGACAUACAUAAAAGCAAUCAUUGUUGUGGGUUCCGGCUAAUGCGACCAACCAACUCCAGAAUUGAAGGAGAUGUGCCCAAAACUAAGGCAGCUCUUGCAUCCAUUGCAUGGAAUUUCUUGCUAGCUAGCUAAACAUAUAGUUACAAAUUACAAGGCUCCCUUAAUAAAUCUCAGCCAAACUGUCAAUUUCCUCCCUCUGGGCUUUACCUUGUUGGGUAUUAUUCAUAAGAGCCCAAUGAUAACAUCAGCCCAGAUAUGCAGGACUGCAGGACGAUGGAAAGCCCAUGCCAGCGAACAGUUCCGAUGAGGCCCAAAAAUGAAAUAGUAACGGAUCACUAUUGACUUCUGUGAAUUAAUAAUUUGGUUUAUUCUAAGAAAACGAAUUGUAAUAAUUUUGAAUUGCUCUAUUAUUGGAUUUUUUAGAGGUGGAAUUAGUCAAAUCAAAGUCGUUGAGUUAUGGAUAAGACAGACACGAGAAUUCAUUUCUUUUUGUAAAAAUGAUGAUAUGUACUCUUUUGUUUCCAUUUCAUUCAUUUUCCGUUUUCCAACAACUCAAAAGCGAACACUCAACCGAACCGAUCAAGAAAGAACGAACCAGACCCACCACGGACUCGAGAACAAACAAACCAGAACCAUAACCGAACCGAUAACAGUAACCCAGAGAGCACAGACGCUCCGACCUAAAUCAACUAAAGCGAACACUCGAUAAUGCAAAAACAGGAUAACUGGACGAGAUCAUCGGAUCUGAUCCAUUCUCUAAUUCCUCCAGCUACCACCGUCGGAGUCACCGCCACUCCUGGAAGAGUAACGGGAACCACCACCAUAGCCUCCUUCACUGCGGUCACGGCUACCUCCGUAGCCACCGCCUCCGUAGCCACCACCCCCUUCACGGCUUCCAUACGAUCGGCCACCGCCGCCUCCGUAUCCACCUUCUCUGCGUCCACCGCCGUAUCCCCACCGCCUCCGUAGCCACCACCUCCUUCACGGCUUCCAUACGAUCGGCCACCGCCGCCUCCGUAUCCACCUUCUCUGCGUCCACCGCCGUAUCCACGGCCACCACCGCCUCCUCCUGAGCUGCCACGUGAUUGAGCCUCAUUGACUGUGAUGUUACGGCCGUCAAGGUUCUGUCCGUUCAUCCCUUCGAUGGCGUCCUUCAUCGACUUCUCGUUGUUGAAAGUCACGAACCCGAAUCCGCGGGAUCUUCCAGUCUCACGGUCGUUGAUCACCUGUAGAUAGCCAAACAAGCAAAACAAGUUGACAGAUCCGUUAGAUCUGAGCAUAAAACGAAUCAAUCUGAACAAAACUGAGCAAAAAUAUGAAAAAAUUUAAAAAAAAAUCGAUCGAUCUUCUUCCAAAGGAUGAAGAUGGACGUACCGAUUGGAGAUAGUUUUAGAGAGUAGAGUAACAUAAAACACAGUAACACAGUAACAGAGAAUAGUAACAGAGAAACACAGAUCAGAUCGGAUAGAACACAGGAUCCUGGAUCAGACAUAGCCGGAAUAAGUUCGUUUCCGUCAGAUCCCGAUCCCUGCGAAACCACCGGGGUGACAAACGGACCUUCGAUUCGACGACAUCGCCAAAGGUGCUGAAGGCCUCGUUGAGUGCCUCGUCGGUGGUAGCCCAUGCUAGGCCACCAACGAAGCACCUGAAUUCAACAUCGGCGGAAGCCAUUUAUAGAACUGAAAUUGAGAGUAGCAGAAUGCGGCUGAUGAUUCUUAGUUGAGGAUGAGGAGAAUUGGGCGGAGGGAUUGUGGGGAUUAUAUAGUCGGGGGAUAGGGCUUAACUAGGGUUAGUUGUACGUCUUUCGACGUCGUUUUGGGAUUCCCGGGAGCCGGCUGCAAGUCCAGUUAUUAACAAGGUUACGUAACGUUCGCGUUGGUUAAACCCUGGUUAAGGUUUAGUUAGAGGGCAGGAUAUUUUGUUUGGAACCCGGGUAAAGAAUAAAGAUAUUUUAUGAGAACUAGUUACUUAAUGCUCAAACUUCAUGUAAAUACAAUUCACACUAGUUUCCGAUUAAUCGGAUGGAUAAUACUCGUUAUGUGUAAUGUAAAAAAAAAUAAUGUUUAAACAAACUUAAUAAGAUAUAAAUGUACAUAAUCAAUUGAUAUUUUAAUGAUAUAUCUAACUUCAAUUUGUUAAUCCUAUUAACUACGAGUGAUUAAAUCUUAGUAGUUAUGAGAAUCGGUUUCUAUAAUAAAUUAAGUUGACAUAAAGUAGGGAGAAUCUUAAUAAAUGAACUAACAAUCAAAAUAAAGUAUUAUAACCACAUACAACAGCUUCACUAUCAUAUAGAUCACGAAGGAUUGAAAAGAAAAGCACUAGUUGUAACAUAAUGGCUCGUAUAGACAAUCAAAUAUGGAAUGAGAGUACUUUCAUUGACAUUCUCUUAUCGUAUGAACGAAAAAACUAAAAAAAGAGAUCAUUUUGGUGACUACCUCCGAGUUGAGGACACAAGUUGUUUACUUCUUUGGAUGGCAUGAUGUGUGAGUUAACGUAAUAUGAUAUGCUGAAAAUGUGGGCACAAUAUGAUCGAAUUAGAGUAGCUGAAGGUCGUGUUGUGGGGGAUGAGUGAGUUAUAACUUAAUAUAGCAAAAAUUACAAACUGAAUUGACUUUAUAUAAAAGAUAGGGUAGUUAGACGGUCAAUCUAUUAAAGUUGAUUGAGUGAAAGUAGAAAAGUAUCCGGUCAAGCGGAACUGGACUCUCUUAACCAUGGUUAGGUCUGAGUUGCGGGGUUCGCGGCGGUGGUGGGAAAUAAAUUACUCACUGAUUCAGAGAGGGAGCGGCCAAGUGAGCCCCACUUGCAGUCCCCGCCAAUAUUUGCUGAGUUGUAAAUUGUCAGAGCGGAUAUUUUUAUGUGCUUUUCUCAAAAUAUCUACUCCGCCGAAAGUACAACUUUGCCCCUCCCUCCCUAACCAUUCCACUGGUGCAAUUUCCGUUAAUUACGUUUUAGGUGGAGGUGGUCCCCAGAAGAAUAUUUUAUGAAUAUUAAAUACCAUAAAAAGGAAAAACGAGAUAAAGGAAACUAAUUGUAGUUUAUCACUUUUAUUAGUUUCAUUUGACUCUAUAUCCUAAUUCAAAUCCCUUUAUUAAAUCAGUCAACUUUCACUAACACUCAAUUAUGAAAAGGGAUAUUUUUUACCAUAAUCAAUCUAUUCGUUAUGGAUACUCCACCAACUCAUAAAUAAUUUGUUAUUAAAUGCAUUUAAUUAAAUAAACACACAAACUAAGUAUGAGUUUAAGUUAUGAGAUCAAUUCUCAUACAACUUGCACAAUAUGAAAAAGUUUAAUGUGCCACUUUAUGAGUAGCUUUUUUAACGGCAUGACAGAUCACGUACACCUGCAACCACUAGUACGCUACCAGAAAAAGUAAGAAUCUCUGCCACAAAAGCGCCGCCGGCAACACAACCAGUAUUAUCUCCUGUGAAAAUGCCUUCGCGUCCCUUUUCAAUCCACCUGUCAAACUCCAUGACGGAAGCACCAUCCGUACAUGACACGGACGGUCGGGAGCUUCAAAACAUAAGAGUUAAGGAGCCUUGGAUAUGUCCAGUCAAUUUUCUGUAAAACCGCUCCAUUGACAUUACAAACAAUCAGACACAUCGAAUCAUCGACAGGGUCUGCUGUUGCACUAUCCAAUGCGGGGAAGAAGGGAGGAGGAUUCAAUGGGCCAAAAAAUAAGUCAAAAUCAGAAUUACAUCAAGAUUCUAUAUAAAAUUAGUACGCCUUAGAGAAUAGUUGAACCGAAACGGGCUCUAAUGAGUUCGAACUACUGGCUGGGCCAGCCCAUUUAUUUAUUAUUAAUUAACAGUUUUUCUUUCAUUCUGUCAUUAGCUUUAUUUACGGGCCUGCUUUAUCUUAAAUUUGGGCAUUGUUUUGUAGUGUGGGCUAGGAAGUUUCGGCCUAUUUACGGUUUAUAAAAGUCUGAAUACGAGGCGACUUAAAGCCCAUAAUUGGGCCUCCUGCUCCAGCCUCCAGCUAUAGCUGGCUCAAUUAGAACUUGGAAGUUUUAUGUAACUGAAACCGGGCCCAUAAAAUGCCGAGCCAAUGAUCGAGAGGUCAAACCGUCGAGACCACGAGCAUCUAUAGUAAAAAAUAAUAUGUCUACUGUGGACGCAAAUACAAAAUAGAAUAAUGUGGACACAUUAACCGAUUCCGAAGUCAAAACAAAACACGCACGCAAUAAAAAUGAAACAAACCAUAGACAUCCUCUCUAAACUACAAGGGGCAUCCAAUUUCAACGCUAACUUCGAAAGAAACCGUCACCAAUGUAAAAACUUCUUAGUGCAGGCAGGUACCAAGCAUCAUGCUAAGGUUUCACGGGGACUGAUGCCGAUGCACAUACUGAGGUUUCUUAAAAAUAUAAUGAUAAAUUUUGAGAUUAUCCAAGAUCGUUGUCGGGAUUCAUGUCAAGAAUUCGGCUAAAAAUACUAAUAUUUUGGACAUAAUGAUAUAAAUAAAUUAUAAGGGAAAGGUAUGUAACUCACACGAAUAAUAAUCCAAAUACUUGAAGUAGUUAAGGUUUCAUUGUCCUCGAGAGCUGUUUGUUUAUAGAAGUUAGAACUACAAUAUAAGAAGGCCACACGUAUUGAUAAAGUUGUGUGACUUAAACUUCCAUCAAAAGAUACUACACCCCAAACAUGCUAAUACUUAAAUAAUAAAAAAUAUAUAUGUCGUGCACACAAAAAUUUUCGAGACAAUGACCUAAUUAAGACGAAGUUCAACACAGAAUGAAAUUUUAAAUUCGAUUUCAAGACACUUCCUCUUAAUAUAAUCCGCUACGAAAAGAAUUUAAUUUCCAACCCACUUAUUCCAAUUUUACUCAAAAUAUAUUAAAAAAAAGUCCAAAUGAGUCACUUAGUUAUAAUGAAAUAACCAAUGUAUAACAUUCUAAUUAAUUUAAGUAUCUUAUGAAAAAAAUAAUUUAUUUGCAGAUGUGGGAUAGUGUAACACUAUGCACCAACCAAUGUAAGUACCUCCCCGCACGUUGUUAUAACAUUGCAGCUUGCCAUUGACCCACGAACAACAAUCGUUUUUGGAGUCGGAUAUUUGUUAUUGUUCGUCUAAAUAUGGUAACUUUUGUUCGUGUCGCGAUAUAGAGAGUUCAGUCAUUUGAAAACCAUAGAAAGUGGUAUGGCAUACACUAUAAAGUAGUAAUAACAAGGAGGCAAACACUGAAAUUGAAGUGUCAGCCCAAAGCAAAUGCGUAAAUAUAUGAGAUACAGUGACGAAUUGAGGUCUGGCUUUCGUGAUUGACGAAUAAAAAAACACUUCGUUUAACAUAUAAGAUAUAAAUUAUGGUAUUUCGACACCGUAGUAUAUCAAAUACCUCGCUUGAAUACGGCCGUUGGCUCAAACUCAUUAAUUUGUAUGUUAUGUACGUGGCGAAUCAUGAGGUUUUAUAUGGCUUGCAAGGCAAGUAAUUUUUUGCCACUGUGUGUUAUAAUUGGAGAUGAGUAAACCUAUGACCACUUGCAAUGCUUUACCAAUAAGGCUGAGAUCCGAUUCAAUUCAGUUCCAAUUCAAUCGGAUCAAUAAUAUGGAUAGUGAAUUUACGUUCUUUUUUUUGCUGCAAUAGAUACAUGUUAUUCACACUACUGAUAAAAAGAGUGUCAACACCUUAUCUGGCCAUCAAUAAUUAACAAUGUCCGAUACACUCUAUAUUCGAACAUUGAGGCCAACGAUCAAACACAACCAACACAAAUCCUGAUGAGAUCAGGACUGUACCGAACAGUGUUUCAUCACACUACCAAACAGUUUAAAGAAAGAAAUAAAAGCUUCCAUUCAAAGGCUGUGCAUGGUGGCUAGCUAGCUGCUGACCCAACCAAGUUGAUUUCAUUUCCCCCCAACUUCCCCAACCACUCGCAUUAUUUGUAUUGACCCACCCAAAUUGAAGUUUUCCAUUUUUAGGUUAAUUUGGUUUGGAUGUAUUAUUCGUAUCGAUUCAGCGAUGAACAAUAAGGUCUAGAAAAUCGUAUAAAAAAUGCAGAACAAGGUCAUACUCAGCAUUAGAUACUGAAUGAAAGCCAAAAAACACAUUUCACCAAUACUAACCAGAUAAUUUGCCGUACGAUUUACUUCCCGAUAAGAGUGUUUGAAAAUGAUGUCUAUGAAAGAUUUUAAUUAUCAAAUUAAACGAUUAAGAUAGGAUGCUUCAAAAUGUACAGCUACAUGCCAACUCCACACAAUCACACAAAUUACGAUUAAUUAAUUAUUACACAUAAUCAAGUCCAAAUCAAGGGUUUAAAUUAGAAAUAUAAAAUAAAUAAAUAAAAAGAGUUUCCAUUUUCUUUUUUCUGGUCAUUUAUGAAUCGUGCAAGAGUAGGAGAGUGUUCUCUCGGAGAGAGGAAACGUAAAAUAAAAAAGCUUAGCUGGCACGAGAGAGCGGGACACCCGGGAAAGUCAAAGGUCAAACCACCGCCGUCCUCCGCCGCACAUUUCUUCCCCGGCGGCCGCCCGCAAACCCUCGUCCUUCUUUCUUCUUCCCUCAGUCAUUUGAUCCAUUCAAAUACUUUUCGUCAUCCCACACAUGGGUUCCGUCUCUGUUGUUCAUUUCAACUAAUAAUCACUUCUCAUUGUUCCCUGACUAUUUAAUUCCCCUCCAUCUCCUGUCAACUGAAGAAAACUGGGGUUUCGCGAUACAGAGAGUAGUAGGUAGAGAGAGAGAGGGAAAGGAAAUAUUAUUGGUCGCCAACAAUUUACUUUAAGGUCCCCCCCAACAGGAAAACACUCAGAAGCUGAGGUCUGAUUUGGGCAUAAGGAGUAGAGAAUGGCCUAGAAAGUCGGAGCCUUGUCAAUCUUGGGCUGGCGUUACAUGUGUCAAUGGCACUGUUGCUGAGAUCAACAUUUCGGGGUUUAAAAGGACUAGAUUGGGUUCACUGAACCCAAAAUUUGCAGUGGAGGCACUUGCCAAUUUCACCAAGUUGACUUCUUUCAAUGCUUCCAAGUUCUUGCUCCCUGGCUCAAUCCCUGAUUCCUUUGGUCAAAUGAUGGUGAGUUCUACUUCUCUCCAGAUUCUUGAUCUCAGCUCUUGUGAUAUAACGAAUGCUGUUCCUUCAAGUUUAGGGGAUUUGAGUGGCUUGCGCCAGCUUCAUUUAGGUGGUAACCGGUUAACUGGCAUUAUACCUUCCAGUUUGGGUCAGUUGCUGCAGCUUUCUGUGCUUAAUCUCUCCAGGAAUCUCUUUACUGGCUCCAUACCUCCUAGCUUUGGUAACUUGGUGAAUCUAACAAGUCUUGAUAUGUCGUCCAACUUCUUGGCUGGUUCGAUCCCUCCCAUUGGUGGGAGCGCACGUUCGAGGCUUGUUUACUUGAAUCUUUCGAACAAUAGCUUGUCGUCUUUUCAGUUCGGGAGCCUUGUUGGAUUGGUUGACCUUGAUCUCACUAGCAAUUCGCUAACCGGAUCCUUGCCAGUCGAGUUAAGCGGGAUGAGUAGUCUAAAAAGCUUGCUGCUUGGUAACAACUUGUUUGGUGGACCUUUGCCAUCUGGUUUGUUUGUUGCCAAUCAAACUCAGUUGCACAAUGUGGUUCUGAGCAAUAAUAAUUUCAUCGGUUCUGUACCGGGGGAAUUGCUGUCGAUUCCUGGAUUGCGGUUGUUGGAUAUAUCCAGUAACAACUUUACCGGGAUGCUCUUGGAUCGUAGUAACUCAAAUGUGAAUGCGAGCACUACUGCUGCAGCAGUACUGAACAUUUCUGGAAACCAGUUCUAUGGAGGACUUGGACCUGUGCUGAGAAGGUUCAGUUUCGUUGACCUGUCCGGGAAUUAUUUUCAAGGACCAGUUCCUAACUAUGUGAUUAGCAAUGCAUCUCUCGGUAGAAACUGUCUUCGUAAUGUCACGAAUCAGAAGAGCUUGUUCGACUGUUCGUCGUUUUACUCCAGUCUCGGGUUGACUUUCGAUAAUUUUGGACUCCCGAAUUCGACUCAACCUGGUGUUAGGAAGAAGAGCAAGAGAAACCUUAUCAUAUUGGUAAGUGUUCUUGGAGGGAUCGGACUCAUGCUGCUGAUAUUUUUCAUUGUGGUUUUGGUAUUUUGCUUGCGUAAGAGGGACACUUCGAAUCAAAGAGGGGUAGCUGUCGAACCGGCUCCAACAGGGACAGGGAUGGUUCCACCGCCUCCGGAGGCAUCGAUUAACUUCUCGAUAUUGGGAGAUACGUUCACGUAUCAGCAGCUGCUUCAAGCUACAGGCGAAUUCAACGAUGCAAACCUCAUCAAACGUGGCCACUCCGGAGAUAUCUUCCGAGGGAUAUUGGAGAACGGAACCCUUGUGGUGAUAAAAAGGAUUGAUCUUGGCUCGAUCAAGAAGGAAUCGUAUCUGGUGGAGCUUGAUUUCUUCAGUAAAGUUGCGCAUGCUAAAGUGGUUCCACUUUUAGGACAUUGCUUAGAGAAUGAGAAUGAGAAGUUAUUGGUCUACAAGUACAUGCCGAAUGGGGAUUUGGCGAGUUCGUUGUUCAAGAAAACUAGCUCGGAAGAUGAUACCUUGAAGUCGUUGGAUUGGAUUACGAGGUUGAAAAUCGCCAUUGGUGCUGCAGAAGCUCUUUCUUGCCUGCAUCAUGAAUGUACACCGCCCAUAGUGCACAGGUACUUGAAAAAGUUUAAAGCUUUAUGAUUUCUAUUAUCCAGAAGUUCAAGCAUUUUCCAUUCUUGAUGUAGUAAUCAACAAUCUAUGUAGUCUCCGCUGAAGAUUUAGUUGCUUCUGACUAUUUGGAUUUGCAUACUUCACAAUCUAUAUGUGUAUAUUCCUAUGGGAAGUGUCAUCUUAUCUUACAAAUUGUUCGAAGAGAGAUAUCUAGGAGGAUGGAAGGAUGUGCUUUCUUUCGGAUGUUGUUUUCCUUACAUUACUAUAUGUGUUGUAAUCUUCAAUGUCUAGUCACUGAAAGGAUUAUGCUUUUGUGUAUUGUAGAGAUAUUCAAGCGAGCAGCAUAUUACUCGACGACAAAUUCGAAGUAAGGUUAGGGAGUUUGAGUGAGGUAUGUGCUCAAGAAGGGGAUGCUCAUCAAAGCAGGAUCACCAGGUUACUGCGAUUACCGUAAGUAUCCGAAUGACCCACCGUCUCUUAGGUUACACUAUAGUGCCGUGCCUUUCUGUUGAUUGAAAGAGUUUGUUAACUCUAAUUUACCUUGUUGGACAUUGCAGGUCUUCAGAUCAAGGAACUUCCGGUACGUCCUUGAUCUCAUCUCCCCCUGAAAACUUCUGUUCAUUGCCUUACUGUGUUUUGAAGGUUUCUUUUGUCACAAGCAACCUUUAUAACUGGUUACUGAUUUUUUUUCACCAUUUGUUGGAUUCAUUCAUUCAGCUCAACCGUCAGCUACGUGCACCUACGACGUGUACUGCUUCGGCAAGGUCCUCCUCGAGCUAGUGACAGGAAACAUCGGCAUCAGCGCAGCCAACAACGCCCAACUGAAAGAAUACCUUGACCAGAUCAUACCGCACAUCAGCCUGUACGAGAAGGAACUCGUUGUCAAAAUCGUGGACCCGUCUCUAAUCAUCGACGAAGACCUGCUGGAGGAAGUUUGGGCUAUGGCCAUCGUAGCAAGGUCGUGUCUGAAUCCGAAACCCUCGAGGAGGCCGCUAAUGAGAUAUAUCCUCAAGGCGUUGGAGAAUCCUCUCAAAGUAGUGAGGGAAGAAGCCGUGGAUUCAUCAGCAAGGCUUAGGACAACAUCAUCUCGAGGAUCGUGGAAUGCUGCUGUGUUUAGUAGCUGGCGACAGUCCUCCGAUGUGACAGUGGUCCAGCCCGGGCAACCUGGUGGGGUCGGUUCGAGCAGCCGGCCUGAAGGGGUAGGACGAGGAGGGAGUAGUGGUCUUAAACAGUCAGGGACAUCGAGUGGUGGGGGGCGAAACGGGAGUGGUUCUUCGUCUUCGCAUAGGCGGGGUUCGAGGGAUAUCUUCCCAGAACCGGGUUAUGAGCAAGAUGUAGAGAGACAACUACAACACGAUUAGCAAGAUUGAUUCUUUUGUUAAUAAGACAGCAGCAGAAAGAAGCAGGCUUUCCCAUUUUGAGUGUCUGCUUAGAGUGUGUUCUUGUACAUCUGCAGGAUUUUCAUGGAGAUGAUCAGAGUUUGCAGGGUGAAAUGUGGGGUUAAGGAAUCAUUUUGAUUUGUUAUGUGGGGGAGGCAGAUUGAUGUCGCAUUUGAACAGAAGCUGCCAUUUUUUUCCUGAAAUCUUUUUUCUUGUAAUUGAGGGUUCUAUUCUUCUUGCUCUUUUUGAGCAGUGUAAAGGUGUAAACUUUUUUGAGGGGAUUCUGGUGAUAUUGAAAUGGGGCUGCAACCUUCCAGAAAAAUCAUCCUGAAUCUCCAAGCGAGGGAUUUCGUUCCAAAUAUCUCUAAUCCAUCAAAAUCUUUCGUCGGAACGAUCUCAUUGAUCCUAUUUUGCGACUCCCUGACACUGUCAUUAUCAUUCAAUUUCGAGCUUUGUAAUCACAUGAAUGGAGAGUUAUGGCAUGACCAAUUAGCACGAGGCAAGAGUCACUGCAUAGAUUAUUUAGCCGUAGGCCAUGAAUUUAGACAUUGACUGUCAUUUCAGUUGUUCUCAAGUGAAAAGUUGGUUAGUUGAAUUGACCAUUUCAAAGGUUCUGUAAAGUCAGAUAGUUGAGAUUCUUUUUUUGACUAUUUACAUGAUUGAAUCCUAGAAUGAGAAGAGGACAUUAAGAGAAAUGACAAAAAUCUGGUUUCAAUUUGUGGAUAAUAAGAGAAGUUGGUAGGAAAAUAAUUGAUAAAAAAAAUAAGGUCCCACCGAGAUUUGAACUCGGGUUACUGGAUUCAGAGUCCAAUGUCCUAACCACUAGACCAUGGGACCUACCUGCUCUUGGUCGGCACCAAUUACUUAUAUAACAUGACAGUAUUAUUUUCAAUGACUUGAUGCAAUGGAGCCAUCCUAACAAAACCACAAGGUGACAUCAAUUCACCAACAAUAUGAUCUAACUAUCUUAAGGUAACAUCAAGUCAAGUGCAUCAAGCUCGACGGGCUCCUGACUUGACCUAAUUCCGAUUAGAUACCUGAGUAGGUGCUCCAAGAGAGAACUGAAGUAUUAACUCAGUUACAUGACUUGUAAAUAGGUUCAGCAAUAUAAUUUAUAAUUCUCCUACCCAAUACGGUAAAUGAAUGGUUUUGUCAAGAAUUGUUAGUGGGAGAAGAGCUCGAAUAAAUUCAUCCUCCACGGGAGCUUUAACGUUCCUGCUCGAGCUUGCCUAAAACUUAACAAAACCAUACUUGUGAGGCAAGGUAAGCUCGACUUGACUCAACUCAUCUCAUCUACAGUCUUGUCGGAGGGUACACAACCAUGACUCCAAGAAAACAAAGACACAUAGAAACCACAUUAAGAAUUCUCAACGUUGUACUUAACGAGCCGAGCUUGAGCCGGGAUAAUAUUGUGUCCAAUUCUUCGCAUAAUAGUUGGAAAUUCAGAAAACUGAAUCAUAAGGUAUACAUGCAUUUGCACUUCCAUCAAUCAGAAGACAAAAACAGGGAAAACUACAUGCCACAAAGACCUAUAAACACAGAUCCCUUUAUUCUCAAAUGUAGCAACUUCAAGCAAUUCAACUGCGCAGAUGGGAACAUUAUUCUUUCAGCGAUACAGACUCUCCGACCGGAGGUUCUCCGCAAUCUCAGUCUCCCAGCGGUCGCCAUUCUCGAGUAGCUUCUCCUUGUCGUACAAGAGCUCCUGCGACAAAUGUUUGCAAUGUAAGAGGCAUUGCCGAAUACAACAGUCUUACAACUAUGGUUUUGCAGCAACGAUACUGACCUCGUGGGUUUCGGUGGCAAAUUCAAAGUUGGGUCCUUCAACGAUGGCGUCUACAGGGCAUGCCUCUUGGCAAAACCCGCAGUAGAUGCAUUUCGUCAUGUCAAUGUCGUACCUGGCAGACAAAAGUUUCAAGAUGAAGGAUGGGGGAAUCUAGUGAUAAGAGGAGAGAUUAGAGCAAGUUCUUACCUAGUAGUCCUACGGCUUCCAUCUUCUCGUUCCUCAGCCUCGAUUGUGAUCGCUUGGGCAGGGCAUAUCUGCAAACAGUAGGGGAUAACGAAUGUGGAAAGUCGAGAGAUGAAGAUGAAAACUAAGAAUGUGGAAACAAUCAAGAAACUAAAAUCUCCAAGCUACAGUAAGCCGCAUGCUUAAAUGUUCAUGUCUAGCUUAGUUACUUUCGAGUUCUACAAGCUUCUAAUCAGAUAACUGCAUAAAGAAUGCAUCCACUCAGACCUUAUAUAAGAUUUUAUCCAACAUUUACACAGCUGGAAAAGGCUAAGAAUUUGCAGAGAUAGUACGAAUUCUAGACGAAGGCUAUAAAAGAGCAGUGGCACAAGCAGAAGGAGAACUGUGACUUACAGCUUCACAAAGUUUGCAGGCAAUGCAACGUUCCUCUCCAGUAGGGUAUCGACGGAGAGCAUGCUCCCCACGGAAUCGAGGGCUCAAAGGACCCUUCUCAAAUGGAUAGUUGAUCUACGCAAUCAAGGAAUUGACAUUGUAUAUCACGUCACAACACUAACAGGGUAAGCCAAAGACGUCAUGAGAGUUCCAGAAGAUGCUUACAGUAACUUUUGGUUCGAAGAAGUACUUCAGUGUCAACAUCAAACCACGGACCAUUUCAGUAAGGAAGAGCGUGUUUAUGCUUCUCUCGAAAACUGUAUUGAGUUUAAUGCUCUAUUAUGUGCUUUACAUGUAAACUGACAAUUGAAAUACGGUAAAACAGGCUUCGAGUGAAAAAAAUCAUCUUACCGGCAUUCCAGUCCUUCGAAAUUUCCUUUCCAAGCUGCUCUCUCUCCACAUCCUCUACAGUUAGAACGAAAACAUGAGACAAGCAGAAACAAAAAACGGAAAACUUGGGACACCAAAUCAUCAACAUUGGAGUAGGUAAUUGAACUUUGAAAUAUCAUACUUCCCUAUGAUUACUAAGGUUUGGAUACAUAGGACACGUGCUGUAAACCAAACAUUGUGUUUAUUAUGCAAUACAUAUCCAAGUUGGUUAGAUCUUUACUCAGAAACCAUGAUGAAGCUCGGAGAUCAUGAGAAACCGUCGCAAGUGUCUACCCAUAAAUUGAUUUUUGAGUCAUGGAUACUAAACUUUUCAAUAGAAUCAACACAAACAAUCAGUUUAUAAAUGAACAAGAAUUCAUGGUUGAAUAUAGAUAGGCAGGAUCACCUCUGUCUGUUGAAAAUAAUGCACUUGAUCGGGUGGCAUACAGAGGUGAGGCCCUCAAAGCUGGACCAGAUAGAGCCUGAAAGCAAGAAAUGUAGAAGCUGUUACACCAUGUAACAUCAAACGACCAAUAGAAGCUCACAAUCCUAACAAAGUUCAAGCAUCCAUGGCAACACGAGGACAUGACAGUGAAGGCAAUAGAAAAGCUGAUGAAAAUACUAUAUGAUAACUAAUAGACCAAUGACGGUAUUAACCCACAGUUUGAUUAGUUAACAAAGAAGAUAAUGAUAAGCACUAUAUUUCAGCUUGUGUAACACCUACUGGUACUUCAUACUUCCCAUACAAUGAUAUUCAUAUUCAAGACUUAAGUUUGAUUACUUUUAUCACUUUCCGUAACAUAAACAACCUGCAGGAAGGCGCAUAUAAUCAAUCAUCUAAACAAUUGGAUUAAGCAAGUCUGUAUCGUCCAGGUCGCUAAGACUUGCUCAUACCACCCAAACUCUAAACUUGACAUUGUUAGUCUGGAAAACCAAGUGGCCAUCAGCUGAUGAGUAAUUAGCCAGUAAACCAGUCUUUUGAGGGCCUCAGAAACCUUUAUCGGCUAGAAUCAAAUUUCCUAAAAAAUGACGAAUUCAGACACAACAACAGCAGAUGCAUCACACUACGUUCAGCUGAACCAUUACAAACGACACAUAAAUUGAAAAUCGGCAUUUUAACCACAUGAAACUGAUACAUAACCCCAGGCUAUGUUAUUCAUCCUAUCAGUAUACCAGAUCACACAUGUAGCAAACAAAUUCACUAAAUUGACAAAUAGGAAUCCGAGUUCCCAUUUCCUUACAAACAGCUUCCAACGAAAUAGGAACGGAACAUUGGUUUUAUACACAUAGAACCAUCAUCGAUACAACGCAGAGAAACUAAACCCUAAGAAGGAGAUAAACUAAAAAUGAAAAAAAAAUCAUCGCCAGAUGGAAGGUAGAAGAGCAAUUAGAAGAAGAGAUUUGAGUUUCCCCUCACCAGCUGCCGAGCACGGAGUGCUGAGAGAGACUUGCGAGCCAACAUGGAUGCCAUUUCUGUACCGAUUAGGCGAUCCUUAGUGUCUAAUCUUCUUCUUCUUGUUCUACCUUCGCCUCAGAAACUCUCUGAUUCGCAAGUAUAGAAGAAGAAACUGUGACCAACCAGGUUUGGGUAUGGGUUUAUUCGCUCCAAUCGGGUUUCUGGUUCGAGAACCGACCGAGUUGUGCUGAACCGAGAUUUCAGAGAGAUUGGACCGACUUAUUUUUAAACGGUGGGCUUUAUGGUGGCCCGCCUAGAUCCGGCCCAGUUAACCAAACAAAUAAUGCUCGGUGCCAUUCAAAUUUCAAAUAGUCCAAUCAAACUUGGUUCGAAUUCAACUGUAGAGAUGAGCUCAAAAUCCGAACGGGAUCCAUACUCCGACAGUUGUAUGUAAUUCAGGCGGGUCGCUCCGGGAGCUGCACAAGUCCUCGACCACUUCCGACAGCUGAUACACGUCCAAAACGCCGCUCUGAUUUCUUACGUCUUUAUAGCCUUCCAUCGAGUCAAACUGUCUUCUUGUUGUCUGUCUUUAGUAGCCUUCGUGUCGUGAGUAUCCUCUAGGAGCAAAGAUCUCUCUGUAAACGAUCUUGAGGAAAGCUAGGGUGUGAAGUUGGGUGCUACGAGUUAAACAACCUUUUUCGUUAUUAUCCGCUCGUGGCAGUCAUUUUAUCGAGAACCCCUCAUGCGUCUGUGUUCUCUUAAAUUCAUCAGUAAAAAUAUCGUACGAAUGUAAUAACAUAUAAAAAAACAUUUUUAAGUACUAAUUUAUACGUGUUCUUUGUCUUGCAAUGCAAACAAAUGACAGAUUCAUGUAUCAGCUUCUCAUACCAUUAUCCGUUUCGGCCUUAGAUCUAGAACUCAAUUGAUACGUAAGAUUUGUGUAUUAAGUGAUCACUAGACAAACACUCUAACCUAGGUCCCAACACCCAACCAACUUGUUACAAUAAUAAAUCAAACAUUCAAUUUCAUAUCUACCCCUUCAUCCAAAAAAAGCAUAUCCACCCAAUUCCUCGCACAAACCAAAAUUUCAAAGCCUUAUCUCUUUCCGCCGACACGCAUCGACGACAGUCUCUGUUUCCCACUACCCCUGCCUCAUGGACUCACCGGCGGAGAGAUUGUCAACGGCAGGGAAGCCGAUCCGAUGCAAAGGUAUAACAAGUCAUGACUCAUGAUCAUCACUUCUGCUUACAAAUUUAACAUAUAGUUGUAAUAACAUUGUCCAUUUUUAAUCUGGGUUUUACUUGUGUACGUAGCUGCGGUUUGCCGGAAAGCAGGGGAGCCCUUGGCGAUAGAGGAAGUAACGGUGGAUCCGCCGCGGGUCCGGGAAGCUCGGAUCCGGGUCAUCUGUACGUCCGUUUGUAACACGGAUGUUUGUUUCUGGAGGAUGAAGGAUUCCCCUGGUGGCAAUUUCCCCAUAAUCCUUGGUCACGAAGGAUUUGGGUAAAUCACAGUCGAACUAGUCAAAGCCUCUUCUUUUUUCCUGAUUACAUUCGGAUUUCUUACCCAUGCCUCGACGAUCUCGAUUUACGCAGGGUAGUGGAGAGCGUGGGAGAGGGCGUGGAAGAACUGAAGCAAGGGGACAGAGUGAUCCCGAUAUUCCUUCCGGACUGCGGAGACCAAUGCGCGGAUUGUAGAUCGAGCAAGAGUAACUUGUGCUCCAAGUUACCGUUCAAGAUUUCGCCGUGGAUGCCGAGAGAUGACACGAGCAGAUUCAGAGACCUUGAGGGGAAUGUGAUCCAUCAUUUCCUCUCUGUGUCGAGCUUCAGUGAGUAUACUGUCGUCGAUGUUGCCCAUCUCACCAAGGUUGUUGAUUCGUCUCUUGCGGUGGCCAACAGAGCUUGCCUCCUCACCUGCGGCAUCUCUGCAGGUAAAGACAGCAACAAUAUCGACUACUAUGUUGUGUCGAUAUGCAGUACAAUGAUAAGAAAAUGAAAUAUAAUCAAAUUACCGGACUAUAAUCUUAAUCAUCUACUAAAAUAGACAAAAUGGACCAUCCGCAAUAUUUGAAUUUGAUCAGGUUCUCAUAAGUAUUCAUUUCAUCGGACUCCAUAAUAUAAAUAUUUUUACGAAAUAUAACUCAUUUGAUCCUCCUUUUGUGUUGUAAUUAGGUAUUGGAGCAACUUGGAGAGCUGCAGAAGUGGAUGAAGGAUCCACGGUUGCAAUCUUUGGCUUGGGCACAAUUGGAAUGGCUGUAAAAUUAUACUUCCACUCCUCUAAUUUAUUUGAAGCACAAUUUUUCCCUACAAUAAACUAAUUUUCCUGUAAACAUAGAAAGAAAUUACGUUUGCUUUGACACACUAGGUUGCUGAAGGAGCAAGACUCCGAGGAGCUGCCCGAAUCAUCGGGGUCGAUACGAACCCAGAAAGGUUCGAAAUCGGUGAGAUGAAUCCCAACUCCAAACAUCCAAGUACACAUUUAGUGUGUAGUCUUGCCUCAUUAUAUAUUGUUAUUCUUCAGGGAAGAAGUUCGGGUUAACGGAGUUUGUCAACCCUGCCAGCUACGUAAACAAGCCGUUAAGUCAAGUGAUAAAGGAGAUGACCGACGGAGGAGGAGCGGAUUACUGUUUCGAAUGUGCCGGGUCUCCGAUUUUAAUGGAGCAAGCCUAUGCUUCCGCUCGCAAGGUAAAAAAAUAUUGAAUUCGACUUAUCGUCCCUCUAUCUCAUCGUGGAUCGUUAUACGAAAACAUUGUUUCGAGUUGUUUAGGGUUGGGGGAAGACGGUUGUGUUGGGAGUUGGCGGGGAAGGUUCAGAAGUGAAACUAAAGUGCAUGGAAGUUCUUCAAACGGGGAAGACACUCACCGGGGCGCUAUUCGGUGGGUUGAAGCCCAAAUCCGACAUUCAAGUGCUGCUCAAACGUUACAUGGAUAAGGUAUUGACCAAAAUUCCUACUUCAUUUCGUUACUUCAAUGAUAUAUCAUACGUAACGGUUUUCGAAUUUACUCCGAUGUACUAUUGCGGUGAUCAGGAGUUAAAGCUAGACAAGUUUGUGAUGGAGGAAAUGGAGCUCAACGACAUCAACAAGGCCUUUGAUCUACUUCUCCAAGGGAACUGUUUACGUUGUGUGAUUUGGUUAUACAAAGGAGAAUAGGAAGAUCAUCGGCCUACCGGUGUUAAUUGUUUCAUAUUCUUUUUACUUCUCAAGAAGACAUAAUUUAUUAGACUAUUUCGAUCAGUUUUACGAAUGGUCAAGGGUAUUUUAAUAACCGUCUUUCUCGGCUAGUUUUGUCGAUAUGGAUUGUAAUCAGCCUCCUCAUAUAUUAACUGGACAAUCUAUUCUGCUUGAGUCACCUUAUGUUGGGGAGGCGCUUUUGGCAUGUUUGCUACAAAUUUUAAACGAUAUUUGUUUCGAGUUGCAUAAUGAAUGAAUAACCUUUGUUUCAAAAAUAAAUAAAAAAUUAUAUAUAUAUAUAAACAUAAGGAAAAUAUUCUGGUGCAUUAGUGUACACNNNNNNNNNNNNNNNNNNNNNNNNNNNNNNNNNNNNNNNNNNNNNNNNNNNNNNNNNNNNNNNNNNNNNNNNNNNNNNNNNNGGUUUUAUAAUCAAAUGUUUGAGGGUUAGAAUUUAACAUUUAAGGGUUUAACAUUAUCUUUUAAGAUUUAGGUUGCAUGUGAGAUGUUUAAAAUUUAUUAUUUCAAUUUUAAAUUAUUAAAAUAAAUAUUUUUAAUAUUAAAUAUAUCGUCUAUACUAAUGCACCGGAAUUUCCACUCUAAACAUAAUCAAUUUAUAAAUAUUUGCCACAUUGAAAUAGCCGUAGUGUGGAGUUGCCAAUUGCCAGACCCAUCCAAUUCCGUAAAGCCCAGUGAUCAAUGAAAUUUCAAAGCUUGGUUGAUCAAGCCCAAGCCCAAUUCCCGACGGCGCUGAAUCGGAAUUGCCUUUCUUUCCCAUCCUCUAAAAUCGUCGAACCCUUCUGCGACGCCGCGACGGCCUAAAGCUUCUUCAGUGUUCAGUCCCUCCCGUAAUCUGUCCACCGCAAAUCACCAGGUAUAUAUUGGAACUUCAGAUCAAUCUGGUUUUAAUCCUCACCAGGAUGAAUCGCAGAUCGUUUAGCAAGUUCAUGUGAUCAAUUGCUUGUUCUUGAAUGUCAACAUACACGAAAUAGUGGUGAGGUUGUUUGAUUUCUCAAGAACAAUCAAAGUCAAAGUCUUCUCUACUGUAAUUGCAUUGUUCUUCAUGAUGAAUGGUGCAUAAUUGCUAUAAAGAAAAAAAAAACCCAGUUGCGUUGUUCUUCAUGAUGGUUGCUGCAGUAUUAUUACUUCGGAAUUCAGAUCAAUCUAGUUCUCAAAACCUCAUUAGGAUGAACCGCAGAUUUUUUAGCAAGCUCCUGUGAAUUGCUUGUUCUUGAAGGUCGAGAUAGACGAAAUGCUGACGAUGUUCUUUGAUUUGUCAAGAACCAGGUCUCUGUCUUCUUAACUGCAUUGUUUCUUCAUGAUCUGCAUUAUUAUUAGUUAUAAGAAAAACCAGUUGCGUUGUCCUUAAUUGCAUUGUUUUUCAUGAUGAAUGCUGCACUGUUAUUAGUUUAUUUCAGAUCAAUCUAGUUUAGACCUCAUUAGGAUGAACCGUGGAUUGUCCGUCUUCUUAAUUGCAUUGUUCUUCACGACGAAUUGCUGCAUUGUUCUUCUGACGAUCCGAUUGGAUCUUGGAUAAGCAGAUUGGUUUGAAGAAUGAAGAAAGGAGCACACCCACAAAUGCAAUGGAUAUCCUAUGUGACCCAGAGCGGCAGAUUGAUGAAUGUUAUGAUGACAAAGAUACACAACACUGGUAAAGUCUACCACUUCAGAGCAAAGCGGCAAAUGGCUGAAAGUCUUGGCCAAAUUGCUAAGUUCAAGCGUCGCUACGGUGGUCAGGACGAGAACCAGGAAGAAGCUGAAAAAAAGUAAGUCGAGCCUGAGGGAGGAGAAGAAGCGCUCCAGCUCCAUAGGCUAGCUCUUGGACAUCAUCAGAUUCUUUAGAGUUAAAAGACUUUGAGGCUCGUUCGUCGGACUAUUUUGACGAGUUUGUCUUCUUCAUUGUGUGAUUAGGUUGCACCAAAGAGAACAAGGGAGAUCAAUUGAGCCUUAUGUGUUCGUGAUUUUGUACUCUUUUCACUUGUUUGAGAAGCAAUAAUCAUCGGACUAUUUCGAUGAGUUUUGUCUUACUAUUCCUUAUUUCAAAUGACUCUGACGAUAUGAAAUCUAGCCUAGUUGGUGUCGAAACUUCGAAGAAGAGCUUUAAGUACAAAUCUUGGUGAAGUAGCUCAAUUGAUAAAGUUGUAUACUGGCAACCCGAAUGUAUUAGUUCGAGCAAAUGGACAAUCAAGUAAAAAUGGUAAUUUCACACUAGUUUGCAUUAAUCCCGCGCCAAAACGGCUCCGUUUGCUAAAUGGCUAGUCGUAGGUUUUAAGCCGCAUUGCCUAUCUUUUGAGUUGUGAUUCCCCCUGUCGACUGUAGAGUCUCUGUACAACAAAAAAAGAAACGAUGGCUUCGUUUUGCAGGUCAGCUCUAAUGGCGACCUCAAGGCUUCUAACCGGUCGAACCAAAACCCUGACUCAGAGUUCCUUCUUCUCCUCCUCUUCCUCCCUUGCCUUCACUUUACCUCCUACAUUUUGUAGAACAGGAUUGAAUGCAUCAAUGUGUCGUUUGUGUUGUAAGAAAAGUUAGGUGCUUUGUUCCCGAGUUGAAUUUUCUGCUUGUUGGUCGUUUUCUUACCAAUGUUCGUGAGAUUGUAUCAAAGAUCAACCCGUUGAUGAUAUAGAUUCAAGGUUUAGUGAUGAACCCAGAAAAGAACUGUUUUGUGAUCACACCAAACAGUUGUUCAUCGUAUCGAUUGCCAAGGCCUUGCUGUGUACUUGACUCGUGCUGUUUAGUUUAUUUCUCAAUGGUAUCAUUCAAAUGAAGGCAAUCUCUAAUUCACUUCUUUCCUUGCUUUGGUCCAGGCCUCGCGACGCCAUUGUGACAGCACGUUUCGUUCGUGUGGGGGGUAAUGAACUGCAAAUGGAAGACCCGCAUUUUCCGAUUUCGCUUGGUUCACUUCUUAGUACUACUGUCUUGAACUUGUUUCCCUUAGCUGAUCAUUGCUGGGGGUUCAACUGAUUCUUACUGCUGAUAACAUCAACUGUCAAUCGAUGGUUUUGGAGGAUGGUCUUUCGAAAUGCAGUUCCGUAACUUUUGAGGUUUCUUUUCCACGCAUAGCUUCUGAAACUAACUGCUAGAGGCGCAAUGAUGAUUGUAUAUACUCUAUUGACAUGGAACCUUCACUCCUGAAAUUCUAUUACCAUACUAAAUUCAUGUCAUAAAACCUUCAAUACUGGGGUCAUAAGUACUUCAGCAUUACAAGAUCCUGAAAUGCGAACUUGUAAACACAACUAACACAAGGGAGAUUGCGGGAAAAGACCGAAUUUACAAAUCAUAGUCGAGGAUUAUACGACGAUCGCCAUGAGACUGUAAGAGACACGUCUUCUAGGUUUAUGUACAUACUUAGAUUCAGGAGUCUAUAUAUUUACAGACUACCAAACUGCCACGUUCUCAAAAGUUUAUUCGUAGACAAGUCGGAUAUUUCGAUGUUCUUCACAAAAGCAUUCCACGAGUUCAGGACGACUACCACAAUAAACCAGCUAAUGUUCACCGAUCUGGUGACGAGGCUGAUCUUCAGGUGGAGGGCGAGUUGCGCGGCGGAACCAAGUGUUGAAAGCGGAGAUCAAGUGGGGGCAAUCAUCAACGUUACGGGUCGACAAGCUAAGGCACUGCUGAAGCAGUUCCUGUGAAUCUGACAUUGGAAGGGUUGAGAUGAUUCUUACGAAUGUCUCCUCGAGCUCCAGAUACAGUGCUUUGUGCCCAGGCGACAUUGGGGAGACCUUGUCUUUGCAUAUUAUCAGAACUGGAAGCCAGUCGCUUACCAGCUUCAUCCUCACCUGCAACACAACAUCAAGCAGAUCUUCAUCAAUGGUUCUGUAUCAUCACAAGCUUUACAGUUUCUCAAUCAGAAGAGGAGACAAUGCUCGAGAUAAAAACAGUACAUUAUGAACGGGACAUCCAGUAUCGUACCUGUCUAGCAGCAAGAAUGGUUCCCGUAGCAACAGCAUAGGCAAGCUUGUAAGUGCAGCGGAUCAUAAUAGCAGGAAGCCCAGGAACAAUAUUCCUCCAAACAUCAUCCCUAAAAGCCCUCUGCAAAUCAGCUGUAAAGGCAGACUGCUCACUCCAUUCCUUAACAGCAUUAUCCGCCACUCUCAACUCGAUCAUCCUCUCCACCAGCCACAGCAGCUGCUUCCCAAUGGUCAUGGCCGUGUGCAGAUUCAACCGCUGUAUGGCCUCUAUCUCGUUGUGGUCUCCUCUGACAUCAGGGCUCGAGUACUUCUCCAACGACUCCUUCACAACCUUCAAGCUCGUCUGGAAUGCCUUCUCCAAUACUGUCCUAGCAGCGUUCCUCGACGAGAAAUCCCGUAACAGCUUCGCUACGAACGCCUUCACGUACGCCAUGUUUGGCUGGUUGUUAGUUGCCGCGGCGGAGAUCAAACCUUGAAGCAUUUCCUCGCAGGAGUCCUCUUUCGCCGGGGAAAGUCUGGCUAGAAGAUUUUUCGAUUCGUCCUCGCUUAGGAACGGAACCAGCUGCAGUACUCGCAUUUCUUCCUCUUCGUUCCACGGCACCGCUUCAAGGAAGCUCACGCAGUUGGAGACGCAAUCCUCGAACAAUAACUCCAACGCCACUGGUAAUAGAUCAAGUGCGGCCGAGACCGAUGUAAUCACCGACGGGAAAUCGUUCGUGUAUAGAAGUUCCAGCACAGCUAACCUGAGAUCGAUCGAGCCAGGUCUUGGAGGAACACCCAGCUUCAGGUGCUUCGGCCUAACAUCGGCAACGGAAUCGACACCUUCCUGAUGCGAUCCCUUCUCAGCGUCAUCGUUCCGCUGCCAACGAUCGGAUAAUAGGGCCGAGAAAUACUUCGCGCGUCGGAGGACAUCGGAAUGGAGAUAGAUCUGGACGUCCGACCUCUCGUCCAUAAUACAAGAAGAGCCGGAACUAGAAGCGUCGUCGCCGAUGGAGAGGGCUGUGGGGUCGACGUAGAGGAGGAGCAGCACAUCUGCGGUGGAGGAAUCAUUAAACGAGAUGACGGAGUUGGAUGAAGAAGAACAAGAAGAAGGCGAUAGGAGGUGAGGAUGAGAGGACGUUCGACGGAUCUUCUGAGACGUUUCGCUGAUUGUCCUGUCCGAAAGGGAUUCGAUGAGAGCGGAGGUGGAAGAGACGCGAGCGGCGGCGAAUUGGCGGUGGUGAUUGGGCGUGCGCUGCCGUUUCUUAGGGUUAAUCGGGAACAUUUUCUUUCGCCGGAGAAGGUUCUGGAUUUGGUGGAGGCGACGGAGAACGACGAUUAGGCUUUUUACGAAGUGGUUUUUUAGAAAGGGGGUUCAGGACACGUGGCGGAUAAUCAUUGAUUUUUUAAUUAUUUAUAAUAUUUCUCUCAAAUAUUAAUUAAUUUAAAUUUUUUUAAUUUUGAUAUUAAAAUAUAAUUAUGAAAAUUUUAAAAUACUAAUUAGUAUUGUCACGUCAUCCACCACGAUGACAAAUAGUUUUUUAGUAUGAUAAUUAUGCUUUGUUUAAUUUUAUUUCUUACAAUAAUUUUUAGUAGACAAGAUUUACCCGAAUAAGCAUCUUUUUCUUUCAUCUCCAGGCAACUUUUAUUUUUUACAAUAAUUUUCAAUAGGCAAGAUUUAUCCGAAUAAACAUUUUUCUCUUUUAUUUCCGAGCAAUUCAUCUUUUUGCUUAAUCUGAUACCUAAUAUAAUAAAGUAACUUUAUAUUAAGAUUAAAAUAACAAUGAACUCAAUCGAAUUUUCGUUCCGCAUGUUUGGUAGGAAAUUGAAAAUGUUUGGAGGUGGAUCUAUUCUAAUUCUAAUACACAUGAGAUUAUUAAAGACGAUAUUGAAAAUUGAAUUUGGCUUCCAAAGCGCUCCCAUGCCUGCCUUGAAUGAAUGGCAUCAGAAAUAAUAAUGCAGCAUCACGCCCUGCGAAAUCAACUAACAAAAUCACAGUCUUGUUGAAUUACGGGUGAGUUUAUUUUGAAAUUUGAGUCUGUUGUUCAAUAUCUUAUUCUCAACUGUACCUACUAUUCCAUCGAGUUUUACCAAAUUCGCCAGACUUUCAAUAGCAGAUCCUGCAAAGAACAACGAGAAAAGAAACAAACCACCAUGAUUAUUCAUUCAGUUGCGUAUACCCAAAGGAAGCGAGGAGCUGACAAAAUAAAUAUUCCAAAGCAUCCAUGGAUUUACUUUCUACACUGAUAAAAACUAUAAAUUUAUAACUUGACUUUUUAAAUUUCACCACUCCUCAGUCCCUCUACUCAGCCACCAGAACUCCAUCAAACAAUGCCGGCCGCCGGAGCAAACGCCGGCAGUAAGCUGAAUUCUUCCUCGCCAAUGAUUCUAAACCUCAAGCUCUACGUCCUCAUCGGCAUCUUCUCCGCCUCCCUCAUCUUGCUCUGCCUCGCACUCUUCCUCUGCUUCCGGCUGAACCACCUGUCCCGGCGGCGCGUGAAGCACAGCUCCGGAUCCAUCCCUUUAGUACUCUCCGAGAUCAGCACAAACAGUACCACGAACAAGUCAUCCAUCGAUGUCGAAGCUGCAAACGGCGACGUGGGUAAGCUCGCCUGUACCGAAUCCCCCGUGAAGAAUCAGGAUGAGGUUAAAGUUCCCACCGGCGGAAAUGAGCUGACGGCGGUGGAGGGAUGGGGGAGGUGGUACGGGUUAAAGGAGCUGGAGACAGCGACAAAGGGGUUUGCGGCGGAGAACGUUGUCGGAGAAGGCGGAUAUGGCAUCGUUUACAGGGGAGUGUUGGCCGACGGCUCUGUUGUCGCCGUCAAGAAUCUCCUCAACAACAAGUGAGUUCCCUUUUUGGUGUACUUACUCUGAAAAAUGUCGGUGACAGCAAAUACCUUAUUCCCCCUUUUACCCUUUUGUUGCUUUCAUUCAUUAAUGGUGGAUCUGGGAUUUUGGUAAUUUUGCAGAGGACAGGCAGAGAAGGAGUUCGAGGUUGAAGUAGAAGCCAUUGGCAAAGUACGGCACAAGAACUUGGUUGGCCUGAUUGGCUACUGUGUUAGUGGCCCUAGCAGGUAUAUGAUCCAACUUUCUUAAUGUCUGAAAAAUCAUUGAGCUUCUUUAAUUUUCUCUGGUUUCAGGACGCUGGUCUACGAAUACGUCGACAAUGGCAACUUGGAGCAGUGGCUACACGGAGUUGAUGGACCCAUUAGCCCCUUAACAUGGGACAUCCGGAUGAAGAUCGCCAUUGGCACUGCCAAAGCGUACUGUGCAGAGAGCUGGCUUUAGUUGCUUCUACUGCUCAUUAAUUCCAUCAGUUUCUGCUGUAUAUAAUGUGUUGUGUAUAACUCUGUGUCCACAGGCUAGCUUAUCUACACGAAGGGCUAGAGCCAAAGGUGGUGCACCGUGACGUAAAGUCGAGCAACAUCCUCCUUGACCGGAAGUGGAAUGCGAAAGUCUCCGAUUUUGGACUGGCCAAGCUUUUGCGAGGCGAAUCGAGCUACGUGACUACUCGAGUCAUGGGAACAUUCGGGUUCGUAAAACUUUGUACACCUUUCUAUAAACAGUUUCAAAAUGACUUGUCGCUUUAACAUUCUAGGUCGUCUGCUUAGGCUACAACUCGGAUUGAGAGUUGAGACUAGACUAAGUGAACGACAUUUUUGGAAGUUAUCAUGAUACACUUGAAACAAAUUCACGAGGGUUGAUGUGACAAUGAGGUGUCACAUGACUUUGCUGAGUUAAUGUGAUCAAUGUAUGUCCUACUCAUUGUAGAUACGUGUCCCCCGAUUACGCAAGCACGGGAAUGCUCAACGAGGGGAGCGAUGUGUACAGUUUCGGAGUUCUCCUUAUCGAGAUCAUCACGGGGAGGAGCCCUAUCGAUUACUCCAAACCAGCUAGCGAGAUGAACUUGGUGGAUUGGUUCAAGGGAAUGGUGGCUAGGCGUCGCGGAGAAGAGCUAGUCGACCCGUCAAUCGAAGUUCAGCCAUCCCCAAGAGCUCUGAAAAGAGCCUUGCUGGUUUGUCUUAGGUGUAUAGAUUUGGAUUCCUGCAAAAGGCCAAAGAUGGGGCAGAUUGUUCAUAUGCUUGAAAGCUAGAUUACCUUCCGUUUUCUUCUUACUUGGAUUCCAAGUUACUGCAGUGGAGUUUAGUCUCAUUAGUCAUUUCAGGGCUAUGUCAUGAUCUUGUUUACAAAUCAUUUCGUACAAAAUUAUAAAUUCUUAACAUAUUAACCGACCGAAUAAAUUUUAAAUUAACCGUUAAUUAUAAUUAAAUGUCCACACAUAUAUCUUAGGUUAGAUGAAAUCCUAGUUAAUUUUAAUUGUCUUUAAAAAGUCCACACAGGCAGGAACAGACACGUGGCGAGACCACAUUCACCAAUCCAACCCAAAAAAGGAGGAAAAUAAGCCCGCCAAAAAAAGUACAUAAUUACAUCUCAAUCCACCAUAUUCGCUCCUUUUUUCUUCUAUCAUUUCUUCCCCCAAAUUGAAACCAGAAGAGAAAUGAAACAAUUUCCAAUUGCGCAUUCAUAAAUCUUCCACUCGAUUAUCUCACGAGUUUGCAAGACAUCGAUCGGAGUGAUUGAUUCGACUGCGAUGGAGGAGAAGCUGAUCGCUCGGCUGGAAUCGGCCGUGUCGCGGUUGGAAUCGCUGUCUUCUUCUCCCGUCUUCACAUCCCGGGAUAUCGGCGGUGGAGAUUUCGUUUCCUCGUCUUCCGAUCCGUCGAUUCUGGCUUUUGACGAUCUGAUCCGCGAGUCAUUCGGUAGGGUUUCGGCCGCUGCGGAGAAGAUCGGGGGACAGGUCCUGGAGGUUACCAAGGUUAUCGGUCAGGCUCUUGAUAUCGAGAAGGAGCUUCUCGUCAGCAUUAAGCAAACCAAGGUAACGGUUGUUCUUCGUCGAUGUUCGAUCUCCAUGAUUGAAUGUGUAUGGUGGUUUUGAUUUAUUCUUUCUAAUAUUUUGUUUGGACAGAAACCUGACAUGGCGGGAAUGGGUGAAUUCAUGAGGCCUCUAAACGAGGUGAUUGGGGAAGUGAAUGCGAUGACGGAAGGGAGGAGAUCCGAUUUCUUCAACCACUUUAAGACUGCUGCCGAUAGUCUUUCGGCUUUAGUGUGGAUUGCUUAUACCGGCAAAGACUGUGGUAAACUGAAGCUUCGUUUGCUGGUUUUCUGAAUGUCUCUAUCGCCGUGUUUGAUUGUAUCGUUGUUGUUGAUUUGGUGAAAGGUAUGAGUAUGCCCAUUGCGUACGUAGAAGAGAGCUGGCAGAUGGCUGAAUUCUACAAUAACAAGGUAAAUAGUUUACAGCUCUGUUUGUAAAUGUGUAUUGGGAGCUGAUGACUCUGUUAUGAACGUAGAUUCUUGUGGAAUACAAGAGCAAAGACCCGAAUCAUGUUGAAUGGGCGAAAGCUGUGAAGGAACUCUACUUGCCGGGUCUGAAGGAUUAUGUUAAGAGCUACUAUCCGUUGGGUCCGGUAUGGUGUGCUACUGGAAGAUCUGUGGCCUCUAGGCCAAGUGCUCCUGCUCCCCCGCCAGCUUCUCACUUCAGCGCUGAAUGUUCGAACCCUUCAUCGUCAAAGCCAAAUGCGAGCAUGGCUGCUGUGUUCCAAGAGAUCAAUUCUGGGAAGCCUGUAACUGCAGGUAAUGCCAAAUUUAGUAUUCUGUUUAUUUGCUGUUAGUGAAUGUAUGCGUUUAGAGUGAGGACACACAAUAUGUUGAUUUAUAGGUCUGAAGAAGGUCACAAACGAUAUGAAAUCCAAGAAUCGCGCUGAUAGGACUGGUGUCGUUGCUACCACUGAUAAAGGAGCUGCUUCUUCAUCUUCGUCUUCUUCGAAGAAGACAAAGACGGGACCUCCUAAGUUUGAGCUUCAAAUGGGUCGGAAGUGAGAGUUCUUUCUCUUCAUUUGUUUCUUCCAUUUAUAUAUUUUCCUCCUUCCAGCUGGCUAAUAUCUUACUAUGUUCCCCAAUUGACUGAAUCUUCUAACAGGUGGGUUGUUGAGAAUCAGAUUGGAAACAAGAAUAUAGUCAUUAGCGACUGUGAUGCUAAGCAAUCAGUGUAUAUGUUCGGAUGCAAAGAUUCUGUUCUGCAAAUUCAAGGUAACUGGCUAACAUUUACUACGAGCUUGAUCAAAUUCUAUGUCUGUUUCAUGCAAGCUAUGUUGAAGUUUAUCAUGAACAUGGAGAACGAUUAGUAAGCUUAAGCUAUCUCCUUCCAACGUGCAGGCAAAGUGAACAACAUCACCGUUGACAAGUGUACUAAGACCGGGGUGGUAUUUUCGGUUAGUAUAUGCGCUAUUACCAAAUUAACAAUACUGAAGCUCCCUUUUGUUCUCAUAAGCUGAUUCUAUUCCCGUCAAUGCAAAUUUGUAGGAUGUUGUAGCUGCUUGCGAGGUUGUAAAUUGCAGCAGUGUUGAAGUGCAAUGCCAGGUACAACUCUUGCCCCGGCCCCUUUUCUUAAAUUAUCACAAGAAUAGGAAUUCUCUAAGAUUGAUAUUGGUGCACCAUUACUUGGCCUAUAUAUCAGGGUUCAGCUCCAACCAUUUCAGUGGACAAUACUGCUGGCUGUCAGCUGUAUCUGAGCAAGAACUCCCUCGAGACGUCCAUAACCACCGCAAAGUCUAGCGAGAUCAACGUGUUGGUGCCUGGUGCUGAGCCUGAUGGUGACCUGGUAAGUCUUAUCCGUACAAUCUUUCAACCCAAGUAAUUACUAGCUCGGACCACUAUGUCUCUUAGUAUAUAUCAUCUCUUCCCAUAAUUAAGGGACUGAGUAACACAUUCGAUGUUCGAUAUUCGAUUAGCUAGACUCUUAUAUCGUCAACAAAUCCGUGGACUGAAUAUUGCCUCCGAAUGCUCUGGAUGUUUGUUUAACAUGUCCCAGCCCGAGUUAAGACAUAACCGGGGGGUUUUCGCUACGAUGUGCAGGUAGAGCAUGCUUUGCCACAGCAGUAUGUUCAUCUGUUCGAGGACGGCAAGUUCGAAACGACUCCGGUUUCCCACUCUGGAGGGUAAUUUCUGAUCAGUUGGAGUAUCUCUAACCAAAGAGUCUCUUCCUUCAGAGGAGUUCUUUCAUUUUUGAUCGAUUUAUUGAAUUCUGAUAUUCUAUUUUUGUUCCUUUAUCAUUCUUUUUAUUUUUACAUUUUUCUUCUAUAUUUUCGUCUUUCAAAUUUUGCUGCUUACAUAUGAGACUGUGCAUGUAAAAAUCAAUAUCGCUGGAAAAUCUUCCUACGAUGUUUGUGUUCGCUUUCCCAUAUUUCAAGUCUUUUUCGAAACACUCGUUUGCAUUAGAGUGAGAGCUAUUGCUAUUAGUACAAACGAGGCAACAGAACUUUUACAUCUGUUAGGCAUCAAAGUGAGAGAUAGCAACUCAAAUUUGGAUCGAUUCGGCUUGAGUCAAUUAACUUAAUUGAUUUGAGUUGGUUGAAAAUUAUUACAAAUCAACAGUGUUGAUUCGUAGUAACACUCACGAUGUACCGUUACUACACGAUAGACUUUUUUGGUGUCGAAUAGUGAUGUCCGCUAAGGAGAAAAGUUGCGAAGCUUUCGUCUUUUGGAUGAUGGUGCGAUGUUGGAUUUGGGAAUCUCCUUUUCUUGUGGUCAACAACUAUCAAUUCUACAAUUCAAAAGAAACUAUCAUUUUCUAUGUAAACUAUUAUUUAAGGGGAGUAAAUUGUAAAUACUGAUUUAAUAAUCUAGUUAUCUUCGAUUUUGGAUAUCUAAAUCUUUUAAACUCGAUUUUUAUCGUUGAAUUUCAUUAUUGGAAGGAAAAAUACAUACGAGUCAUAGUUUUGAAUAGGUAUCUGAUUAGCGGAUUAUCAAAUUUGAAAGAUCUACAAUGCAACCGUUAGAAGACGGUGGAACCGUACAUACUCCUCACACAGAGUCAUAUUCCUCAAAUGGAGUUAAUUUAAUUAUAUAAUUUGAAAAUCCAUAAAACUGAAUAUUCAGAUAGAAAAUUCAUACUUGUUCGAUUAAUCGAGUUUGCUCAUUUCGAUUACUCAAUUUUCAUAUAUUAAGUGUCAAUGCUACAAGCCACCUAUUAUUUUAUUACAAUAUUAAAACUCAUUAUAAAUUGCCAGAAAAAUAAAAGGAUGCAGAUUCCCAAAACAGCCGUUUUCUAACUUCUUACUCAGAAGAAAGCUCCCAGCUCCAACAGAGAACAAGAACAAGAUCAAGAAGAAGAAACGGCAAAAUCAAAUCAAAUUCUGAGCUUCCAAGGCCCAAAUCGGCCGUAGACUACGAUGCUAAUUCCUUCUCUCGCCGCCGCCUUCCUCCUCCUCCUCCUCCUCCACCAUUUCCCUUUCGCCAGUAAGCGAAUUCUUCCCCCACCCUAUCUCUCUAUCUAAUGCUUUCUUUCUCACUUCCCAGUUUCGGUAUCUGAUUGAUUUACAAUUUCCCCUGUUUUUUUUCCGCCAGAUUCCCAAUCGUUCAUCGGAGUCAACUACGGUCAAGUAGCCGACAACCUCCCGCCGCCGCCUGCCACCGCCAAGCUCCUCCAGUCCACCACCGUCCAGAAGGUCCGACUCUACGGCGCCGACCCGGCGAUAAUCAAGUCCCUCGCCAACACCGGGAUUGGAAUCGUGAUCGGAGCCGCCAACGGCGACAUCCCGUCUCUCGCCGGCGAUCCCAACUUUGCGGGCCAGUGGGUCAACUCGAACGUCCUCGCCUUCUACCCGGCCAGCAACAUCGUCCUCGUCACCAUCGGCAACGAGGUCCUCCUCUCCGGCGACCAGGGCCUCGUCUCCCAGCUCCUCCCGGCGAUGCAGAACGUCCAGAACGCUCUCAACGCGGCGUCGGUUGGUGGGAAAGUUAAGGUCUCGACGGUCCACUCGAUGGCGGUGCUGGGUCGGUCCGACCCGCCGUCUUCGGGCUCGUUCGACCCGGAGUAUGGGGACACGAUGAAGGCUCUGCUGCAGUUCCAGAGAGCGGUCGGGUCACCGAUUGCUAUUAACCCGUACCCGUUCUUCGCGUACCAGAGUGACCCGAGGCCCGAAACGCUGGCGUUUUGCCUGUUUCAGCCCAACGCGGGGCGAGUCGACUCGGGGAGUGGGAUCAAGUACAUGAACAUGUUCGAUGCCCAGGUCAGUACAACUGUACAAGAAGUCAAUAACUUAUUCAUUAUUUAGUUUUAAAUUUAGAUUUUUGAACUUGAUUAAUUAUUUGAAAUUUGUCUGAUUUAGUCCACCUAAUCAAUCAUUAAUCAACCAAGGUAAAUAAAUAGUAUAGAGUAGAGCAUAGAUUGGUGUGCAUUAUGGUUAUUUGAAACCGGCCCGCUCGGUUCAAUUUGAACCGAAUUGAACCAAGUCGAGUCGUUACAAACUCGCUCGGUUCUGUUUGUGACCUCGAUAGGUCAACCCAUCCUGGGGUCAGUCUUGUAUUGUAUGCCAUUCCUACGAUACGAUGUAAUCAUUAACUUAAUUAAUGAUUGAUACAUUUGAUUUUCAAACAGUAGAUAUCGAGUUCGAAUCCAAUUCCCCGAAUACACAUAUAACUUUGUCUAUUUCGGAAAAAAGUGUAAUGGAAUGUUCAAAUUUGAAUCAUUGUCACCAACGGGUCGUUGGCAUGUUGUAUAUUAAUUAGUAAUUAGUAUAUGGACAAAAGAUUGUUCAUUAUAUGGAUGGGCCGGGAGUGGGCCCAGGCCCAGACAUAAUCUCUGGGUACCCUGAACCAAAAGACAAGCGUUACGUGCGACAGCCGCAUGUGAUGUGAUCACUGAUUACAGAGGCUAAGGUUGUGUUGGAUGAUUAUAUUGUCUGUAUAUGUGGAAGAAAACGACGUAGGAUCAUUGACGAAUUAGAUUUAUGGUCUGUUCCUUAUCUCGUUUCCCUACCUUAUCUUAUAAGGCAAGGAAUAGGAAAUUUUGAAAUGGGAGUUAUAGAACAUCAAAACUGUUAAUGUCGGUUUUCGAAGUCUUGAAGGCGAGGGUGAUUUGGUCCAUAUCAACUGUUUAGAUCGGAAAAUAGAAGUGAUUUGGUGGGAUUUCAUCUCUAAUGGCAUAAGGGGCAUGAUGACUUGACUUGACGUCAUCCUUACUUUUCCUCCGGCUUAUCACCGGCUGCUCAAGGUUCCAAACUCAACGGUGACAACUAAACACAAAGGGUUGCCCUAAUUGUGGGACUUAACCCAAUCAACGUCGCUUCUUCUGUUUUUCUAACCCAUAGUUGUUUAUGUUAUUUUUUAUUCGAUUUUGAAUGACAUUUUUAUAUCGUGAUUAUCGUGAUUGUAACGAACGGACUUGUGAUUUUACUCAUUUGUUUUGUUGUUGGUGGGGUGUGUACAGCUCAGCAUGGGCCACUACUUGCACCAAAAAAUUCAAUGGCCUUUUUCUCCAAGGGUCUUUCUGGUCAAUUAUUAUAUUGGGAGGGUCAUUAUUGCACAUUCAUAAAGUUGGAUGAUGGUGGACCCUAAGUGAAACUAAAAUAAUGUGAAAAGAAGGGCAAAUAUUCCUCAUAGAGUUUGGUUUUGGUCUUCACUGGAAUUUGUCCUCUGUCCACCAUAUGUUGACUAAAACAUUUUCCUCUGAUGAUUCUGUUCAUAAAGCUAUCAUUUUUAUACUGGAAAAACAAUAAGAUGAUAUUUUGCAGGUUGAUGCGGUGAGAUCGGCUCUGAAUGCAAUGGGGUUCAAGGACAUCGAGAUUCUAGUCGCGGAGACGGGCUGGCCCUACCGUGGGGACCCGAACGAAGUUGGACCGAGUAUCGAAAAUGCUAGAGCCUACAAUGGCAACUUGAUUGCUCACCUUAGGUCCAUGGCUGGAACUCCGUUGAUGCCGGGGAAGUCAGUCGACACUUUCUUCUUCGCUCUGUUUGACGAAGACCUUAAACCAGGACCUUCCUCCGAACGUAGCUUCGGACUGUUCAAGCCUGAUCUUUCCAUGACUUAUGACGUUGGUCUGUCCAAGACCACCAGCCCACAGGUAAACAGAGCUCUGUACUAUCAUCGUCUCAUUUCAACCUUGAACGGGGUUAGUCUUAACUAGUUCCGAAUUCAUUCCCUUUUGGUUAACUUUCAGAGUCCACCGCCGUCAUCAUCAUCAGGAUCGUCGAAAACGCCAUCUACGCCACAGGCCACGCAGUGGUGCGUGUCGAAGCCAGGUGUGUCCCAGGCCCAGUUGCAGGCGAGCCUGGAUUACGCGUGUGGCCAAGGAGUAGACUGCACUCCUUUGCUCCCCGGAGGUGCUUGUUUCGAGCCGAACACUGUCGAGUCUCAUGCUGCUUAUGCAAUGAACCUCUACUUCCAGAGGUCGGAAAAGCGUCCUUGGAACUGUGACUUCUCGCAGACUGCUGCCUUGACUUCCAAGAACCCUAGUGAGUUCAUUUUACUGUUUGCAAUGGUUGAUUCAUCACGUUCAGUGUUUGUUGCUUUGUGUGAACUGGGUUUUUCGUUUUUGCAGGCUAUAAUGGAUGCAAUUACCCUGGAGGAAGUACAUGAUUUUUUAUGAGUGAGGGUUAACUGUAAAUUUUUUUACUGUAAUAAAUUUGGGAUGAUCAAGUGCUGAUUUGGCAAUCUAGGAUGAGUGAUUUCAUUCGUGAGGUUGUUUGUACAGAUCAGUAAAUGGUUGACCAUAAGAUGCACGCUAUUUUUUCGCAAACGAGAAUCGAAUUUCCUUCGAAGAGGAUGAAGUAGGUAGAGAGGAAGUUGGACGAAGCGAGCAAUUUUCGAACAAAGACGGUUAGAUCAAGUUGACUUAAAAUAAAUGUACCAAUGAUUUGAAUUAGCAUUCUUGUCGCGAGAAGAAUACAAGUGUUCUCGAAGAUCAGCAUUUUCGAUUAUACUAGGGGGUCGUUUGUUAUGGGGGAAUAAAAUUUAGGAAAUGUGGAAUUGGGGGAAUGAUGGAAGAUAUGUAUUUUAACUUUUAUGGAAAUGUGGAAAACCAUUGUUUGGAUGACAAAUAUUUUGUGGAGAUUGUACAGAUAAUAAAGAAAAUAUAAAUUAUAAAUUUGCAUGUAAUGACAAUUUUGCCCUUAUUGUGGCAACACCUAUAUCAUAAACCCUCCUUCUGUAAUCCAUUCCUAAUCCAUUCAUAAUGUUGUAAUCCAUUGAUUUUUAAAAUAGUACUUCAUCCUUUAACAACUACUGAACUGAGUUACUACAUACAUCAAAUGCCUUACAAAAUACUCAUACUGGCACCAUACAGGUUAAGCCUUACUUCUUAAUGGCAUCAUGUCUUGAUACAAAAUAUAGAAACAACAGUACGAACACAUACUGGUUGUUGAUUCAUGUCACUACUGACCUACUCCAAAAUAGCAUACAGGAAGGCUAAUUUCUCCUCAUCGGUUGGCAACUGAAAGAAGCUGCUAGCAUCACCAUCGUCUCGGUGCAAGUGUCUCAAAGCUCUGGUUCGAUCACAGACAGAAAGUUCAGAGAACUUAACCAGCUCUUGAUACAGGAACUGCCUCUUGACAGCUAACUCACCUUCAAUGCAAUAGUUAGUUGCAAUCUUUGCUAUGUGCUCCGAUGUCAUUGCAAGAUUGGUAGCAAGUUGAGCUUUGUCCUCCUCAGAAAAUUGCUGCCUGGAUCUCUUUGUUCCCGAAGAUGAGGCUUUUUCCUUACCGUUUAUCUGCACACGUUUGGAGGUGAUUUCACCCUCUACCGCUUUCAGACUGGUCGCAUGCACGUCUAUCCCUUGAUUGAUAAUCUCUUCCAUAACUGCAGUAUGCUCCAUGUUCUCAGGAAUAGUAUAUGAAUCGAAAGUGUCAUUUUGUUCUCCCAUCAAGUCACCAGGGCCUGCAUGUGAAUCCAACUUGAUAUUUUGGGGAAUUGAGAAUACAAUCCCAACCUUUUCAAAAGCCUAAACAAACAAUGUUUUUGUAAAAUGCAGUGUUUUUAAAAUACAUCCCUUUAUUUCCCCCAUACCAAACGACCCCUUACUCUAUUCCAUUGCAAAAUCCUCCAAAAGCCCCAACAAUGGCGUUGUUCCAAAGCAGCAGCUUACCUCACUCCGAUCAAGCAAAGGACUCCUUCACCGUCGUCUGAGCUUUUGAAUGCCUUGAAGGUAAACACUACUCACAUUCUCAAUUCCUUAGUAUCCCUCAGCCGAGACGGAAAAGAAAUGAUUAACCGGAUGCAAUCUGUUCUAAAGAUUCGACACCUCCAUAGCGAUGGAUUACUAUGUUUCGCAGUUCGAAACCAUCCGCGGCAGUUCUCGAACGAAUCUGCUGGCAAUCAAACCACCACCGCCGGCCCUAUUGCUUUGUCUUACCUCAUCAACGAAUGUGGCAUCCGUCCCGAAAAGGCCGCAUCCGCCGUCAAAUACGCCCAAUUCAAAACCCCAGAAAAGGCCAAUUCGGUCUUGCAAUUCUUCAGAACCCUCGGCUUCUCCACCGCCGACAUCUCCCAAAUCAUCGGGAGGCGUCCUCGUCUGCUACUUUCCGAUCCGGACAAACAAUUCGCUCCCCGGAUUAGUUUCCUGGAAUCGCAAGGGUUUUCUCCCUCCGACAUUGCUCAAGUCUUACUGAGAGGUCCUGAGAUAUUCUAUUCCAGCGUAGCCAAACAGCUGCUACCCAAUUUUGAAUUCAUCAAGAGCGCCGUGCUUCCCAGUGAGAAUAACCAUAAAGAGUAAGCAAUACAAAUACAUAAUAGAUUAACUUAUGAUGUUCUAAGCAAGUGACGAGACAACUCGAUAGUUUUUAACGCCCCCUAUUAGCCCACAUAUGUUGAGCAAGGUCUUGUCUGAAUUGAGUCCACUCAGGAGUGGUUUGCACACCCCCAGGGAUGUCAUUGUUUGCCUCCACGGCUGGUUCUUCACUUUCUGUAGGUGUAUAUGCCAUGGUGAAUACAUCUGCCCCUCCAUUCUGCAUUAUGAAAUUGUGAAGUAGGCAACAUGCUGUAAAAAAAAGUCCAACCAUUUUCGGAGAAUACCAAGAAGUAUCUCGUAGUAGUGCCCAUCUCAUCUUCAACACCCCAAAACCUCGUUCAAUCACGUUUCUGGCACUUGCAUGUUUCAUGUUGAAAUAUGCUUCAGCAUUCCUUGGGCGAUUUCUACCCCAUUCUUGGAGGUGGUAUCGUGGCCCACGAAACGGGGUAAGGAAUCCUCUAGCGUUUGUAUAUCCGGCAUCACAUAGGUAGUACUUCCCUACAAAAUAUUGUUUAGGGAAGUUAAAUACAUUGCAUUCAUAAGAUAAUCAUCAAAUGAUAUAGAAUUAGCAAAAUAUUGUUUAUGGAAGUUAAUUAUAUUGUUCACCUUCGGGUACUCUAAAGCCUCCUGGACGAGAUAGGGCAUCUCGCAAUACCCUACUAUCAUGUGCCGAUCCUUCCCAUCCAGCGAGUAAGUAUAUCCAUUGUAAGUUUUGGUUGAUGACUCCUAAAACAUUGAUUGCUGUCGUCCCCUUCCUACUGCGAUAGCGAGAUUGAUUUGCGAUCGUUGUCCUCACAUUAACCAGUGUACCGUCAAUAGCGCCAACACAACCCUGAAAUGGAAGAAAGAAGCAAACAGGGGAAACUCACAUGACGCUGCAAACUAAGAACCAAGCAACAAUUAUGGAUAUGAAGCGAUGAAGAGUACCUUAAAGAACUUCCAUCGUGGAUCGUUAGAAUUUUCAGCAACUGCUACUGGCUGAACGAGGAGAUGUGUAUGGAGGUUCAACACUGCUGCCAACACUGAUUUGAUGGUGCGACAGACGGUUUCUCCGGAUCGAUGAAACAAGAGUUGGCAUGUCCUGUUCUUCACAUUAUGACCUAUAGUGACCAAAAACAUUGCUACCAUCUCAUCGACUUCCAUAUUUCUCGUGCUCUUUAAACCCCCUAAAUCCUGUAGUGUAUCACACAAACUCCAAAAUAUCCGUUUCUUUAGUCUCAACAUGCUAAUACAAUUGACAUCUGUGGUUCUAGUUGCAUUCAACAAAAACCCACUCCUAUAAACUUCCCGGCCAUAGGGGAGGGAUCUAGGUAUGUAAUCUGCACUUUCAUUACUAGUACCUUUAGUAAUAGAGUUCAGCAGAAUCAACACAUACUGUUGCAGUAAGUUAAACCACAUACAUACAACAUAGACAAUCACCCUCCUCCGUUGCUUCAAUGAUCUCCUUGCCAUCUCCUCAAAUUUACAGUUGCAGCAGUAGCAAAUUACAACAAGGCCAAACUGCAAUACCCUACAAUACUGCAACAUCGGUAUCGAACAAUUGCAGCAAGCAUAAUCAAUUAAAUAAACCCACUGAACCCUAGAUUAGUGCCAAAUCCUUAUUCAAUGAGUGAUUUAACCAUUAAAAACACAUACCUGGAUGUUGAUACACAGUGAUUGUCUUUAACCAGGAUAUAAAGAAAUAGAGGGACGGCGUAUUGAAACCCAGCAAUUGCCUUCAACUAAGUCCUCCUAUUGAAAUCCAACAAUUGCCUUCAACAAAGCCUAGAAUUGAUGAGAGACUGGUUCAGAUGAAACCCAGCGAUUGGCUAGAACUAAUAACUCAUCUCAUUGAAAGUUAUGCUUUGAACUGAUACAGGAAAGGAGUAUUGAAAGCCAACGAUUACCCCUCCAGCUGUUGACAGUUAUGAGAGAGAAAUAGUACGAACAUUGAAUAAUAUGGUUGAAAUAGUAAGGACAAUAUCGGUAGGAAAAAUUACAUUUUUUGUGGGACCCACCACAAACCCAGCGAUUUUAACAAUCUUUGGUGAAGAGUGAAGUUUCUGAAAACACCAUUUUCUAGAAAAAAAUUGAUAUUUUGGGGAAUUGAGAAUACAAUCCCAACCUUUUCAAAAGCCUAAACAAACAAUGUUUUUGUAAAAUGCAGUGUUUUUAAAAUACAUCCCUUUAUUUCCCCCAUACCAAACGACCCCUAGAACAAAUGUUUAAGGGGUUGUUUGUUAUAAGGGGAAAUAAGCAGACUAGUUGAAAUCACAAUAAUUCCCACCAUUCACUAUUCCUGCCUUCGCUAUCACCAUUCACCAGAUCCUUUUGCCUACUCCGCCAUUUUCAACAUCCUUCCUCACCAAUUGCUUGCUUCCACGCUGAUACAGAGAUUUGUUUGUUUCUCCUCCUUCCUUGCGCUUCAGCUUUCGCUGUCGGCUUUGCUGGUACUCAUACUCCCUUCCUUUCCAAGUGAGUAUCCUCCCUGAUUUGCUUUAUUCUCUAUAUUAGUAUUGACCGAAUCAGGGUUUUCUUUCAAUUACUUAGUGGGGAGAUUGUGGCUUAUUUGUGUUGAGCUGAAAUAGCACAGUGCAGAUCUCUCAGCUCCAUUGACCUCCUCGAUAUGGAGCUACACCUCAUGGAGUUAUGGAGAUGGUUUUGUUUUGGAUAUAAUCAAUUGAGAUUACAGUAGCAAUAAUGGAGUUAUGGAGAUUGUUUUGUUUCUUCAUUUCUUCAAGGGUACAUUGAUUUCUUCAUAAAAUCAAUGGAGAUUGUUGAUUGUAAGUUUCAGUAAGUGGCAAUUUUAAAAUCAAUGGAGGUGCUUGCUAAUUGGGGACUUUAAAUUCCUGAUCCUGAAUUAAAAAUCCUAAAUUAAAUUUUGGGAAUUCUGAAAUUUACAAAUUUGGAAACGGGUCUCAUUCCCGUCCCAAAUUCCACCCCUACUAGAAUCUGUACUUGUGAAAUACUUGUUCCGUUCCAAAUGUUGCAUGAAUCUGUCCGCUAAUCAAUGUUCCAGUAGUUGGUGCGUUCAUUUGAUCUUCUCGGUAAGAAGCUUGUAUGGUUGCCCAUAUUUGUUGCCUUUAUUGACUCAGAUUUUUCCAUUUCUUCAGAAGCAAACUCAACAGACGCAAGGCUUCUUCAAAACCUAUAGGCAAUAAUGUCAGAUCACAUCCCACAAGCAGUCCUGGCCAACAUUCUGAUACGACUCAGGGUGAAGGAUCUAGUGAGUUGCAGGCGAGUCUCGAAGCAGUGGCUCUCCAUCAUCGACAACCCUAACUUCGUCAGUCGCCAACUCGACUGUGCUGUUUCCACAAACACCAAAGCUGCAAUUUUCCUCCAAGGCAGAUCAUGGCAUGAUCUCUUCUGGAAAAAAAAGUUUGUCGGCGGUACUAGAUCCUUCUCCAACCCGAUCCUUCGUUUGUUCAGCCCAGUGUUCUUGAUCGGCUCUUGUCACGGUCUGGUAUGCUUUUCUGGUUUCGUAUUUCCGCAUGAUUUCGUAAUAGUUAACCCAUCAUCUGGGGAGCAACACAGACUAAGCAAUCCCUCAAAGGAAGGAAAAGGAAUAGUAGGACAUAAACCGGAAGCAUAUGGUUUCGGGUACGACGAGUUAUCAGACGAUUAUAAGGUGGUAAUGAUUUUGGAAACAAGCUGGUCUGAUCCCCGCAAUCGUUCCUACAUCGCUGAAAUUUACGGAAUCAGGUCUAAGGUCUUUACGACGAUUCCUUUGCCCAAUGCAGAGUGGAGGAACUCCGAUUGUAAGUCAAUUGGAGUGUUUUUUGGAGGCUCGUUACAUUGGUGUACCAUGGAUUCUUGUAAUUUUGCUCGUCCAAUUCGACAUGUGAUUCAUGCCAUUGAUCUUGCGUCAAACACCUAUCGUCAGUUGCAGUUUCCAGAAACCAUUUGCGGUCAGGUUUUGUUUGUGAAUGUGGGAAUUGUAGACAUACGCUUGUGUCUAUGUGGUUAUGAGAGGGAUUCGGGGAAAAUUGGCAUCUGGGUUAUGGACGAGUACGGGAAUCUUGAAUCGCUGAAUAAAAUCUACAGCAUUGAGUAUUUUUCUGAUCCUUCGGCUGUAACCUCUGUGGGGAGUGAUGGAGAUAAGAUUUUGAUGAGGAUUGAUUGGGGUAAUUUUGCUUGGUAUGAUCCGACGAAGGAUGAGUAUGAGACUAUCAGUAUGGAGGAUAUGAAGAGUAGAACAUAUGAAGCUAUCUAUUGUUUGGAGAGUCUUGUUAAGAUACUUCCAAGUGAUGUGAAGAAGGAUGCUUCCGAUACGAAAUUAGCUGACCAGAAAAUUUCGCAGAAGAAGAGUCGUUCGCCUGCUUUCCUCGAACCGAUGAUGCAGCGUGAUGACAGUUCUGAUGAGGAGUACUGUACAUGGUAGUAAACCAGUAAUGUCUGGUUUGGUACAUUGAGAGUUUAUAACAUGUUUCCAAAUGCCGUUUGUGUUCUAAUGAUGUUGCAAGUUACCAAUUUAUAUCUUCUUCGCGUUAAUAUAUUCACUAUUUUUGUUUAUUUGACACAAUAUUCUCUAAGUAUACCAAGUGAUGGUCAAGCUUAAAUUAAUUUACCUUGGUGAAUGGUUGAGAGUUUGGAAAUAUAUAAUUGACUUUUAACUAAUUCUCUAUUCAUUUAUUUUUGUUCAUAUCCAUCUUAUUAUGAGCAAAAUUGCCCGAUUAAGUGCGCUUGACCGGUCAAACUCAUUUCAGUGGAUGAUGGGUAAGAGUUUGCAAAUUCUCCACCGUUCACCCGGUUCAAAUAGCAAAUUUUAACCACCAGACCGACCCCAAGAGAGUUAAUUUUGUUGCCGAAGUGGGUUUCAUCAUCUAUAUAGAUUGAUGUUGAAGCCCUUUCUAAUCGUCAUAUUAUAUAUGGGAAAACGCGGAUUCGGGAAACAUACGUCCGUAGAGUGGGGGAAGAUUAAAUUUCAAAUGCUCCAAACGUCACGAACGGACGGUUACGCCGUUCAUUGAGACGCUUCAAUUGUUCGUUCCGCCCAGGGAGAGACACAUGGAGGGGCAUUGUUGACGAAGAGGACAAAGGGAUCAUGAUUAUCCACUGCAACGGAGUAGACGUAGGAGUGGACAACCAUGAUUUUCAAAACUACUGUGCUGUUUCGCUCCGUUUGAGGAAAAGAGAGAAAUAGCGGGAAACGUAUCCCAACACGCAAACAGGAGAAGACUAAACUACCCGCUUUCACCGGGAUUAUAAGGGCAUCUCCAUUCUAAAAUUUUAACAAUUGCUAAAAUGAGGUGGAGGGUGAGGUAAUUAACAAUUUAUUAAGGAUCCAUAUAAACAAGAUAAAUUAACAAUCUUUCUAAUUUAGAAAAUCAAUUAGCAAUGUCAUAUAGGUAAAUGGAUCGACCGCUUUUAAAAAAUAUAUUUAUAAUUAAGAUUUAUAUUAUAAAUGAUGUAUUAUUAAGUAAAAUAUAAAUGAUUGAAUAAAAAUUAUUAAAUAAAUUUAAAGAGGUAAGUGGUUAGAAAUAAUUUAUUAAAUGAAUGGCUAAUUUGUUGAUGUGAUAUGUAAACACAAUAAAAAAUGGUUAAACCAAUUCCUUGAGCAUCUCUGGAGAUUUUCGGACCCCCAACAUCCCAAGCCAUAGUUAAACAAUUUCACUUUUCACUCCUCAGUUAAGAAAAGUAAGUAUUUUUUCACUGUUUUUUUCACUCUUCUCUGCUGUCUGACUUUUUGCCAGACGACCAUUCCACUCUCUCUCAACGACUCUCUUUCACUUCUUCUUCUUUCCCAUUUCUUUCCCUUUCGGGGACGUAUAUCAAUAAUACAAUCUCGGCCUCCAAAUUCCUUCGGUUUCUCCAGCUCAAUUCCCCGUCUAUAAACUUCCCCAAUGUAAAAAAUUUCAAUGGCUUCUCCUCUGAUUUCCGCUUGAACUCUUGGGGAACUUGGAACUGAAACCAUACACCAUGUCCGUCGCCGAGCUGAAGGAGCGCCACGUGGCGGCUACAGAGACCGUCAACACUCUCAGGGAACGCUUGAAGCAGAAACGCCUCCAAUUGCUUGAUACAGAUGGUACACCUUGCCUUUGUUCUUCCAAUUAUGGGGAAAAGAAGAGAGUUUAUUUUCUCUGUUUAGUUAAAAAUGGGUUCUUUUCCGAUUUUGAUGAAGAGGGUGAGAUCUGAUUACUGAUUUGCCGAUUUCGUGUCUGUUUUUUUGGUUAUAGUUUCUGGGUACUGCAAAUCGCAGGGGAAGUCUCCGGUCACCUUCGGCCCUACCGAUCUCGUUUGCUGCCGGACGCUUCAGGGGCAUACUGGCAAGGUAAUGGAAUAUAUUUUUAUCAAAUGUUUGGUUUUGUUGGAUUUUAAUGGUCCACUGAUGAUCAUGAUGAUUUUGUACUGUGAACAUGAUGGAGAAGCUCGAAAAAUCUGUGAAAUUGCAGUAAAAUUGAUUGAGCUACUGUGGAAAUUAUUCUGCUUUGCUUAGUUCUAGGUGGGAUUUCUUCCUUUCGUAGAUAGGUGCUGCUUUCGUGAUUUGUCGGGUCUGGUCGAGCUUAUGGCUCAUUAAUGUCGCAAGUUCGAUUGCUUUGCUAUUGUCGCAAUUUGUCUGCUUUGGUUGAGCAUUUGUAGGAUGGUCUUCUUUCUUUGUGAUGAAUCAGUACGGAUAUGCAAUCUUGAAAAGUUGCAAUCUUUUACUACAUUGAUUGAGCGACUGGUGCCAAUUGUUUGUGCACUGAGGUCGAAUUUCUACUUUGCCUUUACUUUCAGAGCUUUAACAACGAUGGUGAUGACUGCUUUCUUUGCAAUGUAUUGAAACCAAUAUACGAGCUCUUAAAUUCGCGAUUCUCAACUACUUUCUUCGAGCUACUAUGCUAAUUGUGUUUGCUUGCUAUUAUCUGGCUGCUGGAUGGAGUUUCUACUCGGCAUUUCCAUCUAGGACCUGAAUUAAUUCUCGGACUGCUUAUUUGAGACAACAGAUUAACUUUCGGUAGCUGUUUCGGUUUGAUCUGAUUUAAAUGUGUUGUUUGGCUGAAGGUUUACUCAUUGGAUUGGACAUCAGAAAAGAACAGGAUAGUGAGUGCUUCGCAAGACGGGAGGUUAAUCGUAUGGAACGCGCUAACGAGCCAGAAAACCCACGCAAUCAAGCUGCCUUGUGCAUGGGUGAUGACGUGUGCCUUCUCGCCAUCUGGACAAUCGGUUGCUUGCGGUGGUCUUGACAGCGUCUGUUCCAUCUUCAACUUGAACUCGCCGGCUGAUAAGGACGGGAACUUAACCGUGUCAAGAAUGCUUACCGGACACAAGGGCUAUGUGUCUUGCUGCCAGUACGUUCCAGACGAAGAUACACAACUGAUAACUGGCUCCGGCGAUCAUACGUGUGCGUUAUGGGACACCACCACGGGCCUCAGGACUUCUCUUUUUGGCGGAGAGUUUCAGUCCGGCCACACUGCUGAUGUACAAUGGUCAGUUGAAAGUUGAAACAUGUUCUUUAUCUUUUCGAAGUGGUAGUUGUUUUGUUCAGAUGUUAAUUUUGCAUCAUGUUAUGUUUGCUUUUCAGUGUAUCAAUCAACGGAACGAACUCGAGGAUGUUCGUAUCGGGUUCUUGCGACAAAACUGCUCGCCUAUGGGACACUCGAGUUGCCAGUCGAGCUUCGCGUACAUUUUACGGUCACGAGGCAGACGUUAACACAGUGAAGUUCUUCCCGGACGGCAACAGGUUUGCCACAGGUUCGGACGAUGGAACGUGUAGGCUUUUCGACAUCAGGACUGGACAUCAGUUGCAAGUGUACUACCAACAGCACGGCGAAGAGAAUGAAAUACCGCAUGUGACAUCCAUCGCCUUCUCGAUAUCGGGAAGGCUUCUCUUUGCUAGCUACUCCAACGGUGACUGCUACGUUUGGGAUACUCUACUAGCAAAGGUAGAGUUAAAUUCUUUCAACUGUGGGCAUAGGUAUAGGACGAUCUUAGCAUUGACUCGGUUAUGGGUCGUUCUGGUUUGGUUAUAGGUUGUUCUGAACUUGGGCUCUCUGCAAAACUCGCACGAUGCUCGAAUCAGCUGUUUGGGUUUGUCAUCUGAUGGAAGCGCAUUAUGCACUGGAAGUUACGAUACCAACCUAAAGGUAAGCCCUUCUCCGAGCACAAACAUGAAUACCACUGAAUCGAAAUGGUUGGUCUCGAGUAUGCUAGCUGACUGUGUUCUGUUUCAUGGUCUGUUCUCCAGGUUUGGGCAUUCGGUGGACACAGAAGAGUCGUCUGAGUUGUCGAAAGAGCAUACAUUACCACAUUCGAGCACAUUCUUCUCGGCUUUGUGAACUGUAUUCUUUGCACCGUCGACUGAGUGAACUGUAUGAAAACCGGGUUUGUUCUCUGUAUGUAUUUGUGAGCAGUAGGAAAUGGACUAGUUGACACAUUUAUAUGACAUAUUUACGAGUUCUCACCGUCGGUAACAAUGAUUAAUCCCUCGCCGGUAUUGUUUUCACAGCCAAUUGAGGCAACUAAUGUUCGAUUACAAAGCCGCAAAGAUUCGAGUCUUCAAAAAUUCAUUACAGGUGUUGUGCUCGACAAGAAUCCUAUAAAAAUCAUUAGAAAUAUAGAAUACAAGUAAAUAUAGCAAGCAUAAACAAAGUAAAAUUGAAAAUGAAUUUCCUACUUUUAGUUGCAAAAUCACAACAAUAUUACAGUCUCCAACCAAGCUCAUUCCACUAGUCUCUUUCUCCCUGUACCAUUAAUAUUGUGUUAGCCGCUCGAAAUGAUUUCGUGGAUUGCGUCGCUGAUGGCUAUAUCCUCGGAUCUCACAGCUAGUUUCAUUGCAACUUCCUUAGGACCGUGCAUUCCGAACUGCAACCUUGCAAGAACCUUCACGUUUCCUAUGAACACACCGGACAGUAGACAUGUGUGCGACCUCGCAUUGCUCGAGACAACCUCGGUCCCCUGGAAAUUCGAGCAGCAUAAGAGAAGGGCGAAUGCCGAAUUCUAGCACUGAGUUCAUAAACUUUCCGACGGGAAUUCGAUUUUUAAGACUAGUCUACACGUACUCUACGGAACAUUCGAUGAAAAAUGCAGAAAAAUUCGACAGGAACUAACCUCGCAAGGCUGCAUUCCAAGAAGAGAGAGGACUGCAUUAACAGCUUCAACCAAGUUCUCCCUGGCGCCAAGGCCAUAUUCAUCGACACGCUCGAGUUCAGCAUCUAAGCUCUCCCAUGCGUUCCUGAAGUUGGCAACACCAACUUUCUGCAUAUAAUCGGCAGACACGACGUCCAGCUCCUCCAAUUGGUAUUCAUCGUCCACUCCAUCUUCGUCUGCCUCACCAGUACUUGGAUCAACCUGAUAUUUCAUUUGACGAAAAAAGAAACUAAGACUCGAGCUAACACGGUGAAGCCACAAAUAGAAGAAUCGAUCCUUACCUCUUUAACAAUGAAUCUCAGCGUGUUGGAAAACUUCCCCUCUGCAGGGACUCCCUCUGGCUUCUCAAAGACGACAAAUGUUUGUCCAGGAGUAUCAUACGGAAGAGAUCUCAAAGGCUUGGAUAAUACGAAUGAGAACUCCUCUGCCUCGGAAGUGUCCACGACCACGGUAACCUGAUGGUAUAAAAUUGAAGGUAUUAUGAUUAAGGGCUCUGGUUACAAAGCUUAAAGGAGAAAUGGUACUCCAAUAUUCUAGCAUUAGAUCAUUUACAUCUUCGAGUAGCUGCUCCGGGAUUGUGUUGGUGCAGUUGUACUGGAACACAACAUGCCUAUCGAAAAUGUGCUUAACAACAUUAACGGCAUAUUCAGUUUCUGCUUCUGUUAGCUCCGUAGGUACUGAAGACUGGCAACAGUAGAGUAAAAGAAACCAAGAAGAACAAAUAGUAAGCGCAAAAGAAAAACUAUGGUCGAAAUAAAUAAAUAAAGAUGUAAUUGUAGAACCUUGAAAAGUUUGCCCAAACUAGCAAGCUCUGGAAUUGAAGAAAUGAGUCUUUCAUACGCAUCCAGAGUAGAAGGAGGUCCAGGUGGCGGAACACCCAAACCAGUUGGCUGCUUUUUGCCUGCAGCUUUCUUUUCUGCAAGUGGCAGCGAUUUCACUUCUCGUGGAACAGAGUUGAUAUCGAAAGGUGCUUCCGAUGCCUCCUGUGAAAACAAUAGAGCACACGUAUUAGACGGGAGAGCAAUUGUUGACUAAUAUUAUAUGAGAUAUCGGCGACUUACAUGAUUUAUCAAACUUGUCUCGAGGUUGACAAGUGGGAUGUCCAUGGCUCCGAAGAGAAACUCCUUCACCUUUUUAUCGGUUUCGACAACUUCUCCAUCGCCACCAAGUGUAUUAAGAUAAAGGGUUGCGCGGUCACGAACCUGAAAAACAAGUAGCACAUGAUCGAAACGGUGAAACUUUGAAUAAAAUGGGAUCGCACAUUAAAAGUGAAGAACAUACUGAUAACGCGAAAGCUUACCUCAUCAUCACUAUCAAAUAAACAUCGUCUCAACAGGACAAAGAUGCGUGGCUGCCAAAUAAAGAUACAACGUUAUAAGAACUGUACUACAGAACCAAGCCACAGUGCUGACCAGCACAAUUCACCUUCAAGGAAUCUGCCAUGGCGCCAAACUUUGCCAAAGUGCUCACAGCAGCAGCCCGAACGGUAGCAUUCUCGAGAUGUAUACGGUUGUAGAUGUAACGUAUGUACUUGCUGGGAUCUGCAGUCUUUGGGCCCUCAAUCCCCAGAAAAUGAAGUAUCUACGGGAAAAUGAGAAGAGAACUUCAGAAUCAGAUACUAAGACAAACAAAAGAAGCUGAUUGCAGAAUGGAAAUCGCCAAAAAAAAUCAAGACCAGAAGUUACCUGAGUGGAAAGAUAAGUAAAUUCACAGUCUUCAAUAAAUUCACACAGAUGAAACAGUCCACUUUCCUUUGCAUCGGGGAUAUCUCUGAUGAGGAUGACGAUGGAAUCGACAAUGGCCUUCUUAUACUCGAAACCGCCUUCUUCCCUCAAAAUGUUGCUUAAGAAGUUCAUCCUUUAUAAAAACAUGGUCCAUUAGUAUUCCAAUGUUAGUUUACAAAUUACUGAGGGAUUAAGUUCAACAUAAGGAAAAUAUAGUUAAAGAGUCCAAAAAGGUAACUUACAGUGAUCUGUAUUUCAAAGGGAACUUCAAGCACAAGGACCUGAUGGCUUCUACUACUACGAUUUUAAAUUCAUCUGCAAUAUCUGACAUGAAAUUUGUUAUUUGCUUCAUCAAACGAUCUACACUUGAUUCAUUUCCAGUCUUCAGCAAAGUGGUGAUUGCAAGUGUGGCGAUACUUCUGUUUUGGUCAGAAAUUAAACUCUCCAUAUCUAUGUUGCAGUUAGUGACAGCCAUAGGAUGAAUCAUAGCAACCUGCAAAACGAUGAGUUUAACCAUCAAUGAGUUAGGCCAAAAUUGAAAUACAAACCACACUGUAAUGCCUCUAAUAUAAAUUAAAUUUCAGAAAUUCAUGCAACUAUUUCCAAGUGAAGUAAUGAAAACCAUUCUAGCUCAAAUAUUAGCGCCAAUGGAAACGUGAAUAAACCAGUCUAUUCUGACAAGGUUAUAGUGCAUAGAAAACAAGCUCAUAGCAAACAUCAACCUUGUUCAAGGUGCGAACAGCUGCAAAUCUCAACACUGGCUUCGAAGAGCUCAAAAAGAGCUGCAGCACAGUAAUUGCAGGGGUCAAUUCUCGGCUUGUCACACCGCUGAGUUCUGUGAUUGCCCUAGCAGCUUCAAAGAUGACCAUCUCUGCCUUAUGGCGAAGACAAAUUUCCAGAAAUUCAUAAAACGGACGAUCCCCAGUUUGUAAGUUAGAAGCAGACUCACGGAUGACCUGCGAAUGAUGUCAAGUCAUUACUAUUGCUGCACCAAGAGUUAUUGAAUAGUUAAAUACAAUUUGCCACAUUCUCCAGAGAGACAAACCUGACUAGUGUAUCGUAUCAAAAGGCAUUGAGCUAAUGGUGAACGAACAGACCCCCUAGUCAAACUGGUAACCAAUUUGCUGACAGCUAGUCGGUCAUUUUGACGUAUCUGCAUAUUUCAGAACACAAGAGCCUCCAUGAAUUAACUCUUCAUAGAAAAUAAAACCAUUGACCUACACCUUUUUUCAGGCAAUCAUAGCAGAAAGGAUAGAGAAAUUGCCAAUUGAUUCUAAAAACCAUGCCAAAUUCAAAAAAGGUAAAUUAACACCAAACUUGGAAAAUCAGCAUACCUGAUGGAGCAAUGCUAGGGCAUGGAACUGUACAAGGGCUGCCCUUGACUGCACAGCCUCUUGAACCUCAUUACUCCACCUUUUCACCACUUCUGGAUUUGUCUAGCAAACAGAAAAAGCCCAUUUGACCUUAUCAUUAGAAUAGUUCAUAAAAAAUAGAAUUCUAGGUAGAAAAGAGAUCAGUACCUGAAGCAAGUGGAUACCGCUAACUAGGGCCGCACUAGCAACUACUGGAUUCUUGUCAACAAUUGCUUGCUUCAGAUAACGCUCAAUCUGGGUCAGUAGGACCCCGUCUGUUAUCCGACAAAGUACACGAAUAGCAUUUGCCCGGUACAUAUCAGUCUUGCUGUUCAUGUCCUUCAUGAGGGAACUUGUCACAAUAAUAACCUUCUCCCCCAAGAAAGGUUGAGACAAUCAGAAUCUUUUUGUGAAAUCAAUAAGAACCCGAAAAGAUAUGAAGCCAGUGACUUAAUCUAGAAUAUCUAACCUCAUCUGAUGACGGGGAUAAUUCCUUUAUCAUCAAAUAGAGCAUCCUUCUUAACCCAACGUCUUUUGACUGAAAUAGCUUCGUUACAGAAAAGAAUACUUCUGUGGCUUCAACCUGUUGAGAUAUUACAAGAAAUCGUUCAGAGAAAGAACGUCGUAAUGAGAAAAUCAACAAGUAAAUUGUUACACGAAAAAUACUUGACCUUAGUGAAGGAUUCUCCUUGGUUCAGUAAAUAAAGGAGCUUUGUGAUAACCUGCCGAUCAAAACAAGUAUCCAAUAAGAAAAAAAGAUACAUAGCCUUUCUGGAAUACAAGUCUUCAUAUUGAAAUUAAGACUACAGCAAAAAACCUGAGAGCAUCUUCUUGGAUCUAGCUGAGGGUCAUUGAAAACCCUUGCUUCCUGAAGAACAGCACCCUUCUCAAUUCCCAGGAAUGGUGAGUAUUCAGCUGUUUAAUCCAAAUAACAAGAAGUUACUGGUAAAUCAAUCCACAUGACAGCUCUUCUCAAAAGAAAACAGUCUCACUUAGAGAUUUAGAAAAUCUACCAAUCCCACAAAUUUCAAAUCUGAUUCAAGCGAUAACAAAUUAUAUGUCCAUCAUCUCUGCAGAGAGCUCCCCAACAGAGAUAAUAUGAAUAUAUGAUCCUAACUCGUAAAGAGGGGAAUUCAGAUUACACCCAUUUCAUUUCUAAACAUCAACCACUGAAUUUUGGAAAAUACAUCAAGCAAAUUCACACAGCAAUGCAAUCCACAUUGCCAACCUACCACUACUUAUCUAAAUACGCACCAGCUGAAUUGAACAGUUCCCCGUACAAUUCUACUAGCAAACCAGAUCCAACUGAAACCAAGCAAUGAAGAUUCGAUCCAACCACCUUAAAAUCCGAAACAUAACAUACACCACCACCAAACUUGAACGCCACAAUAUAUUCCCGCGGAAUUGCACCAGAUCUAGAGAAAUGAAUCACUGAUCUGAAAUUAUCUGAUGCAGCUAACUAAGAUCCCAGCAACAGAGUUCGAAUUCGCAAUCGACAAAACCAAAUCCAAAACUGCUGAAUCAAGCGAACCCAGCAUAGAAAUAAAAGACAAGAGGAGGGAGAUGAUAUCGAACUGGAAUGUACCUUCGUCGUCGCGAUCGUCAUCCUUCUUCACGAGAGGCUGAGCCAUCGUUGCAAUCUCGUCCGAGAUCUAUGGCCUUCCGAAAUGGUUCUUCUUGCGUCUCAAUGUAAUCACUGAAAGAAAUUCUGCAAUCCUUGUGAGCGUUUUAAGAAGGAUGCUUCGUCAGUGAGUUGUGAAAUAAAAUUGAAUUCAAAAAGUAAAACUAAAUUCCAUGAUCCCAUGCGGUCGAGCUUACGGUUAGUUAACAUGUCAAACAAUAGAUGAUGCACACGUGUCGAUAAGGUUUUUUACAGGCUAUAGUCCUUAAGUUUGACGUUUUUUAACAGUUCUAAUGUCGUAUUUUUCGCAAAAUUAUCUGAAUCGUAAUUUAUCAAAUUCGUUAUUAAUAAUUUUUCGUUUUAUUCUAUCCACUUUAUCGACACGACCGAACACACAUGCACGUCAUAUUAUUAUUAAUCAUUGAUCAACAAAUUAAAAAUUAAGAAACCAUCUCCCCAGCUCUCUUCUUCUUUUUCUCCCCCAUCUCUUUCUUUCAUCUCUCUGUUCUAAAAUGAAAAAAAAAACAGAGGGAUUGAUGCUUCAAAGAUCCACAAUGCUCUUCAAAAUACCUCUGUUUUUCUGGAUUGUUAUAUUUAAACUUGUCACUUCUCAGCCACCCAACCCAAUUCCGUAGCAGCGGACAGGAUACAACAGCAGCAAGAAGCAGAAGAAGAACAAUGGUGGAUGAGGAAGUACAGCAGAACAAGCAGGUGGUGCUGAAGGAAUACGCCACCGGUUUCUCUAAGGAAUCGCAAUUCGGUGUCACCACCGUCUCGAUUCCCCUCAAAGUUCCCCAUGGUUCCAAUUCCGUCCUGUUCAAGAACCUCUACCUCUCCUGCGAUCCUUACAUGCGCGGCCGGAUGACUCAUCGUUGCCCCUCAGCAUCUUCCACCCCAAUCUCUCCGCGAAAUCGUGCAUCCCACCCUUCUGAUCGAAGGUGAAUCUUGUUCUAGCUAGCUUCCUCCCGAUUUCGCCUGGGUUGGCCGGAUUCCGGUUGUGGGUGUGGUGUUGGUGGUGGUGGUGAGGGUUUGAUUCGGCUCCGGAGCUGAGGGCGAAGAGCAUGCGGGGAGCGGAGGAGGGGAAGAUGGAGUGCUGUGGAGUCGGUGAAGCGGCGGCGACGGGGGAGGAAGGACUCGGGCUGGGACUCGGAGCUCCACCUCCGGAGCUUGUCUGACCCGGGCUGGGACUCAGGCUGAGCUAGUUCCGGUGGUGGGUCCACUGGAGAGCUGGAAAGGGGAGGUUUUGCUGGUGGUGGAGGUGGCCGGAGGAGGGUUCACGGCGGUGGAAAUUGCUGAUGUGUGUGUGGUGUGUCCUCCAGCAGCCACAGGCGAGAGAGAGGACUAUGGCACUUUACUACUCUUUUGUUGUUUUGAGGGUACUUCAUGAAACUUAUCGCUCAAUGGAAAAAUAUUGUAACAUCCUUGACAAUUCUUUGUCAGAUUGCUCGUAAUGAAAAAUAUUUUUGCUUGUCCACGAUUUCCUUAAUUGAAUUAUUAAUGAAGUUGAGGAUAAUACUCCUCCUUAUAAUUGGAUUGAUUAUUUAAAUUUGAAUGAAUAUAAGGAGCUUUUGAUUAUAUGCCCGUCCUCGACAACUCUCUAAUUGGUUAUAUUGAAUUUCACAAUAAUUAAUGGAAACUCAUUUCUAUAGUAAGAAAUGAUUAAAUAAAACUAAAAAAAAUGAUAUAUACCUGAAUUUAAUAAUCGUAACAUAUGUAUCAAUCUAUUAACCUUUAAAAUUCACGACAAAUCCACGAGAAAAAAAAAGAGUAAACUAUGAUGUUCUAGCCUAAAUAACAAUCUCUUGAGAAGCCGUCAUCGUUCAAAAUUUCGGUGAUCUUUUCGUCAUAAAAAAGAUUAACAAAAUUUAGUCUAUCUCUAAUGAUCAGUGUCUUGUAUCACCAUACUCGCUGCUUAGGUCAUCCAUUAUCGCCUUCCUGAACUUCUUCAUGUCUGCACUGUACGAUCUUUGAUCGUAAUCAUCCGCAGAUGUGUGGCCGUAGUACGAACUGUAACCUGCUUUGACUCCUCCGUCGUUCAACUGCUCCAAUGGCGCGUCGCUCUCGAGUACUCGAACAAUCUGGUUUUACAUGAUCAAUAGAUAAUUAGUUAAUUAGGUCAAAGCUAGGACCCAACAUUUGGUACUAUUGGGCCUUCUCACGAUAAACAGUGCGUACCUGGCUCAUCUUGGGUCGUUUUUUCGACGAAUGUCGGAUAACGUUAGCAGCGCAAGCGACCAUUCGUUUCAUCUCCUGAACGUUAUAUUUCCGUUUCAAUCCUGGAUCCGCCAGUUCGUCGCAUUUCCCGCUUUCCAAUGCUUUCGUGCAUAGAGGCCUUGCCUGUUUAUUUACAACAAAAUAACUAAAUAAGAGCUGAAUUAAUAUAAGGAAAAAAGAAAUGAAGUUAAGUAAACCAAAUUAGAAGAAAUGCUGACCCAAUCCACCAAGCAGUCCAUGGUAGAAUGAUCAUCGAGAGGACGGCGGCCGGAUAUUAGCUCGAGCAACACGACCCCGAAAGAGAACACGUCGGAUUUGUCCGUUAGCUUCCCGCUCGAUGCGUACUCUGGAGCCAUAUAUCUGCAUCAUCAGUGACGUGGCCAUCAUUUCCAUUAAGGACCAACAAAAUGUAGUUUUAAUGACCAACAUGUUAAUGACCGUUUUCCGUAAAACAGUCACUAAUAGGUCCCUAGAACUGAAUUUCUUGUAGUAUACAUUAUAUAUCAACAGAAACAUGUAAAUGAGACCAAAUUAAUAAUAUUGACUUUGUUUUCGGUUAAUUAACAUACCCAAAAGUGCCCAUCACACGAGUCGAUAUGUGAGUGAAGUUGCCCUGAUUCAGCUUGGCCAGCCCGAAAUCGGCCACCUUAGCGUCGAAAUUGAAGUCAACGAGGAUAUUUGCAGCUUUGAUGUCUCGAUGGAUAAUGCGUGGGUUGCCUGCAAAAUCAUUAACAGGCUAAGAACAGUUGAGAACUAUAUAAUAUAUAUGUUACAUAUAGUUGGCGACAAUGAAAAUUAAACAGAGUUUAAGGUAGUGAAUUACAGUCUUCAUGCAAGUAGGCAAGUCCUUUCGCCGAUCCAAUGGCAAUUUUGAGACGGGUCGGCCAAUCCAUGGUUGGCCGGUUCGUUCCUGUGAGAUUUUACCAUGUACUACGUUAGCCAUCAUGUACGUGAGGAUGUUUUAUUCACGGUCUCUCGACAUCUGCACCAGUCUAUUACUAAUGAAAAUAGAGCAACGAUUAUCGAAAUUUAAUGAAACGUACCGUGGAGGUGGAACUCGAGGGUUCCAUUGGGCACAAAUUCGUAGACAAGCAACUUCUUAUCCUUAGUAAUGCUAUACCUGUUGCAGGUUACAAUCCGAGUACCAUAUUCUUAAAUCAGGAUAUAUGUUGUCUCCAUCAACCAAAUUAGUAUGGGAUUAACAAAAUAGUACCCGACAAGCGUAACAAGGUGGCGGUGGUGGACCCUAGUAAUGAUCUCAACCUCGGCCUGAAACUCCCGUUCCCCUUGUCCGCUCCCGGCUUUCGAGCUCUUCACCGCGACUUCCUUGCCGCCUACGAGCACUCCCUUGUGGACAUACCCGAACCCUCCUUGCCCUAACAGAUUCGAGGCUGCGAACCCGUUGGUCGCAGCCUGAAGCUCCUCGUACGAGAAUGUGCUGCUGUUGUUGUUUCCCUUCGAAGGAGUCGCAGGCUGAGAUGUCGGCAGCGUCGGUGGUUGCUGCCAGAGGCCACCGGGGGCCGGCGUUGAAGCGGUGUUGACUUGCCAGCUUUGGUGGUGAGGGGGUUGAUUGGAAGCGUAGUAUCUCCCCGCCAUUGCAUGGGCUGCAUUGUACGUUAUAUUAAUCAUAUGUAUUUGGGGUUUUCUAUUUUUAACCUUUUUAGGGUUAACAUUUGGGGAAAAUGGGAAUUGAAAGGAAUUGGGAAAAUGUACAUUAUCAAUGUGUUUAAAUAUAAUAGUUUUUUAGACACAAUUUAAUAUGAAAUAAUAUAAAAUAAUUUAGAAAGACGGUUUGAAACUAGAAUGACUCAAGUUGGCCAUUACUAGGUCCUGGAUAGCUCAGGCUGCAUGGUGCGGUACUACACAACCAGCGUCGGGUAAUGUCCGUUCGGCAUUAUUUUAGUUCAAACCAUCUUCCUAAAUUAUUUCAUAUUAAACCGCGUCUAGAAAAAUCAUAGUAGAAUUGAGUAAAAUUUGUAACCGCGAUCUUUCUUUCUGCCUAUUUGAGGCACAAUCAUAAUUGAUGUAACAUACUUUUAUUCUUGGAUUCAAAAUUUAGUUUUAUCGGGGUCCUAUAUUCAAAAUUAAUAAGCAAUGGGACCAUAUACUUAUGGAUAGAGUAUAAUUUAUAGAGAUUAUAGGUUCACAAUUGUGAAAAUCAUGUAUAUACAUAGACAUAUCGCGAUCAGUGAGAUCGUGUAUAGUAGAUUUUUUUUAACGAUAUUCUAAGCUCAAAAUCGUAAACAAAUUCAUAAAAACAAUGUCAUAAGUAUUGUCACGAUUUAUAUAAAGAACAUACCUGGAGAUGCGACGUAGUAGCCACCAGGUUGACCUGAUCAUAAAUAGUUACACAAAUUAAUCCCUAUAGUAGACUAAUUAACAAAGCCAAAAUGUAAGGAAAUUAUUCUUAAUUACAUAACCAUUAAUCAAAUGUUCACCAUUUAAUCAUAACAAAAUUAGUUACAAUUUACCUUUAUGAGGAGGGGGAGCCGAGGCAUAGUAAGCGAGUUCAUGAUCAUCGUUCCUCUUUCUUUUUCUGCAGAAGCAAAAAUAUGCAACCGCGCCCACAAAAAGGACCGCAGUCACACCGACGGCGACCCCAACUCCGAUGGAUACAACGUUAUUACUAUUGUUGCUUUGUCCACCUCCUCCUCCGCCACCGCCGCUCGGCUUGGUGUGUGGCGGGGGUGGUCCUAACGGGCGCGGAUGCGGUCGUUGUGAUGCUGGGAGUGCCGGCGGCGGUAGUACUGGAAUGGGUGGUGGUAAGGGUUGUAUAGGAGUUAGAGGCCGCGCCGGCGGCAGUGGUGGGGGUUGUAAUUUUGGGGCCGGUGGAGGCUUCGGCUUCACUGCUGGCGGAGGUGGAGGCGAGCGUUUCGAGGGCGGUGGAGAAUUUGUCGGUGGUGGUGGUGAUGGUGAUUUUGUCGUGGGAGCAGGAGCAGUAACAUUCAACAUUGAAAUAAAAAACACCGAUAAAUUUACCUUAACUAACAAGACGUGUUUUUUUUAAUCCUAAAAUGUAGUAAUUAACCCUUUGAAAAAUGAGAUUUUUUUUGGUUUUCUUCCUUCUUCUUUUCUCCUUCACUUACACAAUGUUUGAGUUUCUACAAUAUUACUUUUGUUUCUAGAUCCACGAUCCUAGCAAGUGUGAAGACUCUAAUUCUUGAUUAUUUGUUUCUCCAAUGUUUCUCUCUCGUUUGAGUAACAACGGCUUGCGUGGCAAUAGCUCCACGUAGCUAAAUAAAGACAUUUGCCACUAAAUUAGGAAUGUGCUCGUACGCUGAGUUGAUCAAUCCCGUAUCUCUUAUUUAAGGAUGAUUGAUGAAAUAAUAAAAAUUAAUUAUGUUGAAAACUUUUCAAAACUUGACCUCAUGAGACAAUACAUCCAAACUAUUUUUUAUGAAUAUUAUUUAUAAUUUACAUUUUUGUUGGAUAACUAAUUUUCAAUGAUCAUCCUCAUCAUUUAGAAUAACAGAUCGGUUGGAUGGGUGAUUUAAACAUGUAAUUUAGGGGUGAUUUAGAUAUUGGUAGAGAUUUAGUCUCAAAUCACUUGUUUGGACACUUAAAUUGGAAAAGAUUUCGUGGAUGAUUUCAGAUCACCAAAAAAGAUAGAGAUUUGAGAAUUAUAAAUUUUUAAUUUUUAAUUUUUAAUUGACGUGAUCAUAAAUAAACUCGAACAUUUUAAUAUUUUUUUCCUGUACAAUUGUUGCAUUUGAAAUAAUCAAUUUUCAAAAUAAAAAAUUCCAUCUAAAUUAUUAACUAUUUCAAAUUAUUUAUCCAAACGAACCAUAACAUAGCUGAACAUUAAACUAGCUUCAAGAACUAUUUUUUUCUACAAAAUAAUAAAUGAGUCCGUGCGGGCUGCGGAUAAUUUGAAAAUGACAUAAGCCCAUAACCAUAAAGCUCACCGAUUGCUAAAAGCCGCAAUAAGAAAGCUUUCUCCAGUACUCGAAAUCAUUUUACAAGUCGCACAUUGACUGAGCAAACCUUACUCACCACCGUUAGGUGUCAGCUCCCCUCCGACAAUUAUUUACUACUCCGUCGCAGCUGCCGACAAAACAACAGUCAUCCAUUUUUUUGAGGAUCAUAACGAUGUAGGAGAAAAGCUUUUGAUUCCACGGGAAAAUGAUAUUCUGAUUUCUGCAUUUUUUUACGAAGGGGGAGGAUAUUGUCUUUCUAGUUUUAGGGUUUCAACUUUUGCGCAUAUCCAUGGUGAGAAGAAGUAAGAGGAUUCAGAACAGUAUCGAUAGACUAAGUAAUCUUCCUGACAGUAUUUUGCAUUACAUCCUCUCCUUGAUCGACACUAGAUCUUCAGUUCGAACCUACAUUUUUUCUAGGAGGUAGAUAUCUAUAUGGAAAUAUGUUCCCGUUCUCGAACUUUGUCAGGGAGAAACCAUGAGUGAUCUGCAUUUCGAGCGACAGGUGGAUCAAGUUCUUUCCCUCCGUUCUGAAAGUAGUAGCCUCAGCAGAGUUAUAGCCGACUUCUCUCAGAAAGAAAAACGGAUGAUGGACCUAUUUGAUAGGAUCAUGAAAUACGCUGCUUCUCAUAUCGUUCAAGAGCUAUCCAUUUGUCCUUGCAAUUACCCAAGUGAUGAUUUGAUUAGAUUAGCAUGUGCUUCUUAUCAAACUCUAAAAGUUCUGGAGUUGAAGCGAACAUACAUUCAAAACAGUGAUAUUGGGUUGUUUUCUGGUUUGCAACUGCUUGAAUCUCUUACUCUGACCCAAUGCUGCUUUACCUUUGAUGAUGCGCCACAUGAUGCUUUGACUAUCCCCAGAUUGGAAACUCUAAAGCUGGACAGUUGCUUUUCUUUACAAUCAGUGAACUGUGUUUUCAUAAUAACUGCACCCAAACUGCUCAACUUGGAGCUUGUUUCGCCAGGACUCAACCGUCUUGAAAUCGAUGCUCUCAGGCUCCAAUCUUUCAGUCUUAAGAUGGAUUCUUCAGAUAGUGAUAGGAUACUACCUGAUGUUUCCUAGUCAAAAUUACCUUCCCUUAGUCGUGCAAACAUUGAGCUUAGGAAGCACAUACAUUUGUUCUAAGGCGGUUCUAAUCCUGAAAUUGCUUCGGAGAGGCGACUGUUGGUGGAGCGGUGUGUUAACUUGUUCAAACUUCUGCAUAAUGUACAAGCUCUCAAUUUGGAGGUUGAAAUCCUUGAGGUAUGUUGUUUUUUUUGUUAUAUGCUUGAUAUUUGAGAGGCAUUCUCCUCAUUUCACCCCUAAUUUUGUUUUAUGAUGUUUCUGCUCCAUAGUUGUUGAUCCAAGCUUAUAAUUAGGCGAAACACCAGUCUUCCCUCUUUAAAAGAAUGAAGUCCUUCAAUUUGAAAUAUUCCGAACCAUCAUUUUGUCUACGAGGUGAAUGUUCGUAUCAAAAUAUCAAAAUGUGUUCAUGUUAUCACUUUGACUCAUAGCUCUAUUCCUCUAUUCUUGGUGAGGUUUCAAGCCAUUGAGUUUUUUUUAUCCUUCGUAGCAUUUGGAGCUUUUUUCGGUUUUAACGUCUCUAUGUCAUCAGCCCCAUUUACUAAUCUCUUACGAGAUUGAAGUUUGUAUUUUGUGUGUGACAAUGUGAUUAUCCGAAGAUUAAAUAUCUUGAAUCGCUCUUUUUUUAAUUAAAAACGGGUGCAAGCACCAUUCACUCAUAUUAUUAGAACCCAAACACGAAAAAUUCCCAAAUUUAUCAUACAAAGUCCAAUGUUCAAGCGUCAGGAUUGUUAUGGGUAAUUAGGUGAACCCCAACAUGGACAAAAAACUCCCUAUGAGCCAAAUAUUCGGCUAAGUUAUCCUUUUGAUACUUAUGAGCGAGAACAAUAAUCCCUUCUCUUUGAAAAAGUUUGCUCCUUUGAAGCACAAGACUAGCAUGUUUGUGCGACGGUUUCUCCGUAUAUGCAAGGCAAUUCUCCAACGUCCAAACUACUAAGCGGAACAGAAAUCUUCGAUUGUUUAUUGUAGUUUUUACAUUUUGAUAUUCAUUUUAUUUUUUUCAUAGAAGGCCAUCUUCACCUUAUUUAUUUUCGACUACGAAAUAUUUGACAAUAUAAAAGGGAGGAAGCUAAGAUUCGAAUUUCUGUAUAAAAAUGAAAAGGGCGAAAUGGGAAAGCGUCUGGAAAGUGAAAACAGAAACCAGAUAACAAAAAGAAAAAUUGAAAAUUACAGGUCACGUCCAGCGUUUUUCCAGUACAAAAAGCAGCCUAUUAUUAUUUCAUCCAGUAACGUGUCCAAUCAUUUCUCUGAAAAAUAAUCAUAUACGUAAAAUUCGGAAGAAUAAAGUAAUUCAAACGAAAUUUGUCGCACUUCCGAGACGCUCUAUAUUUUCUCCUCGCAACUUCUCCGGCGAGAAACUGCUCGAUUUGAUCGCGAUCCGCCGCAAAAUCCAGCCACCAUCAUCAUGCCUUCCCGUCGAAGAACCCUGCUGAAGGUCAUCAUACUCGGUGACAGCGGGUCAGUUUUGCUUUUCAUCUUCUCUCCCUUCCUUUUUCUUUGGUAGUCUGGAUUGCUUCGUUUUUUGAUCGGGACUCCUCAGUCCCGACUUGCGUUUUGGAUGAUUCGAGGUUGUUUAGUUUUGAUCUGUUGAGUUUGUUUCGCUCUACAAUUGCUGGAUAAUCUAGUUGUAAUUCGGCUUAGGGUUCUUGAUUUUGUUAGUUCACGAUCUAGUCUCCAAUUUGCGUUGAAUUGACUUAAUUUGAGGACUCUACUUGGGAUGCAUACUCGUGAUUGGUUCUGAUUCAAUUUGUGGUGUGUUUGCAGGGUGGGCAAGACUUCUUUGAUGAAUCAGUAUCCUGCAGCUUGUCUAGCUUGUUAUUCUUUUGGUUUAGCAACAUUCUGUGCUUCUGAAACGGUUGACAGUGAUAAUUAUGUCUUUUGUAGGGAUUUUUCCCUCCGUUGGCUGUGUUGUUUCUUUGACGUCUUGCUUACAGAUAUGUAAACAAGAAGUUCAGCAAUCAGUACAAGGCAACAAUUGGUGCCGAUUUCUUGACAAAGGAAGUGCAGUUUGAAGAUAGGCUCUUCACUCUACAGGUUUUGGUUCUGAUACUCUGGUCCUAGCUAGUAAUGUAUGUCUUGUAAUCCGACGUUUAGUGACUGAUAUUUGUUGUGUGCUGGUCACUGGAUUCUGGUUUGCAGUAUAAUGGUUUUGUUUAUUUGUCCGUGAUGACUAGUAAUUUUGUUUAAUCGUCUGAGUUUGUCGAAACAGUAUGGCUAUUAUAGGAUAAUGCAAUUGCAUUUUGCACUGAAACUGCCUAAGGAUUUUGAACCCAUAAGAUUUCAUUCAUGAUAUAGCAUAAAUUCUUGCUUGGCAUUGAUUUACAAUGAUUGCAGCUAUCAUCAAAUUGCUUAGUCUUUUUGUCCUGGAAGCUUCAAAAUGCUAACGGCACUAACUCUGGACUGAGAUUAUUUAGGAUUUGAUUAAACUCAUUGAGUAAUAGUACAGUAUUACAUAGUAUGAGCUGAACAAAAAGGUGCAACUCUAAGAAGCUUAUAUCAAGCUCAAUUCCUGUCGACCAACUUAGAUACAGUUUGUUAAGAGAAAAGUUGAGUUUUGAUGGAAUUUGAGUUGUACAUGUGACCUGACAUACUUGACCAGCCGUUAAAUUUGGGGUGGAAGUUCAGCUGCAUCGUGUUUGCUGGAUUUUUGUAGCUUAACGUCCAAUGCACGUUGCUUUGACAGAUCUGGGAUACUGCUGGACAGGAAAGAUUCCAAAGCCUUGGUGUUGCCUUCUAUCGUGGCGCUGAUUGCUGUGUUCUAGUCUAUGAUGUUAACUCGAUGAAAUCGUUUGACAAUCUCAAUAACUGGAGGGAGGAGUUCCUAAUCCAGGUAAUCUUUCAAUCCCUAAAACAGCAUGUUGUGUGGAGCAUCGUUGACUAGAACUACUCUUUUAGAUAAUGACCUCUGAUUCUUGCAGGCAAGUCCUUCUGAUCCUGAGAACUUUCCUUUCGUUGUUCUCGGAAACAAGAUUGAUGUUGAUGGUGGAAACAGCAGAGUGGUAAGUCUUCGAACUUACGCAUUCCCUGUCUAUACUGUGUUGUCUUGUUGGCAAUCUUAACUGAAACUCUCCGGCUUGUAUGUAUAAUUUUCAGGUUUCCGAGAAAAAGGCUCGAGCCUGGUGUGCAUCCAAAGGCAAUAUCCCAUACUUCGAGACCUCUGCAAAGGAAGGCAUUAAUGUAGAAGAAGCUUUCCAGGUCAUAGCAAAGGAUGCCUUGAAGACCGGAGAAGAUGAAGAAAUGUAAGUACAUUUUUCAGAUAUGAAUGAGGUUUGGUUUUAGCUUUGUACUUCAGGCGAUACUAACGAGUACUUCUAUCAUAUGAAGCUACUUGCCGGACACGAUCGAUGUGGGAAGCAGCAACCAGCCUAGGUCCAGUGGAUGCGAAUGCUAAAUGUUCAAGUCCCCCGAUUUAUUCAUCACUCCAAAAAAGGGAAGACCAUCUAUAUGUCUCUUUUAAGUGUUAUCAAGAAGAAGAAGAAGUGUUGUUAAUGCACAUUGUUUAUUCUUCUUCAAUGGUGUUUUUGUGUAUGAGAGGAUAUACAUACAUUCUGUACAUGUAUCGUCUGGAGUUUCGUUGUGGUUCGUAUACAAGCUCUCGGCUUGAUUUGUUCAAAAAUCGUUAGAAUUCGCUGGUAUCAUUGUUGUUACCUCGUUUGUUAUUGGCAUGCUAAUGAUUCUUCGCUUGAAACAUCGUCGGGAAGUUUGUUGUAAUGCUCGUUUAUCAUUUGGUAGACUCGACGAUGAGGGUAGGAGAGCUGAGUGUCGGGUUGGUUUGAUGAGACGGCCGAUUCAAGGCACUAAAAUGGUUAGAAAAUGUUACUGAGAGAAAAUUAACCGGUUGGUUUGAAGAUGGGUAAAAUUCGAUUAAAUUUGUUGUUUGGUUCAAAACAUGUGGGGUAAAAUUUAACUGUCCUAUAGGUCAGGAAUUGCAUUCUACUUCUAGUUAAACCAUAAUUUUCAAUUUGGGUAAUCGAUUUUGAAAAUUAUAAGGGCCAAAAGAAUGCUAUUUUGAUAAGAAAAUGGUUUGUUUCACUGUGGUCAAAUUCAAUUCGGGUAUAUUUGGCUGAAUUGAAUAAAAUCAUCAUCACGGGAACGAAUCGAUAAAUACCGGACCAUAAUCGGUUAGAUCAGACCCAACGGACAAAGCAUCCAAAACGACGCCACUUUAUCUAUAUAUAUAAUUAUAAACCCUUAGCCUAAUUGCGUAACAAAAGCAAUUUUGUAAACCUGCCACAAUCACAAAUGAAAAGAAGAUCGAAUUUUCUAGUACGAAGCUCUCUUUUAAUUCGCGGCUAAGAAUCUCAGUCUCAUCGUUUCCCAGCAGCUCAAUCGUUCUGUUCCAGUGAUUCAUCGGAGCCCUAAUCGGACCUCCGGUUUAAAUUCCAGACAAUCGGACAUUGAGUCGGGUGCUCUCCGGUUUAUAUCGACGAACGGUAAAGACGGAUAGCUGAAAUUAUUAUUUCUGUGAUAUUGGUGUCUUUUAUUGGAUGGCUCGACGCUGAUUCAGAUGGCACUUGCUUUCGUCUACAUCCUACAAAACCUAUGGCCGUUCUCGAAUCUUCUCAAGUCUGACGAUCUGAGAACUUCGGACGCUCUGGUUAACAAACUGUCGAUUCCUGAACGGACGAAGAAGUUUGUUUACGCCGUCCACGAUUCCAAGUCGGAUUCCGUUAUUUAUAUUCUGUCCGUGCAGAAUUUGUCCGAGCGAUCGGCUGAAGACGUGGGGUGUCUUAUUAGGGAGGUUAAACCUCAAGCUGUGGUGGCUCAGGUUGGCAAUUCGACGGUGGUUGAGGAUCUCCUUGAAGAGGAUCGUUUGGCAGGUAAUGGCUGUGACUUGGUUCCGACUUCGUUGUUUGGUGUGCUUAGGCAGUGUUUUGUUCACAAGAUUGGUAAGGAGAAGUACGAGAGUUUAGCGGGGAAUUUGGUGUUGAGGGAGAUAUUUGGGGUAGGGUUUCAUGGCCAUGUUUGGACUGCUAAUAGAGCUGCUAGAGAAGUCGGUUCUUCGUUUUUAGCUCUUGAAUCUCCGAGCAUUGGUGCGAUUGGUGGAAAUGGUGGUGGGGACGAAGCUAGUGACAGGGUGAACAUGGUUGAAGGUUUCGUUAGCAGUAGCUUGAUUGCUAAGGAAGCAGGCUCUAUUGGUUCCUCUGGUUCGAGAAAUUUUUCUCUUUGGAAUGACGUUCGGUCGAAGAUGGCAAAGGUGUUGCGUUUAAACACCAAUACUGUAGUGCCGAAGAUGGAGGCGGGGUUGAGUGCGGUAAAUCAAGUGAACAUUUCUCAGGUGCCACCAUUUGCGCAUUCUAUAUUUCCAUUACUUGUUGACUUGCGUAACAUUUUCGCGGAUCUCCCGUCACUUGGUAAGGCAUUGGCAUGUUCACAGAAGAUGUUUUAUGAUAUCCACAGAGGGGAAAGUAUGGAUGCUGAAAUUGUAUCUGAAGUGUGCACAUUCCGGGUUGCUGUUGAGGGAUUAAGAAUUGCACUGAACGAUGCAGGUAGGGUUCCCAUCAGAAAAUUGAGGCAACCCACUGAAAUUGGAACGAACUUCUCGGAGCUUCCGGCUGAAGAGAAGUCAGAAGUACUCCUUGCACAUGCCCUUCAGAGCCAGUGUGAAAAAUAUAAGACCAUAGUAGCUGUAGUAGAUGCUAGUUCCUUGGUUGGUCUUAGGAAACACUGGAACACUCCUGUGCCUUCUAACAUCAAAGAUAUAAUCAGCCAGCUUAUUAAAGAUUGCAAGUCCGACGGAGAACCUUCGAAUCAGGAUGAGAAUAGAUGGCCAUUCUCCAACAAACCCGUGGUUGCAGUAGGUGCCGGGGCAACAGCUGUUGUGGGAGCUUCAUCUCUGUCCAAAGUCAUUCCUUUAUCGACUGUAGUAAAGGCGUCUACUUUCAAGCUCCCAGUUGCCUCUCUGAAGCUUUUGUUCGGCCAAUCCCAGAAAGCCAUGGCAUUUGCUUUUACCAAGAGUGGUCUGACUGCUAAUACAGGGGCUCACGCAACGUCCAUUAUGAAGUCAGCUGCCUCUGCAGAGAAAAUCCGGACCGUGGCCCACGGCAUCAUAACAUCGGCAGAAAGGACGAGCUUUUCGGCUAUGAGAACGGCUUUUUAUGAGAUAAUGAGGAAGAGAAGUGUCCGGCCUAUCGGUUUUCUACCUUGGGCGACAUUUGGAGGAAGUCUCAUGACACUGUCGGGUUUGCUGUUGUGUAGCGAUGGGAUCGAAUGUGUUGCCGAGUCUUUUCCUUCGGCCCCUGCAGUUGCAAGAAUGGGUCGCGGUAUCCAAAGCUUGAGGCUGGCAUCUGAAGAAGUGAAGCAGACUGACCGGAACAGAAUUCAGAAGUCUAUCGAAUCGCUUAUGUACAAACUUAAGGGAGUGACUUCGUAAUUUUGGAUUCGAAUUGUUAAUGCUUGCAGGAAGUGCAUUACUCACUUUUGAUGAUUCGUUGGUCUCUGGAAGCUUGUGGUUAGUUUUGUAGCGCUUGGUUUUUGUUUGUGCUGUUUCAGGUAUAUGAAUAAGAAGGGAGGCUAGUUCAUCAUGGAAUCGGAAGAACGUGGGAGGCAAGGAUCAGAGUAACGCGGUAGUGUUCAUGAACAAGGAUCUUUUCAGGUGCAAACAUCAAAUAAGCUAACAGAUAUAAUGUUUCAGUUGUUAUCAGAAGCUACAAGUUGGUUCCAAAAUGCCAUUGGCGACCGAAACUAAUCCCCACCCGCAAGGUUUAUGCGUUACACAGACUGAAUGUUCAGUAGGGGAGAAGUAUGUAGAGAUGUAUAGAUCAUAGUUAAUUGGGUUAGGACUUCACAGGCUGCAACACUUCUGAAAUAAGUUGUUUUGUGAGCUCGGUUGGAAGACCGCUGACAGUAUCAGUACUUCCCACCUGAAAGUGUGCCAUUUCAGAAGCGAGUUAAUAACGCAGGAGAAAAGUAUCGUAACCCGGAGAAACGAACCGAAAACCAUCAGAGAAGGAGAGAAACGAACCACAGCUUCGACAAAGGGCAUCGUUAAAGGAUGUUCGAGCGUAAGACCUCCUGCCACCUUGAAAGUGAUUCUCUCCUCGAUCUAGCAGAACAUCAAAACCAGUCAGAGUAAGGUUCCGCGUUCGAUAAUAGAAACCAGGAGAGAAGUGAGUUGAUGUCAGAUUACCAGGCUUUCAAUGACUUCGUUCGGUAUCUCAUGGAAAUAAACCUGCAUUCUCGUAACGUCUUAUAAUCACUUUCAUGGCACUGAAACAAGUUAAAGGUCCAGUGUUGCUAGUGAGCAAGAAUAGUACCUCCGCGCUCUCCCAACCUCCUCUUCUCGAUCCUGUAGCGAGAUUGGUUACAAGUACGGACCCUACAACAGCUGCAUGACCACCGGAAUAACCUACACGCAACCCCGCAAUCCUAUAGUCAACCUUAAACCGAAAAUGUAAUGAGAGAUGGCUGGUUAUCGAUUGAAGAAUCCCAAUAAGCUAACCUUUGAUGAAUUCCCGCGCUUCUUCCUCGCUGGUUGGCUUCUCUCUCACCACUCCUUUGUAUACCACAACCUGAUAGAGUAUGAUGAAACCAAUAUAGUAUAGCAUAUAAGCUAUGAACAACAGAAAUCUGAAUCCACGAGGAUCGAAUUCAUUCGAAAAAUAUCACUUGUAAAGCCUAUGGAUAUGUGAACUUAAAGCCAACUAGUCCUGAUGAACUACCAAAUUCUUCUAAACUCGUAAAUGCAUAACAAAUACCGAAUUCAUCCGAUAAUGCAUCUAAAGUCUACAAAUCUGUAAGCCUAAAGCCUAAUGCCUACCAAAUUCUUCGAAAUUCUACUCAAAUGCAGUGAAGGGAAAUCUAAAACAUUAGCACAUCAUGGAGAAUCAAAUUGUUGGUGCAUAAGAUUAGUAAAAACGAAGCUAAGAAAUUGAAUCGAUCAUACCGUAUCUGCAGUAAUCAACAAUGUAGGAUCACUAUAGUUCUUCAUUUGGUCUGUGUUCAGCAUCUUUGCUACGAUGGCAUCUGCCUAUCAGAUGUGAAGAACCAAAACCACAUCAAGGAAAAAUGCAGCUAAAUUUUACACAUAAUCCUAUCUAAAAACCAGACAAUUCACAGAACCUUAGCCUCAGCAAGAGCCAUCACCAAUUCCUCUGGCUUAUCCUUCCUUAUACUUUUCUCAUCAAUAUCUGCACUCUACAGAAAACAAGCAAAAGCUUCAAUGUCUUCCAGUAAUGAACUGAUAAUCAAUCCCAUAACACAGUAUGAAGAACUCUUUACCAUCAAAGUGAAUUCAUAGCCCAUAUCAGUUAGAAUCCUCCUCCGAGCCAUCGAAGCAGAACCGAGUAUUAUCUGUCACCAGAAAAUCACAAUCCGAUACCGAUUUCAGAGGAAUUGUUCAUCUCAUUCAGGGAAAAGAGUUCACAAGUUUUCACAAAAAGAAGCGUUAGCAAGAUGAAUUAUAGAACCUUAAACGGAUGUUUCAACAUUGCUUCGUUGGGGAUUUCAGACGCCGCCGCCGUCGCCGGCGAGGGAAGGGUACGUCGGGGGGAAUUGAGUCUCCCUGUCCUCUGUCCAAAUCUGAAAUGCGCCGCGGCGACGCUGUUCUUUAUUCUAUUAUCUUCAAAUCUUUGCGAUGAUUAUUUUAUAUUAUUUAGGGUUACUGGAUGUGCUGAUUGGACCUCCACCUCAGCAAAUGGUCCAGAUGAGCUCAUUUACUGGGCCGAAAAUCAAGAUUGUGGUCUGGGCCAGCUAAUUUCGAUUCGUGUUGGAUGGGCUUUGGUUCGGAAUUAUCAGAAAUCAGAUACGGUUAAAUCUUGAUUAACUAACCGAAAAUCUAAAACUCCCAAGUCAACGAAUCCGCCCAACCCGACCCAUACCAAUUAGCAUCGUUCCAAAACCAUACAGGUGGGUAAGGUCCAACUAAUCCAACCUUGAACCACUCAUUAAAAAAACCACACAUCAAAUUGUUGCCAUACAAAUCCGGAUUUAAUCUCGGUUGAACUAUAAUUUAUGAUGGUUUAAGGAAUGGACCAUGUCCUUGUAUAUUCAUGAGUACACUUCUAACAACCUUGCCUAUCGGAAUUAUCAACACUUGUGUAAGUUGUAACUCGAAUUGUCUAAACGUUGACUAUUAGUUAUCUGAUAAAUUCGCGACUCGAUAAUAUAAACGAUCCAAUCAACUCUUUACUAUUUGAUUGAUAAUCAAGUUAACUAAUAUUAUUCGAUUAACUCGCAACUCAAUAACACACCACCCAAAUAGGGUAUGAAUUUUCAAAAAUUAAAUUUGAUUUCUUCAUAAAAUUUCACUAAAUAUAUCUAACCCAAAGUUGUGAUCAUAAUUAAUCAAAAUCAACCAUUCCGACCAACCCACAAUCAAACCAAUGUGAAAAAAUCUAAGAACUCAUAUCUCGAUCAAACGAUCCGAUUAAUCCAAAUCCAAAUACCCGUAAACCGAUUAAAAUCACCAAUAGAAUCCAUGUGAUUAGCAUAUCAUGUCACAUUGAAUUCUUUCGGUUUAUAAUUAGUUAAUUACACUUAAAAAUUCAACAGACUGGCGAACUGGGCGUUGAUGAAAGAAGGGAGAACAACCACCACCCGUCGCAGCCGGCGGCGGCUGUGAUCUUCACAUUCGGCACUCUAAAGAAGGGCUUCUCCAACCACGGUUUGAUGCAAGAUCUGAUGCAGACAGGAGACGCCGUCUUCCUCCGAGGAACCCACUUGUCUGCGGUCCUUUCAGCGUACCGUUCCCGGAGCGGAAGGAGCUAAUCGAGUCUCAGGCGAACUGUACGCCGUCUCCGUCCGUGGCCUUGCCCGCCUGGAUGAACUCGAAGGCACCGUCGCCGGCCAUUACGAGCGGCUGCCGAUGGAGGUGGAAGGCAUCGGCGAAGUGGAGGCGUAUUUCGCGGAGACGCGGUGGAAAUGUGGGAGAGGUGUGGGAAGAUUGGGCACUCGGUGUACGGAGAGGAGGAAUCGAAAGGGUACGUGAGGAGGAAAGACCGGCCGGUGAAUUUGAGCUUCCUGGAGCAGAUUCGGCUGUUCAUCUCUUCCGGCAGCGAAUCCUGACUGUAAGGCGACAGCUAUUAUGUAACAUAAUAGUUAUGUACCUGAUCUCGCUUUUAGCUGCAUUAUUAGUUUGUUGGCAAAAAAUGUCUCGCUUUUUAGCUUCGUGGCGUUUGUUGAUAACCUUUACGAUCAGUUUGUUUCGUAAAUGAUUUUGUGGAUUUGAAGAGAAUUUCGUAAAUCAUUUUGUGAAUCUGAAGAGAAUUUAAUAAAUGAUUCAAAUCACCUAGAAAAGAUAGAGAUUUAAAAAAAAAAGAUGAGAAAUUUAAAAAUUUUAAUCAAAAUUAUCUUCUAUUUUUUAGUUUUUUAUUUUGAUCAUAAAUAAAUGUAAAGCAUUUUCAUUUUUUUAGUUUUUUUAUUUUUCUCUUUGCAAUAAUAGCAUUCGAAAUCACUUACAAAUCACCAUUUCAAAUUUCGAAACGAUCUACUUCAAAAAUAACAAACUCCAUCUAAAUUUCUCUAAUCCAAAUCUCUAGCUAUUUUAAAUCACCGACUCAAACUACCCGUUAGAAUUUGAUAAUAGAGAAUAUGUACUACAUCAAUAGUUAAUUAUGCUCUAUAAAUCUCAACUUAAAGAAUGAUUGAAAAGAAAUAACCAGUUCUUCAGUUUCUACAACAACAGCAGUUCUGCAAACUAGCUACAUACCCAUUUACACUUCAGCACAUUGUGAAACCCCGAUUAGGGUUCACAUACUUUUAUUGAGGCCCCCAACGAUCCAAUUUUCACCCCAUGCAGCUCAUUAUUCAGGUAGGCAAGACCUGGUCCUCGUACCACGAAUCGAUUUCCUGACACGGAGCAUCUUCAACUGCUUGUAAUAGCAUAGGACCUUUUCGAUAGACGUUGGUCUAGGUCUGGCAUAACCUGUGUGCUCUGCAGCUGCCUUCUGGUUAGGGACUGGGAUGAGGACGAACAAGACAUUAAAAUCAAGGAACUCAGGUUGAGUAAGAGCGAUUGUUACUAUGACCUAGAUGAGAGGACACCAGGAUGGACAGAAAUGGAUUUCGGAGAUGCUAUACAACAGUAAUGGAAUCGUUUCUCAAGUUUGACGAUCGGUAGUUUAAACGAUAUGGUUUUUAUCCUAGCAACUUCUUAUUUACGCAUGUAAAUCAAAAUGACAGGUUGCUUAGUGUAAUCAAGCUACCAAAACGACAAGCUUGCCAGAGAACCUUGGCGAACAAGUUCUAUUAUUAGUUGGCAGAAAGGAACAGAGGUACUCACUUGGUAAGAUGUGGUUACACCGAAUGGCUGUGUUACGAGGCGAUGCGUGCAUUUCAACGAAGCUGCUACUUAGUCUCGACUGAAGAUGCAGGAUCCUGACUGGAGGGCCUAGUUGAAUUUCCUACCACGGAAGGGUUCAAAGGCUCCGAAACAUUAGCCCCCACCGGAGCCAACGGCCUAGGAAUCGGCGGCAUUUGGGAUGUCAAGCUCAUGGGCGGCCUUGGGAAUGCAUUUGAGAAGUUCAUUGCGACUCUGUUGGCAGCUAGAGCGGAGGGUUGGACAGGUUUAGACGACGAAGCUUGAAACCCGAGGCGAGCUGCAAUUAUUUGUGCACGUUCUUGGUAAAGUCUUUGUCUGGACCUGUCAAGUUGUUCCUUCACCCUUAGAAUCACAGUGUCCAUAUCGUUGAAGAAAGCCAGCUUCAUUUCAAGUUUAUUUAGCUGAAACAAUUGAAACUCCGUUCAGAAGUCAAACUAUAGCUUCAAAUACAAACACUGAGAUCCCAGGAGACGGUAAUAUUAUUCACAUACCUGUUUUUCGAUCAUAGCAGCAGUUAGUUGGCGGAUUUGGUCCUCUUCUUGAUUUGCCAGAAGUUUCGCCUUCACUGCAGCUGCGGAAAGUACAGCAACUCCAGUUCGCUUUAUCCUAUCGAUCUUGCUGCCAUCUUUAGUCUCUUUAUUAUCAGGCUUCUCCAAAGUACUGUCCUUUUGGUCUUCCUCUGUAAAGGACACACAUGAAAGCUGGAAUCGGACUUAUCGGUAGGCAAAAAGGCCUGAAGAGAGAUUCAAUAGAUGAUUUUGAAAACCAUUGUCAUAGUACGGAGGCAGAAAGAGAGAGACCUGGAGUUGCUCCAUUUUCAACCAAAGCACUUGGUGAUGCUGGUUGGUGACUAUCCUUCUCAAUAUCCUUCGGGAUCACUGCCGGUUCAACACUAUCUGCAGCCGAAUUAAGUUUGGGCUGUUCUUCUGUCUCAUUCAUAUCCACGGGAGGAGCAUCUGAGACAGUUUCUACAUCUUUUGACACCUCAGCAGCUUCAAUUGGCUCUUCACCAGCUGUCGAUGGAGAUGGGUCGUUGCUUUUCUCUGAUGUUUUAAUGUCGGAGCAUUCAACUGCAGAAGAUCCCUUUUCCUGCUCCUUUACAGACUCUGUCAAGGGUUCUGACUUGGAUUCUGGUUUAAUCGACUCCUCCGCGGCAUUGAGUGAUCGGUCCGAAUCGGUUAGUACCUUUGACACGUUUGUUUCACCUCCCUCGUGACUUACAUCGGGACCAGAUUCGUCACUAGUCUUUCCCUUGGAAUUGUCAUCUGAAGGAACCUUUGGUUUGUUUUCUUCAGUAGAAGAUUUGCUUCCAUCUUUAUCUGGGAUAUCCACCAAAGCCAACGCAUCUGAACCUGAACUUGGAUUAUUAACCAACUGGUUCAUCUCCUCUUGGCUGUCUCUAGGAGAAUUCUCUUCAGUCUUCGCAGUCACACCCCUGCAAACCUCUAGUAUUAUUGGUACCAAAAUCAAAACACAAACGGAAAUAGUACAUACAUUCAGAUAUUCAUUUCCAUACCGAUCACUGCUUUCUUGUUCCUUUCCGUUAUCCGGUGGAUGUUCCAAGAGAAAGCAAUGUCGCGCUGCAAGUUGCACACCUGGGGAGCUGCUUGAUAAUGAUUUUAGAGAACUGUGAGCUGAAGCAGAAGCGACAUCCCCUCCAACCAAUCUGACAAAAAAAGUUGCCUACAAACAAAAAGGUAAAGACAGUUGAUCAUUAUAACAUUGAGAAGUCUAGGUGCUCUGGCUCUUUAGGUUUAUUAUGCAAAGACAUCAGAAGACUAAAACAUAUAUUUAGAUGCAAAUUAGGGGUAACGAAAGCCAAAUUGGAUAUGCAUUCAUUUCAAUUUUUCAGACUUAAUAAUACAUGCAGCCAUUGCCAACCAUACCCUGAUACACAGACACAUUGAUGAAGUAAGAUUUCGGCAGACAGCAAUUAGAUCACAGAUACAUGAUGACGGUUUUCGUGUUGUAUAUUUUCAACUCACCAAAGCUAUGGCAGGGUUUCCAACUUCAGCAAAUGAUAAGCCGGGACUAGAAACGUAACCAUUAGCCUCCAAUGCUUCUGUUAGAGCUUUUACUGCAACAUCUUCACCGGACUCUUCACAAGCCUUUCCUUCACCUGAAUCUUCACAAGCCUUUCCUUCACCAGACUCUUCACAAGCCUUCCGUUCACCAGACUCUUCGCAAGUCUUUCCUUCACCGGCAUCUUGCUUUGAAGGUUCUGAAGUAACUUUUGCUUCAUCAGCAUUUGGUUUUGAUUCAUGAUCACUUUGCUUUCCUUCACCAUCAUUCUCAGAAGUGUCUCUCUCUUCACCGGUUUCCAGGUUUGAAGUCUCCAUUGGAGAAGUCUGACAAAGGUCCUCCUUGGGAUCAGCUUUAGCAUCAGUCGUUUCAGGAGCAUUAUCAUUGGUUGCACUUUUAUCAGCUGGUUCCUUUAGAUUUUCCACCGUAUCAUCAGAUUCAAAAAAGGAAUCCUCGAUUGGCAUUUGUACAAAGUGUAAGAUACACUGAGCCUUUGUUUUUGUAGCAACAUGUUCAGCAAUCUCACUCCAGUUUUCUUUAUAAAUUUCAAUUGCCUCUAAGAGAAGUAGGGUCUCUUGAUCUGUCCACUUUCCUCCAUUAAGACCACGAACCUCCCCAGGCUCCAUAAGAAUAAAAUCUGAAGACGACAUGUCUGUAUCGAACUUCCCAUUACUAAAGCAAUCCGCACAUAAAUCAUAAUCUGCCUGUUCAUACAGAUGAAUAAUCAGACAGAAAAUUUAAGUUUACUAUUAAAUGUCAAAAGCUAUGGUGACAUUGUUGCAGCUUUCGACAACAAUGGCUAUAUGUGUAUGUUGAAUGCAAUGCCGUUAUCAUAAUGAUUAGAUGGGUUCUAAUAUGGCCGGAAAUACUGGAUUCUGACAUAAAUGCAUAUACUAAUCGGUAACGGCCAACACAGGACUUUUUUUGGACUAAAGCAGAUAACUGGAUGUAACGUACCGUAUAUGAUAACGGUAUUGCAUUCAAUAUGCACAUAUAGGCAUUGUUAAGCCAAAAAAUUCAAGGGAAGACUCACCUGCUUCGGACAGUGGUAGCGCUUGCGAGAGCAAUCAGCUGAACAAGAAUUACAGUGGUACUCGACUGCAGGUCCCUCGGGCUGUAACAACUCUUCCCUAAUUGCAGCAGAAUCUGGAAAAAAUCCGGGUGGUAGAGAUGCAGUUACGACGUUAGGCUUGGGAACAACUCCUGCACAUGAUGAAAUAGGUCCAAAGCGGAAUAACUUCUCCAGCAAAGAGUCCUUUGCUUCAUCGCCCUUGGAAUUUUCAGAAGAAUCUUUUUCUGGAAAAGAGUGGAAAUUAAUCAAUCCCCAGUAGUCCAAGAACUCUAGCACCUCCUGUCUCGCUUCCAAGUCUGCAACUUCCAAAUCUGAUAAAUCUUUCAACUCAAUCAGUUCAUUUGGGUUUGCAUGAAAUUUCCUUACAAUCCAAUUACGUAUCUCCAUGUAUGUCGCAGGUGUCCGAUUAGGGGACUUCCCACUGAAGAAUGAAGGCAACGAAUGCUCCUCAAGAGGAUGAACUUUAGUCCAUGAAAACCACCCUGUCAUCAAGAAUGGCACGCAACUAAUAAGAUUAAUUUCUGCCAUCAAGAGAUGUUAUGUAAUUCAAAAUUCCACAUGCAACUAUAAACGGCUAUUCUUUCGACAAAUUCCAAAGUUUCUAUAGAGCAGUUCCACAAAAGAAAAUAUGGUAAAUGUGAAUACAAAUUUCAUACGGCAUUCUAGACCACAAAGCUGUAAAACAAUUCAACCAAUAUAUAAUUACCGACAGAUGUAUGAGCUAAGAUACAGGAAUAACCUGGCACUAAUGCAAAGCUAAAAUGCGAAAGAAUGAUCGAGUUAAAUGCUUGUGUGCAGCAAGACACAUCAAACUAAGUUCAUGAUUUUUCCCCUUCUAUCACUCGAUCACUCCAGAGCAACACAGUUACAGGUAAAUUAUCAAACUAGCCAGCUCAAGUAAACAUGAAAACACAGAAAAUUAUUGAAAUAUCAGAAGAAAUUUGCUCUUAUGCUCCCGUAGACCAAAAGAAUGCAACUUCCAACCAACCUUAGAAACCUAAAAACACUCACCGCAGUGAUUAGGCACCACAUGAGCGUUAGCCUCCCUCGAUCUAACACAUUCAAAUUCUAACUCGAUCUUCUUCUCCAGCUCCUCCAAUCUCUUCCUCUCCUCCUCCUCAACAGCUGUCGCAACAGCAGCUAAUCCAGCUCUCUCCUUAUCCUCGAGCUUCACCGAAGUAGUUGCAGCCGCCGCCGAAGAAGUGAGAUUGCUGGGACCAUGCCUGGCAGCCCUUGUCAACGGGCCGUUGUGAAAUGGAGAGUUGGAGAACGACGACAUCAUAGCUGAUUUCUCUCGUGUCGUCAUCCGCUUCGAAGGUGCGGAAGAGGAGAAGAAAGAAGAACCCGAGAGCGAAUUUGCCUUCCUCUUCAGCCCACCUCGCCGCCUUGAAGGCUCCGCCGACGCCGGUGAAUCGGCUCCCGCCGGCGAUCUGUCGUCCAUCUUGGGGGAAGAAUUAGGGAUUUGGUGGAUUGGAGAGACUCUCAGCAAGAUUUGAAAGAGAGCAGCUCCAAUGGAGUUAACUGUCGGAUACUCUCAACUGUUUUGUCUCUCCUUUUUUAAAAGUUUUUCAUAUUAAUACUAUUAUUAAUUAUAUUAAUCGAUGCAUUUCUUAAAUUUAAAUUACAAACAUAAUGAGCCUCGGUUUAAUUAAUUUUUAUUUUUUUAUCAAAUUAAUUUUUAUUUAUUUGUGCACAACUAAUUUCUAUUUGUAGGAAAACAAUUAGACAAGAAAUAACUAAUAAGGUUGAUCGUAUACUAAGAUGGUUGUUCAAGUUCAAGCUUGUCAUGAUUUUUCAAAAAUGGAAUUGAUAUUAAAGUUGUUUGGUGAAAUUAUACGUGGAGUUAAAUUUUAAAUUUAUAGCAAAAUAUUAAAGAUUAAAAUAUACGAAUGGAGGGAGUUGGAGAUAUAACUAAAUUUUGAAUUAACACAUAAACGGUAAAUUUAUAUCUAUCAAUUUUAACUAAAUAUCAUUUUGAAGGUACGAGCUGAUUAUAAUUUUUUAUUUACUCGAGCAUCAGGAUAAAAUUUAAUCAUAUUCUAUUUAUACAUCAAGAGUAAAAUCGACGUCGUUGCGGUAACAAAGAUAGAGUUGGGGAGGGACUAUCAAACUCCGUCACCAUUUGUCACCCGCCACCUCGCCCCUCAUGGGUGGCGGGUCGAGGCGCAAUGCACCAAAACACAACGAUAAAGUUGGGGCGGGACUACCAAACUCCAUCACCAUUUGUCACCCGCCACCCACAAGGGGCGGGUCGAGGAGCAAUGCACCAAAAUCUUGGUAAAACGGAUACUCGGGCCACAACGAAGCAAUGGUUUAAAAAAUGUGAACAUUUUAAAGUUUAAGUCACUAUAAUUGUCAAGAAAUGCACUGGAAGUCACUAUGGAUGGUUAAUCAUUUCAACCGCCACCCAACAGGAUUGGUGUAGCUUGACUAUUGAUCGAGCAAGUUGGUCUCUUAUGAAUAAUUUGGUGAAAAUAGGUAGAUAUAUGAAAAAUAUGUGAAUGGGAUUCAGUUAAAAAUCAUUUUGGUAAAAGAAAUCCAACCCCUUAAACAAUUAACUAACCAAAUUAAUUUUAAUUUAACCAACUUAAAUUAAUCAAUUAAUAAAAUUCAACUGUUAAUCAUAACCGAAUAACAUCUCACAUAUAAAUAAAGAAGUAGACAUCAUAGUUUAUAAUUUUAUAUAGUAAAAAUUCGAUCAAUCUACAACCCCUUGUACUUUCGAGACAUUCCUUAAAAGUAAACUUUAAUUAAUAUCUGGAUUGAAAGUACUGCGAUGGGCCUUUAGAUCCCUAGCUAGUUAAGCCCAAGCCCAACUUUGACUCGGUUGUCGAUUUCUCCACUGUCCACCGUCGUUUAUUGGGAGAAAAACGCAGAAAGGCGGGAAAAAUUAAAAAAAGGGCGCGAGACAAGAAUCCUAAUUGCACAAAGACAAGGAAACCUAAUCAAUCAAAGUAUAGUUAGGAAAGGAAAACAGCGGAAAUAAUUUGAAGGAAAUAAAACCCUAAAAAUAACAAUUAGUGAGUUACAAACAACCGUAACUCGGUAAGGCUACUCAGAGCCUAUAAAUACCAACUAGCAACGGUCUUAAUUCAUUCAUUCUUGACGGCGCAAAUUCAAUUUAGAAUCAUUCUCUCCAUCCAAUCUAAUCUGCGUAAUGUUGGAUCCGUCUUCCAACCCUCCGAUCAGACUCUCGUUCUUGGUUACCUCCUCGCCAAGCUCUGCGGAUUUCCUCUACUUUCCGGCCACGUCCACCACUGCGACCUCUACGGCGUCGAGGACCCUUGGGAGGUCUGGUCCGGAUUCCACGGCGACGAUCUUGUAGAAGGCGAAGAAGGAGAAACCGAUUUGUACUUCCUUACUCCGCUGAAGAGGAAGACCAAAACGGCGAAGAACAUCCAACGAACGGUUGGGACCAGGGGCGCCACGUGGCAUGGGGAAGACCAGGGGAAACCUAGUAAAAGCGUUGACGGGUGUAUAGAGUGGGAAAAGAAGAGGUUUAAUUACUAUUGUGGAAGUAGAAGUAGUAGUGGAAGAUGAUGAUUCCGAUGAGGAAUUAGGUCAACAGGACAGAGGAGGAAUCCCCUUUAACGAAUCGGCCAUUGCUAUUGUGGAAGUAGAAGAAAAGACUACUAGUAACGAAUUUGAUCAAGAGGUAGUCAUGGUAGAUGAUGAUGAUGAUGGUUUCGAUUUCGAUUUCUUCUGCGGUGUAGGAGACGAUUUGGGCGAUGCAGCUGAUGGCACUCUCACUCUCGAGGAGAUAUGGGGAGCUACGGAGAUAGAUAGUUGGUUAGUUGGUUGGUGAGAUAGGAUUGAUUCAUACUCUCUAAAUUGUAAUUAAAUAGAACUACGUUAGGCUUGAUCCUCCGUAGGAGUUGGCAGGAGUACGAGGUACAUAAGCAGCUCGAUUGUUGUCGAUUUGGCAAUGAUGACGGGUGCAGUCUAAUCAUUAUUACAAAAUUGAACAAGAUGUAUACAAGCUUGAUUGAUAUAACAGUAAAGAUAAUUCACAUUCAACUCUGUAUAUCUGCUUUCCUAACCUCGUAUGUCUCUCUGUUUCCAGAAUUGUAAUAUGAUACUGUUGACUGCAAAACUGAUAGCAACUGGAAAUAGUUGCAGUUAACAGAAAUUCAAUAUAGGGAAACCUAGCAUUCAGAAGCCGACUAAUAGGAUUCGAGAUCUGAAAUGGAAUAUAUUAUACUUAAAUUGAAACCACUAUCAUCGAUCUGAAAUGGUAACCACCCCGACUCAAGCCGAUUCUCAACCGCCCCGACUCAAGCCGGUUGCCAUUCAUAUAUACAUCGAUUUUGAAAAUCCGAUCCUCUACACCUAUCAACAUCACACUACCAAAACCGAAAACCCAUUCAUUCAAAAUGCUCAAACCAAAACCAGUUCCUCGACCUCCAAAACUUAAACAUCACUAAAGUAUCACUGAAAGAGAAGAGUUGACGAUGUUUGCCUGGGUUUAUUACAUAUAGAGCUUGAAUUCAACGACAUCACAGAUAGAUGAAAAUAUCUUUAAAGAGUUCUUGCUUUGCUCGUCACUCUUCUCCUCCAUCUUUCAGAUGUGUUCAAUGCAAAGCAAUCCCUCCACCUGAGUAUUCAACCUCCUGCAUAUCACACCAAGAAAGCAUGCAUCAGUCAGAGUUGCAAUCUUUCACAUCUCUGGGGUUGAAUCAAUUAGGGCUAGUUGGUUUCUGGGCACGGGUCACUGCAGAUCGACUAAUUAUAACAUGUUACUAGUGUCGACUGACUCUGAUCAGGUUGGGAAAAGAUUAAUCGAUACAUGUCACUUUUAACUUUUUUCCCAAACAAAUUGAAGCAUUCAAAGUUCAAGAUUUAUGCCAGCUUUCGUAGUUUGUGUUCACACUCUUUAUCAGCCAUUAUAAUGUGUUGGAAGGUAAAAACGAGGGGGGGUUCUAGAAUUGAACCUGAGCAGGUGGUAGAGUUGAAACCCAGUCUGAUGCAUGUGUUGGAAGUAGACCCAAUGUGUUAAGCUGCACAAACAAAACAUGGUUGAUAAUGAGAAUGCAAAUCACGUAAAAAAAUCAUUAGAAAUGCAAUUGCAGGACGCUUUGUUGGACAUGUGUCUCACCUUCCAAACCCCCAAGAUCAUGGCCCCUAGAUUUAGGGCAAUGUAUAGUAACUUAGGUGUAAGAAGGUCAACUUUGCUGUCCUUGUAUGGCUCAAAGACUGCAAAGGGGAAGAAGGUUAAACCAUUACAGUAGCUAACAUCAUUGGAGAAGUGCACCAUUGCUUUUACGCAUGCUUUAUAGGGAUUAAGAUCAUAGUCUGAACUAGAGAGGCAAGCAUUAAGAUCAAAGCUUGUGAUAGGAAACAGUCUCUAAUUCAUGAUAUUGCAGCUUACCCUUUCCAACCCCUUGUAGAGCGCUCAAGGGUUGCCAAAGAGCUGAAAACGUAAUACCAAUGCUGAAAAGGUGCACUGUAUUCCCAGCCAUCCACAUCAUGAACCCCAUCAUUAGCAAAUUCUUGAAAGGUGCUUGUGCUACUUCCCAUGCUUUCUGCGCAUUACAUUAACUUCAUUACUCAUCAUUUCACUCAAACAGAUAGAAAAGUUCAGAAACCUACGAACUACGCAACUUAAUUAUUUCACCAAAAAGUAAUUGUCAACUGUAUCACUCGAGAAAAUAACCCUUGUCCAACCAGACGCAAUAACAAUGAUGUCAUACAUAAUACAAACUCCAACACCAGGCACUGUAUCAGUCACAACAAAACUCAAGCCUAAUUCAGUAUGGGAAUCCUGACAUCCUACAGACAGAUAAAUCCAGUUCAAAUAUCUUCUAAAACUUCAGUUUCACAAACAGAAGUUAAUAACCAACCUGGGAUUUCCAAUUUGCUUCAGCAUCCUUCUUUUGCUUUGAUACAGCAGAUUCAUCCUGAAACCGAGUCCAAUUAUUCAACAGUUAGCAACCCAAUCGAAUACAGAACAUAAUCAAACUAAUGUAGCAAGGAAAUAAAGGUUAAAAAACAAAUCAACCUGAUCUUGGGAGGCACGAGAGUAACCGGGAGGAUCAGGGAUGUCACGAGACGAAGGGGCUAGUGAAUUGUCAGUGAAAUCAACAGCCCAUCUGCGACCCGAACCCAUAAUUCCUUUUCCCUUGUCCAUAAUAAUUUGCUAACUUCGAGCCUGAUUCACUCCUAUUCCAAUCUCUCCGUUGUUACAGCAGAUGGAAAAGACUAAUAUAAGUAGGAUACGGCGUGGAGUGUUCGAUUCUCCUGAGAAUGGCAGCUUAUCUACUGUUACAAAGGAUAUCGACACUUUAAGAAAUUAAACUGGCUAUAAGUUUGAGAAACUGAGUGAUAGCACGAAUCGACCCAAGUCCAUAUAAUCAACGUGGUCUGCAUAUUCCCAAAUCAACGAAAAUCAUUUUCUUACGUCACGGGGUUCACUGAAUUCAACAAAUAUCUCAACCUAGCUGGCCGAAGAUUAAUUCUACCAGGUCCAAUCUUCUCAGUUUCUAGCGAUCUACAUUCUAAAUCACAAACAAAGAAACAAAUCAACUAGUUCCUUACCUCGCCCAGCAAAGUAAGCAGAUUAAAACUGCUCCGAUCCGAUCAAGAUAUCCGGCCGAUUUGUGAGGCUCUCCCACCCGCCUGAAGCUAAACUCUCGCCGUUACUCCGAUUUCUCCAGCUCCGACGAUAUUGACGAUAAAAGAAAAACUCUACUAGUGGAUUGCUGAAAGUGAAAUUGAGGCGAUGAGGGUUUCGUAGGUUCGUUCGACAAUGAAAUCAAAUUAGCUAUUUUAAUCUUUAUCUUAUUUUGUUCUUAAUUAAUAUUUGGCGACGACACCGUUUUUGUCUUGAUUGUUGGCAAGUAGCAAGGCCCAGCGGUUGACAAGCGUAGCCGAUUUUUUCCAAUGGGCCGGCUUGUUUAUUUUUCACUGGUUCAUUCGACAUUUUUUUAUUUUAGCAAUAGUUUCGUUUCGAGAGUAUCCGUAAUAGUUCGAUAAUCAUAAUGAGGUAGACUCGAUAAUUAUAAAAAAUUCGGUUCAGCUAUCAUAAUGUUCGGUUCAUGAAUAGGUCUUGAGAGGUGAAAAACGAAGAAUUUUUACAUAAACAUGCUAAAAAUACAGAAAUCAAACUUAUAAUAAAGGUAAACAAGUUAUAAUGAACUAUAUAAAUUAAGUUUGCUCAUGAGCUACAAUCGAACAAGCUAUAAAACAAGCUCGGCUAGUAAGCUUGGCUCAGCAAGCCCAAACAAAGAACCGGUUUGUGAGCCCGUUGAAUCGAGCAUUGUUGGGUCAACUCGUACCAUAUACUAUAUAACAAAAUCAUUUCAAAUUAUAUUUUUAACAUGUUUAUAAGCAGGGUUGGAAAUUUGAACGUUUUGAAUAUCGAUACCUGAAAAGGUGAAAAUGUAAUAAAACCCCAACCAAACUUCAAAAUUAAUCCGAAUACGAGUACACACACUCGUACAGAUAUCGUAAAUUCCACAACAAACUACAAAUUCCACUCCUAUGAAGAAGGACCGAACUGCUGUAUAAAUCCAAGCAUUGAAUGAUUCAGAACAAAUAGAUUAUAAAGAACAAGAUCAGCAAUAUACUUUUGUCAUUCUUCACUCAUCAGCAUCAAUCUGCAGUUUGUUGUUGUUGGAUAAAAAAAUAUUAUAGUGUUGUAGGCUAGCCAAAUCCGAACCCGCACAGUAAGUCGGUACCAAACCCCGCUCAGAUUCGGGACAAGAUCGAGAUUACCCGAUACCCUAAGAUUAUUAAUAUCAUCGUCAAUAACAAGGUAAUGAAACCCUAUCAACACGUAACUGCCGACCAAUUUUUCCCGGUGCAUUCAUAUUCAUAAUUUCCCUUUGUUGUAUCAGUCAUAAUCUCAUCCGUCCCUUUUGAGUAAGUAAUAAAUACCACCUAACCAAUUAAAUUUAUAAUUUUCCAGAAGGAAGGAACCAGCCUGAUGAGAAGAUCACCCAACUCAAUUAGAGCAGAAAGCCAAACCUCCGUAGCCCAUGGUCACCAUCGACAACAGUAGCAACACACAACGCCAACAAAUCAGGCUCGUCAGACUGACGAAAAUCGAGCUCGUGCUCAAGUUGGCUCGCAAUCUAAACGACCGGGGUUCGAAUUCGCAAACCACUAGUCUAUCUGUUUAUAUAUCUAGCUAUACGUUGAGAAUAUUGCUUUAAAGGUAGUUGGUAUAUUAGAAAAAAAGAAGUUUAUUUUCGGUAGUCCAAUUAGUUGAAAUUUAUGCUUCACAAACCAAUUAUAUUGAAAACUUGUGGUUUGAAUUAUCGAAAAUGUUAUUUUCCUGGCUAGCCCAUAUUGUUGAAAAGCUUUGAAAUUGGACCCUUUCCGACGAUUUUAACAAGCUACCAGACCGACCAACCAACUUUCAUCAUACGUCCCUUUCAAGUGGUAAUUAUAUACCACCUAACCAUCUAGAUUUAGUAGGUUUUAGUAGAGUAGUGAAAUUGGACGAUUUAAAGUUUGAAAUUUUAUUUUAAAUUGGUGGUUAAUUAAUGAAAUUAGGUAAAUUUUUGGUUUGAAUUUUUUUUCCCGGUAAAUCUUAAUUUAUUUGACCGAAACUGCUAAACGGCCAAAGUUUACAGAGUUAACUCAGGCGACAAAGAGGAAAAAGAAAACUAUACAGCUACGGAAUUAAUUACAUCUAACAGAUAUACAAAUUAGUAUAGGCAUCUAAACAACUUGUAAUGCUACUAUCACACUUAAUUACAGAAAGAUCCCAACAAAUCCGCCAACCCAAUUGAUCACUAUUCAUCCGAGCUCCAAUGAAGAUGCGACGACAUCUCUCUUUCUAAAGAUGAUUGCACAAACAUCUCCAGACCAGGUGCACAACAUGAGAGAUCGAAAAACGACUAUGAAAAUUGCAAAGCAUCUACUCCACUUCAUCCUCCCAAACUCCACAAGAAGUAUUACAAAGAAAUAAUUUACUUCUGAAACGAGCAAGAGUAAGGGCAAGUGAGAAAUAAAUGCUCAAAAGUCUCAAGACCAACAUCACGAAGAUAGCAAACAGAAUUAGUAGUGAUACCUCAUUUAAUUAAUUUGUUUUUCGGAGAUAACCUGCCAAACAUGAGCUGCCAGCAGAUAAAUAAAUAUCUUGGAAUGGAGGGAGGACUUCACACAAGUGCCCCCAAGAGAUUUAAAUCUUAAAAUCUUAUAAAAUUAACGAUUUUUGUGUAUUUUACGACUUUACUUUCUAAGUAUAAAUUGUCCAUUUGUCAUUUUGUUUCACUCAUCUGAAUUAGAAUAAAAAAAUGAGGUGUUAUUAGUAAUUUAUUUAUUUUAUUGAUAGAUUGUUAUUAUUUAAAUAAUAAGAGAAAAUUAAAAUAAUUACAACAGUCUAAAAUUAAUGCACUUUCUUUUUGAAAUUUUCUAUUAUAAAAAGUCGUGGAAUUUUGUGCUAUUCGAUUUUAUGAUUAUUAUUUUAAAUCAUUUUUCGAUUUAACACUGACUCAACGAUUUCCCUGACUUCCGAGUCAGACGCAUCCGGACAAGGGGCCAGAACCACGAAGCCUGUAUUACUAAUUCCCCGUCUUGAUUCGAUGCGAGCGUGGGGCGCAGGAGAAGGAAUAUGUUUAUUGAAAAGCUACUCCGCCCGAUGGCAAACUCUGAAUAUUAGAUAGAACCUCAAAAUAACAAGAGUCAAAGUCAGCCGGUGAAACGAUGGGGGAGAAAGAAACAGCCCGGAUGCGCAUUUCCAUGCAAGAUAUAAUUGCUCCACACGGCACACUCUCUCUAGCAAAUCUCUCAAGUCAAUUAACUCGAUUCAUAAUAACGCGGGUCCCUUCUGGAUCUACUCGAUCAAAUACAACACGAUAUAUAAAUAUACAUAAAAUGAAAUACCAGCUCGCCAUUCCAGCAAACCACAGACUUCCUGGAGAUGAUCACUGAAAACUUUGAUCACAAACCAUGGAAGUCAUCAGAUUUGCAGAACAACACAACAAUAACAGCAGCAAUAAUACUCUAGUGUUUGCAAUCAACAACAAGAGAUUCGAACUGACCAACUUAGACGACUCAUCAACGACUCUGCUUCAAUUCCUGCGUACCCAAACCAGCAUCAAGAGUCCCAAGCUGGGCUGCGGAGAAGGUGGCUGCGGAGCUUGCGUUGUUCUGCUGUCCAAGUACGAUUCCAAAGUCGAAAAAGUCGAAAGCUUUACGGUAAGCUCCUGCCUGACGUUGCUGGGGAGUGUUCAUGGAUGUUCAAUCACAACAUCUGAAGGGAUUGGCAACAGUAGGGACGGAUUCCAUGAAAUCCACCGCAGGUUUGGUGGAUUCCAUGCCUCUCAGUGUGGAUUCUGCACUCCUGGAAUGUGCAUGUCGCUUUACGGAGUGCUUGUUGAUAAAAACAACAAUGGUGGUGGUGGUGAAAAGCUGAUGACUGUAAUUGAAGCUGAGAAGGCCAUUGCAGGAAACCUCUGCAGGUACGAUUAACUGUUGAAACUGACUAACCGAUUGAUUUUGGUGGAUGAAUCGGUUAACUCAAAAAAAUUGUCUCUCUCGGUUAACGCUUUGAUAUUUUUUUAACCGAAACAAAAUUUUGAUCGGGCUCUUUUCAGAUUUAUAACCUUUUAACCAAAACGAUUUAUUACGUAAGAUUGGUGAUUAAUUAACUGAUUAUCACUAAAGUAUCACCGGCUAAUUAACCGAUCGAAUGUGGUCAAUUAUAUACAUUUUUCUGAAAAAACGACCUUAACCAGCCUAUUUCACUCGGUUAAUCUGUGGUUAGUUAACCGAUUAUCACCAUGUCUAGUCGGUUCAUUGGUUAAUCAAUUUUCGUAACAUGACCUUAAUGAAUCGGCCGAACGUGAUCAAUUAUUAACCGCCCUGACCGAUUUCCACUCCUAUAUCAAGGUGUACCGGAUACAGACCGAUUUUGGAUGCUUGCAAGAGCUUUGCAGUUGAUGUUGAUAUGGAAGAUUUGGGUGCUAACUCAUUCUGCAGAUUACCGUCUUACAGUUCUGGUACUGGAGGAAUUUGUAGUAGUGCUGCAUUUCCUGAAUUCCUGAAAAUGCAGGGGAAAUCGAACUCAGCUUCCGGCUCGUGGGUUGUUCCUCAAUCUACCGAGGAGCUUCUGAGAUUAAUGAAUGGAAAUGUUAAGAUGAAGCUAGUGGUUGGAAAUACAGGAAUUGGUUACUACAAGGAGGAAUUAGAUGAUAUCUAUGACAGAUACAUUGACAUCAGGUAUGUUCCUGAGCUUUCGAGAAUCAGUUAUAACGAUCCGAACGGUGGUGGGAUCAAAUUCGGAGCAGCUGUAACGAUUUCCAAAGCCAUAACAGCUUUGAAGGCCUCAUCAGGAUCAUGUGGAGUAGUGUACCGAAAGAUAGCGGACCAUAUGGAGAAAAUCGCGACCCGGUUCGUUCGAAACACCGGUAGCAUAGGUGGGAAUCUGGUAAUGGCACAAAGGAAAGGGUUUCCUUCAGACAUUGCUACUCUUCUUAUUGCAGCUGGCUCUUACGUUGAGAUACUAACCGAUUCGAUCCUCAAAAGGCUGACAUUGGAAGAGUUUCUUCAGGAAACUAGGCCACCGUUGGCUGAUUCCGCAUCCGUACUAAUCAGUAUCGAAAUACCUAGCUCAAAAUCUGCAGUGUUUGAAACGUAUCGCGCUUCGCCAAGGCCUUUAGGGAAUGCAUUGGCUCAUCUCAGCUCUGCUUUCAUGGCAGAGAUCGACGGUGGAGAUGUGAUCAGCUCGUGCCGAUUGGCGUUCGGUGGGAAUGGAAUCAAUCGUACGAUUCGAGCUAGAAAGGCUGAGGAUUUCUUGGCAGGCAAGAAAGUAACCGCUAGUGUUGUGUAUGAAGCUAUCAGACUUGUUAAACACAGUGUUGCAAAAUCGAGUAGUUCGGAUCCUGAAUACAAGUCGAGCUUAGCUGUUGGUUUCGUUUUCGAAUUCCUUAGCCCCUUGAUCCUAAUUAAUGGGUUGGUAAAUGAAGCUUGUGAGACAAGUUAUCGCCUGUUAUCAUCCGGGAAGCAGAUUUUUCAAGUGCACAGAGAGAACCGACCGGUGGGGGAGCCGGUUCGAAAAUCGGAAUCUCUAAUUCAAGCGUCUGGUGAGGCAGUUUUUGUAGAUGACAUUCCUUCACCUGAAAAUUGUUUAUACGGAGCAUUUGUGUGGAGCACCAAGCCUUUUGCUAGAGUGAAAGGAAUAGGUUUCGAGUCUAACCGGCUUCCAGAUGGAGUUGUUGCUCUGAUAUCUUCGAAAGAUAUUCCAAAAUGUGGCGAGAAUUUGGGGUCGAAGACGAUAUUCGGUACCGAAACUCUGUUUGCAGAUAACGUCACGCAUUGUGCUGGGGAACGCCUUGCUUUCGUGGUAAGUAAAUGAUAAAAAAAUUCCUGAUUCCUUAUCAGAAAUAAUUUCCUGAUUCCAUGGCUUUAAGUUUUCAGGUUGCAGAUUCACAGAAAAAAGCUGACGCAGCAGCAAAGAUGGUUGUUGUGGAUUAUGACACAGUGGGGAUGGAACCGCCAAUUCUGACUGUGGAGGAUGCUGUUAAGAGAUCCAGCUUCAUCAGUGUUCCUCCGUUUCUGAAACCGGACGAAGUCGGUGAUGUAACGACAGGAUUUGCUGAAGCGGAUUACAGAAUCAUCAAUGCUCAGGUUGAAAACCAAUCUUGAAAUUUCUCGAGCUAUUAGGAUGAAAUGGUUUGUGAUAUGUUAUCAAAAUCUUUGAUAUUUUUUGGUGCAGAUGAAAGUGAAUUCACAGUACUACUUCUAUAUGGAGACACAGACUGCUAUGGCGGUACCAGAUGAAGAUAACUGCAUGGUGGUUUAUAGUUCAAGCCAAUCCCCAGAGGCUGUUGGUGUCACCAUUGCAGGAUGCCUUGAUCUUCCUCAGCACAAUGUACGUGUGAUCACAAGAAGGGUUGGCGGUGGUUUUGGUGGAAAAGCCCUCAAAUCUAUACCUGUGAGUAGUAAGCUUACACAACUUUCCAUCAUUUUGAUUCUUCGUUGAGUUGCCAAAUGAGUUAGUAAUCUGAUUAUUCGAGCUUUUGUCUACCUCGAGCUUGACUCGUUUAUUUUUUGGAGUACUCGAGUUCGACUUGAACUGAAUUCGAGUAUUCCUAUUUUGGUUUAGAAUUGGCUAGCUCGAUUAUAAAAAAUCACCGCUAACUAUUAAGCGAUAACUAGUUCCUUCUUAUCAAACAACAAUCACUUUAUCAAAUAUAUCUCAUUUGAUCAUACAACUAAGUUGAUGAAAGGAAUAUCAAUACACAAUCAAUAGACUUUUAAGUUUGAUCAUAAAAGUAUGAAUUUUUAGUUGCUUCCCACCUAGAAAGUAUAUUAAUUUGAAAAUUUUUAACACUAACUUAACAUAGAAAAAACUAAUUUUUAACUUCAUUUGACCUCUAUUUACAAAGAUUACAAUAGUGAAAUAUGACUUUUUAGCCAUUUCCAAUAUGCAUGUCAAAUAUUAGGUGAUUCGAAAAUUUUGAAAUUUUCAUAUAAAAAUGAUCAAUAUUUAUAGGGAACUGACAAUUUUUACAUGAAAUUUUUUUUGACUAAUAUUUGACUAGUAUGUUGGAAAUGGUUANNNNNNNNNNNNNNNNNNNNNNNNNNNNNNNNNNNNNNNNNNNNNNNNNNNNNNNNNNNNNACCCCCUCCAAAUAAUAGCCAAAUAAAGUGAAAAGAUCAUUUUUUCUCGUACGGUAAUGGUGUUAUGUUACUAUUGACAUUUUUCAAAUUAGCUACAUUCUUGCAAACAUCUUGUAAAUAUCUAGAAAUCUAAAUUAAACAAUGUCAAGCCUUCAAAUAUUAGCUCCUCGCAAGAGGGUCAAGUAGCUACUUGAUCAUGUAACAUAUAUUUUCACAUUGAUCUUAUAAUUCAAUAUUAUUUUAAACUUCAUGUUAUGUGUUCUCAUUCGUAUCUUCUUUCACAUGUAUAACAAUGCUCAAAUCCUAUGAAACUAUUCUUUACCUAUAAAUAGUUGGAUAGUUGAUGCAAACAGUCGGAACAAAAUGUGGUAUUCUCGUCAAGAGAGUAUGACUGAUGUGAAUACAGAAUAUAUGAUCAAAGUUAUAUGAAGCCAUUGGUUUCGGUAAUGGUUUUCACCACAAAUUUAUUAGUUCGGUUUUGGUUCUCACAUUUGCAUGAAUUUUAGUUUUUGGUAAUGUUUUAAAUUGGAGAGAGAACUAGUGUAUAAAGCCACACAAAAAUGUUAAAUUCAUAGAGUACAUAUAAUAAUUAAAUGAAAUGUUAUUGAAGCUCUGCUCAAUAAUCAUAAUGAGCUCGGUUUGAUAACGAUUUUAUUCGAGUUCGGCUUUAAUUAGAUUUUAAAAUCGAAACACCGAACUGUUCACAAGUGACUUUAAAAUUAUAGAAUAUCAUUCACUAUUCUUGCAAGCAAUUUGUCUAAUCAACCUGGGUUUUUUUCCACCUGUUUCCAGAUAGCUACAUCAUGCGCACUUGCAGCUCAACUUCUACACCGACCAGUUAGGACAUACCUCAAUCGCAAAACCGACAUGAUAAUCUCCGGAGGCAGACAUCCAAUGAAGGUCACCUACACCGCAGGAUUCAAAUCCAAUGGCAAAAUCACAGCUCUGAAACUCGAAAUCCUGAUUGAUGCCGGUAUGUCACCGGAUGUAAGCGCCAUCAUUCCGGUCCACUUGGUAGCAGCACUCAAAAAGUACGACUGGGGCUCCCUAUCGUUUGAUAUAAAGCUGUGCAAGACGAACCGGUCCAGCAAAUCGACAAUGCGAGCUCCUGGUGCGGUCCAAGGAACUUUCAUUGCGGAUACAGUGAUGGAAAAUGUAGCAUCGGCUCUUGGCAUGGAUGUGGAUGAUCUGAGAGCUGUGAACCUUCAUUGUUACGACAGCCUCAAGCUGUUCUAUCCGAGAUGCUUCGGGGAACGUGAUGAGUAUACUCUGAGUAGUAUUUGGGAGAGAGUAGCGGAAUCGUCGGAGUUUCACAGGAGGAGGGAAAUGGUGGAGGGGUUUAACAGGGAUAACUUGUGGAGGAAGAAAGGGAUUUCGAGAGUGCCGAUCGUUUUUGAAGCUGGGGCUACAACAACUCCAGGGCGGGUAAUGUUUAUGAACCGUUACGGUUUUUUUGGCCUGUUGAUCAGUUUGGUCUGUGUGGGUUGUAUCGGUUUUGCCGGUUUCGUGGUUUCGUAGAGGCUAAAUACGUGUUUCGUUCUGUAACUUUAGAUGUGUUAUGUCUAGGUUUCGAAACUUCAAGAUGUUAUAUAUUGAUGUCGAAACUUACAGGUAUGGCCGACUAACUAUAGUGGUCCAAAUUGUAAGUUUGGAGACCAAUGUGCAACAUUUGAAAGUUUCGGGAUUGGUACAUAACCUGUACAGAAUCUAUUAUAUAUUUGGCCAGUUUCAAUUGAGAAUUAAGGUUAGUCUAGUAGUCUAUUCAUAACUCAUUCAUCCAUAGGGGUGGGACUCAGUCGCAGCUGUUAAUAACCGAUCAAAUUCGAUCGGUUAAUUUAAGAUUUUUUGAAAUAAUAAUAGGUUACCUAUCAAAGCAGGUUGAUUUUGGUUUAAAUAAAUAUAAAUAUGAAAAAAUUCUCAAACCUCUCACCGAUUAACCAGCCUAAUAAUUUUAGGGUAAUUGAUUAACUGGCCAAAGACAAUCGAUUAAUUAGUUUUAACCGCUAACUGUAUUCGAACUAUCAACCCUAAUUUCUCACGGUAAUAAGGAUCAUUACAACAUAGAAGUCAACAUCCCUAACUUGGCAUCAUUCUGACAUACUCUUUUUGGGGAGGGAAAUUAGGUUAAGAAAAACUGUAUUGUGUUGAUUUUUUUCAACAUGGAUUUCAUGUAUAAUUCAUUUAACAGGUAAGCAUCCUGAGCGAUGGAUCCAUUGCCGUGGAAGUAGGAGGGAUAGAACUGGGACAAGGUCUGUGGACAAAGGCCAAACAAAUGGCUGCAUUUUCCUUGAGUUCAUUAAUCAACUCUGAUUCUCACUACAGUCUGCUGGAGAAGGUAAGGGUUACUCAAGCUGAUACCUUAUCUCUGAUACAAGGAGGAUUCACCGGUGGGAGCACGAAAUCCGAAUCGACCUGCGAAGCGAUCAGACUCUGCUGCAAUGUUCUGGUUGAGAGAUUGCUUCCUCUCAAGGAGAAGCUGCAGAAGGAAAAUAAUGGGUCGAUUGUCAGAUGGGAGAUGCUCAUUUCCCAGGUACUGAUCGUCAAACCCAGAAACAGAUUAUAAACUGAUCAUCAUUGUUAGGAAUUGAUUCAUUUGAUGAUCGUAUGCAGGCGUAUAAAUCUUCAGUGAACUUAAGUGCAAGCUCUCUUUAUGUCCCUGACUUCAGCACCAAUCAUUACUUGAACUAUGGAGCAGCAGCAAGCGAGGCAAGUCAUAGAUUAGUUUGUUACUUUAGUCAUUGAUCGAAUUUUUACGGAGUCUUAUAACUUUCGAAUCAUUGGUCGGCUUAGCCUGCCCUGCCAAAUUUCAUACGUGUGAUGCAAUACAGGUGGAGAUAAAUCUUCUCACAGGCGAAACAACAAUUCUGAGAUCAGAUCUAAUAUAUGACUGCGGACAAAGCUUGAAUCCCGCCGUCGACAUGGGACAGGUGAGUUCCUUGAUUGUAUGAAGCACACAUUUCAUACAGUCUCAUAGACAGAAAACAAUUUCAUCAAACACAGCUACACAGACAUUUUCUCCUUUCUUCUGCUGCUGUUACCAGAUUGAAGGAGCUUUUGUUCAGGGGAUCGGAUUCUUCAUGAUGGAAGAGUACAACACGAAUUCGGACGGAUUGGUGACCACAGAUAGUACCUGGACAUACAAGAUUCCGACCAUCGACACCAUUCCCAAACAGUUCAAUGUCGAAAUCCUCAGCAGCGGACAUCACCGGAAUCGAGUUCUGUCUUCCAAAGGUAUUGACAUUUGCAAUGUAGUCAAAAUGUUGGCUUUGAAUGAUUACUCAUAUUGGUGUCCAACGAUUCUAAUUUCGGUCUUUACUAAUAAUCAUAAUUUUGACUACCUUGAAUAUAUGAUAUUUCGACUUGUAGCCUCGGGCGAGCCGCCCCUACUGUUGGCAGCAUCAGUUCACUGCGCCACAAGAGCAGCAAUCAAAGAAGCCAGGAAACAGCUGCAUUCGUGGGGAGGCCUCGACGACAGUGAUUACGCAAACUUUCAUCUCGAUGCACCGGCCACCAUGGCAGUUGUGAAGAAGUUCUGUGGGUUGAACAGUGUGGAGAGCUACUUGAAAUGGAAAUUACUCAACCAUAAGUAAGGAGACCAGGAAAAAAAAAAGACUCCUCAAUUCGAUGUAAGAAAGAACACUAAAAUUCAUUAUAAGAGUUGAUGAAAAUAUCGUUCGUUUUUCUGACACUACCAUUCGAAAUCAAUUGAUCGAAAUCAUAUGAUCCAAAUAGUUCCAACAAUUUUUAUAUCAACUUCCCUUAUAUUCGAAAACCGAGUGUUCCUUCAUGAUUUUAGUGUUUAUCACAUCAAAUUCUAACUUGACGUUAUACUUACAAAAUUCAAAACACAAGGCCAACUACAAAUCUUUACUUAAUGUACAAAUUAAGCUAGAUAACUCUAAAUAUAACAUCUUUUUACUAAACUCUCAAAAUCAAACCCUCAAAUCAGCCCAAACUAUAUCAAACUCGGGCAAAAAAUGACAAACGGGACCUUCUCCGGGCUCAAUUCCCAGAACUCGAAAAGACGGAUUAUUCCGAUCCCAUUUCGAAGUAUCCAUAUGGCAGACCGCGACAGCUUCCACAACCUCGCCUUCUCGGCCACCACCCAACAAAACCUUGAACACCUUCGUUUCGCCUCCGGGGCUAUGGCAGAAGUAGACCAAAUAAGGAUACGGCAUGGUGUGACAACCCAUCACUUUCCUCGUCAGGAUUUCCUCAGGUUCCUUCAGGACCGUAUAGUCCUGAACGGAAGAAGAAGAAGAAAUCGGUUUAUCCGAUUUUUUCAGCUGGUUAGUGGUUAGGGCCUUGAGCAGUUUGGUUUCCGACCCGAAAGUGGACCGGACGGAGUCGAGCAUCGACUCGAGCGAGGUCGCGCAGAACUUGGUCUCUCCGGUCAUGGGUUCGAGCUCGCACAAUGACAGUGUGGUCUCGACCGCUCCGGCCUGAGGGGACCCGGCGGAGAAGGAGAAGAGCUGGAGGAGGGAAGGGAGGUGGGCCGAAGCGAAAGGGAUCGAAUCGGAUUGCUGUUUCGAGAGGAAAUGCGGGGUGCUUGAAGGGUGCUUUUUCGAGAAGUUGAUCGGCAUGGUGGAACCGGGUUUGAGUUGGCCCGGUUUGAAGAAGAUCGACAAGUUCUGGUCUGAUUCAAUGGCUGAUCCUGUUAUAACCUGAAUGAAACAAGAAGAAAUAAAAACAGAGGAUUCAGUGGGAAAAUGAACAAAAAAUUGUAAAACAUUUCAUUGUAAGCAAGAAUUAAGAUCAGAUUCCGUACCGUGAGGAGAUGGAGCAAAAGAAGAAGAGUUGUCGUCCAGGAAGAAAGUUGAGGAGCCGCCAUGGAUGUGUUUACUUGGAGCUUUUGUUGUGAAGCUCUGUUUUCGGUUUUGGCUCUGUGUUUAUUGGAAUAAAUAGCGAUGGAGGUUUGGACUUUGGUGAUGGCUUCGGACUUUAGUAGGUUUGGAUCUAACAAGCUUUGGAUACGUUUUUAUACUUCAUUUAAUAUGUAGUUGACAGCUUUUUAUUUUAUUUAAGUCAACGUUGAACAUUGAUUUUCAUCCAUAUACAAAAUAGAACGUGGGUUUUUUUAUAUGUAAUUGUAUGAUGAAUGAUUUUUGCUGAAUUUAAAAGUACAUUUAUUACUACUCUCACAUUUUUAAUUCAAAUGGUAAUUUUUUUUAAAAUUGAAUUAAAGUUGAGAUGAUUAUUUGAAGAAUCACCAUCAUUAUUAUUAUUAUUAUUAUUAUUAUUAUGAACUCAAUAGUGCUGGUAGUGGUGUUGGGUGGGGGCAGAAGAAGUGGAGAAAGUCAACUUUGUUUUGUCAGAGGACUCCACUUCAAUCCAAAAUAUAAUAAUUAUUGUUAUUAAUUUCUAUCUAUCUGUUCUAUACUACAGUGUAACAUGGCAUUUAAAAUUAACUAAUAAAUAAUCAAAGUUAAUUGCAUGCAGCCAAAAACCCACUAGGUGUAUAAUAUUGGUUGUUUGUUACAAAAGUCAAACACUGCCAUUAAUUGUUAAAUGAGAUAAAUCAGUUGUCUUAUUACAAAUGUAUCACCCUCCCGUGCUAAUAUCCAAUUUUAUUUUUAAAAAGAGUGGAUAUUUGAAUGAUUAUUCCUCUAAAAUGUUCAAGAACAAACAUAUAUAAAGGUUGUCGGAGUUACAGACUUUACAAACGAAAUUAUAUGGAUUGCGGAUCUUUGCGAGUACAUGAAUCUCGAUCCUUGUUCACCAACUAACCUAUAAUGGCUAAAACUAAAGGCUCCCAUAAACAAACAUCCAAAACAAAUAAAGAAGGAAAAGCCUAGCUAUGGACUUGAAUGGUCCUUAUUGAAAACACCGUAAGGUUAGGUUUACGGUUGUUCACGACACCGCUUAGUUUGGAGGCAUGUGCUCCGGGUUGUUCUUCCGGGCCAGGUCGAGGCUCCGGUGUCUCAGCCUUUGGAAACUCUCUCCCAGGACCUUUUGUUAGUGUCCUCGGGUCCCUUGUUAUCGAAUCUAGCAUCAGGAACCCCGGUGGUCGCGAGGGGCCGUAACCCUGAGGUUACGGCUGUGAGGUCCUGAUCUGCCUCCUGCCAUCAUUUGGGGUGCGAAGAGUGUUGGUCACGGGUUGGGGUGGGUUCCGACGUUGGGUUGCUGGUGAGGCCAGCGGCAUGGAGCUUGCGUCGUCACGGGCCAUGCUUAAGCUUGGAGCAGGUGGUGGCUGGGGUUGUAAAAGACUCUUCAAGAGAGUGCAGCAAUGCUUCCUUGAAAGCGGCAGCUAGCCAGGACAUCUAUAUCCUCGUUUUAAUAAAAUCCCUGCCUUUAAAAUCAGAAUUAUUUUGUUAACCCAAUUCGUCAUAAUAGCUAUUUCAGAAUGCUGUCAAAUUAAGAUAUAUUAACGCCUUAUCGACACAUAAUUGUAUAGACAAAAGCAUUGUUCUAUAUAGUUAGGUUCUAGCCUAUAGUCCAAUCUCCUAGUACAAAUACCGACACGGGCCUUACACACACUUCACAUGACUUAAUGCCAAGAAGCUAUAGCCCCGAACAAUAACAACCUAGCCGCCGAUGUCGAGAAACCCUACGGUAUAGGCACUCGAUACAAAGACAACGAUCGACAUGCAUCGCAAUCAUGUAUGCGGUCGUGAGUAGUGUGCAUAUACAUCCUAACAUCAUUGACUUGGUACACAUAUUUGCAUAUUUACCGGACCCAGACUUAUCUAGCUACUAGUGCGAUCAUCAGUAGUGGGGAAUUAUGUCUAGGUUGGUAUUGAAUUGAACGGUACUUGAAAACUGCCGUCUAAAGUUGACCUAAGAAUAAAGUACUACUGUGUAUAUGCUGGCUGGCUGGCUGGCUGCUGGCUCUCAUCAUUACAAGUUUGGGGGGGCUGUACGUUUAAUCCAGAAGUCGCCACACAAUAUAUAUUCAAAAUGGAUCAAAUAAAGCUAAUUUCUUUUAUUAUUAUGACGAUAUAUAUGGAGAGCCGAGCCAAGUAGCCAACCACCAACUUUGGCUGGUUGCCCAAUUACUAACUAGGGUUGUUUAAUUUGUUGGUAUAUACCAGCACCAUGCAAUAGUACUCAGCAUGCAACAGUACUCCGUCCGGGGAGUUUCGGCUCACCCCAAUUUUGGCCGGAUUAUUAAUUUCGGGUGUAUAUUUAUAAUAUUUAUGAGUUCGGCUCUUGGUAAUUUUGAGUUCGGAACUAGCCAGUGAAAGUUCCGAUUAUCUUGUUUUUUUCUCUCAAGUACUAAAUUAUAUAUAAAAUUUUGAUGAUUUCAUAAUCCGACUAACAGUAUUUGAACUUCUACUCUUAUACUUAUUUGUUUAGACUGAUAAAUUAUCAUAAAUUUAGUUCAAAAAAUUCAAAUAUAGGACAAAAAAACUCGCCGGUGGCACAUAUAUUAUAUUUUCAACUAAAAGUAGUACAAUAAAUUAUUUUUAUUUUAUAUUGGUAUUAAAAUUAAUUCAUCAAUUGAUUAUAAUUUCAAAUCUGAUUCAAUGCAUAUUUCUAUCCUAAAUCCGUCAUUAAAUUAUUACUAUUUUGGCUUUCUUUUUCUAUCUAGCCACUCUUGUAAUUUUCCCUUUCUAGGGUUUCCUGUCAACUGUUGAUUCACCCCAACCCAAUAUCCUUAUAUAUGAGAGUAAUUAACUCAUAUGGUAUAUACCAGGGACGGAUUUAGAGUGUGACUGCUCUAGGUACGUGUCCUCCCCUUUUCAACGAUAAGAGUGACAAAUUUAUUAUAGAUUAAACUUUUUUAUUUUUGUUUAAUAAUAUUUUAAAUUUAAUUACGUAUUAAUUUCAAUUCUGAAUCCGUCCCGUAAUGCACGCGAUGAUGAAAGUUGAAAACAAAAGGCAACUGACUAAGAGAUAGACAAUCCUUUUCAAUCUUGUUUUGAUCACCCAUAAAAAGGUCAAACUAAUACUACCUUAUACCAAGUGAUUAUUGUUGAAGACAGAGAAAUUAAUUAGGUGCAUGCGUAGGUUGACUGGACAUUUUGAAAUUGAAGCCAUAUCCAUAAUAUUAAUGGAGGAUAAUUGUCAAGAGGAUGAUGCAUGUCGGAAAAUUCUCAGUGCAUGUCCACGUAUGCAUGUACGCUUCCUGCUGGGAAUUAAACAGCUACAUUCACCCAUCUUCAACCAUCCCUACAUAUCAAUACCAUCUACAAGUCUGAGAGGUCUCCAAACAUAACAAAGAUGGUCUACAAUUUUCGACGGAAUUUCAAAUUUAAAUGCCCAACUCGUGUAUUUAAAAGCUUGACACGAACUUCGAUUUUGAAGAUUUUACAAACAACAACUUUUAUCGCUUUGCAUCAUGAGUGAAUUCUAGAUCCGUGAUUUUAGGUUAGACUCGUCCAUCCCAAUUCUGCCAUUGAUAAAGGAUUUUACAGAGGUAAUUCUUUUUUCUUUGAUAGGGUUAUGAAUUUAGACUAAUUUUCCAAAUGGGGUGCAGAAAAAUGGAAGGUGUCGACCCACUAAAGCUUCAAUUUCCAACUAGGCAUUUAAAAUAUGAAUGAAGUCGACAUUGUUACAGCUUUUGGAUGGCAAAAUUUAAGUUUGUACACUUCGAGUCAAUCGUCCUCGGAUCAAAUCUCAGACUCAACAUGUAUCUCCUUAAUACUUUUCUAUUUCGGGACAUAUUCACAUAUGAUUAUUCGAUACAAGCCUGACGGGCUGCAAACUCAUUGGCCUGUCAGGUUUGUAUCGGUGUAGUCUAUGGGUUACGUUGGCCGAAAUCGAUGCUCCCCUACUUUUCUUAAUUGUAUUAGUGGGGGGGAACUAGAAAGUGCUCUUUUAUAUGCAUCACCUUAACGUUUAGUGCAAGUGUGAUGCACAUGAUCUCCAAAUUCUAGUUGACUUUCUUCCUUUUUAAUUAUCCACAACCCAGCCGAAAUUGACUACUCUUUUCUUUUUUUCAUAAAGUUUAAUUAAUUAUUUUUCAAUGUAUAUAUUUAAUGGCCCAAUCCCCGGCUUAACCGAGAAAUAAUUAUAGCUACGUAUAUAGAGUUCACCGGAAAAACAGUGGCGGAUAUAGAGAGGUAUCUUCAGGCCCCGACCCAGCCUCGAGGCUUAGGGUUUUCCCUAGAGUCCAUAUUAUCGUCAUCGGCUCAUACCUAUUAUAAAAGGAAAUAGUGUUCAUUAGAUCACAACUUACCUACCAUCACUCUGUCAAAAAUCCCCAUGUGCGGUCUCCGAUGCUCCGUUCGUUUCGUACAUCUGUCUUCAUUAAUACAAUUAGCGCUAACUAACAACUCACUUGAAUUUUACUUCCUUCGGCGGGUUCUACCCACGCCCGAUCCGGCAAGCACCAACAACUUCUCCAUCCGUGCUACUCUAUUGCUCCACCUGAACCAACGACCUAUUAAAAUAAAUAAAUUCGAAAACGAAUAUGUACAUAAAAAUCAUAUUAAGAAUUAGUAGACUUUCUGAUUAAGAACGAGUAAAAUUAUUUGUUGUAUUGUGCAUUUAGUUAUUGAAAUGUUAGCUGUUCUUUCAAUUAUAACCAACGAUUGGUAGCCGUUCAUUGAUAAAUGACAAUGGUUUAUUAAAAGUGUAACGAUUAUGUCAAGUACGUUUAAUUUUUUAUUUUGUUUUGAAUUAGAUGUUAAUUAAAAAUAAAAUUACAAAAUUAUUCAAUCUAGCUAGCCAUCAGACUGUUGACCAUCGAAUCUUUUAUUCAAUUGUGAAAAGGUAGGUGAAGUGUAUAUAUGUCAUCAGGGGAAAAAACUAUACUUGUUUCUUUAUAUAUUGUUUUCUCCAGCUCGGAAAACUGACUUGGUCUAGUAGGAAUAAGAGAGAGAGACAGAAAAGUAUCGAGUCCGAGUAGUGGGCAUUUUUAUAAUAGACUGGGCGUUCAGGUUUUAGGCAGUUUAGGAAAAGUGAAAGGUCUCUUUCUACCAUAAACAAGACCUUCUUUUUAUAAUAAUUUCGGAAUCCGAGCUGAGCCUCUACGUGGCAGGAUCCAGACAAAGGAGCGUUUGUGGGCGAAUCUAAGCCCUUGGAGUUCGGCCCUAGGCUUAGAGUUUCGAACCUCUGGGUUUACUUCAACGGGUCGGUCCAUUUUGGACCAACGAUUACGAGCUUUUCGAUCUGAUUCUGUGGCGAAUCCACAAGGCCAUCAAUUACCAAGUUUUUAUUUUAUUUUAUAAAUGACAUUUAGUAAGCAAAUCCUUAUAGAGAAAAUAAGUAUAAUUCUUUUCUGGUUCAUAUUAGUCAGCUGAGGAUCAACGAUGGAGUCAUGCAAAGUAAGCAACAGCAGACCCGUUGAAACCCCCUAUCGCUUACUAACACCAAUUAAUUAAUAUAUGCCAUUUUUAAAAUUAAUAAACAGAUAUCAAGUAAUAAUAAUUCAAAAUAAUUUGGCUGACAUAACAUCACUUUCUUUCACCUUCUAAAAAGUUGUCUCUUAUUCCCAAUUUUUCUUUCAUAACAUUGAUAUCUUUCAUUUACGAUUUGGGGUACUUGAAAAUUCGUAACAUGUAAAUACAAACGACGAAGAUAUAACGAAGGAUUUGAAGCAGACACAUUCUAAACAACAGAUAUAGAGAGAAAGACAACGGCAGUUAUCUAGUAAAAUAAGAUACGAUACAUAUGUUCAGUUGCGGAACCAGUAGUGGGCCAACCCGAGCAACCACCGAAAGUAUUUUUAACAGCAGCUUGUGUGGUCUCACUCAUGACAGAGCUACUAGCUAGGUGAGAGCAACCCAUGUUUGUUUUAUGGCUUAAUUAUUUGUAGGAGAUGACGAAUUAAGUGUUGACCAUGCAUGUUAAUUAUUAAUGAAUUGUGUGUUUAUUAUAAGCUAAAUGGGCGAUGGAUAUGCCACCUUUCGUCCAAAGAUUUGACACUAGCUGAGCUUGUUCCUUUCGAGAUCAUUUGACGACGACAUUUCUUUAUUAAUUGCGUUAUUGUUUCUUAGUUGUAAUUGAUAAUUAUUUUGAUAAAAUAGUUGUAAUUGAUAAUUAAUUAUCAUUUAGAAACAAAGUCAAACUUAUUAUUGGCCAUGUAUGGGAAAACAUACACCAAACUUCAGGCUGACUUCAACCAUAUUAUAUCGACCGUGAAACAAAUAAUCGAUCAAUCUAUGUUAUUUCACCCUCUAGAAGAAUUUAUAAGCGUUAGACAAUUUAUCUUGAUUCGGUUCGUCUAGAGAAAACAAUUGCUAUACUAAAGUGUAAAUAUAUAUAUAUAUAUAUAUAUAUAAUGACAACAUGAUAUCCAAUCACGGAAUAUAUAGUAACUUAUGGUUAAAAUUAGAGUUGUACAAAAAAACUACUUGAUGGCACUUUUAAGAAGAUGAUUGAUCGCCAAAAUAACUGCGAAGUUAUCUCGACGUCACAAGUGUCGUAUGUGUCCAAGGAUUUUCCUCUCGCUAUGCUUUUACUCAAUCUUGUCAACAUGGUCUAGACUGAACAAAUUGAGAAGGAUUUCUAAUGAUUCUAUUGAUUCAAUUAAAACUAACAAUUAUUAUUUAAAUCGGGAGGAGAAGACAAGUUCUUGGAAGGGAUUGUUCAUCAAGCUCAACUUCCUAACAGUAGUCGGAUCGAGCAAACGUUGGACUUGGAUUGAAAAAUAAGAUUCCUCUUAUCACUCGUAUGAAUCCGCGGCACGAUCAUGCACACGGAUUACCACUACUAGCUUCCCAAUCAAGGUUGGAAUAACAUCAAUUAGGCUAACCAGUAAUGAGCACCGAGAAGUUCUACAAAGUGAUAAGGUGCUCCUUAAGAAUUUUAGGAAAUCACAAGAAAUAGGAAAUGGUGUUAACUUAAUCCAUCAACACCUAAACUACUAAUAACUACACCCGAUUUGGUCCAUUGAGUGCAAACCGGAGUGAUCGCCAAUUACUCGAUGAACAACCGUUAAAACUAAAACAAGCACGGAAGGUAGAAUCGAGCUAUAUUGUUAAUCAUAUGAUUUCCUAAGUUGAUCAAACAAAGAAUUUCAUAGAUUUGACCUAAUUCAAGUUGUAACAAGAACUAGGUUGAAAACCCAACAAUCGAAGCAAUCUUUCAUUCAAAUCCAAUUAUCCAACAAUCGUCCACCCUAUACUUUUAGGGAGAGUAUCAUAGCUCAAUUCUUACAUCCCACCCAAGAAACUCUAAAGAAUUAGCUACCCAUGACUCUACAAGAAGAGAAAAUAGAAUAAGACCUAACCACCAUCUUGAUGAAGAAACAAUGAAUCAAACUUGCUCCAAUCUUCGCUUUUGAUCUUCUAUCUUCAAUCCUAACUUCAAUCUUCAAUGGGGGACUCCUUUGGAUCUUCAAUCGGAUUUCUAGGGAUGAGAAUAUGGCGUUUUUGCAGAGGUAGGUCGUGGAAAAAUCAAAGGAAUAAUGUUGGGGAAGAUCUUGAUUCUCUUUCCUCAAAAUUGGGCUUUUAUAUGGAAAUUGCUAAAUCCGAGAGGUGUACGCCGUGCACCCCCUUUGCUGAAAUUUUGUUUGUUGAAAAUAGGGUUGCACUACAUGCACCUCCUUUUGCUACGAGGCCACUUUGCAUUUUAGGCAUGCACGACGUGCAACCCUUCUUCUUCAAUAUUCCUUGUUCCGUUCUUUCGUUCGAGUUCCAACUGUGCUUUAUUUCGCGUCCAUAACCCCAUAGCUAGACCACAUGUCUCUAAAGUACUUGUAGAUGACAAAUAUUACAAAGAAACACAUCAAAUGGAUCAAAACGGUCCAAGUAAACGGGUCUGGGCACACAAUGUGAAGACUCAAAACCACACUCAAUUGAAGCACAAACUAGUUAAUAAUCACUUUAAAAACAUGUAAAUAGGGAUAGAUAAUCACUACACAAAUCCUAACACUAUCAACGAUGGAUUACAUAUGAGGGUUGGUAUUGCCGGUCGAUCAGUUAAUAAAAUAAUGUAACGUGCUCAUUGUGACAUGUUUGUUGGAUCGACAAAGAUGAUGAUGAUUGAUGAACAAAAGUCUAAAGAAACAAGAAUAAACUAGAAACAUAAUAAGAAUAAAGCAAAUAAUUAAAAUUGGGCUUUUCUUCCCUUUCCCUUUUCAUUAAUUAAUUUUGACUUCCUUUAAAUACUAUAAGUUAACUAAUAAUUAAUUCUAUUUGUACAUUUUUGCAAGCUGCCCCACGAUAUUGUACCUUGUAGCACCUGCCGCCAAUAAACACAUUGAAGUGCAAUGUUGACAUGGCUUGCUUCGCAGACAUUGACACCACGGGCAUGGGGUUCGCAAUCUAACACCAUGAGUACGCUGCAACAAUUCAGAAUGCAGACAAAGGAAGGAAUACCGGCCGGUUAAAGUGGGUGAAGUAGUGACAUUACUCUAAGCCCUUAGGUUGGUGAUCUCCCUAGGUUAUCAGAGAGUAGUCUUUGAGGGUGAUUCACAAACAGUGAUACGGUUCAGAUGAUGACCUAACGGAGUUUGGAGAAAUUAUUUGUAUGUAUAGACAUUUAUUUAGAGCUUUAAAGGGUUUUAGUUUUCAGUUUGUUAGGAGAUAAAGGAAUAGAAUGACUCACUAGUUAACUCAAUAAUCCCGCUUUCACAUCCCCUACCUCUUUCGUGACCUGUUAAUGCUUUUCAAAAAAAUGAUUAAACCCCUUUGGCCGAAUAAACAAAAUGAAAUCCAUCCCGUAAUAAGAAUGAACAUUAUAGGUUAACUAAUAGUUAAUCUCCUUUGACGUAAUAAACAAAACGAAAACCAUCUUCCGCAAUAAUAUAUGAAGUUCUCGAAACCGAUUAUACAUUACCGUAACAAAUUAUCAGAUCUAUAUCUCCCAAAUACGACACUUUAAUUUUCAAUUUGGACAGUAUAGAAAAAUAUUUGGUCUCCCGCACCAACCUUUGUAUUGGCAUUGGCAUCUUUUCUCCAGCAAGUCAACUGAAAUUUAAAACCCAAAUGAUGAUGAUCCGAGAAGGGAAUAAACUAGGAGUUGACUAUAUAAUGACGACUCCCAACUCGUACAGCUGUUGGUGAUGAUGAAGAGCAAACAGCUCUUUCUGCCCUUCUUUUAUCUGAUGGCGAACUCAGUAUCGAAACAUGCACUGAUCUGGAGUUGAAUCGAAAUUUAUAUAUUGAGUAAUUAAUUUACGAUUUUUUUAUAAACGUAAUACUAAGUUAAAUUAUAUAUAAAAACACAUCCGUUGUGCUAUUUUAAAUUAAAGCAAGUUGUCCAUAAAGAUUGAAUAUGCCACCGGCGGUUUUUUUUCCUAACCAAAUAAUAGUAAAUGCAAAUAUUGACCCGAAAUGAUGAUUGAUAUGUACGGAGUACUAAGCCGAAAACAAAACACUGAGCCGGAUCUAAAAUUUCCCUAAACCGAACUCGAAAAAACCGUAAAUAUAUACAUAAAUUUACGGCUCAGUGCCGAAAUUGCGCUGAACCGUUACUCUCCCGGACUCCCCUUGUAUCCACCCUAAUAUUUAUAGGUGGUGCCUGCUAUCAAAUUAGUUAUAACAUUAACAGCCAUGGUUUGUAUAAGAAAAUUAUUGUAGGGUGACCGUUUUAGCAAUAAACUAUUAUCAAGUGACUGAGUUGUUCCACCUAUAUAUAGAUUAGUAACCAUGCAAACAAAAUAAUGAUAGACCGUCCGUUUAACCCGCAACCAACCAAUCGAGUCAAAUUGGUCAUCGAGGGCUCAAUCAAACCCUAGACAGUGAGUAUAAUUUAGAUUUUAGUCGAUCUCUAGCUAAAUCGUAAUAACGAACCUAGGAAUAUAUAGAUAAAAAACUCUAACCAUAGUGGUCAAAAUUGUGAGUUUGAAAGCACCCUACGAAAACAACUUUUAUUUUGGAAUUACUACUUUAAAUUUCAAAAAUCAAUAACGGAAUUAGAAUGAUCCGCACGAAUUUGGCAUAAUAUAAAAAUUUGGCAACGAAGACUUUGAUCAUUGGCUAAGGAGUUUAGCUAUAUGACAACAACUAGCUUUCCUUGUUUAACAUGUGAUUUCAAAUUAUUUAUCCAUUUUAUCCUUAAAUUAAUCCAUAAUGCAUCACUAAUUAUCACAUAUUUCAUACAUGGUAAAUAUAUAUUUUGUAUGAUACAAAUAUUUUCAUCUGACCUAUUAACAUAGACAAGCAAAAUAAUAUGAAUAUCAUUUCAUUUCGAUCACAAAAAGAUUAAAAUAAUCACUGAUACGUUGAAUUAGUCGAUUUAUUAGUAAAAUUAUCGUAUAUAAUGAGAUCAUAUUUGAACUUAGUGAAUCAGUCAAUUCAUUGCCAAAAAGGACCGGCUAAUUAUUUCAAACUCAGCAGUGAUUAGCCCACUGAUUAGUAAUUAGUUUACCCAUUGGUAUACUAUGGUAGCUUUAACAAAGUAGAGAUAUAUACUUUUGAAACUGAUAAGUCUAGCGACGAGAACGACACGUGGAAUUAUUGUUUAUUGGAAUGAUAUUGGAAGUUGAAAUUUGAUUUCAAAAACUAAAAGGGAAUUUAAUGUUCUCAAAGUGUAGGAUAAUCACUACUAAAUUUAAAAAAGUUCAUCAAUUAAAUUAGUACGAAACUUUAAAAAAAAAUCUAAAAAUAAAUUUAUACAAACUUAAUUCAAAUCAGAAAAUAUCAUACUAAUCAUAAAGAUUAAUUAAUAAACCGACGAUCCAACAAUCGGCUCGAAGAAAAGCUAGAACUCAAACUCGGUACAUUUGGGUACUCUUUACUAAACCCAAAACCAUAGGUAUCCAUGUUGCGGGUCAAACCCCAAAAGAAAAUCUUUCCACUUGAAAUUAAAAAUAAAAACCAACAAAGUUCUCCCCCUAAGCCCAUCCAUUACCACUAUAAAUAUAACCAACACCAUCAACUACACACAACCAUUUCCCUCAGCAGUAAAACCUUCAAACAAAAAGAAAACUACAGCCGCCGCCAUGAAACCCUGCAGCUUCACCCUCUCUUGCCUCCUCCUCUCCCUUCUACUGGUAUAAGUUUCGAUAUUCCUCUGUUCAUCUUUUACCCUUGUGGAUGUUUUGAUUUUAUGUUUGUUGAACGAUGCCGUUUUUUUGUUGGUUCCUUCCUUCAGGCUACGGCGACGGUGAGCGAAGCAAUCAGGGGAGAUCCGCCGGCGGCGGAGGAGUACUGGAAGAAAGUGAUGAAGAACGAGCCUCUCCCAAGCUCCAUCAAGGAGCUGUUCAACGACGCCGCCGUUUCAUCCUCCUCUGGUGACGAGGGAAAGAAGCUGAGGUUUGUGAAGGACUUCGACACGACAACCAACGCCAUCAUUUACCACGCCGCCGCCGCCGAAGAGCAAACAGUCCUCCCGUAAGGGGCGGAGGAGAGAGGGUUGUGUUAGUGGAGAAGAAGAAUAAAGAUGUGUCUGGCUUCUAAUUAAUAUAAUAUAAGAUAAUAUUUUUUUUCGUAUAGUUUAAAUUUUUGGUCGGUGUUUGUUAAUUGUUUUUAGAUGUUUAUAUAUUCGUUAAUUAAUGUCUGCUGUGCUGGGGAUUUUUAUUUUAUUUUGAAUUUUUCUGUGGUGUUGCUGUUCUAUCGGAUCUGAGUGGAAAGUGAGAGAAAGGGUACGUGGCGUUUUUUUUUUCAACAUAGGGAAGAAAGUCAAACGAAAAUAUGAAAGAAGACAAACUUAAUUUAUUGAAAAAAAAUUAGUCAACUGAACUAUUUUGAAUGCCUAUUAACCUAACAGGUCACUAAAGUUUGAUAUUUUAACAUGCAGAUCAUUGUACUUCAUAAAAUAUACAUCCAGAGUCGCUGUUUUUCUGAACGAAUAAUUUCGAUUUAGUCGAGUUUUCGGCACAUCAUUGUUGAACCCCCUCUUGUCGUUUACUUACAUCAAUGAUACGUUAUUUAUUUUAGUAAUUCAUAUCAUUGAGACCUUGUCGACGAUCAAUUAUCUAUUGCAGACGUCUGGGAGGAGCCAUUGAUGGACUGCAAUGAACUAGGGUUUGGAGAUUGUGUGGAGGAGGAUUUGAGGAGGUGAAUGGGAGUGAUUUGGAUUCGGAUUUAAAUACGAAACUGAACUGAUUGGGAUUUGAAUUGAUUGAAAUUCCGUUUGAGUUUCUUCUACGGCUGUAAACACUAAACAGAAGUGUUAAAUGCUAAUGGAAAGUUACAACUGGCUGCGACGUGGGUUGGAAUUUUAAUUGGGCUGUUAUUCAGCUUUUUCUUUAAUGGACUUAAGAACAGUGGCCCAAAUCGAUAGGCCUUAUUAAUUUUGUAGACCACCAAUAUCGUGUAGACCACCAAUAUCGUUUUGAUUAUGCUAGUUAGGGUUGGCCAGUCAAUAUAGGUUUGGUUAUCUGUUCAAAAUCGAUUAGUUAACUGAAUUGGUGAAGGGGUGGCUUAACCGAAAUGUAUGUCUGGUUGGUGAAUAGUUAAAGCACUGUCGGAACUUAAGGAUAACAAUCAAAAUCGUAAAACUCUAAACUCGUCCAGUAAAUAAUCAACUUCUAUUUCUAUUAAUAACUUCAUUUCUUUAGAAAUUCUAUCACGUAUCAUAUCAUAUUAAAUUUCGGAUAAAACAAAUAAAGUAAUAUUUCUUGACCAUCACCACCCUUGUUACACCAUCCCCGUUGACUAAAACUUCCUCGGAUAUUCAAAAAUUCCCCAAUGUCUUGUAACGUUAGCAAGUCACGAACAAACUCACUUUUAUCUUCUUCACUCACUAUCUCAAACCUCAACUAAACCCCUCAUUUUCCCCCAAACACAAUUUUCUUCUUCUCAAUUUCAAGGAUUUGGAAAUGGCGGCAGCUUCAGCCAGACUCUCAGCUCCUCCCCCGCUAACAAUCUCCGUCUCUUCUCGUCCUUCUCAUCCUCCUCCUCCUUCUUCCCUGCCUAUCUUCUUUCCGACCAGAAGCUCACCUUGUUCUAAGCUCGUAGUCUCCGCCUCGUCUCGUCCUGAUUCUUCGUCAACCGGUAAGGUUCCCGAUUCACUUAUCUCAGAACUGUACCAGUCAGAUUCCUUCUCGUUAUUGUAUACGAUUGAAUUGAGUUCCUUCACCGAAUUAUAGGCAGCAAAUUGGGACUCUGGACUGGCCUGUUUCAUUAGCUUCAGCCUUCAACUGUUAUGUCGCUUAUGUAGAGCUGUUUCUGUGGAUCUCAUCUUAUCAAAUUAUAUCGCUCCCUCGGUGAUAUUUUCCAGAGGAAAUCAUUCAAUGUUUCUCGAUUCCUUCUCUGUGUUGAAUCAGUGCCACGGAAUUUUUGCCAAGUCGUGCUAUUUGCAUUACGUAACUGAGUUGCUGUCGAGCUCUUCUGCAAUUUGUAUCGCUCUCUCGGUGAUAUUCUCCCGAGAAAAUUAACUCUAUACCAGUCUAUUGUAUCUUAAUCGAGAUCCUAUAUUGAAGUAGUGCACGGAAUCUCGAUAUACUCAUUAGGCUAGGUUCAAAUGUUUAUCACUUAGGCUGAACUUUUAAUAACUGAGUGUCUGUAGUGUUCUUCACGAAUUGCAUUGCUCUCUUGGUGACAUUAUCCUCAGAAUAUGAUUCUAGAUCAGUUCGUUCCUUCUCGUAAAAGUGUAUCCUGUGUUGAAUUAGUGCAUAGGAUUUCGAUAUUUCAUCAGAUUCAAGUGUUUGUCAGUUACUCAGUUAUGCAGAGCUAUUUUUGCUUGAUUUUCUCCUUAGGUACUAUACAUUCCAUUGAGUGAAGUAAGUGAGUUUUUUGAGAUGCACAUAUACCUUAUUUUGACUUUUGUGCAGGAGUAACAGAGAAAGUGUUCCGGUCUCCGUUGAGUAUAGACUUGAAGAAUAUCCACGGUUCUAAUGCCAGGUUUUUUUCCCCUCUGUCCUUUUACUUGUUUAUUUUGGCUGAAAUUUUAGUUCACGAGUAACAUUUGCUAGUUCCUCUAAAUGGUGCAAUGCUCAGCAUUGAGAUUUAGUUCUAGGAAACAAAAUCAUUACUGAAAACAUUGGUUUCUGUUUGAGAAGAAUGCUUAUCCAUAGUAGUUAGGCGAGCUUGCAAGAAGAUUGCCUUCAUUUGUAGUGUCUACUAACAUGGUCCGAAGUGUCUACAACUGUACAUUUGAUACUAUAUCCCCAAUGCAGCAACGCUCAAGAUGAGAACAGGGAGAAUCCACCCAUAAUGCCGAAAGUACGCACACCUAGCGGAGGAGCUGUGGAUCUGUUCUCCAUGUUGUUUCGAAACCGCAUCAUCUUCAUUGGCGAAGAAAUUGAUUCGCGAGUGGCUCAGAAAGUUAUAUCGCAGCUUGUUACGCUUGCAAGUAUCGAUGAGGAGGCAGAUAUCAUGGUGUGCUUAUGUUCUCUAGUUUACCGUGAUUUUGCUUUUUGGGUGGUAUACAAUGUACUCAAUAUACCACUUGUUGGCAUAAGUUCUAAUGGUUUUGGGUCUCCUGUAUUGUGUUAGAUAUAUCUGAACAGCCCUGGUGGAAACACAUACUCUGUGAUGGCGAUCUAUGACUGCAUGUGCACGGUAAUCUAUAGCUUCACUUCUGUUCUAUGUAACUUUAAUCUUUGGCAACAUAAAUGCUGAAUUCUGCUGCUCUAGAACAUCAUUACUUAGUACCGGUGUGAGCUAAUGGUAUUUUUUCUGUGAUUUUGCAUCCAUGUCUUUUAGCUCUUUGAUCUGCUAAUGUCAAUGCUCGUAAUGUUUUCAGAUAAAGCCUAGAGUCGGUACAGUGGGCUUUGGGAUGAUUGCAAGCCAAGCAGUGAUUCUUCUUGCUGGCGGGGAAAAGGGAAUGCGGUAUUCAAUGCCUAAUUCCCGUGUAAUGUUGCAACAACCACAUACUGGAUGCGGGGUAAGAAACCCACAGCUUAGAGUUACUAAUCAAUCAAUGGAAGACAACUGUGUGCUGUGUUUAUGGUCUCUGUAUCUUAUGUGAUCAUAUAUUGCAAUCGCCCGGGAACAAAAUUCGGCAUUCGUAUUAGAAUUUAUUCCUUGCGUUCAAACUUGUUAUUGACUCAACCUAUGAUCUACUGGUUUCAAAAGUGAUUGAUAUCUAACCGUUGCUUUUGAAUGCUCACCUUUAGUACUUGUGUUUGAUCUGUGUGUUGAAAACUCUUAUUCAUGUAGGGUCCCGUGAAGGAUGUGAGGCGGCAAGUGGAUGAAGCUGUUCAUACUCGACAAGUAACUCUCUAUCUCUCGCACGGUCAAAACUACCUUAUUAUGUAUAUCGAUCUUCUAGCAAAACUGUAACAAAGAUAUCACUUAUUCUUAAGUACUUGGAAGUAUACUUGGAUGCUAAAUGUUUUGUUUUGAAUUCAAUCUAAUGUAUCUGGGAAAUGGGGUUGCAGAAAAUUGACAAGAUGUUUGCUGCGUUUACCGGCCAGACGCUCGAGAGAGUCCAAGAACUCACACAAAAUGAUCACUUCAUGUAUCCGGCAGAGGUACGUCGUUGCAACUAUCCCUAUUUCAGUUCAAGGUAAUGCCUCUAUAUAAACAGGAACUAGGGACGUUAUAAAAUAUCAAAUGAGAUCAUGCGAGUCAAGUUAGUUAUAGCUUUCGGUAUCCAAUGCCUGACUUCUUUGCUUUUGAUUGCAGGCAUUGGACUUCGGCUUGAUCGACGACAUUCUGGGGACAGAAGAAUGAACAGAUCUGAUGUUUUGUUAGUGUUAAGGAAGUAGAUCAUACAACAAUUAUGGUCGGUAUCUGAUUUCUUCGUCGGUAUUCCUUCUCUUACUUUCUUCAUAUUCCUUUCGACCUAGUGCCGAAUCCUAUAUCGAAGCCUUUUGUUGCAAUAUGCUUUUUUUGUGAUGCUAUUAAGACAUAGUGGUUUUCCCCAGAAGUAAAGGACAGUAAACUAAGAGCUUCAUCAUUAGCUACUUUACCUGGCUGUUUCUUUAAGUUACAGAGCAUAUCAUCAGCUAUGUCCUCUGAAGCUACCCGUAUAUGAAAUGGAUACCAAACGGGAUGAGUCUUUUCGCUGUGAUUUGAAGCCUACGAGCUUCUGCUGGAAAUGCCAUACUCCAUCUCACUUCCCUUUGGAAAAACGACUCUAUGGAACAAUGCAUCGAUGGAGCUAUGCAUAGCACCUUUGUUAACAAGCAUUGUCGCAUGGACUUCAGCGGUCCCAUAUGCCUACAACAUCAUCUCCAAAUACAAAGCUCCCAUCUAGGGAUGAAGCAGAAUUCGGACGAAAGAAGAGUUCUUUCUAUCCAUUGAUGUUCACACGGUCAGGAGGCAAAAUCAUGAGGAUAAUAGACUGCACAAGGGUUCGAUAUCAAAGAACUUUAUGGUACAGUUGAUGAAAAACGUCUCGAACGAUAAGUGCGUCCACUGCUGUUGAAGUACGAAGCAAGGCGAAUCGGUCUCGGUCAAAGAAAGUAGAAUGUCGGGUCAAUCAAGAUCACCCGAUCAGUCAGAUUCGUUCGUUCUUUCUCAUUAGAUCAAAAUCCUCCAAGUAAGGUUACAAAACAAGUAGUUAAAGGAACCAUUAUCUCCAAGAUAGUUCCACUAUGGCUGUGGCAUUAUCCAACAUCUAUUGGAUAAUGGAGGUUAGGAUAGAUGAACAGUUAUUAUGGGCUUAUAACCCAUCCUUUACGGGCUAAAAGGCCUAACGUCACAUGCUCCACCACCCCCAGCCCAUAUAAUUACAGUAGACUCAAACCCUUCUUCUUCAGCAGCUAGAUACAAACACAUUUUCUUCCUCAUUUGUGGUUUGAAAACGAGAGAAGAAAGUGCAGAAAAACGCCAAGGAAAAACUCCGGCCACCAGUUCCUCCACUGCUGGAAAAACCCCGAGUUUAAGCGGUUUAGCAAAGUGAAAGGAAUAACAGAGACUGCUAGGGAUUUUGGUAGACAAUCGAAUUCAGAGAAUGGAAGGAAUGAACGUAGUUGAUGCUGAUUUGAAAGUGUACAUCCACCCUUCGCAGAGCAAGAACGUCCAUCAAGCUAUUCCCCGCGAGCUCAGCUCCUUGCUCUUCAAGUUCGUCCCUGCCUUUUACUCCUCUUUUUUUUUGUAAUCAUCGUCGUUCCUCUAGCUGAUUUAUGUAUCUAUUGCACGCCUGUAGUAAACGGAUGUUCAAUUCUUUUUGCAGGUAUAGCGAUGAUUACGACGGAGUGUUAUUGGCUUUUAACGUUAGUCUUCCUGAUACGAAAGGCCGAAUCCUUCCUGGUAUUCAUGCUUUCUUUGCUGUGAGACUAUCAGCUAAAUUGCUCGUGUUUUCGCCUAAGCCAGAUAUGCUGUUAGGUAAGAGUAUUUGAAAUGCAACAUUGUUCUGUUCAGUGUCUCUUGUUGAAAUUUUAAUGCUAUUGUGUUUCAUCUCAGAGGGGAAGGUGGUGAAACUGAGUGAAGAAUCGAUUCAUGCCAUUGUUCUUGGCUUCUCUUCUGCUGUCAUUAUAGACGACGAUAUCCGUAAGGAGUUCAAAUACAGGACGGUAUGUGUUGACCGUUUGCCCUUACUGAGCUUAAACGUACAACUAUUCUUCAUGUCAGCUUACUUGGAUGAGUAUCUCUUCUUUUGAUUGUAGAAAAAGGGUGAAGGUUUGUUUGUCAACAGAUAUGACAAGCGUCAUGCCAUUAAGGUUGGAACUAUAAUCCGAUUCUCUGUGAAGAGGUAACAUUUUUCUUUCCAUGAAGUGAUAAUUUGUAAUCAUUCCAACUAGUAUAGCACUGCGAACUUGGAGAUCUUUGUUCAGUCACAGUCUUUUGCUUUCUUAGUUCAUUAGUGUAUGAAACUCGGUAGCUGCUUCCUGCUGUGGUAUCAGGUUUUGAUAAAUUAGGAUUAAACAUGUUGUAUAAACGGUUAAUCUUACUCAUUUCAGCCCAAAUUUAACCACUACCGUGGUUAGUACCGUGCAGUUAGUGGUUAACUGCUAAAGUGCUGGUUUUAGUUUGUUUUAGCCGCUUAUCAUACUAACUAUUCGAUUAUUUAGGUAUUGGGUAUUGCCUUAUUGGAUGAUGGGUCAUGUGUCAUACGAAUAAUUUUCCCAAGACAGAACUUUGGAUUAGUCAUUAGAGAAUGGCUCUAGAUAUGAUUAAACUGUUAAAGAGUCAUAAGGGUAUGGUUAACGGUUAUACCUUUAAAAGUUCAUUAUGAUCAAUGGUUAACCACUAACUGCAGAGAUGACAGAUCAAAACGGUUAUCGAUAAACCAUCCUAUAAUCAAUACGAAUCUUAUCCCCCAACAUCCAGCAAUGUGUAAUUUCUGUUGCUCUAUGUAGUUGGAUGAACAUAAGUAUGUAGAUUAUCAAUCUCGUGGUUUUGACUGUGUUGUUUCAGUUUGAAUGAAGAAACACUGCACAUCUAUGGAUCCUUGAUGCCUGCUAACACAGGGAGCGUUAAGAGACUGGAUAAAGAGUCAGACGACCACAGCUCUAAGCCAGAAAGUCUUGUAGUCAACAGGUUCUCAUCGCAUCUUAUUUAAGCUAGAACGUUUUCUCUUUGUCUGUCUAAUUCAUCCCCUUUCAUUAAUUGUGUAGCUCUUCGAAGAAGAGGAAAGAGCAGCAAGACACAGAGAUGACAACAGAACACGGUAGCUCUGUCAAGGAUGCUCGUCAACCAAACGAUGGUAGCGAGCAUAAUAAGAAGUCGAAGAAGGUGACAACACAUUGACAGUCUGAUGAAAGAACUAGUACCAAAUAGUAAGGAUUGUUAGUAUAGCCAGCAUAUUAGUACUAGACUACUAGCACCACCACCAAUUUUGACCACCUUAGUUUCUCUUACUUGCUCGACCACUCUUGUUUUUUCCCUUUUAUUUAUGGUUCCUGUGAAUUUUUACCCAACCCAAUCACUUCGAAUGGGUUAAUAUUGAACUUGAGGUUCGAAUCCCCUUAGGCCGACGUGGUUAAGACUACCUUGCCGUUAUGUGAACUGGAACUGAUGAUCUCCGAGGCCAAGUACUGCUUGACCUUGCUCGAGUUCAUGCUUAACUCGGUUUGAUCUACUUUUGCCAUUGCCCCGAAGGCGAUGCGAAUGUGUUUUAAGGUUUCGUUGGAUGAUGAAAAUGAAAAGGUGCACCGGUUUGCCAUAUGGAUAUGUCGAAAUGGGACAAGGAAUCGUGGAAAUUGAACAUGGGUAAGAGGACACAUGGAAAUCAGGGCUAUAAACUCGUUGCGGAACCAAUGAGAUAUCGAUCUAAAGAUGCAUCUUAUCAAGUUGAUUGAUUCAUUUGUGCUAAAUUGCAUUGCCAAAUUAUUAGUGCGUUAUUCCAGAUUACAUAUCAAAGAUCAAUUGAGUUGCGAAUUCAUCAGAUUACAUGUUUACCGUAUCACCAUUGAAAUUGAACGUGGAAACAUCCAAAAGCUUCAUUAUCAGAAGGCUUGCCUUUCCAAUUGGGCCCGACCUUACUCUUCAUCAGCUUGGCAAACAGUUUAUGGGCCUUUUUUCAGGCCCGACUUCGUUGUGUAGUUAAUUAAUUUUAAAAAAAUGAAUUUGAUUGUCGAGAGAAACUAUUUGACGAAACCCUGGACGCCUCCUUUCACUUGAAGCAGUCCACAAGUUCUAUUGAUUUGUCAAAAAAAAAAAGUUCUCUUGAUUGUCGUCAACAUCGCCGGAGUUGGAGAAAGCUCAACGGGAGAGCGUCGAGCAGCGACGAUAGUUGAGUUGCAGGACAACGUAAGAGCCUCAGAAAGCUCCGCUACUUCACAGAGAGGCGGGAGCCGCGAGCUGCUUGCUUAAAUCCACUAUAAAGUCGCCGUGACAUCUUGUCAAACGGCCGAAGUUGGAGAGUAACCGGCGCCGAGAGGGACACAAAGAUAAAGAGAAUGAAGAUAGAAGAGGUACAGAGUACCGCGAAGAAGCAGAGAAUCGCCACUCACACUCACAUCAGAGGACUCGGCCUUGAGGUUUCCCCAACUCAGACUCUCUUUUUGUUCCAUUACAUUUACUCGAUUCUAGUGCUUCUAGAGCCUAUGAUUGAUGAGUAUAUUGUCAAUGAACUUAUGGUUUCUCAUUUAUUUUGUGGUGAUUACUUGGCCCUGUAACAUUUUAGCCAAGUGGAAAUGCAAUCCCUCUGGCGGCUGGCUUCGUCGGUCAGACUGAUGCCAGAGAAGCAUCGGGUCUUGUUGUUGAUAUGAUAAGGCAGAAGAAGAUGGCUGGGAAGGCUCUUCUAAUGGCUGGUCCUCCUGGUACCGGGAAGACAGCUUUGGCCCUUGGGAUUUCUCAGGAACUUGGAAGCAAGGUUAUCUUCUUCCUUCAUUUCCUUCUUGAGUAUCAGCUGAUUAGUUUCACUUGUUAUGUGCAUGUUCCAUUCAUUUUGAUUACAUUAGGCAACAGCUGAUUAAUAUCUCUUGUUGUACCCAGGUUCCGUUCUGCCCAAUGGUUGGAUCAGAAGUAUAUUCAUCAGAGGUGAAGAAAACUGAAGUUCUGAUGGAACAUUUCCGCAGAGCCAUUGGGUUGCGUAUCAAGGAAAAUAAAGAGGUCUAUGAAGGAGAGGUGAGUUGAAGUCUCCAUGAUAUCUCCCCAUUAGUCAUUUUAGUCUUUCGUACUUAGUUCUCAAUGUUUGGGGUUAUUAUUCUUUCAGGUGACGGAACUAUCCCCAGAAGAAACUGAAAGUGUGACUGGUGGAUAUGGUAAAAGCAUUAGCCAUGUAAUAAUUGGUUUGAAAACUGUCAAAGGGACUAAGCAGCUGAAGUUGGAUCCCACCAUCUACGAUGCUUUGAUAAAGGAAAAGGUACCGGACUUCAUCUUCGUAUGUGCUGCUUUAUGAGUGUUUUGUAAUUCAAUAGUCAUUUAUAUCAUGUAAAGGAGUCCCUCCUGUUGUUUUUCUGACAAUGCCUUUCUUGUUCUUGGCUCCUCAUCUGUACAUUUCAUGCACUUUGUUUUUGAUAUAGUAAAUUUAUCUUUGUUAACAGGUAGCUGUGGGAGAUGUUAUAUACAUUGAAGCAAAUAGUGGUGCAGUUAAAAGAGUCGGUAGAAGUGAUGCUUUUGCUACGGAAUUUGAUCUUGAAGCAGAAGAGUAUGUCCCACUUCCCAAGGGUGAAGUCCACAAAAAGAAGGAGAUAGUUCAGGUGCGUGUUAUAUUUGUUCCUUCUGCAAUUUAAUCCAAAAGACGACUUGAUACUUGGUAGUGACUACAGUGGCACCACCUACAUUAGUGGUAUUUGAUUUUUUUUCUUGGAGGUGCCCUACUUCUAUAGACUAGACCAUCAUUAACUGAAUGCUACAAGUUUUUUCAAGAUGACCGGUACAGAACCUUGGGAGGUUUUAUUAAGAACCUCCGGCUCAUCUUCCUCCUGCCAAUUAGGAUGGAAUUUUGUAGUGUGUUCAUUUUCCGCUGAAUGUUUGAUGGCCCAAUCUAGCCAAUUGAACUGGCUUCCAAUUGCUUGUGAACCUUGUGACGUUGUGCUCUUUGUUUUCAUACUUUCUCUUCUAAAGUGCUACCCGGAUCAAUGUUUUUGUCAUCAGGAUGUUACGCUGCAUGAUCUAGAUGCAGCUAAUGCAAGACCUCAAGGUGGGCAAGACAUAUUAUCUUUGAUGGGGCAAAUGAUGAAGCCAAGAAAGACGGAAAUAACUGACAAGCUACGCCAGGAAAUUAAUAAGGUACAUCUAAGUAUUUAUGUAUCGUUUUUUGUGGAACGUAGGCUUAAGCAAGGAAUAUGUCUUUCUAUCUACCAUGAAAGGGCUCCAAGCUCUUACGGCAGUCUCAACCAUACUUUUAGGGUUGACUAUCUGGUUUUUUUUAUUCAGGUUGUUAAUAGAUACAUAGACGAUGGUGUGGCAGAACUUGUUCCUGGAGUUCUGUUCAUCGAUGAGGUAUUUUCCCCUCCCAAACAAGAUUUACUUUUGUUUAACUUAAUUGUAGCUUCCCCAUGGUUCCUGAAAUUCUCUUGUAUCGUAUCAGGUGCACAUGCUGGACAUGGAGUGCUUCUCGUACUUGAAUCGUGCUCUGGAAAGCUCAUUGUCUCCAAUCGUAAUCUUUGCUACUAAUAGAGGAAUAUGUAACGUAAGGUAUGUGGUGAGCUUCAAUAUCAUAUAUGACUACUUCCCCAAUGGAUCGAUCAGUUCCAACUCUGAAAAAUCGCUCUGGUUAUUCUGCAGAGGAACUGAUAUGAAUAGCCCUCACGGCAUACCUGUUGACUUGCUGGAUCGCUUGGUGAUUAUCCGCACACAAACCUACGGUCCUGCAGAAAUGAUACAGGUUCUUAUCUCAAAUUUCCUUCCUUUCGUUCAACCCAUCUCCUAUAAUUUUUUCGCAAAAUCUAACAGCUGAGCCCUUUUCUGUCUAGAUCUUGGCCAUUCGUGCACAGGUAGAGGGAUUGACAGUUGACGAAGAAAGUCUAGCAUUCCUCGGUGAGAUCGGUCAGCAGACAUCCUUAAGGUUAGCAUUAACUUCUUAAUAUAUUCAAUUUAUGCACACUUGCCAUGAUAUUAACCUGUGAACCAUGCUACUAUUUGGUCAGGCAUGCUGUUCAGCUCUUAUCUCCGGCCAGCAUCGUUUCGAAGAUGAACGGUAGAGAUAACAUUUACAAGGUAAUUAAGACAUAGGGUUUAUGAACGGAACAAAUGGGCGGAUGCAGGAACGAAACUGAAUCGUUUUCCUUUUUGUGUGUUUAUAGGCGGAUCUCGACGAAGUUUGUAGCUUAUACCUUGAUGCCAAGUCCUCAGCUAAGCUACUUCAAGAUCAGCAAGAGAAGUUUAUUUCUUGAGCAUCUGAUGAUUGAUCCCCUGUGGAGGAAUGAUUCCCUUUUGUAUGUUUAUUAAGCUCUCUACUUUCUUCAAGGUACAUUCCAAUGUCUGCAGGAUUUGUUAUUUGUAGGAGAAUGUCAUUAAAUUCUGUGGUAGUGACAAAUUGAUCACCGAAUUUAGGUUUGUCUACGAAAUCUGGUUUUUCUAAAUAUUGAAGUUAUGUUUGGUCCUGGGUACCUGAGAGAGUUAUAUAGCUGUGUUAUGGCGUUCAUAAUAUUCAACUUAACUUGUCCUUCUCCGCUGGUCUUUGAAAAUUAAAUCGUGACAGUCAGUCCCCUUUAGGAUGGUGCGCUAUUUUGGUUACUACUGCGGCGGAGCUUCAUCGUCUAGUAAAAACAACUUAACGAUUGGCUCGCGAAUAGUUGAGGUUGUAAGAUUGCUGGUCGGUUUUAAUCCUGCUUUUUACCAGAAGUUUUGAGACAUUAUUGGUCCCUCGGUCAUCGCCGACUACAAGCAAUAGCUAGAAUCAGAUACGAUUACCGAGGUGCUGCAGCAUACUAACAUCAUUUUACUGCCCAAGGUUUCAAAACCUGAUCGUAUGCAGGAUCUCGGAUCUCUGUCCUAUCUCGCUAUGCAACGUCCGUUACCACAUCCUUGCUAAGGUCCUUGCUAAUAGAAUACAGGGAGUGUUACCAUCACGGAUACAAGCAAAGCAGUCCGCCCUUGUGCAAGGUCGAUCCAUAGUUGAUAACAUAAUGAUUGCGCUUCUCUUCGUAGCCUCACAACUAAAUCUCCUACAAAAAUCCCGAAUGUGGCCCUUAAGUUUGACAUCUCAAAAGUUUAUGAUCGAGUGGAGUGGGUAUACUUGGAAGUAGUCAUGCAAACAAUAGGAUUCCCUCCACUUUGGAUCAAAUGGACGACGCUGUGUAUUAGCUCGGUACGAUAUUCCAUGAUUGUGAACAAUCAUCCCUUUGGCUCUUUUUAUCCGGAAAGGGGGCUUCGACAAGGCUGUCCGCUCUUGCCAUUUCUCUUUAUUUUGUGUAUCGAAUGACUCACCGCAAUGUUACAUCAAGCCGCCAUCAACGGAUUGAUGCAUGGUUAUCGGGUAUGCCGCCAAGCGCCGCCGAUUUCCCAUCUCUUAUUCGCAGACAAUUCCAUUUUCUACUUCAAGGCUAAGAUGGAGGAGGUCAUGCACGUAAAACACAUUCUCUCGACGUACGCUGCUGCUUCAGGGUCAAUUAAUAAAUUUCGAGAAGUCGGGUCUGCUGUUCAGUAAAGGAGCCGAGAUGACUUGUCGAUCAGAAAUUCAGCAAACCUUGGGCGUUUUUAAUGCUUUUCACACGGAAAAGUAUUUAGGCGUCCUGGCCCUCGUUGGACGGAAUCGGAAUAUGGCGUUCAAAUCCAUUCAAAAGAGGGUAUGGAAUCGGCUUCAAUAGUGCCAAGGCCGUAAACUCUCCAAAGCAGGCAAGGAAAUUCUUAUCAAAUCGGUUGUUCAGGCUCUCCCUACUUACAGUAUGAACAUUUUCUUGCUGCCGGAUGGGCUCACUCUUGAAUUAGAACGCAUGAUGAAUGCGUUUUGGUGGAAUUCGAAGCAAACCACGAGAAAGGGUGUUCGAUGGAUGAAAUGGCAACGUCUCGCAGUUCGGAUAGAACACGGCGGCAUGGGUUUUCGUGAUCUCAGGGGUUUUAAUCUUGCUCUUCUCGGUAAGCAGGCUUGGCGAAUUAUGACUAGACCAGAUUCUCUUGCUGCUCGCCUGUACCGAGCAAAGUAUUUUCCUUCCGGGGAAUUUCUGUCGGCGGAGCUAGGUAGCAAGCCGAGCUUUAUUUGGGGUAGCAUACUUGCAGCAGCGCCUCUUGUUGCUCGAGGAACACGGUGGAAAAUCGGAGAUGGAUACAAUAGUCUGGCAUGAUCUAUGGUUACCGGAUGCGGAGAAUACCAAACUCGAGACACCGAUUAACCCAGCUUACCCAUACCUUAAGGUUUGUGAUCUUUGGCUUUCAGGUACCCAAGAUUGGAACAUAGAGCUGCUACAGUCUGUAUUCAUACCUCGCGAUGUUGAACAAAUUCUUGCUCUUCCUUCGUUCAUGGCCUCUGGUCUCGACCGACGAAUUUGGCAAUUCAAUCCCAAGGGCAACUUCACGUACGGUCCGCAUAUCGCCUGUACAUGGAUAAGUUCAUUGAUCUUUCAGAACAUCAUGUCCAGGGCCUUUGGCGUGCAGUUUGGAAUCUUCACCUGCCGUCAAAAAUCGUCCAUUUCUUUUGGCGCCUGUUACGAGCUGUCUUGCCCGCCCGAGGUCAAUUGCGGCAAAAAGGAGUUAAUGUGGGUGGACUCUGCAAUCAACAGUAUGAGGAAGACUGGCACCUCUUUAUUGAUUGUCCUUGGUCGCAGGUAUUAUGGGAACAAACUGAUCUCGCAGCUUCAAUCAAGACAAAAGCCGCUAUUCAUAUUCAUACUAAUGACUGGCUUUGGGGAAUGUAAACUUGAUACUGCCAAACGGGAGCGAUGGAUCACCUGUUUGUGGGGUAUUUGGAGAGAGCGUAACAGCAGAGUGUAACAAAGACCUCAAGCUAUGGUGUUAGGAGACAGCGUACAGGAGGUUUUAGAUCGGGAGAAAAGGAAUAACUCUCGGCACGAAACCACCUGAACGGCGACAACUCUACUGCAAUAGGUGGCACCCCCCACCGGCAGGCGUUCUUAAAUGCAAUUUUGACGUGGUCAUCUUCAAUGCACAACGUCGCGCGGGUUUUGGGAUGGCUAUUCAGAAUCAUAACGGCGAGCUGCUUCAUUAUUGUAUGGAUACAAAGCCGGGAAUCAUGCCAGUCAAGGUUGGAGAAGCUACAGCUCUUCUCUUGGCCAUUCGAUGGAUCCUGGACUUGAGUACUCCCAAGCUAUUUUUGAAGGUGACUUGCAAGUUCUGGACAUAGCUAUCAAGUCAACCAGCGAGGAUGAUACUGAGUUCGGAGACUUGGCUCGUGCUUGUCGUCUCUCCAUAGGUAAUGCAGACAUUUUUUUUUUGUUAGGAGAGAAAGAAACUUAGUUACUCAUACGUUAGUUAGGCAAUUUAUUUUUCAUGUAUCUCCGACUAUGGGACAUACAUCUUCCGAGAUGCUCUUCGAUUUACUUGACACUUGAUACCGCUCGUUGGAGCAUUGAUCUAUAAGAUUUGAGCUUUUCUUAAAAAACAAAUGAUAAUUACGAAUUUGUUAGGAAUGGUGAAUCAGAAAAGCAAUAAAAAAGAAUGAUAUAGCACAAUAAAUUAGGAAAAUAUUUCGGAGAGAAUCAGAGAAGAAAUACUAACAAGUAAAACAAGUUAGUUGAAAUUUUUCAAAGAGCUUGUAUUUCGACCUAAAUUCUGAUGUAAAUUGGUGAUGGUUUCUUCCUUAAACACUAGAUUGUGCUACAUGGAUGGAUGGAGAUUUGAAAGUAUCGAGUUUGAAUUCCAUCUACACCAUACAUAUAGAUACUUAUAUUAUAUUUAUUUCUUUUUUUAUCAUGAUAUUCUUACCUAAUUUAUCUUCAACUAAAAACACAUUAAAAUGUGUCAAUUUUAAUGUCGCAUUAAUAUGAAUUGGCAACCAACAUCAAGUUUCAAAUCAAUCGCAAGUUCACGACCAAAUGAUCUAACAGUAUGAGCCAAUUAAAACAAAACAAUUAUCACAUCACGAUCCGAUAUCUUCAAACAAAAAUAAUAAUUACACACCAAACACAUCGACCAAUCGAUCAUCACGAUUCCAACACCAACGCAAACCCGAAAUCACAAAACAACUAAAUUUUUUAAACAAACUCAAAUUGAAAACCCCUAAAAAACCCUCGGAUCAUCACAUCCGCCCACUCACAAGUCAAUGAUCAAACGGACCGUCAGGAUGAAGCUGCUUACAAACCUCCAAAUAAGUCAAGUAAACCACCCGAUUCUUCGCCCCAGUCCUAUGAACCCCACAAUGCAUGCAGAAAUACUUCAACUGCUCCAACGUACAAAGCCCUAGCCACUCCCCUAGCAACAAAAACAGCCAAUUGAUCUCCUCUUUAUCCCUCUCCCCGCCAAUCACCGGCUUCAUCGCUUCGUCCUUCCCGCACAUCGCACACUUCUGCAGCCGCGGGUGCAUCCACCGAUCCGGCGCCCUAUCGUGCAUCGACGCCCUGUUGCUCGCAAUGUAGCCGCACACCUCCUCGAACUUCUCGCUCAGAUCGAACGAAAUCUCUUGUCUAUAACUACAUUCCUUAUUAUUGCACUCCACCUCCCCUUUGAUCUCCAUUAUCCCCAUCGAACGGAGAUCUUCGAGGGUGUGGAGCUUCGCGAUUUUUUCCGUCGCCCAUGGAUAGGGCGGCGGAUGGAGUAUAUUUGUAUUCUUGUUUUUCUUCGCGGGUGUUUUUCGUUUGUUUCGGGGAGGAGGAGCGAGGUCAAUGUGAUCUUCGGGGUUGAAUAACGAUAGGGAAAGAGAGAGGAUUGGUGGGUCUGACAUGUAUAGGCCGAGCUUUCGUUUGAGGGAGGUGUCGGAGGAGGAAGGUUGAGUGGUGUUUGCCAUUGGUGGGAUUGGGAUCAGAAUGGAAGAAUAAUGGCGUGGAAAAGAAAGGUUUUUAAUUUAAAGGAAUUUUUCAGGUAGAAGAUUUGUGGGUGGAUAAUAUCCUUCCAACAGAAAUAUAUUUUCUGUUCGAAAAAUGAGAGAUUUUUAUUGUUAAUUAUUAUUUGGGUAACGUGCUCUAAUAACUAAUUAAUACGAUAGGUCUCUUACAUUGUAUUUUUGUUGUAAUGUAGUAGAAAUUAAAUUAGGACUGAUGUAUGUGUUGCUAUGUAUAGGACGAUAAGCCAAGCGGCUCGAACCAGUUCGACCUGAUCAUAGUCGAAUUUUAGAUAGUUCGUGAGGCAAUUUUAUUUAGAUAGCUUGUGAGUUUUGAGGCUAAAUUAGCACGUUACAUUGUAAUUAUUAAGUUUGUUUUGUUCGAAUUUGGUUAGUCAUAAAAGUUAUUUAUUUAUUUAUUUUAGCUCGAGUUGAUAUUAAUUAUAAUAUUUAUGGGUACGAGCUUGUUAUUGUUAUGCUUAUCUAGCCGAAACGAGUUCACUUGAGCUCAAGAUUGAUUGUUAGAGAAUACUACUAUAAAUAUUUUCUUUUUUGUCUUUAUUGUACUUCGACUCCAAGUCUAAUUCUUUUUCGAUUUUAACGGUUCGAAAAAUGAGGGAUUAUUAUUAUUAUUAUUAUUGGUAAUGUCAAUGCGUAUAAGGUAAUGACUAGUGACGUCUCUUACAUCGUACUUCUGUUGUAAUAUAAUUCACAUUGUAUUAGAGUUAAAUGUUAAUAUAUGUAUUACUAUCGAAUCGGUAUUAAGUGAGUUGUUGUGAUGGUAGAAGAGUCAUCCCCCCUCCAAUCAAUCAUUGGUCGGUUUGCGAGCUUAUUGAGGCAAAUUUGCUGACCAGGUUGUUUAUAUAUAGUUCAUGAGUCGGUCUGAUUUCGAUAGCUCACGAGACAACUUGAUGCAAGCUCAUUAGUGGUUCGUGAGAUUUCUUGAUUAUAAGCUUUAUCAUUACAUUUUAUAUUUGUUCAAUUCGAAAUCGGCUGAAAUUGAAAGUUGGUCUUUUUUAUUUUGAGCUCGAGCCGACAUUGACUAUGAUGGUUAUCGAGCCGAAUUUAUUAUGAUCGUCGAGCGAACUUGUUAUAGUAUCGAGUCAUGGUUAUCAGCCCGACCUUGCUACGAUUAUAGAGCUGGCCGAGCUCGAAUACAAAAAAAGCUCGAACAAAAUUAAUUACCUGUCAAUAACAGUACUUAUGUAGUUAUUUGUACCACAAAUGUAUAUCACAUACCAACAAUACAUAAAAACCCGAUAAAAUUAUUCAUGAUUGACCACAAGAAAUACAAAAAUAAACAACCAACGACAUUAUUCGUGUACCAACAAUACUAACUUUCGUAUAAAAUGGACUAAUUAUUUAUUCUCAUUUUAAGUUUAUCCUUGUAGUAAAUUUAUGAUCGGACCCAGCCCAGUGAAGAUCGACCCAUGGCCAAGUCCAAGACCAAGCCCAAGCCCAAGCCCAAGCCCAACGAGGGGUUGUGUUGUUCGUGUGGUUCUCGGAUCGCACUCGCUGACUGUACGUCUAGUUCAGGUAAAAAGACGGUCAGAGGAGCGCGACAAAAGAUAAAAAGAAAUGUAAAAUAAUUAAAAAGAAAAUAGGAAAUAGGAGAAAAAAAAGGGUAAGAAAAAGGAAACAGGAAAAGAAAGAACACAGAAGGAAAUCAAUGGCGAGAGCUACGAGAAGAAGAAAUGCAGAACCAACAGCGUCCCUUCUCCUCCUCCUCCUCUCUCUUCCUAGCCGAAGAUGACGACGACGUCGCUGUUUCCUCCCUUCUGUAAACCCUAAUUGAAGCUUCUUCCUCGAUCGGCAACCGUUUUUUGGCCUCCUGCAAGCGGCGACUCCGAUCUCUUCCGGAGAAUUCGAGGACACGAUAAAUUUCUCAAGUCUCUCCGGUUCUGCUUCGUCAUUUCCCGAUUUUUGAUCCGCGAUGGACCCGUUGAUGGAGUUGUGCGAGCUCAUCGCGAAGAAUCCGUCGCAAUUCAGCGAUAAACUGACGUGGCUGUGCAACCGCUGCCCGCAGCCGGAGGCGCUACUCGGCGGAUCGCCUAGGGUUUCGAGGUCCCAGCUCAAUGCGGUCCUCGCGGUGGCGAGGUUCCUCUCCUUGGGGACGCCAGACGCGUCCGUCGAUCUCCGGCCGAAGUCCAUCGUGUUAGAGUUCCUCCACGUGAUUCCGUCGUCGUUCUCGCAGUCAUUCUGGCCGCAGUCGUACACGGCGGACUCGAUCGGGUCGUUCUACGGUGAGUUCCUGGGGCAUUUGGUGAGUUGCGCCGAGACGUCGGCGGAUUUCGGCGCGGAGAUUGCUGGCUUUUUGGGAGUAGUUGUGAUGGAAGCGGUUAAUUAUCACAAUGCUGGUGACGGUGUGGUGAUUUCGAGGGCUUUUUUGCUGGCGUUGACGGAGAAUUUUCCGCCGAUUUUGGCUUCUGAUGGGGAGAAGCUGGUGACUUGUCUUAUCGAUCAGGUCUUAGGGGCAGCUGGUGAUCAAGCGGGGUUAAACUCGGGUACUUCGUCGUCUCAGAGCUCGCCGUUGAAUAAAGUCAAUAAUCAUCAGCGUAACAAUGGUAUUUCCAGUCCGGCGAAUGAUCUGAGUGGGAUAUCUGGCGGGUCGUCCAGUGGAUUGUCUACGACGUCAGCAUUGAUGAACGGAAGUGGGUUGAUGUGGAAGAGUGGGUUUGAUUCGAUGGGCAUGGGCGUAGGGUUGAACGAUGGUUUGUUGCGGCAGCAAGCAACUUUGUUUGAGGAGGAAAGUGUGGAGGGAUUGGAGAAGCAUGAAAUCGCAUUCAAGUUGAUUGCUAAUGUAUUGACUCAUGUGAAGCUUGACGUUAAGCUUUCGGAACAAGUAAGAUUGAUUGCUAAGAAGCAGCUACAGUCUCUGUCGGCGUUUUUGAAGGUAAAUGAUAGAAUGCACCAUUGUUUUUCACCAUCUAAUGGUUUUGUGGUUUAGGAGAACGUAUAUGAAAGAAUUCUCCAUUGUUAAUAGAGCUCAAGAAGAAUUCACCAUCGUUAAUAGAGCUCAAGUAUUAGUUCUUGUUAGAGCAGGAAAAUUUAUGUGCAUGCUUGGUAAAAAAUGCUUAUUUGUUUUUCUUAUUAGUUAAAGAUUAUUUAUUUGUUCCAUAAGGAGUGAUUACUGACUUAACUUGUAUGUGUUUGGGUUAGAUUUCUGGUUGGUUAGUGUAUGACAACUUGGUAAAAGGUUAAGCUACAUGGUAGUUCAAACACGGAAAAAUUCCAAAUCAAUAAGCUGCAUGUUACUUUAGUGCUUUGGUAAAUGACAAACACUCUGAAUGUAUUAUGCCCUCAAUCUGAGGAUUGAAUUGAUAAUGUGGUUAGAUAAGGAAGCGCGACUGGAACGAACAAGGACAACAAUUGAAAGCUAGGGUGAACUCUAAACUCUCAGUUUAUCAAGCUGCAGCUAGAAUGAAGAUAAGGAGCCUUGCAUCCCUUGAUGCUGAUGGUAAAACCUUCAAAAGAUUGGUUCUUGAAACUCUUGCAUUGCUUAUCGAUGCUGCUGAAGCAUGUCUGCUAUCUGUGUGGCGGAAGUUAAGAAUAUGCGAAGAGCUGUUUAGGUCAUUGCUUGCUGGAAUUGCACAAAUUGCUGUGAGCAGGGGUGGUCAGCCACUUCGUGUUCUACUUAUUCGUCUUAAACCCCUUGUGUUGACAGCAUGUGCACAAGUAAGUUAAUGUUAUUGUUAGUAAUUGGCUUGAGUUUCAUACUAUAUUCUUUGUUUUUGCUUCAUCCAGUCUUUGUUUGUUUGAGUUUCCAGGCUGAUACUUGGGAUAGCAAUCAGGGAGCUAUGUUUGAUAGUGUGAUGAAGACAAGCUGCCAGAUAAUUGAAUCUGGAUGGAUAAAGGACCGAGCUCCUGUUGAUACUUUUAUUUUGGGAUUGGCAACAAGCAUACGUGAGCGGAACGACUAUGAUGAGCAGGUCAGCUUAUAUUCCUUUUUUCUUUCUUCUAUUCGCGUAGGCUAAUAUGUUCUUCCCAGUUGCAUUCUCUUGUCAAUCGCCCGUUUCUUCACAAAUUGUAACUCAAUGCUCGAAAUUUCAAUAUGACGCUGUUGAAAAUGUGAAAGACUUCUCAGCAAAUGAUUCAAACCGGUUGUCAACUGGAAUCUCUUUGUUUCAGAAAAAUGACCAAAUGUGUAUUAUUGAUAGCCGAAUGGCACUUCAAACUGCCAUAUAACAUAUUCCGAAUCCUCAAAGGAGGACUAGUUUCAUCUAUCCUCUUACAUAAGAGACUCGAUUUAAAACCCAGUCUCUUCUUUCCCUUUCCUGACAUUUUUAUUUGUCAAUUACAUGUCUCGUGGAUAUGCACUAUUCUUUGAUAUGCAUAAAAGUCGGAAAACUGGUCUUAUGCGUGUGAUUUGGAUGGCAUGCCGAGUCAUGCAUGUAUAUAUUCUUAGGUUAAUAUGCAGAUCUUUAUUCAUGAUUCCUCUUUAUUACAGGCUGAGAAGGAAAAACAAGGGGUUCCUCCCGUGCAGCUCAAUCUCAUACGUUUGCUAGCUGAUUUAACCGUGGCUGUUAACAAGUCAGAAGUGGUUGACAUGAUUUUGCCACUUUUUGUUGAAAGCUUGGAGGAGGGUGAUGCUUUAACUCCUGGCAUAUUGCGACUUCGAGUACUGACUCUUUGUUUCUAGAUCAUCCUUUGCUGUAUCAUAAAUUUUCUGUUAUAUCUGCAAUUGUUUUUGCUAGUUGACUACCAGUUGCUCCUUCAAUUUGGCAGCAUGAUUUAACUCCUCUCUAUAUCUCUCCUACCUGCAGCUUCUUGAUGCUGUAUCACGGAUAGCAAGUCUAGGGUUUGAGAAAUCCUAUCGCGAGACAGUUGUCCUGAUGACAAGAAGUUACUUGGGUAAACUGUCAAGUGUAGGAUCUGCUGAAAACACGACUUUGCCAGCAGAAGCCAAUACAGAACGUGUUGAGGUAAGCUUAUUCAAGUUUAUUUUAUGAAGUUUCCUUCUUUGUCUUAGAAAUUACGUUCAGUGUAUAAGAAGUAUAGCUAACUAUUCAAUCACAUUCAAGACUCUUCCUGCAGGAUUCCGUUUGAUAGCUAGUGGUCUAAAAAAUCCAAAAUUACGUGUAGACUACCGACAUCGUCUUCUCUCUUUGUGCUCAGAUGUGGGGCUGGCAGCUGAAUCUAAGAGUGGAAGGUGAAUAUUUAACUUAUGUGUUGUACCUUGGCUUCUUAAAUUUGCAUUACACAAAAGCAAAUCGUCUUCAUUGCAUCUUGAGGAUUUUGAUUUCAUCCUAUUACUGGCUUUAUAGGAGUGGAGCAGAUUUUAUGGGUCCUCUACUUCCUGCUGUUGCUGAAGUCUGCUCCGAUUUUGAUCCUACAGUGAAUGUCGAACCGUCACUUCUGAAACUCUUCCGUAACUUGUGGUUCUAUGUUGCUCUGUUUGGUUUGGCACCACCGAUUGUGAAAACUCCACAACAGGUGAAGUCCACAUCAACCACGCUGAAUAGUGUAGGAAGCAAUGGUGCACUUUCUCUUCAGGCUGUGGGUGGACCAUACAUGUGGAAUGCACAGUGGUGUUCUGCUGUCCAACGCAUUGCUCAAGGGACUCCUCCUCUUGUAAGGACAUAUGAAAUUUUUGAAUUUGGAUGAUUGAAUGUCGGUAGAUGUUGUUGCUCACUAGUGAGAUACUUGUGUUUGUACCCACUGGGUUAUAUUUACUUGCUUUAUCUUGUUGUUUUGGAAUACAUUAUUUUUAAAUGGUGCAUUAUAUUGGUGCCUUAUACAGGUUGUCAGUUCUGUCAAAUGGCUUGAAGAUGAACUGGAACUCAAUGCACUCCACAACCCAGGAAGCCGUCAAGCAAGUGGCAAUGAGAAAGCUGCUCUAACCCAACGAUCAGCUCUGUCAGCUGCAUUGGGUGGCAGAGUUGAGGUUGCAGGAAUGACCACAAUCUCUGGUCAGGAUUUUAAUCACUUGUCUGGGCUAUAGUGGAUGUUUUUGGGUAGAAGUUUCUGUUAAUUGGUUGUCAUGUUUUAUCUGCAGGUGUUAAAGCAACAUAUCUGCUUGCUGUAGCUUUUCUGGAGAUAAUUCGUUUCAGCAGCAAUGGUGGGAUUCUCAAUGGGGAUACCAGUUUAACUGCUUCCAGAAGUGCCUUCAGCUGCGUAUUUGAAUAUCUAAAAACUCCAAACUUGAUGCCUGCUGUCUUUCAAUGUCUGACUGCGAUAGUGCAUCGAGCAUUUGAAGCAGCUGUAUCGUGGCUGGUAAUCUUCAUACGAAAUUACUGUUUCUAAAAUCACAAUUAACUUAAUUACUUUUAUGUGUCAAAGCAAUAGUCUGCAUUAUGUUGAUUCAAUUUCACCAUUCCAUUUUGAAUUUUUGAUAAUUCAUUUCUACCUUGCUUUAAACCAAAUCUGAUAUGUUUUUUUCUGUAACAACAAACUUAUCCUUGAUUUUCAAUGGGAAGUGUUUCUCAUAAUGCAACGUGUAUUGUUGUGGCAGUUUACUAUUUUUCAAGUAAGAUAUUUGUAACUGUCCCCUUGCCUCUCUCUCACCGAUCUCCAUGUUUUUGUUUGGGUUCAGGAAGAACGGAUAACUGACACUGGCAAAGAUGCUGCAAUCAGAGAAUUAACUCUUUUUGCCCAUGCAUGUUUCCUGAUAAAAAGCAUGUCACUGAGAGAGGAGCACAUCCGUGAUAUUGCUGUUAACUUGUUGACUCAGCUUCGAGAUAAGUUUCCUCAGGUACAAUCAUGCUAGUUAUUCUAGUAGCUAUCCGCUCAGUAUUUUACUGUUUGUGUACCCUUGUGAACCAAUAAUUUAUUCUGGUAAACAAAUGGAACUGCAUAUCUACAGAUCUUAUGGAACUCGUCCUGUUUGGACUCCCUAUUAUUUUCUGUUCACAAUGACUCAACUUCAACCGCUGUUAAUGAUCCCUCUUGGGUAGCAACUGUUCGGGCAUUGUACCAGAAAAUUCUCAGGGAGUGGAUCUGCAUGUCGCUCUCAUAUGCUCCAUGUACUAGCCAAGGUCUUCUUCAGGUAAUUAUAUCAUCUUUAUUUGCGGAAUUUUAUGUAGAAGCUUUCUAAGAAGUGCUUCCUGAAGAUGUUACCUACAUCAUUUUAUUGAAACUUUUGGCGAUGGUUAGAGUUUUAUUUUUUUAUUUUAUUUCUUGUUAAAUUCUGAUUUUUUCCUUGACUUAACCACUUAAGGAAAAGCUCUGCAAGGCAAAUACUUGGCAGAAGGCACAGCAAACUACUGAUGUGGUGUCUCUGCUAACUGAGAUACGUAUCGGAACUGGCAAGAAUGAUUGGACUGGAAUUCGGACUGCUAAUGUUCCGGCUGGGGUGGUCCGCCGACAACUUUUGGUGGGGGUCUCCAACGGUUGAUAACUGGAGCAUUUGCUCAACCGCCAGAGACUGAAGAUGAUUCUUUCAAUGAGAUGUUACUUAAUAAGUUCGUGCAUCUACUCCAGCAAUUUGUUACUGCUGCGGAGAAAGGUGGGGAUGUGGAAAAAUCACAGUUUCGUGAUAUUUGUUCUCAGUCAACAGCGUUACUUCUAUCCAAUCUGGUAAAACCCCAUAUUAGUGAUUAUACAGUCCCAGUAACAAAUGAUUUUCAACGUAUUGCUCACAUCUUGAUUGCUUUUUUCCUUUGUUUGCCAGACUUGUGAAUCAAAAUUCAACAUAGAGGGCUUUGCGCAACUGCUACGCCUUCUUUGCUGGUGUCCAGCAUAUAUAUCUACUCCAGAUGCAAUGGAGACUGGCGUCUUUAUAUGGACUUGGUUAGUUUCUGCAGCACCCCAACUUGGAUCUCUUGUUCUUGCCGAACUCGUGGACGCCUGGUUAUGGACUAUCGACACAAAGCGAGGGCUGUUUGCAUAUGAUGUCAAUUACUCUGGACCUGCUGCGAAACUAAGGCCUCAGCUCGCUCCUGGAGAACCAGAGCCACAGCCUGAAAUUGAUCCUGUUGAACAGAUCCUCGCUCAUAGACUUUGGCUUGGCUUUUUCAUUGAUCGGUUUGAGGUCAGUAAUCUCUAUAUGCUAGUUUCCGCCAGUAAUCUCUUUAUGCUUGUUUCCGUGUCAUUUUUCUGCGUUCUUCCAUACCUAUACGUACUACAAUGGGCAUAAGAAGACUCUGUCUCCUUAACUAUCCAUCAACUGCUUCUAAAAUACGAUGGUUAUCAAUACUUGUUCUUCUGUUAUUCUUGAUGUGUCGUACAGCUUUAUGGAACUGACAUGCUUCCCUUUAAGAACAGUUCGUGUUAUACUGUAAUAAAUGCUAUGGUUCUUUUGUUUUUUUAUUCCUUUCUCCCUCUAGCGGGUUCUCUUGUCUACACCAUGGUGAGUGCUCCUUUUUGGAUUCAAUGAUGAAUGUUUUUUUCGCUGCAUAGGUAGUGCGGCAUAACAGUGGCGAGCAACUCUUGCUCUUGGGUAGGCUAUUGCAAGGGACAAUGAGGUUGCCUUGGAAUUUUUCACGCCAUCCUGCUGCUACUGGUACCUUUUUCACAGUCAUGCUCCUUGGGCUCAAAUUCAGCUCAUGUCAUUCUCAGGGAAACCUGCAGAAUUAUAAAACCGGGCUUCAACUACUGGAAGAUCGGAUUUAUAGGUGAUUAAGACUGCCCUCUUGUCCCAGUUUCUGUUAGUUGGCAGAAGUAACAGAAUCUCUCUGUUGACAAAAUUUGUUUGUACCAUUCAAAUUAAAGAGCUGAAUAUGCUGUUAGAAAAUUGACGAUUUUUUUUCUUGUAUGUUUCAGAGCCUGUUUGGGCUGGUUUGCUUUUGAACCUGAGUGGUACAAUGUGAACUAUAUGAAUUUUGCUCAGAGUGAGGCUCAAUCUGUAUCAGUAUUUGUUCACUAUCUUUCCAAUGAACGAGGGGAUGCUCCUCUAUCUGACUCUAAGGGACGUGGGAGUGACAAUGGAAGUUCGUUGGUUGAUAUGGUAAGAACUACUGUUAAUCAAUGAGAAAUAGAUGGCCAUAUUGUUUCUACGUUCCAUUUAUUUACAGAUAGGUCCACUUUUGCUGACAAAAUUACAAUACUGCAGAAUGAUGAACAUCACCCUGUGUGGGGUCACAUGGAGAAUUAUGCUACCGGAAGGGAAAAGCGGAAACAGUUACUAUUGAUGCUAUGUCAGCAUGAGGCUGAUAGGCUUGAAGUGUGGGCGCAACCUACUAACUCCAAGUAAUUCUGCACUGACAAACCAGACACUUGUGUCAUUUCUGCAUGUUUCAUGAAGUAUUUCUGCACUGAUGUACUAAGAAAAGCUCCUAUGUUUUCAGAGAAAAUGUUUCGCGUCCCAAAAUCAGCUCAGAUAAAUGGAUAGAAUAUGCUAGGACAGCUUUCUCCGUGGAUCCCCAUAUUGCUUUAUGCAUGGCGUCAAGGUUCCCUGCAAAUACUACUUUGAAGGCUGAAGUAACACAGUUGGUCCAGGUAUGUAUGAUAUAUGCAGAUAUAGCAAUGGAUGGAAGCUAAUGCUGCUUCUCCAUAGAUGUUACUUUUUUCCCAUGAAUACCCUAUUCACCUUGUUGGUUGUAUUGGUGUCUAAUUUUGCAGUCACAUAUUCUUGACGUGCGCACUUUACCAGAAGCACUUCCGUACUUUGUCACCCCAAAGGCUGUUGAUGAAGAUUCAGUGCUUUUGCAACAACUGCCACACUGGGCUGGUUGUACAAUAACACAAGCACUAGAGUUCCUAACUCCUGCAUACAAGGGUCAUCCUCGUGUGAUGGCUUACGUUCUGAGAGUUUUGGAGUCUUAUCCUCCUGAGCGUGUAACAUUUUUCAUGCCACAAUUAGUCCAGUCUCUGCGGUAUGAUGAUGGGGUGAGUUCUCUGAUGACAAAGCUGUCCUCUUGGUUUUUUUCCCCUUUACCCAUAGCGUUAGCAAUUUGUUAUGGUUAAAUCUUGAAGGUUUGACUAGUGGAUUCGGACGGUUAUACUAGAAACAAAAAAUUUGUACCUGACUUGUUUUUAAGGUUGUGUUGAAUAUACCUUGAAAAGUGAGGCAUAAUCUUCCAAAUACUAAAGUGGAAGAAAAACAUGAGUAGGGAUAGAAACAUAAAACUAUUGCCACUGCUUUGGCAGCCUUUGUUGAGUGCGAUAUGAUCAAGUUUAAUGGUUGUAUAAAGUAACUACAUGGCAGUUUUAUUUGUAUCUCUGCCUUGCCCACCCUUAUUGGUGGAAUGGUGUUCUAACAUAUUGGAAUAUGCUUGAAUUUCCAAUUACAGAAGUUAGUCGAAGGAUAUUUGCUGAGAGCAGCUCAGAGAAGUGAUAUCUUUGCACAUAUUCUGAUUUGGCAUUUGCAGGUUUGUUAAAAAUUAUGAUAAUGUCAUAAUGGCUUACCUCUUAGUAUUGUUGCUGAUCAUCACAUUUUUUAUGUUAUAUUCUCUGGUUCUAAGGUGUAAAUUUUUUUAUUUGUGGCAGGGAGAACAACCUGAAACAGAUGCAGUGAAAGAUGGUGCAGUCCCAAAGGUACGAUUUUAGUUUCUUCAUUUAGCUACCUAAUUAUACUUAUCUAUUAAGACGCUUGUCAAGAUGAUACUGCUCUGUGAAAUUGUCAAUGAUAUAUGCGCUGAAGUUCCUCAAUGGGUUGAAAAUAGGGCAAUAGGUCAUUGUUGAGUACUAAUAGUCUGUAGUUUCUUUUUCUUUUUUUAUUCUCCUCAAUAACUAUGUAUGCUCUUUCAGGAUGAUGCCUUUCAAGAACUCUUGCCUGUUGUUCGUGAGCAUAUCGUUGAUGGCUUCAAUGACAAGGCCCGUGAUGUUUUCGAAAGGGAGUUUGACUUUUUCGAUCAAGUUACGUCAAUCUCAGGUGUCCUCCUUCCACUGCCCAAGGAUGAGCGUCGGGCUGGUAUUCGGACGUAUGCUUCUUUUUCCUCCCCCAGUGUCGUAAGCUACUCUUUAUUUUGUCGUGAUUGAUGUUAGCUGUUGUAAAAUUCACAUGUUUUUGUGCACCAGGGAAUUGGAGAAAAUUAAAAUGCAAGGAGAAGAUCUUUAUUUACCAACUGCAACAAACAAACUUGUCAGAGGCAUCCGGGUGGAUAGUGGCAUACCCUUGCAAUCAGCAGCGAAAGUCCCGAUCAUGGUUACCUUUGAUGUGGUUGAUCGUGAUGGCAGCCCCAAUGAUAUUAAGCCUCAAGCUUGCAUUUUCAAGGUAAGCUCUCAUUAUCAGCUAAAGGUAUCAGGCGAAUUGGUGCUCUUGGGAGAAAGUCCAACAAGUCCUCUAUAUUCAAGCUUUUUAACAUUUGCCUCUAACUUAAUCAUUGUACUACACCAGAAUUUCGGGUUGUAAAUGUCCCAUUGUACAUUUACUCCGACCCGUGACGUGCUGACAGUCUUCUUUCUGCUAAAUUCUGUUUGUAAAACCAUGGCCGGCAUAUAAAUUAUCGCAAAUAAAGUACUUCUUGAUGUGAAAAUUGAUUGAUGUUAUGUUUUGAAGGUUGGAGAUGAUUGCAGACAAGAUGUGCUUGCCCUUCAAGUGAUAACGCUUCUUAGAGACAUCUUUGGUGCUGUCGGCCUUAAUCUCUAUUUGUUUCCCUACGGUGUCUUGCCAACCGGGCCAGGGAGAGGUAUUAUCGAGGUGGGUUCCUAUGUCCAAUCACUAUUUUCAUUAUGUUUCUGAUUUGUGCUUCAUUACCUCGAAACACCAGACAGCAUAAUGCCAAUUGCUUCUAUGCAUGUGUCUUACUGUCUUUACGUGGUCUGAUUUCUCUCCAUCGAUCCUGUAUAACCUUUUACACUGUAUCUUUAAAUACGCUACUUCAUUGCGGUCAUUAUUCCCAUCUUCUGAGUCUAUUUGAAGAACAGGAGGGAGAAUAGUCAAUGCUAAGGAAUCUUACAUGUUACUAUAAAAAGUUGACUCCUUUUCGGCUUGUACUGGUUGUUUCCCUUGGUACUAAAGUUUCUCGAGCUUGGGCAGGUUGUGCCUAACUCACGGAGUCGAAGUCAGAUGGGCGAAACAACAGAUGGCGGUUUGUACGAGAUCUUUCAGCAGGACUUUGGUCCUGUCGGCUCGCCUAGUUUCGAAGCCGCUCGUGAAAACUUCAUCAUCAGCAGCGCCGGUUAUGCAGUUGCCAGUCUUCUACUCCAACCGAAGGACAGACACAACGGGAACUUGCUUUUCGACAGGUAUCGAAUUUCUCCUCUUCUGGUGUGCUUUUGUCUUCACCUUUCCAACUGAGUAAAUGAUGAAUGUUCCAAACUUCAACAACAAAUUACUUGUCUCGCCGCAGUGAUGGGAGGCUCGUCCACAUUGAUUUUGGAUUCAUAUUCGAAAUCUCCCCCGGUGGGAACAUGCGGUUUGAGAGUGCACAUUUCAAACUCAGCCACGAGAUGACUCAGUUACUCGACCCAUCAGGCGUCAUGAAGAGCGAGACGUGGCACCAAUUCGUAAGGUAUAAUACCGUCCACUACAAAGCCUUAUAUCAUUCAAUCUCCUUCUGACAUUGUUCACUCUUUUUUCUUCUCGACGUUGCAGCCUGUGCGUGAAAGGGUACCUCGCAGCACGCAGGUACAUGGACGGAAUCAUCAACACGGUAAUGAUGAUGCUCGACAGUGGCCUACCUUGCUUCAGUCGAGGAGACCCGAUCGGGAACCUCCGAAAGAGGUUCCACCCGGAAAUGAGCGAGAGGGAAGCCGCGAAUUUCAUGAUCCAUGUCUGCACAGACGCCUACAACAAAUGGUCAACUGCAGGCUACGACUUGAUACAGUAUCUGCAGCAAGGAAUCGAGAAGUGAUUUGAUGAUGUAAAUGGUUUCUCUUUUGUAGGGUUUUCAUUUUAUUUGUAGGCUUGUGAUAUAUAAAGAGGGAGAAAUUGUUCUUAGUAUAAUAUAUAUAUAAAAAAAUUAAAUUAAAUGUUACCAUCAUUGUAGAUAAGAACUGAGGCAAAUAUUUGUGGGGGGGGGGGGGGGGGUGGGUUGUUUGUGGUUGGGAAUGUGAAUUAUCUUUACUGUUAUAUCAAUCAAGCUUGUAUACAUCUUGUUCAAUUUUGUAAUAAUGAUUAGACUGCACCCGUCAUCAUUGCCAAAUCGACAACAAUCGAGCUGCUUAUGUACCUCGUACUCCUACGGAGGAUCAAGCCUAACGUAGUUCUAUUUAAUUACAAUUUAGAGAGUAUGAAUCAAUCCUAUCUCACCAACCAACUAUCUAGUGACUUCAACUUGAAAAUGUUCAUAUUUUAAACCAUUGCUUCAUUGUUGGCUCAAAUACUUUACAAAUAUCAGAUUUGAACACCCUUCUAUCCAGCUGAAGAAGAAUCUCCCAACACGUACAAAAACAAAACCAACACAAUUACCUUACUAUUACCACAUUACCCUCCAAACCCACCAAAUUUACACUCUAAUCACCUACUUUCUCUCUAACUCAACUUCAGUCCCCUUACUUUUCUCUUCUUCCAUCUUCAACUCCUCUGCUUUCUUCCUCCACCCAAACAGGCUCCCAAACAGAACCUCCAUAUCCUCCAGCGUCCUCCCCUGCGUCUCCGGGUAGCAGCUGAAGAAGAAAACGAACGCCACCGCCGCCAACCCCGCAAACAAGAAAAACGCGCCGCUGAUCGUCAUCGCCUUGUACAGCGAGAUGAACGUCGUCGAGAUCACGCCGCUGAUUACUCUGUUCACGGCGACCCCCAUUCCCGUGCCCUGUGCCCGCAGCCGGAGCGGGAAGAUCUCCGAGCUGUAGACCCACGUGAUGGGUCCCAUCCCGAUUGAGAAGAAUGCCACGAAGGAUAGCACCAUGGAGAUGCAGAGUCCGAUUGCCCAGUUCACUUUCCCCUUUGAGUGGUCGAUCACUUCCAAGGACCAUCCUAAGGUUAUUAAAGAGAUCACCAUCCCGCCGACGCUUCCCAGGAGUAACGGCCGCCGGCCGAUUCUGCGUGAUAAAGAGAGUAAUUGGUUUGGUUAAUUUGGUUCAACCAAUGAAUUCCAUUUGGUUAAGGAUAAUCAAUAUAACUAAUUGACAUAACAACAAAAAUAUAUCAAGACAGUGUUUAUAAUUGAAUCAAACCAUUCAAACCGAGUGUUUUUUUGGCAGGAACCAUUCAAACCGAGUUAACUCAACAAUACUGAGCUAGCGGUUCAUUUGGAGCGCUCAAAAAACUUAUCCGACUUAGUCUAACCUAGCUCAGCUCAAUUUAUCAUCUCGGUUGACUAAAACUUGACACAUAAUUAAAAAUAAUAAUGAAUCCACAACCUCAAGAUAUUCGUAAUACGGUUAAUUUAUUAACUCACCGUUUUUAAUAAUUAGAACCGUGUGUCCGUUCUUUCCAAAAAAACAUAACUCACCGUUUAAAUCAAUGUGACCAAAUGACUCAAACCAAAACAACUAAACCAUGAUAAUCAAUCAAAAUUACCUGUCGAGCAAGAAAGUGGCGACGAGGAUGAACACGGUCUUAGUGAACCCGACGGCAAUCGUCGCGAUCAGCUGCUUGCCGGAGGAUGUAAUCCCGGCCUUCUCGAAGAUCCUUGGGCUGUAAAGAACAACAGCGUCGAUCCCAGAUGCCUGCUGGAAGAAGUGGAUUCCAAUUGCGCAGAUCAAGAUGUGUCGGACCGCCGGGGUGGGUCUGAGGAGCAGCUCCUUCCACACUCCCUCGCCGUGGCUCUGUUUGCUGACGGAAACGACGUCGUCGUUGCAGGAUUCGGGGAUUCCGACGGCGGCUUUGAUGUCGGCGAGCCUGGAUUUGGAUUCCUCCAGCGAAUCGGAGGUCUUGUCCAGGACCUUCUUGGCGUCGCCGAGGCGGCCCUGUAGUACUAGCCACCGUGGGGACUCCGGCAUGGCGAGGACGCCGAUGGCGAGGAAGACGGAGGGGAUAGCGCCGACGCCGAGCAUGAAUCUCCAGCCGAGGUGUUCCGGUAAGUGGGAGAAGGCAUAGUUGGAGACGUAGCCAAGUAAGAUGCCGGCGUUUAUGAAAACCUGAAAGGAAGAAAAAUGAAUCAUCGUAGAUUUAUAAUUAACCAGACUGAGUAAAAUAAAAUAACGACAAAAUCUACCAAUACUCAAAUUUAAUCAUGAUCCUCUGGAAGGAAUAAACCAUUAAACAUCGUUGUAUUUUUUCGGUUCGAUUUAGUAACCGGUUUUAAAAAAAAUCAUGCAAAAUAAUCAAACUUAUUAAAAGAUUAAUUUUGAAUUACCUCGGGGAAAGAGGUCAGGAAGCCGCGGGAAGAAGCAGGGGACACCUCGGCGGUGUACACCGGCGCAAUCAUGAGAGCGAACCCGACGCCUAUUCCGGCAACGAAUCGGCCGACCGUGAGGAACGCGUAGUUGGUAGCGAAUCCCAUGAGCAGUGCUCCGACGAAGAAAAUCAUGCCGGCGACGACGAUGGUGUACCGCCGUCCAAUCCAGUCCGACGUCCUGCCGGCGGCGGCAGAUCCGAUGAGGGAGUAAAUGUUAAGCAUCCCGACCAGCACCUCCACUUGCACGUCCGAGAUCUUGAAGUCGUCCUUGAUGAAUUUGGCGGCUCCGCUCAUCACUCCGAUAUCUGUAGAACAAAAUACAAACUUCAAUUCUUUCUUUCAAAUUCACCAAUUACAUGUUCGUUUCAACCGGUUCAAUCGUGAAUCAUAUUGAACUGAUUUAUACACUUACUCAACCAGUAUUAUAUUUUUCGAUCUAGUACACUUUUACCAUAAUUCUGAAUAUCGUUCGAAUUCAGACUUAUAUCAAUCAUAUAAUAAACCUUCAAUUUGAAUCUAACAAGUGUUCAAAAAUCAAUAAUUGGAAGAAGAAUAAAACAUCUAGCUAUACAUAUCUUUUGAAUAAUAAUUAUAUAAAUCAAAGUUUACGAAAUAAAUAUAGAAUAAUUUCAUAAUAUUUAUAUCAACUUGAAUAGUUGGAGAGGAUUAAUAAGUAAUCUCACCAUAGCCGAGUAAGAUGGAAGUCAUGGAAGCCAAAAUAGCACACGCGAAGGCAAACUUGUUCCUCUUGGGCUUCGCCGGAGGGUCGAAAUCAGCCAACUUGUUGCCCCCGGCGUUUGGAGGAGCCAUGCUUUUUUUUUUCCCUUCGCCGGAGUGAAGAAACAGAGGAUUUGCCUCCUUGUUUUGGUUUUGGUUUUGGUUUUGGUUAGUUAUCGUUUGGUUCUCUCAAUAGUGAGGCAAAUGGAAGUGGUUUUGAAGUUAUAUAUAUAGACACCCAUAUUUGCCACAUCACUUAUGGCUCAAAUGGAUUGGAUCUUUUUGUAAGGAAAGCCUUUUAGUGUGCUUAAAGAGACCAUAAAAAAAUUGCUGAUUAAUUUAAUAAAAAACUAUCAACAAAUUUAGGAUCCUUUGUUGAUAUUUUAUUUUGAAUUAUCAAACAGGUCUUGAGAUUUACUAAUAUCAUGUUAUUAGUCAUGAACUAAUCAGAUUAUAAUUAUUAAGGUAUCGACGGGUUAUGAAAUAAUCAAAAUUACAGGUCAAUUUAGAUUUUUUUUUUCUAAUGCAAUUUGAAAAUUUAAGUAGGUAAGUUAUAAAUAAGGAGAAAUUGAAAUUAGAUUGUACUUAUCCAAAUCUUUCAUAUGAUUUUUNNNNNNNNNNNNNNNNNNNNNNNNNNNNNNNNNNNNNNNNNNNNNNNNNNNNNNNNNNNNNNNNNNNNNNNNNNNNNNNNNNNNNNNNNNNNNNNNNNNNNNNNNNNNNNNNNNNNNNNNNNNNNNNNNNNNNNNNNNNNNNNNNNNNNNNNNNNNNNNNNNNNNNNNNNNNNNNNNNNNNNNNNNNNNNNNNNNNNNNNNNNNNNNNNNNNNNNNNNNNNNNNNNNNNNNNNNNNNNNNNNNNNNNNNNNNNNNNNNNNNNNNNNNNNNNNNNNNNNNNNNNNNNNNNNNNNNNNNNNNNNNNNNNNNNNNNNNNNNNNNNNNNNNNNNNNNNNNNNNNNNNNNNNNNNNNNNNNNNNNNNNNNNNNNNNNNNNNNNNNNNNNNNNNNNNNNNNNNNNNNNNNNNNNNNNNNNNNNNNNNNNNNNNNNNNNNNNNNNNNNNNNNNUGUAUAACUGAUUAAUUGAAAUUGUUUAUCACUCGAAAAAGAAAACAGAAAAUUGAUGAAAUUUAUAAUGUCACAUGUUGCAUAAUUGUUUAAGAGAUAAUUUCCAUCGUCAUUUCAUAUAACUUACUGUAUUUUUAGUUUCUUUUUUCGUUCAGACGCUAAUUACAUUCUGUUUGUUUUGAAAUUGUUCAAACAUUAAUUACUUAGAUAAUUGACUUCUUUUGCUAAUUAAUUAUCAUACUUCAUUCUUCUAUUUUUUUUAUUUCAUAUAAAAACUCUGAACGACAAUCUAAAUUGACUUAUUUUUUAUUUCACUAUUAAUGCUCGCACACCAACAAUUUUAAUAUUAUUAAAAUAAAAUGACAAAAAAUAUAGAAUAUUAUUGCCAUGUCGAUUGUCAAAGGUAAGAAGUUGACUCAAAGGAGUAUCUUGAAACUUCUAUUUCACGUCUCCCUCGAUCUCUCACGAGUCAACACACCUAUAUCUAAUUAUGAAGUUAUCGCAAGUACACUUCUCCCAGUAGUGCAUGCACAUGCCCUUGUUAUUUAAUUGUCAUUUGACCAUCCAAGUAAUAUGAGAGGAUUAAGCGAGGAUCUGACUACAUAUUUAAUUAUUUAUAAAAAAUAAAAAUAAAUAUGACAACAUAUUAUUGCCAACAUACGAUUUUAUCACUAUAACAAUUCCAUUUAAACGAAUUUUUAAACCUUAGACACGACACCGCGAAUACAUAAAAAGACGAAUGAAGCAUGGGGAUGAAUAUUGUGCACCACAUUUUGCAAUAAGUCGGGUCACCAUUAGCUAGCUAGGGGUCAAGAAUGAUGGCGGCCUUAAGUCAAGAAAUGCACGUGUUGUCUUGUUCACUCUUUGAGUUAUCGUCUCUUUAUCACUAAGGAAAACUUGGACUUGCUCGAGUCAACAUUUUGGACCAACUAGAGAUGGGGAUGAUGUAUAUUCAAAGUUCAGUGAUGAAAAUGCUCACUUAAGUCAAUAAUUAACUUCGAAAAGGUUAUUCUAACUUUGAACAAUGAAUUUCUAAAUUGAGUGACGUGGUUCUGUUUGUAUUUUGUUACUUCCCCAAAUGAUUUUUUUUUAAAAAAAACGAGUUAAUAUCAUUAUUCAUAAUUUGAUUUAGAAAUACAAUGUCAAACGUAACACAUUGUAAUAUUAAUUGUAUAUAUAAUUAACUAUGACAUUAUAUUCACACACAAAAAGGUCUGUACAUGCGAUAAUCAUUUAAGGUUUCGCCAAAUAAUCUCUAAAAUGAUGAUCGCACAUAUCCAACCACUCACAAAGACUUCAAUACAGAAGAAAAAAUUGAGGAGUUGCGACUUAAUUCAUANNNNNNNNNNNNNNNNNNNNNNNNNNNNNNNNNNNNNNNNNNNNNNNNNNNNNNNNNNNNNNNNNNNNNNNNNNNNNNNNNNNNNNNNNNNNNNNNNNNNNNNNNNNNNNNNNNNNNNNNNNNNNNNNNNNNNNNNNNNNNNNNNNNNNNNNNNNNNNNNNNNNNNNNNNNNNNNNNNNNCAAUGCGUAACUAAGGAACUAACUCUUGAAUUAAUUAUCUUACAGUAUACUUUGCUUAACCGACUUGUAUUUCUGGAUUCCUGGUCCCCUAAGGAUCGAAACAACUAUUAAUGUGACACGUAUUAGUGAUCAUAUGUUUUUAAUUAAUUUGAUUGAGAAAUAGGAAAACAAAAAUCAUUAUUCAAAAACAAGUAAACAUGUUGACUAUUAGUCUAUAACGUUGUUGUCAUCUGAAUAGCUGUAUCCUAUUUUAUAAAUAUAAACAUAUAUUCUUCGGUAUAUUUGGUAUAUCAAAAAUUUUGAUAUGCCUAAUUUUUUUAUAGGUAAUAUAAAUCAUCGUGAACGUUCAUUUUAAAUGAUCGAUCUUGACGGUCGACAAUAAAUAUAAUUUUAAAACUUAAUUACGUAUAUUGUUUAUGAUCUUGAACUUAAAAUAGUUUUACAAACUUAUCAGCCAGAUACUUUGCAACUCGGUUGCAAAUAUUCAAUUGAAUGCAGAGAAGUAAAACGAACAACAAAAACUGUGGAAGAAGACUGGAAUAAUAACAUGAUCCAUUUCUACAAAUGAUCUCUGAAUCCUUACCACAGUAUGCACAAAGCCCAUAUCCCCACCUUAGAAGGAAUCCAAAUUUAGAACAUUAUUUUUUUCCUUAUUCAUCUUAAAUAUUAUAUAUUAUGAAACAACACCCGCUUCCAAUUCCACCCAACCCAUCUGCGAAUCCUUUGUUCCUCCCAAUUGUAGGCUGUUGUUCAAUUACUAAUCAGAAUAUACGAGCUAAUUAAUCAACAGAAUUUCGCCCGGAAGAAGAAACAAGGUUCAACAUUGUGAAACCUCAAUUUUUAGGCAUUCUCAACAUGCAUGUCAAAUGUUAUUCAAUUUGAAAAUUUUCAUGUCAAAAUUGGACAAUUUUCAAAGGGUUGACCUAUGUAAAUGAGCCAUUUUGACAUGAAAAUUUCAAAAUUUUCAAAUCGGCUAAUAUUUUACAUGCAUUUUGGAAAUGGCUAAAAAUUCAAGUUUCCCUAUGGUAAUCAUUGUAAAUAAUGGUCAAAUGAAUGUAAAAUUCAUUUUUACUUGGUGUUAUGUUAGAAAUGCAUAUAGAUCCUGCCCAGCUUAGGAUUUCGGUCCCUACGCUUUCUUCAGGGCUCCUAUUGGUGCAAGGUCAGUGGCGUUCGAAAGAUAAUUCAAUUAUCUUUCUAUCCUUAUAUCAUAAGCAAUCCGAUUUGAAAAACCCAAGGAGAUAUGCUCAAUUAAAGUUGACGGGCGGAAUAUUAAAAUAUGUAUAUUUAGUAAUUAUCCUUAUUUAAAGUUACAUUGGUUAAAGUAGAAGUAAUUUUCUAGGUAGGAUUAGGAUUAUUUUAUUAUUAUUUUACUUGGGGGUUUAGUUUUUAAAGCGUAUAUAAAGGCUUGGUUAGUAUUGUGUUAGACAGAUUAUUGAUGAUGAAUAAAUACGUUUAGUUUUAUACUCGUUUGAGUGUGUGAUGAUUCCUAUUUGGAGAAUCGUUGAUUUGUUAAAGUGAGUGCCGAAUCUUGCUUAGACGAGCGUUAAUUGUUUCAGCGAGAUAUUUUUUCAACAUGCCACGGUGUAGUAUAAUAUUCGUGUACCUAGAACUAAUAAAAGCANNNNNNNNNNNNNNNNNNNNNNNNNNNNNNNNNNNNNNNNNNNNNNNNNNNNNNNNNNNNNNNNNNNNNNNNNAUGUCCCUAUAACUAAUAAGAGCCUCGUCGUAGAAAAUAAGAGGCAUAGUGCAGGAACAAGCCUCCAGACAUAAGUAUAAGUCCUUCCAAACUCAGGAAUCACAUCAAGAUGGAUCUUGUUAAUACCAGGCAUGCAUAUAGUAAUUAUGCCAAUUUUAAAAUUUUCAACACUAAUAAAACCUUUAAAAAAUAUUUUUUAAUUUCAUUUGAAGGGUUUAACAUUGUGAAACCUCAAUUUUUAGGCAUUCCCAACAUGCAUGUCAAAUAUUAUCCAAUUUGAAAAUUGNNNNNNNNNNNNNNNNNNNNNNNNNNNNNNNNNNNNNNNNNNNCACCCCAAAAUUUGUCAAUUAUCAAAGGGAACACCUAUGAAAAUGAACCAUUUUGACAUGAAAAUUUAAAAUUUUUCAAAUCAACUAAUAUUUGACAUGCAUGUUAGAAAUGGCUAAAAAAUCAUGUUUCAAUAUGCUAACCCUUAUAAAUAAUGGUCAAAUGAAUGUAUAAUUCAUUUUUACUUGGUGUUACGUUAAAAAUGCAUAUCGAUCCUACCCAGCUUAGGAUUUUAGUCACUACUCUUUCUUCGAGACUCCUAUUGGAGCAAAGUCAUGGAUAUUGGAAAAAAUAACUAAAUUACCAUUCUAUCCAUAUAUCAUAAGCCACCCGAUUCGAAAAACCCAAGGACAUAUGCUCAAAUAAAGUGUACGGGGGAAUACUAAAAUAUGUAUAUUUAGUAAUUAUCCUUAUUUAAAAGUAGAAGUUUAUUUAAUUUUAUACGUAAGAUUAGAGAUUAGUUUAUUAUUGUUUCACUUGGGGGUUAAGUUGAAAAAAAUAAUUUUCUACAUACGAUUAGGAUAUUUUUUUACUUGGGGGUUUAGUUUUUAAAGCCUAUAUAAAGGCUUGGUUAGUAUUGUGUUAGACAAACUAUUGAUGAUGAAUAAAUACGUUUAGUUUUAUACUCGUUUGAGUGUGUGAUGAUUCCUAUUUGCAGAAUCGUUGAUUUGUUGAAGUGAGUGCCGAAUCUUGCUUGGAUGAGCGUUAAUUGUAUCAGCGAGAUAAUUUUUCAAAAUGCCACGGUGUAGUAUAAUAUUCGUGUCCCUAGAACAAAUAAGAGCCUCGUCGUAGAAUACUCAUGUUGGUGAAACUUCAUUUUUAGUCAUUCCGAACAUGCCUACCAAAUAUUAGUCAAUUUGAAAUGUUUCAAUUUUUGUGUGAAGUAUAAUACUCGUGUACCUAGAACUAAUAAGAGCUUUGUUGUAGAAAAUAAGAGGCAUAGUGUAGGAACAAGCCCCCGGGCAUAAGCAUGAGUCCUUCCAAACUUAGGAAUCCCAUCAAGAUGGAUCUUGUUAAUACCAUCUUGUUAAUACCAUGCAUGCAUAUAGUAAUUAAGCCAAUUUUAAAAUUUUCAAUACUAAUAAAACCUUUACAAAAUAUUUUUUAACUUCAUUUGAAGGGUUUAACAUAGUGAAACCUCAAUUUUUAGGCAUUCCCAACAUGCAUGUCAAAUAUUAUCCAAUUUGAAAUUUGAAAUUUUCAUGUUAAAAUUGGGCAAUUUUCAAAGGGUUUACUAUAUAAAUUUGACCAUUUUCACAAGAAAAUUUCAAAAAAAUUAAAUGGACUAAUAUUUGACAUGCAUGUUGGAAAUGGCUAAAAAAUCAAAUUUCACUAUGAUAACCCUUGUAAGUAAUUAUGAAAUGAAGUUAAAAAUCAAUUUUACUUGGCGUUAUGUUAUUAUUGAAAAUUUUGAAAUCGGCUUACUUUCUGUGUGUUGAGCCAUUGUUACAUGAAUUGCGUUUUGUUGACUUCGACCAUAUACAAUUCAAUAGGAACUAGAAUGUUUUACCAUACAUUUCAACACGUACAUAUAGUAAUAAAAUGCACGGAUCGAUACGUUCAAUUAGCUUUGCAGCGGAGCGCAGAGAAGCAACAUAGUAAUAUACCAACACCAAACUCAUUGAUUGGUUUGGGUGGCAAAACAAUCAUAGAGGUUGGAUCAAGAACCAGCCAUGUGCAAUCAUUUCCCCCUGAUGGUGGGUGUCCUUGUUUAUUUAUCAUAGUCUCAUAAGGUCCUCGGUGUGAACCGGUUUGAUUUCAAUAAAACCAAAUAAAAAAAUCAAUCGGUCUCAAUAUAAUGAUUUUAACCACAUAUCCAACUAAAGUUAAAUCGAAAUCCAAAGUUAGAGAGAAUCAUGUUCUUACAUGCCUUUGGAAUAGUACAAUUCGACAAUAACGCUCAACGUCGUAACUAAGACAAAUACCUAAGUAAGCGAAUUCGUAAAUUUCCCAAUCAGCUCCAAAUACAUAACCUAGUGGAUGAUUAAAUCUAAAAGACCUUGUACAAGUCGCAUGCUCACUCCACCAUCUCCAAUAACACUGGUUAGAUUACGGAAAACGUUCAGAUUUUGAUAAAUCGAUAACCAAAAAAUUCGAGUUGCAUGCCAACCUAUUUUGUCACAAUCUAUGACAUUUGCAAUGAAACACACCACUUCUACAUAAGUCGUUUUCACAGUAGGGGAGGUUUGUGGCUAAUGUAACAAAGAUAGGGAAAGAGAUUACAUUGUAAUGUAAACCACAACUUUAUGUUUUGGUUUGGUUUGGUUAAAAUGUGGCACAUAUUUGUUACAGUACAGUUGCUUUAGUGUACAUGUUUUGUCCAAGCUUCAAUCAUGUCCAUCCAUUUCUGUCUUCUUCUGCAAUUUGGUGUUUGGAUCAGUCUUUUCUUCUCUUUUAUUCCUUUCUCCCUCUUUCACAAUCGUUGUACUUGUACUACACACACAUUUCUCCUUCUAUCGUAAACCAAGAAGGUUUAAAUUGUGGUUAUACUUGUUUGGUUUUUGGAUUUAUUUGGUGAUUCGUGGGGUUAAAAUACCUCUGAAAAUUUUGCCUUCUCAUUUUCCAAAUACUAAAUUUAAUUAAUAAAUUAGCCAAACAAUAUAAUUUCUACACCACAACUUUUACACCUCAUAAAUACCACAUAAAUAUUAGACUCAAUAUUUUCAAAUAACAUAUCAUUUUCGCUUCAAAAUACCACACAAACANNNNNNNNNNNNNNNNNNNNNNNNNNUUUUUUUUUUUUCUUAAAAUCUUUGAUUAUAGGAAAUUCCAAUCACUGUUCAUUUCGAAAAACAAACAAUAUGUUUACUAAAUACCUCUCGUUAUCUAAUAUCUCUGAUUAUUUCAAAUCACUCGUACUCAAAUCUCAAAAUCAAACGAUUUGUAAGAUUUUAUGAGUUUUAGCUAUUCAUUAUUAUUACUUCAUUCACAUAAUCAAAUACACUCUUGAGGGAUCGAAGUCUUUGACAACAAUGCAUAAGAAUUUAAGUUCCACAAUCAACAACGAAAUUCAUUUUCACAUGCAUCCUAAUUCAUUCUCACAUGCAUCCUACUCAAUAAAUAACCCAAAAAAAACCCAAAUUAUCAUGCUGUACAAGGAACAACACAAUGUACUAGUACAGGAUGGAACUACAACUAGUCAACUACCAGAGGGACAGGGGGUGUUUGGUAAUUGCCUCUUCUCUGAUGAUGAACCGGAAAUGCUUGGUAGUAGCAACCGGAAUUUCCCUUGCUGCAUCAGUAGCUCUCCUUCCAGCCGUGUGCUGUUGUGCAACGCUAACCUGGUGGCCAAAUCUGAUGAGAUUUCGAGGUCUGUGUUCCCAUCUUCUGAUGACCUUGGUAACGAUAAUGUUUCUCCUUCGGUGAAGUAGAGGACUGUUGGAGAUGACUGGAAAGUCGAGUUCGAAACAUCUAGCUUCUGCUUCAAAUCAUCAGGAAAGACCGAACGGCUUACCACCAGAGUCUUUGGUUGCAGUAUCUUCAGCAGACACUCGGUUUCUUGCAGUCUACGAAAAAACAAAGAAAAGUAAAGAUUACAACUUUGAAUUGAUGCAUCUGAGAUUGGUUUAAUGCAUCUGAAUCGAGUUUUUUUACGUACGUUCUCUCGUGAAGAAAUGAGCACUGCAGAACCUUCAUCUCCACUGGCUUGAAAGGCAAGAGGGCGAUUUCGGCAUCAAUCCCAUCCUGCAUAUUAAAAUAUCUCAACACAAAAUUCCAGUCCAAACACAGAAUUAACUAUUGAUCAUAAAGAAAAGCACCUCUAAUACAAGUAGAGAAUUCUCGUCGCUACUCCAACGCCGAAGCAGAUGAACAAGUGGACCAAGUCUUAGACUCCAAUGUGGAGCAAAUACGAUGCACGGUUCCUGCCAAGUCGUUCUGGAGAAAAAAAUGUUUAUUAGCUAGCUCCUGAACCUUGAACGACUCCUGAAGCGAAUUAAAAGCUCGAACGUGAAAAAAACGAAACAAACUUACAGUAGUUCAGGAGAGUGAAUAGCUGAAAACACAUAAAGCUUCUUGCCCUUCACAAGUUCAUCAUGCGAAAACAUAGCUUCCCCUGAAAAAAACUGCAAAGAACAUUUGAGGCCUGAAGGUUGAAGUUAACAUCUUAACAAACGAACAAGUACUCGAACUCGGGAGAUGGACUUACCUUCUCUUGGCGUGGUUUGCAUACCCAUUCAGGUAUAGUGUUCAGGAAUGCUAAUAGUUCAACAGCUGUUGAAGAGAUGAAGUAAAUUGGAACCUGUAUGAGUCAACAAAACAAUGUCAACAAUCAAAAAAUUUGAAAUAGCACAUCCAGACACAAAUCAACUUACUUCUGUUUCCAUAGACUCGAGGAGUUUCGGUAUCUCUUCCAACAGCUGCACAAAAAUUCCGAGCCGAUUAAAAGGUAUAACGACUGAACCGCCAGCUUGAACCGACUGGAGAAUACACGAGAGGAUGAAAGUUAUUUUCUCCUUUUCUUCUAAGCUCUCAUUCAUGUUCAACAAGCAUUCAUUAAAGCCCAUUGCAGAAUUAGCACCAUCGUUUUCUUGAACUUUUUCCAUUGCAGGCUGGCAUUGCACAUCUGAAUAUAGAACUAAAUCUCGUCCCUGUAACGAGUUAUAAUCAAACUUCAUAACGUGUGGAGAAACAAAUACUGAACAUGAAAUCCACGAGAUAUUCGUUUUGGGACCAUCGAUUGUCCAAUUGCAGGAGCCUAUCUCUGAGCCUGAGCUGAAUGGUUUCAAGACCAAUGUUCCAUUGUAGCAUGCAGCUUCUGCAUAUUUAAGCCUUUGCACUUUCUUCAUACAAUCCAUUAUAUCUGCUGAACUGGUCAACGCGUUGACAUUCAGCAAAAAGAUUCGAAGUUACAAGACUAUAAAUUAGUAAGGGCAGAAGAAAUCACCUGUAAAGUGGCAUCCAAGCAGCCAUAUCAGUACCAUCCUUGCCAACCACGACCUCCUUUAACUCAGGCUGGAGCAACUCAAGCUCUUCCCAUCUCAGCCAUGGAGGACCACCAGACUCCCUGGGACCAUAAAACUCGAGGAACUCUGCAUUCAUCGAGACAAGUUCCUCCAUCAUUAGCUGCGCAAGCCUUGCUGCUGCAUCAGUCACGUAUAUCUGAUGCCAUACAAACAAACGAAACCAUACAUAGUGUUAAAAAACCAAUUUCACCAUAGUGGUUGAACUCAAUAAAAGCACACACCUUUGCACAGAAGCCUCGAGUGCGAGUAAGAAAGGGCAAUCCAAGCAUUCCCAUGGCACUUGAAAUAAGCACAACAUCAAAGGAACAAGGGUCCCAGAGGUGUAGAUUCUUAGCUGUUUUAUACCAAGGUUCAUCACGAAUCAAGUCUCUUGCAUCUAGUGGCUUUUGAGUUUUCUGCCUCUUGUGAAUAGAAUCAUGGACUGAUGAUGAAUCGUCCAGAGUUUUCUCAUGGUGUACCACAGGGGAGAAGACUGAGAGUGCAGAAAGGUCAAGUGGGCAAUCCAGUAAUAUCCUGAAACCAUGGACAUUAUCUAGGAUGUGACAAGGUGGGAUAUGAUGUCCAUGGCCUCUGCUUAAGCAUGUCUGCAAUCAUCAGCUUACAGAUUAAGACAUACUGCAGGCGAUUAUUGAAAGAGCAAACAAAGCAAAAACCAGUGAAGGAAGUGAAAAAAGGAUACCUGAGUCACCAUGUGGGCAGCUGAAAGAACUCAAUCUGCAAUAAAAAUGAACAGCAACCCCACAUUAUAAAAUGUUGAUACGAAAGGUCUCAGAGAAGUGAACUGGGGAGAUAGUGAAAGCGGUUUACAGAGGAAGGGAAGGAAGAGUAAAGAACCUGGACCCUAACCCAGUCAACUAUUUCUCAAAAAAAAAACGAGUCAACUAUUUCUCAAAAAAAAAAACGAGUCAACUCGUUGGACAAGAUUGCUUCUUUACACCUUGAGGAGAAAUUAGCUCGUCGCCGGAAGGCGUGGAAAUCCCUUGUUGGUGGCCGGUCUUGAAAUUGGUAUCCGAAGACGGCGACUGUGGUCUGUGGAAGUUUGCCGUUUUGCAGCUGGUCGUGGCUUCCGGUGGCCGUAGCUCUGUUUUCCAAACUCAAUUGGUUUGGUUAAAGCCAACGAUUUUUUGUCAGGUGGUCGGCCAAGAAGUCCUUAAACUUCUUAGAGGAUGAAAGUCCCAAAUUUUUAGCCAUGUUAAAAGAUGUAAAGGUGAUGUAAUAUCACUUAAAUAAUUAUUAAAGAUAGAUGGUUGUUUGUUAAUUUAGUAAGUCAUUUAAUAAUAUCACAUAUCGUACAUAUUAUAAUAUUCAGGAAAUAGAUUUAUAAAUAAAAAAUAAAGUGAAGUUAAAUAAUAUCUAAUGAUUUUUAUUAUGUUUGUUUGUAAAAAUGAUAAUUAGAUAUUGCUAAUCAAUUGUUGGGAUAGAGGAGGUUAGAAAUUGUGAAACUAAAAUUGUUGAUGUGACGAUAAAAUUCUGAAUAGAAAUUACUAAUUUAUUUAUUUUUAGGAUGGAAAUAAUUUAAGAAAAGUUAAAAAUAAGCUUAAUCCCCAUUGGUACUUCUUUUCACAUUGCGAUUAGUUCCCAUCUCUUUGUUUAUAACCCUUUUCCUACUUUUAAUUCUUUGUGUUUGUGUAANNNNNNNNNNNNNNNNNNNNNNNNNNNNNNNNNNNNNNNNNNNNNNNNGCGCCUGUGGUCUGUGGAAGUUUGCCGUUUUGCAGCUGGUCGUGGCUUCCGGUGGCCGUAGCUCUGUUUUCCAAACUCAAUUGGUUUGGUUAAAGCCAACGAUUUUUUGUCAGGUGGUCGGCCAAGAAGUCCUUAAACUUCUUAGAGGAUGAAAGUCCCAAAUUUUUAGCCAUGUUAAAAGAUGUAAAGGUGAUGUAAUAUCACUUAAAUAAUUAUUAAAGAUAGAUGGUUGUUUGUUAAUUUAGUAAGUCAUUUAAUAAUAUCACAUAUCGUACAUAUUAUAAUAUUCAGGAAAUAGAUUUAUAAAUAAAAAAUAAAGUGAAGUUAAAUAAUAUCUAAUGAUUUUUAUUAUGUUUGUUUGUAAAAAUGAUAAUUAGAUAUUGCUAAUCAAUUGUUGGGAUAGAGUAGGUUAGAAAUUGUGAAACUAAAAUUGUUGAUGUGACGAUAAAAUUUCGAUUAUAAAUUGCUAAUCAAUUUCCCAGAGGUACAUGAUUUUAAUCCUUGACCGAACGAAGUUGGUUUCAGCUUGCCUGAAGAAUCUGUUGGUUUUAUUCAAAUAGAUAUAAAUGUGAGGAAAAGACUAUGGUGCAUUAGUGUAUACGGUAUACUCUAUCACCUAUAUAUUAUGCUUAAAACUAAGAGUUUUGAGAUUCUUGUCUGGUGUUUAGGAUUUAGGACAUAGUGGUACGUGUUUAGAGUCUAAUUAAGAGCUUUAUGAUUGGUUAAUUUAAAUUUAUGGUCAAAAGUCAGAGUUUGGAGUACGAUUAAAGAUUUGAUUUUAUUAUCAAAUGUUUGAGGGUUAAAAUUUAGCGUUUAAGGAUUUAACAUUAUCCUUUAGGGUUUAAGAUUUAGAGUUAAGAAUUUAGGAUUUUAGUGCUGAAUGUACCGUGUACACUAAUACACCGAAAUUUCGGCCAUAAAUAUGAACAAAAUAUGAGGGAAAUCACUAAAAAAUCAUUACAAAUAAAAAUCCAAAUCGAUUUCUGACCAAAAUUGGUCAGUUAAUUAGUUUUGUAUCCAUUUGACCAAUCUUAAUGCCGUAAUUAUAUUCUAUAACCACAAUACCAGAAUCUAAGGUGUCGUAAAUCACGUUUUCUGCCUCAUAUUUGGCUAAAAUUACCAAUUUAAUCGAAAUUUACAUUCAAACCGAAACUGGCUAGACUCGACAUUUCGUCCGCAUCAGAACAAAACUGGAGAACCGGAAUUAUUUGGAAUUGGACCUGCCAUUUAUUGCAUUGAGAAAAUGCAUGCGGUGGGAUUGAGUACAAUUCCGAGUACAAUUUCUGCUCUCGGAAAACUUCAUCAAAAUCAAGUUAUAUAGAGCUAAUUUUACGUUUAAUUAAUUUCAUCCAUGUAUGUUGUGCAUACAAUAGUGAAUCAUUAUCGUAAUAAAAAAAAUUAAAAGUAUGCCCGAAUAACCCAAUUAAUGUUCAAAUAAUUUCAGCAAAAAAAUCCACACAUGGCGCAAGCUAAUUUCUCUAGUGUAACUAAUUACAUCAACAGUGUUAAAAAUAGAAGAAGAAAAAUUGCUUGGAAUGGACGAAGAACCCGACAAAGUAAAUCAAACAAACAAACAAACAAAAAAGAGUUACAAAUGAUCAGGAAAUGGAGUUCCUCCAUCGCCUAGCAGGAGUCUUCCUGCUCCCCUGCUGCUCCCGUUGAUGAUGAUGAUGAUGAUUUUGUUCGCCGCCGCUUUCAUUACCAUCCAUGCCCGCCGCCUUCCCAAACAUACUCAGCUUCUUCCAACCAGCAGCCCACGCCGACGAUCCGUGUUUCUUGUGACUCGAAGUCGAAGUCGCCUUCUCGAAUUGCCUCUGCAGUGUCUCCAACUCGCCUUGCAGCUCAAGGUACUUGGCCUUCACUGUUUCCAGCUCGAACUUCAACGUGUUUAUGUCCUUCUUCGCCGUCGACCACCCUUCUUGGAACGACACUGGUGUCCCUUCCAGCAAUGUUUUCCUACUGUUGUUUGCCGCCACCAUCGGCUGGUAAAACGACGCCGUUUCUCCCGUUGUUGUUUCUUUUAGGCUGUUGUUGUUUGCCGCCAUGGCAUUGCUGAUUUUCACCUGUUCUGAGAAGAGGACUUGUACCACAACUCUGAGCGGCAGCCUUUCGUUCUGCGCCGCGUGCAUGCAAGCGUCGAUCGAUAGCUUCUGGCAGUCCAUUACCCUGCAUAGCCUCUUCCUUUCGUGCUCCGAUAGCGUCGGAUGUGCCUGCACGUGUUUAGAGUUCAAUCAAGUUAGUUACAGAAAAAAUUGGUUAAAGAGGGUUUUGAGUUCAUACCAUAAUGAUACGAGCACGGUGUGAAAAACUAAACAAAAUUUCAAGUUUAAAAGUCAAAUUCAUGAUCGAUAUAAACUUCGUUUUCAAGAACUUUACAUAGAAUAUUACCUUGAGGUAAGAAUCGAUGGCGCGGUAAAGGCCAUCGUCACAGGUCCUGGCAGAUUCAGGGAGAGCUUCAGCAAGAACCUGAAAUUUAGUCAAACUGAGGUUUCUAUCUCUAGCAACCUCAGUAAGAUAGCUAUCAACAAGCCUAGCAACUCUCAUCUUAGCACUAGGAUUGCUAACACCACCACCUCCAUGAUCAUACAUACGCUUCUCUGAAAACGGCUGACGAUUCGGACUAAAGCUCUCUGCAGUCUGUUCCUGCACAAGGAAAUGCUCCAACAGUCUCUGCACCAGAUCCACAUCGUACGUGGUCGUCGUCUGAUCCCCACCACCACCGCCGCCUUUGUUGUAGGUUGGGAUCAAAAGAUCUGCUAGCGUAGCCUGCUCGAACUGCAUUCCGACUCUCUUCUCCAGCUCGGUCACCAAAGCGGGGGCCACUUUCAACAUAUUCGCCGUUCUUAAAAGCCUGAGCAGGAAGCUGCAGGAAACGCUGUCCUUCUGAGGCGGGAUGAUGCUGAUCAAACUCUCUACAAUCAUCCUGUGGUCUUUGCUCUGGACCGAAGACGAAGGACGGUCAGGGUUAUCCUGAUCGUCCUUUGUUCCGACCACGAUCAUAUGAAGCCCUCCUUUCCAAUUGUUGUUCAUACUGCCACCGCUACCGAAGCUACAGUUGCUACUAUUACUAUUGUAAUUAGUGCUUCCUACAGCUUCCGGAUGAUGAUCAACUCCAUCUUUGACCAAUCCCGGUAGCCAUUUGGCAGCAUAAUGCAUGAUGGAAGCGCCAACCAGCUCGAACCGCAUUCCUUUCACCUUGAUCGCCGUGACAACCCUCACGAAAUGGUCAAUCCUCAGGAUUGAAACGUCCUCGAACCACCAAUCCGGUGGAACAGUGGUUCGACUUGGACUCGAUCCAUCUGCGGGACUACUACUCCACUUAUUAGGACUGGAGACCUUGACUGGCUUCCCGGUGUAAGCCCACCGGAUCCCUUUCGGGUUCGCGCAGGCUUUCCAAGCGAUCGACUCGCUGCACCGCCUCACGAUCUGCAGAUUCUCCGCCCAUGGCGAGAGAUUCUCGCAGUUUUUUAGCACCACGAUCGAGUCCCUCCACGAGGAUAGAACCACGUAGCUGAGGAACGCUUCGGUUUUGAAAAUGAGGUUGCCUUCCUCCAAAUCCUCGGUCAUUUCCAAGUACUCCGCCGCGCACCUUAGCCCAGAAAUGUUGGCUGCCGUCAGGUCGACCGCAAUUCCGUAGCAGAACUUGGCAGCAAGCUCGAACGCCUCCGAGCCUCCAGGGAUAUCGUCCAUCACGACGUUGUUCACUUCGGGCUCGCGGGAUUCAUAUAUCACUCUGUUCAUCUUCCCACUCCUGGAUAGCAAAGGGUACUGUGUUUUUUUUCCCAUGGAAACAAAUAGUCAGAAAGAAAUGUAGAAAUCGAAACGCAAACACAAACACACUACACAUAGAAUUUGUUAGUUCAGUUUUAUUUUGUAAGAAGAGUACGUCUAGUGGCGCUAUGUUGCGACCAUGCUGAAUUGCUGAUUACAAUUAUCAGGAACAAACUAAUAAGGUCGGGGUCACUGACCAAAAUUCGAAAACCGUCAAGGACCCUACAGUGCCCCUAGACGUCGUCCAACUCAACAACGAGUCGAGUUACCGUAAAGUUCUAAGUUUAGUUCAGUUACCAAUUAGUGUUCAGCUUCAAAACAGAAGGAUUAGAAUUAAGUGGUAGUUAGUUAGUACCCUGUGGAGGUGGAACUGUACAUCUCCAAUUUGAACCAGGAAAUCACUUGGAAUAUCAGUAGCAACAUGCCUGAAAUAAAAGCACCCAUUAAAAAUAAGCGGAUUAGUGGAAGCUUGAAGAAUUUUCGAACCAGAAACAAGAACAUUCAGUUUGUGCUUAAUUACCAGGAACGGUCUCGGAGCUCAAACCCAUCAGUGUGGAGUGGGGGUUUGGUGGAGGGAAUAUUAGCUCCUCCUCCGUUGCCGCCGUAAUCUCGGGCGGCGGCACCGGAAUCACUCUCGGAAUCCCACAUUAAUGACGGUUGUUGGUUGGUUGGUUAUUAGUGAGAAUUGUGGAGGUUGGCAAUGGUAGAUCAUAGCAGAGCAAAAAAUUGGGAAGUAAAUAGUAGAGUGAGAAAUGGAUUAGAAGAAUGUGGGGGGACAAAGAGAUGAUAAAAUUUCCCCACAUGGGUUGCCUGGAGAAAUUAUUAUCUCCCAAUAAUUGUGGAUAUCUAUCUUCCUUUUUCUGUUCACCACCCUAACUUCACCAAUGUUCAAACUCGACUUGUUACAUUUGAAUUAUAUUCGUGAACAACCUUUGACGAGUGUUAAUUUUAAAUUCAAUUUGAAUCUUGUAUAUUAAGAAAAUCUCUACGGAUGUGAAGUCACUUUUUUUAUCAGCACUUCACAAAUUGUAUAUGACUCUAUAGUCUUGACUAUCCGAGACAAAGACAUAAGUUGCGAUAUUCAGCCUACUAACAAGCUCAUACAAUCGACUUAGUAUUCGAAAGAAAAUACAAAUUGCUUUUGUUCAGCUUACUAAGCUUGUAUAUUCAAACUGGUUCGCAAAUUAAAUCAAAAUGAGUUAUAAAUAAAUUUUUUUCAAACCGAACAUUGAUCAGACCCUAUUUACUUUACGUGCCAUUGAAAUUCCAGGUUGUGAAGUGAUGGGCUUUGAGGGUGUGCAGUGAUGGGCUUUGUUGCUUGUUGUUAUUAGGAUUAUUCUCCCCAACUUUCUCCCUCUGUAGUUGUACUGAGCUUCGUUGGACAAUUUGGAAAAAAGGAAGAAAGAAGAAGACAACAGAUUCUGUGGCAGGGCCAACCCUGGAUUUUUUNNNNNNNNNNNNNNNNNNNNNNNNNNNNNNNNNNNNNNNNNNNNNNNNNNNNNNNNNNNNNNNNNNNNNNNNNNNNNNNNNNNNNNNNNNNNNNNNNNNNNNNNNNNNNNNNNNNNNNNNNNNNNNNNNNNNNNNNNNNNNNNNNNNNNNNNNNNNNNNNNNNNNNNNNNNNNNNNNNNNNNNNNNNNNNNNNNNNNNNNNNNNNNNNNNNNNNNNNNNNNNNNNNNNNNNNNNNNNNNNNNNNNNNNNNNNNNNNNNNNNNNNNNNNNNNNNNNNNNNNNNNUGGAAAAAACAAAAAGGGGAAAGUUUCUGUAUAUCGAUAGCCACAAAGUCACAGUUGCAGUGUAGGGAUGAAACUGCUGAUGUAAUAAUGGUAGAAUAAGAACAUAGCAGGUCACAUUCAUGCUGUUGACUGUUUUUCUUGACUUUGUGUUGACGGUUUUCAUAUUAGGUCAGUGUAAAAAGGACGAGUCUGCUAGGGACGAAGAAUCGAAAUUGGUUGUGAUAUUCUUGUGAUACUGAGUUAGGGAAGAAGUUUGUAACUGUAUCAAGGUGUACUGGCUAUGGAAGUUGAGUAGAGGCAAACCAAGUUUAAAAAGGUGAGUCUUGCUAGGUACAAGAUUCAAAAAUUGACUCGGGAAAGGGCGUAAGUGUAACACAGAACGGAUCAAUUGAUCUGGUCUGGCCAUGAGAAUCAUGGAAUAGGAAGUCAUUAUGAUUGAACAAACCUGUGAUUUUUGUGCUAAGUCUAAUUGACACAUUCUGUAUACAGUUGGUUUUGCACACCUUAAAACAUGGUCUCAGGAGGAUCACAAAAGGGCAACAGGUGGCACUCCAUCGAUGCAUCUCCUCUCAAGGCAAAGCUAGCUAACAAAUUCUGCAUCUUCCCAAAGUCAAAGAACCUAGCAAGCUACACUCGUGGCGACACGCCAGUUUACCUCAAUGUGUAUGACCUCACUACCGCAAAUGGUUAUGUCUACUGGGCUGGCCUUGGAAUCUUCCACUCUGCAGUUGAAGGUAAUAUUAUGAUGAUUAACCCUUUCAUAUGUUGUUGGAUUGUUUAACUUGUGGAAUAAUGAUGAACUUUGCAAACAGAACCGUUUGUGUGUUUGCAGUUCAUGGUGUGGAGUAUGCUUUCGGAGCCCAUGACUUCUCGACCACAGGUGUCUUCGAUGUAGAGCCACGAAACUGUCCCGGUUACUUGUUCAGGAGGUCCUUGUUCAUGGGGACGACCACGUUGGAUCCUAAGCAGGUCAGGGAAUUCAUGGAGCGUCAGUCUGCUAACUACAAUGGUGAUACGUAUCAUUUGAUCUACAAGAACUGCAACCAUUUUAGCCAGGAUAUCUGUUUCAAGCUCACCGGGAAGUCUAUCCCUAAGUGGGUCAAUCGGCUCGCAAAAAUAGGUAAUCUUCGAUGCAAGUGAUUCGAUGUUUCGAUAGAUAAAGACUGCAUCUUGACAUCUCUGUGAAUAGGUCAAUGAGGGUAUCUGAUCUGAGUCAACCGGGUUACAAGUUCUUGAUUUUGUUAUAGUAACUCAUUGCUGAUGGGAAUGGACCUCAUUUUGGCGUUGUUAAGAACUGUUACAACUUAUGGUCCGAGUCAACUGGGUUACAAGUCAUUGACUUUGCUGAUACGAUUAGGAGAAGUUCAAUGCAUAGCAUAUUGAGGUCAAUGGGGUCAAUAUGAAACGGGUCAACGGGGUUACGUGUGGUUGACUCUUUUGCAUUCUAUUCGGGUUGCAGGUUCUGUGUGCAACUGUGUUUUACCGGAGACGCUAAGGGAUCCGAGCGGAGCCCACGAAUCAAGUAGCCAAGACGAAUGCGAGAGCGAGAAGAAGAGGCUUAGGAGAAGUGCAUUCAGUGCUGGGUUUUCAUCAAUGUCGAUCUCUCAAGCGGAAGUUUCCAUUUCAUCAUUGUUCAGACAUUCUUACUACAACAACACCCGCCAUGGGAGUUGAAAGAAGUCUGGUGUAUACAGAGUCAGUAAAGAAGAAGAAGUGAAGUGAUGUCAGCUCUCACUGUGUAAUUGUUUAUUAUUUAUGAACAUCAUGCCCCCUCCUACAUUGGCUGGAGAUGCCAUUUCUGUAUCUGCAUCCAGCUUUUGCAUUUUGGAUCCUCAUAUUUUAAUUCUUUUGUCAAUCUAUUUUCCAAUUGACCCUUAAAUAUGAUUUUUUUAUGUAAUUGAGUAUUGACCCAUGAACUCAGAACAUAAUUAACCUUCUUAACCAAUAACCCAGAUAACCUCGAGAUCCAUACAUAAUCAUUGGAUUAUUAACUGAUCUGUCGGUUGUUUGAUUGUUUCUUUAUACCAGCUUAGAAACAGCUAAUAACACUGACAAAGCUAAAGUUGAGAAAACACCAGCUCAAUUGCUCACGCUCUGUUUUUUCCCCUGUCUGUCAAAUUCCCAAUCUAGAUUCAGUAAUUCAGCUAACAGAACCCCAGAUAUCAGAGCUGAAAUUGUGAUCCAUAUCGAUCCGGCCGCAAUUCAAAAUGGGUAAAGGAGGUGGGUGUUUCCCCAGCAAGACAAUGCCUCCUCCAUUAAUCCAACCUUCUCCAGCUCCAUUGACUCUCCCAGAACAAAAAAACGAAACAACCAAACCGAUCAAGAAGAUAUUCAUAAUCUACUACACGAUGUACGGCGCCGUGGAGGCCCUGGCGAGGAAAAUGAAGCAGGGAGUUGACUCGGUCCAAGGAGUUGAAGGGCUGUUAUACAGAGUUCCAGAGACUCUGUCAAUGGAGACUCUGUACCAGAUGAAAGCCAAGGAAACUAGCAAAGAAGUGCCUUUGAUACGCGUGGAAGAGAUGGUUAAUGCCGACGGGUUCUUGUUCGGGUUCCCGACCCGGUUCGGGUCAAUGGCUGCUCAGAUGAAGGCGUUCUUCGAGGGGACGGAGGAGCAGAAGCUGGCAGGGGUACCGGCUGGGUUGUUCGUUAGUACUGGUACUCAAGGUGGCGGCCAAGAGACUACUGCGUAAGUUUCUAUUUAUAGAUGGAGCUUUCUCUGUUCAUUCUGUUCAUCAUACUUAUACCUUUUGAGUGACGCAGGUUGACGGCGAUCACUCAACUGGCGCACCAUGGGAUGAUCUACGUACCAAUUGGGUACACAUUUGGUGAAGAAAUGUUCAGAAUGGACGACGGAAUCAGAGGAGGGUCGCCGUAUGGUGCGGGUGUUUUCUCAGGUGAUGGAACAAGGCAACCCAGUGAGACUGAACUUGGUCUUGCUGAACACCAGGGCAGAUACAUGGCCACUUUGGUCAAGAGAUUUGCGGCCUCUUCUUGAUGCUUUCGGUUUGCGGAGAUGGUAAGCUCGCUCGAGGCGUCAAUCGAUUUGUUAACCGAAUUCGAGAUGGUCGACUGGGCAUCGAUCGAGUUUUGACUCAAACUAUUUUAUAAUUUUUUGUUUCCAAGAUUUGCCUCUUGUUGAUGGUAAUAGGUUUCUUUGAUUGAGAUUGUUUGUGUGAAGUGCUAAAUGAUUAUGGAAUUCAAAACUUUGUGGUUAAAUCAUUUCGAGGAGAUGUGGUGAUUGAUUUUUUUCAUAAAUAAUUUGGCGGCUCAUUUUUACAUGGCAUAUUGAUAUGAUAUUUUGUUAAUAAUACGAAUGUUAUUUAUCGGGGUUGAAUUUAAGUGAUUGAUUGAAUGAUUGUGAUGAUACGAAUCUCAAUUAUAAAUCAUUAAAUUAAUUGAAUUUGUGUUGAAAUUAUCGUGAUAAUAUAAAGUCCGACAUUUAAAGUAAUUAACCAUGUAAUUUCAAACAAUCAAAAAAACCACACCAGUAAAUGUUCAAGUGGAAUUGCUUUAACGUUACAGUUAUGUACUGACGGUUGAAAGUCCCGAAUUAGAAUUCAAUACACCCCCACAAAAUAGACCUUUGUAAUAUAUAUUUUUUUAUAUUUUUUUAUCUUGUACGGAUUGAUAACCAUUAAAAAUUUAACCGGGCAAACUGGUUCGGUCCGUUCAAAACUUUUUCCCAAAACCGGUUAAAUUUUUAGACUUGGCCCUUCGUGCCUGUCCGAUUCGGUUCUCAACACGGGCAAAAAGCCGGGCCUAGCCACGCCGUCGAAACAAAUAAUCAAAACCAGAAGAGACGGAUUCAGAUACACUAACAGUACCGACGUGAAGAAGAAGAAGAAGAAGAAGAAGAAGAAAAAGAAUGGCGACCGAAGAGGAGAGUGCAGUUAAGGAGCCAUUGGAUCUCAUCCGCCUCAGUCUCGACGAGCGCAUCUACGUCAAGCUCCGCUCCGACCGUGAGCUCCGCGGCAAGCUUCAUGUUCGUCGUCCUCCUCCUCGUUUCUUUAUCCCGUUUCGAGCUUUUUACUCGCGUGAACAAACGGCUGAUCCUUUUCAUUUCUAAAAAAUCUUUGCUGGAAAUUGUCUAGGGCUUGUGCCGACUUGUUCUACUCUGAAUUUUGUAAAAUUAGGGUUUCUGCUUAGUCAACGUUGGCAUAAGUCGUAGAACAUGAAUUGAGUAGUGAUAGAGGUACUUUUUUCGAGAUGUGAGGUGCUUGGAUCUUGUUUCGGUGGUCGAGCUGAUUCAGCUGUAGCUUCAGUUUUGCCCUUCAGUCUAUAGGCACUGACAAUAAUCUUGUUGUUCUUGGAGUUAGAGAUCUAAAGUCCGGAUAUUUUACCAGUAAUCGACGGUAAAGUGUGUGAUUAGAGAUAUGGAGACCAUGAAUGUCCCUCAGAUAAGAGCAUUUUAUUCCAAAAUCCCAUCAUUUCAUCUUUGCAUCUUGGCUGUUGAUGAAACUCUUAUCUUUGUCUGGGGCUCUUGGCUGUUCAUAACUUUGUUAGAGACAUGCGUGUUAUCAUCAUUUGAUCGUUGCUUCAUCUUUAGUUGCUGACUUAUUUUUCGUAGGCUUACGACCAACAUUUGAAUAUGAUCCUGGGGGACGUGGAGGAAACUGUGACUACAGUGGAGAUUGACGAUGAAACUUACGAAGAGAUUGUCAGGGUACGUAGCAUGUGUUUUGAUAUCUAGAAGUAGCCUGAAACUGUGAUUUAUGGUCUAUGAUGGUGCAACUUCUUAGCCAGUUGGCUACAAUCUACUCGAAAACUCUGAUGGAACUCUUUUCGAAAACUUUCCACUCUGCCGCACUUCUCCUUUCAUAUCGUUCUUAGUUUCGGUUUCCGUAUCAUAUCUGCUGAAGUAGCUAACCUUGCUGUUCUUGUCUUCCCUUCUUAUUCCAGCACACAAAGCGCAAUGUACCGUUCCUGUUCGUCAGGGGAGAUGGAGUUAUACUUGUUUCUCCACCACUGAGGACAGCUUGACGAUGAAACUCGAAGCUACAGUUUGGGAUUCCGAUUUUUAGGAACCCGCUACUGUAAUCUUUCUGUACUUGCCGAGUCACCUUAGUGAUCAUUGUCGACUAUUAAGCUAGCAUGUUAUAAUCUCGUGUUUAAACAGCUGUGCGAGUACUUGCUUAACUAGAAUUUUGUUGUUGAUGAAGAUCAGUUGGCUUUCUUUGUCGUUCAGUCUUGUCGAGGAGUUUUUUGUGUGCCAGAGACGAGAAAUGGAGUUGUGAGCUUUCGAAUGCUUCCGGGUGUUACAAAUAAGCGUAGAUUCGGAAAUUUGAUACCUGGUUGAAGUUGAAUUGCAUCCUUAAAGAAAAAGGCCAGAUUGUGAUAAAGAAUUACAAUCCAAUAACAAAUUAUAGCUCAAUACAUAUUGAAGCAAAAGAAAAGAGCAGAGGUUAAAUAAGAACAGUGAUUCAUUCAUUCUUCACACUACUGAAUCUACAAUCGCUAUCAUACAACAGCUAAACUCAAUACACAAGGGGCGGAAAACAAGAACUCCAUUGUGAGGAAACGAUGACAUGGCACGAUCAUCGUCCAUUCGUAGACUACCUCAGGCGAAAUGCAGGAGGAGGUGGCACUACCGGCUUUAUGGUCUGUACAUAGUGUUGCGGGGGAGAAUCCAUUGCGUCGCCCCGCAAGUCGAAGGCUUUGGCGGAUUCAGGCACCGUGUCCAAGGGAGUCGACUCGAUGAAGCAUGCUGUGUUGAUUCGAGUCCUCUCGAGCUCGUCUUGUAGCAGUUCAGAGCUGUAUUGCUGAGCAAGAGCCUGAAACAAAAGGGUAGCAGCGUAUUAUAUACAGUGCCACACUGACGGAAAAAUGAAGCAAAAGCGUAUAGAUGAAACCGGAAAUGAGAUUUCUUACGAUUAGGUCGUCUGGAGAUACUGUUCCUUGUUGUCUGUCGUCAGAAGCUGCAUCUUCGCUCCCACGAGUCGGCCGGCGUUGGUGGCCUGGAUUCUCGGCGAUUUCGGAGACGUUCUCGGUGGCUUUCUCCAACAGCACGCCUUGCAAGGACUUGAGUGACUCUCUUGCGGGAGGCGUGAAGUAUGGAUUCAGUAUGGUCUCGAAGUAUUCGAGCUGCAAAAAACGAGCGAAACAGAUGCCACGGUUAUCAUAGAAGACCACAUUGAAUCGUUUGGAUUUUAGGACAAGUAACUCAACUCUAGAAAUCAUCUAGUGUUGAAGUAAGAGAACUAACCUCAAGCAUCAGUUGACAAAAACCGUUCGUAUCUAAUGACCGGAAAUCACCUUCUUCGUUUUCAUGGAAAAGGCUGAGAAAAGUAUCGAUCAGACCUUCGACAAGAAUGCCGAUAGUUUUGUCUAAUAGGGGCUUGGCACCAGCAAAUACCUGCCAAUCACAUAGUAAUAACACAAAUCAGCUGUCUUUAAAUAUUACGAGCAGAAACCACAAGGAUGAUCAUCCCGAUGAAGAUUGAUUACAAUCAACCAAGCCUUCAUCAUGGCUCUAAUCAAGUGUAGGAUAAUCUUAUGGUAUAAUCCACAUUUUUUCCUAGAAUUAGGGUAGGAUAAUCUUCGGCACCAUGAUUCAAUUUCUUUGUACCUCUGCAUGCACUGAGACCAGAGUGUGCAACAACUCCACGGCUGCAUCACGAACUCCCUGAAGGAUGGUAGAAAUCUCAAAGUUACCGUCCAGAAAAGAGAGUUAAUGGACGAUUUGAAACAAAUGGAACUCACUUUAACAGGAGGAGCUGCUCCCCAUUGAAUGCCAGAGUUGAGCAAAUAGUUCAUAGCUGCUGUCCUUAUCAAAUUUGCCUGUAGCAAGAAACAGAAGGCAAUUAACGUAGUUGGAGCUAGCAUUUCGUUAUCUCAAAUUGGAAGAUGACUACUGGUUUUAAAUGCAACUGAAAAUCUACGAGAAGGAACAUAAUUUCAUGCAAAGCACUCAUUGGGGGUUAUUUCCAAGCUAUCAAGGUUUGAAGGCCAAACUAGAAAUCUGCAACAACCUUAUAUCUCAUUGUUCAGCUCAACAGCUCGAUAAAAAACCACCGGGUACAAACUACAACUAGUCAACUCAGCAAGUUAUAAAGAGUCACAAAAUGGGAUGUAGACUCAUUAUACUACCACUCUAGGUUUAUUCAUCAACCAUUCCAAAUAUCUACCUGAGAGUAAAUGGGUUAGUUUUAUAUCUUUCAAUCAAAUAAUCAGGCGCUAUAAAAAACUGUUUAUUAUGGAGUAUCACCACAUUCUACCAGUGGGUUAGCUACCUAAGCAAAGCCUUCAAACUCCAAGUGUGAGCAUAGUGUCAAAAUAAGAUGUAUUGUACCUUCGCAAAAGUAUAUUGUUCGAGGACCUUCUCUUCAAGACCGGAGAAAGAGGUCACCAAAUCUUGUAUGUCGAUAUCAUCUUCAUCACUUUCUCUGUGGAAGAACAGGGAAUAACAGAUGGUGAACAUACGAGUUUGAGCACAAGCAAAAAAGUUGCACGUGAAAUCACUAAUGUUGAACCGAAAUGAAACUCGAUCAAGAUUAGCCAUAAUCACGUGGAUGUUGACGAUUAGAAGCAACUUAAGUUGGGGCGCAAUUUGUCCUCGUGAAAUCACUGUAGCUAGGAGUGCCGAAGCACGAUAAAUCAUUCAUCUCUCUAGAAGGGGAAAUGUGAGAUAAUUACUUAGUUUCAGGCAAAGAAUAAUUCCAGGUACUGUACAGAAUACGACCAUAGAAAUUGCAGAUAUUAUAGGUGCCACUCUGGCAUAUUUUAUGCUUCAACACCCGGAAAAAUAUUGAAAGGCCUCGAGUCAUCUACGAACCUGGAUUGCAGCCAUAUACACUUGUACUUUUUGAAAAGCUCAUGUGAAAGUUCGUCUUUGCAGUAUCCAAUAUUACUCAACACAAUCAGCAGCUUUUGAUGUGCAUUAACAACAGUUCCUGGGAGACUAGACGACUUCUCUUCAACUUCAUGAAUAUACCCGUUCUGUAAAUUUGAUUUAUUUUGCACUAGCUCAGUUCCAAUAUGUUCCAGAUGACCUAGUCACGGCACACGAGCAGGUACGGGUCAGGAGUUUAUAAGUCUGAAAACACCUCAAACACAAAACACUGGUCAUAUGCACCUGCAAAGUCCAGAAAACAGUUAAAGAAGGCAAGUCUGAUAGAUAAUUGAAUUUCCUGAACUUGCGCAAAUAUAUCUUCCGACUUCCCAGCCUCGCUCUUCAAGGACUGAAUCAACCUGAAUAAAAAACUUGAGGUAAGCCGCAGGAGUAUAAAAGUAAGAUUCAAGAAAGACAACAUGGUUUUCAGCUUUCACAAGCUACGACCACGGUGCAAAGAUUAGUUUGAGCAACUUACGAUCAAUAGAAAUGUAGGCACUGGUGAAAGAAAUAUUAAUUUGAGCUUAUGAAGAUCGGGAAGGAUACAGAUGAGUUUAGCAGAUGAGGGUAUAUUUGAACAAAGUUCUAUUUGAUCAAGCAUCUCAAGAAAGAGAAACACAUGCCUUCCAUACACAAUCAUGAUCACGUAUGUAUGUCAAGCACUUAUCACUCGAGGGCCAUUGAUUCAGACAAGGAAGAAUACUGCAACUAAGAAAUAAUUUACCAUAAUCUACCUUAAGAGACAUAAAACUAACACUAAUGAUGAUUUCUAUGUAACUAGGAAAGUCCAGAAUACAAUUACAUUUACAAGCGAGAUGCAGAAUGGUUGAGAUAUGAUUUACUGUCCUAAUCUAGUGUAGGAAUAACCCCAAUUAUUCCUAAUGAGGUAGACCGAAUAGGAGAUAUAUUUAGUUACUUGUGCAGGAAGAAACUUCCUUAUGUAAGACUCCUACUUAUGGUAGGAGUCUUUUGCUUCUAGGGUAUAUAUAUAUACCCAUCGGCUGGGAGGCUCUCUCUAAAAAAAAAAAAAAAAAUCUUUUAGAAUCAAUAAUUCUCUUUCUAUCUCUCCCGUCUCUUUAUCUACCUCUAUUCUAAACAUCUAGUGACCUGCAUCACAUGACUUACAGAUUGAUCUGAUCCAUUGCUGAUGCUACAACCGAGCGGAAUGCAAGAGGCAGGAACGAUAUAGUGUACGGAGAUUUGUUCCUUUCCAGUAUAGACACAAGAGUCCAUGUUUCGUCUUUUGACAUCUCUGCAGUGGUUGCCCGCAUCCAGGUACAAAGUCGGAGUAUGUAUAUCUUUGUGAUAUCAGCCUGAAGAGAUUUGAGUGCCAAUGCUGCAACAAAAUGGCAAAACGAUUACAAGAUACAACUACGUAUAGAAGUUAUUUAGCAAGGAAUACAUACCAGCAGUAGGUGGAGCCGAUUCUUUCACUUCAAAACCUUUGCAGGCUUUGGAUAUUUCCUUUAUGGCAUCACUCAUAUAAGAACGAAGAAUGUUUGCUUCCUCAAGGUCAUGAAAUGUGGUGUGAACCUGUUUCAGAAGCAUACAUAUUUAAAAGAAGAUACUUGACCAUUUGCUGAACUCGUGGAUGAAAAAGUAACCAUGCUGUUGUUUAAAAUACGGUAUUAUAAUGAUUCCUCGGGUACAAACUCAACAGCCAUACAGCUUCACUCAUCCCACAGGUAUCAAGGCAGUUACAUAUUACAUAGAGGGGUCAAGGCACCUUUUUAAUCUCACAUCUAAUUCCAAUUUUUCAGUAAAAUACAAAUUGCUACAGUUUGUUGAAUUAAGGUAAUUAUUGCUCGAAGGCACAGAACCUGAUAUUUGUGUCUACAAUAAUACCGAGUCCAACUUAAAACUGACAACAAUUGCUGUGUUUGUACUUUCUACCAGAAGAAAGUACCUAUCAUAGACAGAAUUGGCCAAUAAGACAUAUUGAAAAUACGUGAUGGCAUGAAAACAAAAAAUGCUUAAAGUUCGGCUGAGACACAGAAUUCUUAGUCCUGACCAGGCACACAAACAAUUAUAUGGCAAUCAAGGUACUCAAACCCACUAUAAUCCUACUUAUCUUUAUUUCUUUCUGGAAAGUAAAAUAAUGCUACUAAGACUAUACAAGCAUGGCCAUGAGAACUAUAGUACUAACAGUUAAAUGGAUGAGCACACACCUUUGAUCCGUAUGCCUUGAUAGUACUCCGUAUCAUCCCAGCAACUUCAUCAAGAGAAUGAGUCGAUCUCACAUCAACGACUCUUUCCUCGGCCUUAUUUGAUGUUGCGCUAAGCUUUGACUCAACAGAAACUUGGGAAGACUGAAAGGAAAUAUGUUAAUCAACAAACGGAGUGCGUAAAUCCUUCACAAAAGUUGCUUGAAUAUUUCGGUUCACUUAUAAACAUCAUUUAUUAACUCUUUCUUAAAGGACACAAUAUACAUUCACAAUAAAGUAUGGCAUAGAACCAAGUCUACCAAAAGUCCAGAUAUCAGAAACGCUUAGUACAGCAUGAACAUUGCUAAUAGGGCAGUAAUAAGUCACAGCAGUUAAUCUGUGGUGAUCUUCCACUGCAGAAGCGGCUACAGGUACCAUUUUAAAUGUGGCCAUCACAGAAAUUUUGUAAUAUACAUGGGAAGAAUACCUUAGCAAAUUUCCCACUGAAAACAGAAAGUGCUACUUUCCAGAAGGCUGGUAUGUGAUGGACAAUUACAGCAGUUAAUCUACGGAUAUGCUUUCCCCUAAGAGCAUCAACUUCUUCACCAGUUAAAACCAGUGAUUGCACAUCCACUGGAUCCACAUCUGACUGACAACAACGAGUAACGAGGAAGGAGUCAGUUUGUCUUCCAGAAUCAAGUUAACAUCAAACCCCAUGGAAAGAUUUAACUUCUUCACUUACAGUUUCGUUUUGAAUUUGCCUCCAUUUUGCAUCCAAUAGAGCUCUUUGUUUCAUCUCAUUAUACAACAUUUCCAUCCGUGCUUCAUGAUCCAAUGAGCAUUUCUCAAGCAAACCACGAAUUCUGUUAUUCUGCAAAAUGAGAUAACUCUUAAGAGCUGAUUGCUCACACUCAGAUGAUGUUCUUUCUUUUAAAUACAUGUCAGAGACUCGUGAGGGAAAUUCUCCUAGUCAGAAGCUGCAACAGCAGUUCAUGGUUCACAGAUUUUCUAAGUUUUAUUUACAAGAUACAUUGACUUUACAAGCAACUGAACUAAAAAUGUCACUUAUCGAAAUUGCACAUGGAGAAAAUAAUAGAAAGAGACGAAACUAACAGUUCUGAGAUAACAAUUGAGGACGAGCAAUAGUUAUAGAGAUCGGAAGAGCGUCGUGUAGGGAAAGAGUGUAGAUCUCGGUGUUCGCCGUAUAAUUUAAAAAAAAAAAUAGAAUCAGGUUCUAGCUCCAACAAUAACCUGACUGUGUUCUCGAGCUAAAAAAGAUUAAGAGAAUAGUUGUAUAAGGAGUCAAAAGGAAGAAUACUGAAAAGAACAAAUAAUCCCAUCAAUUUUAACAUAAAAUCUAUCUGCAAAACAUCUAACUUUAUUGUAUUCACCACAUUGCUAAACUAGGUAAUACCUUUUACGAGUUUCCUAGCUCUACAUCAAGUAUAUCUGAGGUACAACAAAUAGCUGGGAGAGAAACCAAUGACUUACAUUGGUCAACUCUAUUUGCGGAUCCUCCAUGGACUUGUAUAGUGUUCCCUUAAACUCAUGCAUCACUUUUUCAACCUCUUCAAGAACACGUUUCAAUAUACUCACCUGAAAUUCAAUUCAUAUCCAUAAGAAUCUAGUAAACCUAGUAAUGAGAUUACUAUGAGCACAUAUAGACCAUUAGACCUUCAGUGUUCACUAGACUGAUAUGGAAAACCUUAGAAACACAAAUUUAAGAGAAGGCUCUCUGUACUAGGAGCCAAUAUGAAGAGCACAAUUACACACAUGAGAAGGAAGAGCAACUGAUUUCGCCUUCUUAUACUCUCUAACAGCCAAAUCGUAUUCACCCUUGCUAAGGCUUCCCCGAAUUGUGCUUGGCAGGUUGAAUAGUGUUCGGAACCUCUGAAGCAUGCCUUGGACAGACCUGAUUUUCUCUGCUUGGGCCUUCAAUGAUAAAGAAGCCAAGUUUAAUGAUCCAUUUAAAAUGACUGAGAUGUAACUAAGAAUUGAAUGAUUUAAAUAAAAAGAAAAGGAGACCAUAAUAAUCUCCGAACCUGUCUUUCAAAUAGAGGUUCAAAUGCACGAACAGCAAGUGAACUGACUCCUUGCAUGCUAUUAUACAGAUGAGAAGUCCCAGAUCCUUCUGGAUCUUCUUCUAUCCGUCUUAGUUUGGAUUCAAUAUCUGCAUAUCAUCCAUUGAUACAAACAUUUUGUGACAAAAAAUAUAGCCCUUCUAAGUAACACACUAGACCAAAUGGAAAAAAAAAAAGAUUAUCGUCAGAAAAAAGGCUUAGUUUCAAAUGGAAUGCACCGCUCGCUUGCCAUUAAUAAAUAUCCCAAAAGUGUACUCUUCAUAAUAUUUCCAUACCAUCAAUUGUAGUUUUGCAAGAGACAAAACAAUCAAAAUUGUCCUUCACCAACUGUUUCCUCUGCUGGGUCCUUCCUUUGAGAUCAGUUUUUAGAGCUAGGGCACCAGCCUCCAAAUCCGCUGCACUGGUAACUUGGUGUAUUCGUGACAGGAACAGCUUUGCAUCAAACUUGUCAGACAAAUAUAACAAUUUCUCUGUCAAUAUGUACAAAGGGAUGGGGUCAAUAAGAAUGAAUACCAGAAUCUGAAGAUGAAAACGUGCAGCAUUAAUUUUUUUCUUUAUUCGUAGUGGAACUAUAAUGUUACAACAUGCCUACUGUACAGGAAGAAAAAUCAAUGAAAUCCUGUAGAAACCUCACAUAAAAGCUGGACAAAAUAUAUGGGUGCUCUAGACCGUAAACCUUAUAAACCCAUAGAAGUCAAAUAAAACUGUUUGAAGCGCCAGAACAAUUAUAAUUGCUUAUAUAGUAUAUGUAAACUGCUCUCAACAAUUCAUACAGCGCGCAAACUUUAACAAAAAUAGUUAUAAUGACCCAAUUCUUCAGUAAUGCAGGCCUUCUGGGGCCAGAAUUAGGUAUUUUCUUUCACUCUAACCACAGCAAAGUUAAAAUAGAAAGUAUAAAUCCAAUCAAGAAGACAAGACCAUUGCAUAGCGAAAGAAACAAAUAUCAGUGCAGAGACCACAUCAAUCAACAAUGACAAAAGAAACAAGUGAUGGUGUUCAGUGAAAUGCAGUUUCGUGGAAGGACAUAAAGGAACAGAUGGAUAAAGAAGAGAGAGGUACCUCGUAGAUUAUUGUCUAUAUCCUUUUCGGACUUCGUUGGCUCACUAGCUGAUCUCUCUGUGAUCAACCUUAACGUUCUGUUAUCUAUAAUCCUGCACCAUAUCAUAAGUUUAGUAAAAAACAGAGGAGCUAAAGACCAAAAACCAAAUGUUACAAACAAUGAUUGUUCAACAAUCAUCAAAUUGUCAUCUUAAGAAUCAUAGAAAUUCAUGCUUCCUCUAAUCAAGAUUUAAGUAAUUUGAAUCAAACAACAAAUAUCAUACCAUUCAAAUAACUAGAAUUAUCGAGGUUUCAAACUACUACAAGCAACCACUUGAACCCCCUAUUAUAACAAGAGGCAUCAGGACUCAACCAAUCUAAACGGAGUUGCUUGUAACCAGAUCAAUAAUUUGCAGUGGAAGAUGGACUAGAAGCUUACCCCAAUCCUAAUGGAUCUAUACACUCCAUUCCACGAGGGAAUGACAAUAGACUAGUAAGCCCCUUUCUAGUAGUAAAAGUUGCAGGCUUGGCCUCAAACUUUUGGGCCGCCGGUGCUGUUCUUGACUCUCGCAUUUCACGAACUCUCCUAGCAAGCUGUCAGGAUAAUUAACUAGUAAGUAAAUGUUUUAUCACAUAUAAAAAUGAAACUCGUACACUAAAGAAGCAAAAACAAGUGUUGUCCUUAUUUCUCAAAACUUCACUUGGGGCAGCCAAUGAAUUAGUUCAUCCAGUAGUUGAAGUAUCAGUUGAUAGGAGCAAGAGAUUCCAGUCAACUUUUUCCAUGCAUAACUUUAAUACUAACUUCAGCACAUUUCAUAGCCCUUGGAAAAGUUACUUCUAACUAGACCGUGCCAACCAAGCAAACUGUAUAGUCAUCUUCUAUCUCUGAGCCAAAUUUUUAAUGCCAACACUACCUCAGAAUAUUAGUAAAGGAUUCAUUUCUCAAUGUCUAUGCAAGAUUGACAAGAGGUGCACAGCCAUCCACAGGACCUAAUACAGCCUGACUCUUUCGUCAGACAAAUAAUCGUUCCGUAUUCUAAGAAAUUAAUGGAACUCUAAACUCCCAACACCAGGAUUAAAUUGUUCAUACGCAUGCAGAUAUUGUACCGGUUCCACGAGAUUCAAAUAUGUAACCUCCGGUGGCAGAGCACCAAACGCAACAAUCUCACUCAAACCUCGACUUCAUCACUGAGUACUCCCAAUUCAUCUUCCACCCCUAAAGCAUAAUUCUGCCGAUAACAGAAGCAGGCACCAUUUCAGUUCAAUCUCACACUAAAUCUUAUAUAAUCUUCACAUGAGCUGCGCUGACCGUGAUCAUCAGUCGGAGAUGAUCAAACACGUUUCAUUUGCAGCAAUACUCCUAGAAAUGAUGGAACUCUGAACUCCCGGCAACAGCGUCAAAAUGUUCACAAGCACACCAAACUUGCACCUCUGUCACGAAUUCCAAAUACAAAAUUCCCCAUAGCAAAGAUAGAAUCUCACAUAACUCUCAACUUCACCACUAACGACUCCAGAUUUCCGGCAGCCAAAUUAUCCUGCCUCAAAUGCUAAGAACACGAUACGCCAUUCCAAAACCUCCGCUACUCUAAACGGGUCGGACCAAUUCCGCAAAGAAAACAAACAAACUCAGUACGGAAGAAACUCUAACGAGCUGCAAUCAGAAUUCUCACCUCGUUCUCAUCCACUCGCUUCCAGCAAUCAGGCUCCCCGCCAUCCCAGCGAUCCUCGUCCUUCCCCGCCUUUCCACCACCGCCAGCUCUCCCUUUCCCGCCUUCCCGAUCUUUGCUCACUUCCUCGUCGCCGCUCGAUAUGCUCAGCAUCUCCACCUCCGAGUCCUCGUCUUCGUCCAUGGUACUGCCGCCGCCGCCUCCCCUGCUCUUCUGGUGACGGUGAGCCGGCGCCGCGGCGGCCCUGGAGCCGGCGGAUUUGGGAGGCUGGACGAAAUUGGACACCGGCUUCCGCUGAUUAGAGGAGGACCCCGCCGACGGCCGCUGGUAAUUGAGAUCCCGCUGAGAUUGCUCCUUGAGCGCCAUCUGGAGGAGCGCGUCCUCGUCGUCGCUGUCUAUAGACAUGGCUGGCUGGUAUUAAUGGCGAGGGAGAGAGAGAGGAACUGUUCGCAGUGUGCGCAGAGGGGCAGAUCUGAGCAGUAAAUGCGAUGGUGGCUUGAUUAUAAUGUCUUAGGGACAAAUAAAGUUAAGGUGUAACAUGUAGCCAGAAAAAUAAAUAUUAAUUCUUGGUCUAUCGCAAUUUUAUGAAGAUAAUAAAAUAACUAUUAAAACCAUAUCAUACGAGAUUGAUCUCAAAUAAAUCGAGUACAAAUUACCACUCCUCUAAACUCACAUAAAAUUUGGAUGCAAUCCACAUGUGAAUUUACAUUGAUUUACAAAUUGACUUAUACAUUUUUAAGGUUUGGAAUAGAUUAAAAAGUUUCGGUUUAAUUAAAUAAGAGAUAACACCAGGUUACCUAUGUAUACAAUCAACAACAUUAUGUGAAAACGAAGAGAGAAUAUAAAAGUUUGAAGGAAGAGAAUGCCCAAAUUGAGUUAAGAAAUUCGCUAUAAAGUUAUCUUCUUUCAAAUACAAAAAAUCAUAACAUCCCACCCACAACAACAAUCAUACCUCAAAUAUGCAUGCGCUACAAUGAGCAUUGUCUCGAGUGUCUCUAAGUAAAUAAAAAAGACCUUUGGAUGACCCAAAUUUCAAGCUAACUUAACUAUUGUCCCAGCCCGAAAUCCAUAAACCAAAACCCGGAUAGAUUCAUGAUCGUGAUAAAUUUCCAAACAAUUGACCUAUAAUCGGAUUAACCCAUCAGAUCCACUCAUUAUACCGCUCUAAUUUUAACACCUUCAAAUCAAUACUGAUUAUCAUUAACAAAACUACAAGAAGUCAUAUCAUCAAUGAAUCAAAUAUAGAUAACAUUAAAGAAUCUUAGCCCAAGGGAAAAGAAAACUAUGAACAAAUUCACGGCGCAUUAAUCCACCGGCCAGCUACUGUCUGAUAAACGAAUCGUAAGCUUUCUUCUUCAUCAUCAGUUGUUAGGUUGCUUAAUGAUCCGCUGAAGAACCACCGUCCUCGCUCGCCGGAUAUCCCUGCUACAAACCUCUGCCUGCAAACCCAGCUCCUCCACAUUCUUCAUGAACCCACCCAGCUUCUUCCGUAUCUCCUCCAUCCCAAUCCUCACCGCCGCCUCAUCUCCACCGCCGUCGGCGGCAGCGAACUCCGCCGCCUUUUCCAGAGACCCGAUCUCCACCUCCAGCCGCUCCACCAUGACCCGGAUCGUGUCCAGAUCUUUGAUGGCGACGUAAGUCCCCACCUGCAUCGUCCCCAGAAUCUCCUUCUGACCUUUCACGGCGGUCUCGUAGUUCUUCCACAGCGAGUCGAUCCACUUCCCCAUUGACCCCAACGGGAUAGAGGUCGCGGCUGCGAGUGCGGCGGCGACUGGCGGCGCCGCCAUGGCUGCUGCCACCACUGAGCAGAUAAGUACGGCGGGGGGACUUGCUGCGCCGAAUCUACGUGAAGUACUGCGGCAAAGCUCGCUACGAAGAUCAUGCUCGAUAGCUUCCUCCAUGAGUGUAUUGACCGGAGUUUCUUGUCAAGCUUGCCUUUCUUGCUCUGUAACUUCUCCAGCAUUUGCACCUGCAAAUUUGACAAAAGAUCCGCGAUUAGAAUCUACAUUCGGUCUAAAUUCAAAAUUUCACCAAAAUUGGAGACAUUACCUGCUGCCUGUAAACCGACUGAAACGUCCUGUAGAACUCAUCAGUAAAAGGAUCGCCGGCCUCCUUAAAAUUCCUCAACUCCUCCACCGUCCUUCCGUACGAUCUAGUCAUACUCUUCCCCGGUUCUGAUUCCAACGAGCUUUUCUUCAUCUCCUCGUCGAACUCCUGCAGCGCGACGAGCAGCAUCAGCUGAUUAUCCCUAGCACGCUUCAACGACUUCUCCAGCGCAGCGCAGAAAUCGAGCGUCUGCAAACUAUUGUCAAAGUACUCCUCGACGAGCUCGAACAGAUCCUGGCUCUUCCAUAUAUCCUUCUUACAAUCGAGGAUCACCUUCACAACUUCCUGGUUCAUCUCCAGCAAGCACUCCGUAACCUCCUUGAGCGAAUCGAAAGACAGAGCUCUGACCUCGACUCCCACCGCCAGAGUGUUGAUGACGUGGCUGGUCCGCUGCUGCAGAUUCGUGUCGAACGAGCGGAGAUCCUCAUCGGCGCGGCAGGCGGCUGCGUAGGAGCUCAGCUGCUCCGUCGUCAUGCUGCUGCUGCAGUUGCUCGGCUUCUUAGAAGUACCAGCACUGCUGCUCGUCUGGUUCCCCAUUUCUACACAGAUCUGGUGGAUCGAUCGAUGAAAUUGGAAAAAUUGAAAAAGACCAGAGAUCAGUAAUUCAACUAUUUAUACGUUAUGCGAGAAUGAGGAAACCCGAAACCCUAAUUCAGAACCAUGAAAACGGAUCUUUUAAUAAAUGCUGAGAGAGACUGGAUGUGUCAGCUAUGAUUGAUGUUUGAAUGUGAACCAGAGGAGCGGGGGAGGCAGAAGCUUAAAGAGAAAUGGAAGCGAUUUGAGCCAUGGAAAAGAACUGAAUUAGGGGGAUGAAGAUGAAGAGGGAGUUUGUUUGAUUUUGUAUCCAUUAGCUUGCACGCAUGAGCUAUAACCAGAGAGAAGUUUGGGGGAAGAAUGGGAAACGCGGGAAGCAAUGUGCCAUAAACAGUAUGAUUAGGCUAUUACGGUAAAACUGGGCUACUCUCUCUGCAAAAAAUUUCAACGCGGAAAGUGAAGAAGUGAGACUUCGCAGAGAAGAUGGAUAAAAUGACGUCGUAUUAAGGUCAGAGGGAGAAAGAGACUCGUCUCCUUUUCAACCGAAAAGUCGGCCGCUUCCGGAAGAUGGGAGGAACGUGAAAAGGAACUGAAGAAGUCGGCAGCUUACUUAGCGAGAUAGAAAAAUAAUAUUUAAAAUAUUUUAUUUUUUAAUAUUCAUAUAUUUGUAAAUCAAACAUUCACACAUACAUAGUUGGAGGAAUUUCCUUCAUAUGUUUGAUUCGCUAUGAGAAGUUUUUCAGUUUUUUUCUACCACUUUCAUAUUAUUAUGACUCUAUCCGAUGUACUUUUAUAUCAUCGUCAUUAUUAUCCUAUUAAUCAACACAAAUUUUUCUAAAUAUAGAGACAACGAUCACUCAUCUUUUCGUACAAAUUUCAUGAAAAAACAACAUCAGGAAUACAUCUAUCGAAAUAUGAUUGUUGGCCUUAAUGCUUCAACUUAACUCAAACUAAAUGCAUGGAGAUGGAAUGUAGCUUAGCUUUCGUUUGUACCUGCAGCUGUUGCUUCUUGUUCAUCAAUGGUGGAUACACACAGCUACCAGCUCUUCUCCAAUAUACAAACUCUCUCUUUGCUAAUGGGAAAGAUGAAUUAUGAAGAAUGAUUUACCACCCCCAACCUACCUAUUUAUAUGCAUUUUGACAGUGACUUGACAGCCAAGAAGCUUUGAAAAAAGUAUUUAACUUUUAUCUUUAUUAGUAUUAAAUUUGUUUUUUUAGAUGAUCAUCACAUGCUUAGGAAAUGAAAUGUACUUCACAAGAUAGGCAGUUUUUUUAAUUUGUUUUUCGUAUUGAUAUGUUUAGGAUUACGAUAAAUUAUACUCAUAAGUCGAAUCAACUUGAUCAAGUUAAAUUAUGAAAACGUAACAAUUAUUUUUUCAACGAGUAAUUGGUCUAUUUCAGUGAUAAAAACCUUUAUUUUGUCUUAAAAUAGUUGUGAAAACAUAGUAAACUAAAACCUUUUAGUAGAGAUGGUGAAAUGGAUAUAACUCUGUACUUAUAGUAAGAUGUGUUGUCCCAAAAGAAAAAGUGAACGUUGGAUAUACAUCUAACUUGGUAGUUAGCAAUUCGACAAAGCAAGGAAGGAUAGGGUACCAAGUCUACAUUUGCUUUGCACUUUUGAAUGGUUCAUUCACAGCAUAUUGAAAAUAAAAAUAUAAUAAUAUAUCGUGAAAUACAACAUUCACUUACAUCUCUAAAAUAUUAAAACACUUUAAAAAAUAUAUAAUUCAUCUAAUCUCGAACUGACACAACUCAACAUCAUCUAUCAAAACAAUCCAUAAGUUUCUUCUUCCGAUACUCACGGACAAAACAUAAUCAAAUUUAACAGAGUUGAUGGGUCAAAAUUAAGCUUAAAAUCCAAUUUUAACAAUUUUAAAUUACGACAAUCACAAUUGUAUAGGAUAACUAUAAUGGAUAAUUUAUAAUUAUUGCGUAAAUAUAGGAUUAACGAACUUUAUUUAUAGAGUACGAAUAACAGAAAAGGCGAGUAACAAGCCACGUAAUAUUGCAUACUUUUUUGUUGUUGUAAUUCCUACGGUGUUUUAUUUUGGUUCGUGGUGACAACAGCUAAGCUAGGCUCCAAGGGCUGUAAAACUGUAAAUAGAAAGGACACGUCACGCGUGGAAACACGUGGAAGAUAAGUACUGGUUGGCGCCUCAACCGGAGAAUUCAAGAAAAUGAUUCCACGCCACGUCACUGAAAUUGACAGAGAAAAAUGUUUCAUUUUCCCUCACGUGUUUUGUAACGCUAGCUGAUCUGGUUGUUGUUCUUGUUGCUUUCUCUUCCUCUACAAAUCUCCAGGACACAUGAUUAAGCUUCAAUUUGUUGCUUCGUAUCACUGCAUAAUAGGUCAUUUCUGCACAUUCACUAAAGGCGACUUUUCGAUCAUAUCCUUAUAUUUCGUGAUCAUGGGGCAAUGAGUUCCAUCUCCGUUUCUCGAUUGGCUUAAACUUAUGUUCUUUACCAUAUAAUUUUAUAUUUUAUUAGAGUAGAUAAAAAACGAAACCAAUUUACAUUUUAGGAGUGUCAAAAAGUAUUGACGCCCCUAAAUUUUAAAAAUCUUAAUUUCAAUAUACAUGCACUAGCCGUGCAUAUGAACCACAACCCUCCAUUUAUUAAUCAAAUAAACUCUGCUUUCAGCAACACGUUAUUCUUUACACUUUUACUAUAUAUAUACAUGGGAAUGCUACGAUGUCUCGGAGGUAUUGUUAUUUUUUAUACUAAAAANNNNNNNNNNNNNNNNNNNNNNNNNNNNNNNNNNNNNNNNNNNNNNNNNAAGCCUAAAGCCGCUAUAGAAAACCUUGAACACAAAAGAACGAUGUUAAUAUCCUAAACACUAAACUCUUACUCUCAAACGCUGCAUCAUAAACUCAAAUUUUGAAUUAUAUCACAAACUCUGACUCUUGACAAUAAAUCAAUAUUAAUAUAUCCUAAACCCUGAAUAUUAAAUCAGUAUUUGAAUUCAUAUUUACUUACUUAUUUGUUUAGAAAAAUCCAUUUAGACAAAGUGAUGUAUGAGGUUUAAACUUAUAAUCAAUCUUAUUUUGAAACUUAUAAUCAACCUACAUGUAAAUAACAACCAUAAAUUUAAUUCAAAUGAUAAAUUAGAAAAAAUUGUCGGUGAUACAUUCAAAACUAUUGUGAAUAAAAAAAGUUGAAGAAUGUUUUGCUCGUAUAUUUUAACUUAAUGUUAAAUUUUUAAAAGGGACCAAUCUAAUUGCAUACAAAUGAAUUCAUCAAUUGAUUACUUAAUAUAUAAAAAACUUAAUUCAAAUUCGGCUUAUUGUAUUAUUGAUCUAACACGCCUAAACUCAAAUUCUAGCUCCACCAUCGGAGUGGGCCCUAGCAUCCAAUGGCACCAACGAUUAUGUAUCUGACCGUCGCAGUUCAGAUAUGAGCGGUUUCAUUUGCUUCCUGAUGGCAAUGCUGCCAACCAUCAUAGUCAAAAUCUCAAAGCAAUUUCCGAAUACUUCGACAAAGAACACCCAUUUCAGACAAGUCCUCUCGAGACAAAUCGAGAUCUGUCCAAUGUUUAUAAUGUCUUGCAGGUCUCGCCUACACAUUUUGAAGAUGUCGAAACCCCCAAUCACGAAGUCACACAAAUUUUGUUGUUCACCUGAGAGACUCGAUCGAAUGGUGCGAAACACAAAUCACUUGAGAUUUUAAAAUCUCAUGUCCAUGAAUUUUUUUUAAAUCAUCUCACAAAUCACCAGAAAUGUCAUACAAAUUUUCGGACCAAAUUUUCAUAUUAAAAAAUCGUAUUUAAACCAAAAUCAUCACUCACCAAAAUCUCAAAAAACCAAACCAUCCUCAAACCUAACCGGACCGCGCGUCGAAAAGCCUAAAUGGUGCAAGCCUUCGGAUCGACAGAAGAAUUGAAGAAACACUCCAACGUGGCGUUUGAAGCCAUCCUUGCCCACUUCACAAGUCACCCGAACGUUCCAAAUACUCGUAAAACCUUAGUCUCCUGCAGCUCAGAGCUUCUCAAUUACAGUAGCCAUGGACAUGGAAGUCGAUUUUAAGCAGUACGAGCUCAGCUGUGAACUUCACGGCCACGAAGAUGAUGUAAGAUCGGUUUCUCCUCCCUGCUCGAUUUUGUUGUUCUCGUUACUUUUCGGUACUGUUCCAAUCGAUCUCGCUAGUGACGAUUCAAGUUCAUCUCCUGAUGUUCUUUGGAGCUCCACGCUCGCUCUGGUGGUUGACAAUUUAAUUGAAAGUCUUCGAGAUAGGAAGAAUGAAGGAAAUCUAUGUCGUAAGAUGUUAUAAUGAGUCAUUGAGUUUGAAUCUAGUUCUUCUGGUUUCUUAUCUGCUGCAAAUGUUGAUGGCUUAUGGAGCUCUGAGUUCGUGCUAGUAUUUGACAAUUUGUUUGAAACUCUUCGAGAUAUGUUAAUUUUCCGAAGCAAAUGUAGGUUGUAAGAUGUUAUAAUGACUGCAAAUUGAGUUCUUAUUGCUCUUUAUCUCCUGUCAAUCUUGAUGUCUCGUGGAGCUUCACGCUUGUAUUGGUGGUGUUGAUAAUUGAUUGAAAUUCUCAAUUCUGUGAGUGGCAAUUUUUUUCAGAAGGAAUGUAGGUUGUAAAAUGUUAUAAUAACUGUCAAUAGAUGUUUUGUGGAGCUUCAUGUUCGUCUUUGUGGUUGAAAUUCACAAGAGAUCUGAAAUUCCGAAAAACUUAGGUCGUAAGAUGUUAUAAGAGAUCAAAUUAUAUUGGAAGGAGUUCUUCUCGUUUGGUUAUGUACUGCCAGACAUGUGAAAAAGUGUGUUGUACUACUUGAUAUCAGGUUCGGGGUAUAUGUGUGUGUGAAAAUGCUGGGAUAGCAACUUCUUCGCGAGACAAGACGGUAAGGUUUUGGUCUCCGGAUCCAUCAGACAAGCGAAACUAUACCUCGUCGAAGAUAUUCCUGGGACAUUCAAGUUUUGUGGGUCCGUUAACUUGGAUUUCGCCUAGUGAAGAGUACCCAGAAGGCGGGAUUGUAUCUGGUGGAAUGGAUACAUUGAUAUUAGUUUGGAGUGUAAGUUCUGCAGAGAAGGUGCAGACUCUGCAGGGACAUCAGUUGCAAGUUACAGGUGUUGUGUUUGAUAAUGAGGACAUCAUCUCAAGUUCAGUUGAUUGGUAAGCUCGUUUAAGGUUCAGCUCUAUUAUUUUUGUGUUGAAGCUGCACAUUGUAAUUUGAAUACUAGAAAAUAUCUUGAAUUGAUAUAAUGUGAGUGACAGAAUACUAUAUAGACUGUAUAUUAUCCAUCCAGGGAUAGAUAAGCAAUUAAAUUGUGGGCCAACUUCGGCUAUACAAAAAAUAGCAACAUGACGCCCUGAACAUAGAGUGAGCUUAGAUGCUAGUUUCGUACGCCAAAUAAUAUUUGCCCCAAUGAAAGCUGUUACUCUUUUUCAUCUAAGCUAUUCAGUUACUUCAAUUAAUGCAUACAAGCUUCUAUGGGUUGGAUAUCUACAUGGCAGUACUCUAAGACGGUGGAGGAAGGGCCAAGUUGUUGAUUCCUGGGAGGCUCAUAAGUCGGCAGUACAAGCAGUUAUAAAACUUCCAUCUGGAGAACUUGUUUCAGGUAUGAAUUUUUGUUAGUUGUUAACGUAUAGAUGGUUUGCUUUAUCAUUAUAGACACCUUAUUCGCUUUUACUUAAUCAUAAUAUGACGUCUUCACUUGAUCAUAAUACAGGGUCUAGUGACACUACCGUUAAACUUUGGAAAGGAAAAACUUGUUUGCACACCUUUGUUGGGCAUACAGGUUUGCUCUGUUUCUAUGUUUUCUGAGACCGUUUCUAUACAUGUGCAUUUGGGGUGUUUUGACAUUAAAAUUUGUGCAGACACUGUCCGAAGCUUGGCAGUCAUGCCUGAACUGGGCCUUCUUUCCGCAUCCCAUGAUGGGUCAGUUAAUCUAUUUUUUGUUCCUUUUAUCAAGUGUAGUUAGUUGGCCCAAUAAAGUUGUGUUUGGGUUCAUCUCUAUGCAUCAUCUGUUUCAGACUAGGUCCCAGGUCUCUCUAACAAGCUUGUUUAUGUUGCUACAGAUCCAUUAGAUUAUGGGCAUUAACCGGGGAAGUAUUGCUGGAGAUGGUUGGUCACACUUCCAUAGUCUAUUCAGUCGACUCCCAUUGUUCUGGCCUUAUUGUCAGUGGUAGUGAGGAUCGGUCGGCAAAGAUAUGGAAAGGUGUUCUAUUAUUUUCUUGUCACGUGUUUUCACUUUGAGAUCUGCUGGGUCUCUUCACUUGUCAUUAAUGUUUCGGAGGUGUUAGUACUGAAUCAAUACAGUAUUGCAGAUGGAAGCUGUGUCCAGACUAUAGAACAUCCUGGUUGUGUUUGGGAUGCCAAGUUUCUGGAGAAUGGUGACAUUGUAACUGCAUGUUCAGAUGGGGUUGUACGUAUAUGGACUUCAAAUCAAGACAGAAUUGCAGACAAGACAAAUCUAGAACACUACAAUUCACAGCUUUCCGAGUACAAGUUAAGCAGGUAUCGUGGAUGCAUUGUCUAUUGUAUCUGAAACAAUGCAUGUAGUCGUCCUAUGGGUAAUGGAUUAGCUCAACACCCUUCCUGGUUUUAUUUUUAUUUACAAAUUAUGUAGAUUUUUUUUGUAAUCCCAUUAUAAUUUUCAGAAAUGCUUCUGUAACACAUUCAGUUUGUUAUAAUUUCUCUAGUUUUGAUUGGGAAUCGCAUCUUAAACACAGUCACCUCUGUUGAACAGUGCAUACAUUUCUUGUAGUUCGGAAUCUUUAAGUAGUUAUAGGGCCUCAAUCUUACUUGGACUUAUCUUAUCAGGAAAAGAGUCGGAGGUCUAAAACUGGAGGAAUUGCCUGGUUUGGAUGCUUUACAAAUUCCAGGUGUGAUCCUAUUUUUCCAUGAGAGACAAUGAUUGAUAGUUUUGAGAUAAACAAUGUAUGCAAUGGCAUUUGCUAAUCUGUUUCCUGCAACAAACAUUAUAACGAUGUUGCCUAGAUGAUGGUGUGGCUGUGUGACGUUUCAUGUUAAUAGGUGCGACAAUAUUUUAUUUACUUAAUCAUGACGUGUUUUGUCUGCUUGAAUCACGUGUAUCAGGAAGCACUGAUGGCCAGACGAAAGUCAUAAGAGAAGGUGACUGUGGGGUUGCGUAUUCAUGGAAUUUGAGAGAAUACCGAUGGGACAAGGUAAUCUUCAGUUAAAUUUAAAUCUUGCUGCUUCCGUUUUCCCAUUCUUUUUAAGCUAUCUUCAGUUAAAUUUAAAUCUUGCAGUGACCUUAGAUUCCUGUUCAGAUUUACUGUAUCCCCUGCAUGAAAUAAACUAAUGUUUCCUGUUACAGGGGUUUCCAUCUAUUGACGCUAAAAAUAAAGCUGAAACAAAAUUUUAGUUAGUUUUUAUAGUAUUGCAAGCCACCAUUAGCUUCAAUCUUGUACUCGAACAUGGUGGAAUUGCAAAAACACGUUUGCAGGUUUUAUUUAGCAUUUAUCUGCUUUUUGACAAAUUCCAGAUUGGCGAAGUUGUUGAUGGACCAGAUGAUGGCGUGGGAAAGCCAAAAACUCUUGAUGGCACUGCAUAUGACUUCGGUAAGCAUUGUAGUUUUGCCUGGCUUUUAUGCUCUUUGCUUGGUUUUAUCUGUGUAUAUAUCUAUUAAGAAUAGAACUUAGUAUUUGAGAGAGAGAUAAUAGGAAUAAUGAUUCUGUUUUUCUGGGUCUAGGCCGAUGAGGGGAUAUAUAUCAGUGAGAUAGUGACUCCUUCCAUAUGUAGGAGUCCUAACUAAUAAGGUAGUUUCUUCCUAUACAAGAAACUAAUAUAAAUAAUAUAACUCCUAACAAUAUUAGGUGUACCUAAUUAGGCUUAUUCCUACAAUAUCAAUUCUCUGCAAUGACAUUUGCUGUAAUUGAUGCCGUUUCAUGUCUUUACCAGUAUUUGAUGUUGACAUCGGAGAUGGCGAGCCUAUUCGUAAACUGCCUUACAAUCGAUCAGGUAUCUGUGUGCUACCUUCUGUUCCAGAGUACAUAUAUGGCCAAGAUUUUCCCUGAUAUUUGCAAUGCCUAUGCCCUUGUUCCAUAAUUGAAAACGGAAAUAUAUUACCAUUUGGUAGGUUUUAGGGUCAUAGCCACCCUCAACAGUGGCAGUAACUUGCUAUCCUGUUGACUGCAACAUUAGGCUUGAGCUUUAAUGUUUGACUUUCUCCAUCCCUCUAAUAGUCAAGAUGAUAUCAUUUUAGUAUUUUAUUGGUGGAGUUUGGUGCUUUAACUACAUCUAAUUAAAUAUGUUGAUGAUAUGAGUUAUAUGUUUCCAGAUAACCCAUAUGAUGCUGCUGAUAAGUGGCUUCUGAAGGAGAACCUUCCUCUUUCUUACCGUCAACAAGUUGUGGAGUUUAUACUUCAAAAUGCUGGACAAACUAGUGCUCCUUUGAAUCCGUCGUUUCGUGACCCUUACACUGGCGGUUAGUGACUUUCAAAUUGUUGAUGCAUUUGAAUUAUUUUUUGAGCAUGAGUUGACACCAUGCGCCCUCUCUCUUUUUUCCUUUUCAGCAAAUGCUUAUGUACCUGGAGCAACUUCCAAGACAUCUGGUAUGAUUUUAUGAUUCUUCAGAUAUUCCUGAACUUCAUAAGGCCGAUGUUUCUGUGUUGCACUUGGUACUUUGAGACUUCAAACAGCUUACAUCGCCUUUUCUUUUGUCUUAUGUUACCGGAUCAGGUGUUCCAGCAAAGCCUAGUUUCAAGCAUAUCCCUAAGGUGAGCUGGAGUUUUAUGCAUCUUAUGUGGACAUGUGUUCAUAAAUGUCCCGUGUCUAUCAUUGAUGUUCUUAACAACAUUUGCAGAAAGGAAUGGUUGUUUUUGACGUUGCUCAGUUCGAUGGGAUUAUGAAAAAGAUGACUGAGUUUAACAAUGCCUUACUGUCCGAAGAGGUACAUAAAUUCAAUGAUUUCUUUCUGCUUCAUCAUGAUGUUAAAUAGUCUUCUUACUAUCCGUCCUCCAAUCUCUUUCAAGGAUAAAAAUAAGGUUUCUCUCUCGGAACUGGAGGUGUCAAGACUGGGUGCUAUCAUUAAAGUCUUAAAGGACACAUCUCAUUAUCACACUAGUAAAUUAGCUGAAGAGGACAUUGAGUUGUUGCUGAAAUCGCUAAAGUCAUGGCCUCCUGCUAUGAGUUUCCCAGGUCAGUGUUCAGAAAGUUAAAGUUACAUGAACAAUUUGCCGUGAUUCUGGUGACUUCGUGCUUAUUCUUGCGGGCACUUAUGCGACAUUUGUACGUGUUACCUUUCUUUUCUUGUAACUUGUUAUAUGUAAAUAAAAUCCUGUACUUUUGAGAAACAACAGACAGCUGGUCUCAUUUAUCUCAAGGUCACAUUUCACAAACUAAUGGCAUCAUCUUAUGAAAUUCUUGUUCUCCUUCUGUUUCAGCGAUUGAUAUUCUGAGGAUGACUGUCCUACACCCCGAUGGUGCUAAUUUGCUCCUGAAGCAUUUUCAAGACAAAAAUGGUACACAAAAGAAUAACCCUUCUGUUCGUUACUUUCCGUUUUCAUGUAAAUAACCUACGUAUUCCUAGAAGCAGCCCUUUGGAUGGUUUUUGUUGCUAUUCUAACAGAAACAGUUCAUCUAUAAGCAACCCGCUGUCUUCACGAUAGUUUUAUAUGAUGUGUUGCCAGGUAUACUUCUGGAAACAAUCAGGAAAGUUACAGGAGAAAAUCCUCUUGUCCCAAACCUGUUGACAACUGUUCGUCUUGUGACUAACCUGUUCAAGAACUCAGAGUAUCACAACUGGCUGCUGAAGCAUCGCAAUGAGGUACGGCAUGAUUCCAUUUUGCUACGUAUGGUAUGGCCGUAUGAAUUUUAUGUGAACAUUUGCUGCUACGGUCGGAUCUGAUUUAUUGAACAUUGUAGAUUCUCGAUGCGUUCUCGAAUGUUACAUCGUGUCCAAACAAGAAUGUGCUGUUGUCGUUUUCGACCAUGAUACUCAAGUAAGCAUCUUUACUACUUGCUUUGACUCUGUAAUCUAUUAAUAUUAGUUUCGGAAGUAAUGUGCUUUGCCAACUGUAGCUAUGCAGUUCUAUUGAUCGCGAAUAAAGAUGAAGAAGGUCAAUAUCAGGUUCUUUCCGCAGCUUUCGAGGUAUAUAUCCAUUAAUCGCAGUAUUUAUAUACCCGAAGUACACGAACACGACAUAACAAGAUUUGGCAUUAACAGUGGUGGUUUGUAUCAUCUGUACAGAUAGCGGAACACGACACGCUGGAUGCCGAUACGAAAUUUAGAGCUCUGGUAGCUAUUGGAUCGCUGGUGCGUUCGAUUUUUCAAUUUUCGAGCUUUUGUCGCCAUUGCUUAGUCCCUUAAGUGAUGAAAACUGAGUGGGUUUCUACCUUUUGUUUUUAGAUGCUUGAUGGUCUGGUGAAAGGAGUGGCUUUGGACUUGGGCAUCGACAAGGUUGCCAAAGCAGCCAAGUCUUCCAACGACACCAAGCUCUCCGAAAUCGGAGCUGAUAUCGAAAUGCUAGCGAAACAGUCUUGAGAAGAUCAUAAGCCUCCCCGACACUGGCCAAAAACGCGAUCUACCAUUGUAGAGUUGGGAAGGAUUGAAACCUUUCAUUGUCUCAUUGAGACGAACCCCUUUGGCUUCUGGUACUCUAAAUCUCUGUAGGGCAUUGUCGUAGGGAGUUUAGCAACUUUCCCUUCCUCGGAUGCUCAUUGGUAUCAGAGCCUUUUUCCCUCGCACACUCAGAGACUAAUUACAAAAAAUUUCAUUCGAGUUAUCCCGUGGCGAAAUCAUGCAAGAGGGUGCUUGAUUUUCGAAUGCUAAUGUGGUUGCGAUUUAAGGUUUACGAACACCGAGGACUGCGAGGAAAUUGAUCGAACCAUCUAAAAUAAAUGAAGAAAAAAGUUUGACCAAAAUGAAACUAAAUACACUAAUAAUCCAGAUCAAGAAGUGUACUCGUUCACAGAACCGGUUGAGCUAUUCAAAAUUUUAAACCGGUUAGACUGAUCCAACAAUCGGUUCACUUCAUGGGUUGUCCGGUCCGGUUAACAGAACUAGAUUCUAUGACUACCCAAGCUUAAUAAUCACCAGACACUAAGGCAACCGCCAUUUUCUUAGUUCGUCUUCAUUUUUCACUCAUUUCCUCGAUCAGUAGCAGAGUUUCUGUGUAAUCGGAACCAAUCCGCAGAAAUGGAAGAAUUUCAAGGUGGUGGUGGUGGCGGCCAAUCAGAUAUCUCGAAGCUCCACUCAUCUCAGUGCACAUCCGACACCUGCGUCAAAUGCGGAGGCCCGACAGCUUUCCCUCCACCACCUCAGGGAUCCUGGGAAGCGUCCCCUCCACCAGUUUACCGCCCGAUUCGUUCUCCGGCGAUCAACCUUGCACCGACGAAUCAGUCCCAAUCCAUCAUCCUCUCUCCCGUUCCUCAACGCCAGUCCGUCCCUGUAGCUUCUCCUCCUUACGAGUUUCAACCUCCUUGUAAGAGAAUCCAAUCGCCCGACGACAUUCGGUGCUUCAACAACUCCGAUUCGGGGAAAAAUUUCAUCGGCUUCGUCGUCGCCCUCUCUGAGUCCAUCCGCGGCCGCAAGAUCUCCGAUCCGUGUCACGUCUCGGAAACGGUCAGCUCGAUCGUCUCCAUCCUCGAAACUCUAGCUCGGUGGAUUGAGGAGAUCCCUCCAGUUCAGCAAGCGGCUCGUUAUGGCAACGUGUCUUACCGGACGUGGCAGGGGCGUUUGGCGGAAGCGUGCGAUUCUCUGAUGCUUCAGUUACUGCCGGAAGAGCUCAAAUCGGCGACGGUCGAGAUUGUUCCUUACUUCAUGGAUAGCUUUGGGAACUCGAGUCGUAUUGAUUACGGGACCGGCCACGAAACGAAUUUGGCAGCAUGGCUGUACUGCUUGGCAAGAAUUGGGAUCAUCAACGAACAGGAUUAUCAAGCCGUUGUAGCUAGGGUUUUCGUCAAGUAUCUCGAUCUAAUGAGGAAGCUUCAGGUGGUUUACUGUCUGGAACCUGCUGGUUCUCAUGGCGUCUGGGGGCUUGAUGACUAUCAUUUCCUGCCUUUUAUAUUUGGUUCUUCCCAGCUGAUUGAUCACAAGUACAUGAAGCCUAAAUCCAUUCACAAUGACGAUAUCCUGGAUAACUUCGCCCCGGAAUACAUGUAUAUCUCUUGCAUUGCGUUCAUCAAGAAGGUGAAGAAAGGACCGUUCUAUGAGCAUUCUCCAAUGCUGGAUGAUAUCAGUGGCGUGCCAAACUGGAAGAAGGUGAAUGGUGGUAUGCUAAAGAUGUAUAAGGCAGAGGUUCUGGAAAAAGUGCCCAUCAUGCAGCAUUUCCUCUUUGGCUGGCUGAUUAAAUGGUAUGCGAUUCUUCAUUCUGUUCUAUGAAAUAUUGUUUCUUUCUUUGUUUCAUAUGUGUGAUUAUACAAAGGAACUAAGGGGAUGAUACUUAAACAUGUUUGCACUGAUGGAUUGGAUAAGGUCAAAUUAGCGACUCGCCAAGACAAUAUUUCGAGUGGAAAUCCCUACGAUUUCUCCUGCUAUUUCAUUGUCAGGCUCAAUUCUGAAUGUCGUUUGUGUCCAAGCGUUGUGCUUAAAGACACUGCUAGGCCACUGGUCAAUUUCUGUAUUCUGGUCUUGUUGCUUUCCCUACUAGUCCAAGUGACGGUUUUAUUGAAUCUCUGAUAGUUUUUGUAGUGUCAAGUUGAGCUCAGCUAGUUCAAUGAGCUUUUAAAAUCUUAAUCGAAUGAUACUUUCUCUAGUGGGGUCCUUAAGGAAGAAUUCAUCGUCAGAGUAGAGGAAAUGUCGAUUUCAUUAGGCUAGAGUGUAUAUAUGUAGAUGUGUUUCACACCAUCACUCUGUGCUGCCUGCUUAUGGCAAAGGGUUGGCUCCGCAGUUGGUUUCCUUCUUUGGGUUGGACUUAGAGUAAUGAAAUAUUAAACUCUGUAGGACUUUGAGUCGGCCUGGAGGAGAUGGAGUUUGAUGACACUUCAAGAUUGUGGCUAUAUUCCGAAUUCUUUUUUGUAAAGGAGAAGUCAGUCAUUUACUGGGCAAUCUUAUCUUCGUUUCAAUGCAUUUCUCAUCAGUAUGCGCCGAGGAUCAUUGUAUGAUUCGUAAAAAAGGUUUUUUUUUUCGUUUGUCUGAUGAUGUUGCUUUGUCGUAGAGUCAUUGCAUGGUUCAUGUGGCUUGGAACGUCAUGAUCCAGUUUUGUUGGUCAAAUCUAGUACAUUUGUAACAUAACUUAUGUCUUCUCGAUCUUUUGAUGGAUGCCAAUCUGCGAGAAACAUAUCCAAGCUUCGGUGGACAAUGUGAUUUCUAAUGAACUAACCCAUUAGCUUACCGUAUUUCUGACCCUUUUUGGUGUUGGAAACUAUAUUAUGUUUGCAGGCAGUAAUCUGUGAGGCCUACUCUUCAAAGCACGGAAGUUGAUCAAAGCAAGGUCGACGAGAGUCUGUGUGGUUGUAGAUGCCCUCGAGCACCUGACGGUGUUGGAAAUGUUAGGGGUACGGCGUAAAAUCGACACAAAGUUCAUCUCUUGUAUAAUCCGAUGUGCAGUAGCACUUGAGGCCAUUGUCAUCUCCACAGACUAUCAACCUUGUUUUCCAGCGGCAGAUUCUGUUCCUUUGGAAUAUAGGAAGAGAUCCAUGAGUUUGAAGGCUACUCAAUAGCUCGAAAAGGCCUCGAAUUCAGCUAGUAGCGCAGUUGUUCAAAGUUUGUUGUACUUUGCUAUGUGGUUUAUUCGUUCUGUGCUCAUAUAAAGAACCGUUUUUUAUAUGUAAACCGAGUUCAUUAGAAUCAUGCCGAAUGUUGAACCAUUGAACUGAUGAAGCUCUAUUAGAUUGACACAGUUGCGAAUGAAAACGGAGAUUCAGAAGUGUGCUGAAACGAUGAACAGUUCAAGGUGGAGCACAAGACUGUUUUACGAGCCUGAGUUGUGUUUUUUGUCCAGCUCGGUUUUGAGGUCGAUUUGAUCUUUCGUAUUUGAGCUCGGAUUGAAAUAUUUACAGUUCAGGCUCAGCUCUAAAUCACUACAACGGGCUUGGGUUCUUUAUCUUAAUGAUCUCGAUAACCAUUAUGACUGAGUUUGGUUCGAAUUCGAAGUAAAUAACCAACAUUUACUAGUUCAACUUGUGUUUAAGCUCGAAUUGAACAAGCUCAAUGGACUAAUUUAGUAUCAAAAUUCUCACGUCAUACAGGAGUUGAGACACUGAGUUAAAUUGUCGUGCCGGGUUGUGAGCAAAACCAUCUAAGUUCAUAAUCAAGCAUGUUCAUGAGCCAUUAAUUUGACUCAACUUGCAAGCAAACUAAAUCGGCCAGCUCACAAGUCGAGUUAGGAUUGGUUCGAACUCGACUCGUUUUCAGAGCAACUUAUCAUAUCGCCAGCCUGGCACUGGCAGAACGACAAUCUGAUUAAAUUCUCAAUUACAAAAGAAAAAGGAAACAAUAUUCACAGUCUUCUUCUUUCCUGCAUUCAUUCAAACAAAUUGGAUUUUUUUUUUAACCUGGCGGAAAAUUCAGGGAGUCGCAUCUCAGUAGUAGCAGCAGAGAGAGCCAAAGUAGCAGCUCGCUCUCCGUAGGAACACAACUUCCCGAAAACUCUCUCCUUCUUCCUCCAUAAAUUCCUCAUCGUUGUUUACCUCGCAUUCAAUCGACUACCAGCAACGACAACUCUGAAAACAGUGCUUGAGCUGAGGGAGGAUAUGUCGAUUGUAGCGGCAGCUGUCGUCGUUCCACUGGGCGUUUUCUUCUUCUUUUCCGGCCUAGUCGUUAAUCUCAUUCAGGUUUUGGAAUUUCGGAUUUUUUUUUAAAAUCGAUUGUGAUUGAACUGGUUUGCUUGAUCGCGUUAAUUAACCACUAGAGGGGGAAUGAUGUUGUUUGGUUUCAGGCAGCUUGCUUCGUCCUCGUUCGGCCGGUGUCGAAGAGCACUUACAGGAUCGUAAACAGAGCUGUGGCGGAGUUGCUGUGGCUGGAGCUCGUUUGGAUCGUUGAUUGGUGGGCAGGGGUUAAGGUACCGUAAACGUAAACUACAAUUUUUUCCCUGUUAAAUUAAGUAGUUUUUAUGCUACUGCUCUGAGCUUCAGUCUUUUUGGAUCGAGUUUUUUUUUUCUUGUUUGUUUUUAGGAUUCAAUUGAUUGUGUCGUUGGAUUGUAGUUGGUGUCAAGAUUAAAGUGGUUUUGUAUGUAGCCGUCUUGGGCUGAAUCAUGUGAUAUCUAUUGUGUCUGCAGAUUGAACUGUACACUGAUGGUGAGACACUACGCCAAAUGGGUAAGGCCGACUCUUUGAUCUUCAAUCAGCAUAGAGUUAUUUCUAAUUGUAAGUGUAUUCGUACUGUGAGGCUUAUUAGCUUUGUUGGCUCUCUGGUAAUUAUCAGGUAAAGAACAUGCACUUGUCCUAUGGUUGAUUGGAUCGAGUUUUUUUAUCCUUGUUCGUUUUUAGGAUUCAAUUGAUUGUGUCGUUGGAUUGUCGUUGGUUGUAUGUAGCUGUCUUGGGCUGAAUCAUGUGAUAUCUAUUGUGUAUGCAGAUUGAACUGUACACUGAUGGUGAGACACUACGCCAAAUGGGUAAGGCCGACUCUUUGAUCUUCAAUCAGCAUAGAGUUAUUUCUAAUUGUAAGUGUAUGCAAACUGCUAGGCUUAUUAGCUUUGUUGGUUCUCUGGUAAAUUUUCAGGUAAAGAACAUGCACUUGUCCUAUGCAACCAUAGGAGUGACAUUGAUUGGCUUGUUGGAUGGGUGUUGGCUCAGGUGAAGUGAACCUUGUAACUCCAAUUGACGUAGAUGAAAUAGGGCUACUGUUAGAUUCUAUGUACAGUUGCUAGGUUUCAGUCCUAACUCCUAACUAGGCCGGCCUUGGUAUUAGUUAAAUCAAUAUUUUAUACCGUACCAUCGUCUACUGCAUGAACAGAACAUGCCAACUGUAAUAUUCCCAUUUUCCCUCUGAAAUGGUAAUAUGCUUACCGAUGCCUUAAAUAAUGGGUUUGGGGAAACCUUGGCUAGUUUCUGGGUUCAUCAUUAAGCUCCGUGUCAUUUCUAAUGCAACUUAGUAUUGUUUUUCUUGAUGGCAGCGAUCGGGAUGCCUUGGCAGUGCAUUAGCUGUCAUGAAGAAAUCAUCGAAGCUCCUUCCGGUAUGACUUAAUGCUGAAGUUAUAUUUUCUGUUCCAUAAUACUAUUUUCCAGUCAGUGGACUCCUCGCUGUCUUUUUAUUAGUUCUUAAUCAUUAGGUGAGCCGUGAAGAACUCGAGUGACAUAUAACUUGUGAAUAUUUUUUUGGGUGUGUGCAUUUUCAAAUUGUGUGGAAGACCUCCAUUGUUGGAGCAAUUGAGAUUACAUGCUUGGUAGUAGUUUUCUAUAUAUAAUCUCCCUUUCUCCGAGCCACAGGGUAAAGAGAAGAUCAUUCUGUAACGUAGAAGAAAAUGUCUUGCCAGGAUCAAUUUUUAGUUUUGAGUUACUGUAGCAGAAUAUGACCUGUUAUUUUAAGUUUUCAGUUUUUUGCAUUUCUUUGUAGUUCUUUCCAGCACAUAUUUCCUCCCAGUUAGUGUUUUUAUGUAGAAUCUUAAUGCAUUUCCUUCUUGCUUGUGCAUAUACACUGAGAGUAAUGAUUGCUUGUAUUGCAUUCAGGUUAUAGGUUGGUCCAUGUGGUUCUCUGAAUACCUAUUUUUGGAGCGAAGUUGGGCAAAGGAUGAAAACACAUUAAAAGUAUGCCUUCUUUGCUCACAAAUAAAUACAAUUUAUGUACUUUUGUUUGCAUAUCGCCAUCUGCUGGUAUACGUGCAGUUAGAUUCUGUUCUGAUGGUUGUGUGGUACUACCUGCAGUCAGGUCUCCAGCGGCUGCAUGACUUUCCACGGCCCUUUUGGCUAGCUCUUUUUGUUGAAGGAACUCGAUUUACACAAGCCAAACUCUUAGCUGCCCAGGAGUAUGCAGUGUCGGCUGGGUUGCCUGUCCCUAGAAAUACUUUAAUUCCUCGAACCAAGGUAUAUCCAAGUUCAGUUCUUUUUGAGUUUGUUUUUUGAUAUCUUUCGGUUGUCCUUUUCUUGAAGAAAACAGAUGAGCAUGUAUACAGUAUGAGAUAUUUCCUGUGUUCGGGCAUAACUUUCAGCGAGUUCUGCUUCUUUUUACUGACGUGUUACAGAUUUCCUUUCCUAAUGUCUUCAUACCAUCCUGUUAGUUUAAAAGAAAUGUACAGAAUGUAGUCUGAGUUAUUAUAAAAAUGUUCAUAGUAUUCCUCGUGAUCUAAUUAGUAGAUGUGCUUAAUUUCUGUUGGGCACAGGGAUUUGUUUCUGCAGUAAGUAACAUGCGCACAUUUCUACCAGCCAUUUACGAUGUAACAGUGGCUAUCCCUGAAAGCUCACCUCAACCAACUAUACUCAGACUGUUCAAGGGUCAACCGUCUGUGGUAAGUGUGAGCAGAAGCUCUUUUUUAUUAUCUCAUUUGAUGACUCAACGGUGAAGUUGAAUUAACAAAUGAACUUAUGAUGGUCGGAGUCCUUAGGAUUUAUGGUAAAUUGGGUUUCUUUCUACACACGUCUCUGUUGGCUUGAGAUUUAAACCAAGGAACUGAUUUGGCAGUUCACCGUAUAAUAUAGUAUAGAAAAUCAGACAAUACACGGACUUGCUACGCUUGUGCCAGUUAUGUUGUUAUGGCUUCCCAAAUGAAUCUUUCAAUCCAUUGAUUAACCUGAGAGUCUAAUAAAAUGAUUAAAGAGUGUUUUUAUGCUUCUUUCAGGUUCAUGUGCAUCUCAAACGGCAUUCAGUGAAGGACCUUCCUGAUACAGACGACGCCAUUGCCCAAUGGUGUAGAGAUUUAUUCGUGGCCAAGGUUCGUUCACCGUUUAAAAUCUGCCGCAGUUGAUUAGUUUUCUGGUACCGCACCUUAGGGAACAAGUUAUGACAAAACUUAGAAUGUGAUCUAACUUAUACCGAUUUAUCGAUGACUUUAUAGUCAACAGAGCCCAUAAAUCUUGCUACUUGUCGUGGAUCACAAGUUCAAUCCACACCCAACCCUCGACAGAAAGAAAUUUCAUUUGUUGUAUUGAUGUGUUUAUGCCAUUAGUGUUUUUAUCUCACCAGGAUGUACUGAUAGACAAGCACAACGCUGAUGGCACAUUCAAGGACCAAGAGCUGCAAAACUUAGGCCGACCAGUGAAGUCUCUCAUGGUGAGGCACCACUGUCCACUUAUCGGUCUCUCGUGUUACAAUCAUUCUCCAUACACUUCCCUAAUUCGUCCUCACCGUGUGUAUGUCCAGGUCGUGGCUUCAUGGGCAUGCUUACUCGUAUUCGCAGCCUUGAAGUUCCUCCAGUGGUCCUCCCUUCUAUCCACAUGGAAGGGCAUUGCCAUUUCGGCAGCUGGUCUAGCCGUCGUGACACUACUCAUGCAGGUCCUGAUCCGAUUCUCCCAGUCGGAGCGAUCAACCCCGGCCAAAGUUGCCCCCACCAGAGCCCAAGAGCUUAAGCAGCAAUGAAGUUGAUUCCCGCAAAGGUUCUGAUAUUAGGCUUAAGGUCUGGUUGGUAGUUAGAAAACGAUACACAAUUAGGGGGAAAACGUGAAUUUUAGGGCAAAUUGGUGUAGAUUGUAAGUCACGUAUUUGGGGGGGUUUUCCAGGAUGUGUAUGUAAGCACUAUUCACUAAUCAGUGUUUGUUAAUGAAACCGUAACUUUCUUUAUCGGAUUCAUUAGUAUAUUAUGCCACGAUGUUGGUUCGGUUCGGUUUCGGUACUAGAUCAUUAGGGUUUUAUCCUGUUUCUUGCUUUGAAAGAAGGAGGGGUACGAGAGUUGAACGGAGAUGAAGAGAUAGUAAAGCACAAAACACCAUCUUCAACUUGAAUCGAUGCCAAUAUGAGUGAGGUUAUAAAGGAUAGAGGCUCGGGAGAGAAAUUAGAGGGCAAAGCAAGUUCGAGAGUGCGCCUUACGGACAAAUGUCGGGGAAACUUGGUGGCAUUUAGCGGACAUUGUAAUAGAGAAGAGGAAGGUAGAAGAGAACAGAGGGGUCAACACUCGCCGACGAUCCUCUUUCAUUUUCUGGGAGGUUCCAUCAUCGAAGAGGCGACUCGAAGGAGUUAGUCGAGGAGGAUGGCGAGAGGAAGAGCGAUGGUUUUAUUUUGUAUUUUAUUUAAUUAAAUGUAUGUUUACUGACGUAGCGUUGAUGUGGCAUGAAUAUGCCUUGCCCAAUUAACACUGUCUUUUUCCGUCAUAACCCGUUAAGUUUUCGAUUAAAUCUAACAAUCAAUUUUAACGUUGAUUUACUUCCGUCACAUAUAUAAUCCGUGCCAUCAAACAUAUUUCCGAUAAAUCAAACUAUCUUUUAUAAUAUCGCUAUAGAUCGUAAGUCCCAAAACUAUUAAGCCUAAAAUUUAACUAUUUACAAAUAACAAAUCAGAAACGAGAAGCAAGACAUAAACCCUCAAGUCCUCAACCAACCUUCUCCUUCUAAAACCUCUCCAAUACCCUAACCACAUCCGGCGACUGCCAUCCGACCACGCCGGUUCAGCCGCUCUGAACUUUCCUCCGCCGCUUCUACCUCAUGGAGGCCCUCACUGAGGUCCGUCCGUCCUCCUCCUCCUCACUCUCUCUGUUCGUGAGCUAAAAGCUCAGCUAAUGAAUCAACGACUGACCUGUUUUGCGACAACUUCACAUUAGAAUCGCGUCCUAGUUUCAAAAGCUUCGGUUUCAAUGCUGAGCUACGGAUGGUUGAUGAGUUUCACAGCUUCCUAUCCCUUUUCGUUGUUCUUAUUGUUUCCUUCUUCCUCAGGUUGUGACCAAGGCGGUUGGUUCCGUGUCGUUCAGCGCCUAUUCAGCUGAUGAGGUCCGGAAGCUGAGUGUUCUCAAGGUUACUAAUCCGAUGUUGGAAACCGGUGACCCUGGCUCGGCUCUUAGUGAUCCUGCCCCUGGUGGUCUCUAUGAUCCCUCGCUAGGGCCUCUGAAUCGGUCUAUAAAGUAAGUCUUCAGUACAUCUUGGGGAUUUAUCGGGAGUCACUGGUCCCAGUUUCUGACAAUUGUAAUCCACAGCUUCCUGAUUUUUGUAUAAAGUUUAGUCUAAUAUGUAGCUGAUAUUCAAAUCGUUGUGCAGAUGUAAGACUUGUGGCCAGAAAUGGGAACACUGCCCAGGACAUUGUGGCCAUAUUGAGCUAGUUCUUCCGGCCUAUAAUCCUCUGCUGUUUAACUUUCUGUACAAAAUUCUUCACCAAACCUGUUUCUCUUGUCUUCAUUUCAGAGCUGAUAGUAACCAUGUAAGUUCACCCUUGAUUGCAGCUGAUACAUAUUUUGGAGUUCUUUUUUUUGCGUUAUGUAUUAGCUUGUGCUUUAUUUGUUUUUUUACCCCGUCUGAUCUUGGUCUUCUCUUUUCUGUUUCUUUCCACUUUCUACGUUUUGCUGCUUUGUCAAAAUAGGUUGCGAAGUGUGUUACUCAGUUGAAACUCAUCUCAAAAGGAGAUAUUGUUGGGGCUAAGUUAAUUGAUUUAGUCUCGGUAGAUGAGACUGAAACUCCUGAUGCAAGUGAAGGCAGCCAAGGAUCUGCAUCUACAGUUCAUUCGGGGUCACAAGCUCAAAAUGAUGACGAUAUGGAGCCACUUGAAUGGACCUCCCUUCAGUUUGCAGAGGCUAUGUCGAUCAUAUAUAACUUUCUGAAGAAAGGGACGCAGAAGUGCAAGCAAUGUGGUGCAAAAAACCCUAAGAUUAGCAAGCCUGCUUUUGGAUGGGUUAAAAUGGUAAUAGUUUUCCCAUGAUAUUUUCGCAAUUAUUAAGAGAGUUAGCACUAUCAUGGAUAUCAACACAUACUGUUUUCUGUUCUUGAUUCUUAAGCGUAUUCUCUUCAUAUAUUCAGUAUGCAAUUCUUGUGACUUCCAAAGAAUAUGUAUGCAGGGUUUUGGGUGUUGUCACAACAGCAAUAGAUUGAUAGAAAUAUGUCCAGACUUUUGAAUCUGAAUGGGUGCACCUUAACAGUUUUCAUUCUUGUUUCUGGGUUUGUAUUAGGAAAUUAUGCUAUAAUGCUUCAACUCUCUGUAUUAAAAUUUCUAGCUAUAUUGCAAGCUCAUUCUGGCUGGUUUCUUUCUGCAGGAUGGCAUGUCUGAUAGUGCUAUCAGAGCAAAUAUAAUAACAGGGCGGCACCUAUCAGGGCUGUUAGAUGGUGAACCUGAUAUAGAGGAUGAAGAUGAACGCAUGACGAACCCUGGCAAAGCUUUUGCCAGCCAGAAAAACUCAGGAUCCUGCCAUCUUCUCCCAAAACAGGUGUGCUGGGGACCUUUUCCCAUGUCAUAGCUAAUUUAUUUGUGUAUGAUGUCCAUCGAAAUCCAGCUUCGACAAACAUUUUCAUAUUUCAUCUUUUUACAGGUGAAAUCAAUAUUAGAAAUUUUAUGGGAGAACGAGAAGGCUUUCUGCAUGAUCAUGAGUAAUAUUCAGCAGAAAAGACUGAGUGGCAAUCAAGCAGGCCCAUCUAUGUUUUUUCUUGAAGUUAUUUUAGUAGCUCCAAUCAAGUUCCGUCCUCCUGUAAAGGGGGGUGAUGCGGUGAGUAUGGAAUGUUUAUUUUAUGGCUUCAUGAAUAAGUUUUACUGGAAUGUGUUCCUUGUUUUUUUUUACUUCUGCACGUUGCGUUUUUUACGUCUCAAAUGUGGAUAAAUUACAGUGGACGGUGUAAGGAUGGUUUUGGUAUAUUAAAACUUGAAGGAAUGGUGUUAAUUGACCAAUUUUUGUUUACAUUCUCUAUGAUGAUAUUUCAUGGUACGUUAUUAUUACUCAAUUUUCAAACUUACCAGCCUUCGCCUUGGGUUCAAGUGAACUCAUCAAUUUGUAAAAUGUUGAAGCAUGAUUGUUUCUUCUGGUGUCAGUAAUGCAUUUCUGUCUGAAAUGCUCUUCUCCCCCAUAAGUUGCAUUUGUAUAUUUAACGUGAAGAUUUUGUCAAUGAUUACCCAGUAGAAUAUUACCAACUUGAUAUCGCCCUUUCAUGGUCUUGAUUUGAGUUUUUAUUCGUGCCACUACCUGUCUGUCUGACGUACCGUCCCUUUGUCUUCUAUUUAUUUAUGGUUCCUUGCUGUUGGGAGCUUUUAUCGCACAUCACGGCAGUCUUGGAAGCGUUCCUCUUGGUUUGCAUAAUUGAGUGAAACAGAUACGUAAAUUGGCAUGGAAACAUUAACUUUUUGAAUCUUUUAUUUAGGUCAUGGAUAAUCCUCAGACCGUUCUACUAGGCAAAGUGCUGCAAGCUAAUUUAGCUCUGGCGAAUGCUCAUGCUCAUGCUAAUACGGAUGAAGUGGUUAGAAAGCGGUGGCUAGAUCUUCAACAAUGUAUAAAUAUUUUGUUUGAUAGCAAAUCUGCUAAAGGUAAUUUCCGUCCUAUAUUUGCUCCUAGUUUUUCCGUACUUUUAAGAAACAAAACUGUAUCUAAGAGAGGAAGAAUAAAGUCAGUAUCAUUGUAAUCAUUAGAAAAACAUAGUACAUACAAUGAACUCUGUUGCAUCACCUAUGUCUAGAGAAGUAGCACUCCAUAUUCUCAUUCUGAACUGAUUUAUAUAUUGCAUUACAAAAGCAGAGUAAAAAAUGAUAGGUUAUCUUUGUUUAAAGAGGUAAAGAUGGCUAAUCAGUCAGACCUCGAUUCUCAUUUGGCACUUUGGGGUCUCCUGUCUCUUCUCUUUUUCAUUUAAGCAUUCUAUCCAUGCCUUGUUUUCAUGGUUGAUUGAAGCAGACUAACUCUUAUGUCCUUUUGAGUCUUGCAAUGUCAAUUCUGUGCCGUAAAUGCUUUUUGAGGCUUCGUCUAGUACCAAUAUGUGUUGCUCAUACUGUGAUAAUUGCUGGUUCCGAAUGUAUGUAGGUCCCGGUGACAAAGAAUUGUCCAAUGGAAUAUGUCAAAUACUUGAAAAGAAAGAAGGCCUGUUUCGUCAAAAAAUGAUGGGGAAGAGGGUUAAUUAUGCUUGUCGCUCAGUUAUAUCCCCGGAUCCCUACUUAGGAGUAAAUGAAAUAGGAAUUCCACCUUGCUUUGCCAUAAAGUUGACUUAUCCUGAGGUGAGUUAUUUGAUCUAGAUUGGUAUAUGGUUGGAUGUCUACAUAGCUAGAUGAAUGUAUUUAGUUACUAUCAUCCACUCAGGUUUUAAUUUGUAAGUUGAGCUUGUAAUUGACGGCCACUUGUUUAGCGUAAGGAAACAAUGAUGAAUUUGUGAGGUUAAGCUAUCUUAAAAUACAUUGUGGAUAAGGCACGUCUUUUGUGACUAUAUUCUUCUAGGAAUCAUGAGCAUUACAGAAAUAUGUUGUUGGCUGUAGUUAAAACUGAAUUUAUCAUGUGAGGAUGACAAUGUAGAUCAAUAUGUGUGAAAAAGAUCAAAGCCUCUUUUAUAAUCAAACAUUUAGUAAUGAAAAUGUUUUUUUCUUUAUUUGUUUGGCCCUUUUUGGAUCAUUCCUAAUUAGAGGGAGAUUGGAAAGACUACACUCGGCCUUACGGUUUCAGUAGUCUGAUUCAAAUGUACAGCACUUUCCAGUCUUGUAUUACUAUAUUCUAUAUGAUCUGAAAGAUGAAAUAUUUUUUUAUUUAACUGAUCAUGUUGUUGUCCAUGAUGGAAAGAUGCGUAUUUAGUGAGCAUUUUGCAAUGAUAUUGCAUUUUUUCUAAAAGUUAAUUUUCUUAUUCUUUCAGCGAGUGACUCCAUGGAAUGUUGCCAAAUUGAGGAAUUCUGUAAUAAAUGGGCCGAACAAUUAUCCAGGAGCAACUCAUUUGGUUGAUAAGUCCAUUAAUAUACUACAAUCUAGCAAGAAAUCUCGGGCUUCACUAUCAAGGACGCUACCUUCGGCUACAGGUGCUCUCCGAGAACAUGGGAAGGGUUCUAAUUGCGCAUAUGAAGGAAAAACUGUCUAUCGCCACUUGCAAGAUGGGGACAUUGUGCUCUGCAAUCGACAGGUGUGUUGCAGUAUAUAUUAUUAAUCUACAAUUCCGGGCGACUUACUGAUCUUAGCAUUUAAGUUGAUGUUUGUUGAAGGCAUUGUGAUCGGAAAUGCUCCUUGUACCUAGUUAUGGCAUGGCUAGGUCCUAAGUGGUUUCUUAACAUAUUUGAAUUGAUGAUUCAGUUUCAUGAAAAGUAAUAGUUAGAAAGGUUGCAUCAGUUGACAGGGGACUUUGUGCAAGUUUUAUACACUCGAUCACUUGCAUUGUUAAACCCUGUUUUAUUUCACUGUCUAAAUUCAAUGAAGCUAGUUCUUUGACAUUGCUUUUUCACCUUGCAGCCGACACUUCAUAAGCCUAGUAUAAUGGCACACGUCGUCAAAGUGCUGAAAGGGGAAAAGACACUUCGUAUGCACUAUGCCAAUUGCGGGUCUGUAUUAUUGUGUCUCUAUAUUUCAUAUAAUAAGUGCUCAGCUGUUCUCAAACAUGCUUUACUAAGUUAGAAAAUCUUCCUCUCAUGAGUGCCUCGGUUCUUAUUCCAGUACAUACAAUGCUGACUUUGACGGUGAUGAAAUGAAUGUCCAUUUCCCACAAGACCAUAUUUCCCGUGCCGAGGGGUACAACAUUGUCAAUGCUAAUAAUCAAUAUGUCAAGCCUUCGAAUGGAGAACCCCUUCGCAGUCUCAUCCAGGUUUGUGGUUCGUUUCCGUUUUAUUAUGACAGUUCCAUGUAUUCUAUUAUAAUGCUAUGCCAAUGACUUUGUGCACCUUUAUUUUUCAGGACCAUGUUAUUGGUUCUGUAUUGCUUACGAAGAGGGAUACAUUUUUGUUCUUAGAAGUGUUCUACCAGUUAUUAUAUAUCUCCGGUGUCUUCACUUCUUCUAGGACUUCUUUCAGUGGAAAAUCUGGCCAGAAAGUUUUUCUGGCUUGUCCUGAAGACGCUUUUCAGAUUUUCCAACCUGCAAUUCUCAAACCGAUCCCUCUCUGGACUGGAAAACAGGUUAGUAUGUAAUGGUGUUUUCACUUCCUCAAUGUAAUUCACUUGUUUUACUUACUAUUUGGUGUUCCACUUGUGGAUUAUUUUCACCAGUUAUUAUUUUGGCAUGUUUAGGUCAUUACUGUUAUCCUAAACCUUAUAACAAAGGGUCAUUCCGUCACUGUGGAAAAGGAUGCGAAGAUAUCCAGUGACUUCUUCAGGAGCAAAAGUACCAAACGUGACAGAAUUUCUGAAAAAAGAAGUGAAGGAGGCUCCAUUAAAAUAAAGCCCGACGAGGAGAAGAUUUUGGUAUCUAAAAAUGAAUUGCUUCGUGGUGUUAUUGACAAAGCUCAGUUUGGUGAAUAUGGUUUAGUGCACACAGUUCAGGAACUCUUCGGCUCAGAUGCUGCAGGCACCCUUCUAUCCAUUUUCAGUCGAUUGUUUACAGGUUACCUGCAGGUACUUUUGAUUUCUUUAACCAUUGAGGCUUCUUUUGGACUUGUGGAUUCGUUUUAAUCUAGCAUCAUUACAUCUGUUUAUGCUGUAUUGAACUACUCAGAUGCACGCUUUCACAUGCGGGGUUGAUGAUUUGUUGAUAUUGAAAGACAAAGAUGAAGCAAGGAAGAGACAGCUUGAAGGGUGCGAGAAGGAUGCUGAACUUGUGCAUCGUCAUUUUAUUGGGAUUAAAGAUGAGAAGCUAAGGAUAGGUGGGUUCUCUCUUGUUAGUAUGCUACUUUGCUUUUUCUGCAAUUGGAACAUCAUUAGUUACAAUAUUUCCAUCGCUAUAUGACUGGAAUUAGCAUACUUUCUGCGAGUGCCUCACCUCUAUCCGCAUUAACUCAACAUUCUUAUUAUUCAUUUGGUAAAUGUCAGGUAGGGGAAUGUCAUCACCGUAGUUGCCUCGAAUAAUUGAAUUUGAUAAAAUUUGUUAUAACCUUUGCUUACUUUUUAUCUUGAGAAACUCAUUUACCUAAGCACUUGCUCAGAACAGCUGAAUAUAUGAAAUCAUAGGAGUUUUCUAUUUUGAGAGUUAUGACAAUGAAUCAGUACCAAAUCCUUUUAUUUCCUUACUCUGGAUGAGGCGAACUUUUUUGCUAAUUGUACUCUUGACUGAGAAGUAUCUUCUGUCAUAUUGACUAGUUCCCUUGUUGGAAUCACCGGUGUAAUACGACCUGCUAUAAUGUGUAAUGUUUCUGGUUUUCCUGUUACCAGAGCCUAAAGACUUGCAAUUCAAUAUCGAAAAGAUAAUGCGAAGUGAAGGGGAAUCUGCUGUGACAUAUUUGGAUAACCAGAUGAGAAGUGAACUUAAUUCCAAAACAAACUCGGGGGUUAUCAGUGAGCUGCUAUCUGAGGGGGCUGUUAAACUCUCUGUGCAUAACUGUAUAUAUCUUAUGACGACUUCAGGCGCCAAAGGUAGCAAGGUAAGUGUUGAGCACUUUUUGAAAGCUUGCUGAACACUACUGAUGUUUCUUUAUCGGAAAUUAUAACCAAGAAUAGUCCGUUUAAUGCAUUGUUCCAAUUAAUGUGCAGGUCAAUUUCCAACAGAUUUCUUCUUUUUUGGGUCAACAAGAAUUGGAGGGGAAAAGGGUCCCUCGGAUGGUUUCUGGAAAGACAUUACCCAGCUUUCAUCCAUGGGACUGGGCAGCCCGAGCUGGCGGAUUUAUUAUCGAUCGUUUUCUUACGGGUCUCCGUCCUCAAGAAUAUUAUUUCCAUUGCAUGGCUGGUCGAGAAGGGUGAGUCGACUUCCAUGUUAGAAUGCUUAUUGUUUGAUUUUAAGUCAGUUCAACGGAGUCUUGACUUUUCAUUAUCAAAUUAGUAUUAUGAGUAUAAUAAGUUAUUACCACAUAGAUGCGUGUAUAAUUAGGAGGACGUACGUGGAAGACUUUGUAAUCUACCGGUUAAGUAUUGCAGGUUAGUUGAUACAGCAGUGAAGACAUCACGUAGUGGAUAUCUGCAAAGAUGCCUGAUAAAAAAUCUCGAGUGCCUGAAGAUAAGUUAUGAUCAUACUGUUCGUGAUGCUGAUGGCUCAAUUAUUCAGUUUCAAUAUGGAGAGGACGGCGUCGAUGUUUCCCAAACCAGCUUCCUUGCCAAAUUUGAUUCAUUAGCGAAGGUAAUAACUGCUUCGCUGUACGCUGAAAUUCUUCACUGAUACUAGAACCCUUUUUUAUUCAUACUCAUGAUCUGAAACUUCGUCUUGGCCAGAACCAAGAAGUAAUUUUCAAAACAUGCGGUCAGCAGCCUCCUAUGUUCAACAGCUACAUCUCCGAAUUGCCCAAAUCUCUGAAAGACAAAGCAGACAAUUUCCUGGACGAUUCCUCCUUAAUGGAUCGAAUCUCUUCAAAUAUGGUAAAGAAGGCAGAUGUUCAUAACUUGAUGAAGCUGAAGUUUCUCCGAAGCCUUGCUCAGCCUGGAGAACCAGUUGGUGUGCUUGCUGCUCAAUCUGUUGGAGAACCAUCGACACAAAUGACGUGAGUGUUUAUUCUUAUGCUGUUCAGUUUUCGGAAUGCUUUGUUCUCCCAAGUCCUAUGUUAACCUUAUUCUAUUAUUUUUUUACUAUCAGAUUGAAUACGUUCCAUUUAGCCGGACGAGGUGAGGCAAACGUCACAUUGGGUAUCCCUCGUCUUCAAGAGAUCUUAAUGAUGGCUUCAAGUAAAAUCCAGACUCCAAUUAUGACCUGCCCUUUGAAAGAGGGGAAAACUAAGUAAGUAUUCUUGGUUACUUGCUUACCAAGCUUCUGCAGCUACUAACUAUUAGCUUCCAUCUUGGAUAUUCAUAUUCUCGAUAUAAUUGUCACUUGCAGAGAGGUGGCAGAUCGCCUUGCUGAUAAAUUUAGAAAGAUCAGGGUGGCAGAUAUAGUAAAGAGCAUGGAGGUCUCUGUAACUCCGUUUGCCGUUCAGGACUGGCAAGCUUGUAGAAUUUACAAGCUGAAAAUGAAGCUUCACAGGCCUGCACAUUACCCGGCACACGCAAAACUCGACACAGAAGACUGGGAAGAAACUUUAGAAGGGCAGUUCGUGAGGGGUUUGGAGGAUGCUAUACAGAAUCAUCUAAUCCUGCUCUCCAAAAUCAGGGGCAUUUCCAACUUUGUGGCUUCGAAAUCGAAGCCUUCGGGUGAUGAUACGGAAGGUGAGGGUGUUAGUACCAAAAAGAAGUCGUCCAUUAGUUUUGAUGAUGAUGGUGAUGACGAUGGUGCCUUCGGUGAUGGUGAAGAGACUGAGGAUCUUGGUUCAGAUGCACGAAAACAGAAAAGUCAAACUACCGAGGAUGUUGACUACGAAGACAAUGACGAAGAUGAUCAUGUCAAUCCCGAGGGUUCAGUGACCACCAUGGGUGGAUCUGGUUUCGAAAGUGGUAGCGGAAGUGACACCGAUGAAGCCGAGAAUCGGGAUGCGGAUGAAAUGGUCGACGAAGGAAAUUCGGGAGCCUCCUCGAAGCGUAAUUCCGCAAGCGAUUCUCCAGCGAAAACGAAGAAGGAUAAAAGCAAAACAGAAGGCAAAAGUAACAAGCUGAAGAGAACUAUUGCAAGGAAAGAUUACGACAGAGCGAUUUAUGUGGCGGCAAAGGGAUUCCACUUUGAGGUCCAUUUCAGGUUCACCAAUGAACCUCAUAUUCUUCUCUCCGAGGUAUAUUGUAGUAUUAUUGCUUCUGUCUUUUUAUUCUUUUUUUUUGUCUAUUAUCGCGAUUUUAAGCUUUCCGAGGUAUCUCGAUUUUGUAGAUUGCACAGAAGGUUUCGAAGGUGGGUUUUAUUCAGAACCCCGGGAUGAUUGAGCAGUGCCGUGUUACAGACUGCAAAGACAGUCAAGUGAUCUAUUACGGGAAAGACCCAAAGAAGAGGGUGGCCAUCAAACCGGACGAGAAGAAGAAAAUCCCUGCAUUGCAAGCCAUGGGAGUCGAGAUCAAGUUGUUCUGGAAGAUGCUGAAGGAUCUCGACAUCAAUUACAUAUACACCAACGACAUCCACUCCAUUCUCAACACAUACGGGGUGGAAGCCGCGAGGGAGGCCAUAAUUCGAGAGAUCAAUCAUGUGUUUGGCUCUUACGGGAUAUCCGUCAGCGACCGCCACUUGUCUCUCAUAGCAGACUACAUGACCCACACGGGAGAGUAUCGGCCCUUGAGCCGUUUGGGUGGCAUCUCCAAGUCGGUAUCGCCCUUUACGAAGAUGUCGUUUGAGACUGCUUCUAAGUUCAUCGUUCAAGCUGCAUUGCACGGGGAGACGGAUUAUUUGGACGCCCCGUCUGCGAGGAUAUGUCUCGGGUUGCCCGUGAAGAUGGGUACCGGGUCUUUCGAUGUCAUGCACUCUUUUGAUGUCAUGCCCGAAUUGGAAAUUUGAUAGGUUUCGGAAGAGAGUUCGGUCGGUUUAGGCUUGUGAUCUGAAAUUUUUUGCCCGGUUUUGUUUCUUAGAAUGUUGCAAGUACUUUGUAUUCUAUAUGGUUAUCGAAUUCCAUGUAUACUCGGGUAAUCUCACUUCUCAUUAAUGAAAAUUGAAUGAAAUCGUCGCGAACAAGUACGAAGUCGUUUCACCUCCUACGAAUUAUUAAUUGAAGUAUCCAGUUAGAUACUUCAUCACGCAAAGACAGAAUAUAUAGAUUCUUUCUCGGCCACAAGUUAGAAGAUUCAUGUGGGACCCCAGCUCCCGCCAGAAAGAAUAAAAAAUUAAAAACCAGAAAAUGAACCGUAAAAAUUCAAACCACCGCCAAACUGAAACUCAGUCCACCGAUCACCAGUUCACCACCACCACCAAUGGACUCUCUCCGCCGCUCACCAACCUCCACUUCCACGAUACGGACCCAGAGCCAGCGAUGUCUCAUAUCCGAGAAGAAGAGAUGGACUAUGAGAUUCUCCAAUCACGCAUCCGUCAAUCGGACUGCAAGGAGAACGGUGACGGCGUCGUCCUAUAACGGCGGCGGAGGUAAGGAUCGUGAUGAAUCUCCGAUGCGAAAGUCGAUUGGGAAAGGUGUCGUCGGUUUCGCCGCUGCCGCCGCCACUCUGGCUGCCGUUUGCUGCUCCGAACCUCCUCCGGCUUCCGCCGAGUCUCUCACGGUUGCCUUCCCGGUUUCCCGUGCUCGUGAGGUGGCGGCCCUCUUCUUAUUUUUCUUACUGAUCGUAAUUUGUUAUGUCUUGGUCCGAUUUAAUUUUGGGCUCUCAAGGUGUUUGUGAUAUUUAUUGCCCGUUAGGUGAAUACAGUUCAGAGGACGCUUAUUGAGGCAUGGGGUUUGAUCAGGGAGACGUUCGUAGAUCCAACGUUCAAUCAUCAAGGUAGUUCUUCUGGCUACCUCUCUGUUUCUCUACCGUCUAAGAUUUUCGUUUCCAGUGACUUGCAGAUUGAGCUUUUGGAUUUUCUGUUUUGCUUGAACUAGAUUGGGACUUAAAGCUGCAGCAAACCAUGGUGGAGAUGUUUCCACUAAGUUCAUCUGAUGCUGCGUACAAAAAAAUCAGUGGGAUGCUUUCGACUCUCGGGGAUCCCUUCACUCGGAUUAUUAGUCCAAAGGUACGUACCGUCCAUUUCACCUGAACAAGCAAGGAGAGAUUUGCAUUUGGCUAUAUCUCGAUGAUGUGGGUUUAAUUACUGUUUGCUUACAGGAAUACCAGAGUUUUAGAAUCGGCAGUGAUGGGAAUUUGCAAGGAGUGGGCGUGUUCAUCAACUUGGAACCCAAAACCGGCCAUUUGGUUAGUGUGAUUUACGAGAGUCUACUCUUUUGGUUUCUGAGAAAGGUACUAAUAGUCUAAUAGGCUUCUUCUGGUAGUGCAGGUUGUCUUAUCUUGCAUAGAGGGAGGACCGGCUGCUCGUGCUGGAAUACAGGAGGGCGAUGAGUUGAUCGAGAUUGAUGGUAUUUCAGCCAACUUGCUGUGACCAUUGAAGUUAGAUACCGGGUUUUUCGUUCUGUUUCUUCUUAUCUAUAUGUCGAAAAAUCUGGUAUUGUGCAAUUGUUCUUGAGGUAGUUUAUAAUGCGUUUGUAUGAUAAAGGGGAAAGCUUCUAACAUCAGGUCCAUUCAUGGAAAACAUCAGGUGAGCAAUUGCAUGGCGUGGACAGCGAGGUGGCAGCACAGAAGCUAAGAGGACGAGUUGGGACAUCUGUAACAGUCAAACUCAGUGUAAUCGAUCAAGCCUCUUCCCUUUCCCUCUUUGAGCAUCUUUGUCCAAUUCGGUCAAUAUGUACUCUGUUCAAAUGUUGCAUGAUUUGGAAUGGUUCUUCACUCCACAAAUUGAGAUCUUCGUAUUUCACGUACUUGUUCUGCAGAGCAAAGACUCAACAAGCCAUUCUGACAUUAGAGAGGUAUCGACAUUUCCAAUGCCUAUAAUACUUGCUUCUUACAUCUUCUGCCAUUGCACUGAGACCACCUGUAAGUCUGCUUGUAGGUCAAACUACCUCGCGAGUACAUUAAGCUCUCACCGAUUUCCAGUGCCAUCAUUCCACAUAGAACACCGGACGGUCGAUUAGCCAAGACUGGCUACGUGAAGCUGUCAGCCUUCUCUCAGAGCGCUGCUACUGACAUGGAAAAUACAAUCCAAGAGAUGGAACGUCAAGAUGUGCAUUCAUACAUCCUCGAUUUGCGCAAUAACCCUGUAUGUAUCCGAAUUUCAUGUCCAAAUGCCAUGAAAACAUAUUUAGAUGUGUCUACUAAAAAGGUUCGAACUUCCUAUCCGAAUUUUAUAUUUUUUUGCAGGGUGGUCUAGUGAAAGCAGGGCUUGACGUGGCGCAAAUGUGGCUAGACGGGGACGAGACCCUUGUGAACACAAUUGACAGAGAAGGGAACAUGUUUCCAAUCAACAUGGUCGAUGGCCAUGCCCUAACACACGAUCCGCUGGUUGUGUUGGUAUAGAACCCUACUCCUCUUUUAGUUUCCUUCCCUUUUGGUCACCUAAUUAUUCUUCCAGCAUUGUUAACAUGUUAAACAGGUGAAUGAGGGAAGUGCUAGCGCAAGUGAGAUAUUAGCUGGAGCUUUGCAUGAUAACGGGCGAGCCAUCCUUGUGGGGCAUAAAACUUUUGGAAAGGGCAAAAUUCAGGUAGUUUUUCAUCAAGUUUCUUCAUCAUUGAAAGUGAUGAUCUUAUGUAUGACUGUUAUUACGAUUAGUUUUUUAGUUUGAUUAGAAUGACUACAAUGUAGGUAUUGAUUCAUUGUCGAAACUCUUACCGAAACCUAUAACUAAUUCUACGAAUUGUGGUUCAACUGCAAAUUUCCAAAGAAUAUUGCAGACUGUAAUGCAGUCCCACCGAGUUAACCAUGGUUGGAACAUAAAGAACUGAUAGUGAGUAAUGAUGGGGUGGACAUUUCUCAUUUCUGCAGAGUGUGACAGAGUUGCACGAUGGAUCGGCCCUGUUUGUGACGGUAGCCAAGUACCUGUCUCCGGCACUCCACGACAUCGAUCAGAUCGGGAUCACCCCCGACGUGCAAUGCACGACAGAGGAGGUGCUGAGGGAGUUUUCCCAGACGAAGAACAACAGGGAGUCAUCGUCGUCCCUAGAAGCCGAUUCAUGCAUUAUGGUUGCGGAACACGAACUCGAGGUCCAGGAGUCUAGAGGGACAGCCUCGUGACAAAAGAGAAAUUAGAAUGAAGAAACCUUUGUAUAGAUUGUUAAUUGAUGUGUAUUAGUGGUUAGGUGAUUAUUGCCUUAUAGGGCUCAAAAGUAGGGUCUGUUAAUAUGUGGUUGUGCUAUGUAUCUAAUAUGAAAAUGAAUAUCACUAAACUAAACUUAAACAUAAGAUACUGUUUUAAUCCAAGUAUCUAAUGUGUUAGUUUUCUUAAUUUAUUGCUCUAUGAUCAAAAAGAUUAGCGCGAGUGGGCGCGUGGAAAACCUCUCAAACUGAGCCUGGUUUCCUCGACGUUUUGAUCGCCGACAUCGGAGAGUUCCCUCUGUGGGUGAGCUCCUUUGGGGCUCCCCGCUGUCUGGAGGCUCGCCGGCGGAUCUUUGGAUCUCCGGCCUUUGCCUUGCUCCUUGUCUUCACCCUUUCCCUUCCCUUUCUCUUCCUCUUCUUCUAUGAAUCUCGAGACCAAGGAAGUACCUACUUGGAUUAAACUUUGUAAUGUCCCUCCUCAGUUUUUAACAAACGCUGCAAUUGAAUGGAUGGUCAGUAGAAUUGAAGCUCCGAUUAACAAAUUUGUGAGAUCUAGCUUGGAUGUUAAAGUUUGCAUUUUGCUGAGUAAGGAUAAGGAAUGCCGGUCGAGUUUGCCUAUUUGGGUUGAAAAUAAGCGUGUUAUUAUUAGUAUUGAAACAUCAAAGAGUCGACCUAUGAUCAAUGAAUGGAGAAGGCUAAAGAGCAAAAUAAAGUAUGGAAACCAAUCCUCCCAAAAAGUAUAGCCAUGGUCAUGGGGUUAAUGUGUUGAGAAUGCAGUGAAAUACGAUGAUGAUGAUGCUGUUGUUUUCAGGUUUUACCGGAGAUCCAUCGUUGGUAAUAUAUGGUAUAAAAGAUGUCGAAAGAAUGUAAGAGAGAAUCCAAUUACAACUCUGCCUAUUGCUCAUAAGAUUUGUAGAGAAAUACAUUAUGUGAUGAAAAAAGUCUAGUUGUCUAGUUGAUUCCUGGAUUGUUGUGAUUGUUAGGACGUUUAUUUAGUUUUCUUUGUGAGCAGAUUUUGUAAGUUUUUCUUGGUGGUACUUCCAAAUUUUCUUCGGUAUACUGCAAUUUUGAUGAAAAAAAAGCUAUAUUCAUUGAAUAAAAAAAUUAUUUCUCUAUAAUCCAAAUAUUAUUUAUGUGGUUUGCUAAUUAGUUUAUAUAUGUUAUCCUUAUAAGCCAUGUGUCGUCCCAUAUGAUAUCAAAAUGAUGAUUAGGCGAAAGAUAACAAUAAGAUGCCAGUUGAAAUAACGGAUAAAGAGACAUUUAGCAAAUUGGUAAAGUAGGAGGGGGGAAACAGUUUUUAAUAAUACAGGACCUCGAUUGUAGUUAAAAAAAGUAGAAGGUGCAAAACUACUAUUGUUCCAAAAGGUCUUUUUACCGUUUGACAAUUGAUAAAUGAAUACCUAGAAAUUGGUUGAUGGACCAGUUAUAAUAUAAUAAAAUGACUGGACCAGUUAUAGGCCCAAUAAGUAUAGCCACGGUCGGCCCAAUAAGGUCACGAGAACAACAGGUAAAAGCGCGGGAAGUAGAAAAACGGAGGAGAGAGACAAGGGGUUUUUAUUCUUUUAAUCAAACCCUAUGCGUCUACGUCCGAAUUCUAUAUUCUCACGUAACUACCGAAUUAUGGACGGCGAAUCGCCCAUUACUAACGGAGAAAUCUCUUCCGCCGAGGUAGCACCGACGCCGGCGGCGGCUCUGCUUCCUCUUCCACCUAUAUCGGAAGCGGGGGAUGGACGUGAGGCCGGAGAUGGACACAAUGGCGAUGAGGAGGAAACGAAGGAGGAGGACGAUGACGAGUUGAUUGACAAGGCGCAGCGGUUAAUGGAAAAGAUUAGUGCCGCUCCUGAAAACCCUAGUGCUUCCGUUCUCCACGCUCUGUCUUCUCUCCUCGAAACUCAGGAGUCUCUGUAAUUAUUCUUUCGCCUUCUCAGCCUUUACUGUUUUUGGAUGAUCGACUGUUUUGCUUGUGUUCCGUUUAUUUCAAAUGCAUAAUUCCCCUCCCCGUUUCGCCAAUUGUGUUGAGCUUUUAUUUUGUAUAUGUGUUUGCGCCCUUUCUGGCUGAGUGUUAUAUAGAGUCGCUAGCUUCUCAGUUAUAACCGUAAUUUGAGAAUAGGAACCCGAUGCUUCUUUAGUUUGCUGACUGUAGAUGUUGCAUGAGCUCGGGAAAAAAAAUGUAAUUUCAGUUUCUACUCAGACUGGUAUCUACGUUUUGUCAUGGACAUUUCUUAAAGGGGAUACCCGGUUUUCUGGAAUGAAUGAGAAAUUGAUAUUGGUUUAUGAGUUCAAAUCUACAUUAGCACAAUAUGUAUAGCCAAGCUACCUGGAUUGCUGUCUCAUAUCCUCUACCUUUUCACCGAUGUCCAAUCAAAUCUCCUUGUUGACUUUGGUGUAUUCUGUGCAGAUAUGUCGAAGAGAACGGACAUUCUUGUCCUAAUACUUCUCGUGCUUCCCACCAUAUUGGUCGUCUUGGAAACUUACCUCGGGUACUUUUGCUUGAGUUCUAUACAUUUAGGAAUUCUAUCAUUCUGUCUUUUUGACAUUCCUAAUUGCAUGUUGCUGACUCGUAGUUUUGAGUUGGUCUUUUGGUUUCCUCCAACUUCUGUGCUGAUAGUGCACCGUAACUUCUUUCACAGGGCAAUGAUGAGUUUUUUGACUUGGUAUCUUCUAAGAUUCUUGCUGAGACGAGAUAUUCAACUGCCGUCCAGGCAGCUGCUGCGAGGCUUCUUAUGAGCUGCUCGCCAGCGUGGAUUGAGAACGAGAAUGUGAGUAGUUGGUUCGGUUCAUUUAUUUGCACUACCACAUUCCCUCCUAUUAAUUUUAAUCUGCUUUAGGCCAUCUUUCUAUUACUGACACAAUUAAUUGCUUGUUGAACUUAAAAUUUACUGCAGGAUCCUCAUGUUUUUGAUGAACCCGUUAUGGAGAACAUAAAGGGCUGGCUGAUGGAUGAAUCCGUGAGAUGUUCUGGUGAAGAGCGCAAUUGGAAACAUGGUUCAAGGAGGAGAGAGGCAACAGAUUCUGAGAUGUUGAAGGCCUAUUCUACGGGGCUCCUUGCUGUAUGUAUGGCCAGGUAUGCUUUUCUAUAACUAUUGCCUUAAAGUCUUUUGGAUGAUGCAUCUGGGUGACUGAACGGUUCCACCAACAGAAACAUUGUGUCAAAUUAUUCAUUUGGCUUAACAAAAAGGUGGUCAUAGCCAUCCAUUUUAGAACCCUCUUUGGAUGUUGAGAAUUUAGAGUAGUUGUUGGAUUUGAUUUUCAGGUCACCUUUAACCCCGUAUUAUUAAAAAAACAAGGCUAGUUUCCUCGAUUGACAUGCAUAUCGUAAACUUAUACAAAAUUGCUCCUACCCGAUUCACACCUAAAGAAUUGAUUUUAAUAUUCCAAAUCCAUGUAUUUGAAGUCCACUUAUUGGACACUGAAAUCCAGUUCCAAAAUCCUUCUUCCAAAUGAUGCGCUAGUAUUCUUAUUGUAUAUUUGACACUUGUAUCUCCUUUUUCUUGUUUUCAUUGUGAGAACAGUAGUGAGAAGGUUAUUGAAGAUAUUUCCAAAAAAAAGGCUGUUGAAAAGGUUGUUGAAGAUGUGCUUACAUCUGGAUUGUCCGGAAAGCUCAUGCGCUUUCUUCGAAUCCGCACAGUGGGGGAAACUAGCACAAGCAAAAAAGAUGGUAGUUAUUCUACUGAAGGGGAAAAUGCAAAUGCUGCCACAUGCUACCAAGGUAGGGAACGCCAGCUUCUUGAGGCUACUCAUGAUAAUUUGAAAGUGAUGGAUGAGAGGUCACUAGAUUAUCAGAGUGUCGAUAGAAAUGAUGAUAAAAGCUCUGGUGCUCAGCAAUUGAGGGAAGAUUUUGCUGAUCUUGGAGUAUUGUCUAAUGUGUCAGCUGAAGCACAGAAUUCUUCAGGAAGCCCAAUUGCUGAUGGUUUUACCUGGGAAAGAGAGGAAAACGAUGACUGCUUAAGUGAAUGUAGAAUUGGAACCAAAGACAUAUCCAAUUUGGUAAAAAAAGCUGUGGGAGCUGCUGAAGCGGAAGCCAGAGCUGCAAAUGCACCUCCAGAAGCCAUUAAGGCAGCUGGUGAUGCUGCUGCUGAAGUUGUCAAGAGUGCUGCUUUUGAGGUGCAAAACAUAUGUUGACUUCUUGCUGUUCAUAAGUAAAAGGUUGGGGGGGUUCUGGAUCUAACUCAUCUGAGUUUCAUGUGCAGGAAUUUAAAUCUACCAAUAAUGACGAGGCUGCAGUUUUGGCUGCUUCUCGUGUUGCUUUUACAGUGGUCGAUGCCACAAAUGCAGUUGAACGUUUUAGGUUAGUUUAGUAUCCGGAUGGAGUUUCUUUCUUCACAGCUGAGCAAUAUUUAUGAUCUUUACUUGUUUGAUUACAGGAGAACUACCAGUGACGCCAAUGAUUCAGUGGAUCUUGAAAGUACAGAGAAAGAAGCGAAUGAGGAAACUGAAGAAUAUUUCAUCCCUGAUGUUGAAUCCCUUGCACAGUUGAGGGAAAAAUAUUGCAUACAAUGCAUUGGGAUAUUAGGGGGAUGUGUUGGAGUUCUUGGGCCUGUAUUGCAGGAGGAGGGUGUAGAUGUCUGUCUGUUGCUGUUGGAACGUAGUUCAAAAGGAGCAUCCAAGGCUAUGUCACUCUUGCCUGAUGUCAUGAAGCUUAUAUGUUCCUUAGGUGCUCACAGGAAGUUUGCUGAACUGUUUGUGUAUAAAGACGGCAUGGAAAAACUGCUUGCUGUGCCACCAGUUGAACACACCUACUUUGGUCUUUCUUCAUGCUUAUUUACUAUCGUUUCUGUAGAGGUAACCAGAUCUAUUUUCUAUUCUUUUUUUUAAUUGUUGGAAGGGGGGUCUCUCACCCUUUGUGAGCGGGAUGGGAGAUUAACCAGAGAGGGGUGGGGAGCUGUAGUGAUAAUUGCUAUCUCAUUGCAGAUUGGGAAGUUGAGUUAAAUCUUCUUCAAUUUGUUUUACAGGGAAUAAUGGAGCUUGUAUGUGCUCUUCCAUCAGGUGUUGUCCCCCGGGUGGUUGGGUUAGCUAUUCAACUUCUGGAGUGCUCCCAAGAUCAAGCCAGGGAAAGUGCAGCCUUAUUUUUUCGUGAUGCCUUUGUAUUUAGAGAUGUGAUUGAUGCUUUCGAUGAGCAACAUGGUUUGCAGAAGUCACUUAGCCUUUUAAAUAAAGCUGCUUCAGUUAGAUCUGGUGGCAAUUCAGGGUCGUUAAACCUGUCUACUUCAGAGAAACAGACACCUUGCCACACUUGUUUUGCAUUGCAACAAUAUGUCAGAGGACAUUUUCAUCUGCUUGUGGAAUCAGUUCGUGCUAAUAGAAACAACCGAAGUUUGGCUAGGAACCUACCAAGUGCAAGGGCUGCAUACAAGCCUCUUGACUUGAGUAAUCAGGCUAUGGAUGCCAUCCUUUUGCAAUUACAGAAGGACCGGAAGUUGGGUCCCGCUUUUGCAAGAGCUAGUUUUCCUGCUGUCGACAAAUUCUUAGAGUUGAAUGGGCAUAUUACUAUGUUGGAAUUGUGUCAGGUUGGCAGAGUAAGUGAUUUUUUCACAUUAUAUUUCUGUUUUGAACUUCACACCUCCCCUUACUUAUAUCCUGAUUUUAUAAUUAUAGGCCCCACCCGUUGAUUACUUGGUUCAGUUUGCUCUGGGUGUCCUUCAUAUUGUUACAUUGGUUAAUGAUGGCCGCAAAAUGAUAGUGAACGCUACCUUGAGCAAUAAUCGUGCUGGCAUAGCUGUUAUUCUGGAUGCAGCAUAUGUUAGUGGUACUGUUGUGAAUCCUGAGGUAACGAUAAUGCCAGCAUUAAAGGUGCUAAUAAACCUUGUUCGUCCACCUCCUUCAAUAAGCAACAAACCACCUCCACUUGGUGCUGGAAAUAUCCAAGAUCGAUCUUCUAAUAUCCCCAGCCACGGUGAUCAAAGGGAGCGGAAUGGUGAGUCAAGUGCAGCCGAUCAAGUAGGACGGCGCUCAAUUGGAAGUGCUACACAAGCAUCUGUUAAUCCUACAGCAACGUCGGGAUUGGUCGGUGAUAGAAGAAUAUCUUUACGUUUUGGAGCAGGUUUUGCAGGACUUGCUACACAGAUGGAACAGGUAUAUACUCUGGCUAGAGAGGCUGUUAGUGGUGGUCUAAUGGUGCUACUGCGUCUCCUCGAGCGACGCACGUAUUCUCCUCCUGAUGCCAUUGACUGUGUCCGUGCACUUGCUUGCCGGGUGCUGAUUGGCUUAGCUAGAGAUGAUAAAAUUGCACACAACAUUGUGGCCAAACUCCAGGUAAUGCUUUUUAUUAGGUGGAAUUGCUUGGAUUCAUCUAGAUUUCUGUGGCUUCUGUAAUUUAGUGUUGUUUAACUAACGUGUGGUAUCAUACAAUGAACUAUUUUUGCUUAUAGAUAUGCUUUCUAUUAUAUAGACGCUCCAAGGAUCCUGGUGCUUCUCCAUUUCAUAGGUUUCGCUUAUUUUAUCGCAGGACGGUAAAGCCCUAUCAGAACUAAUACGAGAUUCAGGUGGCCAAACACCUGGAACCGAACAAAGCAGGUGGCAAGCCGAGCUUGCCCAGGUGGCGAUUGAGCUAAUUGGGGUAAACCUUUUCUCUCUCAGAUGUGAAUAAUUGUUGCAUCCUAAUAACUUCAACAAUUAAAUUUGUACAACCAAUGACAAACUCUGUUUAUGUUUUUGGAAAAUAUGCCUCGAUUUGUCAUUUGGAGUAGUUCAUGCUUAGAUUUUUUCUUGAUGGUUUGGGAAUACCCGUUUCUUUUUGUUGAAAAUAUCUUGCCUUUGUUACCAAAGAGAUUAAUCGACGGACUCAUGAAUGUAUUCCAGAUUGUAACUAAUUCUGGGCGGGCAAGCACACUGACCUGUACCGAUGCGGCCACACCAACAUUGCGGCGUAUUGAAAGAGCUGCGAUAGCAGCAGCUACUCCUAUCACGUAUCAUUCGAGGUGCUUCUUGCAAUUUUCUACUGUACUUUGGACAUUACCUUUGUCUCCAUUUGUGUGAUUUUUAAUGCUUUUUCUUUAAUUGUUAUGCAAAAAUCCAGGGAACUGUUGCUCCUCAUUCAUGAACACCUACAGGCGUCUGGUUUGGCCAAAGCUGCUGAUGCACUCUUGGAAGACGCUCAGUUGACGCCUUCAUCAUCUUCUCUUGCUCCUCAGGAGACUCCUUUUGUGCAGCAGAUUCAGUGGCCAUCUGCCAGUGGGUUUCUAUCUGAAAAAUCCAAAGCAACUGUACGGAAUGAAGAUGGCAAUAUCAGAUGUAGAGAUUCAUCUGUGUCUGUCAAAAAGAAGCACAUUUUGUUCUCACCUUCCUUUGGAUCGCAGUCAAGAAGUCAGCCCCAGUCCAUUGAUUCUAAAAAGUCAAAGCAAUAUCAACCUCCUUCAGAUAUAUUGGAAAAAGAAGAGCCUUUGUGCAAGACCCCAGCGAAACGCAAGCUAUCAGAUCUAAAGGAUAUUGACCUGGCUUCAUCUGGAAAGCGACUCAAUACUAGCAAGCACGAAUUUCGCUCUCCGGUCUGUUCGACACCAGCUAAUGCUUGCAAGAUUGGUGAUGGUUUAACUACACCUUUCUCUAACACGAGGGACAUUGAUACUAGGUCAACGCCAUUCAGUUCUAUAGAUUAUAUAGGUGAAAGUCCCUGCCCUAGUUCUAGCAGCUCGGAGCGGUCAACAUUAGACUCUAUCGUGGUUCAGUAUCUGAAGCAGCAACAUCGGCAGUGCCCAGCUCCUAUAACAACUCUUCCACCACUCUCCUUGCUAGAACCACAUGUUUGCCGAGAACCAAAAAGAUGCCUUGAUGCACCGUCAAAUGUGACAGCUAGGAUCGGCGGUUCACGCCAGUUUAGAAGUUUCUACGGUGGGGUCCACGGAAAUCGCAAGGAUCGACAAUUCGUGUACAGCAGAUUCAGACCGUGGAGAACUUGCAGGGAUGAUGCCGGUGCCCUGCUAACCUGCGUGACAUUCCUCGGCAACUCUGGCCAUGUUGCAGUUGGCACCCACGACGGGGAGCUUAAAAUUUUCGAUUCCGACAGCGGACAUUUGUUGGAGAGCUGCGCAACUCACCAGGCUCCUCUGACUCUAGUUCAAUCACAUCUAGCCGGGGAGACCCAGUUGGUGCUAUCUUCAAGUUGUAAGGAUGUUUGUCUGUGGGAUGCUUCUUCAAUCUCUGGAGGUCCCAUCCACACCCUGGAAGGCCGCAAAGCUGCAAAGUUCAGCAAUUCCAGCGACCUAUUUGCAACCCUAACGACAGACAUCGUUUUACCGCAGCAGCGAAGAGAAAUUCUGCUCUAUGAUGUCCAAACCUGCCAAGUAACCUCGACUUUGUCGGAUACGACUCCGAGUUCGACAGGUAGGGCCAAUGUGUGUCCGCCGAUACACUUUAGCCCUUGCGAUACAAUGCUACUUUGGAACGGUCUCUUGUGGGAUCGACGCCAGCAGUCUGAUCCUGUCCAUCGCUUUGAUAAGUUCACUGAUUACGGAGGUGGCGGUUUUCAUCCUGCGGGGAAUGAGGUAUUGAAACUAGAGGUCGUUUGUUUUUCGAUUUAGAUUUCAGAGUGUGCUUUUUAGGUCGAGAUGAUUUGAGUAGGAAAUGAUCACAUUAUUUUUGUUGAGUUUAGAAUAAUGGAAUAAGUUAGAUUUGUAUUACUCAUUUAUAAAAUUAGAUUUUUUUUUUUAAUUUUCAAAACUCUUACUAAUUGCUAUUCAAUGAAACACAAAUUAAAACGACUUGUUAAUUUAUUGCAGUUUGUGUUUCCUAAUUAAUCAGGUGUCAACUAAUGUUGAAUCUUAAUUGUGACAGGUGAUUAUAAACUCAGAGGUGUGGGAUCUGCGGAGGAAGUUCAAGCUUCUACGGAGUGUACCGUCGUUGGAUCAAACGACGAUAACCUUCAACGCACGGGGAGAUGUGAUCUACGCUAUCCUGAGGAGAAACCUGGAGGACGUGAUGUCGGCACUUCACACUCCUCGGCGCGUGAAGCAUCCGCUGUUUCCAGCCUUCAGAACGGUGGACGCCGUCAAUUACUCAGAGAUAGCGACUGUGCCGGUGGACCGAUGUGUUCUCGAUUUUGCAUCGGAGCCGACAGAUUCGUUUCUCGGGUUGAUCACCAUGGAUGAUGACCAAGAGAUGUUCUCGUCGGCUAGAGUUUACGAGAUUGGUAGGCGGAGGCCUACUGAUGACGACUCGGAUCCUGAUGAUGCUGAAAGCGAGGUAGAGGACGAAGACGAAGACGACGAUGAUCCGAUCUUGAGGUCGGAUUUCGGAGGUGAUGGUGAUAGCGAUGAGGAUGGUGACUUGAGCAAUGAUGAUGAUAUUUAUUUGGAUGACAGCGACGAUGAGGUUGAUGGGGGCUUCGUGAUGGACGGUGUGGAGUUUGGUGGCGGAGGUGGAAUGAUGGAGAUGAUGACGGAGGGGGACGGCGAAGAUGACGACGAUGAUGAUGAUGACGACGGCCACAGUCGAGUGUUGGAAUGGGACAGUAGUGGGGAAGAGGACUUCAUGCGGUAAUUAAUUAAUUAAUGGGGUUGUUAUCUCAGAAAUAACCUGUAAUUAUUUAUAUAGAUUUUGGGAUUAAGCUGCAGUUCGAUAUAAUAGUAAUUUCACGAAAAUUAUGAUUUGGUUAACUACAUUAGUUUGUUUGGUUAACACUAACUGCAUCUAAAUUUGGUUAUAUGAUUAAUCACUAACCGCAUUGCAUAACCAUUGUAUGGUUAGUGGUUAACUGCAAAUAAUGAUUGGGCGCAGUUAAUUUUGAGUAAUUUGACUAAAAUUGUGACAGUUAACCACAUUGUUCAAUUCGGUUAACACUAAUCACACCACUUUCAGCCCUACUCAAAUGCAUUUGUCGAUUACUUUUAUAGCAUUGGCAGUGUCUACUGAUUUCAAAUUUGCUUUGUAAACAAACCAGACCAUAUUGAUAGAUGGUUUGAGAUACAUACCACCCGAUAACCGAUUAGUUUGAUACGGUUCUCAACAACACUGGUUAACUCAAAUUAACAAGUUAAAUACAUAUAUACUACUCAACUUCCAUUUUCAGUCAUAUUCGCCGCAGAAUUACAUUUAGUACACGAAAUAAAGCUGAACUAUAACUUUCGUUUCUCCAGUUUAUGGACGGAAUGAUGACGUGGCCUCAAUGGAGGUUACACAGUCAGCAGCUCUCGCCUAAUCAGCUGCCAACUCAUAAUCCUAAUGAUCAACAAACUACCCUCCCUAGUGAGUGACUAGUGAGAAAUAUAUACAUUUUAAGUCACCCUCUCUGGACACCGCAGUCUCCUCGUUGCUGCUUAGAUGCUCCGGAAGCCAUUUGCCGGUGACGUUUCAUAUCAUUCUCAUCUUAUCCUUCUUCAUCCUUUCAUCAUACAUCGGCAACUUAAUUAUCUCGUGGAUUUCCCGCACCAAGAUAUCGUCUGUUAUGUUGUCUUCGAUACUUCUCUUCACCUGUCGAUCGAAACAAGCACAAGUGAAAUGUUUAUAAUGACUUUAGUGUAGGGAAAAACAUCAUACUUAUGAAUUUAAAUACCUUUAUGUAUGUAUUCCACCCGUUUGGUGUGUUUUUAUCGGUGCGAACCGGCAUGAACACCCAGACUUUCGUCUCUAAGUUACACGAACACUCUAUGAUCUUCCCGGAAUACAAGCACGGAUCAUCAUCUGGAGCAUAUCAAACCGCGAAAUUGUAACCGACUGACUGACAAUAUUAUGAGCUGAAUGCAAGAUAACCAAAUUCUAUACCUCGAAAUACCACCGAGCUCCCAUCCGUUAGUUUGAUCUUCUUCGCACCAAGAUACAAUGAUUUUUGACCAUCACGACCAACCUGGAAUUAUGAAUGUAAGGACAUAAUCGAUCACUGCAAUAUUCUUCUAAUCUUCUGUAAUCAUACAUACCUCAAAUAAGAAGUCAACCGAGUUCAUCGCAGCGUACUUCCACUUCAAAAGACCCUCGUUAGCAUCCGGAACGUAAGGAUCGUCCCAUGCAUAAAAUUAGUGCAGUAAUACUAACCAGCAUAUUCAUCUUUAGCAAGCCAUAGCAGAUCUGCCUCAGUUUGUAGAGCUGGUCAAUGGGUAUAUCGUCUCCCAAAACAUCAUCAUUUGUUAACUUGGCAUCCACUUCUCGAUUGUUCUGAAACAUACAUACGUUCGAAGGAGCAGCUGAAACGCCAUCAUCAUCGUCAUCUUCAAGAGAUUUCUUCCAUUCUGGAAUAGGAGGGCAUAUAUUGUCCGGCAUCUUUUCAUGGUAGAAAUCAUAUAGAGCAGCAAUAUAGUCUGGUUUGUAGAUUCCAGGAGGAUGUGCUUCAGAAAAUUUAGUUAUCGCCUGCAUUUGCCGAUAGACUUAACACAUAAUGGAGUGUAAAAAGUGGUAUUAGCUAAGCUAUAAAGCUGAAACAAACCUCUGUGACCGACAUCGACUGUGUACGCAUCAAAAAAUGAAUAAUCAUGUAUCCUGUGCGGUUGUGCCCAUGUGUGCAAUGAACAAGAACACACUUCUUAGAAAGUUUUUGACUCUGCAUCACCUGGAAGAAGAGUAAGCACACAUCAUAAAUAUCAAAGAAAAAACAACGAAUAAUGUAAAGCAUGAAGAACUCUCAACGGAAUCAAAAAAUCAUACUUCAUACACAAAUUGAUUUACAGCCACAUUCUCCGGCACAGCAUCCGUCCCAACAUUGAAUCUAGACAAGAAAACAACAGAACAUGUUUGAGUUGACAGUGAACAAGUGCUGAAAUGCAUAACUUAGAGGCCCUUGUAGAUCGUCAUGCACCUUAAUAUGCUUGAUGCCCUCCUUUUUAAAAUCGUUGGGAGAGUAGUAACGAGUUUGUCAAAUCGAUCACCAAACCAAUCUGCAGAUGAAGUAACACUUUAUAGAAACUUCAAUGGAUUCAAAACAUCACUCACUACAAAAUGUCCUUUAGUGGAACUGACAAUAGAUCAACUAAUGAUUCUGAUAUCACAAACAGGAAUAAAAAGAUUAAAAAUUUGAAGUUGCCGUGUAUCUUGCAGCCCUUACCGUUCUUCCUGCAACUCGUUGUAGAUGAAUCACUUGCGUGAAAGAAUAUCUUCUUUUACCAGGUGGAAUAACCUGGUAGAACAUUUCACCAAGAGGUGCCUUAGAAGGAACAAUUCCGCAUAUCUCCUUACCAGCCGGAGGGCAAUCCAACCAUCCUGACAUCAACAAGGCCACUUAUAAGCGUGCAUAUUCCUUACAACAAUACGACUAGACCAUGAAGAAAUGAAGAAUCUACCAGGAGGUAGUCUGGUUUGAUCGUGAACUGGCUGCCGAGGUGCAGGACGGGGUCUAUCAUCUAAACUACUCUCAGCUCUCAAACUCUUGCGCCUCUCGCCCCGCUCCUAAAUUACACACAAACACAAGAUUCAACAACCAUGAACAGAACGAAAUUCCUACGAAAUCCCUUCUUUGCUAUCUUUCAAGUUGAGAAGUACCCGGUGUGCAAGCUGCACAGAAGUCUCUACUCGUUCCACAUUGGCACAAUAUUCUUCUAUGUGCCUUACAAAAUUAUCUUCCUUGUCUUCAGGCAGCGGUAAAGCAUUCAAGUCCAUUGCAACGACUUAAUCGGUAAAAGUUAGCAAAUUGCUUCCUCCCUAAACCCUAACAGAGGCGAAAACUUGACCAGGAAGUCCGUAACCAGCAAUCGGACCUCAAAAGCAGGAAUUUUACGCUGAGCUACACCGAACUUUGUUUAAAAUUAUUCUGCUUUUGCUUCUCUAUUUCACAGAACACAGUACUCUGCUAAUUAUAAAACUAACGUCGGCCACCUUUUCACGGCGGAGUGGCGGCAGGCUGCUUAUCGAACCGCGCGCGGGAAUCCGUCCGUUGCAGUUUUCUGAUUUCGGAAUUGGAAAUUUGGGGGAAUGAUUGAUUUUUUUGCAAUAUAUAUAAGAAUUCAGAUUGACAUAUGUCCGUCUUGGUCCCUGAUUUGUGGCCUAAUAUCAUUGGAAGGCCUAACCUUUUUGAAACUUCAAAUAUAAUACAGAGCUCGAUAUUGUUAGCGGUUUCAGUCCUUUUCUGUGAAAAAUUUUAAACUUUGGGACCUGCCUAUCAAUUUGGUCGACCCAGACCCUAAUGUCCGGUCAAUUUGGGUUGGUUCACGUGUUUGGGUCGAACCAUUGUACUCCAGAUCCAACCAAAUCAAUAUAAGUGGCACCGAACUAACCGAGUUGGUACAGCUGAAGCAACUUUAGAAACCUUAUUUCAAAAAAUAUUAGGAUGUAAUAUUAAUAUAUAGGUAACCAAUUGGAUUACAAACCAUCUCCACUCAACAACUCAAAAACCCAACCGAAAUCAAAUCAAACCCAAUUUCAAAACCGAACCCAGAACAAAGAUUACAUUCCAGAUUCACAAGGGAGAAAGAAUCAUCAAUUCAUCAUCUACAUCUUCAACAAACCCAUGAAAGAAGCCACCAGAGAAACGCCAACGACAGCGGCCGAAACAGGAACAGAGAACCCAGCACCGGUCACCUGCGACGGCGACGGUUCAGGCGCCAUCAUCUCCUGGCCGGAAACCAUAGCCGCCAUCAAAGCGACCAACACAACCAUGGAGAUAGCAGCUGCCUUGGAAAUUGACGCCAUUGUUGAAAGGGAAGAGGAUGAAUAAAGCUUGGAUUUGAGUUUGUGUGUUUUGAAUUGAUUGAUGAGAAAGGGGAGAAGAAGAACAGAGCUAUUUAUACAGCGGGAAUUAUCAAUUAUGACCGUUCAGCUAACGGCGUGAAGCUUAACAGCUGGUAGUAGGCCAUGGGGGAAACGUGGGGAACAGGCUGUAACGGCGGGUGGAUGGGAUAGCCGUUAGGCUGUAGCCAUUGGAAACGUGACGCGUGGCUGAAACAACGGUCACUUCCGUCUGGAAUGAUCUGUUUGGUUUUUUGUCGGUGUGAGGAAGAAGGUCCCACAUUAUGUCGUCAAAAUAAUUCCACCAUUUGUACAGGUCGUAGUGGUGAUUAUGGUUCGGAGAUGGAAUCGGUGAGACUAUCAUUAUAUUAUUCAAGUUUUAAAAUUAUAAAUAUUCGUAUUUAGUGGUAAUCGUGUAUCCUAAUGUAUUGUGAUUCAUUACUAUUCUAGUCACUAGUACUAUACUAGUAUACUACAUUGUUUCAUUCAACUCAAUUUUCACUUUUCGUAAAAAUGUUGUUUAGAAUCAGCUCUAGAUUCAAGUACUAACUCAAUUGCUAAACAAUUUGAGCUCGAGUUAGAAGUAAAGUACUUUAUUUUACAAUUCAAUAGUUUUCUAAAUCCAUAAAAUAACAAAUUCAAUUAGAUCGAACUUCAAAAUAUUCAUGUGAUCUUAAACAACUUAUUAGUAACCAGAACCAAAUUAAUAACAUUUAAUAUGCACCAACCUCGAAUAUAAUUAUAUGAUGUUUAUACCCCUCAAAAUACCACAAAAUUUAUACACUCUCGAAACCAUUCAUAUCCAAAAGAACCAAACCUAACCAAUGGAAGCCUCCCUGAACCCGCCACUGAUCGCAGAAUCGGUACAUUACUACUACUUACAAUCGCCGAAUCAAUCCACACGAAACAUCAAAUGAAACAAAAAUAAUACAAAGAGGUACACAAAUUGAUGAUGAUGAUUUAUAAGUGGAUCUCCCACCACAAUUUCGAAUUCGAUUCAGUACAAUGAUGAGAGAAGAGGAAUGAGGAGGAGUGAAGAGCAAAUGAAUGCCAGGAAAGCUGAUAGAGGCGAGGAGGAUACAUCCAUGGCUGCUCCGGUGAUCAUUGCCGGUGUAGGAGCGAUGUCCUGAGCCAUUGCUCCAGAAGAAGAGGAAGCCAAAAUGAAUACCACAAAGAAGGCAGCUGCUGCCAUUGCCGCCAUUGAUUUCGCCAUCGAAAAAGAUCUGAUGAAGAGAGGAGAUGUGUCUGAUUGAUUGGUGAUGGAUGAAUUGAGGGAGGCUCUUAUGAUCUGAGGAGGAAUGUGAGGAAGAGGCUACAAAUUUAUAGGCAGCUAGAAAGUAAGUUUCGGGCUGAUCGGAAUCGAAAGUGAUCCGAUUAAUCAAACAAUGACGACACAUUUUGGACCCUUUUUGAGUAAAGUCAUGAAAAUCUGACCAUUCUUAACUCCGGACCGGUGAUUAUUGGUUAACCUAUUAUAGGAGCACAUCUAGAGAGUGG
This 425330-nucleotide long non-coding RNA is filed under the name Linum usitatissimum (flax). RNAcentral describes it as "long non-coding RNA (LUSI_LNC007984)". The stretch from base 172247 to 172328 matches the Rfam family "Small nucleolar RNA U30". Lineage: Eukaryota; Viridiplantae; Streptophyta; Magnoliopsida; Malpighiales; Linaceae. The record is from RNAcentral.